RNAcentral lists this long non-coding RNA (373271 nucleotides) under Solanum lycopersicum (tomato). RNAcentral describes it as "long non-coding RNA (SLYC_LNC001342)". The stretch from base 150832 to 150902 matches the Rfam family "MIR8041 microRNA precursor family". The record is from RNAcentral. Lineage: Eukaryota; Viridiplantae; Streptophyta; Magnoliopsida; Solanales; Solanaceae.
CGUGUCUCCACAUGUAAACAAAUAGCCUGUUUGUGAUCAAGCUUUAUGCGGAUCUGAUAAAUACCCUGCAUCUGCGUAACCAAUCAGUUCUGAUUUAGAUUCAUUGGAAUAGAAUAAACCCAUGUCCAUGGUCCCUCGAAGAUAUCGAAGUAUGUGUUUAACACCAUUCCAAUGUCUUUUUGUUGGGGAGGAACUGAAUCUUGCCAGUAGACUUACUGCAAAACAGAUAUCUGGUCGAGUAUUGUUAGCAAGGUACAUUAGUGCCCCGAUCGCACUAAGAUAAGGAGUUUCAUCACCAAGAAGCUCUUCAUCAUUCUCUUGAGGUCGAAAUGGAUCUGUAUUGAUGUCAAGAGAUCUUACCACCAUUGGAGUACUCAAUUGAUGUGAGUUAUCCAUGUAAAAACGCUUUAGUAUCUUUUCUGUGUACGUUGAUUGAUGAACAAGUAUUCCAUUUGACAAAUUCUCAAUCUGUAGACCAAGAAAAAAUUUUGUCUUGCCGAGAUCUUUCAUUUCAAAUUCUCUUUUCAGACACUCAACAGCUUCUAAAAGCUCUUUACGAGUUCCAAUGAUGUUCAAAUCAUCAACAUACACAGCUAUUAUUACAAAUUCAAACCCCAACCGUUUAAUGAAAAUGCAGGGACAAAUCGGGUCAUUUUUGUACCCUUUCUUUAACAAAUAUUCACUCAAACGAUUGUACCACAUCCUUCCUGAUUGUUUCAGUCCAUACAGAGAUUUCUGAAACUUUAUUGAACAAGUUUCUCUUGAAUCUUUGUAUGUUUCAGGCACUUUAAAUGCUUCACGAAUUUUCAUGAAAAUGUUGUGGUCCAAUGAGCCAUAUAGAUAGGCUGUGACAACGUCCAUUAGACGCAUUUCAAGUUUUUCAUGAACUGCCAGAUUUAUGAGAUAUCUAAAGGUGAUUGCAUCUACCACUGGAGAAUAUGUCUCCAUAUAAUCAAUGCCAGGUCUUUGAGAAAAACCUUGAGCAACGAGUCGGGCCUUAUAUCUCAUGACUUCACCUUUCUCAUUUCUUUUUCGUACAAAAACCCAUUUGUACCCCACUGGCUUGAUACCUUCAGGUGUUCGGAUUAUUGGUCGAAAAACUUCACGUUUUUCUAGUGAAGCCAAUUCAGCUUGAAUUGCAUCCUUCCAUUUUGGCCAAUAUGUUGUCAAUCACAACAUUAUUUCGGUUCCACAACUUUCUCGUCGAGACAUAAUUCAUUGAAAUUUCAUUAUUUUCAGAAGUUCGAACCUCCUCAUCAUCAUGUGUUAUGACUUGGGUCUCAUCUUGAGAAAUUUCUUUCAACCCAUGAUCAUCUUGAUCAUUUAUUCCUUUUAUCUUUCGAGGAUUUUUAUCCUUGGAACCAAUUGGUCUACCACGCUUCAAAUGUGGUCUAGACUCAUUUGCCUUAACAAUUUGUCCCGUCGGGAUAUCAACUCGAACUGGAGCAUUAACAGCUGGAAUAUGCGAUUUAGUAAUCCUUGGAAGAUUCGUAAAUGCAUCUGGGAGCUGAUUUGCAAUGUUCUGCAAAUAAAUUAUUCUUUGAACUUCUUGCUCACAUUGGUUUGUUCGAGGAUCCAGAUGAGAUAGAGAUGAUGAAUUCCAAUCUAUCUUUUUUCCCAAUGACUUAUGGUCUCCCCCUAAUGUUGGGUAUACUGAUUCAUCAAAAUGACAAUCAGCAAAUCUUGCCUUAAAUAAAUCUCCAGUCAUAGGCUCCAAAUAUUUAUGAUUGAAGGAGAUUCAUACCCAACAUAUAUCCCCAACCUUCUUUGCGGCCCCAUCUUUGUGCGUUGUGGUGGAGCAAUUGGGACAUACACCGCACAUCCAAAAACUCUAAGAUGGGAAAUGUUUGGCUCUUGACCAAAAGUCAAUUGUAAUGGGGAGAAUUCAUGAUAAUUGGUUGGCCUUAUGCGCACAAGUGUUGCUGCAUGCAAAAUAGCAUGCCCCCACAUAGACACAGAUAACUUUGUUCUCAUUAGUAAUGGUCUAGCUAUCAAUUGCAGACGUUUAAUGAAUGAUUCUGCUAGACCGUUUUGAGUGUGAACAUGCGCAACUGGAUGUUCAACAGUUAUACCAGUAGACAUACAAUAAUCAUUAAAUGCCUAAGAUGUAAAUUCACCAGCAUUAUCUAGACGGAUUGUCUUUAUUGUAUAAUCUGGAAAUUGUUCUUUCAAUCUUAUUAUUUGAGCCAGCAAUCUCGCAAAAGCCAUGUUGCGAGUUGAUAAUAAACACACAUGUGACCAUCUUGUAGAAGCAUCUAUCAAGACCAUAUAAUAUUUAAAGGGUCCACAUGCAGGUUGAAUUGGUCCACAUAUAUCACCCUGUAUACAUUCCAGAAACGCAGGGGAUUCAAUUCCAACCUUAACUGUUGAUGGUUUAAUGAUCAACUUUCCUUGAGAACAAGCAGCACAAGAGAAUUCCUUUGAUUGAAGGAUAUUUGGGCUCUUUAAGGUGUGUCCAUGUGAAUUCUCAAUGAUUUUGCGCAUCAUAUUAAAUCCAGGAUGGCCCAACCGGUCAUGCCAAAUGAUAAAAUCAUUAAAAUUAGUAAACCUUUUGUUUACUACGGCAUAUGAUUCAACUGUACUUAUACUUGUAUAGUACAACCCAGAAGAAAAUGCAGGUAAUUUUUCAUGCACAAUUUUCUUCUCAACAUUAAUUGUAGUAAUGUAAAGGUAUUCAACCUUUCCUUCAUUAGCCGUCUCAACAUGAUAGCCAUUUUGGCGAAUAACUUUGAAACUUAAUAAGUUUCUUUGAGACUUACUACAAUAUAAUGCAUUAUCAAUGCUUAAUAUUGUCCCUCCAGGUAGUAAUAAGGUCGCUCUUACAGAGCCCUCAAUUAAUUUUGUACUACCUGAUAUUGUGUUGACAUAUGCCAUUUUCAUAACCAAAUUAGAAAAGUAUUUCUUUUCUUUUAAUAUUGUAUGCGUUGUAGCACUAUCAAGAAGGCAUACAUCUCCAUUACUCAUCUUGAAUCCAACUGACAACUGGGGAUUUCUAUUAAUUUUCAUUAAAAUAAAAUACAUUAAAAGAAGGAAGAAACAAAAUUAACAACGGAAAUUUAAAUACUUCAACAUAAAUAACAUGAUAAUUAAAAAUACAUAAGUAAAAUAUUAACAGACUUCAUUCCCCAGCUAAAAGAUCAAAAUCAGUUUCGAUCUCCAAAGAAGUCAUCAACUUCCAUAUGAGUAAUGUCACCAAGGCCAUCAAAAACAUCAUCCUUUAAAGCCAAAUUUGCUUCAACAUCCUUAUCAUAUUUCUGAGAUGUUCCCGACUUAUCAUCAUCUUUAAGAGUCAUAUGUGACUCAGCUCGAGCAUUGGAAGAGGAAGCACCACUUUUAUUUCCUUUCUUUUUAAAGGAAUUUUGAUAGAGCCUUACAAAAUGUUCAUGUGUGCGACAUUCAUUCUUCCAAUGGCCUUUCAUGCCACAUCGACGACAAUUACUUUUUGAGGGGUUAUUUUGAGAACUCGUGUUGUUCUCCCUUUUAUUAUGACCACCACCUUGACGAUUAGUGUAUCGUCUUUUAUCUUUGCCACGUCCCCGUGCAUUAUUAUAUCCCCGAUGAUCAUCUCUUUUUACUUUAGAUUGAUCACGUGCUUCCACCACAUUUGCCUCCGGUAAUGGAGCAGCUCCAGUGGGACGAACUUCAUGAUUUUUCAUUAAAAGAGCAUUAUGUUGCUCAGCCACCAAAAGACAUGAAAUUAGUUCAGAAUAUUUCUGAAAACCCUUUUCACGAUAUUGCUGCUGCAAUAUCACAUUUGAGGCAUGGAAAGUAGUAAGUGUCUUUUCCAACAUGUCCUCAUCUUUUAUAGUCUCCCCACAUAAUUUUAACUGGGAGGUUAUCCUGAAUACAGCAGAGUUGUAUUCAAUUACGGUCUUAAAAUCUUGAAACCGUAAAUGCAUCCACUCAUAACGAGCUCUUGGCAACACUGUUGCCUUUAGGUGGUCAUAUCUCCCCUUUAAAUCAGUCCACAAUUCAAGUGGAUCUUUCACCGUCAGAUAUUCAAUCUUCAGGCCCUCAUCAAGAUGAUGACGAAGGAAAAUCAUAGCUUUCGCCUUAUCUUGACUCGAUGCUUCAUUUCCCUGAGUAAUAGUGGCAUCAAGACCUUCAGCAGCCAAGUGAAUCUCAGCAUCGAGUACCCAUGAAAGAUAAUUCUUUCCAGAAAUAUCUAAUGCCACAAACUCAAGUUUGGAUAAAUUCGACAUAAUGAAAUUAUGAGAGAAUAUGUGAAUCAAAUAAAAUUAUUUAUAUAAUACCUUUGCAAGUAGCAACUUCGUGCUGAUAACGUGUUGUAAAGAAAGCUCAGAAUAUAAGAAGAAAAAGACAAGAAGUAUAAGAUAGAGGAGAUAAUUUUCUUAUUCAAGUAUGUAUUACAAAAGGUGAAUGAUAUCUCUAUUUAUAGAGUUGAGAUAUCACCCCAAAAGCCCCCAUGAUAAAUGUCCAAUUAGUAGGUACAUAGUUAUCCAAAUGAUUCUUAUCACCUUGGAAACAUGUAUACAUGAAUACAAUUAAGUCUUGAGUAAAUCUAAAGGACAAUCCACACAAUUCAAUAGAUUUAUAACAGUUCCAUCAUUAUCCCUCAUUUUCUCUUAAUCCAACUAUGUUUUUCAGAUCUGUUCUUUUAGAUAUAUAUAAAAAAAAAAGUUGAAACAACAAAUCAUUUCUCCUUCAGUUUUUUUAUUUGUAUCCUCUUUUUUCUGUCUCAGAUUCAUGCAAAAGUUGAACAUAAGUCAACAAUUAAUGUUGGAGUUGAGCUAUUUCAGCGAACGAAAAUCAAUUUUGAUAAAAGAAUUGUGAAACUGAAUCCUUCAAUUUUUUAUCACUUAUAUAUUAGUGUAAUUUUGCAUCAACAUUAUUCAUUUUCUCGUCUAAAACAUUCAAUGAAUAAUGAUGGAAUUGUGCUAUUUCAAUGAAUAAAUAAUUCACUGAAGAGAAAUUUUGAAAAUGCUCUGUUUGGAACUAAAUCCAUCUCAAUUUUGUCUCAUUUAUCAUGUUUUUAUUUUGGUGUUUAAUUAAAGGAAUUAAUUCACAGUAAUACUUUCAUUCAUUUUCGAAAAGGUAGUACUUUCAUUCACACGAUGAACAUAUUAUAAAACUUACUUCGAUGAACAUAUUAUAAAACUUACUUCAAAAUAAAAGCAAUCACAACGGAAGACACUAACUUUUGACCAAAUUUAAAAUUUUUUAUAUCAUUUAAAUAUUUCAAAAUCUAAUUUAAAUAUUUUUGACUUUUAUCUUACUCUAUUAAGUUUAUUUUAAAAUAUUUAAAAGCAGCAAAAGAAUCACUUUUUAAGGUACGUUUUAUUUUCGAUUGUUUAAAAAAAAUGAAAAGUUAUAAAAAAUAUAUAUUUUUAUCUAAAUUAAUUUAAAUAAAUAAGCUAGUAUUUCUUAUUUGUAAUUUAUAUUAGCUACUCAAUUUUUUAUUGGUUUAAAAGUAUUUAAAUAUUAUAUUAUAUUAUAAUUAUGAAAAAUAAAAAUAAAAACCUAAAACUACCCCAUAACCCAUUCUCCACUACCCCACACAACCCACUCCCCUCAACUACAAACACGUACCACACAAUAUUAACAUUAACAACACAUCCCCACUUUCCCCUAUACAAUGCACACACUACCAAAAUAAAAUAAAAUACAAUACACAAAAACACAACAAUACACACAAUCUCCACACAGAUUUGGCACAACAAAAAAACACGAGCAAACAAACAAAAAAAACUUUCACAUCUCUUUUAUUUUCUUUCAAAAAUACAUCAACUCAUCCAUAUUUUUUUAUUUCUCAUUUCUUUCAUAUAAAUACAACACAUACACCAUUACAUGCAAUUUGCAAAAAAAAUCGCGGGUGUUCUAAUUAAGGUUGAUCAAAAUUUUGCGGUACUUAUUUUCUUUAUUUAAGAUUCUACUUUGUGUUUUCUUUUUAAUUUAAUCAUGAAAUUUGACGUAAUUUAUGAUAAAUUUUCUUAUAUUUUAUUCAUGAAUUGAAAUGAUUAAUCUGUUAGUUAUUAUAUUUCUAUUUCAUGAAUAAAGAUAACUUAGAUCGAUAAUUAUUUAUUUAUUUUUAUUUGUUGAUUGUGAUCUCUUAAAAUGAACGGGUCAUAGCAUUGUUCUUGUCUUCAUUCAGAUAAUAAUGAUAAAGUAGAAAUAGUUAGGCUAAUUUCUUUAAAAAUAAAUUAAUAUUAUUAAUAUAAAAUAAAAGGAUAUAGAAGGGAUGUAAGAAUUAUAUAUUGAAUCCUCAACAUUUAGAUUUAUUUUACUUUGUUUGAUUUAAUGUAUAAAGGAAAAAAUAAAUAUUUUUUAAUGAGUAGAUGAGUUAUACGACCUGUUAAAAAAUGUUAGUCUCAACUAAGAAUGUGAUUACACAUCUUUAUUUUCAAACAUUAAAAUAAACUCAAGGAUGCGGUGAUGAAGUGUGAUGAAGAUAAGACAGUUAUGUCUCCAAAUGCCAAAAUCAAGAAUGCAGUUACACAUCUAAAUUGAAAUCAAAUAAAAGUUCAAAAAUAAAUAUAAAUGCGAACAACCCAUUGCCUGAAAAUAUUAUAUCAAAAAAAUUUUAAGUUAAUUAUAAGAGCAUGUUUGAAUGGGCUUAAAAGCUGAUCAAACUGAUUUAAAAGUCAGUUUUUGACAAUUAUCAAAGUGACUUAUUUAAGUUAAAAAUGACUUAUUUAAGUCAAAAGCUAAAAGGUAGGUGAGGGGUGUUUUUUUUUCCCCAACUUAAUAGUCAUUUUAUGUUGACCAAGUAUGUUACCUUUUUGCCCUUAAUUCUUUUUUUAUUAUUAUUAUUAUUACUAUAAUUAACCAUAAUAAUAUUAAUAUUAAUAUUAAUAUUUUUGUUAUUAUUAUUUAUUAUUAUUAUUAUUAUUACUAUUAUUAUUAUUAUCAUUAUAAUUAUUUAUUUUAUUAUCAUUAUUAUUAUUUUUAUUUUUAUUUUUUUAAUUAUUAUUUUUUUUAUCAUUGUUGUUGUUGUUGUUGUUGUUCUAAAAAAAUUGUGAUGAUAAAGAAAUAUGUGAAUAAUAGGAAAUAUUAUAACUUAUGGAUGUAAAAUUAAAUUAAUUUUUUUUAAAUUUUUUUAAGUAUAAAAACCUUAAAUUAAUCAACUUUUAUCACGUUUACAAUUUUAAUGGUAUUUCAGACAUUUUGAUAAAAAAAAAGUAUACGAGCACUUAUUUGACAAACACAUCAACAACUUUUUUUCAACUGAAACACUUUUAUCCAAACACAUAACUACUUAUUUUAAAAAUAAAUUUCAGCACUUUCAAACUAUUUUUAAAAGUUGCUUUUUUAAAGCCCAUCCAAACGGGCUCUAAGUCAAUAACAGCGAGUGUGUUAGAACCACGGGACUCGAGGGAUGCCUAAUACUUUCCCCUCGAUCAAGAGAAUUUCUUACCCAAAUUUCUAGUUCGCAAAUCAAAUAACGAGUCAUUUCCUUUUGAUUAUGGAUUAAACAAAUAGGUGACUUCGAACACUACAACUCAAUUUCCAGUGGCGGCUCUGAACAAAUAAAAAAUCAUUUAAUCAAUACGUCACUUCAAUAGAAAAAAUCCUUCAUCCGGAGCGAAAAAAGGGGUCCAACAUUUUUUCAGUUGUAUAUCACUCACAAAGAGUCUUUGCCAGAUCCAAACAUGUCUUCCACCUGAUUCAUUUAAUCUAUAUAUCUUAGUUCAUUUCAAAGUUUGAGUUUUACAAAUUGCUUGUAUAUAAUAUAUGAUUAACUUAUGAGCGAAAGCGAAGAAGUGACUUGACCACACCUUCAAAUAAGGUUGGUGAUCAAAACAACCGAUCAAAUCCCUGGCCUCAGUAUGUGGCUGAAGCAUAUGAAAAUAUGUGACAUCUUGUUCAUCCUUAUCAGAGAGUUUCAACAUCUGUACAUACAUAGAAAAUAUAAGUCAUCAGAUUUUUUUUGUGAGGAGAUGAAAACAAAAUGAUACCUGAAUGUCUCUUUCAUUUUUAGAUGAAAGAAUAUUUGUACCAUAAAUCGUAAUGACAGGAUGAUUCUCUGUUGGAGGAUAUGAAAUAAAAGCGAGAGCUAGUAUGACGGAAUCAUUUAAUCGUAGAGGACGAUAAAAUAUUUUAGUAGAUGGAUCCCACUAGUUGGAAGCCAUCAUAAAAAGUCGUGAUUGGCUUGAUUUUUUCCAAUUAAAAUCUUGGAAACUUAUCCACGCUUAUAGUGAAUUUUCAAGAGAAAAGUGAGCCACCGGUUCAAGUACAAGAUACUAUCAUUACCGCCUGGACAAUUAGACAUUCAACCCUUAAUCGCAGCGACCCAAUUGCAAGAGAUUCAUUAGCAAACCAGGUAUUAUUAGAAUCAAAUGGGUAUAAAACCCUUUGAGACCAAAGAAUACCAGGGGAAAAGAACCCAUCUUGAAUGGAAUGAAUUUUAUUCACAUUAAAGAUGAACGCUGCUAUCUCAUGCUUUAAGUUCACAAAGAUAUUGUGUUCUUUAACAUAUUUAGCCGCUGCUCCGUCUACAACAUCAUCCACCGAAUAUUGAAACCGGCGAACAAAGUUGUCGAGUAAUGGAGUACUUUUCCAAGUAGGUUUCCAAUUCAUACCCUUUUCAAGAGGCAUGGAUUGGAGAUGUGGAAGAUACAUUGGUCGAAGCUUCUUUCAAGAAGUUUUUAUUUCUCCAAGAACUUCACGGACACUAUCAAUAUCUGAGUGAGGAGUCGUAAUUGAUUGGAAAGUGACUUUCUUCACUUUAGGAGCCACUGCAAUCUAUUUUGAUAAUCCAAACCAAGAUAGAUAUAUCCUGACCAAAUAAUCACCAUGAUCAGGCUUUGCCCUUACGUGUUUUCGUAAUACCGCAGGUAUGAUCUUGGAAAUUCCAUAUCGGGUCAAUGAAACUGGAACAGACAUGGUGUCAUUCUUAGAAUAACACCCAGCGUAAUAACGCUAAAGGGAAACUGUACACUGUUUUAAAUACAAAAUAGUAUACAGAAAACCUGAACGUCGUUUCAGUUUCACAACUAUUUUUAUGAAAUCGCUGCCCGCUAGGGCGUUAUUGACCAUAUAAUAAAAGCAGAUCUUGGUCCAUGGAGUCCCAAGAAGGUAAGAACUCCAACCUUUCCGAUGCUUCUUCGGCCAAAUACGAUAUACAAGUGGGACCUGCACUAUGAGCAAGCUGUGUGAAAAAACACUUCUUUUUCCGAUUCCGAAACAACUUGGGCGAAAUAGGGUUCUACCUGCCGCCCCCUACUUGCUCAUUCGCAAUUACUACCACAAGAAAGUCGCCCCUAUCUCUAAAGGGGCUUAUGCACUCCACGACUUUCAUAUGUUAUGGGGUCUCGAAGACUGAAUUUAGCUGCUUUAUUUAUAUUUUUUCUAAGGAACUAUUUGUUAUCCCAUUUAGGGAUUUUGUGUUCUCAACUUCUCUCUGGGAUUUUGAUUUUAAGUGUCGGGGGAUCAUUUCCUCUUCCGGGCCCUUCUGGGCAAGCAAGCGGGGCUGAGUUUGAAGAGGAUCAUUUUGGGAUUGAUGUCCUCUUGGAAUCAUGGGAAAAAUCUACGGAGACGGGCAUGUUGGUGGAUCAGCCAGAACCAGAACCAGGACAUGUGCCGCCUGCUAUUCAAGUAGCUCCCCGAGCGAACGAAGCUGGUCCACCAAAUCAGCCCCCACGAGUGGUCCCCUAUCCGUAUCAACUGGAUGAAGUGAUAGGGGGGAUUCCGUUCAGUCUAUCCAGCGAAGGCUCCUAGCCAAAUACUCCUAUACUCCUCCUAUCGGGAUCAUGUACCUGACCGAAAUAGAGGCAAAAGACCUAUUCGAGGUCAAGGUCGAGAUUCUAAGGAUCAUGGCGGUCUUUGAUCAAAUGGAGGAUUGGAUGGGACGGGGAGCUCGGGCCCUCGUGCACCUGGACUAUAGAGCUUCUCACCCACUAAAAAAAGAAGAGGUCGGGGAGGAUCGAUACACUUUGUUGUCCAUCCCAUGGACAACUCCUUCCUCUUAGGGCUGCAGGGAGUUCGAGGCGGCUCCAACCAAAAGUAGGAAACUGGGCGAAGUAAAGUAAUCAAAGAGGAAGUCAGUGCUAGUAGUAAGGACUUGUCACAAUCCAUUGGGGCACAUAGAAUCUAUGUCCUAGGUGUAGACGAAGACCAAGAGUUCUUUAAGAUCUGAUUCGAUGGUAUAUCCCUCUUCUAUUGUUCUUAGACAGAUCUCUCACUCUUGAUGAAGAAAAAGACUUCAGCUUUAAAGAUCCGAUCUCGUCUUCACUCACUGAUUCCUUUAAUAAGAGAAAUGCCCGGAAUGCUUGGUACCCUUUUUCUUGCUACUGGUUUAUUCCCCUCCCACUUCUGCUUUCCUCACUCUCCGGCUUGCUUGCGUAGUAAAAAGAAAGAAAGCGUCUUUGGCAGAUGGAAUACGAGAUCUAGGCAAGCCUUUCCUCCUUUGUUAACUUAAAGGCUAUGUAGAAUCCAAGGUUUCGCUUCAUAAUACCAGUCAUGAGUUCCGGCUAUCGCUCCAAAGUGAUAGCGCCAUUGAAAGAUAGAGUGUCAAACAGUCAAACUUCGAUACCUAAAUUCAUUUAUCCAAAGGCUUUUCCAUUCCCUGAUCCGUGCCUCCUUGCUUUAACUAAGACUUUUUGAAUAGUGGCUUGGCUGGCUUUCGAGUUGGGAAAGAUAAGAAGAGCUUGACCGAUCCAUUCUGAAGGAAAGAAGCACACUGCUUAAGAUAUAAAGCGCAGUGCAGCCACCCCGACUUCUGUCCUUUCCCUAAUAACAGACCUGGAUAACAGGUAAGCUCCAAUAAAUAGUUCCUUGGUUAGACUGUCAGUGAUAAUGAGAAGAACCUUCUUAAGAUAACCUCCUCAAGGAACUUUUGGCAUCACUACUUUAUGGCAAGCUUACUGAGUAUCCACCACAUCCCUUUCCAAAGAUUCAUUCUGAUUGAUUUUUGCCAUGAACUCUCUUGGCAAAGUCAGGAUCAUCUUGCAAUCCACCUUAUUCGGUAAGUUACCUAAUAGAACUUGAAACUUUGGCUCAUUUUCUUUAUUCUUUAAUCUGGGUCUAACUGCUUGAUUCACCAACCUUCAAGUCUUCCCCCAUCAGGUCUUCUUCCGGAACCAAGCCUUCUGAAAGAAAGCUCAUCAAAAAACUCCGUUGACGAGGCCUAUCCAUUCUCCAACUUCUUGUGGUCUUUCCCAACCUUACCUUCUACUGGGUACUUUACCAUUAGACCAACAUUCUGUUUCUUCUCUACUUCAGUCUGUAUUUUCAAUUCCAUUACCUUCUUCCUCAGCAUCCUCCUUUUCUGGGUCCUUGUCAGCUUAGAUGAUUUCUACUAUGCUGGACUCUCUCCUACAGCGUCCUUCUCAAGUCUCGAUUUCUGUGCGGCAUGAACCCACUGAUCAGUUGGUGGGACAAUAGACGGUGUUUGAAAUAACUAUUGUUUAUUCAAAAUCUCAUAAGAGAAGAAAGCUUUUAAUGUGGGUCGGCGUACAGCCCACUCCAUUCUAUCUAUGACGCAUCGGAUCAACUGAGAGAAAUCCUGAGUAACGAGAGAGAUUCUCCACACGAACGAACGACCCGCCAAGUUCGAACUGACAUAGGUGAAUCGCCCCUAGGUAUUCUCUACUUACCCACCUGUGUCAGUUUCGGGUACAGGUACCCUCUUGUUUAACGUCGUUCGAGCUUUUCCUGGGAGUAUGACAUGGGUUACUUCAGCGCCAUAGCGCCUGGUAUUCGAAUAUUGGAUCGAGGCAUUUUCUCUGCCCCUUCUUACUCUGAAAAAGCAGGGACACCUUACAUUCUUGAAUCGAUAACCAUCUUUCGGCUAACCUAGCCUCCUCCGUCCCUCGAGACUAACAAGGGGUAGUACAAGAAUAUUCACCUGUUGUCCAUCGACUACGCCUUUCCUGAUCUUAGGCCCUGACUCACCCUCCGUGGACGAACCUUGCGGAGGAACCCUUAGGUUUUCGGGGCAUUGGAUUCUUACUAAUGUUUGCGUUACUCAAGCCGACAUUCUCGCUUCCACUUCAGUCAUUGAAGUACCAAAGGCGCGCUCAGCCCAAUGACUAGGAAAUGAGUUUGCCCUUGAAUUGAAGUGAUGAGAUAAGAAAGAGGGAAGUAGGGCUCGUAUUGACUAAAGGUGACCAUUAUUUUCAUAUUCGUAAUAGUGUGAAAAGAAGGCCCGGCUCCAAGUUGUUCAAGAAUAGUGGUGUUGAGUUUCUCAACCCUUUGACUUAGGAUUAGUCAGUUCUAUUUCUCGAUGAGAAGGUAGUCUAGGACUACCCUAAGCCUAGAAAAGAAGUAGGCAGGACUUUCAGUUACAAUGUCUAGGUUGGAAAAGCCACCUUUUGCCUUUCUAAAGCCAAUCGAUUAUCGGAUUUCACCAAGCCAACCAUGUGUUUUGCCCAAGGGCGAUGAUAGCAUUGCUAGGCCCAAUGUCGUCUGACCAUGAGUGCAGUCGAAGGGCGAUGAUAACAUGUCAUGCUUGAUGUCGUCCUACUGUGUGUGCUUUCCAAGGGCGAUGAUGGAAUUCGACGCCCGACAUCAUCCGUACCUGUGUAUGCUGCCCAAGGGCGAUGAUGGCCUACCACGCCCUACGUCAUCCUUUGAUUGUGUAUUGAAUAUAGAUCCAUGUCUUUCUUGUUCCAUUAGCUAAGACCAAAUUCUCACAUGUCCCAUUCGUCAUUCCAACCUUCUUUUUUUCAUAUUUCCUGUAGAAAGCAUAUGUUCUUUGAUCGCUAAGAUAUUUCGUAAAACUCUGUAUGGAUCCUCAAUCACCAAUCCUUGCAUGAAUAUGGGUUGUGCUCGAGAGGCUAUGAAUCGAUUGGACCUGCCAAUCGAAUGAAUCGUAAUACUCGUAAUGAUCGACUUUACAAAGAUUCCAUUGGAUUCCGGAAGCUCGUAGCAUUGGUCCAGCACAAUUCCCAAACUUAAGAAGCUGGGGGCGUGCCCGCCGGCCCCUGACCUGCCUCUGAUUACUGAAAGUGAAUUCGUUUUCAAUUAUCCCAAGCCGGCCUAUCAUUCAUUGGUUAUGGUUAGGGAAAAAAGCUAGCUGGAAGUGAUCUCUUCUUCUCAGUGAAAGCUAAAGGCCCUGGUAUAGUAGAAGUGUGGUGUGUGCUAUCUUUAUUCUGUAGAUGGUAGUGUUGAUGUUUUCAUUUAUUUCUACAAUCUAAAGUGUGAUAAACAAUCUCUAAAAACUAAGUUUAUGCAUUUAAUAGAUAUCUUGUUUUAAGCUCAAAAUAGUUUAAUAUGCAAUAUAAAUAAAAAGUUUUACAUAAUGUCCCCUUUUUUUAGAAGAAAAUGAAGAGAUCCUAGUGGUCUAGAUUAAUUCUAUUACAUAAGUCACAUCAUAAAAAUUAGUCUAUUUUUUUUUAUCAAAUACUAUCUUCAUCUCAUUUUAUGUGGUAACAUUUGAUCGGACACAUAAAUUAAAUAAUAAUGAAGACUUUAAUAUGUUAAUCAAAUUGCCCUACAAACAAGUAAACUGACCAUUUUCUUCUUAUAAAUAUAUUAGAGCACUAUUUUUCAGGCAAAACAAAGGCUCUUAACAUUUCUUCGCUGAAGAAUAAUCAAAAUUUAAGCUUUGUUAUAUUGAAUUUUACUUAAUUUUAUUUAUUGGAUAUAUUGUGUCCCCUUUUUUAUAAGAAAAUGAAGAGACCCUAGUGAUCUAGAUUAAUUAUAUUACACAAGUCAUAUCAUAAAAAUUAGUCUAUUAUUUUUUAUCAAAUACUCUCUUCAUCUUAUUUUAUGUGGUAACAUUUGAUCGGACACAGAGAUUAAAUAAUAAUGAAGACUUUAAUAUGUUAAUCAAAUUGUCCUACAAACAAGUAAACUGACCUUUUUCUUUUUAUAAAUAUACUAGAGUACUAUUUUUCAGGCAAAAAAAAGGUCUGACAUUUCUGAAGACUCCGUUGAAGAAUAAUCAAAAUUUAAAAUUUGUUAUAUUGAAUUUUACUUGAUUUUAUUUAUUGGAUAUAUUGUGUUUAAUGACCUAACAAUUUCCCCUUCUUUUAGAAGAAAAUGAAGAGACCUUAGUGGUGUAGAUUAAUUAUAUUACACAAGUCACAUUAUAAAAAUUAGUCUAUUUUUUUUAUCAAAUACUCUCUUCGUCUCAUUUUAUGUGGUAACAUUUGAUCGGACACAAAUAUUAAAUAAUAAUAAAGACUUUAAUAUGUUAAUCAAAUUGCCCUACAAACAAUUAAACUGACCUUUUUCUUCUUAUAAAUAUAUUAGAGUACUAUUUCUCAAGCAAAAAAAAAAGCUCUAACAUUUCUGAAGAUUCCGCUGAAGAAUAAUUAUAAUUUAAGCUUUGUUAUAUUGAACUUAAUUGAUUUCAUUUAUUGAAUAUAUUGUGUUUGAUGACCUACUAACUUUAGUAGGAAAAAUCAUUUCGAAUGAUCGUGAAAAGAGGUCUGACAUUUUUGGCGAGUUCGCUGGGGAAUAACCAAAAUUUGAGUUUUAUUAUAUUGAAUUUUAAUUGAUUUUCAUUUAUUGGAUAUAUUGUGUUUGAUGGCCUAAUGUAAUAUUUGGUACUCAUUUAUUGUCUUUAUAAUAUAUAGGUCCAUUAUAAGGAUUAAUUAGUUAAUCAAUUAGGUGAAAGUCGUUUAAAUCUUAAAAAUUGAAUAAAAGUAACCUAUAAUAUUUAUGAGGUUAAACAUUGUUUUCUCAAUAGUUAUAAAUAUUUUACUUUUACACAUUAGUUCAAGAACUAUAAUAGUUGUGGGAUUAUCUUAUUUAGUCGUUCGACAACUUUCGUAAUUGUUCAAACAAAUUCACUAAUUGUCCAGACAAUUAAGAUAACGUUAUUAGUUGAGUUUUUUUAAAUUAAUAUUAAAGAUGAAAAAAGUAAAAAAAAAAUAAUGUAGUUCACUUGUACCUUUUUUAAAUAAUUAGAAUAUAAUACACUUUACUUUAUUUUCCCUUCUAAAUGAUUGAUACAUAGGCUAAUUAUUGCUAAUCCAAAUUUGAAAUUGCUAAAAAGUAUAGGACACAUUAAUAAUGUUACAUACUUUUAUAUUUGUUGCUUCGGGUGGAAUGAUAUUGUUUUGAUGGUAAUAACUCAUCUAAUGACUUGCCAAGUUUUAUUUUAUAAGAAUUGACAAAUUCAAAUCUAGAACAAAUUACCAAGUAUAUAAUUAGGACAACUUUCACAUAUAGCAAAUAAAAAAUUCAUAUUUGUACGCUAUAGCAAAGUUUGCAUAAUUGUGGUCCAUAACAAACAUAGAAACUGUAUAAUUCCCUAUACAUAUACAGUUGCAGCAAAUAGUAUAAAACGAAGUGUAUAAAACAAGAUAGAGAAAGACAUUUGGGCAGAGAACUAUGUAAAAACGAAGUGUAUAAAAUGAAUUGUAUUAAGUGUACAGAACGAUUAUAUACAAUUUGAAUUUGUAUAAAAUGAGAAAGAGAAGACAAAAGAGACUUGACAAGGAAUAUACAAUUGAAUCGAAUUGUAUAAAACGAGAAAGAGAGAAAUUAGAUACAAUUUGAAAAUUGUAAAACGAGAAAGAGAGAAAGGCAAAAGAAAUUGGGCAGGGGAGUAUUUUUAUUCUAUAAUUAUUAGUGUAUAAGACGAAAAUACAUGUACUUGCAAGCGUAUAUACAAUUUUCUCUACUUGCAAGUGUAUAUACAAUUUUGUCACGCGUUAUACAAACAAAAACGCAAUUUAUACAUUUCACUUAUGUUUGUAUAAGUGAGAAAGGCAAGGGUGACGAGCGAGAUUUGGGAGAGUGGCGAGCGAGAUCUGGAAGAGGGGAGAGAGCGGAACAAAAAUAUAUGUAUUUAUAUACAAUUUUAUCUACUUUAUACAAUUAGAAAUAAUUUUUUAUACACUUGUAUUUGUAAAAAAAGUGAGGAAGCGAGCGAGAGAUUGGAGGAGUGUGGCGAGCGAGAUAUUUGGGAGAAAGGCGCCUGACAAUUUUUUUUUGCAAACGUUUGCAAUGAAGCACAAUUAAAUCAAACCCUAGCUACUCCAUUUAUUUUAGGUUAUUAGUUUGCUAUUAUGUACAAUUUUCUCAUAUAAUUAUUACAUACUAAUCAAUGAAAAUGGAAAUAUCCCCAAUGUAACUUACCAUAAAGUCAAAGACUCAAAUAGAUGAUAAAUCUUGUAGAAUUCUUGCAUUUUUGCUUUUGUUUCUACACUUAUUGAUCCCUUUUUACACUCUCAUAUUAAGUCGAUGAAGUGAAAUCAUGACAAGUAAAAUGUAAAUAUAUACGAGGACAUAAGAGAUACUAUUACCUCCAUCAACAAAUGAUCCAUGUGUAAUAUUUUUAAUUUUUGAUAAUACGCGCAAACAAUAAAUUUGUUACCUCUUUCAUAUGACACAAUAUUUUAGUAUCAAUUGAAAUAUUAUGAUAAUGUUCAAUACACAUCGUGAUAGUAUUUGUGGUAAAAGGACCAACACCAUUUAUCUUCAAGUUAGAGUAGUAACCUUAACAACACCAUCUAACUUAAUUUUUUCAUUAACAACUUGUUUAAUCAACUCAAUCAAAUCCUCUACUCUAUAUCCAAAUUUUCCUUUGCCUUUAUGCUCUCUCUCUCUCUCUCUAAAACUUGCUAAUUCUCUCGGGCUCAGAAAGUCUCCAAUAUUUUCAGAUCCAAAGAUGUCUUCCACCUGAUUCAUUUAAUCUAUAUAUCUUAGUUCAUUUCAAAGUUAAAGUUAUAUGAAUUACUUGUAUAUAAUAUAUGAUUAACUUACUGGCGAAAACGAAAAAGAGACUUUAACACAUCUUCAAAUAAGGUUGGUAAUAAAAAAAAAUUGAUCAAAUCCUUUGGCCUCUGUUUGUGGAUGAAACAUAUGAGAAAUAUAUGAUAUCUUGUUCAUUUUUAUUAGAAAAUUUCAACAUAAUCUUCACUUGAAAUUGUACAUACAUAAAAAAUAAGUCAUCGGGUUCUUUUUUUUUUGGGUGAAGAAAUGAAAACAGAACAACACCUGAAUUAUUCUCUCAUCUUUAGAGGAAUUGAUAGUUGGACCAUAAAUUGUCAUGAUAAAAAUGAUCCUCUCCUAGAGGCUAUGAAAUAAAAGCGACAACUGAUAUGAUGGAAUCAUCUAAUCGUAGAAGACGAGAAAAUGUUUUAGUAGAUGGAUCCCACUCGUCGGAUCCAUCAUGAAAAAUCUGUGGUUGCACAAGAUUUUUCAAGUUAAACCUCGGAAACUUAUCCAAGAUGAUAGUGAAUUUUCAAGAUGGUAGUGUUGAUGUUUUCAUUUAUUUCUACAAUUAGAAGUGUGACCAACAAUCUCUAAAAAUUAAGUUUUUGCAUUUGAUAGAUUUCUUGUUUUAAGCUCAAAAUAGUUUCGUAUACAAUAUAAAUAAAAAGUUUGAAAUUGUCAUUUUUUUUUUGUAGACAAAAAAUAAAGAGACCCUAGUGGUCAAGAUUUACUAUUAUGCAAGUCACAUCAUAAAAAAUAGUCUAUUUUCUUACCAAGUACUUUCUUCGUCCCAUUUUAUGUGGCAACAUCUGACCAGACACAGAAUUUAAAAAUUAAUGAAGACUUUGAAAUGUUUACCAACUUGUCUUUCAAAAUAGUUAACUCACUUUUCUCUCUUCUUAUAAAUGUACUAAGUUGUUAUUUUUAAAAUAAAGUGGAAUCAAAAUAGAUAAAAAAAAGAUUGAUAUCUUUAAAUACUUAUUGUAUAAAUGAAACGUGACUUUUUUGAAACGAAAAAAAGGAAAUGGUGCAACAUAUAAUGGGACGAAGGAGCAUUUUUGACAAGUUAUUUUUGGGUAAAGUUUCACCAUAUUUUUAACCAUAGAUUUUGAAAAAAGUAUUUAACUUUUUUUAAAAAAAUAAUAAUUUAUACCUAUUAUUUCUAAAAACUAUUAAAAUGAACACAUUCCGUUUAAAAGGAACGAGAGCAGAGAAAUGUUAAAAUAUUAGAAUUUUAAAAAAAAUCAUUCGAGUAAUAAUUUGUAUAUACCCCAAAGAUGGUGAAAUAGUGAGUCUAAAACUUUUCACCAAUAUACAUGCCUAUAACGUUUUGAUUUAGAUACACAUUAUAAAUGCUUAAGAAAUAAAAAAAAUAGUUUCAUCCACAAGAAAAUAAUUUCAGUCCACAAAAUGAUUAACUUCAAUGUAAUUUCAAUUCCUUAAACACUUUUUCGAAACCUGAUCAAAGACAUCAAAAUAAGAAUAUAAAUGAAUAAUCAUUAGUUAAGUUAAUAGUUGAGCAAAAUAACUUUUAUUAUCAAGAAAGAGUAAGGACAUGGGAAAAACUAUAAAAAUUUACAUAAAUUAUUCAUCCAGACAACUCACAGAGCAAUGAUUGCGUUCGAAAGUAGAGAGAGAGACCUAGAUAAAAUUGAUGAGGAGUUAUACCGAUGGUUGAGCCAAAAUGACAUUCUAUAUCUCUUAAUUUGACGAUGAAAUGAAUUCUGAUCUGGACAAAUGAAAGGAUCAUUCAACAGCAUGACGUUUCCACCAUCUUAUCUGAAUUUUAAAAUCGAACGACAUGUUUUUUUGGAGAAGGUACUUUUCCAUCGCUUUUUCCUUCACCAUCACCUCAAUAGUCGAUCCAUCUGGUAAUGUAUGUGUAUGUGAUUAUGUGGCACUCUUAUUGAUAUCCUUAAAAUUAACAAUUGCACUUCAAAUUUCCAUCUCUAACUGAGAUUGUAUACUGAAGACACAAUGCUUUUCUUGAUUUUCGAUCUUCCAUUUCACGAGAAUGACACAUUUCACUUACUAAUUUGGGACUUGUGUCUGAAGGUCUACAUAUUCAUAGCGCAAGGGGAAGCGAAUUAGUCAAGAAACUAAAUUAAACAAUUAAUUAGGGCAUCUAUAAAUUUGGCAGUAAACUUAAGAAGAUAAAAUAGUAAUACAAAAUACUAAUGAAAAUAAUAUUAUAUACCAUGAAGAAUUCUACUGACAAACUUAUCUUAAAUUUACUUAUCCUAGUACAUAUUACAAGUCAUGUAAUUUUGUUGAAAAGGAAUUCAUGAAAGGUGAACAAAAGAAAUAAUAAAAAAACUUACUUUUCAGUGAUUAGUUUCGACAUCCAAUUGUAGCAAGUUGACAAUUGCCCUCGUUAAUAGCCUUUGGUGUAUCUUUCCGGAGUACAGAAUUGUAGCAAGUUCAAUUUUCCACCAUGUAAAUUAGGCUUAAAAAGUCUAAGGUGACAGUACAUUGUGGAUUACUAAUAUAGUCAAUCUUCCAAAGUAACAUUGUUUUUUACCAUGCGGAUAUUUCAUGUGAUAUCAACUUAAAUCAUAGAAAUAAAACUCCCCACACCUAAGUAUGUGUAUUAUAUAUUUAAGCACGAAAUACUUUGGAAGAAGUACUGACGUACUUAAACUAAUGUUUCGUCAAUACAAUGAGCACAAGGCAAGGAAGUUGAUAAACAAAACUUCUUUAAGUGGUUCAGUAAAAAUGAUAAAAGGGAUGAAAUUGUGAGAUGAUCAAGCAAAAAUCAUGGUCCAAUCCUCUUGUUAAAAUUAAGCAAAUAUUGUAUAAACAUUCUAACGAUGCGUAAGAGUAUAUCUUUAAAUAUAUUAAGUAUGGUAAUAUAUAUAUUUAGAUAUUACAUGUAUUUUAUUUGUUUUUGCUUAACUUCUUGUGUACAAAUAUGGUUCUAGUCUCUUUUACUCACAAUGAACAAAAUUAUUAAUUUUCUAGGUUUUCUUGUGUUCUUCUCCGUCUCAUUUUCUAACAUGGUAUCAGAGCCGGUCAGGGAUGAAGUUAUGUACAAAAAAUUGAACACUGAAACCGUGGUCAUUUGACUAAACUCGAUAUAUUACUUUAUAAUUAUUAAAAAAUGUUAUUAAAUUAAAACUUGUAAAAUACGUUCUUAAAAUGGUUGGAUGGUUCAUUGGUACAACUUGAAAGAAAAUAAAAAUAUAUAUCACUUUAAUUUUGGAGUUCGCGAAGAAUAUAUGCGACCCACAUGGUCUCAGCAGCAAGAAGAGCAAGGGCGCGGUAUUCAGCUUCAGUCGAAGACCGAGAGACCUUGGGUUGUUUUUUUGUACACCAGGAGAUCAGGUUCGGUCCCAAAAAAAUGAGAAACCCCGAUGUAGAUUUUCUAUCAUUUUUAUCAUUCGCCCAAUCUGAAUCUGAUAAACCCCAAAGCUCCAAGUCCCCGGGUCGAAUUAGUAAACCACGACCAAGAGUGCCAAAAAUGUACCUGAGAAUGCAUUUUAGACAAUGGUAAUCAUGUUCACUUGGUUGAUGCAUGCGCUGAGCAACUCGGUUGACAGGAAUGAGGCUGCGAAAGUGGGUGAUAUCGGCAAAGGGGGUGUCGGCUCCAUUCGUAAACGAAGAGACUGCCAUCGGUGUUGGUUGACUGGUGCAUUUUUCCAGUCCAGCUUUCUGCAACAGAUCUCGAGCAUAUUUUGACUGACGAAGAAACAAGCCGCUGCCUGUCCGAGAAACCUCCAUUCCCAGAAAAUAAUGUAAUGGGCCAAGGUCCUUCAUUUUGAAGGUAGUAUGCAUAGCUCGAGUGACAUCCUGAAUGAGAGCUGCAGUAGAGCCUGUAAUAAUGAUAUUAUCUACAUAGACAAGAAGAAUGACUGUACCGUGUGCUGAAUGUCGAGUAAACAGACUCGUGUCGUGUACGCAACACGUGAAGCCGACUCCCUGGAGGAACGUUUUCAGACGUGUGUACCAAGCACGGGGGGCUUACUUGAGCCCAUACAGAGACUUCUGGAGUUUACAAACAUGUUGAGGGAAGCGGGGAUCAACAUAGCCCGGUGGUUGCGUCAUGUAGAUAGUUUCAUCAAGCAUGACAUGAAGAAAAGCAUUGCAAACAUCCAACUGAUUGAUGAGCCAAUUGUUGCGCACGGCGAGUGACAGUACCAGGCGAAUGGUUCCCUGCCGAAUAACUGGACUGAAUGUCUCGGAGUAAUCAAGCCCAUACUCCUGAUUGUAGCCUUUAGCAACCAAACGAGCCUUGUACCUGGAAAUACUGCCAUCUGCAUUGUGUUUAAUUUUGUACACCCAUUUACAGCCCACUGGGUGCCGCCCAUGGGGCUUAGGUAUAAGGACCCAAGUUUUUUUAUUAGUCAACGCCUUAAACUCGUCAUCCAUAGCAUGACGCCAAUAAGCAUUUUUUUAGGCAACAGAGUAGGUUGUUGGUUCACUAUCGGGAAGGGGUGUAUUUGGUAGUAUGGUAGCCUGAAAGGUUUUGGGUUUAAAGAUACCGACUUUGCCACGCGUUAACAUGGGAUGAGUAUUGGGGGGUGGCACGGGCGGUGGUGAUUCGGGGGUGGCCGGGAAGGACCCAAAACGGAUCGGGCUGGAGAUGUUGUGGGUAUGGGGUGGUUCGGGUUGGUUGUGAGUGUUGGUGGUUGCGGGUGUAUUGUGGGUGACGGUCGAAGGGGCGAUGAGGGGUGGUUGGGUAGUGGGUGGAGGUGUGGGGGAAGGUGGUGAGGGACCCUGUAAGUAUGUUGGAAAAAGGGGAAGGACGCCAAUGAAUGAUGUAUUUGUGGAGGAGGAAAUAGACUCGUAGGGAAACUCAUUUUUGACAAAUUUGACAUGACGAGAUAUGUAGACUUUAUGAGUUUGUGGGUCAAGACAGCGAUAACCCUUGGAGGUAGGAUGAUAGCCCAAAAAAAUACAAGGACGGGAUCGGGGUUGUAAUUUAUGAGUAAUAUGAGGGCGUAGCCAAGGGUAGGCAAGACACCCAAAGACGCGGAGGUUGUUAUAAUUGGAAAGUUUUUGGUAAAGGAGUUGAUAGGGUGAUUUGUUGGAGAGAGUGUGACUGGGCAUUCUGUUAAUGAGGUAGUUUGCGGUGGCUAGAGCUUCUACCCAAAAGGAUACAGGGAGAUGAGAUUGAUGUAGAAGAGUAACCACCGUUUCAAUGAGAUGGCGAUGCUUACGCUCAGCCACCCCAUUCUGUUCGGGAGUGUAUGGACAGGAGGUUUGAUGUAUAAUUCCCAGGGAUUGCAGAAACUGGCCAAAGAUGUUAUUGACAUAUUCCUUUCCAUUGUCACUUCGAAAAAGUUUAACAUGAGAAUUGAAUUGUGUUUUGACCAUUUUUUCAAAAGUGACAAAGGUGGUGUAUGCCUGUGAUUUGUGUUUUAGUGGGUACAACCAAGUGUAUUUUGUAAAAUCAUCCACAAAACAAAUAAAUAGCGAAAACCAGCAAAUGAAGGAACAGCAGUAGGACCCCAUAGGUCAGAAUGAAUAAGUUGAAAAGGUGCAGUUGUACGCUUCUCAGAUAAAGUAAAAGGUAAUUUAUGAGAUUUAGCAAUUGAACAGGAGUCACAAUUGUUUACAUGAAUGGAAGAAAAACCUAAUUGAGACAUUAAAGAAUUUAUUAUUUGAGUAGACGGGUGACCCAGACGACUGUGCCACAACAGACUGUGGCCAUCAGUCGAAAGAGCCACCGGAGCCACAGGAACGCUUUCUGAAACUGGGUGGGCAGACGAACUUGUGCCAGGAAGAACGUACAGACCAUGCUCACAGAGGCCCUAAAAAAUCACCCUCUUGGUAGUAUUGUCUAGGAUUUGAAAAUCAUUAGAGGUGAACAAGAGUGAACAAUUAUUGUCUUUUGUGAAUUGGUGAACUGAAAGGAGAUUGGUUUUAAUAGAAGGGACGUGGAUAAGGUUACCUAGGUGAAAGAUAACGGUGGGGGUUUUAAUGGUACCCGUGCCAGUGUGAGAAAUAUUAAGGAACUCAACGUAGCCAACAGUAAUACCAUUGGAGCCAUGAUAUGGAUUUGGAGCGUUAAGCUUGGAUAGAUCAGAAGUAACGUGCAUGUUGGCCCCAGUACCCAACAGCCAUUCAGAGGAAGGGCCGGCUUGAGAUGCAUAAUUGGCACGGUUAUCACUAUUUCGGCUCUCCUCAUACCGAAACCAGCAACAAACAGCGGUGUGUCCUGUUUUCUGACAGAUUUGACAAGUUGGACGAUCCCGCUCGUAAGUGCCCUGCCCGCCGCUGGAAGAUGACUGUCCGCCGCUACCGAAGGAGUGCAGGCUAUUGUUGCUGCCGUGCUGCUGACCGUCGUACGGCGGACGACUGCCCUGCCGACCGCCGCGCCCGCGGUCUCCGCUGUUUCUGCCGUAGCCGUCGCGGCUCCCCUGCUGGCCGCCACCACGCCCCCCGCGAUAGUUCUGGCUUGCGGUGAGGGCAGUGGCCGGCUCCAUAACAGCGACUUCUCGGAGAAGAAGUUUGCUCUCCAGAUCCACAUUGAUUUCUUCACUUUUUAGCCACGAGGAGAGAGUAGCCAGGUCAACGGGCGUUGGACUGAUGCGAACCGCCUGUUUAAUGGAGGAGUAAGCUGAUGGGAGCCCCGGAACGACGCAUGUGACGAGAUCUUUUUCGGGAAUAAUUUCGUUCACGGUGUCGAGGGCUGUGAUGAUGGUGGAGACCUCUUCUAAAUACUCCGCCAUAGUUUUUGUGCCUUUGGUAAUUGUGUGGAGAUGAUCACGCAAUUGAAAAAUAUGAGAGUGGAAAAUUGAUGCAUAGCAUGUUGCGAGGUCCGUGCACAGGGCUGAAGCAGUUGUGUAGGAUCGGACGUGUUUCUGGACCGUGGGAGAGAUGACCGCAAUCAAACAUGAUCGGAUCUGGCCAUCCACGGCUUUCCAGGCGGCAUGGGCCGGAUUGGUUUUUUCUGAUUUGUCCGUGGCGGUGAUGACUGCCGGCAGCGGUUCUGUGCUUCCAUCGACGUAUUUGAGAAGGUAAUUGGCCUCAAGGGCUGUAUGAAUGGUGAUUUUCCAUGUAGGGUAAUUUAUGUCUGAUAAUUUUUCGGGAAUCAGGGCAUGAAGAUGCUUGAUAAGGAGUUUAACGCUAGAAGGAAGUGAAUCGAGAGGAUCCACCUCAGUUGUCAUGGUUGCCGCCGCCCAAGAGAAGAGAGGGAACGAUCGGUGCCCUAAAGAGAGAAAAAAACCUAGAGAAAAGAAGAUCUAGGUUUCCUGACUCUUGAUACCAUGAAGGAAUAUUGAUUGUAUUGAAGUGUUGAACUAAUAAGGGAAUACAUGGGAGAUAUAUAUAGGAGAUAUAGGAAUGAGUACUAAUCCUAAUAGGACUAGGAUUAAGGAUUACUAAUCCUAAUAGGACUAGGAUUAGUACACAGUAAAUACUAAUAUUAUUUAAUACUAUUUAUUUAAUACUAUCUGUUAUUAAUUAUUGUAGAUUUGCAUCAAGGUUAGCUUAGUGGUGUAAAGCUUACCCUUGUUUCUUGAAAAGUUUGAAUGAUGUCUAUAUCUCUUCGGUUUCUAUAUCCAUGAUAUUGGUUCAUGUCCCGUGCUAUCAUAAUUUUCUUGCCUAGUUGCAUCAAACUAAGUUGUCUAGCGUUUCUGACUGUAAUCGAUUUUUUUUGUCGACCACUAAUUAUUUAAGCUCGUUUGUAUUUCGAAAAAUAAAAUCCAAAUCUAGGUCAUGUUGAAAUAUUUUUUAGAACGUCUCGAAUUCUUAUCUCCUGCUAGUGUGUUAUGGUGUGCAUUUCUUAAGAGCUAAAUAAAUGUUAAGUCGAUUUUGACAUCAACAUUAGUGGCUGUCCAGUUUCCUUGUAGAUUUCGAUAAGAUAUCUUCAUUAUUUUAGCUCAAAAGUUCCCUAGAGAAUCUGUGUUUUGACUCCUAGUCCCUUUGAACCUAAGUUUUUAUUGAUUAAUGGUUGUUUGUUGUAUGAUUACUACUGUCUAUUGGCAUUUAGUCAAAAUAACACUCUGUAAAUUGAUUGCUCAAUGUUAAUAACACAUAUGCAUACAUUUCUUUAAAUGGUGAACAAGAAAUAUCAAUCUAAGCAGUUUGGUGUACAAAACAUCCCAAGUUAGCACGGUUUGGAGAAGUUCUACACUACAAAGGGAGCGAGGUGGACAACCUAAUCAAAUGCAAGUAUUAGUGGUUUCUUUCACGGCUUGAACAAGCGGAUCUAAGAUUUUGAGAUUUUGGGCGCCACACUAUUUUUAGAUUUGAUUUAUUUUGAGCUUUGGUUCGGAUAAUCUUUCUUUUUUAUUUAUAUAGACAAGUCGAUCUAACAAAAUAAUUUGAUAAUUGUGAUACUUUUGAACAAAGCAUAAAAGUUCAAUUAUAUUACUAAUAUCAAUAAAAAUAUUUUAUGUAUUUAUAACUGGCCUUGACAAAUUUAAAUAUUUUGGAGUUAUCAACUCAAGGAUGGACAUCUAGAACUAAAAGUCACUAUAAAUGCAUAUUUAGAGCUCAAAGCAAAAACUUAAUAAUCUUUAUGAACUUAAAAGAGAAACUAAGGGGUUUACCUUCUACUUCGAACUCGUCGCAUAGGCUUGUCUAGUGUGGGUUACCUAUCUUAUGUGGUUUGCGAGCUAUUGUAUAGAAGCGGGGAUUUUAUCGUAUGCGCACUCAUAUGGUAGUGAUUGCGGGUUUCUAUUGUCAUAUAAAAAAGAAGAGAAAAUAACCAAAUGACCCCCAUCUAUUACGAAAUUCCAAAUUGCACACCUAUCCUCCGCGGGAGUCGUAUACCCGCCUAAUCUACUUUAAAAUGGAAUAAUAACCCCUUAAGUGUUGAGUUGGCAUAGAGUGUAUUUCACUCUCUUUAAAUGAGUGAGUUGCCUAUUUAUAUUUAAAUUUCCAGUUUUAUUAAUUUUCUUUUCUCUCUCUCUUUCUUCUUGUUUAUCUAUACAACAUUUUUUACCAUUAUCAUUGUUGAAGUUUUUUAAAUGGAUGUUUGGAAUAAAAAUUAUCAACAACAAAUGCAUUUAAUGAAUAAAUAAUUUUUCAAUUAACUUAUUUAGAACAUAUCUAAUAAAUUAAAUUAAUUUUUUUUUAAAAAUACCCAUUGAUUAUUUUUUUUUAAAAGUGAUGGAUUCAAGAGUAAUAAAAAUCAAAGUGAAGUGUAUAUUUAAAAAAUAUUUUCAAACUUAAUAAAAGAAACUAAAACAAACCAAUUUCUUCUACAUUUUAAAAGAAUAAUCAAAAUAAAAAAUUUAAAUUAUAAAUUAAUCAUGAUAAUUUUAGAGGGAGAAAUAAUAAAGAACGGCGAAAAGAGAGAGAUUUUACUCAAAUUGGUCUUCUCAUCUGCGAUUAUUUUUGAGUUGUCGGCGGAAUAUUCAAGGGAUGAACCAGAACUCGAAUGUUCAUGACCCACUUAAUGUGUAUUUGAAAGUGUCUAAGGAGUAAAAUCGAACGAAAUGUAAAUAUAUGUGAAAAAUUGUUGAACUAGUUGGAUGAAUUGUCCACAUUUUUACAACAUAUGUUGAAUUUGCGUAUAAUAGCAUCUACCAUUUCAACAUCUAUAUGGCCCCAUUUGAGGCCUUAUAUAAUAGGCAUUGUCGCUCUCUAAUUGGUUGGUUUGAGUCUACAAAGCCUAAACCAUGUGACACACAAACUUGAUUUAGUAGGCUUUGGAGCAGGUAAAAGUGAUUCAAGAUAGACUUUGACCAGCUCAGAAUAGGCACAUGAGUUAUGAUUGUAAGUGACGGCCUUUGAGGCUACCUCAAUAACCGAACAAUAGGCCCAUAAUCAGAAGGCUAGGAAUCAUUCUUUAUUUAGCAUUAACAUAUUAAAAUGGGCAACUUUUCACAUAUAGCAAACAAAAAAUUCAUAUUUGUAUGCUAUAGCAAACUUUGCAUAAUUGCGCUCCAUAACAAGCAUAAAACUGUAUAAUUUGCUAUACAUAUACAUUUGUAUAAUUCGCUGGCCUAAAUUGUAUAAUUCGCUGGCUUAUUUCGCUGCAAUUGUAUAAUUUGUUUUGCAUACAAUUGAAUCGAAUUAAAAUGUAUGUAUAUUGCAUAAUUAUAAGUGUAUAGCAAGAAGAUAUAUGAUUUUCUCGCUUUAUACAAAAACAGAAACACAAUAUAUACACUUCUGUUGUAUAAAGCUAGAGAAAAUUAUAUUUCACUGCAAUUGUAUAAUUCGUUGGCCUUUUUUUUUCUGCAAUAUUUGAAGUAAAAUGUUUGUAAAUUGUAUAAUUAAGUGUAUAACACGAAGAUAUACAUUUUUGCAUGUGUAUAUACAAUUUUCUCUCGCUUUAUACAAAACAGAAACAGAAUUAUACACUUCUGUGUAUAAAGCGAGAGAGGCGAGCGAGAAUGGAGAGUGGCGAGCGAGAUUUUUGGGAGAGAAACGCUAGCAAAUUUUAGCUAAUAUUUGCUAUGGAGCACAAUUAAAUCAAACCCUAGAUAUUCCGUUUAAUCUAGAUUAUUAAUUUGCUAUUAUAUACAAUUUUCCAUAUUAAAAUCUUAACACCAAUUAAUGACUACAAUUCAAAUAACUUCCAAUUUCUAUAAUUAUAUAAUUGUAAUUAACUAAACUUCACUCUAACUCUUGGCACAUACACAUCAGAUGAAGCUUCUCUUUCUUUUUUUUCUUUCCAUUUGUUCAUGUAGUCUCAAAUGCAUUUCUUUCUUUUUCUUUGUCAAUUCCAAGUAAUACUUUUGGUGUUGAUUUGCCAACAUUAUCAAAUGGUUAUUAUUUUGAAGUAAGGUUAUUUAUUUAUAUACUUUACUUUGCAGGAAGGAUUAACUAAGGCAACACUGAUUUUUACCUUUAUCGACAUUGCUUAUUUUGGCCGUUUAACUAAACAAAAGAAAAUUUCUUUGUUUCACAUUAUUAACACAUUAAAAUUUAAUUUUUGAUAAUGUGAUUUGAAUUUUGACUUGUUCAUUAGCCCUCAUUCUCAUACCUUCAGAUGUCUAGUCAUGGAUUAUUCGAUAUUUUUUUUCGAUAACUCAAAUUUAUAAUUUUAAAAUAAAAAUAGAAAAAUAUUUACCAUCCAAAUCAACUCCUCCCCUCUUUAUUGAUAAGGCCCAACCAUUUGAGUUGUUACAUUUUUUUUUAAUGAUCUUUCCACAAAAAAUCAUUUUCAAGCUACCCACGUGACAAAAUAAUUCAAAUUCCCAGCCAAUAUUAGUUGAACGCCAAGUCAAAAACACUAUUUGACCAAAAUAUUAAUCAGAAUUUGACAAAGUUUGGAUGUGGGUCACACAACAAUUUGUUGGACGAGUUUUCAAACCACGGUACACCUCCAUGUUAGUUCGUUUGAUUUGAUUCGAAAUAAGAAAAGUUAAAAAAUAAAGUUUACAUAUUUAAAAAUUAUAUAAAAAUAUACUAUAAAAAUAACGAUAGCUAUAUAGUUAAAAUAUUUUAAAAAAAUAUUAUUUAACCAUUCAAAUAGAGACAAACAAAUCCAAAUAAAAAAAUAUUUUAUUUUUAUAUAACGAUUUAAAAUUAGUGGUCGCUCAAAUUUGUAAUAAUAUAUACAGUAUAUUAGUUGUGGAAGAUCAUUACCAUUAAAUGCUUCCACCUUGAGUCUUGUAACACAUGUAAUGACAGAAAAUUAAGGAUAUAAAAUUGGAUGAAAACAUCAUAUAAUUACAAAUUCCAGUUGACUUCUCAUACUUCUCAAGUUGGCAAAUCAUUCAAACCGUGUUGAAGAAAGUUUUAUUGACUUCUCUUCUUCUUUAUAAAAAAAUUGUAAAAUCAUGCUUGUUUGCUUCAGCAUAUAUAUCUAAACUUUUUUUUCUUACCCACAAAGAGAGACAAUAACAAGCUCAAACAACGAGAAUCUUUAUAGUAUUGACUAUUGAGAAGUUUUUUUUUAAUCUUUUCAUAUCUUUUACAUUGUCAACGUAUAUAAUAAAAAGGUGUGGGAGUUGUGAAAAAAAGAUGAAGAGCGUUAUGAAGGUUGUGAUUGUGCUUUCUAUCAUCGUGUGCAUACUCCUGACACCUACCGUUGCGAAGGGGGGUAGUAGUGGCCGAAGUGGUGGAAGUAGACGAUCUGGUGGUAGUGGAACCAAGUCUAGAGGUGGGUCUGGUAGCAGUGGAACUGCAACCACCACAUGGAUCCCAUCAGCUCGUGCUCGCCCGACGACGGUCGGCAGCAACAGCAAUAGACACAGCAAUAGCUCAUCAUCCACCUCCUUUGGCUGGUCUUCCAUGGCGAUGACUUUGUUUGCUUACUUUACUUUUGUUUAUUUUUGAACUAUUUUUUAUUUUGGUCUGCCACAUAUUUGAGCUCCAUUUACCCAUUUUGAGUGAUACUCUUAUUAGUAUAUUUUUUCAUAUUAAGAGUGUAAAUUCGAUAUCUUUGGUUAAUGAUGGAGCAAUUUCACUACUGUAUAUUCUUUCAACAAGUUCAUAUAAUCAGCGUAAAUAUAAUUUAUUUUUUGUGUAAUUGAUGUGGAUCUAUAUUGUCAUGACUUUGUAAUGACCCAAUGGGUCAUUUUUGGAAAUUUUUAUAAAACUAUCAUUUUGUCCCUCUUCGUAUUGACCCCAAGUUUUUUUGUUUGAGUUUUGAAAGUUGGUUCAAACUUUGCACAAAUGUAUAGCAGUAUUUUGACAUAUAUAAAUUUACAAUUCGCUUCUCUCUCACUCUCUUGCUUGCCUUUCUCCUUCCUCUCCCAAUCUCGCUCGUCAAUCUCUUCCCUAUAACGUGUAGCUACGAAUUGUGAUCAACAAACUAUAUCUAUAAGACGUAAUUAAGUUACUUUGAGUGACUAAUGCGAAAGUUUCUCAAUACGAAAUAAAUGAGAUAAGUAAAAUAAGAAUGACAUAAGAGUGGAAAACUUAUUCAUUCUAAAACAUAACCCCAAAACUUGAUUCUCACGUGUAAAAGUCAUUGAUAUAUAAAGUGCGGAGUUGAAAGAUAAUCACAAGUCUCACUGUCUUUUUUUCUCAAAUUGAUCAACAAAAUAUAAAAUAAGAAACAAGAGGGUGCCGGAAUGACAAUAAUUACCUAUCAUAGUCCUCUGAAAGUCUCAAAUAUACAAGAAGAAGAAGAAGAUAACACCGGUCCGGAUCUAGGCUCAAGACAUAUACAAGUUUCGAAGUAAGGAGUGAGUAUCAACCAACAUGGUAUUCAGCAUGCAACCUAUCAAAUAAAGCAAAACUAACUAAAAAAUGAGUAUUGCUUUCAUCCCAACAAACCUCCUCAAACUACAACUUGCAUUGAAAUCAUCCCUGCAUAAAAGCUUCACAAUGUAAGGUUCACAAGGCUUAACAAUCAUAGUCCAACAAUCACAAAUCAACAACAGACAAGCAUCAAGUGCUCAAGUAUCAAUUUCAUCGAAUCAUAAUAGUCACUAGCUGAAACCAUUUUCUUUCGACGUUAUAUCUCAUCUAUAGUCGGCACCAUUUUAUUUUGGCUUCAUGUCACAUUAUUUGUCGAAAUUAUUUUCCUUCGGCUUAAUAUCACAUGUCUCAUCGCGAAGCACAAAAAUCAAUGCAACUAAGCAAUUUCACAUUAUAAGGAAGAGACACCAAUUCUUCAAGCAAUUGAAGUCCACAAAAAUGUCAGCAAAGCAUUUCAUCAAUCAACCAAACAGAGUCCACAACAAGACAAUUCACAAAACAUUAUAAACAACGCGUUGCUUUUUUCAUUAAGAUUACCCAAGCGGAACAAUGAUGUCAUCACUUUAUUAUCAUCACUCCCCAACACAUACAACGAAGGAAAAUACACACAAUUUUACAAAUUAUAUAAGGUUUAGGAGAUCACUUCCCUCAAUUCAAUAAAAGUCAAUUCAAGACUUCAGUCUUUCUCUUUUAAACCAUGUCUAGAGCCACACAAUCUAAUUCAAUUAUGUAAUCACAAUAAGAUUUUGGAAAUAAAAAUAUCAUAUCAUACAUUUUGAAAAUGUGGUUUGAAUCCAAAAAAUUUUACUUGAAAAUAUUAUAUAGGACAUUUGAAACUCAUUGGUGAAAAUCAUUUGAAAAAGAAAAUUAAAUCAGUUCACAAUUAAUAUUUUAAUUUAGAACUCAAGUUCUUAAAAAACCUUGUCAUUUUUCCAAUCAAAAUCUCAAGUUUUGAUGUUAAAAUCCAUCAAUGAUAAAAGAAAAAUAAACUUUAAUGGUCACAAAAACUUACCCAAAUGAUUUAGCACUUUUACAAUCUCCUCCACUGAUUUCUCAAAAAUGAAAAUGGGAGUUAAACUCUAAAAUUUCAAAUAAAAACCCACUCCUAUGUCGAUUAAGAAAAAGGGUUCCCCCUAAGUGAGGCCUCUCACUAAGCAAAUCUUCUUUGUUUCUGCGAAGAUCACUUAAGUGACUGGCCUUCGCGAAAGCGAGGCUUGCAAACACCAGCAAACACAACCAACUUUCAAAUCAUUAAAAUGUAUCUGUGGGAUUCGUUUGAAAUUCUAUACACACAAACCAUAUAUGCAAUUUGACUAUACCUAACGAUUUGAACUCAUUGAAACUGUUGAAACAUGAAUUUGAGAUCUCCUUAUCCUGACAUCCCUGAAAGUCAUAAGAAACUAACAUAAAACCUAAAAAAUCUCGAGACCUCUUAGAAAUUUAACCAUGACCUCUUUUAGGCUUUGUCCCUCGAAUACUUCGACGAAACUCUCAGAAUUUCGAUCCAAGCAUCCAGAUCCCGAAUAUUGACCAAAAGUCAACCUUAAGGCUAAAAUUUUAAUAAUUACCAACUUAAGACCUCAAAUCUUUUAUUAAAAAAAAAUCGAAUCUGAAAUCGAUUACUCUUUUGGACCUAUUUCAACAUUCAAGACCGAUGGAAUCGACAGUGAAACUUUAAAAGAUACUAGAAACUAUUUUUAACAACUUUAGUCUUUCAAAUUUUCAAAAUUCCUAUUUGGUAACUCAAAAUUUAAAGCCAAUUACAAAACUCAUUCAAAAAUAACUUCAAACCACUAUCGGGAGGGAUAAAAUAAUAAUUUUAUGAAAAUUUCUAAAAGUAACCGUUCGGGUCAUUACACUUGCUCCUAGAUCUCGUUCGCCGCCCUCCUUCUAAUAGUUUGUUUCUGAUACAGAUCAAUUAUAUCAAUUGUAUUUUGCUCAUUUCUCUCCUUUUUUAACAUGUAUUAAUCAAGCUAUAAAUAUAGAUCUCCAAUUAAGCUCAGAUAAUAAUCAUUUUUGAAAGCAUCACAUUCUUUUUCAAUCACUGUGAACUUUCGUUUUUUAUGUUUAUUUACUGACUCAAUUCAAUCAAACUUGUUUAAUUAAGUCUAACUGAAAAUUUAGUGGAUAUGAAAUUUAAAUUGACCAACAAAAUAUCUUUUGAAAUGUUUUUUAAUUUUUAUAUAUCAUAUAUAAUCAGUUAAUCAUAUUAGCUCAAAUUUAAUCCAAUUCACUUAUUUAUACCUUUGCUCCAUUAGUUGAUAUAUUAUAACGAUAUUUGCAAGAAGACUUAAAUCGGAAUCAUCGGCGGCGAGGCGACAAAAUAAUUCAAAGUCUAAUAUCCUGUCAAUGUCUCAUUUGGUGUCUCUCCCACUUGUAAUGUAAUGGUAAAUUAGAUAAACAUCCCAUUUGAUAUUCAUUAUUAAACGCACACCAACUAAAAUUAUUGUAUCGUAGAAAAAACAAUAAGAAAGUGGGUCAACGACACUUUUUUGUUCUAAACAUUAAAUGAAUUUUCAAACUAGCAUCUUUUUUGCCCUAUAUAUUUAUUUAAAAUUAUAGUCACCAUUCACCACCCAAAUUUGUAACAAUAUACUGUAUAUCUUUUAAUGAUGAUAAUGCGAGAUUUCAUUUGUUUACACUUAAUGCUUUAAAUUUUAAUUAUUUAAUUCUCCUUAUUAUGUAUGUUUAUUUUUUUAGAUUGAAUUUUAAUUAUUCAGAUUUAUUUUAUUAAGUUGAUUUAUUUUAUUUUUUUCUAGGUUUUUUAAUGAUUGAAUAUAUCUGAAUGAAUCAGAUUUGUAGCACACUCUUAACAUCAUUCAGACCUAAAAAAGAAGACUCUUAUAUUAAUUCAACUACAACACAACAACUCAUAAAAAGUUGUUUCUUAUUUAAUUAAUGUUAAUUACAUGCUUAUCUUUACAAUUCUCUUUAUUCUUAUUAACUUAUUACAGGUCUUUUAUUUUCAUAAAUUAAUCAAUAUCCGUGAUAUAAUAUUUAGCACGAUUUUAGAAUAUAAGAAAGUAUUAAUUAUUUGACCGAUAACAAUAACAAAUGUCUAUUAUAAUAAAAUGUUUUCAUAAACAUUAUAUUACUACUAUAUAUCAACUGUUUUAAUUGCAUUAUAUUAGAUUCUCAAAAUUUAUGAGUGCAAAGAAUAGUCAUAUUACUGAUGUAACUUAAUAUUAAAUUCUUAAAAGAUAAAUCAUACUACCUUGUUACGAUAAAAUGUUCAAAGUACUAUUUUUAUUUUUAAAAAAUAUUUUAUUAAAAUGAGGUUUUUUAUAAUAUUUUGUUGAUAUAGCGUUUAAAUUCAUAUACACAUUAAGAUAUUGCAAAUAAACAGGAGUCCGGAGCCUAAAGGGUACAAAAUAUUAACAAAAAUUUCAAAAUGGUAUAUACAAUUUUAUAUUAACUAAAACGGUAAAUUCGCUGCAUCAACAAUAAUUUACUUCACUGAAAAAACAAAAUCGCUGCCUCUGCAGCGAUUUUACAAAACAUGAUUUUUUUUUUUAAUAAAAAUGAAAUCUCUACCUAAGCAGCGAUUUUAAAUUAUUUUUUUUUCAAAAUCGCUGCCUUGGCAGCGAUUUAGUCACUUAAAUCAUUCCCGUCAAAAAAAGUUUCACGAUUGAAUAUUGUAAUUCACAUAUUGGGUAUUGAGCAUUUUAAUAUCAAAUAUUGUGUUGAAGUGCUAUCAUUUUACAAUGUCAAAAUGUGCUGCUGCACGUUGGUAGCAUUUGUUAUGCAUUUAUUUGUCGCAUUUUUUUUAAGUUAAUGGUAUAAUAUACGUGGCAUUUUAUGAAACUUCUAUAAUUUCUGAACUUUUUAUUUUAUUACUAUUUUAUCUCUAUGUUUAUAAUGUAUAUAACUUUUUAAGGAUUUUUUUUUAAUUUACACACAUUACAAUCCCACCUUCGUUUAUUUAAUACUUUUUCCGCCCACUAUUAUUUGUCAUAAUUUCUAUUUUUAAAGUUAAAUUAUAAAAAAUUUAAUUUAUAUUUAAUGUAUUUUUUCAUCAUAUUAAUAUAGAAAAAAUUGCAAUUUAUAGUAUGUUACAUAUAGUUUUGAAUAUUUAAAUUUUUUGUUUAAAAUAUUAAAUUAAUAUAAUUUAAUUUAACUUUAAAAUUAAUUAAAUUGACUUUCGAAAAAUAUAACAUGAAAAAAUAAAAAUAAAAAUAUAACAUAACAGAUAAAAAUAAAAGGAGGGAGUAUGAGAAAAAAUAUGUCGUCUAUAAAUAGUGACAAGUUUUAGGAGUAUAUUAUAUUAUAUUAUAUUAUAUUAGCUAGGUAUAAGAAAAAUACAGAGUACAUGAAAAUUAUUAAAAAGAAGAGCAUUUAAUUGAAGAAAAAAUAGUUUUUUUAUCAGAGCUUUGGUUUCAACUCGUUUCCUAAGUUUAUUGAUUAAUUAUACAAUGUCUGUUCGGCUAUUGUAGAGACAAGUCAAUAAGAACAUUAUUUUUGGAUCGAUAAAAAAUUUUCAAAAUGAACCUAUAUCUCUUUAGAAACAGUGAAAUAUACGCGUCUCAACAUAGAUAAUUUUUUUGUUUUAUGAUGAAAACAUCACUAUCAAAUAAAAAUCUAUAUGUUAUUUUCAGUUUUCACAUGUCAAAAUUUCCUUUAAAAACUCUAUUCAAAUUCUUAUAGGUUGACUAAUUCUCUGCUUCUCAAGUUGGACACUAGGUCAAAUAAAGUUCCUAAUCCUCUGUUGCCAAAUUGCCUUUCUAUAUAAUGAGAAAUUACCAGCUCCCUUGUUCCUUAUAAAUAUAUAAAUGUGUUUGUUGCUUCAAAUUCACUUAUUCUCCUAUAUCCAAAGUGAGACAAUAACAAGACAAAAUAGUAAGAACGUCAAGGAAAAAUAUAAUCUUGAUAGUGUCUACAUUUUUUUUUUAUCUUUUAGACGCUCAGUACAAUACAAUUUGAUAGUAUAUUAGCAAGAUCUAAGAAAGAAGAUGAAAAACGUUAUGAAGAUUGUGUUUGUGCUUUCUAUCAUUAUGAGCAUUCUAUUGACACCUAGCGUUGCAAAGGGCGUGAGUGGUGGAAGCAAGGCUAGUACCGCGUCUGGUCGUACUGGAACUCCAACCACCACAUGGACCACAGUACCUCGUCGUCCUAGAACCACCACCAACAGCAGCUCAUCCGCCGCGUCCUCCAUUGGCUGGUCGUCCUCCAUGGCUAUGGUUGGCGCUUCGUUAACUUAUCUUACAUUAGUUUACAUUUAAAACUAGUGUAUUAAUUUAAUUGGCGUAAACAUUAUUAUAUUUGUAUUAUUGAUGUUGAUUUUAUAUACAUUCUCACUAUUUAAGUUGUACACAAGUUUGGGUACAGGGUGUUGAAGUCCUACGGCUUUACUUCACUCCCCAAAUUCAAUGUAGAGUACUGAUAUUUAUAAAAUAUAUAUUUUUUUACAUAUUUUAUGUUAUGAUUUAUUUAUUUAUUCUGCAAGUGACAAUAUGGAUGUUUUCAAUGGGACUAAUGUAGUACAAGAUAUUAUUAACACCUCAAAUAUGAGGAAAAGGGUUUCAUCAGUUUUUACCAUUGAAAAAUAAUUUUUUUUUUUUUAUGAUUUUGCAAAGAACUAAGGAGAGUCUGGUAUUUUUAUGAUUCUAGGACAUAAAUGAUAAAAGUGCACAUACAUUAGGAAGUAAGAAUAAGUAGCUAUAGUCAAUCUCGUAUCCUGAUCCUAAAAUCAUGCUGAGCAUACAAUAGGAAUCCAAAUGGCAAGUUACUUCAAUAUAAAGUUGUUAUUCUUAGCUAAUUUUAGGUCCGAAUAAGAUCUACUUCACAUUUUUAGGUCUUCUUUUUCUAAAUAAGUAUUGGGUCUAAAGAUACCAAUUUUGUAUAGAACUUGUACCAACAUGUCAAUCAUGGAAUAACUAAAAUGUUCAAUAUAAUAGAAAAAAUAUUUUAAUCAAUCCAUUUUCUAUCCCCAUAUGCAAGCUUUGAAAAUCAGAACAUUCCAAAUUGCAAACCCAAUUAAGCACCACAAUCUUCAAAAACCAACUCUAAGAAAUUGUUUUUAAAAAAAACAUAUCUUGCACAUCAAACUAAUUAUACUAUAUUUAUGGUUAAUCAGACAAUAAAUAAAAAUGAUAUCAGAUCCACAAAUAUAUUAUAAGAAGAAACGAAUUAUUACCAAAUCUAUGGAUCUGAACCACAAAAUUGAUGGUAAGAACCCCUCAUUUCCAAACUCGUUCGAGUCAGCAAAGUGAGAGCUUCCUAGGGAGGGUUAAAAAAAUGAAAGCAUAGAAUUGUUAAACUAAAGAUGGGUAAUGAGCGACAAGGCAUUGCUGGAGAGAUCUAUAAUAACACCCAUGCUUCUAGAUAUUCCCGUCUCCACAUUGGGAUUUGCCUUUUCCUCCAAUUCGUCGAAACCAUAGAUGCAUGUUUGUACAUUUGUUAAUACAGAACUUGUGUACGAUAUAGCGUUAUGCAACUGAGAUUCUUUAUCUUCAGCACCAUUUAGAUGUCCUAUUAUUUUAACAGUCUUCCUCAGUUCGUCUUCUGCACUUUUCACAGCUUCUACGCAGUCUCUAAAAGCCACAGCUUCAUAUUUGGAAAUUCCCUCCUUUUUUUCAAGAUUAGACACAAUCACCCCCGCGCUGCGUGUGCCUUUUAUCGCUACUUUAAGGGCUUCUAUGCAAAGUAUUCUGGGGUUGUUUUUUACGGUACAAGCAUACGGCAUUAGUGUUUUCACACAAAGUGUAGGCUCUGUGGUUACGUUGCAUUUGGUUUUGAUGAAGUUUGUGUACGACUCUUUCGUACCUGUAGCUGUUUGUGUGAUCAAUAAAACUAUUGCCAAAAUGGGGAAAAUCAAGGUUUUGCUAUCCAUUUUUUUUUGUGUGUGUGUGUGUUGGGAAUAAAGAGAAAAGAUAUGAAGGUGUAUUUAUGGAAAUCAAAUUGGCAACGGGAAGAAUCGUAUGGCCAUAUUAAUCGUUAUCACUUACUUAGACGUUCCGAUAAUUACGAUGAUCGUUAUCAAGUUUUUGUAUUUUUACUUGGGUUUAUUUGUUAUAUCUUCCUUUUUUUUCUCUACUUUAGUCUAUACUUUUUUUUUUGUCAAGGUCUAAUGAAAUUUUAACAUUAGGCAACUUAUUUUAUUUUACAAUAUAAUUUAAUACUGAGAACCCUCAUCAACAACACUAACUAAGUUCUCAUACUAAUUAAUUCAUCACCAAGCAUUAAAUAUCUAAAAUAUGCUCAAAAAAUUGGAAGCAAAUCUAAAAUAAGUUGAAAUUGAAGCGGUCGCUGAACAUUACGUGCACAAGUCAGCAACUUUCAAUUAGGAGUUUGUUUCCUUUGAAAGUGAUUUGUUGCUAUUUUUACGUUUGGAUUUGUUACAAAAAUUGAAAGUGGUUUGUUGCUAUUUCUACGUAUGAAUAUUCGUAACACAAAUUUUAGUACAAACGUUACAAAUGCAAUCAAUGUUAAUUAAUUAUAGCAAUAAAAUGGAUGAUAAGUAACUUUUUCAAUACAAAGUGUCACUAUUCAUCAUUCAUAAAUAUGGUUAAUGAGUGACAAGGCAUUACUGCUAAGUUUAAUAACAACAGCCAUACUUCUACUUAUAGCAUCCAUCACUUUUGGAUUUACCUUACCCUGAUCAGUUAACCCACCUGUGCACGAGUCUGCAUCUGUUAUAGCAGCACUUGCAUAUGUUUUAGCAUUAGCCAACUGAAAUGCCUUAUCUUUAUCGCCUAAAUGUCCUAUUGCUUCAACAGCUAGCUUCAGUUCGUACACUGCAUCCUUCACAUCUUCUAUGCAGUCCUUAAUAGCCGCGGCUUCAUAUCGCGUAAUUCCCUUUUGUUUUUUCAGAUUCAAGACAAUGGCAGUGGCAUCUCGUGCGCCUUUUGUGGCUACGUUAAGGGCUUCUUUGCAAAGUUUUGUGGAGUUUGUUUUAACAGAAGAUGCAUAGGGAAUUAGUGUUUUUACGCAGAGUGAAGGGUAUGUAGUGAUUUUGCAUUUGGUUUUGACGAAGUUUGUGUUGGAGUCUUUGGCAGCUGUGACUAGAACAUGUGUUUGUGACGAGAAUAGAACAAUGGAAAAGAGGAGAAAAAUCAAGCUUUGGCAACUAGACGCCAUUAUUACUUCUUUUGAGGAGAAAUUGUUGUAUUGUGAAUAUAGAGAGAAGAAUUGAAUAUAUUUAUAGUCACAAAUUGGCAGAAGGAAAAAUCUUUCUUAAUUGCUCAAGUUGAUAAUAUUUUAUUUUCUUUUUUUGAUCUGUAUAAAUAAAAGAGUGCCUCAACAUCCUACGUUCAGGACCACAAGACAUGUUAAUGUAUAUUCUUAAUUUUACAUAAUACAUAAAUAUACUAUUUAAGUUAGUUUCAUCUGAUAUCUAUGUCCUACUACUUUACUUGUGCACAAAUAAAAACUAAAAAUUUGUAGAAAAUUAAGCAAAUGGAUACAAAUGUUUUAUGUGGCUUAGUACAUGUAGAACGUCACAUAGACAUAAAUGCGCUAUUUAUUUAAUUUUAUAUAAAUUUACAAGCUUAUUAGUAAGCACUCCAAAUUGAAGGACAUACAUGCUAGAUGAAUCCAAGUUAAAAUUAUAUCUUUUUAAUUAGACUUUAAUUGAGACGAAAUGAGUAUAAUAUAGCAAUAAAAUUGAUUUAGAAAAUGAGUUGUGAAUGUAGGCGUAUCAGCUUAUCUCGCGCCGUCACCAAUGCAGCAAUCACAUGGUAAUUGAAGUAUCUGGAGAUCGUCGGCAGAGUCAACUUAUCAACGUGUGAGAUCCAAGGUGGAUCUAUGACUUGUAAUUUAAGUACAUCAAUUACACCUACAAUAUUCAACUAUUAAAUUGCACAUUUUUUAGGUCCAGUAGUUCAUAAUUUUUUUUCAAGGUACGUCUGGCCAAUACUUAUAAAGUCCAUUAUUCAACUAAAGAUAUUAAUGCGUGAACAUGGCUAGAAAUUGAUCAAAAAAUGAGAAGCACAAAACACUGCAGAAGAGAAGGCGAUGUCUCUAGUGGACAAUUACUUGCCGAAAACGUUUGCAUUGAUGCGUGUUUUCCUUUAUGUUGAACAUCAACCUCAAUAAUUAUGCCUUAGGUAACACGUUUUGUAACUAGGAAGCUUACGUUCUAAUGAAAUUUCAUUUUGAGUUAUGAAUAGUAAUUUAAACAUGUUAUUCUACGAUCAAUAGGGAGAAAAAUUCAAAAUUGAGCGGAGCUCAAGUUGAAGCGCGACAAAAAUUAUCUAAAUUAGAUAUUUUUAACAUUUUACUCCAUUAAGAGAAAACAAAUAAUAAUACGUGCGUGAUCAUAAGUAGAAUUCAUCCUACUAAAAUACAUAGAGCUCAAACUUUCUGUUCUCCUAAAUAAAAAAGUAGAGGACAUUGCUUCCUAGGCAAAUCGAGGAUCAAUGGAUUGAUGAAUUCUUUAAGGAAAAAGGUAAAAGCUUCUUAAGGGACACUUUACGUGUAAGAAUUACUCCUAAGUUCAUUAUUUAGAGUAUGUUUUAAGCUAAUUUUAUCUAUUUUGGUAUUGUUUGGUGCUCGUGGUGAAAAUUUGUCACGCAUGUGAGCGAUUCAUUUUUUAUAUUACAAAAUUUGCUGAUUAGCAAAGCAAUAAGAAUGAACUUGAGAACUUCUGUCUAAAAACAGAUCAAACCCGUAGAGUAUAGAGUAAGAUGUAAAAAAAAAGUUGAUUGUUAAGAACAUUUUAUCUUUUAAUGUGGAACUUUGCAGUGAGAUUCAAAUUUAGUCGAGAUUUGUAUCGUGAUAUGAAGAAGGUUAGAAAAUGGUAAAACAAAAGGAAUAUUCCUAUACAGCUGUCCAUUAAGGAUUGGCUAAUAAUAACAAAUUUAGCUUGCUAUACAGUGCUCCUUUUAUAUUCUCUCAUGUUACAAAAUCUGAGGACUUCCAUUGGAAAUUAUUGCUUUCGACUGUGAUUCAUUACUAAUUGGGCCAUUAUUUGCAACUGGGCUAAUUUUUCCUGUAUGGUACCAGGUGUUAAUAUAUUGGGCUUUGUGUCUGAGAUCCAAACAUGGCUAUCCGACGCUUAGGACCAACAUUAUUUUAUGAGCAAAUAACACAAAUCUCAAUAGUUUGAGAUCUAAUGACGUAUUCUAAAUUUAGUUUUUAAAAUUAUCUUCUGUAUCACAUUUACUUCGUCAACCAUAUGUAUAUGACAUACUCAGAUAGAUACAUGCGGAUCAAUUUAAAUGUAAUUUGUGUCAUGUCAGAUAUACUAUAUUUAAGCGCGAUAAGCAUGUAUCUAGGAUAUACGCACUCACUAUCUGAACUCUCUCAUUUCUCUUCUCUUAGUCGCCUCUCUCCCUAAUUAUUUCCAUUCCAAAAUGUAUCCGCUAUCAAAAAUACUAUCUGACUUGAAAUCGGUUACCAUAUUAUUAAUUAGUGAAAUAUUAUGUUAUUAUUUCAAACUCUGAAGUAUUUAAGUACUAAUAUUUAUGAUAUGAAUUUUGUAUAAUUUGAUAGUUUUUAGUUAAAACUUUGGUCCAAAAAUAGUAUUAUCAUUACUUACUUGAGUUAAACGGUGGCAUCCGCAAUUUCUUUUUCUUUUUUUUUCCUCAUAAAAUCGGAAAAUACAGAAGAGAAACUCUGUUUUGUUUUCCAAAAUGGUAAAAGGAAAGUAUGUGAAUAUUGAAUUUUUUUAAUAUACUAAGAAGAUGAAAGAUUUUUUGUAAGAGCUAAAGCAUUACUAGUUAACUGUGCUACAUUAACAAUAUAAUUUCUAAUAGUAGCUUUAACUUUGCUAUUCAUAGCAGAAUUGUCUUGAAAUCCAUCCAUACAAGUAUCUUCAUCUGUCAAUGCAGCACUUACCCAUGUCAUUACAUUCCCCAUUUUCUCUUCAAAAUCUGGUCCAUUCAAAUUCUUCAUUUCCAACAGUGAUUUUUGUAGCUCAUCAACAGAGUCUUCCAUGUUUUCCACACAGUCCGUUAAAGCAUGUGCUUCUGCUGGACCUAAGCUUUCCUCUUUAGACAUCUUCGCGAUUUUGUUGGUGGUUGAUUUAGCUCCCUUUAAGCUCACUGUGAGUGCAGAGUUGGCUAAUUCCAUUGGGCUUGUUUGGAUGGAGUUUGAAUAAGGUGAGAGUGUUUCGAUGCAUAAUUUGGGGUAUAAUGUAGUGCCACAAGAGGUUUUGAUGAAAUCAGAGGUGUUGAGUUUGGAUUUGUUGGUAAGCUCUCUUGUUGCUGUUGAUGAGCAUAGCAAUGUGGAUGUUAUUACAAUGAAAUAGAAAAAUGAAAUGUGAAAUGUGGAGAGGCUAUGGCAAUUUGAAGUAGAGGAAUUCAUUAUCAAAUGAUGGGGGGAAAAGGAUUGGGGAUGAAUGGUUGGGAAAAAGUCCUUGCACUUUCUUAUAAGGAUGCAAUGUUCCUUGCAUUAUUUUUAGGAUAAAUAACAAUAAAUCUACCCUUUAAUUAAGUUCUCGAAUUAAAUUAAUAUACCUCGCGUAUCGAAUUAAUAUAUCAUAUAUAAAAUGUACAUCAAAUUAGUAUCAUGUAUAAAAUAUAAUGUAUCUUACUUAAUAAUUAAUUGUAUCUCGCGCAUCAUUUUUGUCGUUAUAAACUUAUAAGGGACAAAUGAUAAUUUUGCCUUAAAAGUAUGUGAUUUUCUCUUUUGCUUAUUUUUAAUAUACUACUAAUUCGAUCUCAAUUUAUAUUACUCACUUUCAUUUUAAUUACUGUUAAAAAAAAUAUUUCUAAUUCACUUUAAAAUUUAUAUUUUAUACUUAAUGAUAUAAAUAUUUAUAUUUUAUUUUAAAUAAUAACUUUUUAAAUAAAAUAAUUCUUUCUUAAAUAUUGUUCAAAACAUAAAUUAAGACGGAGAAAUAAUUAUUGCGCAUAUCCACUCAUUUUAUAAUCACGGGUUUGUGUUCGACAUAUUGAUUGUUCCACGAAAAAGGAAAAAGCAAAAGGUGGACAGCACGGGAGUACAUGAAUUGGACGGCAUUAAAUUAAUUAGGUGUAUUCUGAAUAUCUCAUCCUACAUUUACAUUCAUAGAAUAAUGAAAAAAAAAACAGAAAGUGAAGGAAAUGCGCAAUAAAUAUAACUAGCAGUAUGAAUAGAUUUCUGGCUGAAAGCGUAGCGGAUUGUUCACAUUAUUGACGGAAUAAUAAAUAUUAUUUUAUAACUAUUUUUAAUAUAAUCGACAACUAACGAAAUUAAAGGUGUAUUGGAUGGAGAAACUAUUGGUUUGGCUUUAAGUUAGGUGUAGAGUAUGUGGUAGUCUGUGUGUGCGAAUGCGGAGGGAUCCAAUCUGAACAUGAAGUUACAUGGUAGCAUCUGAACGGUUAAGAGAGCAGUAAAAGGUGGGGACAUCGAUAGUAAUAAAAUCCGUGAGGUGCAAAAUUUGAUUCUCAUUUCAAUUAGCUAUUUUCAUACUUACAGUACACAUGUCUUAAAACAUGUUUUUUUAUAUUUCAUUAAGUUAGUAUGUUUCGUACGAAGGAAAAUAUUUUUCUAUUUUUUUUAUAUUUUUAUUAAAAUUAAAGAAAAUGACUUUCCUUCUAAAAUUAAGGAAAAUAUUUUUCAAAAUUCUCCUUCUAUUUCAAAUUACAUUUUCUUUGUGAAAAACAUCAAAAUUAUUUUUUUCACCCGAUUCCUGACUCUCCCCACCCCACCGGCCAGCCCCCCCAACCCCACCCCCUCCCCAAAAAAUUAAAACUUCAAAAAAAUUAUUUUUAAAGUCCAAUGCCCCCCACCCCCCCCCCCCCCACAACAACCAAAAACAUUAAUUUUGUUUUUCAAAAAUAAUAUCAACUCCAAUUUUUUAUCUUUUCACUCCUACCUCUCCCAAAAAUAAUAUCAACUCCAAUUUUUUAUCUUUUCACUCCUACCUCUCCCCCUGCCCUCACCUACUUAACCCAUCACCACUCCAAAAAAAUAAUAAUUUUAUUUUUAAAGAAUUAUUUUUAAUUUCAUAAAUUAUUUUUUAAUCUAGUAAAAUAAAAUAUGUCUCUCAAAAAUUUGUUUCAUUCAUAAAUCUAACACAAAAAUCAUUUUCAAAAAAUAUUUUCGACUAACCAACCAAAUAUGAGAAAAUAAGUUCAAAAUCUACUUGUUUUUAGGAAAUAUUUUCCAUGGAAAACAUUUUCCUCCAUACCAAACACACCCUAAAUGAACAUAAAUUAUUUUAGUUUUUAUUUAACGUUCAUCAAAAAUAUAUUUUCAAAGAUAAUAACUUUCAUAAUAUAAAAUAGAAAGAACGAUAUCAUUUAUACAUAAUUUUAUAAAAUAAUAAAUAAUAAGGAAUAUUCAUUUUUAGAAUAUGACACCUAAAUAAAAACGAAAAAAAAAUUAUAUUUUUUAUUUAUCGAAUAAAUGAUUUUUAAUACUUUAUCGUAAAACUUAGUAGAGGAGAAACAUUUUAUGCGAAUUAGCAUAAGAAGUAUCAAGAGCCGGACAAGACAGUAGAAGGAUACCAAAUUUCAUGCGAGUUACCAAACGAAUAAAAUAUUAACGAAGUUUAUUCCCUUUAUAUUAUAUAUACUCUAUAGUUUUCGAAUCAAAUAAUAUGAAUGUAAUAAAAUAUAGCCAGUGCCCAAGUAGAUGGAAAACCAAAUUUUUUUUUAUCGAUAAUUGCACAUGCCCCUCUAUCAAAAGUGGCACAAGUUUCAAGUUCAACUGAAAAAAGAACAUCCAUUUUAUUUAUUUAUUUGUAAAUUAUAGAUCCGUUCAACACUCUGAGCUGAUUAAAUUAAAGAGCUCUAAUUGUUUUAUCUGCCACUAGGGGCAUUUAUAUAUUAAUAUUAUAUAGACGGCCGACGUGUAUUCUUCUUUAUUUCGUUGGAGUAUUAUUAUUUUUAUAAGAAGCAGCUAUAUUAACUUUAGCAGCCACUUUAGUUUACCGAUUAAGUCAUUUGAAUGCCUAAUUAAGUAACUAACAAACAAUUUGAAACUAGCCAAGUUUGAACUUGUAGUCAAAGACUGUACAUGGACCCUCACUGUCACUGUCAUUUACUCCAUGUUCUACUAUCUUUCAACCACAUUCCCACUGAACAUAAUAAGGGAAAACACAUCAAAUAUUGGAUCCCUUUACUACAAGAAAAAACGAUAAAAUAUUGGAUCUCCUUUACUAUACUACUUUAAAAAAAAAGGGGGGGUUAUUGCGAGUGAAAAUAUUUUUAGUGAGUGAAAAAAUAAUAGAUCAAAACUCCUUUCACCGUUGAUUAUAAAAAAAUUUGAUAUUAAGAAUUCAAUUGUUAAAAGUCUUUUAAUAACGCUAUAAAUUCUGAUUAUUAUAUAAACAUUGAAUUUUUUUUUUCUUUCACUAAUUUGUUGAUUGAUCAUAAAUAAAUUUUGAUGACAAAAACUAUUUUUGUUGUUAUAAGUGAUUUUAGCCGUCAAGAUUCUCUUUAUUAACUAUAUAUAACUUUUAAUGAUGGAAUUUUCUUUCGCUAAUGCUUGCCCAUUUAACUGUUUGAGAUCUUGUCACCAAAGAGUUAUAUUUUCCUUCGCAAAUAAGGAGUGAACUAGCAACGAACAAGAAGUUGAGUGUAACAAGUUUGAAAUUGUAGUCAAAAGGCCGCACAAGGACCUUCAAUGUCACUGUCACUUAGUCCAUUUUCUAGUAUCUUUCAGUUGUAACACCACAAUUGCUGUGACAUAGUUUAUUUUAUGUUAAAACUUCAGUUAUUGUUGAAAAAUUUAAGUGUAAAAAUUAGGGUUGCGUUACUACAAAUUCAUUGAUUUUGGCACAAGAAUGCAACAUUUUCAUACCAAUACAACUUGUUAGACCAAAAUUGGAAUAAAAAACCAUCUUCUUCAAAAUUAAAACCCCCAAUCGUGACCCAAUCGUUAUCCUCUUUUUUUUUUUAAAAAAAAAUAUUGUUGAGUAUAGUUUAUCCACAAGGCUUCUUGGCUGACAGAGCAAGCCCUUCAAUGGUCCCCAAUUUAACUUUCCAAAAUCCAAAGUAGUCUCCACUCUUUUGCAAAUUGCAAUGCUUUUCAUAAGUCAUAACAUCAUCCUAUUCCUAGUGGCUUGGACUAUUACAAUUUGGGAGUUUGAGUUGUACACUAGUGAAUGGGGAUUUUCCUAAAAAAAGUAUAAAUUAAAACUGAAUAAAGAAAAAAUAGUGAGAAGAUCAAGAUAAUCCAACCAUAUUCCUCUAUAUUGAGUCCAUUUGUCUAGUAUUUAAAUUUAUGUCUGGAGCCUAAAGGACAAAAAAAAUGAUAAAAAUUUUAAGAAGAUAUAUCAAUUUUUUUUAGCCAAAGAGAUAAAUCGCUAGUGAAAUUAAGAUUUUGCUUUGACGUUGUUAUUUCGUUAAACAAGCAAAAUCGCUAACCUAUCAGUAAUUUGUUCAAAAAAAAUUCCACUUUAAAAAAAAUCAUUGUCCAAUGUCCAUGCAACGUUUUUGGAAAGAUGUUUUCUAAAAUACUAAAAAAAAAAUUAAUGGUGCAAUUUCGGCGGAAAAGAGUUUAUCUUUUUAAACCUUUUAAGUGUUUUUUAUAAGUGAAUAGAUAAUUAUAAAUUACUUUCAUUAAUUUACUAUUUUUUUUAUUAGUAAUGUGAAUAGCCAGGCUACUACAAAGAAAAAACAAGUUUCACCAAUUGCAGCGAUUUUGUAUUUUUUUGAAUUUUUUUUUCGGAAAACGCUAUACGAAUAUUGAUUUAGUUUUAAAUAUUGAAAUUUUUUUAGAUAAAAUCACUGGUAGGUCAACGUCAAAUCAAAAUCGCUACUCCGCUAGCGAUUUUGCCCCUUUGAUUAAAAUUAUUUUUGAUAUGCCCUUUUAAAACUUUUAUCAAAAGUUUUUACUCUUUAAGCUUUGGACUCAUUUAAUUUAAAAUGUACCUUCUUGUUUUUAGUCAAAAUUAGAGCUAUAACAAUAUCCUUGAUUGAAAUACCCCUUGGGUUUUCCUUUCAAAGAGCAUACUCCCUCUUAAAUAAACCUAUUAGUAUUUUAGUUGUGAAGUACACACUUCACUUGAACUUAUAUUGUAAUCUUCUUUUAUCUUUCAUAAAAUUCUAUACACCUUUGAGUGAACAAUUGUAAAGAAAAGAGAAAGAAAGAUAUGAGUGUAGGUUAUACAGGUAGAGGUUGUGUCAUAGAAGAAUGUCUGAUUUGCACAUCAGACGGGCUCUUAAUUGUAACAUUCUGUAACAUCCAAGUUCUCAACAAGCUCUUAAAGAAACCCUUGUAACCCAAGGAGACUGGACUAGACAACACUUCGAUGAUCCGAACCAGUAUACAAAACACUCUGUUAUUUACUUAUUGCAAGUUAUCAUUACUGUUUGUCUGUUUUACUAACGUGCAGGUGAGUCGACUGACCAGAGUAGAAAGUCGACUGAAGGGAAUUUUAAUUCACCCCUCCCCCCCUCUUGACUUUCAAAUACAACUAUUUUGGGGCGUUUCUUUAAAAAAACAAAACACGCAAAAUAUGAUAUGAUUAGUGACACUAAAAUAUCCAACAAAAUAAUAAUACUGAAAUCAUGUAAAACAAAUACUAAAUGAUCGUAAAUUUAAAGUACUAAAUCAUGCUAAAAUAAAUUGAGUAAAUAUUAGUAACAUGGAUAAAUAUUAAAGGAAAUUAAAAUUAGAUUAUGUAUUUUAAUUGUCUAAACCAAUAUAAAACUAAAGAACAAAUAUUCAAUAUUAUUGUUGAAUUGAUUUUCUUUUUGCAUAAGUAUUAUUUUUAUCUUGAUUUAAACUUUAUUAUAAUUACCAGCAUUUAUGGAUUAUAAUUUUUAUUAGAUCAUUCAGAAUUCUAAAUCAAAAACUUGAAAUAGUAUAUUAAAGGAUAAAACUAUGAAAAAGCAUAAGAAAUAUUUAAAAAUUAUAUCAAAAUAAAUAUUUUUAUGUAUCAUGUCGGGUUGGUUUGGUUUCGGAUUGAUUUUUUUAGUUAAAAUCUAUUGAAAUGUAGAUAUGAUGAGGUGUAGUUUUAUGAUUGGUUAGUUCAAAUGUUAGUUAGAGUCACAUGUGUUAGUUAGAGUCACAUGUGUUAGUUAGAGUCACAUGCUUGUCACAUGGUUUCCAUUUUUUCAGUUAGGUUGUUGUUAUGCUAUCAAAGUUAGUUGAAGAGUUAGUUGCUAACAAACUAACAGCAAUUGUAAUCCUCUAUAUAUAGAUGAUGAAGUAUAGAUGUACAUUGAUGAUCAAUAAGAAAAAGAGGAAGAUAGAUAGCUUCCAAAUUCUCCCUACAAACUCUGUCUCUGUGUUUCUUCUUUCUUCUUCUUCUGUUUCUGUUUUUGUAUGAAUUCAGAAACUUAAUAUGGUAUCAGAGCAUCGAUCAAAGGAUUUCUAAAGGUUUGAAUCUAUAAUUUCUGCAAUUGUUGAAGCUGCAACAAUGGUGGAAUCACAGAGUACAGAGGUAGAAGAUAAUCCCCAGUCGAAUCACAACCAUCCACUUCAUCUUCAAGCAUCAGACAUACCUGGUGUUGCCUUGAUUCCUAUGAAGCUCACAGGACCAGAGAAUUAUGGUGUGUGGAGCAGAUCUAUGCGAUUAGCACUACUAGUCAAAAAUAAACUUGGAUUUGUUGAUGGCACAUGUGUUAAGAAUUCGUACAAGGGAGAUCUGGCAGUUAGAUGGGAAAGAUGUGAUGCAGUUGUUUUAUCCUAGAUAAGUGCAGCAGUUGCACCAGAGUUGAUGACUAGCAUAGUAUAUGCUUCUAGUUCGAAGAAGAUUUGGAAUGACUUCAAGGAAAGGUUUGAUAAAUCCAAUUUGACAAGGAUUAGUAUAUUGUCACAAGGAACUGAUUCUGUAACAGCCUAUUAUUCCAAAAUGAGAGAUCUAUGGGAUGAGAUGGAUGUAAUGAUACCUUCUCCGUCUUGUGAUUGUGUUGAAUCAAGUUCACAUGCUGAACAUGUCAAACAACACAGGUUAUUGCAAUUUUUGAUAGGUUUGAAUGAGAGUUAUGCUCAAGUGAGGAGUUCUAUUUUGUUGAGUCCAUCUAUUCCAAGUGUAAACCAAGCCUAUGCAAUGGCUAUACAAGAAGAAAGUCAAAGGAAGCUAGGACAAACAGAAGGAGGUAAAGAACCUCUCACAAUGAUGGCAGGAAGAAGUGCUCAACCACAUAAUUUCGAUAAUCAAAUGAACAAUAAUCAGAGGAACAAUAAUCAGAUGAACAACAACAGUUUGCAUACUAAGAAGACUUAGGGUCAGAAUUCACAAGGUAGAAGGAUGGGAUUAGUGUGUGAUCACUGUGGUUACAAAGGUCAUACUAGAGAAAGUUGUUAUAGAAUUGUAGGAUUUCCAGCAGACUUUAAGAGUAAGAGAAAGGGAUCUGGAUCUGUGAAUGAAGCAUAUGCAAAUAAUUUCACUUCUGAGUCAUCUGGAUCAGCAUCAAACUUCUAUUUUCCAGGAGGCUAUUUCACAAAGGAACAAUAUGAGCAAGUUACUAAGAUGUUAUCUCCUUCUUCACCUACAGGAAUCUACAGGGUUGAGGCUAAUGCUGCAGGUAUGAAUCCUUUAACUGUUAAUGAUAGUGGAAAUGCAGUGGGAUGGAUUAUUGAUUCAGGAGCAACACAUCACAUUACAUGCUGUGAAAGUAUAUUGAGUGAAUGUAGAAAAUUAUCAGAAUCCAGUUGUGAUAAAGUGCAAGUGCCAACAGGAAAUAAAAUUCAUGUGAAACAUAUAGGAGAUGCAGUGAUUUUGGGGAACUGCAAGUUAAGAAAUAUUUUGCAUGUACCAGAUUUUAGGUUCAACCUGCUGUCAGUUUCUAAACUAACCAAGGAUCUAAAAUGUAGUGUGCCUUUCUAUCCUGAUUUAUGUGUAAUGCAGGCUCUCUUUACUGGAGAGGUGAUUGGGAUUGGUAAGGAGAAUGAUGGCUUGUAUAUUCUCAGACAAGAAGUAAUACCUACUGUUGGAGCAGCACUCAAAAGCAAGAACUCAGAAGAACAUAAACUUUGGCACCUUAGACUAGGACAUCCCUCUUUGAAAGUAUUGCAACAUCUACAUAUAUUGAAAAAUAAACUGGUUGAGACCGUACAUGAAGAUUGUUUGAUUUGUCCUUUGGCAAAACAAUGUAGACUCAAAUUUCCUUCUAGUGUUACUCAUAGUAAUAAGAUGUUUCAGUUGGUACAUCUAGAUGUUUGGGGACCUCAUAAAGAUCCAACUUAUGAUAGAAAACAAUAUUUUCUGACUAUAGUUGAUGACUUUAGCAGAUUUACAUGGGUUUCUUUACUGCAAACUAAUAAGGAUGUAGUAGUUGUUUUGAGAAGUUUUAUAGCAAUGGUUUGUAAUCAGUUUGAUUGUGCAAUAAAGGUGUUGAGAUCUGACAAUGGAACUUAGUUCUUUAACAGUCAAGUAAAUGAAUUGUUAUCCUCUUUUGGUAUUAUACAUCAAAGUAGUUGUGAAUAUACUCCACAACAAAAUGGUAUUGUUGAAAGGAAACAUAGGCAUAUACUUGACACAAGUAGAGUUUUAAAAUUGCAGUCUCAUGUUCCUAGUAGAUUCUGGGGUGAAUGUGUACAAACAACAGUCUACUUAAUUAACAGGUUACCUACUGGUGUGUUGAAUGGACAAUCUCCUUAUGAAAGGUUGUUUGGAAAGGCUCCAAAACUAGAACAUAUAAGAGUAUUUGGAUGUUUGUGGUUUGCUACUACAUUACCAAGAGGUGGAAAGUUUGAAGCCAGAGCUAAGAAAGCUAUUUUAAUGGGUUUUUCUUCCACACAAAAAGGAUAUAAGCUAUAUGAUCUCGAGGCAAAAAUUAUGUUCAUUAGCAGGGUUGUUGUAUUCAGAGACAGUGUUUCCUUUUAAGCUCAUGCAAUCUACUGAUACAGGUCCUUGUCCUUUGUUAUCACCUUUUCUUGAUAAUGUAGAUGAUGCUAGUAAUGAUGUAAACUUGGACCCAUGUCAUACUCAUAUUGAAGAGAUUUCCAAUAACUCUGAUGGUCUGCAAGAAAGUUCUCAUAGUUCAAAUAAUGAACCUCCAAUUAAUGUGGGAUCCAGAAAGACUACCAGAACAAUCAAGCCUCCUGUGUGGAUCAAAGAUUAUGUUGUGCCUCAUAAAUCUAGUCCUCAUUCAAUCACUAAUCAUGUCUGUUAUGACAAUGUCUCCUCAGGAUAUCAAUCUUAUUUGCAAGUUUUUUCAGUAGUUGUAGAACCUCAAUCUUUUCAUGAAGCAUCACAAAAUAAAAAGUGGAUUGAUGCUAUGAAACAAGAGAUUAAGGCUUUAGAAGAUAAUAACACCUGGACAAUUGUAGACUUACCUCCAGGUGAGAAAGCAAUUGGAUCAAAAUGGGUAUACAAGAUAAAGUAUCAGUCUAAUGGUGAUGUCGAUAGAUACAAAGCUCGACUAGUUGCCAAAGGUUAUACUCAAAGGGAAGGACUUGACUAUCAUGACACUUUUUCUCCAGUUGUAAAGAUGGUUACCAUUAGAACUGUUCUUAGCCUGGCAGCUUCUUGUGGUUGGGAUUUAUCUCAAUUGGAUGUUAACAAUGCCUUCUUGCAAGGUGAUUUAGUUGAAGACAUAUACAUGGCACUUCCUCUAGGCUUCCAAGGACAGGGGAUAUCUAAGGUCUGCAAGCUGAGGAAGUCACUUUAUGGUCUUAAGCAGGCUUCUAGACAAUGGAAUAUUAAAUUCAGUGAAGCAUUGUUGGAAGCAGGAUACUCUCAAAGUGUUCAUGAUCACUCUCUUUUUAUUAGAAAGGAAGGAACUAAAAUGGUUGUGAUUUUAGUAUAUGUUGAUGAUCUUUUGAUAACUGGAAAUAGCUCCAGAAUGGUUCAAGAAGCCAAAGACACAUUACACAAAAAUUUUAAAAUGAAAGACUUGGGAAGCCUCAGAUAUUUUUUGGGGAUUGAAAUCUUGAAGUCCAAAGAAGGGUUGUUAUUGAAUCAAAGAAAGUAUGCUUUACGAUUAAUCUCAGAGACUGGAUUGAGUGGAGCAAAGACUGUAAGCACUCCUUUAGAAUUCAAUCAAAAAUUGAGUAGUGUGGAGUUUGAUCAAUACACUGGUGGAUCUGAUGAUGCAGAGCUAGAAGAUGUUACAGCAUACCAAAGAUUGAUUGGUAAAUUGCUGUAUUUGACAAUUACCAGAUCUGACAUUUGUUUCAGUGUUCAAGUUCCGAGUCAGUUCAUGCAACAUCCUAAGGUUUCACAUUGGGAGGCAACAUUAAGGGUAGUAAGAUAUAUUAAAAAAUCCCCAGGACUUGGAGUAAUGCUUAGAAGAGGUACUGGUGUUACAAAACUCACAGGAUACUGUGACUCAGAUUGGGUAUCAUGUCCAAACACAAGAAGGUCAAUAACUGGAUACAUGGUAAAACUUGGAGAUUCUCUUAUUUCGUGGAAAUCAAAGAAGCAGCAGACAGUAAGUAGGAGUUCAGCUGAGGCAGAGUAUAGAAGUCUGGCAGCUCUUGUUGCUGAACUGAUCUGGUUAGCAGGAUUACUUAAUGAAUUACACUUUCCAUGUGCCACUCCAAUUUCAGUGUUCACAGACAGCAAAUCAGCCAUUCAAAUAGCUGAAAAUCAGUUUUCAUGAGCGUACGAAACACAUCGAUAUCGAUUGUCAUUUCAUUCGAGAAAAGGUGAAGUCGGGGUUCAUUGAUAUUCAAUAUUUGUCCACUACCAUGCAGCCUGCUGAUAUUUUGACAAAAGGGCUAGAGGCCAAUCAACAUCAUCUCCUCAUGACCAAACUUGGUGUGCUAGAUGUCUUUCACCCUUCAGUUUGAGGGGGUGUAUUGAAAUGUAGAUAUGAUGAGGUGUAGUUUUAUGAUUGGUUAGUUCAAAUGUUAGUUAGAGUCACAUGUGUUAGUUAGAGUCACAUGCUUGUCACAUGGUUUCCAUUUUUCAGUUAGGUUGUUGUUAUGCUAUCAAAGUUAGUUGAAGAGUUAGUUGCUAACAAACUAACAACAAUUGUAAUCCUCUAUAUAUAGAUGAUGAAGUAUAGAUGUACAUUGGUGAUCAAUAAGAAAAAGAGGAAGAUAGAUAGCUUCCAAAUUCUCCCUACAAACUCUGUCUCUGUGUUUCUUCUUUCUUCUUCUUCUGUUUCUGUUUUUGUAUGAAUUCAGAAACUAUUAAAAUCAAACCAAUUCAAAUAUAAUAAAAAAAAAAUUCAACACCAAAUUAAGUCAAACCACUCAAAUUUGACUCGAUUUGUAAUUUGGUUUGGUUUUUGAUUUAAUUCUGUACCCUAAUAAUAAUCUGUGAUGCAAUGCAUCGAGGUAUCAUUCAGAACGAUUGUUGUAUCUACUCUCACUAUCAUUAAACUUUGUGUAUAUGCGUCAAGAUAUAAAUCUAUUCCUGACCAAUUAGAAAAAUCAAUCGUUAUUUUAUAAAAAGCAUGACCUUAAAUCGAAUUUUAUUUCUUUUAUAUGCAUCAAUCAUCCAAGAAGACCAAUCUAACCUUCGUCUGGUUAGGCAACAUACCAAAUCAUAUAACGUAUCAUAUAUUUUUUUGAAGUUGUGACAUUUUUUCCCAAAUACACUUUCUUCAUCCCAAGUAUAGCAUCAUUAUAUUAAAUGAAAUAUGUGACAAUAAUUUUCAAUAAUGACAUGUUAAACAUGCUAUGAGCUUUUAAACGACCAACAAGAUAUAUUUUAGAUAUAUAGAAAUCUUAAUAUAUCAUGAAUGUCCCAUUUAAUUUGUAAGAUGAACUUAUUAACUCAUUUUCAUAAUUAACACUAAGCAAUUUAUACGAAAUUAAGCAAUAACUUUAAUUUUGGAGAGAAUUAUAGACAAAUUAAUUGUCCCUCACAUGCAUAUAUAAUUUUAUUCAAACCUUUGCUUCAAAUUGUUUUUAUGAUGUGGUAUGACAACCUAAUAAAGUAGUUCAAAGAUCAACAUACUUCAAGUCGAUCUUAUAUAAAGUAAUUUGUCUUGACAGUUCCAAUUGACAACCAACCGUUUCCAACAUAUUCAAGCUAUAUUUAUUAAUAACGCAAUCACCAAAGAAAUUAAUGUUACGAAGCCAAAUUAAGUGACGACUUCUGAAAAUUAUAGUUUUAAAUAAUUUUCACAGUGUUUUCCUUAAAAAAGCCCUCAAAACUCAAUAGUUACAUCAAUAUUGAAAUAAAUAUCUUAACCUUAAUUUUCGGCUCCCAUAUAAUUAGGCUGACAGUUCAACAAUCGAAACAAAAAGACAUAAAAAUAAAAAGAAAAAGAAAAAAUUGACCUAGAAAAAUCUCCAGCCAUUUCCUUUCUUAUAUAACAUCACAAUGAACAUUUGAAGGUGUUAAUUUAGGAAAAAUCGACAUCAUUUUUCUUUUCUUUGUUUACGAAAUGUUAAUGAACACUUGUCACUUGAAGAUAUAUGUGUCAUUUGAGAGUCAUUUACUAAUUAAGAUUUAAACUCCUACCAAGUACAUUAUACAUUAUACAUACUGUUAAGAAUAUUACUUUUGGGCGAUAUGUUUUCGUCAUUGAUGUGUGAUUAGUCUCUUCAUUAUAUUUUAAUAUUUCCAUUCAAAUAAGAAAAAACAGUUUAACCUUUUACACACUUUUAGGAUAUUUUUCAUUUUGUGCAGGUAGUUAUUCAUAGUGUGGAGCUACGGAGAAAAGGGGAUUCAAUUAAAUCGUCAUUUCGUUAAAACAUUAAUUAGUAGUACUAUAUAAAUAAGAGUGUUCUUUAAAAAAUUACUAUAUUCUCCUUUUGUUCUAUUUUGUUGACACAUUUUUCUUUUUAGCUUGUCAAAAAAAAAGAACGACAUGAUUCGUAGGUAUAUAAAUAUAUAAGAUUGAUCAUAAGUUCAAAUGUACUAUAUUUAGGCUAGACCUACUUAUUAUUUUCUGUUUAUUAAUGUUUAUUAUAGUACUUCAUACACCUUUUUAUAGUCCUACACAAGACCUUUUAGGAAAGUUUAAAUCUCUUCAUAUUUUGGUUAUAACACUGUGCUCAAUUAAACAAAGAAUUUUUUCAAUAAGGUGCAGAUAAAUGAGAUUUAAAUUUUGUUUUAGCGUCACAAAUUAAAUGUUGUUGGAAAAAAAUAUUAAUAUUGAUAUUAGAUUGGAAUUAUAAAGUAAUAAAUAACUUAUUACAAAACACUGUGUUGUGGCAAAUCACUAUCUUGAAAGCAAUUUCGGUUCGAUUCCGAUGUAAAUCGUUUGUAGCCGGUCGCUCCGCAAGGUUCCACAGUUACUCUCAAACACGUGCACUCAUGACUGAAAGUUUGAAAUUGCACAAAAAUAACUUCCCAAAAAAUCUACAAUAGGAUGAAGGAUUAUUCAAGCCAAUAAAAGAAAAUUGUUGAGGGUGAGUAAAUGAAAGAUAGAACUUGCUUCUGUUUUUUCUCUGUUUUUAGCUCCAAAUUGAUACUCCUUAAAUAGGAAAAUCAUUUACGUUUCAUUCAUCAAAAGAAUGUAAGAAACUAACGUAUAAUUAAUGUAAUGGAACAUAACUCUUACUUCAAUGACAAAUUUGUCAUAAUAUAAAAGUAACUUCAAGUUCAAAUAAAUGUGAUCCAUUAAUGAGAAAGUAACUUUCCUAUUUCACAUAUAUUAACGACUUAGCAAUGUUCACAUAGAUAAAUUAUGGAAAGUUAAAAGGUAUAAUUUAUCCUUUGCAUUAAAAAAAAAAGGAAUAUUAUCCACAAAUGUAAUAUUCUAUUUUAUUUUAAAUCCUUUCUUUAUAAAGUUUAAUCUAACUUUGUGAAUAAAUUAUUUUAUUAUCUAUCUAUAAGAUGUGAGAGUAAUUCAAAAAAGAUAUGUACUAUUUUCAUUAUAACACAAGAAUUGUUAUAAUAAUGCGCAUUCCUAUCACGAAUCUUCAAAUAAGAUAUUCAUGCAUGGCCAUGCCAUAAAUAAAAUCAUUAUAUAAAAAGUUCCUACCAAUAGAAGCAUCAAGGUUCGAAAUUAAACAAAUUCAGAUACAGUAAACUCAUGUCAAAACAAAAAAUAUUAUAAUAAUAAGAAAAAAAUGAACUCAAAAGUUAAAUAAGUCCAAAUACAAUAUAACUAAUUCCUAAAGUAAAUUUCUAUGGUUAGAGAUUCACAUUACAAAAUUAAAUUUUAAUUAUUUAUUUUAGCCUAUAUAUUAUCUUAGAAAAAAUAGAGAGAGGAGAAAUAAAAAAGAAGUCCAAUUCAUAUAAAAAUUCAAAUUUAAAAUCAAAAAUCUAAAAGUCAAAUAAAAAAAUUCAGCAAAACAGAAUUCCCGUUUCAGAUUCGUGUUUUCACAAAACUGCGCCCACCCCUACGACCUACGAGGAAUGUCCUUGGCAGCACGCCAGAAACACAUACAUGAACUCGCAUAAUAAUUAACCGUUUUUUAAUUUAAUAAUAUCCACAAAACUUUUCUAUAAAUUCAGAAUAUCCCCCAUCCCUAAAUUCACUAUCACUCAAUUAAUUAUUUUAGUUAUCGAGAGAUGACAGGUGGUUAUUUUUUCACAUAUUUUCUUAUUUCAAUUGCGUUGAUAAUUUCUUCUAAUAAUUCGAAUUCAGUUUCCGCCGCAAGGCCAGCAUCGGGAGAAACAAAUACGGAUUUUAUCCGAACCUCCUGUAAGUCAACCACUUAUCCAACUCUGUGUUUCAGUUCAUUAUCAAGCCGUUCAAGUGCUAUUGGAGUUUCUCCACAACUUUUAGCCCAUGAAUCUCUCUCCGUUAGCCUCGAAACAGCUCAAUCAACCUCCGCUAUGAUGUUGAAAUUGUCACACAGUCAAGGCAUGACGCCCAGAGAAGUAGGCGCCAUGCGUGACUGUGUGGAGGAAUUAAGUGACGCAGUGAGUGGAAUUAAAAAAUCUUUAGGGGAAAUGAAGGAAUUGAAGGGAAAAGAUUUUGAUUUGAAAAUGAAUGAUAUUCAAACAUGGGUGAGUGCCGCCUUGACGGACGAGGACACGUGUACCGAAGGGUUCGCCGGAAAAGUGAUGAACGGGAAAGUUAAAACAGUGGUGAGAGGAAAAAUACUUGAAGUUGCUCAGUUGACAAGUAAUGCUUUGGCUUUGAUCAACAGACUUGCUGCCAUUCACGGAUAAAGUGUAAUUAAUUUAUUAAUUAAAACAUACAAUUAAGUAUAUAAAUAUGCAUAUAUGUUUUUAAUGAAUCUUCAUUUAGAAAAAAGUUUAGUUAAUUCAUGAUCAGUUCAUUGCUGUAAUGUAUUAGAUAAGAUGUUUUGUUUGUGAUGAAUUUCUUAAAUGAAAAUGUUCCGUUGCAUGCAUAAGUGUACUGGGUAGUAAUCCUCCAAUUGAGUAUAAUUAAUUCUUAACUAUUUUGAAUUAAAAUAUUUUAGUGUGAUUAGGGACGGAAUUUAAGUAAACAGGAAGGGUUUUUAAAUCAUGUUAUUUCAAAUUAAAAUAAAUUAACUUUUAUAAUCUUAAUCAUGCCAAGCAAAAUAUUGAAAUUUAAAACUUAUCAUAAAAGAAUAAAAGAAAAAUAUUAAUAUUUGAACUGAGGGAGUACUGGUUUGAGCGUAAAAUAUCUGUUUUUGCUAAAGCUUUGUAAAUACUUUUUAAUUAUCUUCAAUCUCUAUUUAUUAUAAGUUAUAUUCCUUUUAUUUUAAUUUAUUUACUUUAAUAUUCCUUUUAGCUCAUUUAAAAAGAAUGUUUCUUAUUCUUUUGUUAACUUUAUAAUUUUAAUUUUUCAUAUAAAAAGUUUAAAAUCAUAAAAUAAAAAAACAUUUUGAUAUAUUCAUUUAAAUUUUAAUUUUAAUUUUUUAAAAAACUUUCUUAAUCCAUAUAAUGAAAAAAUAAUAAUUAAGGGGUAAAUUACGUGUACGAGUAAACAUGUGUACGAGUAAACAUAUACUAGUUAAUUAAUUUUUUUUAUAUAUAAGCAAACAUAUAGAAAACAUAGCUAUAUUUUGUCUUACUUCCAAUUCACAACCUAUUUUUAUCUAUAAUUAUGUGGCUCAACUUUUUUGUUUUGUAUAAUUCACACGCUUGUAUUAUAAUUUGUAUAACUUUUGUAUUAUUGAGAAUUUGUAUAACUGUUCACACUUCUGAUAUUUGUAAUUAUAUAAAUUUGUUCUUUCGAUUUUUAUAAAAAUAACUGAAUUAUACAAGUGUAUCCGUAAAUAAUAUAAACCUGCGAAUGAUACAAAUUCGCGAAUUAUACAAACGAGACAAUUUAAACUGUAGCUACAAUCGUAAAUUAAAUAUGCAAACUACAACUGUGAAACAUAAUUAAGUUUGUUAUAAUGACUUUUUGAGAAAUGAUAGAAUAUGAUAGAAUCGAUAAUUCAUGUUUUGAUGAUAGACAAGAAGCACAAAUAAUAAGUAGCAAAUGUACGCAGCAAAAGAAGCCAAGCUCGAGUCCAAGAUCGAGUAAAAUGGGUCAGCCAAGUAAUCAAGAAAAUAAAGUUAUUUGUCAAAGUCAAAAAUAAUAUAUUAAAGGUACAAGUUAAUACAAAUAAGGAAAACCUUAAAUAUAUUAUUAAGGAAGGAAGUUGUCUAUAAUAAGGAUUCUAAUUUAAAAAAAAAAAAGGAAUCCUUGUUUAAACAUAACUUUCUUACCUUAUCAGUAAGGAUUGUACAAGGCAAAAACUCGAUAAGAAGAGCACGAGGCAGAAGAAAAAAGACGACGACUUCACGCAGAGAACAAGGGAGAAUUAUUCAUCAAAUUGAAGUCUUCAAGGUUGAUAGGAUUACUACGUUUAAAACAUUCUUGAGUAAGAAGGUUUUAUCGUGUAGAACUAUUUGUCUUGUUUUUGUUCUUAUUUGUAGUUUACAGUUUAUUGUACAAAGGGUGGGUUUGGCUCUUUGUAGGGUUGAGUGUUAGUAAGAGUUGUAACAAAAGGUGGAUUUGGCCUUUUGGAGAGAUCGAUUGGAAUCAAUCGAGGGAGUAGUAGAGAUAAUAAGACUUUUGAUUAUUGAGUUGUAAUCACAAAAUCUUAUAGUUGAAUUAAUAAAACGAGGUUUUUCCUUCCUUGAGUGAGGAAGGUUUUUAAUUCAAUAAGUGUUUGUGUCUUUACUCUGUCUUUACUUAAAAGCAACUUACACGAACCUGGUUCGUGUUCUGAGAUAAGGUUUCUUCAAGAAAGUUUCCCAAAAUUAAGAUCCAUUUUAAAAGAUAAAUCAAUUUUAUAUAUAUAUAUAUAUAUAUAUAUAUAUAUAUGUUUAUCCACAGUGGAUAUAUUUCCAGAUUGGAUGCACUUUUCAGCUGAGCUGUAAAGGAUAAACAUGGCCCUAUGCCCUUGAUUUUGACAUCACUAUCAACUUGUGCAAGAGGGUUUACUCCUAAUUCGAUAAGUUUCGAGAGGGAGCUUAAAAUGGAUCCAAUCUGAAAUUAAGGGCAUAGGGCCAUGUUUAUACUUUACAGUUCAGCUGAAAAGUGCAUCCAAUCUGGAAAUAUAUCCACUGUUUAUAUAUGAGUGUGGACAACUAUACACAGGGUGAAGCUAUAGUGGUGUUAGGGUGUCCAAUCUUUCGUUGAAAAAUUAUAUUGUAUAUAUAAAUAAAAUGAUAAUAUAAAUAAUUAUUUAGUACAUUUAAGACACCCUAAACACAUAAAGUAUGUGUAGCCUAGUGAUUCCUAGGACUGACGAGGUAGCGUAGUUUGGGACCGGGGUUGCAAGUUUGAUUCUCACCUAUAACUUUUUCUCCGUUAUUCUAUUUAAUAUAUUUUAAAAAAAUUUAGUUAUUUUCUAAAUCUAAAUAAUACUUAAUAAAUUGUUAUUAGAAAUAAUAAAAAUUAAUAUUAUCUGAUAAAAUAAUCCUUAGUUAGAUCCAAUUUAAGAAAAUAAAGGGUCGCAAAUUCGAUUCUCAACAACAAUUUUUCUCCUUUAUGCUAUUUUUAUAUUUAAAAAGAGUUCUUUUUAUAGUUAUUUUCUAAAUCUAAAUAAUAGUUCAUAAAUAUAUUAUUAGAAAUAAUACAAAAUUAAUAUUAUUAGAUAAAAUAAUCCUUAAUUAGCUAUAAUUUUAAAAAAACAUAUGGUCGCAAGUUCGAUUGUCACCACUAGCUUUUUCUCAUUUAUGCUAUUUUUUAAUUUUAAAAAGAGUUUAUUUUGUUAUUGUCUAAAUCUAAAUAAUAGUUAAUAAAUUUGUUAUUAGAAAUAACACAAAAUUAAUUUGAUAAAAUGAUUCUUUAUUAAAUAAAAUAUAAGAAAAUAAAUUAAAAAUUUAGCAGCCAAAAUUUUAAUUGAUGUGACUUUGACUUUUUUUAAUUAAAAUUUGAAUAAAAGUAUUUUUUAUUUAACUUAAGUUAAUAAACAACCUUGAAAUAUUUAUAUAAAAUAACAAAACACAAAAAAGCGUUCAUAUAGAAUUCUUUUUUUUAAAAAAUUGUUUGAUUAUACUCUUUACUUUAAUAUGUCUCGUUGUUACAGUCUUUGUUGCUUGGAGCGUAAAAAUAAUGUCAUUCUAAGUUGAAUUUUCUCCUUCUUUCUCUCUUUUUUGUUUAGUCCAAUCACGUCAUACUAAACUAAAAUACACAUUAAAACGUAUAUAGUUUGAUUUUAAAAAUGUGCAAUACACCCAUUGUCACGACCCAAAAAUGGGCGUGAUGGCACUCGUCUUAUCCUACCAAGACAAGUCAGUCUAAAACCCAAUAUCUAACAAAGUGCGGAAGUAAAUGACAAUCCAACAACAAUUUCUAUAAAAGAAAACCAAGUCAUAUUAAUUCAAUCCCCAAAACCAGGUUGUCACGUGCACAAGCCUCUAAUAUAAAAAUUAGAAUUGGAACAAAGUAGAAAUCUAAAUGAAGUUGUCUUUCAAGUAAAAACAAAGUCAUAAACUGGAGUAGGAAAGUUCGCUGAGAUGACAAGCAGCUACCUCACAAUACUCCACAAGAUACCUCGGAAACGAAGAGAAUGGAAGGUAUCACAAAAAUCCCGGCUCGUAACCUACAAAAAUUUGUAGAAGCAAGGGGUGAGUACCAAACCACGCGGUACCCAACAAACAAACCUCUAAACACAAGUUAAGUGAACAAAAUAUGGGUACUCCUUACACCCUAUCUAAACCUCCACGCUACAGCCUAACAGUUUACCAAACACACCACUCAAUAACCACACUCUAUCAGUUUACACAUUCUCAAUAACAACUCAAUAUUCAACAAUCACAAAAUUCACAGAGAAACAAUCACAAGAUCAGCAAAACACAUGUUCAAGUUCAUUAAUAAUAAAAUGUGCAAUGUCAUGAGAUGCAAUGUCAAGUAUAAUGAUGCAUGUCUUUCUUAACGAUACACACCCGCUGUCUCUCAGUCCGGGACCCAUGGGGGACAUAUCUGUCCAUGCAUCUGUCGCGGCGCACGACACGACCCUCGAUAAUAGUAACCUUCGCGGCGCGCGAUACGUCCCUCGAAAUAUAAUAUCCAUCGCGGCGCGUGAUACGACCCUCGAAAAUAGUACAUCCUCUUACCACAACCAUGUCUCAGAUACAAUGCAAAUGACAUGCUCAAAUGAAAAGGAGGAGAUAACCAUUUGAUAACAAAGCACAAUUUGCAACAAGAAAUACAACACUAACAAAUAAGCAACAAGUCUCCAAAUCAUUCUCAACAUUACACAAGGAAAUACACGAAUUUCGUACGCUUAACAAGAGUUUAGAAAUCCACUUGCCUUAGCCAAUCGAAUAAUUACUCUUGGACUUGAGCCUUCCCUUUCUGUUGAGCUUCUGAACCAAUGAAAUCUAUUCAAGUAUAUAUUCACAAUAAGGUUUCAGAACUAACAACACUCACACUUUUAUGCGUUUAACCUUGACCUAAGAAUUCACUAGAAUUUAUAAUUGAAUUCGUAAAUCUUGAUGCCAAUUAACAUUUCAACUAUCAUAAUUUUUCAAGUUCCGAAUCUAAGGUGGAGUCCACUCUUCUCAAUAUCAUAAUUUGAAUUAUAUUCAUAUAGUAUAAUAUACUUAAUACUUAUUCAUAUGCACCCAAUAUUAUAUAUAAUAGUUAAAGUUGUAACACGAUGUUCAUAAGAGAUUUCCAACAUGAAACUAAAACACGAAAAAGGUAUCAAUUUAGGUAAGAAUCUUACGACCCACUCUUCUAUGAAUUCUCAUAAUAAUUGUGCAUAAUUGAUCCACUAUUUCAAACCUCACAGUGAUAUAUAAUAAAUUCCUAGCUAAUAAAUCAAUUAGGUUAGCCAAUCAUACCCUAAACCCUUUGAAAAUUGAUUAGCCAAUACUCACUUUCUCAAAUUCUAUAAGAAAACGACAAACACAUACAUAAAUUUUCUCUGCCAAGAACUUAUUCCAAAUCUCCAAACCCCAAAUUCAAUUCUAAUAUAAUAUUAAUAUAUAUGUGUGUGUGUGUGUGUGUGAACAACAAUUAAUGCUAGUAUGCAAAGCAAUUAAUGCUGCAUCAUAUGAGAAAUUAGAAAAGCUUCAAAUGAUUUUGUUUUUCUUUACUGUUCACGUGACUUUUCUGUUAUUUUUUUUAACAUGCAAUCUGCUUUCAUUGUUGUACACACACACAUAUAUAUAUAUAAAAUUUAAUAUAUAAUAUUGAUAUGUAUGCACAUGUAUGUGCAGAAAAUAAGAAACUAAAGAAAACGAAACUUACCUUAAGCAGUUCGCAGCCGCAAGUGCAGAGACACCCUUUGUCUCUUUUUUUUUCUUUUCCUUAUUUGAAUUUAUUAAGUACUAAUUGUGAUAGGUUUUACCCACAUAUUUUAUUAAAUAAAGGGUAACUAGUAUAGGGUCUUAAAUAAAUUAUCACUUUAGCCCAUAAACUAUCGAUUAAUUAACUCAAGUUAAGCAAAUAUUCAAAAUUUCCAAAAAUGACCUUCCGGGUCAUUACAUCAAUUUGUUAUUUUUUUAAGGCAAAAGUAUUCAUUACCCCCUGAACUUGAAGCUUUUUAUACAAUGUACACCUAAACUUUAUUUGGUUUUAAUUACCCCCCUGAACUUGCUUAUUCAUCCUACACGUACACCUUUUUCGUCCACUCAAUAUGAUCGCGUCUACACGCGCAUGACACGUAGAUAAAUAAUUUACCACCUAGAUAAAUAAUUUGCCACCUAGAUAAUUAUUAUGUUACCUAGAUAAUACCGACCUUCAAAUGUAAACUUUUGAAAGAAGCUUCUCGAUUUUCUCUGAACCUCUCUUUGAUCUUCCCUAAACCUAUCUUUGAUCUUUCCUAAACCUCUCUUUGAUCUUCCCUAAAUCUCUGACGAAAGUGUAAUCGACAAAGUAACGAGUAGAUUUGUGCCAUUAGAGAGUUCGUGAAGUGUUUAGUCGAUUUUCUCUAAACCUCUCUUUGAUUUUUCCUAAAUCUCUCUUUGAUUUUCUGUAAACCUCUCACGAAAGUGUAAUCGAUAAAGUAACGAGUAGAUUUGGCAAGUGUAUUCGACAAAGUAACGGUAGAUUUGUGCCAGUUGCAGUUCGUGAAGUGUUUGGUCGUUUUUCUUUGGAUCUUGUCUGAAAUUGUGUCUACAAGUAAGUGAUUAUUCACUCGAUUUCGCGUAGUCUUGAUGUAUUGUUGUCUGUUUUCUUUACUUUUUCAUACAUAUUUUGCCUAUUUUUCCUAUUUCGUUUAACGUUUCGCCAUAGUUUCCGAUUAGGGGUCUAAUACUUUUCAACUAUAAUUUUCACUUAAUGAAUAUAUUAUUAUGAAGCUUUUUACCUUAUUCAUGCAUAAAAUUUAGGCUUUUUGGUAAAAUUAAGGUUCUAAGUAUUAGGGUUUCUGGUAUUGUUAAAUGGUGGGGUAUUUUAUAAUUGGCAACCUUUAUAAUUUGUUUAAGUAUAUUGUGUGGGAUGCCUAUUGUAUGUUGUUGAGUAAUACAUCUACUAUCCUAAGUACCAAUUGUUGCUUAUGUUUUGGUGUUAUUAUAUAUGUUUCGAUUUUGUUGCUUGCAUUGUACAAUAUACUGAUUAUUAUUGUGAUUAUAGGUUGACAGUAUGACUAGUAAGUACCUCAAUUUAAGGUUCAAAUUUGGGGGUAUGUUGGUGAGUGAGGUAGGUCCAGUAUAUGUUGGGGGUAGGACUGCAUAUGUAGACAAUGUGGAUGAAGAUCAUUUAUCAAUUCCUGAACUUGCAGAUUAUGCUAAGUCUUUUGGGAUUGGUAAGUUAGGAAAAACAUAUGCAGCUCCAUCUCUAGGGGGUGAUAUGGUGGAAUUGAAAAAUGACAUGGACAUUUGUAGCAUGACAUUAUUUAUGCAUGAUGGGGACACAAUAGAUAUUUAUGUGUGUAAUAACACUAUUAUGGAUGAUGUGGGUCCCAGUGAAGGUCAAAUUAGUCAAUCUUUAAGUCAAGUGGUUGAGUCUUUUAAUUCACAUGGGGAAUCUCUAACUGCACAACCAAAAAAAUCAGAUCUAGGUUUAGGUUCCUCUUCUUCCUUUCCAGCUACUGAAAGACUUGAAAAUGAUGGGAUUGCAAGGGUCGAACAAGAAUGCCAACAAGAAAGUGAUGAUGAUUAUUCUUCAAUAGAUUGGACUGAUACUGAAGAAGAAGUUGAACCAACUAUUCAACAAGGAACUGAACCUUCUAUUCAACAAGAAGUUGAGCCAAUUACCCAAGAAAAUGCAGAGGAAGACAUAGACAGUGAUUCUUUCUGUUCUGACCAGUCUAUUGACUAUGGUAGUGAUGUGUAUGAGGAGUUGAGAAUUGUUAAGGAAGAUGUGAGAAAACUUAGAGAAAGUAGGAGGAGAAAGAAGAAGGAAAAACCAAAAGGUUUUUUAGGUGAAGUUGGAUUUGAUGAAGGGUAUGAGGAUAUUGAAAAAGGGAAAAAGAAUUUCAAGGGUAAGCUAACAGAGGAUGAGCCAUACUAUGACAGUUCUGACUGUGAUAGUUUUCAAAGUGAUGAAGAAGAACCUGUUUCUGAUGAUGAACUUGAAGGAAGGAGUUUAAGGGGGAGAAAGAAGAGUAAUAGGGUGGUAUAUGAUUCUUCAUGUGAUAUUGUAAUAUGGCAGUGUGGUUUGAUAUUUGAAAGUGUAAAGCAAUUUAGAGAGGCAGUUACAAAAUAUGCUAUAAAAAAAGGAGUUGAGUUAGAUAAGUAUGUGAAUGAGAGUACUAGAGUGAGAGUGAAGUGUAAAAGUGGUUGUCCAUGGCUGUUGUAUGCAAGCAAGGAAGGAAGGAGUGGGAACUUUACUAUCAAGACAUACAAUCCAAGGCACAAAUGUACCAGGACCACCAAUAAUAUUUUGUGUAAUUGAAAGUUCUUAUGCAAGUAUCUGAAAGAUAGGAUUAUUUCUCAACCUAGUAUAAAAGGGUGGGAGAUACAAGAAUUGGUGAGGAAAGAGUUGAAUGUUCAUGUAGGCAAGGCAAUUUGUUUAAAAACAAGAAAAAUUAUUUUAAAGGAAAUUAUGGGAGAUCAUGUGGCAAAAUUUAACAGAAUCCUAGACUACAAGGAUAUGUUACUCCAAACAAAUCCUGGUAGCACUUGUGUUGUGAAGCUUAAAGAUUCAGAAUCAGGAAAUGGGAUGAAACAAUUUGAGUCUUUUUAUAUUUGUUUUGAUGCUAUGAAAAAUGGUUUUCAACAAGGAUGCAUAAGAUGUAUAGGGCUAGAUGGGUGUUUUCUAAAGGGAAUUUUCAGAGGUCAACUUUUGGUAGCUGUUGCUAAAGAUGCAAACAACCAAAUGUAUCCAAUAGCAUGGGCAGUCAUUGAUACUGAAAGCAAGUUGACAUGGAAAUGGUUCAUGACCAUUCUGAAAGAUGAUCUUAAUCUAGGAAAUGGUUCCCAGCUAACUAUCAUUAGUGAUAUGCAAAAGGUAAUUGAAUAUCUUUCUUUUGUUUAUGUUUCAUGUAAUUGCUAAUUUAAUUUGACUAAAAUUUAACUUGAUUUUUUUGCUUUGCAACUACAGGGACUAAUAGCUGCUGUAGAUGAACUAUUUCCAGAAUGUGUGCUAGACACAUAUUAGCAAAUUGGUCACAAAACUUCAGAGGCUUAGAGAGAAGAAAGAAAUUUUGGGCUUGUGCUAGAUCAACAUUUGAGGCACAAUUUAAGUACAAUAUAAAUGUCCUGUCCAAGCUGAGAAUAGGUAUUGUUGAAUCCCUUAUCAAAUACAACAAGGAGACAUGGUGUAAAGCUUUUAUUCAAACAUUUUCAAAGUGUGAUAGCAUAGAUAAAAACAUGGCAGAGAGUUUCAAUUCUUGGAUCUUGGGACCUAGGAACAAGACCAUUGUAACUAUGUUGGAAGAAAUUAGAGUUAAGGUGAUGAGUAGAGUGAGUAAGUCAAGAGCAUUUGCUGAAACAUGGACAGAUGGAAUAUCUCCAAUGGCAAUGAUGGUAUUCAAUACAAAUGUAACAAGAUCAAUGCAGUGCAACAUUGAAUGGAAAGGUGAUGUUGGAUUUGAAGUGUUAGAAGGGGUAUACACGCAUACUGUGAACUUGGGUCAACAAAAAUGUAGUUGCAGAUCAUGGGAAUUAAAGGAUAUCCCAUGUGCACAUGGUAUAGCAGCAAUGAACCACUUGAAUAUGGAUGCAUCACAAGCAAUAUCUAGUUGGUAUAGAAAAGACACAUAUAUGAAGACAUAUUUUCAUUUCAUUCAACCAGUCCCAAACAUGGAAAUGUGGCCUGAAAGUAGAAACCCAAUGGUUGAACCACCUGAGGCAAGACAAAUGCCUGGUAGGCCACCAAAGAACAGAAGAAGAGAAAUUGGUGAAGUGAGAAAAGCUGGAAAGUUGCCAAGAAUGGGGACAGUAAUGACAUGUUCACUUUGCAAAGGACCAAAUCAUAACAAGAGAAAUUGUCCAAAAAAUCCUAAAACUAAGUCUACACCAAUACCCACUCAAGAGGUACAUUCAUAUUAAUUUGCUUUUAUAAAUUAUGUUAGAUUACUUAUUAAAUUUAAUGUCUUGUUGUGUUCUUUUUUCAAUCAUAUUAGUCCACCACUGGAAAAAAGAGGGGUAGAGGUCAUUAUGAAAGAACAAGCACCAGUAAGACUGGUACAAGAAGAGGUGCAGGAAGUGGUUACAAGAAGAGGCCUAAAGUUGUUGGACAAGGUGUAUUUGUUGCUGAUACUGGAUAUACGUGUAUUAAUGUAAGUGUCUUAUAAACUGUCAAAAUUAUAUUUGUCUUCUAAAUGUGAAUCCUAAAAUAACUAUGUAGUUGAUAUUGCAGUAAGGAUUGUCUAGCAGAAGGAGGGCUAAUACUGGUGUGGUGAGUUCUGCACAUGUGACAGGUGAUAUUGGUUUUAAACCUACCAAGGGACUGAAGUGGAAAGGCAAACAGGCCAUGACUCAAAGACAACUUCAAGUCGAAAGUGUUGUGCGUCGUUUUCAAACCAGAUCAAAAGCUGAUGGCAUUCAAACAAGGUCACAAGCCAAAGGAAAAUCACUCUCAAAGAAAACUUCUUAGUUGUGUGGUUGUGGUGUCCAACCAAACUUGAAAUAGUGUUUUAUGUGGUUUUAUGUGUUGAUGAAUCUAUGGUUUUUCAAACAAACUUAAAGUAGUUACUGUUUUAUGUUUUGCUAGUUAACUUAAGUUAUUGUGGUUGUUGGUUGGUGCUUGUGUGGUUAUUCAACUAACCUUAAAGUAGUGAUUGUUUUAUGUUUUGCUAGUUAACUUAAGUUAUUGUGGUUGUUGGUUGAAACAAUGAAACACUAUGAUGCUUCUUUUUUAUGAUCAAGAAAGCACUAGUUAUGUUAUGUUUGUUGCCUUCAUGUUAUUAUUUCAUGGUAUCAUAGUACCCAUUACAUGUAAUUGUAUUGAUCAGCAAAAACAGCAAAAACAUACAUUAAUAGAAUACCAAACCAAACUAAUCCACAAAAUGAGUACCCUAGAUCUGUUGAACAAGGAACACCAAACCAAACUAAUAACAAUUGCAUUAAAAAAAAAUUCAACGACACACUAAAUAAAAGAACAAUAUCACAUUGCAUAUCAAACUAAUACCCAAAAUCAGUUUCAAUAUCCAUUUGCACUUGAGUUGUUCUUCUUGUUUGUUGGUUUUCUUCAACAAACCCAAAAUUACAAUAUUCGCUUUGGUCGGAAAUUCAGGAUCAUACCAAUCGAAAAACUUACAAGAAUUUCGAAAUGAGGACUGCAUUCAUAAAAUCAAAGUUAAAAAAAUGAAAUUGCAUAAUACGAACUUGUCAAAUAAAAAGCAAAAAAGGAGUAAGAAUACAUACCCCAUAGUGUCUACAACCGAAAAAUCUACGUCCGGAAUUGUCAUUUGUCCAUGAAAUUUUCAGAAUUGGAGGAGCCCCACAUAAACAAACAAGUCUCCUGCUAUUGCUCAUGAAUUUAGCAAUAACAAUUAAAACAAAAAAAGUGAGAAAAAUCUAAAAUUUGAAAAGGGAGAAGGGAAGAAGAAGAAUAAAUAGGUAGAGAAUAGAGAGAGAAAAAAAUCUUAAAAUAACCCAAAUAUUAAAGAAAAAAUUAGAUUUUUAUUUAUACUACCGUUGUAACUUUAUGAUGUGGCAAAAAAUUGCUGUCUCACGCGCCGUCUAGAGUUUGAUUUCAGUUUCUAUGCCAGGUGGAUGGAAAAGGUGUACGUGUAGGAUGAAUAAGCAAGUUCAAGGGGGUAACUAAAACCAAAUAAAGUUUAGAUGUACAUUGUGCAUAAAUGAUCCACUAUUUCAAACCUCAUAGUGAUAUACAAUAAAUUCCUAGCUAAUAAAUCAAUUAGGUUAGCCAAUCAUACCCUAAACCCUUUCAAAAUUGAUUGGCCAAUACUCACUUUCUCAAAUUCUAUAAGAAAACGACAAACACAUUCAUAAAUUUUCGCUGCCAAGAACUUAUUCCAAAUCUCCAAACACCAAAUUCAAUUCUAAUAUAUAUAUAUAUAUAUAUAUAUAUAUAUAUAUAUAUAUAUGCGCACAAGAAUUAAUGCUUGUAUGCAAAGCAAUUAAUGCUGCAUCAUAUGAGAAAUUAGAAAAGCUUCAAAUGGUUUUAUUUUUCUUUACUGUUCACGUGACUUUUCUGUUAUUUUUUUUAACAUGCAAUCUGCUUUCAUUGUUGUACACACAUAUAUAUAUAAUUUAAUAUAUAAUAUUGAUAUAUAUGCACAUGUAUGUGCAGAAAAUAAGAAACUAAAGAAAACGAAACUUACCUUAAGCAGUUCGCAGUCGUAAGUGCAGAGAAACCCUUCGCCACCUUUUUUUUUCUUUUCCUUAUUUGAAUUUAUUAAGUACUAAUUGUGAUAGGUUUUACCCACAUAUUUUAUUAAAUAAAGGCUAACUAGUAUAGGGUCUUAAAUAAAUUAUCACUUUAGUCCAUAAACUAUCGAUUAAUUAACUCAAGUUAAGCAAAUAUUCAAAAUUUCCAAAAAUGACCUUCCGGAUUAUUACACCCAUUUGUUAUUUUUUUAAUUGAUAUAAUUUUUGGACACCCUCAGUAAAAAUUUUUACUACGCCACUGACUACAUAGGUGAUUAUCAACAUGCUUGCUUCACCUAUAUAGUUAUAACAAUCGGGUUUCAUCGUUAUAGAAAUGCUAACAAGAAAAAAAUCGAGGCCGAUAAAACCUUUUCAUAGUGUUGGAUUAAUUUUCUGCAGAUUUGAAGAAAAUCGGAGUCAUCAAGGUGUAGGAAAAUUUGAUAGUAAUUGGUUGAAUUAAAUAUGAAUUUGAUUACAUAAUCGGUUAGAUAACUCAUUAAGAAGUUCAUACGAUUUUACGGAAAUAAAUUUGGAUAAAUAGAUCUCCAGGAAUCUAUUCUGGCGUUUAGGAUAUUUUCUAAGCGUAGUGGGUUAAGAGUGUGAUGUAAAAGGGGAACUAAAACUUCCUUAAGGAGCUCACUACCUCAAAUUCUGCCGUUGCAGCGACACCGCUACAGCGGAAUAGGUACCGCUGUAGCGGACGAGACGGGAAUAAAAUCAUAGGAUUUUUGAGAUUUUUCAAGACGAAGCUCACUAGUUCAAAAGGUACCGCUACAACAAGAUUUGUGUCGUUGCAGCGACGUUGCUACAGUAGUAUGGGUGUCGUUGUAGCUGGACAUACGCAUAACGACUCGUAAAUAAAACCCCUAAACGAUCUUAUUUGAUAAUUUUUGACUUUUAGAGCUAAAGAACGAUCCUUGGGCUAUUCCAACUCGUUUUUCACCAUUCUCUAAGCUAAAGGUAAACUUUUCACUCCCAAAAUUCACUUUUCAAUCUUUAGGACAUAAUAUGAUGGAUCAAUAUUGAUGGAGAAGGAUUUCUUGAUAGAUUUUAUGGGGGUAAUUAACCCUAAUUUGACUACUUGGGAUCAUGAGUUUGAUCUAGGGUUCAUAGAAAUGUUAGUAUUCCGGGUAAUUAGUAAUUGUUUAUUGAUAUCCAUAUUAUUGUGAUUAUUUGUAGACCAAGAUAAGCGGAACGAAUUCGAAAAGGGAAAAAUCAAGUUUCUUAGGGGUUAAGCUUAUUUCGAGGUAGAUGAUGAUUGUGAUUUCGUGAGCUGUGUGAGUUGCAUGUUCUUGCUUCAUUAUGAUAUACUUGCAUGUAUAUGAAUGUCGCAGUAUUGAUCAUGUUGUUGUAAUCGAGAUAUAUGAAGAAAUAUAUCCGUGAAAUCAUGAUGUAAAUGUCUGAUCUUGAUGAUGUACUUGUGAUUGUGAUUGUUUUAUGUGAUUGGGGAUCGAAUUGACACGUUUGACAAGCUAACGUUUAAAAUAUUUUAAAUUAUUAAUUGAUGACGUACUUGCGAUUGGGAUUGUGGUAUGUGACUGUGGAUCAAAUCGUUCGUGUCCACCAAAUUAUAGUACUAUAAAGGUGCAAAGUCCAAAAUAAUUUUAAAAUAUUUUAAAUUGUUAAUUGAUGACGUACUUAUGAUUAUGAUUGUGGUAUGUGAUUGGGGAUCAAAUAGUUCGUGUCCAUCAAUUUCGGACUUGCACCUUUAUAUUUAGUUUGUUGAAUAGUUCAUUAGUAAUUCCUUGUUUAUACUUGAUUAUUCGAGAGUAGUUUUGGUAUGGUACAUUGACUUUGAGGUUUUAGGUUUAUCUUCCACAAAUGCUAGUUGUUAGAUCUUUUGUUUAGUUAUGGAACUUCAUUUUAAGCCAGUUGUUUCCGCAACUUAAAUGCCCUAGUUUUAGAAAUUGCUUUAGUUGGAUAGAAGUGGUGGUUCUCCCACCGGCUUAUAAGUAUGGAUGCCAACCAAAACGGGUUUGGAUCCUGACAAUGGUUCUACGCUUACAUAUACAUUUCUCUAUUUUUUUAGAUUUUCAUUUUAAUUUAUUUAUCUUGCUUUUUAACUUUCUUAUAUAUCUAAAUAUUGCGUUAAAAAUACUAUAAACCAUGCUAAUUGACAACUUAGAAUUCAUAUAAAAUUGAUUGCUUAUAAAAUGAAAUACGAUUGAUUCAUAUAUUAAUCUAUCUAUGUCAUAUAAAAUGGGACAAUAGAAGUAACAUGUAUUAUUUUAAUUUGGAAACUACGUACAUAGUAUUAUAAAUCUCAAUUAUUAAUAACAUAUUGACUCUUGAAAUUUUAUUUGUACUACAUUUAUUGAGACAAGGGGAGUAACAUAUAUUAUUUGCAAAAAUUAGGUAAAAAGUACUAUAAUUUGUAACAAUUAACAAUUUAAAAUUAUUUCAAAAUUUAAUUGACUCUCUAAAUUUUAUCUAUAUUACAUUAAGUGGGGGAAAAAAACAAUAAAUACUAGACCCGUGCUAGCACAAACACUUUUAUCUAGUAAUCUAUAUAUCAGUAGGAAACAAUUUGAGGGAAAUUAAGAAACUAAAGCUUUUACAAAAUUUUUAAUCAGAUAACACGAAAAUGACCUUAAAUAGAAAGUUAUUGAGAUAGUAAACAAAGCUAAAAAGUCAGUAGAUAAUUGACGUUCUCCCUCUUUUAUGUACGAGAGUAGGGGCUAGCCUCAUUUUUCCCUCUUCUCACUACUGGUAGAAUUAUUUAGUAACUAUAUAGGUUCUUAUCAUAUUAUGUUUAAUACUAUUUGUUGUUUUAUUUGUUUUCUAUCUUGUAGUUUGUUACAUUUUUCUUGCAAUCUUACAUUAGUAAUAUUUUUUUUGAAUUUAUAGUCUUUCAAAAAUAAUUUUUAAAUCUCACAAAAAUAAAAAUAAAGUCUACAUACAUUCUAAAUUCAAUAUGUAGCCAGCCACCAUAUAAACGUUGUCACGAAGAAGAACAACAUAUUACACAUAUUUAUGAAGAAGAACAACAUAUUACACAUGAAUAUGUUGUACUUUUGUAACGACCUGUUUAGUCGUUUUGAGCAGCAGAUUUUAUUUCUUGAAAACUGGCUGAGACGACGGACCUCACGACGGACCGUCAAGGGUGUCUCGUUCCAAAACACUUGGGAAUUCUGAAAUUUGAGUGCUGAAAUCGACUCUCUGAACUCUGUGACGGACCUGCAGGACGGACCGUCACAGGCACGACGAACCGUCGUGAUCCGCCGUUUCAAAACACUUCAACUCUUGAGAAUUUGGUACAGGAAACGAUUCUCUGAACGUCGUGACGGAAGUGCAGGACGGACCGUCGUAGGUACGACGGGCCUUCACAGACUCCUUAAGGAAAUCGAGUCUCUGACGAACCUGCAUGACAGACCGUCGCAGGCGCGACGGGCCGUCACAGGUUGCGUAAUCCCUGUCGGAGUCGGAUUUCUGGUUAUGUUUUAAAGGGGCGUUUUGGAAUAUUCCUGCUAUAAUUAUAUACUUCGUGGGUUUAUAUUAAUAAUUGAAUUUCUUGGGGGAUAAAAGAGGUAACCUUGAGUUAAAUUGUGGGUUAUUAUUGUCAUCUUUUACACUUAAUUACAUGUUAAUUAGGGUAAAAGAAAGAGGGUUUGAAUAAGAAAAAGAAAAGAGUAGAAAGAGAGAGAAGGAGAAUCGAUAGAGAGAGACGAACGAAAAGGAAAAACAAAAGCUUGAGAAAUUUGCUUGCUUGAUCACGAAUCUUCGGUGGAGGUAGGUUAUGGUUUCUCUUACGAUAUUCGUAGUAAACUCUUAAUAGCGAAUGAUAUGUAUUGAUAAUAUUGUAAACCCUGCUAUGUGCUUAAUUGUAUGCUUGCAUGAAUGUAAUUAUAUAAUUGUGAUUAUAUAAGCAUGAUGAAGUUAUUGAAUCCCAAAUCUUGAAAAACCCUAAUCUCUUUGUUAAUGAUGAUGCCUUGGUAUAAAAGAAGUCUUGAUGAACUAAAGUAAUGAGAUGAUGAUGCCUUGGUAUAAAAGAAGGCUUGAUGAACUAAAGUAAUGAGAUGAUGAUGCCUUGGUAUAAGAGAAGGCUAGAUGAAUUAAUUGAAUGAGAUUAGCGGAUCGGUUGUCACGAACCGACACAUAGAAUUAGUGGGACGGGUGUCACGAAUCGACACAUAGAAUUAGUGGAUCGGGUGUCACGAACCGACACAUAGAAUUAGUGGAUCGGGUGUCACGAACCGACAUAUUGAAUUAGUGGGACGGGUGUCACAAACCGACACAUAGAAUUAAUGGAUCGGGUGUCACGAACUGACACAUAAAAUUAGUGGAUCGGGUGUCACAAACCGACACAUAGAAUUAGUGGGACGGAUGUCACGAACCGACACAUAGAAUUAGUGGAUCGGGUGUCACGAACCUACACAUAGAAUUAGUGGAUCGGGUGUCACGAACCGACACAUAUAAUUAGUGGGACAGGUGUCACGAACCGACACAUAGAAUUAGUAAAUCGGGUGUCACGAACCGACACAUAGAAUUAGUGGAUCGAGUGUCACAAACCGACACAUAGAAUUAGUGGGACGGGUGUCACAAACUGACACAUAGAAUUAGUGGAUCGGGUGUCACGAACCGACACGUAGAUGUAGGGGAUCGGAGUGUCACGUACCGACACAAGAGAAAUAAAGAUAAUGAAUCUUGAAAGAUGUUAAUAUACUCAAUCUAAUGAACAUAAUUCCCAAAUGAGUAUGGUAUUAAGGCUUGAGUCCUCAUGUGUGAACUUGACGGUAAUUGAUUAUGACAUAGUACUUGUUGUUGCUACAUGUUGAGUAUCAUAGUUGAUUUUAUGAUAUUACUUGGUAUAUAUUGAUUUCUAUUUUGAGUUGGCCGAUGAUAUCUACUCAGUACCCGUGUUUUGUACUGACCACUACUUUUAUGUUUUCUUCUUGUUUAAUUGUAGAGUGCAGCAAACGUGCCGUCAUCUUCGACUCAACAGUAACUCUAGUCAGUCUUCAGAUUUGAACUGGGGAAAAAAGGAUUUGCAGUCCUCUGCCUUACCACUCGGCCAUGUCGCCAAAAUGCUACAAAUAUUACUCCGGAUAUCAGGGUGAGCUAAUGCUUCUAGCUUGGACUGGAUCUUCCUCUUCAUGUCUUGAUGCCUUGAAGUUCCGGCAUGGACUAGCUUUUAUGUAUCUUUAGCUUCUUAGAAACUCUUAGAUUUAGUAAUUUGAAGUAGAUGUUCUUGUGAUUAUGACUUCCAGAUUUUGGGAAAUAAUAGUUAUUGAAUUGGGUUUUAUUAAUGAAUUUAAGUCUUCCGCAUUACUUUAUGUUGAUAGUACAUUGAAAUGUUAAGGUUUAGAUUUGGUUGGUUCGCUCACACAGGAGGGUAAGUGUGGGUGCCAGUCGCGGCCUGAUUUGGGUCGUGACAAACUUGGUAUCAGAGCAUUAGGUUCGUUGGUCUCAUCACACAAGAACGAGUCUAGUAGAGUCUUAAGAAACGGUAGGGGGACGCCUUUACUUUUCUUUGAGAGGCUAUAAGACUUUAGGAAAAAUUCCAUUCUUUCUUUCGUGCUAUUACUUGGGUCCAAUUGGUAUCUAGGUGAUACAAAUUGGUAUCUGACCAUCUUCACUCUAUUUUGCAGAUGGUUAGAACUAGAGCAACAACCGCGCCAAUACCAGCACCGGCGGAACAGGGUGCGUCCGAGCCAGCCACUGGGGCUGUAGCUCGAGGAAGAGCAGCGGCAAAAGGCCGUGGUCGAGGUCGUGGGAGGACGUCCUCUAGGGGAAGAGGACGAGCACCUAGCCCAUCUUAUACUAGGGGCAGUGACUCCUCCACCGACUCAGGAAGUAAUAAGAGAAGGGGAGGAUGGGGAAAAUGAACAAGUGCAGAAUGAGGGAUUGCCACCCCAGCCUACCCCAGAGAUGAUAAAUCAGGUGCUCGCUUAUCUUAGUGGGUUGUCUGAUCAGGGUCAGGCACCUCCAGUGUUUUCUGCACCAACACCUCCGGUUUCAGAGGUACAACAUGCAGCCACUAUGGCUCCUCGUAUGGAUGCCUCAUUGGACAUAGGCACGUUUCCACGUCUGACUACUGGGCCUAUAAUGACAAAUGAUCAGCAUGAACUUUUCAGUAAGUUCUUGAAAUUGAAACCUCCAGUCUUCAAGGGUGCUGAAUCGGAGGAUGCUUAUGAUUUUCUGGUUGACUGUCACGAGCUACUACACAAGAUGGGUAUAGUAGAACGGUUUGGUGUGGAGUUUGUGACUUAUCAGUUUCAAGGAAACGCCAAAAUGUGGUGGCGGUCACAUGUUGAGUGUCAACCAACAGAGGCACCACCUAUGACUUGGGCCUCGUUCUCUAGCUUGUUUAUGGAGAAGUAUAUCCCCCGGACUUUGAGGGAUAGGAAAAGGGAUGAGUUCUUGAGCCUAGAGCAAGGUAGGAUGUUGGUCAAUGCAUAUGAGGCUAAGUUUCGUGCACUAUCCAGAUAUGCCACCCAACUUUGUUUCAGUCCACAAGAGCGGAUUCGUCGUUUUGUGAAGGGGUUGAGGUCAGAGUUGCGGAUUUCAGCCUUAUAGGUAGCGGCUACGACAAAAUCCUUCCAAGAAGUGGUAGAUUUCGUGGUAGAGGUGGAAGGAGUGAAGCCAGAUGAAUUCACCUUGGCAUCGACAUCAAAGAGGUUUCGAAAGGGAGGUGAGCUUAAUGGUUCUUACUCUAGAGGACAGGGUUCCGGAGGUUACUCAGUUCGACCCAUUCAGUCUUCACUACAGACUGUAGUUGGGGGUCUACCUCAGACCGGUCAACACUUCUCUGAGAGACCUAUGCUUGACUCUAGAGAGUGUUAUGGAUGUGGGGAUACUGGACAUAUUAGGAGGAAUUGUCCCAAACAAAGUUAUAGACCCCCAAUAGCUAGAGGUAGAGGUGGUCAUGGUAGAGGCCGUUAUUCUGGAGGACGUGGUGGUCGAGGUAAUGGUGGUCACCAAAACGGUUGGGGUGAUGGGCAAACUGGAGCCACUACAUCACAACAUGGUAGGGGCAACAAACAGACAGGUGAGAGGGCCCAUUGUUAUGCUUUCCCUGGGAGAUCGGAGGCGGAGACAUCUGAUGCUGUCAUCACAGGUAAUCUUCUGGUUUGUGAUUGCAUGGCUUCUGUAUUGUUUGAUCCUAGAUCCACAUUUUCUUAUGUAUCUUCCUCAUUUGCUAAUGGUCUAAAUUUACAUUGUGAAUUACUUGAUAUGCCUAUUCGUGUUUCUACUCCGGUGGGUGAGUCUGUGGUAGUUGAAAAGGUAUAUAGGUCUUGUUUGGUGAACUUUAUGGGGAGCAACACUUAUGUAGAUUUGGUUAUCUUAGAAAUGGUUGAUUUUGAUGUAAUUCUGGGUAUGACUUGGCUUUCUCCGCAAUUUGCGAUCUUGGAUUGUAAUGCUAAAACGGUGACGUUAGCCAAGCCUGGGACAGAUCCGUUAGUGUGGGAGAGUGACUACACUUCCAAUCCGGUGCGUAUCAUCUCCUUUCUUCGUGCUAAGAAAAUGGUUAGUAAAGGGUGUUUAGCUUUCUUGGCACAUCUCAAGGAUGACACUAUCCAAGUACCUUCGAUUGAGUCGGUUUCGGUGGUCCGUGAGUUUCGGGAUGUGUUCCUUGCAGAUCUUCCUGGUAUGCCACCAGAUAGGGAUAUUGACUUCUGUAUUGAUCUUGAACCGGGUACUCGCCCCAUUUCUAUACCCCCUUAUAGAAUGGCUCCCGCGGAGUUAAGAGAGUUAAAAGCCCAACUUCAAGAGUUGUUGAACAAAGGCUUCAUUAGACCAAGUGCAUCUCCUUGGGGUGCUCCGGUUUUGUUUGUGAAGAAGAAGGAUGGGAGUUUUCGGAUGUGCAUAGACUACCGGCAGUUGAACAAGGUAACCAUAAAGAACAAGUAUCCUCUUCCUCGCAUUGAUGACUUAUUCGAUCAGUUAUAAGGUGCUUGUGUCUUCUCUAAGAUUGACUUGAGAUCCGGUUAUUAUCAAUUGAAAAUACGGGCAACCGAUGUGCAAAAGACUGCUUUUAGAACCAGGUAAGGGCAUUACAAAUUUGUAGUGAUGUCUUUUGGUCUUACGAAUGCCCCUGCUGCUUUCAUGAGCUUGAUGAACGGGAUUUUUAAGCCAUAUCUGGAUCUCUUUGUGAUCGCAUUUAUUGAUGACAUACUGAUAUACUCUAAAAGUAAGGAGGAAGAUGAGGAGCAUUUGAGAAUGGUAUUGGAAAUGUUGAGGGAGAAAAAGCUUUAUGCCAAGUUCUCUAAGUGUGAGUUUUGGCUAGAUGUAGUGUCCUUCUUGGGGCACGUGGUUUCUAAGGAUGGAGUGAUGGUGGAUCCUUCCAAGAUUGAGACAGUGAAGAAUUGGGUAAGACCUACUAAUGUGUUAGAAAUAAGGAGCUUUGUUGGUUUAGCUAGCUAUUACCGCUGAUUUGUCAAGGGAUUCUCUUCCAUUGCUUCCCAACUGAUGAACUUGACUAAGCAAAAUGUCCCAUUUGUAUGGUCGGAUGAGUGUGAGGAAAGCUUUCAGAAGCUCAAGACUUUGUUGACUACUGCACCAAUUCUCACCUUGUCAGUGGAAGGUAAGAAUUUCAUUGUCUAUUGUGAUGCAUCCUAUUCGGGUUUGGAUGCAGUGCUAAUUGCAAGAGAAGAAUGUGAUUGCUUAUGCUUCAAGACAAUUAAAAGUGCAUGAACGUAACUAUCUAACUCAUGAUUUGGAAUUGGCCACGGUAGUGUUUGCAUUAAAGCAAUGGAGACACUAUUUAUAUGGGGUUAAGUGUGAGGACUACGAAAUCACUAUUUUGUAUCAUCCGAGGAAGGCGAAUGUUGUAGCGGAUGCUUUAAGUAGAAAGGCGGGAAGCAUGAGAAGUCUAGCUCACUUGCAAGCUUCUAGACGUCCAUUGGCUAGAGAGGUUCAGACUCUAGCUAACGACUUGAUGAGAUUAGAAGUAAAUGAGAAGGGAGGAUUUUUAGCUUGUGUGGAGGCAAGAUCUUCCUUCCUUGACAAGAUUAAGGGAAAGCAGUUUAAUGAUGAAAAAUUGAUCCGGAUCCGAGAUAAAGUGUUGCAAGGAGAGGCUAAAGAAGCGACAAUCGAUGAGGAAGGUGUUUUGAGGAUUAAGGGAAGGGUAUGUGUACCCCGCGUCGAUGAUUUGAUCAACACUAUUCUGACAGAGGCUCAUAGUUCAAGGUAUUCGAUACAUCUGGGUGCAACCAAGAUGUACCGUGACCUAAAGCAACACUUUUGGUGGAGUAGAAUGAAGCGUGAUAUUGUGGAUUUUAUUGCCAAAUGUCCAAACUGUCAACAAGUAAAGUAUGAACACCAAAGGCCCUGAGGAACACUUCAGAGAAUGCCCAUUCCGGAAUGGAAAUGGGAGAGAAUCGCAAUGGACUUCGUGGUUGGUCUUCCAAAGACGAUGGGUAAGUACGACUCUAUUUGGGUGAAUGUUGAUAGGUUAACUAAGUCUGUUCAUUUCAUUCCGAUCAAGGUGACUUAUAAUGCAGAGAAGUUGGCCAAUAUCUAUAUCUCAGAAAUCGUUCGAUUGCAUGGGGUUCCACUAUCCAUCAUAUCAGAUAGAGGUACACAGUUUACUUCUAAGUUUUGGAAAACAUUGCAUGCGGAAUUGGGUACUAGGUUGGACCUUAGUACCGCGUUCCAUCCUCAGACCGGUGGUCAGUCUGAGCGAACGAUUCAAGUGUUGGAGGAUAUUCUUCGUGCGUGUGUGAUAGAAUUUGGUGGCCAUUGGGAUAACUUCUUACCCUUAGCGGAGUUUUCAUACAAUAAUAACUAUCACUCAAGCAUUGAUAUGGCUCCAUUUGAAGCAUUGUAUGGUAGGAGAUGUAGGUCCCCCAUUGGUUGGUUUGAUGCAUUCGAGGUUAGACCUUGGGGUACUGACCUUCUGAGGAAAUCGUUAGAUAAAGUGAAAUCUAUUCAAGAAAAGCUUCUAGCGGCGCAAAGUAGGCAAAAAGAAUAUGCAGAUCGAAAGGUUAGAGACUUAGAGUUCAUGGAGGGUGAACAAGUCUUGUUGAAAGUUUCGCCAAUGAAAGGGGUGAUGCGGUUUGGUAAAAGGGGCAAGCUAAGCCCAAGGUACAUUGGUCCCUUUGAAGUACUUAAGCGAGUAGGGGAGGUGGCUUAUGAGUUAGCCUUGCCUCCAGGGCUGUCCGGAGUACAUCCACUAUUUCAUGUGUCUAUGUUGAAAAGAUACCAUGGGGAUGGAAACUAUAUUAUCCGUUGGGAUUCAGUUUUGCUUGAUGAGAAUUUGUCUUAUGAGGAGGAGCCUGUUGCUAUUUUAGAUAGAGAAAUUCGCAAGUUGAGAUCAAGAGAAAUUGCAUCCAUCAAAGUUCAAUGGAAGAAUCGACCAGUCGAAGAAGCCACUUGGGAGAAAGAGGCGGAUAUGCCUGUUUACAGAUUCAGGUACUCCUUUUCGCCCUUGUUUUCCUUCUUGUGAUCGUUCGGGGACGAACGAUGGGUAAAUUGGUAUCUAAUGUAACGACCUGUUUAGUCGUUUUGAGCAGCAGAUUUUAUUUCUGGAAAACUCGCUGAGACGACGGACCAUCAUGGGUACGACGGACCGUCGAGGGUGUCUCAUUCCAAAACACUUGGGAAUUCUGAAAUUUAAGUGCUGAAAUCGACUCUCUGAACUCUGUGACGAACCUGCAGGACGGACCGUCACAGGCACGACGAACCGUCGUGAUCCGCCGUUUCAAAACACUUCAACUCUUGAGAAUUUGGUACAGGAAACGAUUCUCUGAACGUCGUGACGGAAGUGCAGGACGGACCGUCGUAGGUACGACGGGCCGUCACAGACUCCUUAAGGAAAUCGAGUCUCUGACGAACCUGCAUGACGGACCGUCGCAGGCGCGACGGGCCGUCACAGGUUGCGUAAUCCCAAUCGGAGUCGGAUUUCUGGUUAAGUUUUAAAGGGGCAUUUUGGACUAUUCCUGCUAUGAUUAUAUACUUCGUGGGUUUAUAUUAAUAACUCAAUUUCUUGGGGGAUAAAAGAGGUAACCUUGAGUUAAAUUGUGGGUUAUUAUUGUCAUCUUUUACACUUAAUUACAUGUUAAUUAGGGUAAAAGAAAGAGGGUUUGAAUAAGAAAAAGAAAAGAGUAGAAAGAGAGAGAAGGAGAAUCGAUAGAGAGAGACGAACGAAGAGGAAAAACAAAAGCUUGGGAAAUUUUCUUGCUUGAUCACGAAUCUUCGGUGGAGGUAGGUUAUGGUUUCUCUUACGAUAUUUGUAGUAAACUCUUAAUAGCGAAUGAUAUGUUUUGAUAAUAUUGUAAACCCUUCUAUGUGCUUAAUUGUAUGCUUGCAUGAAUGUAAUUAUAUAAUUGUGAUUAUAUAAGCAUGAUGAAGUUAUUGAAUCCCAAAUCUUGAAAAACCCUAAUCUCUUUGUUAAUGAUGAUGCCUUGGUAUAAAAGAAGGCUUGAUGAACUAAAGUAAUGAGAUGAUGAUGCCUUAGUAUAAAAGAAGGCUUGAUGAACUAAAGUAAUGAGAUGAUGAUGCCUUGGUAUAAGAGAAGGCUAGAUGAAUUAAUAGAAUGAGAUUAGUGGAUCGGGUGUCAGGAACCGACACAUAGAAUUAGUGGAACGGGUGUAACGAACCGACACAUAGAAUUAGUGGGACGGAUGUCACGAACCGACACAUAGAAUUAGUGGGACGGGUGUCACGAACCGACACAUAGAAUUAGUGGAUCGGGUGUCACGAACCGACACAUAGAAUUAGUGGGACGGGUGUCACGAACCGACACAUAGAAUUAGUGGAUCGGGUGUCACGAACCAACACAUAGAAUUAGUGGAUCGGGUGUCACGAACUGACACAUAGAAUUAGUGGGACGGGUGUCACGAACCGACACAUAGAAUUAGUGGAUCGGGUGUCACGAACCGACACAUAGAAUUAGUGGAUCGGGUGUCACGAACCGACACAUAGAAUUAGUGGGACGGGUGUCACAAACCGACACAUAGAAUUAGUGGAUCGGGUGUCACGAACCGACAUAUAGAAUUAGUGGAUCGGGUGUCACGAACCGACACAUAGAAUUAGUGGGACAGGUGUCACGAACCGACACAUAGAAUUAGUGGAUCGGGUGUCACGAACCGACACGUAGACGUAGGGGAUCGGAGUGUCACGUACCGACACAGGAGGACUAAUGAAUAUGAGGGAACGGAGUGUCACGUACCGACACAAGAGAAAUAAAGAUAAUGAAUCUUGAAAUAUGUUAAUAUACUCAAUCUAAUGAACAUAAUUCCCAAAUGAGUAUGGUAUUAAGGCUUGAGUCCUCAUGUGUGAACUUGACGGUAAUUUAUUAUGACAUAGUACUUGUUGUUGCUACAUGUUGAGUAUCAUAGUUGAUUUUAUGAUAUUACUUGGUAUAUAUUGAUUUCUAUUUUGAGUUGACCGAUGAUAUCUAUUCAGUACCCGUGUUUUGUACUGACCCCUACUUUUAUGUUUUCUUCUUGUUUAAUUGUGGAGUGCAGCAAACGUGCCGUCAUCUUCGACUCAACAGUAACUCUAGUCAGUCUUCAUUACUCCGGAUAUCAGGGUGAGCUAAUGCUUCUAGCUUGGACUGGAUCUUCCUCUUCAUGUCUUGAUGCCUUGAAGUUCCGGCAUGGACUAGCUUUUAUGUAUUUUUAGCUUCUUAGAAACUCUUAGAUUUAGUAAUUUGAAGUAGAUGUUCUUGUGAUGAUGACUUCCAGAUUUUGGGAAAUAAUAGUUAUUGAAUUGGUUUUUAUUAAUGAGUUUAAGUCUUCCGCAUUACUUUAUGUUGAUAGUACAUUGAAAUGUUAAGGUUUAGAUUUGGUUGGUUCGCUCACACAGAAGGGUAAGUGUGGGUGACAGUCGCGACCCAAUUUGGAUCGUGACAACUUUCUAGUUUAUGCUUUUUAUUAGAAUUUUAAUUUCAAAAUUAUGUACUUUGAUUUUUUUUUACUAAAGACAAUUAUCAUGAAUAUGUACUUUAUGAUUCACCCACCAAUAUAAAGUACUUAAAUUUGAUUAUGCGAAUGCAAGAGGGCUAAUAUAUAUAGUCGCCUUUUUUUUCUUUUCGAGGUUUCAAAUUUUACGUUUCAAAUGCAAAAAUGUAAUAGUUCAUUUGCUAUUUGUGCAUUGAACUAUUCUUUCCUCUUUUAAUCCUAGUUAAUUAAUAAAAUGGUAUUUACUAAUUUUUGAUUAUAUAUAUAUAUAUAUAUAUAUAUAUAUAUAUAUAUAUAUAUAUAUAUAUAUAUAUAUAUAUAUUUAUUGUGAACUCCUUAUCUAUGUUUGAAUAUGUGCCACUUGAGUUGCGUGAGUGCAUAGAAAUCGAAAGCUGAAUCGAUUUUUUUAUUUUUGUUAUUGAUUAAAUUUUGAAAGCAAAAUCUUUGAAGUGUCAAUAUUUCGUUAGAUUGUCGAUUUUAGUAUUCUGAUAUUUCUAUGAAGUUGUUCUACUGAUUUCCUUUUAUUUUCAAUAAUCCAAUUGAGCGCAUGAAACUGAUAAGUGUGUUUGGAUGGUUGUUACAUGUAGGGUUGUUCAUGGUUAUGGUUAUAAAAUUAAAAUUGUAUUGAAAUUUGAAUUAAAUUAAUUAAAAAAGCAUAUAUUUGAUUUGAUUUGGUUAUGUUUUAAUUUUAAAAUUUUGAAAAAUUGACAUUAUUUGUUUUGAUUUUAUUAAAUAUUAAUCGCAAAAAUAAUCAAAUCGAAAUGAUAAGCUAUAUAUAUAAUUUAUAAUUAUUCGUAAAUAAAAUAUAAGUAUUUUGAUAAAUUUUAAUUAAAUUAAAUCUUUAAUUUUACUAUUUUCUGAAGUCAACAUUUAGGACCCGUUUGGUAGGAAGUAUUAAUCAAAAUAAUCCAUGGAUUAAAAUAUAGUCCAAACAAAAACAUUGUUUGGUUACUUUAUUUAACCUAAUCCAUGGAUUACUAAUACCUUUUACAUGGUCUUAUUUUAUCCCUAGGAAAGGGAGGGAUAGCUAAUCCAAGGUUUAACAAUCCUUGGAUAAGACCCCUAAUGACUAAAUUUUCUCCAAAUCUUUUUUCCUAUUUUUUUUUUUUUGUAAUUCAUGUUCUUUUUUAAUUUAUAUGAGAAUAUUUAUAAUUGUUCAUUUAAUUCUCCAAAUUUAUUCCAUGUAAUUUGAUGAUUUCACAAACUAAUAUUUUUUUCUCCAUGUUUGAGUUGUUAUAUUGGGUUGAUUUUUUGUUUUUUUGUUUUUAAAUGUAGUUCGUCAAUUGACCAUGUAAACUAUUUUCUUUUUAAUUUUUAAAAUAAGCUAAGCGUAUUUGAACAAUUUAAGUAGCCUUAAAUUCAUGUUAAGUUCAAGGUAUAUUUGACCAACAAAAAAUUAGAAAUAUACCAUGUGACAUAACACACCUCAAAAUUAAUAAUAUUUUUGUAUUUUUUUUAAUAUUUAACUUGACUAGUUAAAUGAAACAUAAUCUCACAAUAACUAAAGGGUAUAAUAGGAAAUAAACUUUUUCUAAAGUUUUAAACCAAACAUAAGACUAGGUAGGAAAUAAUGAACCAAACACUUGCUAAAAAAUAAUCCCUGCAUUACUAAACUCUGCAUUACUAAUUCAUGCAUUACUAAUCCAUGCAUUAGUAAUCCCUGCAUUAUGCAUCUUUGUACCAAACGACCCCUUAAUUUUUAGCCCAACUAUUAUAGCCUUAACUCUAAAUCUCUCAAUAUUCAUUACUUUAAUGAUUACACUUUCUUUCUUUAUAAAAUUUCCAAACGUAACACUGAAUAAUUUAAAAUUCAAGCUAAAGAAGAUGAUAAUUGAUUAAUUUUGACUAUGAAAUAAUGAUUGUUAUAUUUUUAAAAAAAAAGUAAUUUCUCAAUAUUUUAAGUUGUGAUUUUAUUGAAAAAUUGGAUAUAAUGUUGAUAUCUCUAGAAUAUUGACCUACUUUAUGUUAUUGACAAUAAAUUUUUUUUUGUUUAUGAAACGUGAUAAAUUGGAUGAAUCAAUUUGUUCAUACAAUAACUUAUUGUGAAUUAUUCAUGCACUAAGUGUUUGUAUCUAUCGAGAUGUGUAUGUCCUCAACAAACUUAUUACUUUCGAAUUGAAAAAUAUCGAAAAAAAAUUGACGAUUCUUUUAUUUGAUUUGAUUUAAUUUUAGAAAUUUAAUAAUCGAUUUAAAUUAAUUAAUUUUAAUUUUAACUGUUAACCUAUCUAAAUCAAAUCAUGAACAACCCCUAAUUAUAUUCACGAUUUUAUAAAGUAUUUAUUUUAAUUUUGUGUUAUAUUGUUUUUUUUCUCAAAAUAUCUAAUAGAUCAUAUCAUUGAAACAAGUUAGGUAAAUGAUAUAUAAAAUACUAUUAUUAAAUAAUAACCAACAUUAAAAUAAGAAAAAAGAAAGAAAAUCAUUACUUUGAAUAAUUUUUUUUGGCUGUUACAUAGCAGUGAAUUAAAAGUAUAAUAUUAUAAAUUUUAGUGACAAUAAAAAUGGACACUAAACAAGCACAACUAACUAUUUUAUUGGAUUUAACAGCCAUCUAAAUUGCCGUAACCAAUUGCCACUAGAACAAAUAUGUUCUAGUGGCACUUUAAUUGUUUUUAUCGGCUAUAAAAAUGGACGCUACAUGAGAAUAACUAACCUCUUAGGAUUGGAUUUAGCAGGCUUAUGAAUUGUCACAUCAAAUUGCCACCAAAUCGAAUGAGUUUUGGCAGCAAAAGAGCUUGGCUUUAUCAACUUUUGUCCAAAAAGCCGCAAAAGCCUUUACCGACCCCUGAUACAGCGACUAAAGUACAUUAGCUAGUAAUGGCUAUAGCGGCCAUAAUUAUAGCUACUAAUACCUUUUUUAAUUGCCGCUAAAUCCCCUUUAUGUUGUAAUAGAAUUUCAUGUUGGUGUGAUGCAUGUUAGUAAUUACUUCAUUUUUAUGCACGUAUAUAUGCAAAUAUUGCAUUAUUGAUCACACUAAUCGUACAUGAGUAUGAAUAAAUAAUUGUAUGCAAAGGAUCAACACUUGAUUAUAUGAUUAUGAGAAUGUACAUUAUGAUUUUGAUUAUGGUAUGUUGAAUGGAUCAAAUGUUACAUUCCAACACACUAACUUGUAUCGGAUGUCAUGUUCUGGCGCAUAUAUGGGAUCGAAUGUUAAGUCUGACACACUAACUUGGAUCGAGUACCACGUAGUGGUACACUAAGAGUUUGGGUAUGGGUUCCUUGAGAUGACCAUUGACUUGUUAUAUUGAUGUAUUUCGAGAAUGUGGAAUUAUUCGUUCAUAUUGAUAAGAUGACUGAUAUAGCAUAUGUUCAUUAUAUCUUUUUUUAUUAUGUUGUGAGUAAUUGCAUAUGUUUCACUUAUUGGGAUAGCCGCGUGAUCCUACCAGUGUACUGUGGUUGUGUACUGAUAUUAUAUUUGCUCUUUCUUUUUUAAGUACAGGGCAUCUUCAAGCGGCUACUGACAAACCUCAUUCAGAAGACCAAUGAUCAAUCGAAUUCAAGGGUGAGCCAGUUAUUCCAGGCGGUCAUAAGUUCUCGUUAUGUUUAGUCUGUUACUAUUCAGACUUAGACAAUACUUUAGUUUUCCUUAUGUUUAAUUGAGUUAUACCCAUUUAAUUUAGACUUAUGGAUUCUUGUUAGAGUUUUCAUUUGGUACAUUGACUUUCAGGUUCUACGGAAUAAUUUUCGCAAUGUUUUGUUAGUCGUUGUUAGAUCUUUUAUAGUUUAUGGAAACUCUAUCUACUCUUGUAUCUAAAUUUGCUUUCGUAUCUUUAAAUGCCUAGUAAUUGAUUGAGUUGUGUAGUUCCUUGGUUAGCUAAUUAGUAUUAAUGGUUCUUACGUUGGAAUAUUAAACUUGCUUUCGUAUCUUUGUACUAAUCCCAACAAUAGUUAUCUAUUAUUCAGGUCCGUGAUAGAGUAAAGUGCAGAAAAUGAAUAACAAAAAGUAAAUCAGGCACAAGAGUUUCAUGUGAAAACCUCCUUGUUUAAGGGUGUAAAAUCACGACCUGUCAAAUAUGACUUAUCAAACGGCUUUCACUAAUUUUCUCAAAGCAAAAAUAAAAACCAGUUUACAACCACACUAGAGAUUAACCUCCUAAUCUCUAAACUAAAGUAAUACAAAUUACUUAAUGAGCCUAACCAAUAAAUCUAUUUCCCCUUAAACUAACCCUACUGAUUAAUAUAGAUUUUUUAUCAUAAGACACAAAUUUACCCUUAACUAUGUUCUUACAAGACUCAAACAGUUUUGAAACAUCUCUAACAAGAGUGAAACGAAUUCUACAAGUUAAGUUCGAUCAAAUACAAACAUUCAAGAACAACAACACGUACGUAAAACACUUCUUCUAUUGAUCAAGUCCUUACUGUAUGUGUUCUUGUGCUUGAGUUCUUACUUGAAGAUGUCUUUUUCCUUUUAAGCUUGUGAGUUUUGUUUGCCAAAUCUUGAGUUUGUGGUUUUUGAGAAGAGACUAUAUAAAAAUCAACACAAACUCGACCUUAAGACAAUCCUAUUGGCUGAAAGUUUGCUGUUUAAAAAAGUUUUGCACCUAUCAUAUCAGAGGUGACAACUUUUAUGACAACUGUCUUAUCACCAUUUCAUAUAAGCAAUCUUUUAAGGAUCAAGUCUCGUGCAACAUUCUUUGUGAGUUCUUGAAUGACUUGCUAACUCUCUUGCUCUUCUGAAUGAAUAAAUAUAAUAUGUUAUUUGUCAUGUUGAAAAUAUUAACCAUAAAGAGUUAUUAACUGUUGGACAAACAACCUCGUCCAUUUUGAUUGGUUCAGUACGUUGGUGUCUCACCAACCAAUGACAUGAUAACUGUAUAGAUGUACGCCAUUAUGCGUAUGAUGAAGAGAACUCUGUCAGGGAUCGGAUCCCAGCGUUUGUGAGCCACUGAAACAUACAGUUUGGCUGCUCAGUAUACUGCACUUUUCACCUACCAUCUGACAUGACAACUUUACAGUUGUACCCUAUUUGAAUCUGAAUGAGAGCAUUCUGCCAGGGACCAGAUCCUUGCAUUUGUGAGAAUCAUCAAACCACCUAGAAUAUAACAAUUAUUGACUUGAAAAACACCUUGAGAAAGAAUACUAGGAAUCAUAUUACUAUAUUAUCCUUUGAAUAUAUUAAAUGUAAUGAUUUGAGAAAUGUAUCAUGUAUUGACUAAUAUUUAAUACCAAAGAUAAAAUAGACACUAAAGGGUAAAGUAUGUCUUGAUUUUCCAAAUUGGUCAAGUACUGUUGUACUACUAUUUUUUGUAAAGUGUAUAAGUAAAUAUGAAUGGAGGGAUCGAGUAAAAGAUAUACUCCCUCUGUUCCUAAUUAUUUGUUCAAUUAUUCUUUUUAACUUGUCUCUUUUAAUUUUACUUGUCUAUUUUGACAAAUAAAUAAAGAAAAAAAUAUCUUCACCUAUUAUACCCUCAAUUAAUUAAUUUUAAAAAAGGUAAAACUUCUUUAACUUUUAAUUCAUCCACUUUAUAAUUAAUUGGGAUAAAAUGAUGAAAUUGACUAUGUCAAUCAUUGUUUUCUUAUAGGUGUUUGAGAUUAAAAAAUGGACAAGUAAUUAAGAACAAAUAUAGUAUUUUGUAAAAAACUGAUCUUGGUAAUAUCACAGACGAUGUACUAUAUAUGUGCUUAGGAGUUAAGGGAGACAAAAUCAAACUCAAUCUAUCCAACCCAUUUAUGUUUGGAUGUGUUAUUGACUCACCCGUUCAUGAGUUCAACCCAUUUCAAUCCAACCCAUUAAGAUCGUUUAGUUGAUAUGUAACCCAAAGCUCAUUAGAAAUAUUGUUAAAAUAUUUUUAUUUUAUUUUUUAAUUUGAUAAGUAAAAUAUAGCCAUAAUUUAUUUAUUUUUAUAAUUUAUUAGAUACUAAAAUAUUUUAAAAGACCAAGUUACCAAUUAAGUUUAGUAAAAUUUGGAUUGGGUUGAAUGUUCACCCGUUAUGUAACCCAUUACUCACCUAUUUUAACCGAAGUAAAUUUGGAUUGAAUUGAAUUGAAUCCUACCCAAUUAUUAUUUUAACCCAUUAUGAUUCAUUUAAAUUUGACUCAACCUGAUCGAUUGCACCCAAUAUGUGCUCUGUUUUUAUGCCUUUUACUUCCUUAUUAAACAGAAACAUUCACUGAACCUAGUUCUUUUACAACAGCGACGCAUAUUAAAAGUUCACAAAAUCUGAUACAAAAGAUGAAAUUCUUGUCAAACACUUUAUACGUGAUAUAUAUAGUAACCCCACUUGCCAAUAAUAAUUUGAAAUAAUAGUCAAACUUUGGUCCCCAAGAACAAACCCACACAAAAUGAUCAAAUGGGUACCCUUUUUAAUUCGUUUAAUAGUUAUCUUUACGGGCCCUAUAGGCUAUAUAUAGUUCUUCAUUAUUCGCAAUGUAUCAAUAAAAGAUCCGUGAAUGUACUUUAUAGUUGAUACAGACCACUUUAGAGUUUAGAUAUUUUAUUUCAAAUACGUACACUUACGAUAUUUUAUUUCGAAUACAUGACUUUAGUGUUUAGAUAUUUUGCACAACCAAUUAUUUAAACAAAAAAAAAAAUCAUAGAUAUAUAAGAAAAAGUGACCUUUGGAUAUUUCAUGGUCUCCAUUAUAAAUACAUAGUGCUAUAAAAGUAAUUAAUACAUGUAUUAUCCAGGACCCAUCUUUAUUAAAGUUUUUAAAUCUUAUUAAUACCAUUAAAUCAAAUCCAAGUAGAUACACGUCUUAAACUGCAUUACGUACAUAAUAUUUUUGUAUUAAACACAAAUUUAGUCGGCAAAAACGUUUAUCCUAAUAUAAUAACGAAACGUGUAUAUGCAUUGGCUACUAAUUAAUUGUCUAAUUUAUUCGGUUUGAACUUUUUUUUUGAAUACAAACAACAUGAUGAUUCAUGCAAAUUAAUUAGUGGACCUAUACCACGAAUUAAUGGUCUUGAAACCCUACCACGUAUUGGAAAAAAAACAUGAUUAAACAUGUUAUUUAGGAAAGUUCAAACUAAACAUCAGGUCGAUUAGUAAUUUAGUUUUAACUAAUGCUACCAAAGAGUCUGAUAACACGUUCAAAUCGCCUAUAUUUUAGUGAUAUUUUAAUCACUCCAAAAAUUUGAACUUCACUCCAUAGAAAUAUGGGUAUUCAUAGAUAAAAUAUGAAUAAACUUAAUGGAUUAUACCGAUUGUCAUGAAACAUACUCUAGAACAGAUUAUCCUUGACAAAAAAUAUAUACUAGAAAAUUAACGUAUCAAUACAAUUCUUAAUUUCUCUUGAUUCUUUUCUUUAAGAAUUCUACAAGAACAUCCCAUCAACUUGGUUCAUUGUAACUAAUUCAGUAAAUUUGAAACCUUAUCUUAAAAUCGGAUUACAUAGCUGCGAAAAUUAAUUUCUCAUGAUCCAAUAAUUCAAACUCCUCUUGCGUACGUAGUAUGAAUAUCUUUACAACAAGUUGGAACUAAAAUUAAAUAUAUGAGGCGUGGUAAAAGUUCAUAAAUUCCUGUACAAAAGAUGCACUUUUUAACAAACACUUGAUAUAUACUCCCACUUGACACCAAUAAUUUGAAAUAAUAGAGAAACUUUGGUCCCCCAAAAACAAACUCACACAAACCGCUUAAGUUUGUUUAAUAGUGGCCGACAGGGCUCUUCGAUGGCGGGUGGUGUGUGUGCUUUUCAUCAACUUUGAUACUUUAGAAUUCUUCUCCACUUUUUCCACUUUGUAUCAUGAUCAUUAACAAUCGAAAUAUUGAUGAUGGAUCUAAAAUUUUUACUAAAAAUAUAAUAUUUAGUGAUUUGAAUUUAAAAUUAAUUGGAAUUUCGUAAACAACAUCUUUGGUUCAAGUCAAAUUUCAAAUGAAAGAAAUCCAAAGAUAUUAACGAUGAAACAAUGAUUUCAGUGAUUUCGUUUUCUAUUAUUUCGUUAUAGAAAAUUCAGAAUCUCUCUUUAUAUAUAUUGUAAUAUUGUUUUAGAUGCCUAGAUCUGCCAAACAACACAAUCGUGUUAGUAACGGAGUUAGUAAUUUGACGAACGAUAUGUAAAUUAAAUACACACUCAUAUUGACUAAAUUUUACUUUUAUACACCAUAUAAUUUUCUAAUGAAGGAUGUACACCGAACUACCAGCCAAAUGGUCUUAGCCCUUGAAUAUGAUAGAGCUCUUCCACUGAGAGAGUUAAAACAUAGAUUGAAGCUGGGUGUACUUCAAAAUUUUAAGCUUCGUCCACUUAUGUAUAUUAAAUCUAAAGUGAAGUAUGUAAUUAAACUAUGUGCAUAUGGUUUUUCCUUAUCGGCAAUCAAUAAUGUUGAUAAUGGGGCCUCCUCCUUAUAUGCACAUCACAUGCGUUAAAGCUCAAGUUUGAUCAGUGUACUUUCCCGAUACAGACCACUUAAAGUUUAGAUAUUUUGUUUCAAAAUACUGUUUAGAUAUUUUAUAUAUAUAUAUAUAUAUAACAGAUAAUAAAAAGGAGAAAUUACAUAUUUAAGCAAAUAUAUUAGUUAAUUAGUCAUCACAGUUAUAAUUUUAGUUAAUUACUAUCCAUAACCAACAUUAAGUGAUAAUUACAUGAAUUGGAGUUUUGAGUUUGUAUAAUUCACACGUUUGUAUAAUUCAGUAGUUGUAUAAUAUAUAAUUUAUAUAACUAUUUAAAGUUUAGAUGUUUAUGUUUGUUUGAAUAUGUUAUUUUGAUUUUAUACAAAAAUAACUAAAUUAUACAAACAUACCCAUGAAUUAUACAUAUUCACCAGCAAAUUAUAUAAAGAAGCAUCUUAAACGGCAGCUACAACCUACAAUCCAUAAAUGUACAAGCUGUCUCUAUAAAACAUAACUAAAUUUAUUAUAUAUUUGACUAUUUGUGAAAGUUCCUCGGAUAAAAAAAAAAGGAUCGACCUUUGAAUAUCUCCUCUUAUUAUUAAGAAGCCCGUCGUGUUAUAAAAGUAAUUAAUACAUAUAUUAUCCAGGAUCCACACCUUUCACCAGCACUAAAUAUCUUCUUCCUUAUUAGAGUAUAGUUUAAGCCCCAUUUUGUGACCAUCAAAUGUAGUGUAUGCCUUUAUAGUUUGGAUUGACUUUAAAAUUAUCUUGUAAACUACAAGAUAAAACUAAUAAGUUAGGAAAUAUUCAACUUUAAGCAUUUAGCCUAUUUUGAGUAUUUUGGACCUAAACUUAGAAUUUGAAGGCAUUUUUUUAAAAAUCUUUUCCAAACAUUAUACGAAAUAGAAAAAGAUCUCAAAAGCCAAUAACAGUCAAAAUAAGUCAAUCCAAACGUUCAUUUUCUACUCCUUUUAACUUACUUUUAUUUAUUAUUUAUUUCUAAAAUAGAUUCCAUUUUUACUUGUCACUUUGACAUAUCAAGAAAAAACAAUUAUCUUUUUCCAUGUUUUAUCCUCAACAUUAAACACUAUCUCCAAAUCAUUUUUCAAGACUUUAUACUUAACAUCAUUUAAUAGAUAUAGUUUGGUAAAAUACCUAUAUCAAUAAUUGUUUUCUUAAUGAAUGUGUCAAGUCAAACAGUGACAAGUAAAAGUGAACUGUGGGAAGUGCUAAAUCUGUUUAGGAAACACCAUUGGAUAGAUGCUCAAGUACCUAAUGAUCUAAAUUUAAAUCAAUGUAAUCGGAUUUAAAGUUUUCUCUAGCCAAAUGAAAAAUUGAGGUUCUAACUCUUCUUGAAGUUUGAGUAAUAUACAAAUGAUUAUGCCUUUCUAAUGUGCAAACACUUAUUUUUCAACAUUGCUUUAACUACGAUAUAGAAAUAGAACUUGUUUUGUAUACUAUUAAAUAGAACAGUACAAGUUCAUCCCCACUCCCACGUGAGAGUUUUUGCUAUAAAUGCAGAACCCUUCAUUCCCAUUUUCAUCACACUCAACUCAACUAGCUUUCAUUAGUUAUUGAGAAACAAAAAGGUUAGUGAAAGAGAGAAAUGGAAGGUUGUUGUAAUAACCAUUACAAUUUUCUCACUAUCUUUCUUAUUUUAUUAGCCUUCACUACUUCAACUUCAUCAACAAGGCCAGCAACCGGACAUACAAACACAGAGUUCAUACGAACAUCAUGUAAGUCAACAACUUAUCCUAACCUAUGUUUCAGUUCAUUAUCAAGCCGUUCAAGUGCUAUUGGAGUUUCUCCACAACUUUUAGCACAUGAAUCUCUCUCCGUUAGCCUCGAAACAGCCCAAUCAACAUCCGCUAUGAUGUUGAAAUUGUCACACAGUCAAGGCAUGACGCCUAGAGAAGUAGGCGCCAUGCAAGACUGUGUGGAGGAAUUAAGUGACACAGUAAGUGAACUCAGAAAAUCUUUAGGAGAAAUGAAGCAAUUGAGGGGAAGAGAUUUUGACAUGAAAAUGAGUGAUAUUCAAACAUGGGUAAGUGCUGCCUUAACCAACGAAGACACGUGUACGGAAGGAUUCGCCGGAAAAGCGAUGAACGGAAAAGUUAAGACAGCAAUAAGGGGAAAGAUUGUUGAAGUUGCACAUAUGACAAGCAAUGCUCUGGCUUUGAUCAACACCCUUGAUGCCCUUCAUGGCUAAUUAUAUAUAUUUGCAUGUGUUAUAUAUUAAAAUUAAUCUUCUUUUAAAAAGUGUGUACUAGUUCAUUGCUGUAAUAUAAUAGAUAAGAUAUCUUCUUUUGUGAUGAAUUUCUUAUAUGAAAUUGUUCCUCCAAUUUACUGAAUGAUACACGGUGCAUCAAGAGUACUUUCUUUGAAGAUAUAUUCCUCCCCAUGUUUUACUUUAUAUGAUUUAACUAGGAUAACUUUCACAUAUAGCAAACAAAAAAUUCAUAUUUGUAUGCUAUAACAAACUUUGCAUAAUUGCGCUCCAUAGUAUAACUGUAUAAUUUGCUAUACAUAUACAAUUGUAUAAUUCGCUGGCCUAAAUUGUAUAAUUCGCUGGUCUAUUUCGCUGCAAUUGUAUAAUUUGUUUUGCAUACAGUUGAAUCGAAUUAAAAUGUAUGUAUAUUGCAUAAUUAUAAGUGUAUAGCAAGAAGAUAUAUGUUUUUCUCGCUUUAUACAAAACAGAAACAAAGUUAUACACUUCUGUGUAUAAAGCGAAAGAGACGAGCGAGAAUGGAGAGUGGCGAGCGAGAUUUUUGGGAGAGAGACACUGGCAAAUUUUAGCUAAUGUUUUCUAUGGAGCACAAUUAAAUCAAACCCUAGCUAUUCCAUUUAAUUUAGGUUAUUAGUUUGCUAUUAUAUACGAUUUUCCCGUUUAAUUACCUCUAAUUCAUUUCAAUUUUAAUAUUUUAGUGUGACUAGGGGUGUAAUUUGAGAUAAUAGGAAAAAACUUUUGUGUUAUGUGAUUGUUAAAAUAAAGUCUUAUAAUAGAAAACAAAUCAGGUAAAAUAUUGAAAUUAAACAAUUAUCAUCAUUAUAUUUAUAGUAUAAAUUUUAUACUACAAAAAUUAUAAUUUUCUAACUUAAAUAUUUUAAAUUAUUAUAAUACUCUCAACUAAAAACACUUAAUGAAGCAUAUUUUCUACAAUUUAUAUUCAUAUUUAUUUAUAUAUUAUAUUAAAAGUAGAUAUCUGUUCACAUCGAAAAAUUGUGAUUUUUUCAAAUAAUUAUGAUUUUUCCAAAGAGUUGUAACUUCUUUGAGGAGUUGACCUUUCCAAUGAGUUGUGAGUUGUGAUUUUCCAAUGAGUUGUGUUGCGACUUUAUUGAAGCGUUAUGACUUUUUUGAUGAGUUGUGAUUUUUUUUAUGAGUUGUGACUUUUUUGAUAGAAUUGUAAUUUUCAUAAUAAGGACAAUAAGCACAUAUUAAUAAACCAUUUAUUGGCUAUAAAUAACAAAGUUUAAUUUCCUCUUGUUUUAGAGCCUGUUUGGCUCAGCUUAAAAGCUGGUCAAACUGACUUAAAAGCUGUUUUUUGACUUAUUUAACUGUUUGGCAAUACUCAAAAUAGCUUAUUUUAAGUUUAAAAAAAACUUAUUUUAAGCCAAAAGUUAAAAGCUGGGGUAGGGGUGCUUUUUUUUUUUUAGCUUAUAAGCUGUUUUAAGUUGACCACAUUUUUAUGUUUUUUCCCUUAAUAUUUUUAUACAAUCUUCAAAUUACCCAUAUAACCCUAACAUCUCUUUCUUCUAUUUUUCCCUUUUCACGUUUGGCAUAACAACUUCAGCACUUUUAUCCAAACGCAUAACUGCUUAUUUUAAAAAUAAGUUUCAGCACUUUCAAAAGUACUUUUUUAAAGCUGCUUUUAUUAAGCCCAUCCAAACGGGCCCUUAGACUAUAAAUUUUUUAAGUUUUCUAUACUUCUUACAAAAAGGCAAGUGUAAUUUAUAGUCGUUAAGUGAAUUCUUGUUUUAGACUAUAAAAUUUUUAAGUUUUCUAUACUUUUUCUUCUUACAAAAAAGCAAGUGUAAUUUAUAGUCGUUAAGUGAGUUCGAAAUUUAACAAAAUUUAAAAUACUACUAUUCUUGACAUACAAAAUGGCAUGUCAUCAAAUAAAUUUUCAUUUGGUAAGAGAAUGAAUUAUCAGAAUAACUAUAAUUUAGGUAUAUACCUAAUUACAACAUAGAUGCAACACACAUAAUCAUUGCUUUAUAAACUAAUUAUACCUAUAAAUGGUUGCUAAUUAAAGAAUAAGUAAGAAAAAUAGAACCUGAAUUUGUCACUUUCUCUUAAUCAUUUCUUUGACGUGGCCCUUUUUUGACAUAUAGUAUUUUGAGGAUAAAAUGAGUGUUUAUACCAAUAGUAAUAGGAAUAAUAUUAGGAGUGUCAACCCUGAAUUGAGCUUUGUAGUGGGCGGUGUUUUACAUCAUAUAUAUAUAUUUGAGGAACAUCAUUUUAACAGAAUGGUGAGAUAUAUAUAAGAAACAUAGGAAGAAUUGUGAAAUGUUUAACGACGUAAGAACUGCAAACAGGUUUGGGGCUUACCUCUAUGUAGAAUUUUUAACCUAAAUAAUUUGUUAUCUGACCUAAGGAAUAGGGCCACAUCCAGGCAUGAGUCAAUCGCUAACUUGCUAUUUAAUAUUUAGGCACAUGGACAGUCAUCUUUCAAUAGGGCCCUUGAGAGUUGCAUUAGUGCUUUGCCCCAACAGACUUUGUUUGCAUGUGUGGUACUAUUAGAUCACAUGUUGUCGAAUAGCAUUUGUUAAUUAUAGUAACUGUGCCGUGUGUAUCUAACUAGUAAGCACCAUUUCGGGUUUGUUUUGUAAAUAUUUUUCUGAAAAAUCAGGGAUUCUUUUAUUUAUUUUCUUGUGUUUGAUACGCAAACAAAAUAUAUAUGCACAUACACAAUGAGCUUGCAAAGCAAGGGAAGGUUUAAAUGCAGUUGCUUUUUAUAUCAAGCAGAAAUGAAUCAGUCAUUUUGACAAAGAGCUACUUUUCCUCAUGAAUAGCCUUUCAAACUGAAAAGCAAUGUGGUCUCUGAAAAAAAAACAAGUCAUGAUCUUUCUAAUUGUGUUGGUGAUUUCUGGCAAACUUGUUAAUUGGGAUAAAAGUUAUUUCUUAAAUGCUCCUAAAACAUCUGCUUACAAGACCAAUAGAAUUAGAAAUUGUACUGGUAUUAUGGAACAAGUCCUCUUUUCCUUUACUUAUCUUGGAUGUCUCCUGUAUGUUGGUAGAAAAAGACUGCACCUUUUGAUCAUAUGGUUAGUAAAGUGGUUUAGAGGCUUCCAUAGUUGGCAUGGCAAGUUACUAUCCUAUUAUGGCAACAUUGUGCUAAUUAAGAGUGCUCUUCAAUCUCUUCGCAUAUAUACUUCAUCUUUGGAGAAGACAUAUAGGAAGAAAUCACCUAGAAUUUUCGUCGACCUCAAGGUUCUCAACCCAUUUCAUUGAGCACUAGGUCACACUUUUGGAUGCCUCGGUGGUCAACUUUUGUCAAAAAUAAAUAUAUUGUAAAAAUAGAUCUCACUUGAUCAAUAGACAAUGGUAUUCAUAAUUCCAUGGCCGGACGCAUAUGGUUCAAGUAAGGUAAAAGCAGAGGUUCACAUGAAUCAGCAAAUCAACUCAGUUACUUACAAAUCUUUGGCGGGCAAUUGGUUUCGUAAGGGUCAACUUGCUCAUCUGGUUCCUAACGGGAUCACAAGCUCUAUCUGCUAAAGAAUUCAUCCUUAAUGGAACACAGAAUCUGGCUAAAUUAAGCAUAGACCAUAUCCCAUUUAGAUAUUUAACAGACGCUUGGUGGCAAGAAAGAACUAUAAAUGAUGUGCAUAAAUUAAUCCCUCAUAUUACUCCUAUAAAUUAUUAUAUGUUGGAAAAAAAAAAAGAAAUUAACUUUCUAUCUGUUCAGCAGCUUCUCUAGUUGAGGAACCACUAAAUGGGCUUUUGGUUUUGUAUCUGUAGCUUCAAUUAUAAUGUUUAAGGAAGAAUAUGUUAGGUAAUGUGUACAUUAACUACACAAAUUUGGCAGAAUAAUAUGCUUAAAGUUACCAGAAAAACAGAGCUCAAAGUUGGAUGUGAGCGUGAAAAUAGAUAAUUUUAUGAAAAAGUUGGUAAAAAAUUAUGUCUUACUAAGUAGAAGUUUUGACCAAAAUGAGCUAUUUUUAAAACCAAUUCAUUAAAAUAAUACGUUUUAAAGUUUUUUCACAAAACUAGUAUAAACGUACUUUAUGGUAACGUUUUAGGAUAUUUUCAUUAUAAAUAUUCAACGGACAAAAAGUUAACGGAUUAUCGACGUUAAACGCAUAAACAUAACUAUGAGUAACGUUUUAGGUGUAAAACGUUACUCAAGAGUACGUUUUUGGAGAAUCCAAUCACGGGCCACUGACUCCAAUCCUGCAAAAGCGGAGUAAAAUCAUUCAACUGUAAAACGUUACUAUGAGUAACGUUUUACACUUAAAAUGUUACUUUGAGUCCCGUUUCUUAAGAAUCCAAUCACGGGCCUUCGACUUCUGCAAAUUUAGAAUAUUUAGCUAUAAAACGUUACUCAGAGUCACGUUUUACCUUAAAAACGUUGCUGUCAAUUACAACACUCUAUUAAAGUUAUAUUCCUCCAUUUUUCAAACUGACCGAAGUGACUAUAAAUAAAUGUUGUUGUAAUAUUUUGCAUGUUCAAAUACAAUUCAGCUUAAUUUUUUCUUGUGUGGUCCAUUUUAAAAAUAAUAUUCACAAAAUUUCAUCAGGUAUGAAUUAAAUAAGUGAAGUUUAUCCUUUGUUAUGUUCUUAUUAUAGCUUUAAAAUUAUCUUUCUAAUUUAAUAAUAUUGUUUUAAAAAAAUAUUUUAUCUUUAUGUGUAGGAUUAAGAUGACGAGCUUUGAACAUAAUGUGAUGGUUGCUUUGUAUUGGGGUGGAGAAAUAAUUGCAGAUAUGAACAGAUUUAGGUAUACUGAAUGUGCUAGAACGAUUAUUAGCAUGUCGACUUCAACUACCUAUGUUGAAUUGGUUGGAUUGUUGCAUGAGAAAAUGGGAACAUAUAGUGAAAAUAUUCAUAUGGAUAUUUCUGGAAAAUAUCCAUGUUCAAUUCAAGGUAACAAUACAAGGUUCAUUGAGUUUAAAAUUGAGAAUGACCAAUCUUUGUUACAAUUUCUUUUCAUACCUCAAAAAUUUGCGGAUAAGAUUGACAUAAAUGUUUUGGAGAUGUAUGUAAAGACUGUAUCGACAGAUCAAAAUGUUGCAUUUCAAGUUAGUGGUCAUUAUGAUUAUCACAUGAAUUUGUUGGCUCAAAAUUAUGACCUUACCAUGAUCAAUCAACCUCAUGUUGUAGAACCGAUUGUUCAACCACCAUUUCAACAAUUGUUGAUGCAUGAUCAUCAAUUUGGUGAAGGCUCAAGUAGUCAAAUGCAUAUUGAUAAUAGUCACAUGGAAUAUGAGGCUAGGUAAACAACAAAUCUUUAUUUUAUUAAAUUUUAGUCUAACAAUUUAAUAAGAUAAUUUUUAUUGUCAGUAUACACAAAUUAUCUCUUAUAAAUAGAAGAAAUAAUAUUUUAGAGUAUUUAUUAUCGCUUUUAAAACAAGCUUGUAUAUUUAUAAUUUUGCUAGAAUUUGACUAAUAUUUUUUUUACAGAGAUAUUGAUAUCAACGUUGAUCUAUAUAAUGAUGUAAAUGCUGAAAUUAGUGAUGAAAGUUCGGAGGAAGAUGAACCUCCGAAAGAUGGUGAUGAAAGUGAACCUGAUGAAGAUAUCGAUGAUAUUAGAGAUUUUUCUCAAAAUGGUGUAAAUCUUCAUAAUCAUGAUCAGGGUGUGUCUCAUGACAUACCUUAUUUCAGGACAUUAGAGAAUGAGGAAGACAUUUUCAUGUCUACAUGUGAAUCUGAGAUGGAAUGUUGUUCAGUUUGGUCUGAGCAAGCAAAAAAAGAUUUAAAAAAAGGUAUGCUUUUUAGUAGUAAAGAAAAGUUGAAAAUGACUGUAACGAUUUGGAGUUUGCACAAAAAUAAGGAGUUCAAGGUGGUAACAUCUACCAAAAGUCUAUGGGUUGUGAGAUGUAAGUUUUAUAAUUUAUUGGGUUGCAUGUGGUUUCUUCGAGGACGACAAGUUGGAGAAAAAUUUUGAAAGAUCGGAAAAUAUGUUGAAAACCAUAGAUGUGAGACUGAGGGGCUUUCUAGUGGUCACGCCAACCUAAAUACCAAUUUGAUUGCAUCACUACUUCUAAAUCAAAUUAGAAAAAAUCCUAAGUUCUUGAUGGUAGAUGUCAUUUCAAAGGUUCAUAAAAAUUUUGGUCACCAAGUGACAUAUAGAAAAGCAUGGAUUGGACGCAACGCGCGUUUGAAUUGGUGUAUGGUGACUUUAAGAAAUCAUUUAGUGAACUACCUAAAUUUUUUGCAGCUUUUCAACACUUUAACCAUCAAACAAUUGUGGAAUGGAAACACGAAGAGUCUAUGAGUUCAUCGGAGGUAAAAACUUUUAAAUUUGUAUUUUGGGCUUUCAAGCCAUGCAUUGAUGGAUUCCAAACAUGUCGCCCAGUUAUUUCAGUAGAUGGAACUCAUAUUUAUGGAAAAUAUGAGAUCAAAUUAUUAAUUGUUGUUGGAAUUGAUGGAAAUGAUAACAUUCUCCCUUUAGCGUUUGCUAUUGUAGACAAAGAAUCAAAAGAGGCAUGGAAAUGGUUUUUUAGAAAUUUGAGUGCACAUGUGAUGAAAAGUAGACAAAAUGUAUGUGUUAUAUCUGAUAGGGCAAAAGGAAUCUUGACUAGUUUGCAGGAGUUGCGGCGAUUUCAAGAGCCUCGAGUCUUUCAUCGAUUUUGCAUAAGACAUCUUAAGAGCAACUUUCAAUCUAAAUUUCCAAAUAAGGACCUCAGCAGAUUGAUGUAGAGGGCUGCUUCAGCCCAUCAAGUAAGGAAGUUUGAGUCCAUGAUGUGGCAAAUUAAAGAAGAAAAUAUCGAAGCACAUGCAUACCUCAUGGAAAUUCCCUUGGAUAAAUGGACUGUUAGCCAUGAUGAUGGAAAAAGAUGGGGAGUGCUGACGACAAAUCUUUCAGAGUCAUUCAAUGGAGUGUUGAAAAGAGCACGAGGUUUUCCUGUCACUUCUAUGAUUAGACUUUCAUUGGAGCAAACUAUUGAAUGGUAUACCCGUAGGUCUCAAAUAGCACACCAACUUGCAGAGCAAAAUGAAUUAUGGACCGGUAGGUUCAAAAUAAAGUGGGAGAAGAAUUAUGAAAGUUUAAAGAGGCACUUUGUUUUUGAUUGGAAUAUACCCACAGGAGUAUACGAGGUUAGAUCUAUACAAGUUGAUGGUACUGGUGGUAAUCCUCAUUGUGUUUCACUAAAUGAAAGAAAAUGUGAUUGUGGAAAAUGGGUUAAUCUGCACUUCCCGUGUUCACAUGUCAUGAAGGUAACUGAUAGAAUGGGAGGGCUAGCUAGAAAUUUUGUUAGCGAGCAUUUCACAAUAGAGAAUUAUGUUGCAACAUAUUCUGGGUCAUUCUCACCAAUUGGUCAUGAGUCAUAUUGGCCAUCUCCAAGUUUUACAAUGAGAAGUAAUGAAUUCUAUCGUCGUCCUAAUCGGCCAAGGACAACUAGAAUACAUAAUGAAAUGGAUCGUAGUUCUACAGUGUAUGAGCGAGCUUGUGGAUUAUGCAGGCAGACAGGACAUGAUAAGCGUAAAUGUCCCAAUUGUAAUUAAAUUUAAGUGAAUAAUUGUGGGUCAAUGUCUAAUGGUGUUAAUUUUCUUUAUGUUAUCUAAUGUAAUAUGAAUUUUUCUAGAUUGCUAAUAAAGAAAAAUUAUUAAUGUUAAUUUCCAAAUUUCCAUUUAUAUUAAUUUCCUUUCAAUUAUUAGUGCAUAAAUUUAUCUACUACAUAAGCUUAAAUCUUAGAGGAAAAAACUAACUUAACUUAGAAAUUCUCAGAUUACUAACUUAGAAUCUGCAGCUGAACAAAAUUUCAUAUUUGUUGCCAACCUUGGUGAUUCCCAAGCUUCCAACCUUGGUGAUUCCCGAACAAAAUUUCAUAUUUCAAUUAUUAGUGCAUAAAGUUAUCUAUCACUUUUCACAAACUUGAAGUUACAUUAAGGAAUAGUUGAAAAACACAAACUAAAUAGAAAAUAAUAUAAACAUUCAUGUAUUCAUAGAACAUGUUGCUUUACAAAAUAAUGACUAGUAGUUUCAUUCUUCACAAAGAAUCUCUACUACUAAAUAGAAAAUAAUAUAAACAUUCAUGUAUUCAUAGAACAUGUUGCUUUACAAAAUAAUGACUAGUAGCUUCAUUCUUCACAAAAAAUCUCUACUAUUCACCAAGGGUUAUCCAGAAUAUCAACAAGCUGCAUCAACCUAAGAAAAAAUGAUUAAGAAAACUUUGAUGAGUUACAUGCACCAAGAAUCUCAAUCUAUACUGAAAGCACAAACUCAGUGGCACAAGCUAGCACGUCAAGUUUCAUUAUUUUUAUAUAUUUUCAGAAUUUACAGAUGUUCAUUUGGCUGCCCAAAUAACUUUUGCUACUCUUUGUCGUGUCAUCAAAGAAUCUAAACAUCUUACAAGAAAGUGGGGAGAUCUUCAUCUGUUAACUACUUGUUAGACAUGAGAAUUCAAUAUUUUUAGACAUGGGAAUUAUAUGUGAAUAACCACAUGAGAGAUUUGUGCAAUGUUUUGAUAACAAAGAGCAAACUGCAAAUCCCAAAUGAAAUAAUAAAGAAAGAUAUAGUAAUAGUGAAUUUAUAAUGCAGUUCCUAGAACUAUCCUAGAGGAUAAGAACAUCCGAAGCAAUUAGCAGAUAACAACCAUGUCUAAAAAUAUUGAAUUCCCAUAUCCAAAAUUUACUUAAAACAAUUUUCCAAUAUCUAUCGAGAGAUGAAACAACACAAACAUUAAAUUAACUCGGAACAAUUGAAGCAUUUCAGAUUCGGAACAACUCUGUUUUACCAAAACAUGGAAGAAACAAUUGAAGUAUUUCAGUUUUGGAACAACUCUGUUUUUCACAAGUUCAUUAUCAAAAUGAAAGGUAGUUAUCAUUCGAUCAGUUAAACAUACUGUAAUCUCAAACAUGAGAUGGUCCUUUAAAUCCCACAUUCUUUCCUACUCACUUAAUAUAAGAUUAGCAACACUAAGCCUCCUGACUAUUUUGUAUCACUUAUAUGGGUCAUUUACUUCCAUUACUAUUAGUACCAGUAUCAAAAAUUCUAUUUCUUGGCAUUUUUUCGAUUAGGCAACCUGUGAACAUUUAUUUUUAUACAAGCUACCUUCCAAACUAAAAAAAGGACUGAUUCCAAAAGGUUGUAGGUCUUCUAAGUCAAUUUCUCUCCAUGAAAUAUUACAUCCACCUCGUCCCUUUUAGUGUCUUCGAACACCAUAAUAUCAGCACCUACAAAUUGGUGCACUUGGAGGUCUAUAUAUGAUAUGUCCAAACCAUUCUACGCAUGUGAUUUGCACCCUUUUUAACCAUUUGAUAAUUUUCAGUACUCUAUAUCUUAAUAUCAACAUUUCUAAUAUUCUAACUUUUUGAGCAAAUUUAUUUCACUCAACUGUUUUUCUAAUUCAGAUUUCAAUAUUUUUUUUCGUUCUCCUUUUGUCCAACCAUCUAGCAGAGCAACAUGGAAAAUUUAAAAAAAAAAGAAGAGUUUUCAGAGCAACCAUCCAACAGAGCAACUUUAAGGUACUAAAUCAAAGAAGAAGUAGAUCUCAAGCAAUCCCAACACAGACUCUUCAUCACAAUACAAUUUUCAACUAAGAAAAUAUCAUACCCAAUUUUACCUAAGACUGACAAAGAAGAAGAAGGAGUACCAAAUUUGGAUACCUGAAACCUCUCAAUUACAGUUCUUUGUUUCUCGUUGCUUUUUUUUUUGCCAUGCUGGUAAAGAUAGUGACUCCCUGACAAACAAGAAUAAUUUUCAGUUGUUCGACUAAACAAAGGAGUAUUUAUGUCAAAAAAAUAAAAUAAAGAUGUUAAUAGUACCAGUCCCACAACGCUUAAGGAAAAAUCCUACGCUUCUCCUUCACUGAUGGUUCACCACAUUCGUUUGCAUUCUCCACUUCAUCGUUGGAGUCCUCUAAAUGAUUAACAACACCAGGGGUCUCAAUGGAUAUUGGCAGCCCAGGUGAUGAAUUAAAGUUGGGGGCAUUCUCAAAAUCUUGAGGUCGAGAACCACCAAAUACAUUCUCAAGUGAUGAAAGACUAGAAUUCCUUAAUAUUUGUGAUGCCAUGUAUGGAACAAUAUCAGUAUUUGUUGGUUGAUAUGUCAUACCUGAUGCCCCGGGAGUGAAUUCUUGAGUUUGGCCCCUUGAAAUGGAACCAAAAUCACAAGUUGUGUGAUCAUCUUCGGAGACUAAUAUAUCCAUUUCAAUUGGCGCUCGUCCUUUCUCAACAGCACGAGCCCUCCUACCGGCAACACCACCUUUUCCUCGCCUACGAACCGGAUGAUGUAAAUGAUCAUCAUAUACCUCAUCUCUUCUAUAAUCGGCUUGUACAUUAAUCCUAGCAGCCUCGUGGACAUAUGUCAAGCACUUUUCUCCUUCAUUUCGGACCAUUGCACGAAAUAUGUAUAAAUCCUCCAUUGAUGGCUGAUCACCAAGGGCUUUUGCUCUAUCAAUCGUGGAAUGAAUAUGACGCACCUACACAAAGAUCAAAUUUUUUUCUUACAAACAUUUUCCAUUCUUUUUUCUAACAGAUGCUCAAACAAAGAUCAAUAAAGCACUUAUUUUAUAUUUUGUAAGAAAAAACAUAGGUAACAAUUUUCCAAGUCACAAUUUUUGAGAAGAAGCAAUAUUAUCCUCAAAAGAUAAAUCACAAACACACUAAAUAUAAUGCAUACCAUUGUUUCAUAUGCCGUUGAAUUGGCACAUAACCUUCUUGUUGUUGAGGACGCUGAGUAGGAUUACCAAUAACAAGACGAGUAAUGCGUCUAAACCAAAUAAGGUAAGGGUCGUCAUAUCGAAGUGGUUCACGAUUGACCGGAGCAUCACAAACAUAUUGAAGUCGUUGGUUCCAAAGAGGCAACCAUUGUGCAUGCUCCAACUUCCAAUUUGUAUUUGGUCUUCCCCUUCGAUCAUGGUGAAAAUGUGUGGCGUCAAAUAGAUUUGGAGUUGGUAUCGUUUGGUUUAGUCCAAAUUUUCUCAUAACUCGAUCAGGCAAGUGAACUUCAACGAUAUCCCAACAAAAAAUUGGAGCUCUUACACGCCAUAUAGGAAGACUCUCAAUUAAGUCAUCCGAAUAUGGUUCCCAAAUACACUACAUAAAGAAAAAUACAUGAGUUUCAACUACAAUAUAUACAUAAUUUUUUAAAGAAAAACAGUAUAACAUCAUACCUGAUCCUCUGUCAUGGAAUCAAAUGCAUCCCUAAAAACUUUCAACACAUGCUUAGUGGUAUCAAUCCAACUAAAAUGUGCAAACCAUCUAGUAGCACGUGGACCCCUAGGUAAACAAGCAAGAAAAUUAUUUUCGAUGUCUCUUUGUGCUAUUAUCUGAGGUCUGAGGACAGUAACUCUCUCCCAUGCCCAAAUCUAAACAUAAUAUAUAAAUAUAUAAUUAUGAUAUUAUAAACUAGAAGAAAUAUUUAUAAAGAAUUGAUGUAAUUAUUAUGUAUACCUGAAGCAGUGGUAGAAAGUCAGCUAUCUCAUUUUGGUUACUCUGUGAGGCCUUACAGAGAAAGCGAUACAAGCACGCUUAGGUCGCACUACCCCAACUAUAAGAGCUAACUACAUUGAGAUCCUCGAGCAUAGGAAGGUACAUAAGAUUUAGAUAGUUGCCAGAUGUAUCUGCCAUCAUCAUAUCAGCAAUCAUCCAAAACAUGUAACAUCUAGCCAUUUGAUCGAUCAUUUCUUGUGUUGUCAAGUCAGGUAAUUGUAGUUGCUCGAGCAUAUGCGCAUUAAGUGCAGUUACCUUGAGGCUACUACGGUUGAAGUCUUGAGGACGUGGAAUAAAACCUAACAAUCUUUGACAAAUAUUUUGCCAAUCCCCUAUGGUCCUUAUCGACUCAUCACCAACUACUGGAUCACCAUUCACAGGUAAUCCAUACAACACUUCUACAUCUUGCAAGGUGAUUGUCGCCUCACCCGUUCUAAAGUGAAAUGUGUGAGUCUCGGGACGCCAUCUCUCUACUAGUGAAGUGAUCAAGCUACGAUCAACAGAAGGUCGAUUUGAUCUAUAAACACCAUAUAGUCCUGAUAAUUCAAUCAUUUCUAAGACUCGGAUGAAUAUAAUAUUUCUUUACGAGGUCCCAAAAUUUUUCAUCACACCUCCUCGUAUUUUAAAUCAUAUUAACACUUUCAUUCCAUAUAUCCCAUGACCUAUGGGUAAGUUGUUGAGUUAGUACCGAUGGUUCAAGUGGACCGGGAUCCAAUCGAUAUGCACUAUAACCAGUCAUAUAUGUAUCUAUUAAACUGAAAAUUUCAUAUGAAAGUAUAUUAAUUAUAAUUGUUAGUCCAAAAUAUAACAACCAAAUCAAAGUAAUGUACUAUCACCAAAUGUUUUAUUAAAAUAUUGAAAAAUAAACUCAAUUUUAGUAGAAGCGCAUAUGCAGGUCAACCAAAUAUAGUCUUCCCUUCCAUUUUCAUGUGAACAUUUUUUUCUUUGUUUUUCUUUUCAUUGUUUCUCUUUUCAUCAACAAGAUGCAUGAAUUCAAAAUAAAAACAGAACAUGCAUAUUAGAAUUUCUUGAGUGAUAUUAUUCUAUAUAACCAAAACAAUAUAAAUACGAGAAGAUCGAAAUUCUAAAAUUCAAGCAUUCCAUCUACUAGUUUGUAAGGGAAAAAAACAUACCUCAAGGCUUUAACACAGGAAAUUAACUUGAUUCCAAGCUUUCCAGAAGAUUGAUAGCCGUAAUUUUUCGUGAAACUCGAUAUAACAAGAAAUCCCCAAAAUUGAUUUGGAAAAACUACAGCUACCGUUUAUCCAAGAAAUGAGGUUUUUAUCCAUUCAUUAUCUUCCUGUGUUUUUGUUCUUUAACGCCUCCUCUUCGUCCAAACCGAUCGAAAAUGGAAUUUUUGGAAGUUUAGAAUGAGGCGGCUGCCAUUUUUUUUAGGGUGAAAGGGGUUGAAAACUUGAAAGGGGUGAAAGGGGUGAAGGGGUACCAAAUAACAUUAUUAAAGGUAAUAAAUGAAAGUGACAUCGUUCAGUGAAAGGGGUGGGGCUCACGUUUUAAUAUAAAAUCGUUACUGCCAGUAACGUUUAUUAAUUUAACGGCGUUAAUUUUUUUUAAAAUCAAAUAAAGCCUAAAACGUUACCAUAAAGUACGUUUAUACUAUUUUUGUAAAAAAAAUAAAAAUAUAUUAAUUAGGUAAAUUGAUUUUUAAAAUAGAUCAUUUUGGUCAAAAAUUCUACCAAGUAUGUGAAUAAUGUGCAUGCUACUAUGCUGGGGAGGGGGGUGGGGGGAAUAUAUUUUAAAGACUACAUACACAAUUUAUGGUCAAAAGGAAAACAAAUAAUAUUAUCUGAAUAAGAAAAUAAAGAGAAUAUUGCAAAGUAAAAUUUAAACAACAACAACAUACCAGCAUAAUCCCACAAGUAGGGUCUGACAGUAAAAUGUAAAGAGUAAAACAAUAAAAGCAUAAACGGGGCAGAGGGGGGUGAAGGUUGGGGCAAGGCCGGGUGACAGAUUGGGCAGGGAAAAUAUAUGGAAAAACCAUAACUACGCUGAGCGCGUCCAAUUAUUUGUGGGUUAAGGCAUCUAUAUCCCUAAUUAUGUAAUACGUGAUUGGGAUAAAACCGUUAAAGAGAUAAAACAGAAUGUACUUUUAUUUCAUAUUGAACUCCUUGCGAAGAAAUGGAAACUCUAUUGGGAGGCCCUUCUUUAUUGAUGAAACAAAUACAUUAGCUGCUACAAUCAACUGAGUAACUACCUGCAGCACAUGACACAAGUUUUGUGGUAUGAUACAUCAAUUCGCUCAAAUGUUGUUAUUCCAAAACAUAAUGCGUGUAAUGCUCAAAAGGAGAUAAUAAAAUAGUUGAGCCUCGGGUUCUUCUUUCUUCCCAUUAGUUUCAAUUAUCAAUAUCAAUGUUCCAGCAGGAAAGAAAUAACGCAAUCACUUUCUCAAUUUAUCAAAGUUAGAAACCCAGUAGCGUAUUGCAUAGAUACUACUUUUGACACAAAUUUUACUAUUCUAGAUUAUUUAUGGAGUAAUAAAUAUUUAUAUAUGAAAAAAAAUUAUAUUUUCCAAAAAUUUAGCUCAUAAAGGAAAUAACAUGCUUGUACUUUUAAUUGAUAUCUGAUAAUAUGAGAUUAUGCUAUAGAAUAUCUGGUGCAACAAACGUAGAAUGGUCCAGUAAGAACAGAGCUACGCAAAUUAAUUAUUCUACAAUUUCUUCAGCUUUUGAGAUUAAAACAUUCGGCAAGAUCCAGGGCCAAGUAAGAAGUACAUGUAGCCAAUUACUUUUAGGUGAUGUUUUGUAUAUUUCAAAAGAGUAGCAAAAACAUAUAAAUGAUGCAAAUUUUCUUUAAUUCCUUGUAUAGAAACACACAAGUAAUAAUACAAGUUUCAAGAGUGAGAGAUAAAAUACAAAAAGAUUAUCAGACACUCUAUGCUUCUAAGUUCUACCCUUUCUUUAUGCCUGAAGUUCCAGUAAGGUACACUUUUGACAUAUUGUGAGAAAGGAAAUUUCAGUAAUCUGUACAUAUUUGAGUUACUAUAAGUCCACAAGUAUUCAGGACUAGGGAUGAGCUUUAAAAUAAGCUAAGAGGCCAACAAGAGGUGCGUUUACAUAUGUAGUUGGUUCUGACUGGGCAGCAUUAGGUCUUGAAUCAACAAAAUAAUCUUUGAUGUCAGGUCCUCCAACCACAGCCCCUAUAUGCAAGUUGGGAUUUGGAUUUUCACUGAGGAAAUAUGGUGUCCCUUCUUUACAUCCCAUCUUCUCUGGAUGUUGAUUGAUAGACGGCAAUGAAGCUCCUCUAUGGUGUAUUCUUUGAGGAAAUUUCGUUCCAAACCCAACCAUGUAUGACAUGUUCAUUGGAUUUAUCCCAAGAAUAUAAUUCACCUGCAGUCAUCAUAUCAUAUGUACCUCCAUUAAUUUAUUAGUUUCUUUCAAAUUUGUCACAAUUUUGUUAUUAUUCUAAUAUGUAGCACACGCUACAAUACCUGGCUUCUUGCAAAACGAAUGAGCAUCUUUUGAGUUACAUCAAUGUUGCCACAACGAAUGACUCUGCUCUUCAUGUAGCGCGCAUAGGUAAGAAGUAGAAAUGACAGAGCUGUUGGAUUUUGCAUAUUACAAAUCCCUGAUUUGUACAUGAGUCCACCUGCAAAAAGAAUUGAGGAUGAAAACAAUUAGUACAAUCAUUUUUUGCUUUUGAAGUUGAAGAUAAGGGGAGGGGGCGGCGGGAACUAUACCUGGAGUGUAUCUGACUGUAUUGGUGGGAGAUUCAGGAAAUACACUGCAGACGAAUGUAUCAGCGUAUGGAAGGAAGGGGUUAGCAUUUGAAGGGUUAUCGAGAACAAACUGUAGUAAUGUCCACAAAAGUGAAAGAUGUUAGAUUGAAUCAUAAAUAUAUAUGCAGAGUAAACAAGAGUAUGCUCUAGCUAGUUAACAAACCUUGGAGAUAAGCACAUUGAUACCAGCAUGCUUGGCAUCCCAUCCGAAUUCUGAUAAGCUGCUUUCCAUGUCUGAUUUGAAGUUUAUUAUGUUUUGUUUGACGUAGAUCCAAUACAUAGGUUUUCUUGUAGCUUUGAGGAGCCACGCUGCAGCCCAAAGCAAUUCAUCCUGUUCAACUAGGAAUAUCAAGAACUUGCUGAAUGUCAAAACAGUUUGAAUAUUAUCAAGCCUUCAGACUUACUUUGUAUCCAUUGUAAUCACAAUAGAAUGGGCACACCCAAGAUCCUAAGUGAUCAUUGUAAGAUCCCCUGUAUUUAUCCGCAAACUCAAAAACCUGAAGUUCGUGCAAAAACAAUAGCAUUAUUUUCACCUCGACUAUUUGGUAGUACCGAAGAGGAACACUUUAGUUGUCUUAUUAAUAAUACUUCCUCUGUCUCCAAAUAUUAGCAGUCAUGGCAAAGUGAAUAUAUUUAAAAAAAUUGAUGGCUAGUAGCAUAUUGUUACCUGAACAGCUCUGUUGACAAGCAAUUUGGAAUAUGCAGGAUCAGUACGCUUAAAAACCACGGAGGCAGCAGCUAGAGCAGCAGCAAUUUCAGCAGAAACUUCAGAACCAGGAGCUUGUGCAGUAACUGCAAAAGCAGUACGAGGAGUGUCCAUAUCUUCAGGCCUUUCCCAACAGUUGUGAUCGUUCUCCGCGUUACCUACUUGUGCAUAUACCACAUUGGGAAUGUUUGUUGCCUUUAAGAAAUAAUCCGUGGACCACCUGAUAGCCUCCAUGGCAUGUUGCAAGUCUGGUCCCAUUGAAUUUUUGAACUGCUCGACACUCCAAGCCAACAUGGUCGAUGUAAAAGCCAUUGGAAAGUGGAACUUGACAUUGUCACCAGCAUCAUAGUACCCACCUACCAAAUCCACCUGAAAAAACAAUCCCUCUGAAUCAAUCAAAUGUAUAUAAUGUACCAAAGUGUCAAGUGUUCUUAAACAUGCCAACUAAGUUAACGGAAUUAAAGAGUCACUAUUGAAUAUAGGAAGUGAUAUUUUCUUUUAAACAUAUAAAAAAAAGUAAGACGCUUAGAUUGAGAUAGAGGGAACUAGUAUCCUAUAUUAUGUAUGCUUACACCCUUUUCCGCUCCAUCAAGAAGAGCAGAAUCCUUUCUCCAAGUCAUGCGCUGGUUAGGGGGUAAUUUACCAGACCUUUGUCCCUCGAAGAAGAGAAUACUCUUUGUCAAGGCAUCAGCAUAAUUAGGAUUAGGAACGUUAAUUGCCACAACCGUUGAUGUCAAGCAGACAAAUGCUGCUGCUAUUAUUUUCAGGACUAGACAAUUAAGAGAUAACUUUCCGCUACCAAUAAUCAUCUUUAGUUUCUCAAUAUUCGUCUUGGUCUAGGUACGAUGUUUGUUGUUUUUAUUCACUAGAAACUAUCAUUUUACAUUAUAUAUAUACUUGUCCAAAAGAACAUCCUCCUUCCCGAGUAUGCUUUUCCAUAAAGAGUGGAAAAGCAAGCCUUGGAAAUGCAAGUUCAUUCUACAAAAGCAGACUAAUGAUCUCUGAUUGAAGUAUAUCAGAGGACGACAAUUUCUAUUUUAUUUCUGUGGGUAUAGACAUAACAAGUUAACAACAUUUUAAAGUCUAAUUCAUAUAUUUAAUCACAUUGUACACGAACAGUGGUAUUGUAGCGUAUCUCAAAUGAUACGGAAGUAUAUGUGAAGUUACCUUUAUGAGCGGGAGGCUGCGGAAAGCAACUUGCCAUGGUAUUAGCUCAUGAUCCGAGUGAUUUUAAUAAAAUAAAAUAAAAAUUUAGUAACUUUAUUAGAUAAUUUUUUUAAAUUAAGUGAUUUUUUUGAUCUAUUAACGAAAAUGUGAAAAAAAUUUCAGAUGAUUUGACUAGAAUAUAAUAUGAUUAAUUAGAAGGAGAAUUUGUUUCAAAGCAAGCAUAAAGAGAUGUAAAAUCCAAAUAGCCGCCAUAAUCCCUUUUCGAGGAUUAAAUUUGGGUCAAACAAAUAAUAAUAAAGAAACAAAUAUUUAUGUAAUAAUACUAAUAUUUUAUUUCAAUAUAAGUGUUAUAAUCUCUAUGAAUUGUUUAUCAAAAUUCAAAUAGCCGACGUCUUCCUUUUCAAGGAUUGCAAGAUCCAUUCCCAAAUUAAAGUGAAAUUCCGAACAAGUUACAUAUAUUAGCUCUGACUCUAGUUAUUGGUUGACUUUUAAGUUUCUUUCUAUCUAAGCACCUUUAAUUUCAUUUCCCCCAAAGCAAAACCAUUUGUAAGUUUGCCUUAUAUGUCUUCGUAACACCGUGUCGAAAUAUAUUUGAUUGAUUAUGAAAUUUAAAAGGGAGAAGAGAUUUUUAAAACUUUUGUUUAAAAAAAUUAGGGAUGGAAAAGGGAAGACAAUAUGGAGAGUCAAACUUUAAGCAACCACUUAAUAGUUCAAAUAGUUAACCAAUUAAAUUAUUAAAUUUUUUUGUAAAUUUUUAAAAUUUGUAAUCUAAAAUAAAUUAUUAAAUUAAAGUAUUUAUUUAUUACUAAGUCUUUAAAAAUAGUUGAGAACCUAAAGCUGAAUUGUCAAUAAAUACUUUUAAAAAAAUUACCAUUUCUAUUUAGGACCGCCUAAGAAGGAAACAAUGUCACUUCCAUUCAAUCUUUGAUUUUUUAGACUUUGUUCUUCUUUAUUAAUUUUUGCCUCAAGAAUUUCUUAAUGAGUUAUUGAAAAAACUUAUUAGAUUCAGCAUAUAGUAAUAUUAUGAGAAUUGAAUUUUGAACUGAAAAGUUUAAAGAUUUGUUCUUUAAAAUGAGUGGGAAUGGGUAAAUGGAAAUGGGGAUAUGAUAUUGGGUUAAUCCGGUUAUUUCUUAAAAGGGUCGGGUUAUCGGGUUAAAAAUAGGAAAUAGUUUUUUUAAAAAAAAAAGGGUAAUUGGGUCAAUUUAGAUCAAUUUUGGGAAUUUUGUCAAAUGAAGGGUAAUUUUAACUUUAUUUUAACGGCGAGGACAAAGUUAAACAAUAAACCAAAGUUAUAUAUAUAUAUAUAUAUAUAUAACUAGAAACAAACUUUUAUGUUUUUUAAGCAUCUCUUUCUUUUUUACUAAUGCUCUCAAGAGUGACGCUGAUGAAACUGUUUCAUAGACAUCAGUUUCUUUUUGUAUGGAUGACCUUUAAACUAGGAUAAUCCAGUCCAGUUUCAUGAUCAGUUCUACUUGUGUACGGUGCAAAAAUUAUUCUCCCCUGUCAUCUCAAAAGGGAAUUAGAAGCUUGAGGCUCUUAAAAUCCCAAUUAGUUAAGAUGAUAAGUUAAACUUAAAAAGUAUUUUCAAAUGUCACAAGGGAAAAAAUGAACGUGACGGAUUAAUUCAACGUAGGUUUCUUAUUAGAGUAAAUUCUUAGUCAUCCAAUGGUAAGGAUGUUGCAUUGCAUCCACCAACACUAGCUUGUCGAGAAACAACUUGUUAAACUGGAUUCUCGUGAACUGACCUGCCAUUUACAUUUUUUCUUCGUAGUCUUGGGAGAUAACAUUCAAUUCUUCUAUUAAUAAUAAUAACUAUCUUAUAGCAGACUAGACUAUUUUGACGAGCAUAAUGCUUAUGCUUAGCUUUUUUUUGGCUAUUUAGAUCUUUGUGGUCAACAAGUCCGCAAACCUUGCAGAACAUCCAUGGGAUUCCCUAUAGUAUUGCCUCAUGCUGAAAGUGAUGAAGCUGCAGGUUGCUAUUUGCUGCUUCAUCUCUAUUUCCUUUUACAAGUCUACAGGGGAAUUGGGAAGCAACAACACGCCUUUUUGCCCAAUACAGGUGGUCAUCGUCCACAUCCAAGAUGAAUAGGGCAGAGCCAUGGCAGCAUCCAUCCCUUCACAGAUUUGCAGCUAUGUGCAAUGCGACUUGAACGAUGAAAAUCAAGUGAAAGUGAUGGUUGAACGGUCCAAAAAUAGGGUCAGCUUGACAUCAUGUUCAGUAACGCACAAAUUGUUGGCAGUUCAGGUCAAAAGGUACUCAAUCUGGAUCUUUCCAAAAUUAACCGGGUGAUGAAAGUCAAUGCUCGAGGGCAUGUUUGUGUAAAGCACGCAGCACAACAAGCCAUGGUGGAGAAGCGUGUUAGGGAGAGCAUAAUUUGUAAGGCCAGUAUUGCGACAAGCAGGGGAGGACCCUGGUAGACUGAUUACAUAAUGUCGAAACACGCUGUUUUAGGGGUAGUGAGAUCAGCUUCAAAGCAAUUGGGUGAGUAUGGAAUAAGGGUAGUUAAACACUUGUAGUUUAGCUCUUCUCUUAGAUGGAUUUUGAAUCUUCACAACGUGCAUUCUCUAUUCUAAGAUUGAAUGUGUCUUGAUUUUGUAAUUAAGAUGCAGUGUGUUGUGACCUUCUGGCUAUGUAAAAUUCUCCAAAUUACAAUGCUUUGAUUACAUUACGAUUUGGCAAAAUUGCAAGUUACAAUUGGAGAAGUAUUGGCUAUUACUGGAGAACUAUUUGUUAGGCCUAUGGAUCCGUGAUCUAUAGAUUGCAUUAAAGCACAAGUCCAGAAAAGCAAGUGUAAAGUUUCCUAAAAGUCAUGAACUCUAGAAAACCAAGCAGUUGAAACAAAUUUGAUGAAAGUUCGACUACGUAUCCCAUUAAUAUUAUGGACUAUGGAAUACUAAAUUCUACUGAUAGAGAAUAAACUUUUGGUAUAUUGGAUAAAUUUAGGGAGAAAAUGUCUAAACAUUAAGUAUUAAUGUGGUUUGAUUCAUAUGACUUAUAGUUUGUGUUUUCUUUUGGGCCUGAUGCAGUUUUGACGGAAUCGUCAUAAUUGACUUGUUAUAACUGUUGGGAAAGACAAGGUACUAACAAAGAAUGUCUGAUAGGAUAACAGCGGAAGAAUACGCAAGUCUAUACUUUCCCUUUUCGAUUUGAACCAAGAGAAGACAAACAACCACAAGCAAUAUGAUAGUAAGGCAGCAAGUAAUUCAAUCAAACAAAUAUAACAAGGCAAUGAUAAACCAAUCACACAAGACACCAAGAUUUACGUGGAAAACCCUUCGAUGUGAAGAGUAAAAAAACCACGGGACCAAAAGCUCCACUAUAAUCACCAAGAGUUACAAUAUUGUUCUCCAAAAUUGGCCACAAAACAAGUGCCAAACAACGAGCAACAACAAAAUAAGAUUGCACCAAAUCUAGAGAAUUAAAGGAGCAAAAUCACCAAUUUCGCAGCUACUAUUCACGACAGCAAAACUGAAGCUGCAGGCCACCAAAUCCAACUCUGUUAGUUCCUAAUCAAAGAUUGAGAUGAAGAUAAUAUGCUGUCCAAAAAUCAGCUCAAUCGGACAAGAAACGAAGCGGGAAUCGCAAUUUGAAGUUGACUGUUAGGGCUGAAUUUUGACUGCGAAAAUCUGCUCUUUUUCUCUCUUUUUAGCUGCUAAAAAACUCUCUGUGUAUUUGAAAAUAAGACCUAAAUAGGCUUAUAUUUGCCUCAUAAGAAUAUGCCUAUGGGCAAAAAUGGAUUGGUCCAAAUUGAGCUUUUAUUUCUACACAUAGGAAGGGAAAAAAGACCCAUAACCCAACAAUAACUUGUUAACAAUCAUCAAAUUUAAAAGCUUUGAGCGCAUGAGGAACCUAGUCUUUUUUAUUAUUAUAUUAACGAAGAUAACCAAAGUUGUUGUGCAGAUUAUAAGAAGUUGGUAUGUAACUUGUAAAUCUUUGACACACAAACUUAUGAAAGAAACAAUGUAUACAUUGAACUGGAAAUUGCACGAGUAAAAUUGAAAUAUCUAUUAAUAACAAGUACUAUUAUUUAUAUGCGGCAACAUAUAUAUAUAAGUAUUGAAAAUCCAUUAUCACUUGGCUUGAAGCAUACAAACCAUUGGUUGAAACUAAAAACUAAUCAAGAUUUUACAUGUAUAGCUUUCUUGGUAAAUUGAAUUUCAUACUGCACUAUGCUUCAAUCUUAUACCUUAUACCCAAAAACGGCGUAAGACAAACACGUUCAUGUUUAAUUCUCUGAUGCGUGAUUGUCGAGCCUCUAGGAUCCCAAUGGUUAAUAGCAAUGCCGAGAACUAUUGGUAGCAAAGGGCAGCCCAAAUUGGCUGGUAGAGACAUCAUAGUCCGAGCAAAAGAAGAGAGUUCCCAGAUGAUGGGCAACAUUGUGUGCAAAGGGAGACCUACAGAGCUUAGUAUUUCACAAAGACUAUCAUCGGGAGCAGCAUUGUCACGAAUCAUAGCAUUACUCGGCAAAUAGUAAGACUCCGUGAUAAAUGGACCUCGAGGUUCCUCAACGAUGGGAUCCCCUUUCUUUGAUAGGUACUGAACGAAUUCUUGAACCCGAAUUUCAAUCAAGAAUAAUGGACUGGUAGAUGAGUUGAUAAUGCUCUUCAAGUUGAGGUACUUUGGAAUGAUAAAAUCAUCUGUCCAAACUUCAAACUCAUUGAAGGCAAUUUGUGGAAUCUCCAUGUUCUUGCAAUUGUAGAUUGACCUAAGUGAAUGAAUAGAAAAGAUUAUUAGUGAUGCUUUUAUGCACUUUGAAGAAAGAGUAAUUUGUGUAGAAAUAGGAAACGCAGGUUUCUAAAAUUGAUUAAUUUCAAAUAAACUUUUCAUAAUUUACAAUUGCUACUCUUUAUUUUUGGGCAAAAGAGAAAAGUAAAAAUUAGAUUAGUUAAAAUUAAGUCAGUAUCUCCUAUUAUUUUCCUUCUUUAUUCUCCUUAAGAGAUAAGUGUCAUAAAAAACCUAAUUGAGGGAUAAUAUUGUGUCUGAUUGGUCAUACUGGUGUGAGUUUGAAAUUUAUGAGUAUCUAUAUUUAACUUUGUUGUAACACUUGAAUGCACAUGUUGGUUGCUGGUUCAAAUGCCCCGAAUGCACACUGUUGUUGUUAUUUUAUAGCCCUUCAGAUCAGAAACAAAACAUAUAAUGAAAAUGUGAUACCCCAAGCCCUUAAAUCAAGAACAAAAAAUAAUAAGAAAAUGUGAUGUCCCGGACAGCGUUUGCUCAGUUUAUAAAAGUAAAAACCAAACUAAUUAGUGUGCUGAGCUUACUAAUCCCCAGCAUGCUCUUUGUACAAGCAACUAUAGGUAUUAUAUUGGUUUAUAAAAGUAAACACCAAACUAAUACAAAGAUACUGAAAACAAAGCUACGUUCAUAAAAAAAAAAAUCAGUGGAUCAAUUGUAUUACAAAAGUUCAUUCCUAAAACACAUGAAAAUUAAAGGAUUGAAAAAAAAAGCGAGCACUGGGAAGACAAAUAUUUAGCGUAGCCCUCUAAAUUUAAGUUACCUUAUCAUACUACAAGCAUUUCUUCCUACUUUUUAUCCUACUCCAUUGAAUAUUCUUAAAAUUUCUUGUGCUUUUUAUAUUUUUAUUUUGUAAUGUUUCUUUAUUUUGCACUUUAUAAAAUUUUAAAUUUAGUCUCCAUACAAACACAUGUUACUAAGAAAAUCGUCAAGAUUCUCUACAAGUGUGUAAGUAUAGAAUUACUAAUAUUAUAAUGCAAUUCUAAUAUUAUAAUGCAUAUUCAGAAGAUAAAUUAAUGGAACCAUCAAUUUUUGGUUCAUGUAGCUAAAUUUACUAGGUUAGUAAUAAUUUGUAAAAAAAAAUGACAAAUAAAUCAAAUAAAUUUAGUUUCCAUCUCUCUAAAGUAAAAUUGAAGAAAUAGAAAAUAAUUCCAUGAAUUUUAUUAAUUUGAUAUUAUUAAAAGGAUAUAUUGAUGAUUUUUUAGUUUCUUCCUUUAAUUACAUCUAAUUUAUUAUCUUUUUUUAAUUAAAAAAUACAGAUAUUUCUAUCUCUAUUUCAUGUUUAAUAUAAUUCAUCAUUUUGAAAGAGUUUAUUCAACAAAAUGAUGAAUUAUAUUACUCUCGCUUGCCACUCUUCCUCUCUCACUUGCUCCUUCUCUCGUUUUUAUACAAAGACAAAUGUCUAAAAUAUAUUUGUGUUUGUAUAUAGCGAGAGAAAAUUGUAUGUAUACAUACAUUUUUCAUUCCCCUCUUUCCCCUUUUCAAGAUCUCGCUCGCCUCCUCGUCUCUCUCGCUUAUACAAAUAAAAACGAAAUGUAUAAAUUGUGUUUCAAUUUGUAUAAAGCGAAAGAAAAUUGUAUAUACACAUGCAAAUACAUAUAUCUUCGUCCUAUACACUUAUAAUUAUACACUACAAAUAUUCUCCUGCCCGAUUUUCUUUGGUCUUUCUCUCUUUCUCGUUUUAUAAAUACACAAAUUAUACAAUUGAUCUUUUGUAUACAACUGUUUUCUUUUGUAUAUGUAUAGUGGAUUAUACAAUUGUUUCUUUGUAUAUCUAUAGCGAACAUUUUUUUUAUAUGUAUAGCGAAAUAUACAUAUUUAUAUUGGCUAUGGAGCGCAAUUAUGUAAAGUAUAGAUAUAACAUACAAAUAUGAUUUUUAUGUUUGCUAUAUAUGAAAGUUACUUUAUUAAAAAGGCUUUAUAAAAAAAAAGCAAAAUGGUCUGAUAGAUCCUUAUACUUGUAUCAAUUUGUAUUCUGGACCCUUUCACUUAAUCAUUAUCAACUGAACCCUUAGACUCAAUAAAACACAAUUUAACAGAUCCCUAUAACCAUUGACAAGGCUUAUGUGGCAUUAGAAUGUCUGAGUUGGCAAAAGUGUGUAAUUACACACUCGUUUAGGCGAGUUAAUAACAUUUUUGGGUUAAAAAGAUAUAAUUAUAUAUUUAUUUUUAACAUAUCAAAGUCUAUAUAGUAUAUUGAACAAAAACUCAAGAAAAUUGUUAAAAUCAAAUUCAACAUCAUCAAAAUUUCUUCCAACAAGUGAUAAAUAAAGUUGUCCAAAUUCAUAACAAGAGUGAGUCUGCUGAUGCUCUCAUGGGUCUUCUUUACAGCCACCAUCAUGGAUUCCGAUGAGGAGAACUACGUCGAAGAUGAAGGAUUUUCAGAAGCAAUUUACGUCAUUACGGCGGACCGGUUAAAAUUGUAAAUUUUAAGAGAAAUAUUUUUUUAAAAAAUAAUUAAUCAAAAAAAUCCUUCUUUUCACUCACUAUCCAUCAUUUUCAACCAUUUUCAUCCCAUACCCGACCCUUCUUUCUUCUUCUCCCUACAAUCUAUAAACAUCAAUUUACCAGAUUUUGCACACAUCGAGUCCACUAAUUGACCGCAGAGGUAGAAAACAACGUUGAUGGUACUCGCCACACGGAGUCGCAGUGGAGUUAGCGAGAUAAGAGACGGUGGUGCACGUCGGAGACAAUGCGAAGUAGUGGAGUGAGAGAGAGGCAGCACUGGUUGUUGGAGAGGAAAACGAGGUGGGUGAGAGUGUGAGGUCAUGGCGGCGAAGAGGUUUCUCUGCCAGAUCUAGCGGUGUGGUGGCUUAGGUUGUUGGUUUUAUGAAGGUUGGAGGAGAAAGAAAAUGGGGUGUGCGGCGAAGAUGAAGCCAGGUAAGGCAGAUUCGAUUACGCCGGUAAAAGUGAUGACGACGAACGCAUCGACAGCUUCUCCGGUCGAUGUUGGCCGUGAACAGUGAAAAUAGGAGAAUCAGAUGUAUGGAGUUUUACUUUAAAAAAUAAAUUAAAAUUUAAUUGUUUUACCUUUUAUUAAAUAAUUUUGGUUAACAAUCUUAAAAAACAGUUAUGAAAUAAUUAUGACAUGCACUAAUAUAUAUGACAUGUCAUUUAUGUAAAGAAGAGUGAGCCACACACAUGUUUGGAGGGCUUAAAAGUUUCAUAGUAAUUGAGUCUAAGGGUUCCAUUGGACAAAUGACUAAGGAAAAGGGUCUAGAAUACACACUGAUACAAGUAUAAGGGUUCAUCACAUCAUUUCGUCAAAAAGAGAAGCACUAGUUAUGAAUGAAAUUCGAACUCAUAACAUAAGGACAAUUCUUGAACACCUUAUCCACUAAGCUAAGCUUCUCAUUUGUUUCAAGAGAUUCAUUAUACAUACUCAAAAAUCAAAAUUUUGUCUUAUAUAUAGCAUAAAUUUUUGACGGAAGGGGUUCGGGUGAAUCCAUGGGCACCACCUAGAUCCGCCCAUGUCCCUGGAUCAAGUUUGGCCCACAGAUAGGGAUGACAGAAUGAGUCAUUAAUAUGGGUAUUCAACUCAUUUAAAAUGGAUACAAAAAUAUUAUAAAAAACUACUUAAUAAGACAUACAUCACUUACAAGUUACAUAUAUAUAUAUUUUACCUCUACUUUAAUUUUUUUACAUGUAAUACCACUUUUUAAUAAUCAUAACAUAUAUUUUAAAGAGUAAAUUAGAUACACAAAUGCCUUAAACAUGGAAAUGAAUAGUUAUCUUAAAGUCUAAUCUCCUUGAUUGAUGUGACACUCACAAUUAAAAAAAAAAUCUCUCACAUCACCAACACCUUUGAUGCCUUAAUCAUCAAUUCUGAUCAAGAGCUCCAUGCAUUGUUCACUCCAAUUCUUCAAGUUUCUAAUCCAGAAACUAUUAGAAUAAUCAAAUUCACAUGCCGCAAUGUCGAAUAAAGAAAACCCAAUGGUCAAUUCACCUAUGGCAACAAUCAACACUUCGAAUCAUGAUAUUUCCAAUUCUCCAUCACUGGAAUCGCUUGGAGACCAAAUAAUUGGACAACAUUUAAUCUCCAAUAGAAAUGACAAGAGUUUGGGGGAAGGAAACAAGUGAUUCUAGAUGGGCAAAUUUGGUUGAGGAGGAAGAAAAUAUCUCUACACCUGCAAGGAGUAAGUUAAGUCCUCAAGCACCCUUAUUUGUGCCAAGUAAGGCAAAUCCAUCUAUGGCGGUGACAAUUUAUAAUUCCAAAAAGAGCUUAACCAUUACCACCAAGGUAUUGGAAAAGAGCCAUGAACCAGAAGUUUGAGUUUCAAGACUUUGUCCAACCACAACAUAUAAUAGUGACUUGGGAAGUGAAAAGUUUGAUGAUGACGAUGACGAAGAUGAGAUAGUAGACAUAUUAUUUGAUCAUGUAUCCAAGGAUGGAGAUCUUUCGCCUAGGCAACAAAAAAGUGAAAGCAACAAAAAUAAAAAGAAGACAUGAAAGGCAACAUAGUUGGCAAGGUACGGUGAUUGAAAAAUUUAUUUCAAGGCACCUACCCAUGUGACUAGCAAAUAAAACUCAUAUGACAGUUUCAACAACAACACGAUCCAGUAAAUCCAAAAAAAGAAGUGAAGAACUAUCAAGUUUUGUUGGACACAUUCGAUAAAGAAGUCAAGAGGGAAAUACUUCAGGUUACUUUACACAACAAUACAUCUCUUUUAAUUUUCACAAGUUUGAGAUUGAUAACUCAGCUUUAUUCUUAGAUUUUGUAUUUUGCAUUGCUUAAGCAUUCUCAUUUGUAGUAUCAUCAUAGAAUUUACUAUAAACUCUAUGAUGAUCAUAAAAUAUCGAGUUUUCUUUAGCUGUUAAUUUGUUCAUGCUUGUUAAUUAGUAGAGGUUCGUUACCUCAUUAAGAUUAGCAAGGUAAGAGCUAGCCCCGCUUGCUUGUACUUUUCUCAUUGAGAUCCUUUUCUUUUUAUUAAUAAAACUAGCCCUAGGUACAUAUUGCCUAGCGGAAUUGCUUGAAAAAAUACUUAUUUUUCAAAAAAAAAAAGUUGUUUCCCUCCCCAUUCUCAUUACAUGUAUGUAUCUAGCCCACACCCCCAUAUAAUUCCCACUUUCAUAACUACUUAUUGAUAAUCAACACGAUGUGAUUCCGAAUGUAAAGCGCAAAUGGAGAGUUGUUGGGGCCAGAUCCUGCUAAAAGGCCAUCAUUCUCAGAAAUUUCUCAGAAAUUAAGAAUGACAACGGAAAUGAAUGUCAAAUGAUACUGUUUCAGGACUUACCAUACUCGCUCCUUCCAAGAUAGUCAUUUACAUUAUGUUUAAUUUUUCACUCAUGUUCGUUCUAAUGUAACUCAAUUUUUAUCAGUUUUAUGUAUUUGAGUAACGUAAACUUCAUAAUCUUUAUCAAUUCCUUCCUUUAUAUCUUAAAAUUUCGAAUAUUUUGUCCUUGAGAUGCAUGUAUCAUUAGUUGUGAGAUACAUGUAUUCAUGGGUUUUAGAAGUUGUGAUACACAAUUUAUUACUUAUAAAGGGUGUAACUUAUUUCCUUCUAUAAUUUUUAUAUUCGGUUUCAAAGAUUCAUGAACCUGAAUGCCUCAACAAUAUUGUGAUUUUCACUAAUUUCAUGUAUCUGAGUAUUGUAAAAUUCAUCUUCUUCAUCAAUUCCUUUCUUUGUAUCUUAAAGUUUCGAAUAUUUUGUUAUUGCGAUACAUGUAUCAUUAAUCGCGAGAUAUAUGUAUUCAUCGAUUUUAAAAGUUGUGAUACACAAUUAAUUACUUUGAAUUAAAGGGUGUAACUUAUUUCCUACUAGAAUUUUCAUAGUCGGUCUUAGAGAUCCAUGAACCCGGAUGCCUAAACAAUACUGUGAUAUUGACCAAUUGCAAAAAAAAAAAAAAAACUCAAAAAAUGAAGAUUCAAAAUAAGAAAUUGAUGAAUAAGAUGAAGUUUACAAUUUCAGAAUUACUAAUGUUUAUGAUUGUAUUUUUAUAUUAAAACUAAUAAUAGUUGAUACAAUGAUCCACUAAAUCCGUUUUGUUUGUUAAUUUCUCAUCAUUUACUCCUUUAAUUAAUUAAGGAAUUAAGUUAAAUAAAAUUAACUCAAAUCUAUCAAAUCAUGUAUCUCGUCCUUUUAAAUCUGCUAGAUGCAUGUAUCUAAUGACUUAUGGUACAUGUAUUUGAUAACCGAAAGUGGUAUAAAAAUUAAUAUUAAAAACUAACGAGAUUCCUAGUAAUUAGGAUAUAAAAUAGUGAAAUUUAUCUAGUUACCCAAAUUAAUAUUACUCAUAUUAUUUAUUUUGAAGUGAGUAGUUAAUUGGGUAAAAUUAUUUUAAAAGAAAGAAAAGUGGUCGGGGAGGUGGGUGGUAAAAAAACUUUUAACAAAAUAUUUAUUUUUUAAAUUGUUUUUUUUUGGGAUGGGAGGGGGGGGGAUGUGGUGGGGGGAGGGGCUAAUAGGGGUGGGGUGGUAAAAAAAUUAUUAAUUUUUUAAAAAUAAAAAAUAUUUAAAUAAUUACAUUAUUUUUAGGAUGGGGUGUGUGCACGUGUAUGUUGGGGGGGGGGUAGCAGGGGGAGGAGGGUUGGUAAGGGGUGGAGUGAUAAAAAAAGAAAUUUAGAAAAUAUUUUUUUUUUAAUAAUAAUAAGAAAACUUCUUUUUCUUAUAUUUUUUGGGAUGAGGCUGGUAGGAGGUGGGGGCAAUAAGAAAAAACUUUAAAAGUUUUGUUUUUGAGGAUUUUAACAAAAUCCCUACUAUUGGGGACACAUAUUUAUCCAUAUUAUUCAUUGGGUAAUUUAUUUUUACCCAUUUAAAUAUAAGUCUAGUCGAGUGCUUUAUUAAUUUUUUGUUAAUUUAAUUUUAAUUGACUCAUAUUCGACUCGAUCAGCUCAUUUGCCAUUCAUAGUCACAAAUAUGGAAGUAGUGGCUUCAACCAACACACCAAAGUGCACAAUUUAAUGUAUAUAUAUUCCAUCUUAUUUUAUGUGGCAAUAUUUGACUGACCACAAAGUUAAAGAAAUAAUGAAGACUUUGAAAUGUUUACCAAUAUUCCCUUCAAAAAAGUUAACUCACUUUUCUCUCUCCUCAUAAAUGUAUUAGAGUACUAUGUUUAAAAUUAAGUGGGACUAACAAGGGUAAGUACCUUUAAAUACAUAUAAGAAAAUGCGACCUUCUUUUUGGUACUGACCAAAAAGGAAAUCUUGCCACAUAAAAUAGGACGGAGGAAGCAUAGAAGUUCAAUAAUUUAUAGUGACUUUUAGUUCUAGAUUAGGGCUGGCAGGGGGACCGGGUCAUCCCGCCCCGGAACCGGCCCAUCCCCCAAGGUUUAAGGGGAUUACGGGAUGGGGGAUGAGGGGACCGUUCAGGGGCCGGUUCACCCCUGUGUCCCGGUCGACCCGGCCCGGUUGAACCCGCCGGUUCGCGGGAUUCCCCCCCCCCCCCCCCCAAUAUUUUUUUUAAAAAAAAAAAUUUAAAAAUGUAGCCGUUACUAUCCGUUGGGGAAACGAAUAGUGGGCCCCCCCCAACGGAUUUAUGCCUCUUUUUGACUUCCCAAACACCCCCUACCACCCCUACCAUCCCCCUACUUUUAAAAAAUUAUUUUAAACCCUCAAGUUAUUAUAAUUACAUUUUAACCCAUAUAAAUACACCUAUCCUCUACUAUUUCUUAUAAAAUCAUCUAUUCUCAUUUCUCUCAUCUAUUUUCUAUAUUCUAUCAACUCUUAAGUCUCAAGUGUCAAUCUUAAUUUCUAUUCAAUUUUAAUUCUCAUAUUAUUAGAAUCCAUAUAUUUCAAUUUUCAAUUCAAAAUUUUCAUAUUAUAUCAAUAAAUAUAAUUAUAUUAUCUCAUAUUUGUUAUCAAGUAUUGGCUUGGAGUUACAAAUUACAAGUUACAACAAAUCACAAGCUUCAACAAUCGGUUUAACGUCUGCUAUUAACGCAGACGUUUGGUACAUUUGUUUCAUAAUAUUUAUAUUUUAUUAUUCGUUAUUACUUUUGUGUUAUUAUUAUUUUUAUAUUACACUUUAUAUAUAUAUAUAUAUAUAUAUAUAUAUAUAUAUAUAUAUAUAUAUAUUAAGUAUGAUUUCUAGCAAAAAAAAUAGCGGUAAAGGAAAAGAGAAAGCACAAGAUAACGAAGAAAGUAGACUUUUUAAAUUAUUUAAUUUUGGUAAAAAAAAUAGUAAAAAAAUAAAGAGUUAGUAAAAGUGGUGGUACUUCAUCUAAAUCAACGAGUAGAGUUAGAUUUAACAUAAAUGAUUCUUUACUUAUGUUGAUGAUACUCCUUAUAAUAUUGAUUCAAAUGUUCAACUCGAUCACGAAAGUUUAGAACGACGUUAUGAUAAUAUUAAUUCUAAUGUUGAUGAAAAUUCAGGUGAAGAAGUAGAAGCUGAUUUGGGAGAAGAGGAGUUAGAUGAAACACCUACUAGUCCGGUGACAGAAGUUUCAAAUGAGACUAUCAAUUUACCGGAGCAAAAUUUUGGAUAUCCACCCCUUAUACCUCCCACAAGGGAGAAGGUGAAGUAUCAACGACCUAAAACUUCUAUUGUGUGGCAAUUUAUGACUUCUGAUAAAGAAAAUAGUGUUGCUAUUUGUAACAAGUGUAAGCAAGCUUUUAAACAUAAAGGUGGGGGUCAAGGUGGAACGGGGGGAUUAAAUAGACAUUUGUUAUCUUGUGUGCCGAUUCAAUAUAAAGAAGCUAAAGCAUUAGCCAAUAGAAAAAAGAGAAUUUCAAUUAAUGAAUUAGAUAUUAUCGGUAAUGCAUCGAUAGGGGCUUCUAACAUGGUUCAAGGAACAUUAGAUCCUUUUAACCCCGCUGGUCCAAUAACACAAAGUAAAUAUAAUAAGGAAUUAGAUCGGGAAAAUUUAACUAAAAUGGUUUCUGUUUGUGGUUUGCCUUAUAGUUUUCCUUCAAAUCCCGAUUUUGUCGAAUAUAUUCAACAAACUUAUAAUCCGGAUUAUAGAGGCUUUUCAAGAAAUACUGUCAAAACUGAUGUUUUUGAAUAUCAAGGUAAACAUUGUCAAUUUCUUCGUUGUCUAUUUAGCAUAUUAGAUAGUAGAGUGUCUAUUACUUCGGACAUGGGUCGUAGUGUUAAUGGAAAUGAUUAUUUAACUGUAACUGCACAUUGGAUUGAUCAUAAUUGGAAUUUGCAAAAAAGAAUUAUAUGUUAUAAACUAUGUAUAGAGAAAAAAAACUGGUGCAUAUUUAGCUACAAAUAUUUUAAGUAUUUUAGAUUAUUACAUGAUUAUAGAUAAAAUAAUGUCUGUCACAUUAGAUAAUGCAUCUAAUAAUACAAAUGCCGCAAACAUGUUAAAAGUUAGAUUAUGUCCAAUUGACAAUAAAGUUUUUCAUGUUAGAUGUGUUGCACAUAUAUUAAAUUUAGUUGUACAAGAUGGUAUUUCAUUAUUUGAUUGUGGUAGCGUAAAAGUUGAAUAUGCUGUUACCUGGAUUUUUCAUACAAACAAUGCUGCUAGAAUUAGGGAAUUUAAUGAGCGUUGUUUACUAUGUGAAUUGUCACCUAGAAAAAUUCCAAAACACUUUAAAACAAGGUGAAAUUCUCUUUACGAAAUGCUUUCGGUUGCUUAAAAAUAUAGAAGACCCAUACAAAUGGUUUUUAAUGCUCAUAAUGCUAACCCAUUAGAUAGAAUUUGUGAUGAAGAUUGGGAAGAAACUAAAGAACUAUUACAAUUUUUAAGACUUUUUUAUGAUGCUACUACCAUGUUUUCGGAAAUUUAUUAUCCUACUAUUUUAUCCGUAUUAAUAAAUAUUUGAGCUCUUUCAAUUCAAUUUUCUAAAUAUAAAAAAAUAGAUAACUUUAGAGUUGCAAUUGAAGGUAUGAUUGAAAAAUUUAAAAAAUAUUUUUUUCCUAUUCCUCAAGUUUUUUUAACGGCUAUUUUACUUCAUCCUGCUUAUAAAUUACAAGGUGUGACAGACCUUGUCGAAACUUUUUAUGAAACUUUAGAAAUUUUACCGGAAGAAACUCCAGAUUGUGAAACGUGUAAGUCUAGCAUAAAAAUAGAAGCAAAAGUUUUGUAUGAAAAAUAUAGAACUAGUGAAAAUUUUGAAGGAGAAGUUGGUCAAACUUCUAAUGUUGAGAUUGAUUUGUCAGUUCCAAUUUCAUGUUAUAUGCGAGGUUUUCUUGGUCUUAAUUCUACUAACCGUGAUGAUUUUGAAGAAUAUCUUAAUCAAUCUUUAGAAAACUUGGAAAUCAAAGAUGGCAAUGAAGAUUUAUUAGGAUGGUGGAGUAGACGAAGCGAUGCAUUUCCAACUUUGAGCAAAAUGGUUCGUGAUAUUCUAGCUAUUCAAUCUUCAUCAGUUGCAUCGGAGGCUGCUUUUAGUGCGGGAAGGUUUCAAAUCGGUGAUCAUAGACAUUCAUUGGCGGAAGACAGUUUGGAAACAACAGUUUUUAUUUAGAGACUGGUGCAAUGCCGAAAGGAGGAAUAACAAUUUGACAAAGUUAAGUAAAAAACAAGCAACUUGGAUCAAAACUUGUAUUGAAUGCAGUGAUGAUGAAUUAGAGGCACAAGAAUUUCUAACAAGUUUGACAACACCGGAGGAUAUCACCAUCGAAAUGAUGCGACAAUUAGAAUUAAAUUUUAAAGGAGAAAACAGAUAUUAUUAGAUUACAUUCGAGAACUAAUUGAAACAAAACCCUUCCUAGAAGGUGGCUGCAUAAAAUUAGUUACUCAUCUAAUAUCUGUAACAAAUAUUAGUUUUACGUAUGAGAACUUAUUGAAAUAGAACCCUUCCUAGAAGGUGGCUGCAUAGAUUAGUUACUCCACUAAUAUUUGUUAAUGGUAAGUUGUAACUUAUAAGUUCUAUUGAAUAAAUUUUUUUAUACAAUUAUUGUUUUGAAUUUUAAUUUUAAUAUAUACAAUUAAAUAUAUAUGCUAAAGUACUAAACUAAUUUUAAAAUACUUAAUUUAAAGUUUACAAUUUACAUUACUUUAAAAUAUUUAAAUUACAAAUUUAAACUUCUCAAAUUUGAAAUUUAAAACUUUAAAGUUGAAACUUGAAAUUUGAAAAAUGAAUCUUAAAAUUUGAAAAUUGAAACUUUAAAUUAGAAAAUUUAUUUUGAUAUUUGAAAAUCAAAAAUUAAAUUUAAAAUUUAUUAGCUAAAGACGUACCAUUUCAAUAAAAAGAUAUAAAUAUUUUAAAAAAAAGAAUCCCCCGUCCCAUGUCAUCCCGUCCCGUCCCAUCCCCCCAAAUCUCAUCCCAUCCCGUCCCAUCCCCCCAAAUCUCAUCCCAUCCCAUAUAUAUAGUGGGACGGGAUGGGACCUAUUUUUCGUCCCCCCAAUCCUGGUCCCCCCAAUCCUGGUCCCAGGUGAAAUCCCCCCUCCUCGUCCCCUGUUCCGUCCCUUCCCCCUUCGUCCCGUCCCCCUGUCCCCUUCCCCGUCCCCUUGCCAGCCCUAUUCUAGAUGUCUUCCUUGAAUUGAUAGCUCCAAAAUAUUAAAAUUUGUCAAGGUCAGUUACAUAAAAUAUUUUUUGUUGAUAUUAGUAAUAUUAUUGAACUUCUAUGCUUUGUCCAAAAAUAUUAUAAUUAUCAAAUUAUUUUGUUCAAUCGACUUUUCAUAUAAAUCAAAAAGACAAAUUCUCCGAAUGAAAGUUCAAUAGAUCAAAUAAAAAAAUAGUGUGGCACCCAAAAUCUCAAAAUCUUGGAUCCACAUGUUGAAGUUGUGGAAGAAACCACUAAUGCUUGCAUUUGGUUAGGCUUUCCACCUCGCUCCCCUUAUGGUGUAGACCUUCCUCAGACCAUGCUAACGUGGGAUGACUACUAUUUAGAUUGACAUUUCUUGUUCACCAUUUGAAGAAAUGUUUGCAUAUGUGUCGUUCCCUGAAUACUUAGGCGUGGAGAGUUUUAAUUCUAUGAUUUGAGUUAAUAUGACAUGAAAUAUCCGUAUGGUCAAAAACAAUGUUACUUUGGAAGAUUGACUAUAUUAGUAAUCCUAUAUUAGUAAUCCACAAUGUAUUGUCACCUUAGACCUUUUAAGCCUAAUUUACAUAGUGGGAGAUUGGAAUGUUAAUCUUAGUCGUAUCUCAGAAUGCUCUCUUAUAGUGCGUACUCUGGAAAGAUACAUCAAGGCUAUGAAUGAGGGCAACUGUCCACUGGCUACAAUUUGAUCUCAAAACCAAUCAAUGGAAAGUAAGCUUUUUUACUAUUUCCUUUUGUUUUCCUUUCAAGUUUUUCUUUUCGACAGUAUUAUAUGACUUGCAAGAUGUACUAGGAUAAGUCAAUUUAAGAUAAGUCUGUCAGUAGGAAUUCUUCAUGGAAUAUUAUAAUUUUUUCAUUAGUGUACUACGAUCUUCGUAUUACUAUUUUAUCUUCUUCUGUUUACUGUCAAAUUUACAGAUGAAUUUUUUAGUACAUUUAGUUUCUUGUGUAAUUGGUUUCCACCUGCGCUAUGAAUAAGUAGACCUUCAAACACAAGUCCUAAAUCAGUAAGUGAAAUGUGUCUCAGAAGAGAGAAAAAAAAGGAAGAUAAUAAAUCAAGAAAAGCAUUGUGACUUCAGUAUACAAUCUCAGUUGGAGAUGAAAAAUUGAAGCACAGUUGCUAAUUCUAAGGAUAUCAAUGAGAGUGCUACAUCAUCACAGAUACAUACAUUACCUGAUGAACCGACUAUUGAGGUGAUGGUGAUGGGAAAAGCGAUGGAAAAGUACUUGCUCUAGGAAAACAUGUGAUUCUAUUUGAAAAUUCAAAUACGGAUGGUGCAAACGUCAUUUUGUUGAAUGAUUCUUUCUUUUAUCCAAAUCAAAAUUUAUUUUAUCGCCAAACUAAGAGAUAGAGGAUGCACUGUUGGCUCAACCAUCGGUGCAACUCCUCAUCAAUUUUGUCUAAGUCUCUCUCUACUCUCUCACGCAAUCACUGCUCUAUGAGUUGUCUAGAUGAACAAUUUACAUGAAUUUUUUUAAUUCUUCCCAUGUUUUCCUGAAAUAUCUCCUCACUCUUUCCUGAUAAUAAAAGUUACACUGCUCCACCAUUAACUUAAUUGUGAUUAUCCCUUUAUUUUCUUAUUUUAUUGUCUUUGAUCAAGUUUCAAAAAAUAUGUUUAAGGUAUUGAAAAUGACAUUGAAGGUAAUCCUUUCAUAGACUAAAACUAUUUUCUUUAUUUCUUAAGCAUUCUAUGAUGUGUCUCUAAGCUAUAACGUUAUAGGCAUGUAUGUUGGUGAAAAGAGAAGACUCACUAUUUCACCAUUUUUGGGGUAUAUACAAAUCAUUGUUGGAAUGCUCUUUUUUUAAAAAAAUUUGUUGUAAUUCCAACAAUUGAACAUUUCUCUGCUCUAGUUCCUUUUAAACGGAAUGUGUUCAUUUUAAUAGUUUUUUUAGAAAUAAUAGGCAUAAAUUAUUUAUUUUAUAAAAAAAAGAUAAAUACUUUUUUCAAAAUCUAUGGUUAAAAGUAUGGUGAAACUUUACCCAAAAAUAACUUGUUAAAGAUACUCUCUCCGUCCCAUUUUAUGUGAAAUCAUUUACUUUUUGGACAGUCCCAAAAAAAGUCAUAUUUCUUUAUACGAUAAGUAUUUAAAUGGGACGAAGAGAGUAUUUGGUAAAAAAAAAACUAAUUUUUGUAGUGUAACUUAAGUAAUAAAGUGAAUCUAGACCACUAGGGUCUCUUCAUCUUCUUCUACAAAAAAAAGUGACAUAAUAUCAAACUUUUUAUUUAUAUUGUAUAUAUGAAACUAUUUUGAGCUUUAAACAAGAUAUCUAUCAAAUAAAAAAAUUAGUUUUUAGAAAUUGUUGGCCACACUUCUGAUUGUAGAAAUAAAUGAAAACAUCAUCACUACCAUCUUGGAUAAGUUUUCAAGAUUCAACUUGAAAAUAAUCGUUCACAAUCACGUCAUAAUGGCUCCCAACCAAUGGAAUGCAUCCACUAAAACAUUUUCUCGUCCUCUAUAAUUAGAUGAUUCCAUCAGAUCAACUCUCGCUUUCAUUUCACCUCCUACACGAGAGGUUCAUCCUGUUAGUACAUUUUACGGUGCAACUAUUCUUUCCUCUUAGGAUGAGAGAGUCAUUCAGGUGUCGUUCUGUUUCCAUCUCCUCACCCAAAAAAAUACUGAUGACUUAUUUUUUAUGUAUGUAUACUCUUAGGUGAAGAGAAUGUUGAGACUCUCUGAUAAGGAUGAACAAGAUGUUACAUAUUUUCCUAAGCAUAAUCCACAUGCUGAGGCCAAAGGAUUUGAUCGGUUUUUUCGAUCACCGACCUUAUUUGAAGAUGUUGACAAGUCUCUUCUUAUUCGUUUUCCCCCGUAAGUUAAUCAUAUAUUAUAUACAAGCAAUUUGUAAAACUCAAACUUUAAAUUGAACUAAAAUAUAUAGAUUAAAUGAAUCAGGUGGAAGACAUCUUUUGAUCUGGCAAAGGCUCUUUGUGAUGUACAACUGAAAAAAGUAAGAAUGUCGAAAAUAAAGAGAGACAAUAUUGGAGACUUUCGAGCCCGAGAGAAUUAGCAAGUUUAGAAAGAAAGAGAGAAAAGGCAAAGGGAAAUUUGGCUAUAGAACAGGGGACUUGAUUGAGUUGGCUAAACAAGCUGUUGAUGAAAAAUUUAAGUUAAAAUUUAAGUUAGAUGGUGCUGAUGAAGUAUUAUCAUGAUGUGUAUUGAUCAUUAUCAUAAUAUUUCAAUUGAUACAGAAACGUUGUGUCAUGUGAAAAAGGUAACAAACUUAUUAUUCGUGUAUAUCAUAAAAAAUAACUAACAUUGCACAUGGAUCAUUUGUUAAUGGAGGUAAUAAUAUUUCUUAAAUCCUCUUAUAUAUAUUUACAUUUUACUUGUCAUGAUUUCAUUUUUAUGAACUUAAUAUGAGAAAACGUAAAAGGGGAUCAACUAGUGUGGAAACAAAAUAAAAAAAUACAAGAAUUCUACAAGAUUUAUCAUCCAUUUGAGUUUUCGACUUAAUGGUAAGUUAUGUUGGGGAUAUCCCCAUUAUUUUCAUUGAUUAGUCUAUAAUCAUACACUUGAUUUGUUGGUCUUUAUAUUUGAACUUACCAACUCUUAUGACAUAAAAUUUGGCUAGACAUUGGGUAGUAAUUACCAUCAAUAUAUCAGCAUGCCACCAAAAACAAGAAAUGUUAAGGUACAUAACAUUAUUAAUGUGUGUCCUAUACUUUUUGUCACGACCCAAAUCGGGCCGCGACUGGCACCCACACUUACCCUCCUAUGUGAACGAACCAACCAAUCUAAACCUUAACAUUUCAAUAUAAUAUCAACAGAAAGUAAUGCGGAAGACUUAAACUCAUUAAUAAAAUCAAUAACUAUUUUUAUCCCCAAAAUCUGGAAGUCAUCAUCACAAGAACAUCUACUUCAAAUUACUAAAUCUAAGAGUUUCUAAGAAGCUAAAAAUACAUAAAAGCUAGUCCAUGCCGGAACUUCAAGGCAUCAAGACAUGAAGAGGAAGAUCCAGUCCAAGCUAGAAGUAUUAGCUCACCCUGAUAUCCGAAGUAAUGAAGACUGGCUAGAGUUACUGUUGAGUCGAAGAUGACGGCACGUUUGUUGCACUCCACAAUUAAACAAGAAGAAAACAUAAAAGUAGGGGUCAGUACAAAACACGGGUAUUGAGUAGAUAUCAUCGGCCAACUCAAAAUAGAAAUCAAUAUAUACCAAGUAAUAUCAUAAAAGCAACUAUGAUACUCAACAUGUAGCAACAACAAGUACUAUAUCAUUAACAAUUACCGUCAAGUUCACACAUGAGGACUCAAGCCUCAAUACCAUACUCAUUUGGAAAUUAUGUUCAUUAGAUUGAGUAUAUUAACAUCUUUCAAGAUUCAUUAUCUUUAUUUCUCUUGUGUCGGUACGUGACACUCCGCUCCCUCAUAUUCAUUAGUCCUCUUGUGUCGGUACGUGACACUCCGAUCCCCUACAUCUACGUGUCGGUUCGUGACACCCGAUCCCCUAAAUCUACGUGUCAAUUCGUGACACCCGAUCUCCUAAAUCUACGUGUCGGUUCGUGACACCUGAUCCCCUAAAUCUACGUGUCGGUGUGGGUAUCUUUCUCGCAUAUCGGCCUCUUUCUCCCAAGUGGCUUCUUCGACGGGUCGAUUCUUCCAUUGAACUUUGAUGGAUGCAAUCUCCCUUGAUCUCAACUUGCGAAUUUCUCUAUCUAGAAUGGCAACAGGCUCCUCCUCAUAAGUCAAAUUCUCAUCAAGCAAAACUGAAUCCCAACGAAUGAUGUAGUUUCCAUCCCCAUGGUAUCUUUUCAACAUAGACACAUGAAAUACCGGAUGCACUUCGGACAGCCCUGGAGGCAACGCUAACUCAUAAGCCACCUCCCCUACUCGCUUAAGUACUUCAAAGGGACCAAUAUACCUUGGGCUUAAUUUACCCCUUUUACCGAAACGUAUCACCCCUUUCAUGGGCGAAACCUUCAGUAAGACGUGUUCACCCUCCAUGAACUCCAAGUCUCUAACCUUUCGAUCGGCAUAUUCCUUUUGCCUACUUUGCGCCGCUAACAGGUUUUCUUGAAUAGAUUUCACUUUAUCUAACGAUUCUCUCAGAAGGUCAGUACACCAAGGUCUAACCUCGAAUGCAUCAAACCACCCAAUGGGAGACCUACAUCUCCUCCCAUACAAUGCUUCGAAUGGAGCCAUAUCAAUACUUGAGUGAUAGCUAUUAUUGUAUGAAAACUCCGCUAAGGGUAAGAAGUUAUCCCAAUGACCACCAAAUUCUAUCACACAUGCGUGAAGCAUAUCCUCCAACACUUGAAUCGUUCUCUCAGACUGACCAUCGGUCUGAGGAUGGAACGCAGUACUAAGGUCCAACCUAGUACCCAAUUCCACAUGCAAUGUUUUCCAAAACUUAGAAGUAAACUGCGUACCUCUAUCUGAUAUAAUGGAGAGUGGAACCCCAUGCAACCGAACAAUUUUUGAGAUAUAGAUUUUGGCUAACUUCUCUGCAUUGUAAGUCACCUUGACCGGAAUGAAAUAAGCAGACUUAGUUAACCUAUCAACAAUCACCCAAAUAGAGUCAUAUUUACCCAUUGUCUUUGGAAGACCAACCACGAAAUCCAUUGCAAUACUUUCUCACUUCCAUUCAGGAAUGGACAUUCUCUGAAGUGUUCCUCCGGGCCUCUGGUGUUCAUACUUUACUUGCUGACAGUUUGGACAUUUGGCAAUAAAAUCAACAAUAUCCCGCUUCAUUCUACUCCACCAAAAGUAUUGCUUUAGGUCACGAUACAUCUUGGUUGCACCAGGAUGUAUAGAAUACCUUGAACUAUGAGCCUCUGUCAGAAUAGUGUUGAUCAAAUCAUCGACGCGGGGUACACAUACCCUUCCCUUGAUCCUCAAAACACCUUCCUCAUCGAUUUGUGCUUCCUUAUCCUCUCCUCGCAAUACCUUAUCUUGGAUUCUGCGCAGUUUCUCAUCAUCAAACUGUCUUCCCUUAAUCUUGUCAAGAAAGGAAGAUCUUACCUCCACACAAGACAACAAUCCUCCCUUCUCAUUUACUUCUAAUCUCAUCAAGUCGUUAGCUAGAGUCUGAACCUCUCUAGCCAAUGGACGCCUGGAAACUUGCAAGUGAGCUAGACUUCCCAUGCUUCCCGCCUUUCUACUUAAAGCAUCCGCUACAACAUUCGCCUUCCCCGGAUGAUACAAAAUAGUGAUGUCGUAAUCCGUCAGUAGUUCCAUCUAUCUCCUCUGUCUCAAGUUCAAAUCUUUCUGAGUAAAGGCAUACUGUAGGCUACGAUGAUCCGUAUAGAACUCACACUUAACCCCAUAUAAAUAGUGUCUCCAUUGCUUUAAUGCAAACACUACCGCGGCCAAUUCCAAAUCAUGAGUUGGAUAGUUACGUUCAUGCACUUUUAAUUGUCUUGAAGCAUAAGCAAUCACAUUCUUCUCUUGCAUUAGCACUGCACCCAAACCCGAAUAGGAUGCAUCACAAUAGACAAUGAAAUUCUUACCUUCCACUGGCAAGGUGAGAAUUGGUGCAGUAGUCAACAGAGUCUUGAGCUUCUGAAAGCUUUCCUCACACUCAUCCGACCAUACAAAUGGGACAUUUUUCUUAGUCAAGUUCAUCAGUUGGGAAGCAAUGGAAGAGAAUCCCUUGACAAAUCAGCGGUAAUAGCUAGCUAAACCAACAAAACUCCUUAUUUCUGACACAUUAGUAGGUCUUACCCAAUUUUUCACUGUCUCAAUCUUAGAAGGAUCCACCAUCACUCCAUCCUUAGAAACCACGUGCCCCAAGAAGGACACUACAUCUAGCCAAAACUCACACUUAGAGAACUUGGCAUAAAGCUUUUUCUCCCUCAACAUUUCCAAUACCAUUCUCAAAUGCUCCUCAUGUUCCUCCUUACUUUUAGAGUAUAUCAGUAUGUCAUCAAUAAAUACGAUCACAAAGAGAUCCAAAUAUGGCUUAAAAAUCCCGUUCAUCAAACUCAUGAAUGCAGCAGGGGCAUUCGUAAGACCAAAAGACAUCACUACAAAUUCGUAAUGCCCAUACCUGGUUCUAAAAGCAGUCUUUGGCACAUCCGUUGCCCGUAUUUUCAAUUGAUGAUAACCGGCUCUCAAAUCACUCUUAGAGAAGACACAAGCACCUUGUAACUGAUCGAACAAGUCAUCAAUGCAAGGAAGAGGAUACUUGUUCUUUAUGGUUACCUUGUUCAACUACCGGUAGUCUAUGCACAUCCGAAAACUCCCAUCCUUCUUCUUCACAAACAAAAUCGGAGCACCCCAAGGAGAUGCACUUGGUCUAAUGAAGCCUUUGCUCAACAACUCUUGAAGUUGGGCUUUUAACUCUCUUAACUCCGCGGGAGCCAUUCUAUAAAGGGGUAUAGAAAUGGGGCGCGUACUCGGUUCAAGAUCAAUACAGAAGUCAAUAUCCCUAUCUGGUGGCAUACCAGAAAGAUCUGCAGGGAACACAUCCCGAAACUCACGGACCACCGAAACCGACUCAAUCGAAGGUACUUGGGUAGUGUCAUCCUUGAGAUGUGCCAAGAAAGCUAAACACUCUUUACUAACCAUUUUCUUAGCACAAAGAAAGGAGAUGAUACGCACCGUAUUGGAAGUGUAGUCACCCUCCCACGCUAACGGAUCUGUCCCAGGCUUGGCUAACGUCACCGUUUUAGCAUUACAAUCCAAGAUCGCAAAUUGCGGAGAAAGCCAAGUCAUACCCAGAAUUACAUCAAAAUCAACCAUUUCUAAGAUAAUCAAAUCUACAUAAGUGUUUCUCCCCAUAAAGUUCACCAAACAAGACCUAUAUACCUUUUCAACUACCACAGACUCACCCACCGGAGUAGAAACAGGAAUAGGCAUAUCAAGUAAUUCACAAUGUAAAUUUAGACCAUUAGCAAAUGAGGAAGAUACAUAAGAAAAUGUGGAUCCAGGAUCAAACAAUACAGAAGCCAUGCAAUCACAAACUAGAAAUUACCUGUGAUGACAGCAUCAGAUGUCUCCGCCUCCGAUCUCCCAGGGAAAGCAUAACAAUGGGCCCUUUCGUUUGUUUGUCUGUUGCCCCUACCAUGUUGUGAUGUAGUGGCUCCAGUUUGCUCAUCACCCCGGCCGUUUUGGUGACCACCACGUCCUCCCGAAUAACGGCCUCUACCAUGACCAUCUCUACCUCUAGCUAUUGGGGGUCUAUAACUCUGUUUGGGACAAUUCCUCCUAAUAUGUCCAGUCUCCCCACAUCCAUAACACUCUCUUGAUUCAAGCAAAGGUCUUUCAGAGAAGUGUUGACCGGUCUAAGGUGGUCCCCCAACUACAGUCUGUAGUGAAGACUGAAUUGGUCGAAGUGAGUAACCUCCUGAACCCUGUCCUCUAGAGUAAGAACCAUUAAACUCACCUCCCUUUCGAAACCUUUUUAAUGUAGUUGCCAUGGUGAAGUCAUCUGGCUUCACUCCCUCUACCUCUAUCACGAAGUCUACCACUUCUUGAAAAGAUUUCGCUGUAGCCGCUACCUGUAAGGCUGAAAUCCGCAACUCUGAUCUCAACCCCUUCACAAAACGGCGAAUCCGCUCUUGUGGACUGAAACAAAGUUUGGUGGCAUACCUUGAUAAUGCACGAAACUUAGCCUCAUAUGCAGUAACCGACAUCCUACCUUGCUCUAGGCUCAAGAACUCAUCUCUUUUCCUAUCCCUCAAAGUCCGGGGGAUAUACUUCUCCAUAAACAAGCUAGAGAAUGAGGCCCAAGUCAUAGGUGGUGCCUCUGUUGGUUGACACUCAACAUGUGACCGCCACCACAUUUUGGCGUUCCCUUGAAACUGAUAACUCACGAACUCAACACCAAACCGUUAUACUAUACCCAUCUUGUGUAGUAGCUCAUGACAGUCAACCAGAAAAUCGUAAGCAUCCUCAGAUUCAGCACCCUUGAAGACUGGCGGUUUCAAUUUCAAGAACUUACUGAAAAGUUCAUGCUGAUCAUUUGUCAUUAUAGGCCCAGUAGUCAGACGUGGAAACGUGCCUAUGUCCAAUGAGGCAUCCAUACGAGGAGCCAUAGUGGCUGCAUGUUGUACCUCUGAAACCGGAGGUGUUGGUGCAGAAAACACUGGAGGUGCCUGACCCUGAUCAGACAACCCACUAAGAUAAGCGAGAACCUGAUUGAUCAUCUCUUGGGUAGGUUGGGGUGACAAUUCCUCAUUUUGCACUUGUUCAUUCUCCCCUUCCUCACCCUCUCUUACUGCUUCCUCAGUCGGUGGAGGAGUCACCGCCCUAGCAUCAGAUGGGCUAGGUGUUUGUUCUCUUCCUCUAGAGGACGUCCUCCCACGACCUCUACCACGGCCUCUUGCCGUUGCUCUUCCUCUAGCCACAGCCCUAGUGGCUGGCUCAGUUAUAUCCUGCCUUGCUGGUGUUGGUGUUGGCGUAGUCGUUGCUCUAGUUCUAACCAUCUGCGAAAGAGAGUGAAGAUGGUCAGAUACCAAUUUGUAUCACCUAGAUACCAAUUGGAUUCAAGUAGUAGCACGAAAGAAAGAAAGAAAGAAUGGAAUUUUCCUAAAGUCUUAUAGCCUCUCAAAGAAAAGUAAAGGCGUCCCCCUACCGUUCCUUAAGACUCUACUAGACUGGUUCUUGUGUGAUGAGACCAACGAACCUAAUGCUCUGAUACCAAGUUUGUCACGACCCAAAUUGGGCCGCCACUGGUACUCACACUUACCCUCCUAUGUGAGCGAACCAACCAAUCUAAACCUUAACAUUUCAAUAUAAUAUCAACAGAAAGUAAUGCGGAAGACUUAAACUCAUUAAUAAAAUCAAUUAACUAUUUUUAUCCCCAAAAUCUGAAAGUCAUCAUCACAAGAACAUCUACUUCAAAUUACUAAAUCUAAGAGUUUCUAAGAAGCUAAAAAUACAUAAAAUCUAGUCCAUGCCGGAACUUCAAGGCAUCAAGACAUGAAGAGGAAGAUCCAGUCCAAGCUAGAAGUAUUAGCUCACCCUGAUAUCCGAAGUAAUGAAGACUGGCUAGAGUUACUGUUGAGUCGAAGAUGAUGGCACGUUUGCUGCACUCCACAAUUAAACAAGAAGAAAACAUAAAAGUAGGGGUCAGUACAAAACACGGGUACUGAGUAGAUAUCAUCGGCCAACUCAAAAUAGAAAUCAAUAUAUACCAAAUAAUAUCAUAAAAGCAACUAUGAUACUCAACAUGUAGCAACAGCAAGUACUAUAUCAUUAACAAUUACCGUCAAGUUCACACAUGAGGACUCAAGCCUCAAUACCAUACUCAUUUGGGAAUUAUGUUCAUUAGAUUAAGUAUAUUAACAUCUUUCAAGAUUCAUUAUCUUUAUUUCUCUUGUGUCGGUACGUGACACUCCGCUCCCUCAUAUUCAUUAGUCCUCUUGUGUCGGUACGUGACACUCCGAUCCCCUACAUCUACGUGUCGGUUCGUGACACCUGAUCCUCUAAAUCUACGUGUCGGUUCGUGACACCCGAUCCCCUAAAUCUACGUGUCGGUUCGUGACACCCGAUCCCCUAAAUCUACGUGUCGGUUCGUGACACCUGAUUCCCUAAAUCUACGUGUCCGUUCGUGACACCCGAUCCCCUAAAUCUACGUAUCGAUUCGUGACACCCGAUCCCCUAAAUCUACGUGUCGGUUCGUGACACCCGAUCCCCUAAUCUCCUUCUAUCAAUUCAUCAAGCCUUCUUUAUUACCAAGGCAUCAUCAAUCGCAUUAUUUUAGUUCAUCACGCCUUCUUUUAUACCAAGGCCCCAUCAUUAACAAAGAGAUUAGGGUUUUUCAAGAUUUGGGAUUCAAUAACUUCAUCAUGCUUAUAUAAUCACAAUUAUAUAAUUACAUUCAUGCAAGCAUACAAUUAAGCACAUAGCAGGGUUUACAAUAUUAUCAAUACAUAUCAUUCGCUAUUAAGAGUUUACUACGAAUAUCGUAAGAGAAACCAUAACCUACCUCCACCGAAGACUAGUGAUCAAGCAAGAAUUUCCCAAAGCCUUGUGUUUUUCCUCUUCGUUCGUCUCUCUCUAUCGAUUCUCCUUCUCUCUCUUUCUGUUCUUUUCUUUUUCUUAUUCAAACCCUCUUUCUUUAACCCUAAUUAGCAUAUAAUUAAGAAUAAAAGAUGGCAAUAAUAACCCACUAAUUUACUCAAGGUUACCUCUUUUAACCCCAAGUAAUUAGACUUAUUAACAUAAACCCACUAACUUUAUAAUUAAAGUAGGAAUAGUCCAAAACGUCCCUUAAAACGUGUAAAGAAAUCCAACCCAGACUGGGAUUACGCAACCUGUGACGGCCCGUCGUGCCUGCGACUGUCCGUUCUGCAGGUCGUCGCAAAGUUCAGAGACAAUUUCCACCAAAGAGUCAGUGAUGGUCCGUCAUGCCCGUGACGGUCCGUCCUGCCAUUCCGUUACGAAGUUCAGAGAGUCGAUUUUCAGUAUCCAAUUUCAGAAUUUCUAAGUGUUUUGAAACGAGACCCCUCGACGGUCCGUCGUGCCCAUGACGGUCCAUCGUGGGUUCCGUCAUCUCAGCCUGUUUUUCCAAAAAUAAAAUCUGCUGCUCAAAACGACUAAACAGGUCGUUACACUUUUUAGUAGUUUCAGAUUUGAAUUGAUAAUAAUUAGCCUAGAUAUCAAUCAUUCAGAAGAGAAAAUGAAGUAAAAGUGUCUUAUAUGUUUCCAAUUAUUAAAAAAAAGAGGGACAAUUGAGCCAUAUUAUUUUUCUCUACUUUUUUUCUUUAAUAUUAGUAAAAAAAACUCAAACAAUAACAUUAUUGUAGUAGUCUUGAACACUAUUAAGGUUGUUUGAAAAACUACUGAAGUUGUUAAAUGACUAAAGAAGAUAUCCCUAAUCCUAUAACAGUUGUUUGAACUAGAGUGUAAAAAUUAAAUCUUUGGAACUAUUGACAAAAUAAUUUUUAACCUAGUUAAUAUUAUUUGUCACUUCAAUCCAAUUUUUAAGAUUUGAAAGUCUCCUACCAAAUUGACUAACUAAUUUGUCUUUUAUGACAGAUCUACAUAAACAUAAAAACAAUAAAUGAGUAGCAGGUAUCACAUUAGGUCAUCAAACACAAUAUAUCAAAUAAAAUAAAAUCAAGUAAAAAGUUAAUAUAACAAAGUUCGAAUUCUGAUUAUUCCCCAGCAUAGUGACCAGAGAUAUCAUACCACUUUUUGCGCUUUAGAGAGAGUUUUUCCAAUUAAAGUGAUUAGGUCAUCAAGUAAAAAUCAAUGUAACAAAGCUUAAAUUCGUAUUAUUUUCCAGCGAAAUCGCCAAAGAUGUUAAUUCCCAUUUUGCUAUCCAGAAGAAGGGUUCUUCCUAGGGGUGACAAUUGGGGCGAUGCAAGAUAAGGUGGGGAAGGAAAUUAUGUCAAUGGGACAAGUUAAGUUACGGCAAGGCAAAAUAUUUUCUUUUAUAAAUCUUAAUGGAUUAGGCUGGGCAAGGUAAUUUCAAAUUUUAAAAUGGGCUCGAUUAAAAAAAUUGACCCGCCUAUGCCCUACUUCAAAGAAUGAAAGUAGUGACUCUCUUCCUCAAAUUUCAUCGCUCUCAAUUUUCUUCUCCAUUCUUCAUUUGGGUUCUGACUUAGAUUUUACAAAUCAUGAUUGAAUCGUUGAAUUUUUAAGAACUAUUCUUCCUUAAUAUUUCAUUUUCAGGUACUAUUUCUCUCUUAGCUAGCAUUUGGCCAUAGAUAUUCAAAUAUUUUUGGCAAAUAUUAUUUGGAUGAAAAUUUGGGUGAAAUUUUACCAUGUGUUUGGCCGUAGAAUUUGAGAAACAUAUUUCAUUUUUUUUAAGAAAUAUGAUUUAUACCCAUAAGUUUUUAAAACUAUCAAACUAACCAUAAAUUUGUAUUACAUAGCACAAUAGAAAUCUCACGUAAAAAGAUUUAUGACUUCCGCAACAAAUCAACAAGAAUCAUUAUAGUAAAUAUUCGUAUAGUGAAAAGAUCUUGGUACAAAUCAUGAUAAUGAAAAUACAACUAAUAUAAAUUCGGAAAAAAAAAAGAAGAAAACAAAAGGAAAUAAAUAUUGCAAUCACUGAAGAACAUAUGCUUACUCAUCUGGACGAGUUCAACCUAUUCUUUAAUAUAAUCUUCCCACAUUUUAUGAACAAUCUCUUCUUGAUGAGCUUACAUUUUUGAAUCAAACGAUCGAGAAGGUGAAGCGAUGUUGUUACCCUGAGCCAGUAGUUCGUCACUUUCAUCAACAACCAUAUCAUCAUUUUCAUUUUCAUUGAAUAUUCCAUCACUACUUUGGUGUUCACGUAAAAAAUUAUGCAAUACAGCGCAAACAAUUACUAUUUUCACUUGCAUAUCACAUUCAUAGUUGUUCAUGCAUUGUCUUAAUAUUCUUAAUCUACUUUUCCAUGCACCAAAAGUUCUUUCAAUUACAUUGCGUAGAGAAGUAUGUUUAUAGUUAAAUAACUCUUUUCCAUUCUUAGGCUCUCUUUCACUUUCUCGGUAGUCCUGCAAAUGAUAGCGCAUUCCAAUGAAUGGAGCUAAAAAUCCUCUUGUGUUCCGUAGACCAGCAUCAACAACGUAAUAUUUAUCUACCAAAAUAAAAUAAAUGCAAUUCAUAUUUUAUUUAGUAGCUAGUUCAUUAAGACUAACUGUAAUAAAGGAAUGUAUGAAAUCAAAAGAAUGCAUGUAGAAGGGAGCUAAUUGAAUUGGUUGGUGUCAAUAAAUAUAUUAUUUUUGUAAAAUAAAAAGUUAAGAGUAAAAAUUGAAUUUCUAAAACUUUCCAAAUAACGAAAUUUGGCCCAAAUACUAGUUUUUUCUAGUAUUUGGGAAUUUGAAAAAUUUGCCAAAUAAUAAAAAAGUGUAUGGACAAACAAAAUUUGCCAAGUUUUUCCCCAAGUUUUACUUGCAAAAUUUAUGGCCAAACGGGCCCUUAGAAUUGUAAUUUAUCAGUUGGAUUUGAUAUAUUUUUUCAUUUGUUUGAAUGUGUUUAGUUUUCUAGCUAGAAUCUAUGUUCUUUGUUUGCUACAAAUUAAUGUAAAACAAAUGAUUGUCACACCCCUUUUCGCAUGGCGACGUAAGAGUUUUUCCAAUUUAAGUGACGUUAUUAAUUAAGGGAUUAUUUUAAUUUUUUCAGAGCCGCCACUUGAAAUUGAGUUACGGUGUUCCAAGUCACCUUUUUUGUUUAAUUUCUAACCAAAAGAAAUGACUCUUUGUUUGGUCUGCGAACUAGAAAUUCGGGUAAGGAAUUCUAUUGACUGAAAGGAAGGUAUUAAGCACCUCUCGAGUCCCAUGGUUCUAGCACGGUCGCUUUAUUGACUUUUAUAUGACUUGACUUAAUUUUCAAUAUAUUAUGUUUAUUACCUAACAAUUUACUUAUGUCCCGCUUUCUUUGAUUUAUUUUAAAUUACUUUGUAAAAUUGUCAUAUUUUAUUAAUGUGUGGUUUAUUGGUAGCAGCUCUUUCCAAUCUCAUCACAAAUUGAUUAUUUGUUUGUAUUUAAAGACUAAAAGUAGUUUAAUGUUUUUUGGAUCUUAAUAUUUUAUUAGUAUUAUCAUUAUCAUAAGCCUAAAUUAUACAUUAUCUUAGUUUUAUUUUUCUAAAAGUAAAUGAAAAAUAUAUUAAUAAGAACAUAAGAUAAAAAUAAAUUAAAAUAAUACACCUUUUUCAUAUAAAAUUUUAUUACUUUUUCUUAUUUUAGUCAUUAAAAUGAAAAGAACUCGCUUAUUAAAAUCAAUUUUAUUUAUUUAUUUAUUUUACAAGUUUUGGGUCACUUUAAUAUUGUUUUUCUAUUUUUUUUUUAAAUUUUGUUUCUCUUUCUUCUUAUACUUUACCUUAUUUUUCUUUUAUAUUUUCUCCUUCUUAUUUUUUUAUAAUUUUUUUUACAUCUUUUCCUUUUAUAUAAAUUUUUAUUUUUUAUUCUUUCAACAUGAAUAAACUAAUUGAUUUUUUUAAAAAAAGUUUCGCAUUAAAAGAAAUGUAAAGAUAGUGUAGGUUUGAUUUAUUUUAUUUUUAUUUUUAUUCUUCUCUUUUAAAAAAUAAAUAAAUACAGUUUUAUUAAAUAUACGAAGUGAGAAAGUAACUUAACAAAUAAGAACUAAAUUUCAUCUAAUUAUUACUAACUGCAUACUGUAGAAUAUUAAGCUUCGAAUUUUAAUGAAGAAUAAGAUAAAAGGAAACUUUAAAGCAAGCAAGAAUAAAUACAUGUUAUAUAAAUUUUACUCAAAUUUAAUAAUAUAAAAUCUCAAUCUAUUUCAUAUCACAAUGUAAAAAUUAAACAUUGCAUAAAUUUAAAACACUUUAUAUCAUUGAAACCAUAUCUUGCAUGAUUCUGAAACAAAAUAAUGUAAUAAAGAUCAAGGGUUAUCUUUGGUGAAAAUUAAUUCACAAAGAAAAUACCUCGAUAAAGGACCACGAAUUUGAAGCCUUAAAUUUCACUAUUUUUGAGUUGUUUUUUUUUUUGUGCAUGUGUUCCUUAGGGAAAAAAAAAGGUGAAAAGCUUUCUUUUUUUUUGUUUUUCUUUUCUUGGAUUUCUGAAAUUUUUCUUUUCCUUUGUACCACUUUUUCUUCUUUUUCUCUUUUCUCCUCCCAUUAUUAGUGUAUAUGUAUUUAUGUAUAUGUGUGUACAUGUGUAUGGAAGAGUUGGAUUAGUGGAGUGGGGUGUGGGGUGAGUGGAGAGAAAUGGUGAAGUGGGGGUGGGAUAAUGGGUAGGUUAAUUUCUUUUAAUUUUUUUUGUUAUAAAAUAAUAAUAAUAUUAAUUAAGAAAAAUUAAAUAGCUAGAUUAAAAAAAAUAUAAAAAAUUAAAAUCACUAAUUAAUUAAAACUUUGAAUGAAUAAAUAAAAAUAUACCUUAAAGUGUUAUUCUAUUUUUUUGUGGUUUUCAUAUCUUUUAAAAAUAAAUUUAACAAAAUAAGAUAAAAGUCAAAAUAUUUGUAAAAAAUAUUUAAGCUCUAAAAAGGAUAUAAAACUUAAAUUCGGUAAAAAAUUAUGUGUCUAUACUGAUUACAUAGUAAAACGAAAUGAAUUAGCAUUUAUUCAUGAAGAUGAAACUUAGAAAUAAAGCUGGAUUAUGUUUGAAUUAACAAAAAACGCAUUCAGCUGGACUUAGAUUUUUAAAAUGGAUUUUGGAUGAACCAAACUUAUAUGAGCAGGAAACCAAAGCAGCAGCUAUACUUCAAGCAAACUUCCACGAUAUAAUUGAUUAAAUAUCAUUUCUAAUAGCUAAUACACGAAUAAAACAUCUAAAUGAAUAAUUGAGCUUUUAGCGGAGAAAGAAUCUUACGAAUUGAGUUGUUCGAGUCUAAUUUAUUCAACAACUCUUUUGCUAGUCCUCUUGAUGUGAAUAAGCUGUUGUUAGGCUAAUGAUUUGAUAAUACAGUGAUGUAGUUACUUGAACUCGCAAGUAACUGCAUGAAAUUCAUUUCGGAUCAUAGACCAACAAUGCGACAAUUUUAUCAGACUGUUAGUGCGAUUCUCGAGUCCAAGACCAAACAGGGGACUAUGGAAUAUAGUUGCACUUGGACUACAAGCAGGGGAAGGGCCAUCAAUGGUAUAAGUAGCUUUGGUUCAAACAAUAUGUUGGUAUGUUGUGUGAAAUCUUAUAGUCGCUAUUAAAACUCGAGAACUUUGAUUAAGUAUAAAGGGGUAGGUAUUGGUGACAGACCAUAGUUGUAAACACCACCACUAUUUACAUUGUUACAAUAUUAUAGAGCUUGAUGUAUUUGCAAAAAUAUAUAUUGGCAAUCUAACAUCUUUUUUCUAUUUUCGUAAUAGGCAAUAAUGACAUCUCAAAAUGAUGAGAAUCUGCCUACUUCAUCUUCUAAUGGUAUUUCCUUAGAGGUUGAGAGUCCGAGGCCUUCACAAAUUGAUGAAGUUGUUGUAUCGAGAAAAAGAAAGAGAUAUUCUAAAGCAUGGAAGCAUUUCUAGUUAGUGUAUGUUGAUGGUGUUCCAUAUGGUCAGUGUAAGUAUUGUAAUUCUCGAUAUAAAAAUGCUAAAAAUUACGGGACGAAGUCUAUGUGGAAUCAUUUAUGUAAGUGCCCUAAUAAGUCAAAAAGUGAAAUAGGGGGUGAAUGAUGAAGGACACUAUUGUGAUCAAGAUGUUUCACGAAAACAACUAUCACAUGCCAUUAUUUUACACAAUUAUCCACUCUUUAUAGUUGAUCAUGUGGAAUUUAGGAACUUUGUUACGAGUCUCCAACCUAUGUUUAAAAUGGUUUCAAGAAAUACAAUAACGUACUGAAAAUUUUUGAUAAUUUGAAAUCAAAGACUGCUAAGUUGUUGGAUAAAGUCACAAGUAGAGUUGCAAUAAUAACCGAUAUGUGGACUUCAAAUGGCAACAAGAAAGGAUUUAUGGCUAUUAGUGAGCAUUUUAUUGAUGAUUCAUGCAGUAUUCAAAGUCACAUUUUUAUGUUUGUUUAUUUUCCCGCACCACAUGAUAAAGAUGCGUUAUGUAGUGCUUUGGUUAAUUGUUUGUUUGAUUGGAAUCUUGAACGGAACAUCAACUAUCACAGUUGAUAAUUCUAGUACUAACAAUGCAAUGAUGAGAACCUUAUUGGAUGAGAAACUUAAUAAAAGAGAUUUGUUAUUGGAUGACCGAGUGUUUCAUAUACGUUGUGAUGCACACAUCUUAAAUCUGAUUGUCCAAGAAGGUUAAAGGUGAUAGGAGAAAGUAUUGGCAAAAUACGUGAUAGUAUCUUAUAUUGGAUUGGAUCAUCCGGUAGAAUUGAGAGAUUUGAAGAAAAUGCAUGUCUACUACGUUGUUCUUGUAAGAAGAAUUUGGAGUAUGAUUGUCCUACCCGUUGGAAUUCAACAUAUCUAAUGUUGAGAACAACCUUAAAAUACUAAGAAGUGUUUAAGAAACUGUGUCUAACUGACUUAAACUAUAAGUCGUAUCCAACGGAAGAGCAAUGGAGUCAUGCAGAAGAUGUUUGUGGGAAGCUCAAACUCUUUUACCAUAUCACUAAACAAUUUUCAAGGACUCAAUAUCCAACUUCCAGUCAAUACUUUACAAAAGUUUGUGAAAUUAAGAUGGAGUUGGAAGAUCGGGCGAAAAACAUUAAUUAGCUCUUUGGCGUCUGCUAUGUUAUUAAAAUUUCAAAAGUAUUGGAUGAUGUGCAUGUUAUGAUAGAUAUACUACAAUCUUUGAUCCAAGAUGUAAGAUGAAGUUUGUAGAGUACUUUCUUCCACAAAUUUAUGGUAAGGAUGCUUUAACUAAAAUUUGAGAAAUUCGAUCUCACUGUUAUGAUCUCUUUCAUGAUUAUAAUAGUAGACUAUCUUCUCCAAGGGGGUCAUUUGAAGUAUCUAGCUCUAGUGAAGUCACUAAUCCUAUUUAAGACGGUCGACUAUUGAACUUUGAUAGAUUUGUUGCUUUGAGUCAAGCUACCACGGAGAUGAAAUCAGAGUUGAAUUUAUAUUUAGAAGAGAGUUUGCUACCCAGGACUCCAUCAUUUGAUAACUUGAGUUGGUGGAAGACAAAUGGAUUGAAAUAUCCUACUUUGCAAAAGAUGGCUCGUGAUCUCUUUAGAAGCUUUAAUGUGUGCUCGCACAUGAUUUUGGAAUGAAAUAAAUGGUAUGCAAUUUUUCCACUGUCAUCUUAUUAGUUAUUCAAUUCUUACAAGUAUAUAAUUUUCUUUUCAGAUUUGACUUCAACCAUCGAUAAAGUGUCAUGUCCAACGUUGAUUGAUGAAGAGAAAGAGUUGGAGUUUAGUUUCAUGCCCCAUGUUGAUUGAUGUGUUUGUGUGUGUGCGCGCGCGAUGUCCUGAUUGUUGUUGUGAAUCGGGUAGGGCGGGGCAGGGCUUAACGGGGCGGAGAAAUCUGUUUGAAAGAUGUUAAAUGGGGCACGGUAGGGCGGGUAAGAAUGUUAAUAGGUCAAAGCUUCCCCUGCCCUAACCCGCCUCAUUUACGUCUCUAGUAUAUAUAUAUAUAUAUAUAUAUAAGAAUUGAAGUUUACGGGUGCACGUACACUUCUACCUAUCUAUGUAGGGCCGCCUAUGCUUGUGAAGUAGAGAGAGUGUUUUCAACUGAUCAUCGGCUCAAGUAAAGUACAUGAAAUCAAUUAUGAAAAUAAUAUGGAAAGAAUAGCAGCAACGACAAAUAAUAUAAUAUUCCCUUCGUUCUAUAUUAUAUGUCACUUUUUUACUGUGCACAUGCAUGCAUUAAGAAAUGAUGUAAUUUUAUCGUUCUACCCUUAUUUAAUUUUUUUUAAACUCAAGUUUUCAAUCAAUGAAUAUGAAUUGAUUUAUUUUGAUUAAUUAAUUUAACCAAUGAACAUGAAUCAUUUGCUUAAGUUCUCUAAUUAGUUGGUCAAAUGUAUAUUUUCAAUCCUAAUAACUUACAAGGGUAAAGAAGGAAUAAAUAUGCUACUUUAUGCAUUGAUUUUAUGAAAUGACAAGUAUUAUGAUUUAACUAUUUAUCGAAAGGGAUGCCAUAUAAAUUGGGAUGGAGAUAGUAACAGGAGCAAAUGGUAAUACUAGAAUCUAAGAGUAAGAUAAUAAGAAAGUAAUAAUAAUAAUUAAUAGGUAUUUCUAAUAAUAAUACAGAGAAAAUCACUUAACUGCCCACUAACAUUCUACCCUAAUUCAUAACCUCCCACACUACGGUAAUCUAUCUUCCCUGAGUGGAGGAUGAUAUACACACAAGAAAUUCGAACAGCGUGAGUAUGAUUUUCCACAAAGUAGCACUAAUUUAUCGUCAUCUAAAUUAUUUGAAAUUUCAGAACGAAUAAAAGAAAAAAUUGCGUAUGAAGAAGAUAGGAGCACAUGGGAUCCCCUGAAAAAUAGCUGUUUAGUCAUCUGCUUAAGGGAUUAAAGAGAAUAUUAGCUAAGCUUGUUCCUUAAAUUGCACAUUAUAAUACUUGAGCAUCAAGUCAAAACAUCACAUGUACGGACCUCAAGACAUGUUAUUGGCUUUCUUUGUGUCCACCCUAUAUAUGUAACAAUAACACUUAAAAUUCAUCAUAUUACAUGUACAUAUUUUGAUCAAUUCUUGUUUUGCACCAAUGAAAUGUCUGUAAAUUGAAAUUGUAAUGACGUAUAUCAUCACGUUAAGCAACUCAACAAGGUCAACCUACAUUCAUAAUUGUGACAUUAAUUAAAACUGAUGUAUUCAGCGUAAAACCAGAGAAAAGCAUUAGCCACUCUCUAUUUAAAUAUUGAGGUGAAUUUUAAGUGAUCCACAAAACAAGGAUCUAAAAAUGAAGGAAGGACUUUAGUAGUCCAAUAUUUUUGAAUAGACAUAAUAUAUAAAUUUGUUCUCAACUUGAUUUUUGCUGAUAUCUAUGUCCUUCAAUUUUAAGUGUCCAUAUGUAGACGUUUAAACUUGUAUAAAAUUGAAUAAAUAGACAGGCACAUACGUCUAACGUGACAUCCAACAUGGAAAUUAUGUGUCCUGCAUAUAUUAUGUCACAUAGAAUACAUUUGUCUACAUGUUUAAUUUUAUACAAGUUUAAAUAUUAAUUUGUGCACACUCAAAGUUGGAGGACAGUGAAGUAAAGUUAAAAAUAGCAUAUUUAUGUCUUAAGUCUUUUGAAUAUGAAAUGAAGUUUGAUUUGUGGUUUCAUUUUCUUAUAGCUCUUAAUUUGCCACCCAAAAUAUUUCAGAAGCCAACUGUCCUUUGACAUUGCACUUCUCUUCCAGUUUCUCUCUAGCUACUAGUAUAAGAAGUCACUUACUCUAUCGACAAGUUCAAUUAAUAAACACAAUGUCAAAUUAUAAGUUCAAUUCUUUGCUCCUUAUACUCUGUUCUCUUUCUCUGUUCCUAAACCAAUCCUUGUCCAAUACCGAUGAUCAAGAAACGAGUGCUCAUGACAUUAACUGGUGGUGUAGCAAAACUCCUCAUCCUGAUCCAUGUAAUCACUUUAUGUCAUCUGGUGAUGUCCAACCCAAAAAUAAAUCCGAGUUUCGGACCAUGACGGUCCAAGUGGCUAUGGAUCAUGUAAUUCAAGUGCAGAAUCAUGCAAAGAAUGUAAGCCAGAAGUGCAGGGGAAAACGAAAGAAGUUAGUGUGGAUGGAUUGUGAAAAGCUCAUGGAUGAUACUAUCCUCCAAUUGAGUCGUAGUCUCGAUGGCAUCAAAUCAAAUUCAAGUUCUGAUUUUGAUGCACAAACUUGGCUCAGUGCCUCGUUGACAAACAUCGAGACCUGUCUAUCAGGAUCGAAUGAUCUCAAUGUUUCCAACAUCCUCCAACCGAAUUUAUCCACUAAUGUUUCUCAGCUGAUUAGUAAUUGUUUAGCUGUGAAUGGUGAGUUCAUGGACGCGGAAAAUACAACACAAGUUGGUGGAUUUCCAAAUUGGCUUUCGAAUAGGGAAAGAAAGUUGUUGCAAACUUCGUCAAUAGAUUUAAUGGCUACUAAGGCGAAUUAUGUCGUGGCUAAAGAUAAAUCAGGUCGAUUUCGGUCCAUUCAGGCUGCAAUAAACUAUGCAGCAUCGAAGAGAGUUGGAAAUGAAAGAAUCGUUAUAUAUAUCAAAAGGGGUGUUUAUAAAGAGAAUAUUUUGGUAGGUCCUACAAUGGGGAAAAUCAUGUUAGUUGGUGAUGGCUUAAGAUACACUAUAAUCACAGGAAGCCGCAGUGUUGCUGCUGGUUUCACAACUUACAGUACUGCAACUGUUGGUAAUGACUCUCGAGCUUCCUCUCUGUUUCGUUUUCAGUUUUGUCUUUCAAUUUCUUUCGUUUUAUAUCAAUAUGGUUUCAUCUUUCAUGAAUUGAAGUAGAUUAAUGCGUAAUUACAGAAGCAUAAUGCAAGGGAUUUAGCUACUUCUAGUUCAUUGGCAUUAAGUAAAACAACCGAAACCACAGAGGAAUUCCAUGUAGAAUGAACAAAAUUGUGGGAAAUGUCUAGGGAUUUUGCUCUUCUACUUUUUUUCGCGGGUAAAUAAUAACACUUCCCUUUUUAGUCGUCCCAAAAUAAAAAUAGUACAUUUUUGAAACACAUAGUAAACAAUUUGAUUUUUAAAUGUCUAUUUCACUCUUCACAUAUUUUUUAGAUAACAAAUAUUAAAAAUUUUUCUUUUUUGCUUAAAUUUCGUAUCAAGUCAAACUACUUGUUAUAAAUUGGGAAGGAGAGAGUAGUUCGUCCCAGUUGCAUCUAAUGCAUAUUGCUUCAUAGCAUAAUAAGGUGGAGAAUCAUUGUAAUACAUAAUUCCAUCAAAAAGGUUGAGGCCAAACUAUAUGUUUUUGAAGAAGUACGUUUUGUUAUAUCUCUCUACACUCUACUUUGUGUAAGGGUUGACGUCCAAAACAGACUUUAGGAAACAUUAGGCAUUAUGUGAGUUAAGUUACGCCAAAUUGGCAUAAUUUUUCUUUAUAUCGGGAUUCGGUAGUCAACCACCUCCCUAAUACUGUCACUGGAAGGAUCAUGACAUACUUUUUAUUAAAAUAUUGAGAAAUGCUUAAAAAUCAAAGGACAAAACAAUCAAAAAAAAAUUAAGCUAAUUAAAGGUCAAAUGCUAUUUUGGCGGAUCAUUUUGUUGCAUUCAAUUCCUUUCACGUGCAACAAUUCUUAAGGGGAACAAUCUGCAUUUUGAAAUUACUAUAAUUUAUCAGGUCAGAUCUUAGAUUUCUGAAUUAAAAAAAUAAUGUAUACGAACAUGUUUUCUGAGAUUGAGAAACGAGGUUGACAUAUUUUUUAUUUUAUUUUUACUAGUAAAAUAAUGAGAGCAUAUGGUACAUUAAUUGUAAAUAAUUUGAAAUUACAAUGUUUUAGGGGUGGAUGGAAUUGGAUUUAUCGCUCGAGGCAUCACAUUCCGUAACACAGCAGGGCCACAAAACGGCCAAGCAGUAGCUCUACGAUCAGCAUCUGAUCUAUCAGUAUUCUAUGCUUGUGGUUUCGAAGGCUAUCAAGACACCCUAUUUGUUCAAUCUCAACGACAAUUCUACAAAUCAUGUUAUAUCUAUGGAACCAUAGAUUUCAUCUUUGGCAACGCUGCAGUUGUUUUCCAAAACUGCAUGAUUUACGUCCGCAAACCAUUAUGGGGACAAGUAAACGUGAUCACAGCACAAGGAAGAAACGAUCCAUUUCAAAACACAGCAAUUUCAAUUCACAACUCUAGAAUUAUGGCAGCUCCUGAUCUUCGUCCAGUAAUUGGAUCGUUCCAAACAUAUUUGGGACGUCCAUGGCAGCAAUAUUCAAGAACGGUUAUCAUGAAGACUUAUUUAGAUACAUUGAUUAAUCGAGCAGGCUGGUUGACAUGGUUAGAUUCUAAUUUUGCUUUGAGUACGUUGUACUACGCGGAAUAUGGUAAUAUUGGACCAGCGUCAUCGACUAGGUUUAGGGUGAAGUGGCCUGGUUAUCACGUCAUAAAAAAUGGAAAUGUUGCUUCUAAGUAUACAGUUGCAAGCCUUAUAGCUGGACGGGCGUGGUUGCCUUCAACUGGGGUCCCAUUCACUGGGGGGCUGUGAAGAACAAGUGUUAUUAUUAUUACACACUUUUAUUUGCCUUGUUAUUUUUCUUUCUUAUUUUUUCAUUGAUUCUUCUUUUUUGUACGUGUCAUGCCAUUAUGACAUAUAAAUGGAUUUAUGGAUACUAUUAUGAUACAUUGAAAUUCCACAUAAGAUCUAUAUAAUUUUUGAAUAGGGCGGAUUGAAAUUUUUUUUGAUGGGUUGAAGAUUUAAUUUUAUUCAAUUGGAAGAUGUCUUGUGAUAUAUAAUAAUAAUAUCUUAAAAUAAAUUGUUAGUUGUAACUUGUAAGGGUAAAAAUAGGUUGAAAGAUGAAUUGAAUAGUAUUUUUAUUAAAAAAAGAAAAAAUACAUAAGUAUUUUCUCAAUCUAUAUUCGAAAUUCUAGAGGCACACUUAUAAUAUACUAAUGUCUAUUACCCUUCUGAACUUAUUUUAUAAGUAAUUUUAUAUCCCUUUUCGGCCUACGUGACACCAGUUUGAAAGAAAAAAACAACCAGCAUUGGGCCACAAGAUUAUUAAUAAAAUAAGUUCAAGGGGAUAAUAAGACCUUUGUAUAGUAUAAGUGUGUUUCUGAGAUUUCGAACAUAUGUUGAAGAGUACUUUUGUAUUAUCCCUUAAAUAAAUGAAUGAAAAUAUAUUUAAACCGUUUCGAACAGUCUCAAAAUAUUUGUGACCCUUUUAAGCACACAAUUUUACAUGGGAAACCCUUUCAUUGAGAAAAGGGUGAAGUCAGGCUCUUUUUAAUAAUAUGAAAAGUUCGGGGCAAGCUUUUAAGUUUAGUAAAUAUACCUAGGCCCCCUUUUUUUUUUUAAUCACUACUGGUAAUUAGGGGUCCCUUUCUAUAAUUUGAAAAGCUUGGAGAUAUUUUGCUACGAGCUUGCUUAAUUUUUUAAAAAUGUAAAUGCUUCUGUUUGAAUAGAUAGAAGUUGAGAAUAUUUUAGAUAUUUAAUGCAUAGAAGGAGUAAUUCAGUUAGAAACCUUAUUAACUCUGGAUAGCUAUCAGUUGUUUUAUGAGGAUCCAUUAAAAUUCAAGUUAAGGGAAUUGUCUUAAAAUAUUAUUUGUGUUUUAUUUAGGAUUAAAAUAUCACCCAACUAUCACUAUUUUACAAUUCAAAAACAUGAUUCUCUCAUAGUUGGCAUGACAUGACAUUAAAGUCUUUUUUUAAUAAUAGAGUAAUUUAAUUCAUUAAACUCAUUUAACUAAAAUAAUGAUCAUAUUGUUUUUAAUUUUUUAAAUUAAUUUAUCAAGAAUAAAAUUUUCAUACUUAAAUCUUUUAUCAUAAUUAAACUUUUUAUUUUUUUUAUGUUAUGCAGAAUGUGUUUUUAAAUGGUACUAUAAUCUCAUUAAUUUUAAAUACUAAUAAACACAUACAUUCGGAAAAAAUAUUGAUGCAUAAAUCACUCAUGAACGUCAAGUUACUACAAUUAAUCAUAAAUUGUAUAAUAAAUCAAUAAUAUUAAAGAUCGAUCAAAAAAUAUUGAUAUACAAAUCAAUCAUGAACGCCAAUUUACUUCAAAGAUUAGACCACUUUGGUGAUUAACUAAUCUCAUAUGCAUAAUUUCAAAAUAAAAUACAUCAUGAUAGAGGAUAAUUAUUUCACUUAAUAAUACCUAUUACCGUUUUCAAAUAAGGAAAACAUUAAUGUUAUGAAAAAUCACUAGUUUUUAAACCAUGCUCUUGAUACCACAUAUAAGUAUUUUUUAAUGAUUGUGAAAACAUAAACAAUCUGACAUUUAGAAAUCCUAUCAAUUAUUCAGGAUUGUAGAACUAUAUGAUUUUCACAUAUAUUUAAUACUAUGAUAUUUCAGUCAAGAAUACAUACCCGAAUCUGUCAUUAUAAUUCUUGACUAUUGAGCGAAAGUUUUUUCUUUUGAAUCUUUAGAAGUUGUUUCUCCCUCUUGUCUUAUACUUUAUGUAUAGCUUUGAUGGAUAAGAAAAUAUCUUUAUGGCAGAGAGAGGACCCUUUAAAUAGAGUAUUUUUUAGCAUCAUUUCCAUCUUUCCAUCAUGGUGAGUAGUGGAGAUAAUGGAUAGUUGGAAGAGCUAAUGGGUAAAGUGAAAGAGUUAAUGGGUAGUUGAAGUAACUUCUCUACUUAUCCAAUUAAAAUUAGAAUUUAGUUAGUAAUUAAAUAUUAAACCAAAAUAAUAUUAAUGUGAGUAGUUCAUAAAACUAACAGUAUCAAGGCAGAAGUAUAAUCCCUCAGCACAUAGAGUCCUCCAACAACAUCACCAAAAACGGGUUCCUUCCUCAAAGAAGGUUCCUGUAGAAUACAUCCAUCUUUAGUAAAUAACAUAUCAAGGUCAAGUUGUUUUGUCAAAAGACUAAUAAAGAUUAGCUUAUGAGUAAAGUCUGGUACAUAAAGAACUCCAUUUAGUGUUGGAGUAGGAUUAAUAGACUACCCAUGAAAAAAGCAUGUACUUGUUGUAACUUGGCCAGAUUGAUAAAAAUAGGAAAAGGUAAAAAGAGUUACAUUUUGUAGAAUAUGUUUGUUAAAUGUCAUGUGUUGAGUAGCACCAGUGUCUAAUACCCAAGAAUAGUUGGUGAUUUUAGAAAGAAAAGAAGUGAAGAGUAAACAAGCAUGAUUUAUACCAGUUGGUUUAGCCUUAACAAAGUUUUCAGAAUUAUAGCCUUCAGAACCUCCAUUCUAAUUCCCUGAGUACUUUUGUGGAGUCUAUCUAGAUCCUUCAGUGUUUAGAAAAGCAGAAGAUCUGUAAUAGAAACAAAAUUAGAGUACUGUACCUCCUUUUGGCUUUCCUAAUACAAAAUGAUAGAGUAAGUUUGCGCAGUACUGGGAAGAGGCUUCUGAAAGAGUUGGUUUUGGUUCUUGUGGAAUCAAACUAAAUGGAAGAUGAAUUAAUAUGAAUAUUUGGUAGGAAGAUAAUUAGUACAAAAUACAAGUCAAAGAUUGUAUCUUGGUAGGUGAAAGUUAGGCAAACCAUAAAAUGGUUUGCUAUCUUAACCUUGGCAAUUUUGACACAUAGUGAUGUCAUGGAUGACAUCAAUAGGAUGAAUUUAUUCCUAUAAAUAGGUAGCUCUUAAUUCAUUUUCAAAUCAUCUUUUCACUUGCCUUCUCACCUUCUAAGGCAUUGUGUUCUCUCUCUUGUAGUAUUUCACUUAUAUUCCUUUUAUAGUGAAAUAAAUAUCGGUGCAGUUGUUCUUUGGUGGACGUAGGAUCAUUUUGAUCCGAACCACAUUAAAUAUUGUUGUUCUUCCUUGUUCUUUAGUUUCACGUUUCCGCUAACAAUUGGUAUCAGAGCAAGGUUUUGUCUGAGUAUGCUCUGUGGUUGCAGCACAGUCUGAACUUCCAAAUCAGAAAAGGAUUACUUUGGUUUUCUGUAGUUCCAAAUACAUUGUAGUAGAAAAGGAAGAACAAGUAAAAAAAAUGAGUUCCAUGAAGUUUGAAAUUGAUAGAUUUAGUGGGCGCAACAACUUCAAUAUCUGGAAAAUCCAGAUGAUAGCGUUACUGCGGAGGGAAGGUUCAAUCCAUGCUAUUGACGGAAAGUACCCCGAUAAGAUAUCGGAUUCCGACAAAGAAAAGAUUGAAGCAGAUGCAUUGAGUGCAAUCCAACUGUCCCUUGCACCUAACGUACUUUGUGAAGUGAGUACAAGUACCGAAGAGACGGCCAAAGAGUUAUGGGAAAAGCUGGAAGGGCUUUACCAGGACCAGUCAGUGACAACAAGGAUGUUGUUACAACGGCGUCUUCAUACAUUUAAGAUGGAUUCAGGUACUUUGUUGCAAGACCAUCUAGAUGCGUUCAAUAAACUUGUGAUGGACUUACAAACUGCUGGAAUUAAAAAGGACGAGGAGACACUUGCAUGUUCUUUACUAUUUUCAUUGACUUCAAAAUAUCGUGAUAUUGAGAAUUCAAUGAUGUAUAGCAAACAACCUAUUAAACUUGAGCAAGUGCGGCAAGCACUAAACUCUUGUGAUGUGCGGAUGCAUUUUGAAGGAGACAAAAGUGACGAAGCUAGUGGACUCUUUGUAAGAGGUCGUACUAGCCAAAAGGGAAGGAGAAAAUCGAAGUACAGAUCAAAGUCUCGUGUGAACAAAAAGAAUGCGGAGUGUUGGGGCUGUCACAAGAAGGGGCACUUUGAACGAGAUUGCCCUAUGUCGAAGUCCAAAGAAAAGGCGAGUGCAUCCAUUGUUGAGAAAGUACAUGAUAAUGAUGAUGAUUAUGUACUAACAACAUCAUGCAAUAAUGGAGUCUAUGACAACAAAUGGAUCUUAGAUUCUGGUUGUACUCUGCAUAUGACAUUCCGAAAAGAUUGGUUCAGCAGCUAUGAAACAAGCAGAGGAACUGUAUUAAUGGGCAAUAAUGCAACUUGUAAAAUAGUUGGCAUUGGUUCAGUUCAUGUUCGCUGCCAUGAUGGAAUCAUGAGGACUAUUACAGAAGUCCGUCAUGUUCCUGAUCUAAAGAAGAAUUUGAUCUCCCUGGGUACUUUAGAUAAACAAGGCUAUAAGUACAUGAGUGAAGGAGGAACUAUGAAAGUGACUAAAGGGUCUUUAGUCAUGUUGAAGGCCAAGCUGGAGGAUGGCCUCUACACACUUGCGGGAAGCACCAUUAUUGGCUCUGUAAAUGCAUCUACAGUGCAGUUAUCUAAUGAUGACAAGGCAAAAUUAUGGCACAUGAGACUAGGCCAUAUGAGCGCACGAGGAUUGGAGAUGUUGAGCAACCGCAACCUUUUGAAUGGUGAGAAGAUCGGCACACUUGAAUUUUGUGAGCACUGCGUCUUAGGGAAGCAGAAAAAGGUCAGCUUCAGCACUGGCAAGCACAAGACGGGAGGGGUGCUAGACUACAUCCAUUCAGAUUUAUGGGGUCCCUCUAAGCUUCCAUCAAAAGGAGGAAAGAGGUAUCUUCUCACAUUUAUUGAUGAUUUUUCACGAAAGAUUUGGGUUCGUUUCCUGAAGACAAAAGGUGAUGCUUUUGAAGCAUUUAAAGAGUGGAAGAUUUUGGUUGAAAAUCAAAUUGAGAGGAAAAUCAAGUAUCUUCGCACGGACAAUGGCUUGGAGUUUUGCAGUGAAGAGUUCAAUGAUUUCUGCAAGGUUCAUGGGAUCGCAAGGCAUAAGACGGUCAGGCACACACCACAGCAGAAUGGAGUUGCCGAGAGAAUGAACAGAACUCUUCUUGAGAAGGCUCGUUGUAUGCUCUUACAAGCUAAGAUGUCCAAAGUAUUUUGGGCUGAAGCAGUUCAUACUGCUUCUCAUAUUGUCAAUCGGUCUCCAGUAUCAGCGAUUGACUUUAAGACUCCGAAUGAGGUCUGGUCAGGUGAACCCUCUAACUAUUCCUACUUGCGAAUAUUUGGGUGUCCAACUUAUUAUUAUGUUAAUGAAGGUAAGCUUGAACCAAGGGCUAAAAAGGCCAUAUUCGUAGGGUAUGUUGAUGGAGUAAAAGGGUACAAACUAUGGUGUUUGUCUUUACUCAAAUUUGUAGUUAGUAGAGAUGUUACCUUUGAUGAAUCCUCUAUACUUGAUCCUCGUAAAGUUUCUGUGGAGUUAUCUAGAAAUGAGAACAAUGAGCAGGUGGAGCUACCGGUGGAGCUUACCAAGAAACGGGAUCAAGAGACUCAAAGUGAUGAGUCAAAAGAUGCAGAAGAACUUGCUUCCAAUGAACCAUACACAAUUGCGAAGGGAAGGGACAAAAGGCGGAUACGGAAACCGAAACGUCUUAUAGAGCAAGAAAAUCUGAUUGCACAAGCGUUCGUAGCUGCAGAAGAAGAGAUUAAGGAUCUCGAGCCCUCUUCGUAUAUUGAAGCAACUUCUUGCAAAGACGCUGCACAAUGGCAGUUGGCCAUGAUGGAAGAGAUGGAGUCUCUUCACAGAAAUGAGACAUGGGUCUUAGUUAAAAGGCCAAAAGGGAUGAGGACAGUUGGAUGCAAAUGGGUCUACAAAAAGAAAGAAGGUAUUCCAAAAGUGGAAGCUGCUAGGUUCAAGGCGAGAUUGGUUGCAAAGGGUUUCAGUCAGAAGGAGGGAAUUGACUACAAUGAGAUCUUUUCUCCAGUUGUGAAACAUAGCUCAAUUCGCGUGCUGCUAGCAUUGGUUGCACAAUUUGAUUUAGAGCUUCAACAGCUUGAUGUCAAAACCGCUUUUUUACAUGGUGAUCUAGAAGAGACAAUCUAUAUGGAUCAGCCUGAAGGUUUCCUAGCUGAAGGUAAAGAAGACCAUGUAUGCCAACUGAAGAAGUCUUUGUAUGGUUUGAAGCAAUCCCCUAGACAGUGGUACAAGAGGUUUGAUGCAUUCAUGACUACACAUGGAUUUUCGAGGAGUGCAUUUGAUAGUUGUGUGUAUCACAAGAAGAUGUCUGGUAACUCUAUGAUUUAUCUUUUGUUGUAUGUUGAUGAUAUGCUUAUUGCUGCUAACAACAUCACAGAGAUAAAUAUUUUGAAGAAACUGUUGAGCAAGGAAUUUGACAUGAAGGAUCUAGGAGUUGCAAAGAAAAUCCUUGGAAUGGAAAUUUCAAGAGAAAAUGGUGUUGUACAUCUUUCUCAGAAGAGGUACAUCCGAAAAGUUCUUGAAAGAUUCAAUAUGGAUAUGAGCAAGCCUGUAAGUACACCUUUAGCUUCUCAUUUCAAGCUUUCAGAGUUACAAAUGCCUCAAUCUAUGGAUGAGGUGGAGCAUAUGUCAAAGGUUCCUUAUGCGAGUGCAGUUGGUAGCAUUAUGCAUGCUAUGGUAUGCACACGUCCAGAUAUUGCCCAAUCCGUAAGUGUAGUAAGCAAGUACAUGGCAAAUCCAGGAAAAAGGCAUUGGGAAGCUGUCAAGUGGAUAUUGAGAUAUCUCAAAGGAGCUCCUGAUGUUGGCCUAACCUUUCGGAAAAGUGAAGGUAUUUCAAUUCUCGGUUAUGUUGAUUCUGACUAUGCAGGGGAUCUUGAUCGAAGGAGGUCCACAACUGGAUACAUCUUUACUCUCGUUGGCAGUGCCGUUAGUUGGAAAUCGACUUUACAGUCGAUUGUCGCUUUGUCUACAACAGAGGCAGAAUAUAUGGCAGCAACGGAGGCAGUGAAAGAAGCUAUCUGGUUGAAAGGUUUGGUGGCAGAAUUGAGUUCAGCUCAGCUUAAAUCAAUUCUAAAAUGUGAUAGUCAAAGUGCUAUUCAUUUGAUUAAAAAUCAAAGAUUUCAUGAGCGCACCAAACAUAUUGAUGUCAGAUUUCAUUUUAUUCGAGAUGUCGUUGAAAAGGGAGCUAUCAAGGUUGAGAAGGUUAUCACAGACGAUAACGCUGCAGACAUGUUGACCAAAAUAGUUCCGCUUGCCAAGUUUGCACACUGCAAGGACUUGGCGGGAAUAUGAUGCAACUCUAAGAGAACAACUGCUAGGUGGAGCUGGUAUGUUCAACAAAGGUUUGAUUCUUCUUGUUUCUUACAAUGGGAUUGCCCAGUAAGCUUAGAAGUUUUGGCCGGAGUUGUUUAUACGCAUGCUUGGAACACAAACCAAGGUGGAGAUUGAAAGAGUUGGUUUUGGUUCUUGUGGAAUCAAACUAAAUGGAAGAUGAAUUAAUAUGAAUAUUUGGUAGGAAGAUAAUUAGUACAAAAUACAAGUCAAAGAUUGUAUCUUGGUAGGUGAAAGUUAGGCAAACCAUAAAAUGGUUUGCUAUCUUAACCUUGGCAAUUUUGACACAUAGUGAUGUCAUGGAUGACAUCAAUAGGAUGAAUUUAUUCCUAUAAAUAGGUAGCUCUUAAUUCAUUUUCAAAUCAUCCUUUCACUUGCCUUCUCACCUUCUAAGGCAUUGUGUUCUCUCUCUUGUAGUAUUUCACUUAUAUUCCUUUUAUAGUGAAAUAAAUAUUGGUGCAGUUGUUCUUUGGUGGACGUAGGAUCAUUUUGAUCCGAACCACAUUAAAUAUUGUUGUUCUUCCUUGUUCUUUAGUUUCACGUUUCCGCUAACAGCUUCAUCACUCUCACACUAUUUAGAUACAUGAGAAAUUAGAUAUUUUAUCUUGUCUAUAUUUGCUCCACAUUUACAAUCACAAUUGCAUAUCAUGAAGGUGCUUAAAACCUACCUCUGAUCCCAUUAACUUUUGAUUUUAGUAAAGUAUCUGUGACAUCACCUAUCUCUUUGCAGUUUAAAAAAGUUUGGUCCCAUCUACUUGAUCAUACCUCUCUUCAAGCUCAUCCCAUAAUUCCUCAUCAGUUUGUGAAUAAAUCACACUCUCACUGAUGUCCUUGAUGAGAGAAUUAAGGAGCCAAACAAGGAUCAUAUUAUUACAUCUUCUUCACUGUUCAAGCAAAGGUGAAUCUGGUGAGGAAAUGAGACAAACCCUAGUGAUGAACCUUAGUUUAUUUAUUGCAGAAAGAGAGAUGAGAAAUCCUCUUCUCCAGUUUCCUUAACUAGAUCCAUCAAAACUCACACUCAGAAUAUUUGUACAUGACUAUUUAUGUCCUUCAUUUCUAUCUUCAUCAGGAGAGAUUUAUUCCGACAAUACGCAUAGACUGACACUUUCCAAUAAAAUGGGAAAUUUCAAGUGCAAAUAUCGUAUUGUUGAAUCGUUUAUUGUGUUGGAAAGAAGACUAGAAUAUCUUAGUUUAAAAGGUUAUGGUUUACAAUUCUUCAUACUCUAUAAGACAUAUGGUCAUUACUCAUUUGAAGUUGGUCUAAAUAAAAAAGACGAACCUAUCAAAAUUUUUAUUUAAACACCUUAAUUAGAAUCUGUUCAUUCAUAAUAAUGGGCUCAUUAUUUGACUUAAAGCUCCAAAAUUUAGGAAGAAAUAGAAAUAUAAUUUAGGAAAAAUUAGCAAUUAAGACAAAUUUAAGAACAUAAUUAAUCAAAAUAACAUUAAUUUAAAAAUUUUAGUGAAAAUGACAAAAUAGCAAUAUGUUAUAUUAAUUGUACGUAUUUUUAUUAAAUAUGUAUAUUUCAGAUUUUAGUAUAUUUUGAUAUUAUUAAAUUAAUAUAUAAAUGGAAAUACAUUGAUUGGACCAAAACAUGGUCCAAUAACAUUUAAUGAAAAAAAAGAAAUUAAUUAAUUAAAUUUUCGUGUAAAGUUCCAAAAAAGCUAAAAAUUAAAAUCAAUUCAAAAUUUUCAAGUUCCUUGUUCAAAUUUUCCAGAUUUCUUCAUCAAAGCCAUUGUUAUCAAGGAUUCAAGCAGAUUCUCGAGCUAGGUUCAUUAUUAAAGUAGAUUUCGUGGUGGAAAGGUUAGUUUAAAUUUUGGUUUUGAUUUUUUGAGCGUUUUUUGUUCAAGUUCUGAUUUUGUUUAUCAAGAAUUGAUGGACAAUUUAUGUGAUUUUUAUUUUAAUAUACAUCAUAAAUUAUGAUUUUGUAUUUUUUGUCUAUCUCUUGUGAUUUUUUUUUUCAAUUUUUAAGAUUAGGAAAAGUCAUUGAUUAUCAAGGAUUCAAGAAGAUUUUUGAGCUAGAUUCAUUAUUAAAAGCAGAUUUCGUGGUGGCAAGGUUAGUUCAAAUUUCGGUUUCGGUUUUUUUAGCGUUUUUUGUUGAAGUUCUGAUUUUGUAUAUCAACACUUUAUAGACAAUUUAUGUGAUUUUUGUUUUAAUAUGCAUCAUACAUUUAUGAUUUUGUAUUUUUUGUCUAUCUCUUGUGAAUUUUUUUUCAAUUUUUAUGAUUAGGAAAAACCAUUGAUUAUCAAGGAUUCAAGAAGAUUUUUGAGCUAGAUUCAUUAUUAAAAGCAGAUUUCGUGGUGGCAAGGUUAGUUCAAAUUUCGGUUUUGACUUUUAGCGUUUUUUGUUGAAGUUCUGAUUUUGUAUAUCAACACUUUAUGGACAAUUUAUGUGAUUUUUGUUUUAAUAUACAUCAUACAUUUAUGAUUUUGUAUUUUUUGUAUAUUUUUUGUGAUUUUCUUUCAAUUUUUAAGAUUAGGUAGAUUAUGAAAAUUCAUAUAUAUAGAAUCAUUGUUGUUUGAUGUUCAAUACGCAGUUGUUAAAAGAUUUUUUUUUUCUUCAGAUUUUUGAAUUGUUGGGGGAAAAAACAGUGUAUUGUAUGCAUUGGCUGAUUCAGUCAGAAUUACUAGAGGUAUAAACAACAACAUUCAAAAUUUUAUGGAAUUUUCCUCAUUUGAUUUGUGCAUUACUCAAGGAAUGAUCGAAAAUGUAGGAUCUGCGGCGAGAAUGACACUAGAGUAUGAAAGGGCAAUUGAUAGCUCUUCAAAAAAAAGAAAAGUAUCGUGCUAUAAAACCACUGUUGAUCAACAAAAAUAUCCAAGUGAUGAAGUAUUACGUCAUGACGAUGAAGAGGUGAUAAAUUAUUAACGAAACUAAUUGUUAUGCUAUGUCUAUAGUUGGUUUUUGUGUUUGAAAUUUCAUGUCUUUCAGAUUGGAAGCUUAUAGUUUUAAAUACAUAAAAAAAUUUGUAUCCCUAAAUGUGAUGUGAUAAAUAUCAAAAGCAAGUACAAAUCAUAUGAUUCAUAUGUUACCAUGAACCUGCCCCUAUAGUUGUUUUUGUAUUAUAGUAGCCAUUAUUUUUGCCCAUAAUUUGACUUUGUAAAAAAAGAAACUCUCAACUUAAAUUAGUUAAUCUUAAAAUUAGCUUAUUUUCAAAACGACAAUUUUGAAGUAGUCAAUAUUAGUAAUUUCUUGUCAACAAGAUUGCAAUGUGUUUUACUAAUAGAAUUAACAUAAAAUUUGCAAGUUUUCGACCUAUUAACUAUUUCUAGACUCAAUUACUCUUUAUUGGUGAAUUUUUGUUUUAGAUAUUUCAAUAUUUUAUAGUAUAUUUAAUUUAUCAAUUAAUUGAAAUAUAAUAAAUAUAUUAUAAUUAUUAAUCAUUUAGUCACUUAAUUAUCCAGGCAUAAUAUGCAGCUUAAAUAUUAUUACCCACAAUCAACAAUAAAAUAGUUACAAAAGUAUUUCUUAUAUAUUAAAUAUAUAAAGGCAAAAAAUGUAGUAAUUUUUAAUUAAUGAAAGAUUAUAUGUUAUUGAAUACUACUAAUAAGUAAAUUCAUUAGUAAUAUAAUAAUUGAAGGACCAAAUGUGUUAUUAUACGAAGAUGAGAGAGAAAUAGCGAUAACUGUACAGUAAUUAAUCAUCUUAAUACUAUAUUAUUGUUACAGCAGAAAUUGAUUAAUUAAUUAAUUCAAAAUUAUAUUAUUUGUUGUAUACAUAUAUAUAGACUGUUGAAUAAUGUAGUUAUGUUUUCUUCAGCAUAUUUAUGUAUUCAAAUGUUGAUAGACUUAUAGUAUCAGCUUAGUUGUAUUUUGUUAUUUAUUUUAUUUUAUUUUUUAUGUCAUCAAUAUUCAUGAUUCUGAAUUAACAUUCACUAUUUUAUAUACAAUGUAGUUUAUCAUAUUCUAUUUUUUUAAUUAGUAAUAGAUUUAUAUAUCAGAAAUUUUUUAAGUAUGUAUUCAUUUUAUUGUUGAACAUGUGCAGGCAAAUGAAUUUUAUGUCAAAAAUAAACCAAAAAAAGCUCCCCAUAUUCAUUGUUUCUUUAAUCAUGACAUAAAAGAUGACUUGAUGACUUAUUUACAUGGACAUGUAUACAAUGUAUUCUGUGAAAGCACCUGCUUUGGUAAUUAUAUGCAAAUGCAUCAAUGUCGUGCUCGCGGACAAAUACAUAGGUGUUGCAUGGCUUUAGAACUCAAUAGUUCUCGCCAAGCAUUUGUAAUGCGUGUAAAUAGAUCUACGUUGCGUUUCACUUUGAGAGAAUUUGCUUUAAUCAGUGCAUUAAAUUGUGUCAACGAAGAAACUGAUUUCAUCUUUGAUCAGUUAGAACCAAAUAGUUUCAUGGAAAAAUAUUUUGAGGGUGUUAAGUUGAUCAGAAAAAUUGAUAUAAUUAGGAGUUUUCAUCGAAAAGUAUGGGGGGAGAACGAUCAGGAUGGCCUGAAGUUUGCAAUUUUAUACUUCAUUCAGACAGUGAUUUUUUCCGGUGAAAGAGCUACCAAAAAAAUUUUGAGAUUAUAUUUUGAUCUUGUUGAAAGUGGAAGGUACAGUGAGUUUCCAUGGGGAAAAAAAACUUUCUCUUUGCUGACGAAGAGCCUGAGCAAGAGGUUAAAUGAUGAAAAACAAUUUUACAGAAUCGGGGGAAUGCCUAUUGUAUUCCAAGUAUGGUUGUUUGAGUGCAGCUCGAGUAUUGAUUUCCAAGUCGCUCAAAAGGUUGAUGACCAUAUUCCGAGGUUGCUCAACCGGCGCACGACCAAUGAGAGUCGUAGAUACAAGAAACUUAUGAACACCAUAUUUAGUGAUGUUAAUAACAAGGUACUUAACUUGACAUAUAUUUAAUAAUCAAACCAAGUUGUAUGUUUUCUUAUUGGUUUUAUUUAUAAUAGUAACCAUAUGUUUGGAAUUCAGAUUAAAUUCAGGAACAUUACACCAAAUCAAAGGGAACUUGUAGUAUUGCAACUGCCACCGGAGGGUAUUGAAAAUCAAGCUCCACCUCAGUAUUCAGAUUCAUCAGAUGAUGAUAUAGAUGAUGAAAUAAUUGAUAGAAAUGAUGUUCAACGAGAGGGAAGCUACGACGAUAAAGAUUCUGAAGAUGAUUUUCAAGCACCUCCUCCACAAGCAGUAAAGGUCAAAAGAAAAGAAAAUGGUGGUUCCUCAACGUCGCCUGUUAGAAAAAGGACAAAGAAGCUGGUGACUGGUGGAUCCAAACAGGUUGCAAAAAAUUUGGAACCUCGAAUUGCUGUUAAACAACCGAUGAAAAAGAAUGUUGUAUCAAAAAAGGUACUAAAGAAACUUAAGGUUAUUUUAAAACAAACUGAAUGUCUACAUGCAUAUCUAACAAAAAUACAACUUUCGAGUGAUUAUGAUAUUUUUCAGAGAACAAGCGGAUCUGAAGUGGAAGGCUGGGUGAAAGAGCUGUCAGAUUUCAGAAAAUAAGUAUUUACCAUAUAGUACAUCCUUCAUAGUUAUACACUUAUUAUAAUUAUAAAUUUUUAAUAACGUACAUCAUUAUGCCAUAUUUUUAGGUUAAACAAGAGUUUGUUGAAAUUCGCAAUUUGAUCAACGACAACUUCAAAACUGUUCUGGCAGCCAUCAAUUCAACACGGGAUGAGCAGGCGGUUUGUUAUAAAAAAUAAAAUGAUGUAACGUAUUUCAAAUUUACAUUUUUGUUAAUGAUUUACGUGUAAUAUAACACAGGCAGAGCAUUCUGAUGAUCAUAUUGUCCCUCCAAAUUCAAAUGAUGAAGAUGGGUAUACACCACCAUACACUUUCAAUAAAGAAUCUCCAUCAAAUCAAGUUCUUGUAGCUCAGUGUGACAAAUUGGAAUCUGGAAAUUCAGAGGUACUCGUAGUUUUUUUUAUUAAUUUAGGCUGUAUAUAAGAUCCCUAUUUUGGUGUUUUUUUACGAAAAUUUUGAAUUUAUUCACUUUUUAUGAAGUCGUAACUUUUAAUAUUUGUUUACAUAUUUAUUGAAUUUUUAUAUUUUUACAAGACACUCAAAGCUUCAAAGGACAGUAAAUCAACAAAUGUUGUGCCUCAUGUAAGUCAAGAUUUUGUGUAUCAUUUUUAAACUCAAUACUUGUGUAAUAAAUAUCAUUAAUAAGCCUCCCAUAUUUUAUAUAAUUAUACAUGUAUAUGAUUAUGAUCAAACUGUAUCAAACAAUCUUAACUCGUUUUAUGAUUACAUGUAUCAUAACUGUUAUCACUUACAACUUUAAAUGACUUUUCAUUAUUUGUGUCCAUUAAAAAAAAUUCAUGUUUAUUGUUACUUUUAUUUUUUUUAAAGACAAUCAACAAUCCAGAUGGAAAAUACCCCAAAUCCGAUGAUCAUGAAGUAAGUCAGGUUUUAGACAAGUUUUAUGUUUUUUUUUCGUACAUCCUAACGUGUGAUUACAAUAUACAAAUUUGGCUUAACUUCCAGUCUCAUUAAAUGUUCAUUAUCAUAUCGACAAUUUCAUUUUAUAAGGUUUUUUGUGUCAACACCCCUGUUCGGAAUCUAAUUGAAGUGGAUUAUGAAUUAAGUGCUCCAAGACAUACAAUUUCUAGAGUAUGUUAUUUAAUUUUAUAAGUACAUUUGUUAUACCAUUUUUUGGGUCAUUACUUUUAAGGUGUUGUUACUUUUACGAAAUUAAUAGGUAAAUCAAUCAAGUUUUGUAUUUGAUAUACCCCCACAAAAAGUGCUUAGAGUAUCUAAAAAAUCUCAUGAGGAUGAUGUUGAACAAAUGUCAUGUCCAUUCCCUAUCCGUAUUUUGGAUCACAUGAAAGUGACAAUCGAUUCACAGUUUGAAUUGGACGAUCAAUUCAUGCCUAGUCUCAAUUCUAUAAAUAGUAGCAUCGCACCACAUUCAACUGUGAUAAAAGGACAUACUGAACAGCUGCCAACAACAAUUGCAGGAUGCAUUACAACAAAGGAAGAUCAGGUCACUAUCGAUGUCCAAUUGGGUACGAACGAUGAAAAUUUGAUGAUAGUUCAACCUAUCAGCAAUAACGAACAGACGCCAUUACCUACGCGUAGGAAUAGACGUCUAGGUCUUAUAAUACAUCUCCGUAUCUGACCAAUUUUGGAUCAUCUACUGGUACAGUAUUCUAUUAUUUUAAUACUUUUGUUAAUUUAAUCAUUUUUUUAUUACUACUGUUAGUGUGUAUUUAAUUUAUAGUGUUUUGAACCAUCUCAGGUAGUUCAUCAAGUCAGCCCCACAUUUUUGAAUUGAAACACCCUUUUAUAUUUGUUUUGAUAUCUGGCGAUUAUGAUAUAACAUUGUGGGAUGCGUUUCGUUCAUGAAUCCGAGAUGGCUUACUUACAAAGCAUGACAGAAAGUAAAUCAUUGGUGAAUAAUUACAAGAUAUUUUUAAAACAUAACUGUUUAAAUUUUUGUAUCCGGUUAAAUGUUUGUUUGUGUUUCAACAACAGUUAUUGUUAGAUGCAGCUUAUAUAUAGGUUUUCUUAAUUUUUUUUGUAUUUAAAUGUUGAUAGUAAUUACUUUACUUUUUUAAUGAAUGGUAUAAUGUUUUUAUUUUUAUUCUGUUUUUAGGAAGCAUGAUCAAGACCAUUACAAGAAGAAUCUGGCUGAAAUUUCUGUGGCCAUUAACCUUGGCAUUCUCAUAGUAGACAAUAAGAAUUGCUUCUAUAAUAUGUUUUUCAAAGGACAGUUAUUGAACAAUUUGGUAAGAGAUAUUUAGCAUUUAUAUUUACAAACAAUGAUUAUUAGUAGUUAUAGUAUUUAUACAUUUGUGUUUAAAUUUGUCAGCGUGUUGAUGUGAUUUUAUAUUAUCUACGGAAAAAAGCCAAGUAUGAUGUUGGAGGAAGCUAUAAAUACACAACUUUAAAUUGUGUAUUUAGUUCAAAGAUCUCUGCUAUUUGGGAAAAAUGUUUGGAUUUAGAUAGCGGUGUUGGUUGUGCCGAUGAAGAGCAUGUCAUUGGUGAAUACAUUAGAGGGUACAAAAUGCAUGCUGCUACACCUUGGCAUAAGAUCGAUUACGUUUUUGUUCCUGUCCACGUCAAGGAGAAAUUUCAUUGGGUGUUGGCUGUGAUAUCAUUUAAUGUUAAGUGUAUCAACGUGUAUGACUCAUAUAGGGCAGCAGGUCACGAUGUAGCUAUCAAGGCAGAGAUAGUUAAACUGUCUCAGUUGAUCCCUUUGAAGUUAUCAGUCAAUGAAUAUUACAACAAUAAAGGAAUUGAUGUAUCGCAAGCUCAACAAGAGAAUGAGUUCUUUAAUGUAGUAUUCAUAGAUAAUGUUCCUCAACAGUCGCAUGAGUCUCUGUAAGUUUGUGUUUUUUUUAAAAUUUUACUAUCAUCAAAUUAUCAAUAUUAUAUUUUGUACUAACUUUUAAUUUCUUAUAUUAUAGGGAUUGCGGUAUUUAUAUGCUAGCUUUUGCCGAAUACCUAUCAUACGGCCAAGGUAUUCCAGCGAAUAUUUUGGAUGCAUCGUGUUUACGGUCAAGAUAUGCUACACUUCUUUGGAAUUAUGGCCAAUAAAAGAAUGAUGCCGGAGCAAUAAGUGACAAUGAAGCACCUCCACGAUAUAGCAGAUUCAAUGUAGCAAUGGAGGAGAUUGAUACAAUUCAAAUAGAUUAGUUGUUGUCCAUUUUGUGAUGUGUAAUUGGACAUUAGUUUUUGUAUUCUAUGAAACGAUUUUAAAGGGUUCCUGUUCUUUUGUGUUUAUUAAUGUAUAAAAUCUUGAAGUUAUGGUUUCAAAGGUUUUGGGUUAAUAUUAAAGUGUUCAAACUUAAGUAUUGCAUGUGGGGUACACAACUCAUUUUUGAUGUUUAAAUGCAAUACAUAUGAUUCUAUCAACAUACAUAUGAUUCUACCAACAUACAAUAUAUAUAGAACAAAUAUAAUGUAGAUUAAAAUCAUGGAUACGAAUACAUUUCGUUAUAAAAGGUAUACCAAAACAAUUACAAUAAUCUAACAAACUGUAUGCAUUCAUAUGUUUCAAAUGGAUGUAAGACUUGAUAUUAAAUUAUUAAAUUGUAAAUACAAUUAAUAAUACUAACAACAUAAAAAGAUAGAAUACGUAUAGCGAAUAUGAAUACUUUUAGAGAGAACAUGUAUACCAAAAAAAUAAAAUUGUAUGCUUUAAAAUGUUACAAAAACAAUUUAUAUUAUAUUAUAAAUACAAUUUAACUUGAUUACAAGUAACUGCACUGAUUUUGUUUCUUACUCAUACAAUUUUACGCAUACAUUAUAGAUAGAGCAAAUACAUUAUAGAUUAAAAACAUAAAUAUGAACACUUCCUCAAAAGAUAUUAGUAUUUGGGAUACAAAUACAUUUCAAUAGAAAACGAAGAAAUUUUUUUUUGCAUUCAUUAAAAUGUUACAAAAUAUAAUUUAUAUUAUAUUAUAAAUACAAUUCAACUGGAAUACAAGUAACUGCAAAGGUUUUGUAUGUGACACAUACAAGUUCACUCAUAAAAUUUAGAUAGGACAAAUAUAAUAUAUAUUGAAAACAUGGAUAUGAAUGAACACUUCUCGAAAGAAAACGUAUACAAAAAAAAUAUUUGCCGAAUUCAGAAUAGAAGAAUCCAACAAUUGUAUGCAUUCAAAUGGAUGUAACAAUUGGUAUUAAAACGUAGAUACAAUCAGGUUUCGAAUACAAAUAAUAUUAUUCGAGAGAAGACGUAGAGCGAAUACAUCUCAAGAUACAACCAUGAACAAAGAAGUCCAUGUUAUUUUAUUACCCAGAAGGCAUUAGAAGUCUGGAAGAAACCUAACUCUAAAAAUAUACAAAAAAUGAAACAUCAUUAACUACACAAUACGCGGUCCAUUCCUACAUGAACGCCUAUUGUUCCCUUUAAACCCACACGUACUGCAAGAAUUCUUUCUCUUCUUACCAUAUAGCUCGCUAUACGUCCUGUCACGAUACUUUUUGGAUGGCCUUCCAGGGAGCUUUUUAUGAUUUGGAGGCUGCACCAUCUGGUCCUUAAUAUACCCAGGUACAUUCCACUCUUUUUGAUCAGGUAACGGACGAAUUGGAAUGCUAUAUGUAUCUAACAAGUUACUUGGCUUGUACACGUCGGAACAAUAUGGCGCAACAUCAAAAUGUUUCUUCUUUAAAACAGCCCAAGCGUGCGAACAUGGUAUUUCAUCUAUUUGAAACCUCUUGCAAGUACAAGUUUUAUUUUCCAAACAAACAAUGUAGGUUCUACCUUCGUGAUGAACACUAAACACAUAGUUAUUUGAUGGCACAACCUACAAAAAUAAAACAUUUAUGUCAUAUAAUUUUGAUGAACAUAUAAAUCGUAACAGCAUACCUUCAUACGUAAUGAUGCUUCUUCAUUAGCAACAAGCAUCUCUUGUGGUCUACCACAAAGUGUGAUGAAUGUAUGUGAAGCAGACGUAUGAUUUUUCAAAUUCCAUCUUGCAAACAUCUGUCUUACUUCCUCAAGAAAAUUGUAUACCGGUAAUUCCCUUGCUUCAAAUAGACAAGCAUUUAUGCACUCAGCUAUGUUUGAUGUCAUAACCAUUCCUCGAUCAACUGUUGCAUACACCUUAGCCCAUUUUUCAUAACAUGUUGAUUCCAAGUAAUUUUUUUACACGAACAUCAACUUGUUCAACCUUUUCCAUCAGUUCAUCAAAUUCAGAUUGUUUGUAUGCCUUUGUCAUCCCAUAAAAACUUCCGACAGCCUAUUGUGCGACUUUUUAAAUAAUGUUUUCACAUUUUUUCACAAAUGCCAAAUACAUGCAUAAUGAGGAACUCCAUCAAAUACCCUCGAAACUGCCUUUAUAAUACUUUCGUUUCGAUCAGACACAACGCACAUGUUAUAUUUAACGUCAUGCGCUUCUCUAAACUGUUCAAAAAACCAAGUGCAGGAUGCAUCAUUUUCUGAAUCAAUAAUUUCAUAUGCUAGCGGCAAUAUAUUUCCUACACACAAAACAUUUAAUAAAGUUUUUAUUUCAUAUAGAAUAAAUAUAUUAAUCAACAAAACAAAGUGUAUAUAUUAUCAUUCCAAUACCUGCUCCAUCAACAGUACUUGCAGAAACAAAUACUCCAUUGUAAGUCCCCCUGAGGUGGCUGCCAUCAACUAUGACAAUUGGUUUACAAAACUCAAAACCUUUUAUGAAUGGGAAGAGCGAAAUAAAAAGAUAAAGAAAUUGAUUUUCAUCGGUUUUCUUCAUCCUUAUAUGAGAUCCAGGGUAGGUAGCGUCCAAUACGUAUAAGUAGCUCGAAAGUUUACCAUAAGAACCAGAUGGGGUACCCCAUAAAGAAAUUACAGCCUUUUCUUUAGCCUUCCACGCCACUGAGUAUGAUACAUUUACUCUAAGAGCUAAGCUGACAUCUUGUUGUAUAUCCUUUGGCGUCAACUUUCUUUUAUGAUCAACUAACUUGGGUUGUAUCAUACCUCUAAUAAGAUUGCUUGUUGCUUGACGUUGUUCAUAGACCUUAUCUUUCAAUGGACACGUGUGAUCAUCUACGAAUUUUCUAAUUCUGAACAUUCCAGAUUUAUUGAUACUUGACGACUUCAACACCCACCCACAAUUAUCAGAGACACAAACAAGUGUAUAACUGUUUGAAUAACACCAUAUUAGAAUUAGGUAAAAUACAAAUAAAUAUUUGAUAUAAUGUAAAAAAAUAUAAUGAAAAAAAAUUAUAAGAGAAUCCAACCCAAAUACACAUACCAUUUUCGACUCGAUCUGUCCGUUUUCCAUUGGAAUCUAUGAUCAAUAGCGUAUUGCGUCAUCACAGCCUUUAAAGUUCCCUUGUCCUUAUAAACUUGAUCUUCCAACACUACCUUAUGUUUGGCGUUUGUAAUAAUGUCGCAAUUCAUGUUAUCGCUAUUGUUCGGCACACUAAGCAUUAAUGAUUUGUAUCAACUAUAACUAUUCCACCAGGCCCACACAUUUCGAAUCCAUCUUUUCAAACAUAUUUCUAUCAGCUAAUUGACAGUCAUUCACAAAUAUGGAUACACAUAUAGGAUACUUUGACAAUUCUUUGUUAUCUUUUUUCAACGACACAUACACUCUCACGCCCAUGUCGUUGUGUAUUUCCAGAGGUGCAGUACUACCCUCUAUCUUAUAUUUAAGUUUCACAAUGUUGAAGCUCAAGUCAUCACAAAUUUGCUUUGAAACAAGAUCCAUUAGUUCUCUAAAUGUCGCUUGCUCUUUUAACACAAUUGCUUCCGCACUGUAAUCAACAUAGCAGUUUUUAUUGUUCUACCUCCCAGAAUGCAUGACCAAUAAACUAAUGCUUCCCAUGGCUACAAUAACAAAUAUAUAAGUGAUGAUCACAUUUCAAUAGUAUUCCAAAAUAAAAAAAUGUGUCCAAUCUACAUUCAAAAAAGUGUACGCUUCAAAGGGUACCAAAAUCGGUAAAGAUUGAACUCAAAUUCACAACUUUUAUCACACACUAACAACCGUUUCAAAAUUAAUACAUAUAGAAUUUCAUAUUGUUAAAAACAAGAAAUAAAAAAAAACAUAACUAAUAUGGGUCUAAACAGAAUCAAACACAUAUCUAGCCGUACACAUCAUAUAAACAUAUAUAAUUAUAUUAUUGUUGCUUAUAUUGUUCAGAGAUUUUAUACUGAUAUAAAUGGAACAUAAGAUGAUCUUUCAAAAAAAAAUUCAAAUCAUACAAACAUUUAACAUAUUCAUAUUAAAAAAUUUUAAAAAAAUACCUGAUCUUUAAAGUAUGAAUAAAACCGAAAGGAAUAAAUUGUUGUUGUGGGAUUUGAAAAUUUCCGCUUUCAAAAAAUUUUCGUAUUCGAUUAUAUUUGCAGAAUUCGAAUUGUAUAAUAAAGCUUCUUUAUCAAUUGAAUAAUAGAGGAGACAAAUCUGUUUAUAAUCAUUUUUAAACAUGAAGAACAGGGAAGAAGAAAAAAAACGUUCAAAUUAAUAUAUGCCAAAACUACAGCUUUUAAAAAGUAACUGAAGAAAUAUUAAUACUACUUACCUUUUUUAUGUUAUAAUUUCCAUCUUUUCUAUAAUAUUUUUUUAUAAAUAUACAUACCAUAUUAAAAGAAAAUAUACGGUAUUACUAAUCUAAAGUAAUAAUUAAACAUGCUAAUAUUACUAAAUAUUGAAAUAAUGUUACUAUAUCACCAAAAAAAACUAACAUAUUGCUGUGUUGAUUAAAUUCCCAUUAAUUUAAUAUUGACUAAAAGUAUGGAAAGUGAAUUACGGGUCCACUAUUCUUUAAGCUCAUCAUAUCCAAAAGAAAUAAAAUCUCAAAAUCAUUCUUCUUCAGCUUUGAACAUUUUUCUUCCUUUAAUUAUACAAACGAGAGACUGCGUGAUUUAUAUAAAUAAGAGCCUGCUAGUAAUUUUAUACAAAUCGAAUGUCUUUUAGGAUUUAUACAAUCUGACAUUUCAUAGCAAAAGUUUGUUAAUGAUUGUAUAGUUAUAAUUUACAAAUAUGAUUUUUUUUUGCUAAAUACAAAAAUUGCUCUUAAUUAAAUAGCUUUAAAAAAUACAAACAAUGUGAAUUGUGACUUAACAGAAAAGCAAUGACUAAUAUUUAGAAAAAAUUAGCUAACUAAUCAAAAUCUCAAACAUAAUUAUUAAAAAUAUCUAUAUUUUAAAAUAAUUAUUAAAAUAUUAAUAUAUCAAUAUUUUAACAAAUAACGUGUAUCCUUGAUUAGUUACUAAUAUAUCUCAUAUUAAGCCCACAUCUCAAGCUAUUACGUCUUCCUCUCGUUAUUUUUCAAAUUUUUCUCUCUCAUAUGUAGUAAAUUAUAUAUAUGUUUAUAAUUAUUUUCCUAAAAUAUGUCAUAUUUCGACUCCCCUUCAACCCACUUUCGUUCUUUAUUCUCUUUUCUUCCAGAUUCUUUCUCCUGUUUCUUUUCAAAAUAGAAAAAAAAAUCAUAUAAAAGAUAUGUAUCAUAUAAUCAUUUCAUCGGAUAACUUCUUAUUGAGUUUGUAUAUACUGAGUUAACAUCAUUAUUUUUUAUUUUUUAUUUGUAUUUUUUUGGAGUCUUUUAUGUAUUUUUGUGUUUCAGUUUCAAAAUAGUUUAUUUAGUAAAAUAUCUUUCGAGCUUGUAUUAUUAUUAACCUCACUUCUAUUUAAUUUGUGUUCAUAUUAGUAUUGUUUGUUGUAUUUUUUCAGAUUUCAAUUGUAUUUACAGAGUAUUGUAUUUAUUUAAAUUAAAAUAUAGGCAAAUUAAAGAAUAUAUAUUCUUACUUAAAUUUGUAUUCGUUUACUCAUGCUUUCAUGGAAAAAGGAACUAGAAGUCUGUUUGUUUAUUUUUUGUAUGUUAAUUGUAUUUUCAUCAAAUAUUUAUUUAAGCAUAUUAUAUCCACGUGCAUUUAAAUCAUUCAUUUUGUAUGUCAUGUUCAAAUUCAUUUAUCAACUAUACUUGUAUUCAAAAUAAAUGUAUUUUGUAUGUUGUAUAUCAAUUAUUUGUAUUUAUGUAGUUUUAUUUUGAAGUUUUGAUUAAACAAAACAAAAAAUUGUAUUCUAAAUUAGAUUUUGUAUUUCAAAAAUUGUAUUCUAAAAGUCGUUUCCUUAUAUAGUUGGUCAAUAAAUUCAUUAUUCACUUUUAUUUUUAACUUUUCAUUUAUACAAAAGUGUAUUUUAAACUGAUUUGUAUUUGAAAUUCUUAUGUAUUUCAAAAAUUGUAUUCUAAAAAUUAUUUACUAACUGUUGAACAACUUUGUAUUGCAAUCACUCGACAUAUAAAAUCACAAUAUUUUAAUAUAGAAUUGCGAUCUCAUCAUCAAGAUUGUAUUAUAAUCAUUCAAUACAUAAUAUCAUCAAAUUUGUACUCCAAACUAAUUUAUAUUUGAAUUAUUCAAUAUACAAUAUUACAUCAAUAAAUUUGUAUCUAAAUUCAAUUUCAAAAUCUACUUUCAAGCUGCAUUACCCCUAAUUUCUUAUACAAUUUAUUUUCAGUUUGAGAAUGAAUUAAAAAAGGUAGCAUGCUUGUUGUCCCCAAUCACACAUAAAUCCUGAGCUCUUGGGAAGAUCAACUUGUUAUCCUUGAGUAACUUUUAUCUGUUGAGCGACGGUCCUUCCACACGGCACCGUCAAAUCACUACAGCCGACUUUCGUCCCUGCUCGACGGGUGGCUCUUGCAGUCAAGCUUCCUUCUGCCUUUGUACUCGAGGUCUAAUCUUCGUCUGGCCCCGAGGAAACGCCCCAUAGGAACUGUCUGCCUGAGACUGUCCCUUGGCCCCUAGGUCUUGACACAAGGUUAGAAUUCUAGCCCUUGCAGAGUGGUCUCACUGAUGGCUCCCCCCCCCCCCCCCCCCCCCCCCCCCCGCGGAAGGCUCCACCUAAGCUGCGCAGGAAAGGCCCAAAGCUAUCCCAUGGAACAGUGAAGCUUCAUAGCGUCUUUCUGUCCAGGUUCAGGAAGUCCGCAUCUUCACAGACAUGUCUAUUUCACUAAGCCUCUCUCCAAGACAUUGCCCAGAUCGUUACGCCUUUCGUGCGGAUUGAAACUUACCCGACAAGGAUUGUCUUCCCAAAAUAAUAAAUUAAGCAUAAAACAUUAGCGAUAAAUCAUUCCAAAGUUUGAAAGAAUAGAUCUUUAAUAGUUAAUUUCAAUAUAUUCAACUCUGCGUUGAGUUAAAGUUGAGCAGCCUAUAAAAAAUUUCAGACUGAGUUCAAAGAUCCAUUCAAAGUUACAAAUGGAAAUCGAUAAAAUGCUAACCACAAGGAGAUGGGUUCUUUGGUUUCAGAGAAAUGAGCCAAUGGUAGUUCGAUUAUUUCAACAUUUUCUUUCGGCACAGAAAAUAUAUCCUAAUGAAAUUUGAGAAAUAAUGGGGAGAAAAUUUGAUAUUGGACGUUAGAGAAACAAUGAAAGUCGAAUCACUAUAGUUUUUUCUUUUUUAAAAAAAAUUGUAUUGAUGAAAAUUCAAGUGAUAUAUUCCUUUUUAAAAAUGUUUUCCCUAAUUUUCUCUAUUCUGUUAUUGAAAAAUUGUAUUCUUUCAAAUUAAACAAAUUAAAAAAAUAAUAUAUAAAAAACUCAAAUAUUGACAUUUUCAAUAAAUAUUGAUAAUGUAGCUAAAGGGUCAUAUUAAAUGACAUUUUGAAAAAAUUUCUUUUAACAUUGGAAAAAUAACUUAAAUACACAACUAUAAGUUUAGUAUACUCUAAUUUUCCCUUCUUUUUUUAAAUAUUACAUAAUUCUUUUUUUUUUUUAAUUUUAGUAGAAGUUCAGAGAUACAUAGUCUUCUCUCUCCUAUAACACACACUUCCCCAUAUCAUGCCUAUUUUUUUUCCACUAAAACACUCAAUCUUCUGAAUCACUUUUUGAAUUUUGAAUUAUUAAUUUUAAUUAAAAACGUUUCACAACAUUUAAUAUGAAAUUUUGAAUUUCAAAAUUCAAAAAAUUUGAAAUUUCUGAAAAUUGGACCAUUGUUCUAUGGUUCUUCUUCUUCUUCUUACUCCAUCGUCCGUCUAUAGCUCUUGUUCUUCUUAAUCCAUCAUCUGUUCUUAUUUUCUUCUUUUUUUCUUCUUGUUCAUUGCUAUAUUAUAUCAGCCGUCUCUAGGUCUGCUUUUUCUUCUUACUUUAUCAUCUGUUCUUCUUUUCUUUUUCUUUUUCUUUUUCUUUUUGUUCAUUGUUCUAUUACAUCGUAUUAAUGGAUCAUUUUACUAAUAGAAGGAUUUAUGAUUCGGACGAUGAAAAUUGGAAAGAAAAUAGAAAAAAGUCUUUGCAUGAUCCUAUGAAUGUUCGGAAGGAUUCAAACAAAGAUUUUGGCGAAUCAUCUAAAUCAAAGGUUGACAAAAUACAUCAAAAAAGAGAAAAGAAGCAGCAAUCAUUGUUGUUGAAAUUAGUAAAAAUUUUAGUAAAGGAAUCCCAUAUAUAUCAUGAAUUUUUGAAAAUUGUUAUCAUGUAUAAGACAAUAAGUUUAAUACAUAAGUACUCAGUGUGUUAUAGUGUGUUAGUCGAUGCAUUGAUACAUGAAUUAGAUGUGUAUCAUAUGAUUUUCUAUGUAUCAUGAGUUUUUGAAAAUUGUUAUCAUGUAUCAGUCAAUAAGUUUAAUAACUGUGCCAUCAAGUGUGCUUGCUGAUACAUAUCGACUCAGUGUGUUAUAGUGUUUAGACGAUGCAUUGAUACAUGAAUUUGAUGUGUAUCAUAUGAUUUUCUAUGUAUCACGAGUUUUUGAAAAUUGUUAUCAUGUAUCAGUCAAUAAGUUUAAUAACUGGAUGUUCAUAAAAAUGUCUUUAAACUAGAUGAUAUAAUCUUGAAUUUUCAAAAUUUGAAACUUUUAUCCAAUUACGUGCUGAACUAAUGCUUAUUAAUAAACUGUUACCGUAAUUUAAGCUGAUUUAGAUAACCAAUUUAAAUGUUCCAUUUUUUUUCCCUUUUAAUCUUAACAGUUUUAAGUUACUGUGUAUCAUUUACCAUGUAUCACAACAUACUAAUAUGUUAUGCCACAAUAAUAUUAAGAGAUUAUUAAAAAAUAUUAUAUUUGUCGGGACAGAAUGUAAUUAUUGUAUUACAGAAUGGGAUUCCUUAAAUUUAUUCUUUUAACAUUUAUGCUAAUAGAAAGCCCACGUAACAAUAAAGCCUAGGAAGCCGAUUUAACAGUUAAAGUCCAAUUAACCGCUUCAUUCCAUGUAGUAGCAGUAACACAUCAUGUUAAUUAAUAGUCAAACCUUUGGCUUUUCAAUUUCUUCAGUUUUACAGGUCUUGUCACUUGUGUAUAAGAAAACGUAUUAAUGUCUCCAAUUUCAUGUUCAGGGAAUCCCAGAAACAUAUGGAUGGAACUUCAAGUGAAGAUAAUUUGUUACUAAAGAGAAUGGUAUGUCAAAAUUUAUUUAACUUUUUACAAAUAUUUGUGGUAGAAUUUCAUGAAAUACGAUUGAUUUUGUAAUCAAUUUUGUAUAUAUAAUUAUAAUGAGAAGAGUUCUUUGAUAUGGCAAUGAGGGUAUUUGGUGUUGACAUUUGUUAUUUUUAUGAGAUGAUUAUGUAGAAUUAAUUGACGAUCAUGCUACUGGGAACAAUGGCAAGAACAAAACAUUAUGAAAAUAAGCAAGAAAAAAAGAACAAAUCAAUACUGUAAUUACAAGUUGAUAACAUUUGAGUAUCAAUAUUCUAAAAGACCACUGAUUUCAUUGAAUAUCACACUUGUUCAGUGCAAAUAUAUCUUUAUUUUAUAAAAGUCAGUUUUAUAUAUUAGAUUUUCUGUUUUUUAAUUCUUUUCUCCCUUUCAACUGUAACUGUUUAGUUUGUGCAAAUAUUUUAUGUUGCAAUUACUUCAUUAUCAACUUCACCCUUGAGUAUAAGUAAUGAGAUGUGAAUUUUAAAUUUAAAUUUGCAAGCAUUAGGACAUCUCUUAUUCUCUUGAAAAAUUUAUCUGUUACAUGAAUAUAAGUUCUUAUCAAUAGUUUAACAAAUAAAAAAAACUUGAAUUGAAUUAUCACCACAAUUGUUUCAUUUAUCCAAAUAAUUGAUAGCUUGAAAUUUAAAAUUAAUAUCUAUACAUAUUUAUAUAUAGUUGGACAUAGACAAAGUGAUAUUACAAACUCUAUAAUCAAUAACCAUGUUUUUUUCUUUUUUUCUCAUUUUUUACUAUUUAAGUAUUCAAUUAAUUAGGGAAAGAUAAUUGCUAUAAAAGAUGAGCAAAGAUGAAAAACGUUCGAUUUCAAAUAGCUAAUGAGAAUAUUAAAGUAUGGAAAAUUUGAUUAUUCAAAAAUAAAGCACAAUCUCUAACUAACAACAAGAAUUAAUUAGGGAAACAAAGAAAAUAAUGAAAUUAAAUAAAUAAAUAUAAAAAGGGUCGAAAGAACUAACGCUCUAGAAAAAUAAAAAGAGGAAGUAGGAUAAGAGAGGGAAAGAAAACGAAAUUAAUCUCGAAGAAAAUAAUGAAAACUUGAGAGAAAGUAACCUAUUUGUUAAGCUAGAGUUUAUUAUUUAGGGUAUGAACAAAUGAGGGAGAGAUUAGAUAGGGAACAGAAGAAAAAAAAAAGAUUUUGAAAAAAAUAAUUAUUAAAAUACGAUGAUAAAACACAAUUCAUUUCUAGUUAUAUCUACCUUUACUUUUCAUUUCGUGCUUUACUUUAUUUUAUUAGAAGAAAAUUGUUAAUGUAUAUUAUUGAUUUAUUAAGGAUAUAUAUAUAUAUAAUAUAUAUAUAUAUAUAUAUGAAUGUAUGUUAUUCUUUUGAUUGAUUUUUAUAAGUUUAUUUUUAAUUUUAUAAAUAAUUUUUAUGACAGCAUGAAGCGCGAAAAUAUUCACUAGUAUAUUAAUAUAGUCAAAGACUCAUGUCCUUACAUUUUUUAUUUUUUUUGGCCAAACUCCUCGGUGGUCCCUUAAACUUGGCACCAAUUUUCACUUAGACACCUCAAUUAGGCGAUGUUAAUUUUAGGCACCUCAUGUAGGGUUCUGUUGUGUUAUUUUGACACUUUGUGUUGGCAUGUCAAAGUGAGUGUGACACACUCAACAAUAGCGCGUGAAAGACUUAAUUUCAUCAUCUUUAAUUUUAUUUUCUAUUCUUAUCAAAAUCUACCAUCACCUCCCUCCAUUUAUUGCUAGAAAAAUGGAUACCAACACCCAUAUUUCAUGUUUAUUCUCUCCUUCUUUGUUCCUCUCCCUCUUUUCUUUCAAAAAAACAAUCCUAAAAAGAAAGAAGAUGAAUAAAUAUGAAAAAUAGUAAAAGAAAAGAAUAUAUUUUUUUUUGAAAAAUCACAAAAGAGAUUUUGAGUGUAAUGAAAUAAGAGAUUUUCUUAGAAUAAUAUUUUAAAUUUAUUUACUAAAUAGAUUUUAUAAAUAUUUUAACUCAAAAUAACACAUGUAAUUAUUUAAUUGAUUGUUUGUCACGUCAUUAACGGGUGUAUUACACUCUCCUUUAAUUUUUUGUUUAUUGUCAGAAAAAGUGUAAAAAUGACACAAUAAAACCCUACAUGAGGUGUCUAAAAUGAACAUCGCCUGAUUAAGGUGUCUAAAUGAAAAUCGGUGCCAAGUUUAAGGGACCAUCGAUGAAUUUGACCUUUUUUCCCCAUAAAAUUAGUAUAUCUUCAAUUAAAUAAUUUUACUCUCUUAGUUCUCUGCUCUCAUAUUUAUCACCUAAUUAUCUCACCUCCUUUUUUAUUCAAGAAGUUCAUCAUACAAUUUCAUUUCAACAAUGAUUAAUUUACUCUCUUCUUCUCAAGAUAACAUUACCAUGACCGACAAAUUCAACUGAACCCAAACCUUAUUUUGUAUUGUUCCUUUCUAGCAAGACCAACUCGAAGUAACUGUUACAAAGAAAGCCUAUCAAGUUAAAAAUCGAUGGACACUACUAAAAAAAGGCCAAAAAGAGACCUAGAAAAGGAGAGAAAUCAAACAAUAUAAUAUCAUUGAAGUAAAGCACACAGGGGAAUAUGAAGCUUAUGAUCCUUUUAUUAUUGCAUAAAAUGUUAAGCAAGUGUUUAAUGUUCCUUAUCCCUUGCAUCCAGAUAAAGCUGAUUGGUGGGUGGUUAUUAAAACCAAACCCAUGGGCCAUGUGGAAGUUGAAAACGUGUUGGAUGUUGCAUACCAAAAUGAUGAUUCAUCAACUGUUCACCACACCGUCGAUAUUGAAUUAGAAAAUGAUUUAGAGCAUCCUGAACACAUAUUAGAAGAGGUUGAUAUGGAAGAAAUAACAAAUGAAGGGGCAAAUGCAACAAUUCAUGAGGAUGAGGAUGAGUAUGAUGAUAAGGAUGAAGAUGACAAUGAGGAUGAGGAUGAGGAUGAGGAUGAGAAUGAGGACGAGGAUGAGGACGAGGACGAGGACGGGGAGGAUUAGUAAUUACCAUUGUAUCUCUGUAUUGAGUGCUUUAUAGAGUUAUUAAUGAUACAGAGAUUAAUUUAUUAAUCUAUCCUCGUGUGCCUUUUGUUUUAAUUUCAAUAAGUUCAACUCCAUAUGUUCUCGUGUGCCUUUUGUUGGAUGUUGUUUUCCAUAUUAUUUUGUACUUGUGGUUGUGGCUUUAUUUUAUUUUAAAAAGUGAUGAACUGCUAGAUAAGCUACUGGAUGAUGUUUGUCUCUCAUAUCUUCAACACAACAUCUCUCCCACCAAAAGACACUCUGCCACAUUGCUAUUCUAGGCCGACUGUGCCUCAACAUAUUAAUCCUCCUUCGACCUAUUUGCAUCCACCACUGGAAUAUACUCAGCCGCCCCCUCAGGUACUUUUGAUAAUGACCACAUCAGGGAAUGCCUACCCCACAUGGAUACAGUGUUUUGCCUCCAGAGGAUAAUCGACCAACAUCUAGUGUCUCUCGCACUAAUACUCACAACCCUGCAGACUCACAACCAUCAUCAUCAUCUGUUUCACAACUUAUGAUGUCGAGUCUUCGCAUUCAAGGUAAUAGUUCUGAGCCUAACACUCCUACCACAAAUCAGUCAGAAACACCUGGUUAUGACAAUACACAAGUUGGCAUGAGGGACAUGCAUAAUAGACUUGUUAUUGAGCCUGAAGGCUACAUGUAAGUUUUUUUAAAAAAAAUAUGGUAUGUUUAUUAUCAUAUGAUUUAAUUGUCUUUGUUUUAACUUGUAACUAUUAAAACUUUGUAUUACAGUUUCAAUCCAAAUGAUGUUGUGGAGAUCAUUUCUCAGGCAAUCAAAGAACUCUAUAGAGAUGCUUAUCCUACAUGGGGCAAGUUCCCUAGCAAUCUCAAGAGACAAAUAUUUUUGGAGUUCAGGGUAUGUUCAAAUUUAUUUGUUUAACACUAUUAAAAUACUUGUCUUCAUUAAUACUUAUCAAAUAAAAUAAUUUAUGCUUUGAUUGUAGAAAAAAUGUGCUUGGCGUCCGGAACAUGAGGCCAAAAUUUGUGCAAACUUUCACAUGAUAGCUACGCAUAAAUAAAGCUCGUAGAGAUAAUAACAAACCUAGCUGGGUUCUACCGGAGGAUUGGGCAAAAUUACUUGUGCAUUGGAAAUAUGAUCUAAGAUUUAAGCAGAUGAGUGAGAUCGGUAAAAAGGCAAGAUCAUCUACUAAGGGUGGUUCUCUACACACAAGUGGGGCUCAAAGUCAAGGAAGUGUGAGGAGGAAAUUGGUGUGUAUCAUUUUUCUUUGUGUUUAUAUAUGUUAUGUAUUAAUAUUUAAUUACUCUUGAUUAUAACUUUAUUAUUUUAUGUAGGAAAGGGAACUAGGAAGACCGCUAACUCAAGCUGCGGCAUUUAAGGCAACACACAUUAGAAAGAAGAAAAAUCCUGAAGAUCCAGACGUGUGGGUUGAACCGCGAGCUGAAGUGACCUAUGUAUGUAAGCCUCUAAUUUUAAAAAAUAAUUACUUAUUUUAUAAAUUUAUAUUCUCAUAUGAUAACAUUCAAUUUAGAAUCGAUAUCUUCAAGCUUUGGAGGAUUUACAACAAACUCCACCGGAAGAAAAUAGAGGUAUGCCACUUACUCAAGAACAGGAUGAGAGAGUUUAGUUAGACUUGACUUGUGGGCCGAGUAGAUAUGGGUAUGCAUACGGAAUGCCGUAUAAAACCUUUCGUGAAUUUUCUUCUGAGUUUGAAGGCCUAACUAGUUCAAAUCUGAUGAAUCGAUGAAAAAAAAUUUAGCUAUAGAGAAAAAGAUUGUUGAGCUAUCUAGCCAAGCCGAAGAAUCACGGGCUAGGGAAAGGCGGUUGGAAUUACAGUUUGCGGGUCUUAAGGCUCAAUUUGAUGCAUUACUUGCUUCAGGAGGGAUUCCCCCUUGUUCUGGUGAUGUCACUUUCCCUCCUCGACCUCCUCAAUCUCAACCUACUCAAUAUCCAAUGUAUGGUCAACAAAGAAAUACGACACAUGAGUCUAGUAGUGAUGAAGAAAGUGAUGAUUAUGUGGCAAACACACUACCACAUUAGUGAAGUUUAGACUUGUGAUAGUUAACUUAUGGAUCAUUUUGUUAACUUUAUAAUUUUGUGAUGGGAAUUAUUUGUUUUGUGAAUACAUCAUAACGUUGCAAUGUAUUAUAUAACUUAUGGAUAUCAUGGUUUUUGUUUAAUAUAUAAUUAUGUUGAAGUGAGUUGCAAUUGAGUUGAUAAGAGAAUAUUUAGUAAAUGUAUUGCUUCAAUUGAAUUUUGGAAGUUCUUUGAGCUUGAUUUGGGUACUGAAUUAAAAUGAUAGGUGAUGAGAAGCCGCAGAAAUAAUAAUUAGCUGCCAGUUUUUUUCCAGAAAAAGAGACCUCAUGAGGUCUCUUUUUUGUAUUAAUUUUUCCAGAUAUUUCAUAAUAGAGACCUCAUGAGGUCUCUAUUUAACAUUUUAUAUUUUAUAAAUGCAGAAAAGAGACCUCAUGAGGUCUCUUUUCUGCAUUAUAUUUUCCGUAAAUUUCAUUGUAGAAACCUCACGAGGUCGCUAAAAAAUAAAUGCAGAAAAGAGACCUUAUGAGGUCUCUCCUUUAAAAUAAUAUAAAAUUAAAUUAAAUAGUAUCUUAGCGACCUAAUGAGGUCUCUUUAUUAAAAUAUAAAAUAAAAUAAUAUAAUAAAAUGGUGACCUUAUGAGGGCUCUAUAUAAAAAAUAUAAAAUUAAAUUAAAUAAUACAAUAGUGACAUCAUGAGGUCUCUUUUUUAAAAAAAAUUUGACAAUUUGUUGGUGACCUCGUGAGGUCUCCGUUUGGCGACCUCAUGAGGUGUCUUUAAAAAAGUGACCUGCAUUUUACUGACCUACCGUUAAGGUCUCUUUUUCGGUCUCUUUUCUAGAUCUCUUUUUGGCCUUUUUUUAAUAGUGGGAUCAACCAAUCAGUUCAUAUUCAUCGUCGAAGACUCCAUAAAUUCUUUAUCAUUGAAGUCAUGGAUUCUAUAGAUUUUCAAGUCUCUUUUUGAUAAAUUUAUGAUGACGUGUGUAUCUAUUAACUAAUCGUUUUCGCCGUACACGAUGAAAGAGAUAUAAUGGGAGGAGGAUUAAACAUGAUAUCUUUUAUGCGUAUCUAAAAUUAAUGUUAUAUAUCUCAGCCUCAAAAAUUUUGCAUAUUAGUUUAUUAGAUGUAACUUGUGUAUUUAAACAAGUUAAUGCAUCCUUUUGUUUUUAUUGUAUAUACAAGUUAGUCUUCAUAUUUUAUUAGAUAUAUAUAUAUAUGUAUUUGUAUCUAACGAAGAAUUUAUUAACAUUGUAGACAUUUGUCGUUAUAUACGUUUUUAUAUACAAAUGUAUCUAAAUGACAUAACUCAUACAUGAUCAUGUAUAAUAAAUACAAAAUGUACUUAUGAAAAUCCUUCUAAAAAAAGACCCUCCAAUACAUGCAUUACUAUUAUUGUAGAUAAGAUACACAUUAGAUAAUAUAUAUAUAUAUAUAGAUAGAUAGAUAGAUAGAUAGAUAGAUAGAUAGAUAGAGAGAUAGAGAGAAGAGUAGUGGUAGAAAAUUAAAUAUAUAACUUAUGUAAUUUCACGCUACCAAAAUAAAAGAAAAUUAAAUAUUUCUAGAAACAUCUUUAGUUAUUUUUAUUACUAUUAAUUUAUUUUGUUAUUACUUCACUUUUUUUUAUGGGUCAUUGUAAUAUCUAUCCAUUAAUCUAUUUUACUAUUACUUUAAUUUAACUUGGAAAAUUUUUUCUAUUCAUUAUGCUUAUAAUAAAUACCUACUCUAAUAUAAAAAUAAAUUAUGAAUUACUUAUUUUUACCUUUAUUUUGUUUUUAAUGAAUAUACUUGAAAAGAAAUAAGUGUGAUAAAAUUAAUAAUAUGUAUUAGAUUAAAAUAAAGAAAAAGAUGUUAAGAAGUAAUUUUACCAAUAAAAAUGAAUAGAAUGAUAUAUUUACAUUUAAGACGACCAAGAAAUGAAAUGAAAUUUCAUUCUAACAAAAAUCUAUUAAGAAAGAUAGCAAGAAAAAUAAUUAAUUCUGCAAACAUCUUUCUAUAUAUGAAGUGAAUGGUGAUCAAAUGUAAAAAUAAAAACUUACGCAAACAAAAAUCUGUCAAGAAUGAUUAGAAAAAAAAAACUAAAUUAUUCUAGAAAUAUUUUUAGUUAUUAUUAUUACCAUCAACUUAGUUUGUUAUUACUUUACUUUUUUAUGAAUUACUUUAAUUUAACUCUUAAUUUUUUUUCUAUUCAUUAUGCUUAUAAAAAAUACCUACUUGAAUAUAAAUAUACAUUAUAAAUUACUUAUUUUCACCUUUAUUUUGUUUUUAAUGAAUAUACUUGAAAAGAAAUAAGUGUGAUAAAAUUAAUAAUAUGUAUUAGAUUGAAAUAAAGACAAGUAAGAAGUAAUUUUACCAAUAAAAAUGAAUAGAAUGAUAUAUUUACAUUUAAGACGACCAAGAAAUGAAAUGAAAUUUCAUUCUAACAAAAAUUUAUCAAGAAAGGUAGCAAGAAAAAUAAUUAAUUUUAGAAACAUCUUUCUAUGUAUGAAGUGAAUGGUGAUCAAAUGUAAAAAUAUAACUUACGCAAACAAAAAUCUAUCAAGAAUGAUUAGAAAAAAAAACUAAAUAAUUCUAGAAAUAUUUUUAGUUAUUAUUAUUACCAUCAACUUAGUUUGUUAUUACUUUACUUUUUUAUGAAUUACUCUGAUAUCUACUCAUUACUCUAUUUUACUAUUAUUUUAAUUUAAUUCUUAAAAUUUUUUCUAUUUAUUAUACUUAUUAAAAAUGUCUACUUUAAUAUAAAAUUUAUUAUUUAAAAUAUAAUUAAUUACUUUUACUUUGGCUCUAAUUAAUAUAUCAGAAAAGAAAUAAGUGAGGUAAAUUAAUAAUAUAUAUUAGAUUGAAAUUAAAGAAUAAUAAAAAUAGUUUUAAUAUUGAAAAAACAAUAUCUUAAAAAUGUCAAAAUGUAACUUUACAAAUAAAAUGAAUAGGAUGGUAUAUUUGCAUUUAAAGUAAACUAAAAAUGUUUACUAGAUUUUUAAAAGGUAGUUCUUCAUUAAAAUAUAUAAUAAUUUUUUUACUUUUAGUUGAAUUCAAACAUAUUAAUCUGAAUAGUGAACUAAUGUAAGUUUGAUUUAAAUUCAAAGUUGACAGGUCAAAAUGUGAUACUUUUCUAUUAUGUAGAAAUAUGAAGUUGAGGACGAUCAAGGAUACUAUGGUCAUUUUCAUAUAUAUUUCAUUUUAAAAUUCUAUUUUUAAAUUUGUCAAAAUAUUACUUCAAGUGGCUAAAUUUCCUGCAUAAGUUGCAUGAUUAUUUUGGAAACUCUAAGUUAUAAGAUUUUUCUUAAACUAAGUCCAUGAUACAAGUAAAUAGACACUAACACAUUCUUCAUUUCAUUCACUCCACAAAUCUCUCCCCUCUCAUGUCUUAUACCAAUAAAUUUCUCGCAGUCAUCCUAAAAUAAUACACACUUCGAUAUAGAUAUCUCUAUUAUUAGGAAGAUCAAUAAUGCAACUUUUUUUUCAACAUUUAAAACUUCAUUUUUGGUUAAUUCCCUACAUAAUGACCCUACUUUUGUAAAAUAAUUAUAAGACAAAAGCAAAAUUCACUAUUUCUCAGUGUUACUUUAGAAGAAAGUUCUUUCCUUACCAUCUUAAAUUGUUCUCCUAAUUUUAAUGAAUAUAAAGUCGUAACUUUUUUUAAAAUCUUUUUAUCAUUUCGUAAAGAAUGAGAUGAUUCAUUCUAAUAUUUUGUCAAGUCACUAUUUUUGUUUGUUACCUAUAAUUUUUUUUAUAAGUUUACAAAAACUAAUCUAUAGAUGAGAUCAGUACGAAAAUUGCUAAUAUAUUACGACUCACAAAUAUAAUCUAUUUUAUUAAAUGAUUUUUAAAUAAAAAUAGAAAAAGAAUUUCAUUAAAUUAAUUAUUUAAUUCAAAUAUAUUUUUUUGACAUGAUAUUAAUCAUUGAAGAAUCUAAUUUAUUAUUAUUAUCUCUUAUUAUAUUUAUUUGAAAAUGUCAAAAUAAUUUUUCUAUUCGAAACUAUUUCAAUUAUUAUUAUAAAUAUAUAUAAUGUUGUAAUAUUGAACCUGUAAAUGAACUUUUCAUUACGAAUUGGUUGAUCAAUGAUUAGUAUUUUAUCAAAUGCAAAGCUUAUGGUGCAAAUAUUACAAAAAGAAGAUGAUAAUAUUGUAGAAAGUAGAUACCACUUGCGAAAAUAUACGAAGAUCGAUAAACGUUUUCAAAGAUAUCAACAUUUUAUGUUCCUUGAAUGUGAAAUGUUUUAACUCAUAAUCUAACACAAUUCUCUAUUUCCUUGUUGCAGAGAAUUUUUUGACAUUCAACUUUCUCGAUUUGGGUUGUAAACGAUGCAUUUAUAUCGUAUGAACAUUUGAAAAAGAUUAUUAAGUAAUACAUUGAAGUUGGUUACCGUAAAAAAAAAGGUAUAAAGUGUAUAAAUAUCAUAUAUUUAGAGACUAAUUACAUCCUAUCGUAGAAGUUUUCUCAAUUACAAAAAUUUCAAUUUUUUGUUGCUCUCGAAUACAUUCCUUGGUUCUCUGGUACAUUACUAAUGAUAUAUAUUACUUCAUGGGAGGGAUAUAUCCAAGAGAGGAUAAAAAUAUAUCCGAGAGGGGUUUAUGAUAUCUUAAGUUGUGAAUUUAUGUAAUUUUUCCAAUAAAAUAUAUAAAAUUAUAUUGGGCCCGUAUCACGGGCCUUAAAUUAUCUAUCUAGCAUGCAUAUAUAUAUAUAUAUAUAUAUAUAUAUAUAUAUAUAUAUAUAUAUAUAUAUAUAUAAUAGCAAACUAAUAACCUAAAAUAAAUGAAGUAGCUAGGGUUUGAUUUAAUUGUUCUCUAUAGCAAACGUUUGCAAAAAAUUGUCAGGCGCCUCUCUCCCAAAUAUCUCGCUCGCCACUCUCCUCCAAUCUCUCGCUCGCUUCCUCACUUUUUAUACAAACACAAGUGUAUAAAAAUUGUUUCUAAUUGUAUAAAGCAGAGAAAAUUGUAUAAAUACAUAUAUUUUUGCCCCUCUCUCCCCUCUUCCAGAUCUUGCUCGCCAUACUCCAAAAUCUCGCUCGCCACCCUCGCCUUUCUCACUUAUACAAACAGAAGUGAAAUGUAUAAAUUGCAUUAUAAAGUAUGAGAAAAUUGUAUAUACACAUGCAAGUACAUAUAUUUUCGUCCUAUACACUUAUAAUUAUACAAUAAAAAUACUCUUCUGCCCAGCUUCUUUUGCCUUUCUCUCUUUCUCGUUUCAUACAAUUUUCAAAUUGUAUCUAAUUUCACUCUUUCUCGUUUUAUAUAAUUCGAUUCAAUUGUAUAUUCCUUGUCAAGUCUCUUUUGUCUUUCUUUCUUUCUCAUUUUAUACAAAUUCAAAUUGUAUAUAAUCGUUCUAUACACUUAUAAUAGUACAAUUCGUUUUAUACACUUUGUUUUUAUACAGUUCUCUGCCCAAGUGUCUUUCUCUUUCUUAUUUUAUACACUUCGUUUUAUACAAUUUGCUUCAACUGUAUAUGUAUAACGAAUUAUACAGUUUCUAUGUUUGCUAUGGAACACAAUUAUGCAAACUUUGCUAUAUCAUACAAAUAUAAAUUUUUAUUUGCUAUAUGUGAAAGUUUAUAUAUAUAUAUAUAUAUAUAUAUAUAUAUAUAUAUAUAAAGAUAGACAUAUAGAUACGUGUAAUUAAGGAAAGAAAUAAAAACGAUCUACUACCAAGAAGGUGAAAUUUACAAUUAUUCUAAUUUGCUGAAAUUGAUAUUUUUUGUAAUAUUUGAUAUAGUCAACAUGGUGGAUAUUAAAAAUCUGUUAGAGUAGUCAAUUACUUCUACAACUAAUUAAGAAAUCACUUACGACUAUUUAAUUCAAAUUAACAAAAUAUUUAUUUGGCUUUUUAAAUUUGUCGGAAAUACAUGUAUCUAAAGAACGAAAUAUGAUACAUGCUGUAAUAUUGGAGACUAUUGUGAAUUUUAAUAAUUAGGACCUAAACUAGUGAAAUUUAUAUAGUUUGCAAUUUAAAUUUUAAAAAAUCCAAUCAUACUAAACUUGAAAAAGCUCGUACUUAACCAAUUCAAUUCGAUAUUCCAUACACACUUUUAAAUAAUUAUAUAAUUGGAUUGAAAUUUAAAAGAAUAAAUCGAAGAAUUGAUCGUCCACCAAUUGCAUAUCCCUAUUGUAAAAAAUAUUCCAUAACCAUGACUCAAUCAUCCAUAGAUGCAACAGGAGAGAAAUCAGAGAAUAUAGAGAUUUGGAGAAAACAACUGAUGAGUUCUGUUAUGAAUGUAGCACAUAUUUAUACAAUGUAAAAACUCUAACUAACUAAUGAUUUGACGUGUAAAAGAAAAGUAACAGAAUCGAGAUGACUAACUAACUGUUCUAACUACUUAAUUGAUUACAUUGCAGUAACUAUUCUAACUAAUUAAAUGAUUAUACUAACUACAAUUUUCAAUACCCCUCUCAAAUUGGAGAUGUAGAGAACAUGAAUAACUUGUUCAAUGCGGUAGAGUAUGUCAAUGUCUUAGUCUAAAUGUCUGCUAGUUGAUUAUCAGAACUUAUGUGAUGUAGCGAGAUAGGCCGGUCUGAAGUAAGCUCCUCUCAAAAUGGCAGUCGACUUCAAUAUUCUUGGUACGUUCAUGAAACACUGGGUUUCAAGCUAUAUGUAGAGCAGACUCACUAUUACAAUACACUUCAAUAGGUGCAUGUAAUGUCAAUGUGAGUUCUGCUAAUAAUCUGUUCAGCCAUACCAACUCUCCUGCAACUUUCCUUAGAGCCCUAUACUCUCUUCUGUUGAAGAUAGAGAUAUAGUCUCUUGCUUCUUGUAUUUCCAGCUGAUUGGGUUGUUUCCUAGCAACACAAUAUAACUACUUACUGAAAUCCUAGUGUCAGGGCAUGCAACUCAGUCAGAGUCACAAUAAGCUUUGACAUUGUAUGAUUGUUCCUUGGAAAGGAAAUUCCUAGAGUAGGGUGUGCCUUAAGAUACCUUAGUAUAUGAAAAGCUGCUUGUAAAUGUGGCUUCUAGGAUCUUGCAUAAAUUGGCUGAGAUGUUGCAUACAGUAUGUUAUAUCCAUACUAGUAUUAGUUAAGAAAUUCAACUUCCCAAUAAGUUGUUUAUUAAAGAGUAGUUCUAUCAGAGGUGUUCCUUCUUUGGCAUGGAUUUUUACUGCAUCAUCAAGUGGAGAGGUGCAUUUUCUCAUGCUUGCAACCUUGUAACUUUUUAACAUGUCAAGUACAAAGAGAGAUAAUCAGUCCUACCAUCUUUGUAGAGAACUUCCAUUCAUAGGAAAUAGUGUAACCUUCGCAAGUCUUUGAUCUUGAACUUGUCAUGGAGAAAAGGUUUAAGUUCCUCAAUUUCAUAAACACUUGUGCCUGGUAGAAUCACAUCAUCUACAUAUACAACAACAAAUAUGCUAGAGGUUUCAGACUUUUUAUGAAAAAGAGAAUAUUCAUUUAAUGAGUGAGUGUACCCCUUUGAAUAUAAGGCUUUAGCUAAAUUGUCAUACCACUGCCUUCUGGCUUGUUUCAGACCAUAUAAAGACUUGUUCAGUUUGCAUACUAGUCCUGGUUUGUAUACUACUAAACCUGGGGGAACCUCUAUAUAGACCUCUUCAUAUAAAUAUCCAUAGAGAAAUGCAUUAUUGACAUCAAGUUGAAAUAUAUCCAGCCCUUCUUGACAAUUGUGACUAAUAGAGCUCUCACAGUUGUCAUCUUAAUCACUGGUGAAAAAGUUUCUGUAUAAUCAACCCCAGCUUGUUGUGUGUAACCUUUCACUACAAGUCUUGUUUUAUAUCUUUCAAUAGUCCUAUCAGCCCUAUGUUUUACCUUAUAAAUCCACCUACAUCCUAUGACCUUCUUGCUACUAGGUAAAGGAACAAGAUCCCAAGUGUGAUUUGUAUGCAAUGCUUUAAAAUCCUAUGUCAUUGCUUGUUGUCAUUCAGGGUUUGUACCAGCCUCCCCAUAUGAAGAAGUUUCAUCAUCACUACUGAUAUUUCUCAUAAGAGUUUGACUUCAAUUACUAAGACCUCAGGUGAUACAUGUUGGUGUUUGGAGAAGGCUGUAUUUAGGAAAUUUGAGUUCUGUAAAUGUUUAGUAAAAUUCUUGGGUAAGACAUAAUCAUGAAGCUGUGUGGGUAACUUAUGUUGCCUAGAUGGUCUGCUCGGGGCUUCAGAUUUAGGUGUAUUUGCAAUAUUGGGGGGUUGAAUGGGCUGAAUAGUGACAGGUAACUCAGUUAAAUGAUUAAGUGAAGUGUAAGGUAAAUUAGUUACAUGAUCAAGUGAAGUGUAAGGUAAAUUAGUUACAUGAUCAAGUAAAGUGUGAGGUACAAUGUCAUUUGCAUCCAUUACAUCAUUGUCAACAUGUUGUCCAGUUUAUGAUUCAAUGUUAGCAUGCACAGGAUUAAUCAAAGGAACAAAAUGUAAGACAGAGGGAAAAGAAGAAAUAUCAAGAAGAAUCGCAAAAGGAAAAAUGUUUUCUUUGAAAAUCAGAAAUAUCAAGAAGAAUCGCAAAAGGAAAAAUGUUUUCUUUGAAAAUCACAUCCUUGGAAAUAUCUAUCUUUUUGAUGGCUAGACUGAGAAGCUUGUAGCCUUUUGAUCCAAAGGGGUAAUCUAUGAAAUAUGAGGUGUGGUCUUGGCUUGAAGCUUAUCGCUAUGAGACUUUGGUACAGUAGAUAAUAUAGGCAACCAAAAGUUUUCAUGUGGGAAUAGAUUGGUUUGGUUUGUAUAGCAAUUCAUAUGGACAUUUCCCUUUCACACGAGAGUUAGGAAGUCUAUUAAUAAUGUAUGUGGCACACAAUACAGAUUCACCCCAAUAUUUAAGAGGUAGUUUGGACUGAAAAAGAAGAGCCCUCACAGUUUCUAACAAAUAUUUGGGUUUCCUUUCCACCACCCCAUUCUGUUGUGGUUUGUUGAGACAUGUAUUCUCAUGGAUAAUUUCCUUUGUUAUGAAGAAAGUUGAAGUUUAUGUAUUGACAAACUCAAGUUCAUUAUCAGUUCUUAUGGUCUGAACACAAGUGUUGAAUUGAGUCUCAAUCAUGGAUUGAAAAGUUUUGGUAACUCCAGGUGUUACUUUUACAUGUUAAUAAUUGAGUCCAUGUACAUAUACUAUAAUCAUCAACAAUAGUAAUAAAGUACCUACAAUUAUCAUGAGUCACCUUGUGGUAGGGCCCCAGAGGUUUAUGUACACCAGUUAAAACAUUUUGGUAGAGGUGUGGUGUUGUGAGGAAAGGGCGGUCUUUCUUGCCUUACCAUGGGGCAAAUGUUACAAAAGGAAAGGUUAUUUCGUACAGAACUUUUCAAGUAUAGACUUAAUUUUCCUUAUCUUCACAAAAGGAACAUGUCGAAGUCUAUUAUGUUAAAACACAUUCACAUCAUCACAAGUAUGAGAUUAAAAGGAAGCAGAAAAAUAAGGACUUUUAUUGAGUAGAACAUAAUGUUGAGUACAUUUAUUAUGUGUACAUAAAGAAAUAGGAAAAGAAACAAAUUUGAAGUUGAAAAACAUCUUGACUAGAUAUGCAACCAGGAGUGAAAGCUUAAGUGGUACAUACAAGAACAGAAUAAGUAGACUUCAUCAGACAUUUUGAACACAGAAAAUACAGUCCAUCUUUUGCCUCACCAAUCACCAGAGGCCUCUUCAUUGAAGGGGCCAAUAAAAUGCAUAAGUAAUUCAAAAAAAAAAUACACAAUGCUUUUAGGCAUAGAUUUUGAGAGACAAUUAAUGAAAACAAGAUUGUACUUAAAGGAAGGCACAUACAAGACUUUAUGCAGAACAAUAUUUGAUGCAAGUAUUUCACUACCUAUUUUCACUACCUUUCACCUUGUAACCAUUUGGUAAGGUAAUCAAUAAGGGACAGGGAAGGUAAGCAAUAUUUGUUAAGAGUGUUAUGUUAAAGGUUAUGUGGUUAGAGGCUAUUGAGUCAAGUAUCCAAGAGUCAAUCUUAUUGUUAGAACAUUUGCAUGAUAACUUGCCAAAAUCAAUUGAGGAAGUACAUGCUAUCAUAUCUGCAAAAGCAGAGUUCACAUUACCACCAGAAAAAUCCAUAUGUUGAGUAUUGUCUUUCUUAGCUUGAAAGUGUUGUAACUUCUCCGCAAACUAAGUAUAUUGUUCUCUUGUCAACUGAGGACCUAUUUCAUUACGAUUUCCCUGUGCUUUUGUUCUCCUGAACAACCUUCACCAUGGACAUCAUCCAUAAGACAUUUGACUUUGUUAAACCUGGAGGAUUCUGAUUGUUCGUCUGUGGAUAGCCAUGCAACUUGUAAUAUUUAUCUCUAGUGUGCUCUAGUUUCUUGUAAUAAUCACAUAUAAUUAGAAGCAUGUUACCAAUAUAGGAAUUGGUUUGGGAGUAAUUACUUUUGAAAUUCAAAUUAUCUGUAGAAGAGUAAUUUGAUUUCAUGGGCCUAGAAGUAUUUGCUCUAUCAUUUGCAUUGAAAGCAACAGAUUCCAUGACUUUCUUCUCUCUUCUAGCAUUUAGAGACACAGACUCCAUGAACAUUUGAGUGUUGGGCUUAGUUUCUCUCUAUUGUUCGUCCUGUACUAACAAGGAAAAAGUUUGUGCUAGAGAAGGCAAUGGAUUCAUCAUGAGAAUAUUCCCUCGAAUUACAGUAUAAACCUCAUUCAAUCCCAUAAAGAAUUGUAUCAAUUUCCUAUCCUGAUCUACCUUGAACAUAUUAUCCUUAUCUCCACAAGUACAGAGUUACAGUUGCACUGAGUUUUGACAUGCAAUGUGUUCAAUUCUUCCCACAACCUUUUCAUCCUAGUGUACUAGGUAGUAAUGUCUAAAGUUCCUUGUGACAACUCAUUAAUUUCACGUUGAACCUGAUACAACUUUGCAUAAUUGGUUUGAUCAUAUCGAUCCUCCAACUCUUUCCACAAUUCGAACGAAUCAGAGACAUAUUCCACACUCUCUGUAAUUUUCUUUGACAGAGAAUUGAGGAUCCAGGAAGUAACCAUGUCAUCACAUCUUCCCCAUUGACGAAAUCGUAGCGUUCUUGGAUCGAGCCAUUUACAAUCACCAUUGAUAAAGCCUAACUUAUUCUUAAUCGAUAAAUCUCUAUGGACACUUACUUCCCAUGAUCUAUAACUCACUCCAUCAAAAUGAGCUUGAAUCAGCGAGGCACCUGGGUUAUUUGAAGGAUGCAUAUACAAAGGAGAACUAAGUUCUUCACUACCAACACCAUUGUUGUUUACAAUAAUAUCAUUUGAAGUAGAGCCACUUUCAAUUGCCAUAGCAAUUCAAUUCAAGGAAACUCACAAAAAAAAAAGAUGAAUCGAUCUAAGUGAAGAAAUGCAGCGGAAAAAAAUAAAUCCAAAAAACUAGAUCUAGCAAUCAAUCGAAACACAACACAAGAGCAGAAUAAGGAUGAAGACAGUGUAUAGAAAUUCAUACGAAUCGAAAUACCUCCAGCUUUGUUACCAUGUAAAGAAUACUCCAUAAGCAUGACUCAAUCAUGCAUAGAAGAAACUGGAGAGAAAUCAGAGAAGAUAGAGAUUUGGGGAAAACAACUGAAAUAGUUCCAUUAUGAAUGUAGCACAUAUUUAUACAAUGUAAAAACUCUAACUAACUAAUGAUUUGACGUGUAACAGAAAAUUAAUAGAAUCGAGAUGACUGACUAACUUUUCUAACAACUUAAUUGAUUACACUGCAAUAACUAUUUUAACUAAUUAAAUGAUUAUAUAUACUAACUAUAAUUAUCAAUACUUAUUAUUAUCAUAUAUUACUAAAAGCAUGAACAAAAAAGUUGAAAGUUGAAUUACGAUUUUACCCUUUCUAUAAAUUCAAUUAUUAUAAAUAUUUAAAUAUUUGAUUGUAUAAAUUUAAUUAAAUGUUAAUGACUUUUAGACUUCCUAAGAUUAAUUCCUAAUUAAAUAUCUAAUUUAUUAAUAUUUAUCAUCUAUAAUCUAUAUAUAUAUAAUAGUUAUAAAAUUUUUUUAAAUCUUUUCCUAAAUUUCUUUUCUUUUCCUCUUCUUAUAACUUUUUCCUUAACCCCCCUCUCAUGAAUAACAAAAUUGAUGUGAAUAAAGCAUUAUCGUUUAUGAUAAAUAACGAAAUUUAAUAAUUUAAAGGGUGCAAAUCUACAAAAUGGAGACGCACAUUGAUAAUGUCCUCUUGAUUAUUAUUAAAGAAUGACUCUAGCUUCACAAAUUUAAAUUCAUUAAUGCUUAAUUACAUGAUAAGAACUUUAGUUGUUCUUUUUACAUGGUUUGCUAACUUUAAUUUUUUUCCCAUAUUCUUCAUUUAUUUAUCAUUAUUUUCUAAUUACUUAUUUAACUUUUAUACUCUUAAUAUUUAUAACUCUCAUCUAUUCAUAUUCAUAACCUCCAAACAUUUAAAUUAAAACUUUAAGAUAUCUUUUGAUAUUCCUUCUAUUCUAUUUAUAUCAAUUCAACUUCUUUAUCUCAUGAAACCCCUAUCAAGAUUAUUAGGCUAUUAUUUUUAUUCUAUAGUAAAAACUGAUGAUGAAGACUCUUGAAUUUUGAUAGGAUAUGAAAGGAGUCGAUAAAAACUAAGAGAAUUAUGUACUAAUUUUGUACUUAUAUUUUCAUCUAUAUAUACAUCAAUCUUAUAAGGGCCCGUUUGGAUGGGUUAAUAAAAGCAGCUUUAAAAAAGUACUUUUGAAAGUGCUGAAACUUAUUUUUAAAAUAAGCAGUAAUGCGUUUGGAUAAAAGUGCUGAAGGUUCUAUGCCAAACGUGAAAAGGGAAAAAUGGAAGAAAGAGAUGUUAGGGUUAUGUGAGUUAUUUGGAGAUUGUAUAAAAAUAUUAAGGGCAAAAAGAUAAAAAUGUGGUCAACUUAAAACAGCUUAUAAGCUAAAAAAAAAGCACCCCCUACCACAACUUUUAACUUUUGGCUUAAAAUAAGUUUUUUUAAACUUAAAACAAGUUAUUUUGAGUAUUGUCAAACAGCUAAAUAAGUCAAAAACUAACUUUUAAGUCAGUUUGACCAGCUUUUAAGCUGAGCCAAACAGACUCUAAGAAUAAUGUCUAUAUUGUAUUUUUUCUUAAAUAUUCAGUUUCUUUUUGUCGUUUUUUUCACUCUUUUAGACUUCUUAAUUUAGUUUUCUAUGAAUGUUUUAUUGCCGUAAGUCUUUGAAUUUUGUAAAUGAUACAUUUUAUUAUUCAUUACAAUUUACAUAUAUAUUUUCAUGAGAUUUUAGUCAUUCUAAUGUAUCUAUAAAAAUUCAUAUGAAACACACGUGCGAAGCACGUCCUCAAAAACUAGUUAAAUUUAAAAGAAUGAGUGAUGUCACCUCUUAGCUCAUACAACCAAUAAGAGAUCAAUUAUUUUUAAUUUUAGCAUCUUAUAUAUAAUAUAUAUGUCAACUGUCAAGAUUAAAAAGUCUUAAAGACUUUUUCAAAUGAUCUGAAUGCUCUGUUAUUCCGCGUUUCUCCUACAAAUCUCCGCGUCCAUUGCCGCUAACAAAGAAACCAGAUUUUUGAAAUAUUUUUUUUUUGAUUUUUGAAAUAUAAAAAAGAAAGGAUAAGGCGUAGAAAUACAUUUAAAUAAUAAUGCUAAAAUUAUUUAUCAUAAAUUUGACUUAUUCAGGGUUUUAUCACUUUUUAAAUAUAUUAAUUGAAAGAUCAUCAUGAAUGGCAUGUUUGAUGAAAAGUGAAUAUUACAAAUAUAAAUGUAAUGUAAUAAACUUAUUCAAAUAAGUAAAAGUAAUCUAUUAAAUCUAACUAAAAAUAAAUAGCAUGCAAUAUGAUAUAACAAGUCAACACAACUAAAGUAUAGAAAGAAAUUUAAAAAAUCAAACAAAAAUUAUUUUUUAUAAAAAAAAUUAUUCCAACUUAACAUAAAAUAAGUUCCAAUAUAACUUAAGUAAAUAAAAUUAAGAAAUUAAGGGAGUCUAUAAUCUCAUUCAAUAAUGAAGUUGUACUUUAAUUCAAAAACUAGAAUAAUAACACAAUUAAGCUAGAAUAAUAACAAAAUCAUGCUAUGUGAAGAAAACAAAGGAAUAAGAAAUUAUAUUGAAUUAUAAGAAGUAAGGACGGGGAAUAAAAAUAAAUAAUGCAAAAUGAAAAUAUAUUUUUUUAAAAAACUCAAAACUCAAAAAUUAAAAAAUAUAUUAAAAUAAAAAGAAAGAACUAUUCUCAUCACCCUAGUCCGCCCCUUCUCCUUGAGAAUACUGUAUAAUUAUCCUCUCCUAAUUAUAUUCAAUUCUCUACUAAAUUAAAGUAUUUAUUUGGUCAAACAAACUCUAUGUAUAUCUUAUCUAUGUCUCAUUGAUGAUUUGAUACAUGUAGAGCCGUUAAAAUGGGCAUAGGCCAUGGGUCAAACUAGUAGAUUUAUAUAAGUUUUCCAUUUGUUAUUGAAGUAGGCUUGAAAUAGGACUUUCAGUCAAUUUAAAACUAGGGCUCAUAAGCCUAGCCAUAUAAGUCUUUGUCCCUUGAGACUUAAUCUUAACAGGAUUAGGAUCUGUCCAUGGGCCAAAACUUUUUACUUAAGAAUAACUUACAAUAAUGUCACCAGUAUAUAAUCUAAUUACUUAAAUAUACACUAUUUUUUAAUAUUAUGAAUCUAAUUAGAUUUUGGUACGUCCAAAUGCAUGUAUCUCAAAAUAUAUAGACUCAAAAUUAGGUUAAUUUGUUCUAAAUACACUGUAUCCAAGUAGAUUCGCAUGUAUCUAGGAUACAUAGACUCCUACCCUUGCCUCCCUCCCAUCUUGCUUGUCACUCUCUUAUUGCGCUCGCCUAUUUGGUAUGCGAGUUACAUACGGAUUACAUUAGAUUUUUGUGCUAGUGUUAUUGAAACAACGCCAUUGGUUGUUGUACAUAACUUGAAAAUCUUCUCAUUUUUUCUUGAUGUCAUAUUAAUUAAAAGUUUGAAGAAAAAAAGGGCUAGCCCGCCCCAAUCUUGUCCCUUCUAGGAUUGGGCUGGGUUUAGCAUUUUCAAGUUCUUCCAAAUGAAGGGCCGGCCCACCCCAGCCUUUCAAAUUCCUUGGCCCGCGAGGCUUGGGCCGCGUGGGCUGGACCGAUCCUUUUUCACAGCUCUACAUAUAUGUAUUUAGAUAUUUAUAUUUCAGUUUUAAAACAAAUUUAUAUAUAUUCUGUAUGAGAGUAUAUAGUAUAUAAACAGAGCAUAGCCUACAAUCAUAAAGUACAUGUAAGUUUUUAUUUGUAUACCUAUGUAUUUCUAUCUAUGUAUCUAUCUGCGUUUGAUUAAUGAUUGAUACAUAUAUUUUUGGUCACAAAUUUAAUGAGAAAUUUUUUUAUAAUAUUAUUCAAGGCAGUUUAUUGGUGACACAUUGAUUUUAGUAUGAUGUUCUUACUUCAAACAAAUGAGUAACUCGAACAGGUUUUCAUGCAACAUUCUAACCGUUGUUGCGUGGACUUCUUGCAAGCUCCUUUAUAUUUAUUUUUUUAAAAAUAAAUAAAUUAGAGAAGUUUAAUUAACACGUAACCGAAUCACAUACGUAUGUUGUUUUAAAAUAAUUUGUUGAUAUAGAACAGUACAUAUAGACGUGCAGUACAACUAUUUGACAAACAAGUAAUUAAUUCUUUCAUUUGAUUGAUUUUGAUUGGCAUUUUAUCAUUUUAAUAUUGGUUCCCUAGAUUUAGAUAUGAUUAAAUUUUGUAAGAAAGAUUUUUUAAAACAUUCGUCAAUAAAUUCUUUGUACUUGUAAUAAUAAUUAACGAUAUAGCAUUUGACUUUGCUAUAAUUUGUGAAUCAUUCCUUCUCAAUCAUGCUCAUCACCACUUGUCACCUUACUAUAUAAACUAGUCAUCUUCAUAGUAAUAAUCAUCCAAAACUCAAUCACAAUGGCGAUAAAGCUUAGUUUCUUUGUGCUACUUAUUUCCUUUUCAUCAUUCUUUUUUCCUAUUUUAUCGAUUAACAUUUUCGAUAGUGGCAUAAAUGCUUGGUGCAACAAAACCCCUUAUCCUGAUCAAUGCAAGUAUUUCAUGAACCAUGGUUCGUACCAUUUUGCACCCAAGAACAAGAUUGAUUUCAAGAAAAUGGCUGUGAAAAUCGCGUUGGAGAGAGCACUUCAAGCUGAGACUUACACCAAAGGACUAGGUGUGAAGUGUAGGAAUGAACUCGAAAGGGCAGCUUGGUCCGAUUGUGUGAAGCUCUAUGAGAGUACAAUUCUCCAGCUCAAUAAAACACUCGAUUCCAAUACUAAAUGUACUGAUUUUGAUAUACAAACAUGGCUAAGUACAGCCAUGACAAAUCUUGAAACAUGUCAAACUGGAUUCAUUGAGCUAGGCGUUAAUUCAGACUACAUUUUGCCUAGUCUUAUGUCCAAUAACGUGUCUGAAUUAAUUUGUAACACUUUGGCACUCAACAAUGUUGACUUUGUAUCCAAUAGGAAGCAAACGUAUAAAGACGGUUUCCCUUCUUGGGUAUCUCCAGGCGAUAGAAAAUUGUUACAAUUGUCCUCCAUAAGUCCAAAUCUUGUGGUGGCUCAAGAUGGUACAGGGAAUUUUCUCACUAUUAAAGCAGCUUUAGACGCUGCCGCCAAAAGAAGUGGAAAUGAAAGGUUUGUUAUACGUGUGAAACGAGGAGUUUAUAGAGAAAAUUUGGAGAUUGGAAACAAAAUGAAGAAUAUUAUGUUGGUUGGCGAUGGAAUGAAGUACACAAUUAUCACAGGCAGCCGUAGCGUUGGAGGAGGCUCUACCACGUUUAACUCUGGCACCGUUGGUAAGCUAUUUUCAGUAUAAGAAAACUGUGAACUACAUGGGGAUUUUCUAGGGAAUUAGAAUGAAAAUUUACAGAAAAAUUUCUUACUGAAUCCCUCAUAUAAUUCACAUUUUUCUUAUAGUGAUUGUAUAUUAGUAUACUAUUGUAUAUUGCAAAUAUGUAUAGUUUAACAUUUUACCCUGUUAUAAAAUUGCAGUGGUUACUGGAGAAGGAUUUAUUGCUCAAGGCAUUACAUUCCGCAAUACAGCUGGUCCAGAAAAUCAUCAAGCAGUUGCACUACGUUCUGGAUCUGAUCUAUCCGUUUUCUAUCGUUGUGGAUUUGAAGGGUAUCAGGACACUCUCUAUGUCCAUUCACAACGACAGUUUUAUAAAGAAUGUUAUAUUUAUGGUACAGUAGACUUUAUUUUUGGUAAUGCUGCAGUGGUUUUGCAAAAUUGCAUGAUUUUUGCUAGGAGACCUAUGGAUAAACAAAAGAUUACCAUAACAGCACAAGGCCGGACUGAUCCUAACCAGAACACUGGAAUUUCAAUACAUAACUCGCGAGUUAUGGCUGCAUCUGACCUUAGGCCUGUGGUAGGUACAUUCAAGACAUAUUUAGGACGACCAUGGAAACAAUAUUCGCGUACUGUUAUUAUGAAAACCUAUCUUGAUUCAUUGGUGGAUCCUGCUGGUUGGCUAGAGUGGGAUGGUGAUUUUGCUUUAAAUACGUUGUAUUACGGCGAAUACAGGAAUAAUGGUCCUGGAGCAUCGACUAGUAGUAGAGUUAAGUGGCCUGGGUAUCGAGUGAUCACAAAUUCAAAUGAAGCAGCAAGGUUCAGCGUGGAAAAUUUAAUUGCUGGUGGAUCAUGGUUGCCAGCAACUAAUGUGCCAUUUCGUGCAGGUCUCUAAUGUAACAUGAUGGUUUUAUAAUAUUGUUGUACGCCUCAUUCUUUCUUUUUUUCAUUCUUGGCUAAAUCAAAUGUUGUUUUGUUUUCCAAUUUUUGAACCAAUAAGUGUGUUCUUGCAAAAUAUAUUAAAGAACAUUUGUGGGCUGUGGCAAUACCAUUUUCAUUCUAGUCAUCUGGAUUUUCUUUUGGAAAGAAGGCAAAUAUAUGAUGUUCUUGUUGUUUAACAAAUAGAUAGCAUAUUUGCUUGUUUAAUUGACAGACUCCCAUUUACUAAAUUACGGAAUCAUUUAUCUUAUUUUUCAAUUACUAAAUUGUCAUGUGGCCUUUAAAAUACGGAAAAUUAUAUAUAAUAGCAAACUAUUAAUUCAUAUUAAAUGUUAUAAUCAUAGUUUGAUUUAAUUGUACCACAUAGCAAACUGUUGCUAUUUUCCCUCUCUCCUGGUGAAUCUCACUCGUCACUCUUCGUUCUCUCUCUCGCCUCUCUCACUUUUUAUACAAAAAUGCAAUUGUAUAAAAUGUGUUUGUGUUUGUAUAAAACGAGAUAAAAUUGUAUAUAUACAUAUAUUUUCUUUCUUCUCUCUCGGAUCUCGCUUGCCACUCUCCCAGAGCUCAUCCUCUCUCACUUUUUACAAAAAUGCAAUUGUAUAAAAUGUGUUUGUGUUUGUAUAUAGCAAGAGAAAAUUGUAUAUAUAGAUAUAUUUUCGUUCCCCUCUCCCAGAUCUCGCUCGCUCGCCUCUCUCACUUUUAUACAAACAUAAAUGUAUACAUUGUGUUUCUAUUUUUAUAAAGCCAGAGAAAAUUGUAUAUACAAAAAGAAAUGCAUAUAUUUUCGUUCUAUACACUUAUGAUUAUACAAAUACGAUCUUCCCCUGCUCACUUUUCUUUUGUCUUUCUCUCAUUCUCGCUUAUACAAACACAUAUUAUACAAUUCAUGAUCUUUUACAUAUGUAUACAAAGCAGAUUAUACAACUGCUUUCUUCUAUAUAUACAUAGUGAAUUAUAUAUACAACUACUUUCUUUUAUACAUGUAUAGCGAAAUAUACAUAUUUAUGUUUGCUAUGAAACACAAUUAAGCAAAUUAUAGCUAUAGCAUACAAAUAUGAUUUUUAUGUUUGCUAUAUGUGAAAGUUUCUCCGUAAAAUAUAAGUCUACCCAUUAUGGUUUUGGGCUUCUUACAUAGCUACAUAUAAUCAAUAGAAAUGAUGGUAGGGUCAUAUAUAAUGUAUUGGUAUUGUAUAAAUAGUAUAUAAUUGUGUAUAUAUAAUGUAUAACUAUAUAUUUUAGAUGUAUAUAUAUUCAUAUAUGUUAUUUAUACAAUAUUCAUAAAUUGCAUACUGAUUUCUUUUCAUACCUGGCCAAUUCAAAAUCUCCUCUAAACAGCUCAAAUUUUAGAUAGAAAUUUAUCCUCUCAAUGUUUCGAGUCUUUUGAUAUAUGAAACUAUAUAUUUUAUAUCUGUAUUUAAUAGCAAAUAAGGAAAAAGUCUUCUAAUCUCUCCGUCUUAAAUUUCGUUUGCCUCUCUCCUCUAUCCCUCUCCGCACCCUCUCUCUCACUCUCUGAAUUUUUGUUGCUGUUUUUGUACUCUUAUUUUGGCCCAAACUAUGUUCAUGGAGGAUUGCAUUAGAGACUUUGAGCAUCCGAAUUUUCCAAUACAAAUGCUUAAAGGUGAAAAUAUUUUACCCUUCCUAAUGUUGCUGAGAUAGCAACUGCCAAUUAAGUAUGUUAUUUUAUGGCUAAAGAAUAAUAGUCAUCAGCAAGGCAUUAUUAUAAUUUAUAGAAAUGAAUUAUUUGCUCGUGGUUGAUAUGAUGAAUAAUAUAACUUUGUUGAAUUUGCCUCCAAGAAGUCAAUACAAUGACGUAUCAAUCACAUCUUACUAAAUUAGCUACAAUGAGGAAUGAACCUGUUUUAUAUAGGAGUCCGGAGCCUAAAGGGUAAAAGAUGUUAACAAAAAUUUUAAAAUGGUAUAUGAAAUUUUUUUUUAAUCAAAAGGGCAAAAUCGCUCAUGAAGUAGCGAUUUUGUCCACUGAAAAAAGCAAAAUCGCUGCUAUAGCAGCAAUUUGUUAAAUUUGCUUUUUAGAAAAAAAAAUUAUAACAAAAUCGCUCCCGAGGGAGCGAUUUUGUUUUCAAAGUAAAAAUCUUUUUUUUAAUAUUUCUUUUAUAUGUCGCUGCUUAGGCAGCGACUUGUGUAUAAUUUUUUUAAUUAAUAUUUUUUUGCUUUUUUUUUAUAAAAAAAGUUUAAAUCAAUUUUUUAUUUAUUUUUUAAAUCAAAUAGUUGCCAAGGCAAUGAUUUUUAAUUAAUUUUUUUUAAAAAAAAUAAAUAAAUAGCAAUUUAAUUUUAAAAAAAUAUUUUUUUCAUUUAAACUUUUUUUAAAUAAAAGAAGCAAAAAAAAAAUUAAGGUAAUGUCGCUGCAUAAGCAGCGACUUACUUAAAAAGGUUAUAAAAAAAUUGAAAAUUGAAAAUCGCUCCCGAGGGAGCGAUUUUAUUAUAAUUUUUUUUAAAAAAAAAAGCAAAUUUAACAAAUCGCUGCUAUAGCAGCGAUUUUGCUUUUUUCAGUGGCAAAAUCGCUACUUCGCGAGCGAUUUUGCCUUUUUGGUUAAAAAAAAAUUUCAUAUACCGUUUUAGAAUUUUUGUUAAUAUUUUUUACCCUUUAGGCUUCAGACUCUUUUAUAUAGCUGGUUACAUCAAUUGCCCAGUGGGAUUAGAGGAGCUUAUUUUCUUGAUAAGAUGCGAUUACCUAGCAUAACGAUAAGAUACGAUGCUUCUACAUGACUUAUAUACAUUGCCAGGAUCGCGAUUUUAGCUUAAAUUAUUAUCUUUUAAAAAAAUAAAAGUCAUAGUACGUUAAAUAGAGGAAGUCUUCUACUUUAUUUUUGUGCCUAUAUAAAAACUUGUAGGGGUAAUUAAUAAAUUUAAUAUGAAAAAGUUUUCUCAUUCUUAUUUUUCAUGUUAUUGAUUGCAUCCUUCUACAAAAAUUGAAUUCAUAUUAUUACAGUAAUAAUUGUGAGCAUAACUUUGAAUAGGGACUAGUAAACCAAAAUGCAAUCAUAUUAAACCCUAUAGCAUAAUGAUAUAAUUUAUUAGUUGUUUUCCUCCAAAAAAGUAACUAAUAGUGAAUAACAUUAGAGAGUAGUAAUUGAUAUCUAGCCACUGUCCCUAUAAACAACUUUUGUUGCACCUACGUGUGCGUGGAAAAAGAGAUUAAUUAUACACCUUUGACAAAUCUUCAUGGAUUAAUCAUAUUGUUCGCUAAAUAAAUUGCAAUCCUGUAAGGUAAAACAAAAAGUAUCUCCACUACAUCAUAUUCUUCACAAAGCAAAAUAAGUGCAUUUAAAUUCAGUUCUGGCCUUGAUAUUUAUUUGAUCCAACUUUUAUCAAAAUUAAGUAUACGAAAAGUUUUUUUUGUGGUGCCCAUCUUCAUAGAAAAGAAAAGAUAUAAUGGGACGGUUUGAAUGAGUUUAUAAUUUAUGAUAUAUAAGAAAAAGUGAUAAAUUAUACUAUUUUUGGCUUAUCUUUUAUUAUUUUGAUUCAGAAAUAAGUGUUUCAAAAACUUUUUAAAAAAAAAAUCUUAAUGAACAUUACAAAAAGAGUUUAAUAGCUAUAUUAAUUUUUAAAAUACUAAAUAAAAGCUAGUUCAAAUUGAUUACAACAACAUACUUAAUAUAAUCACACAAAAUGGGAAUGGAAAGGUAGAGUGUACACACAUCUUUUCUCUACAAAGUAGAAGAGAUUAUUUUCAUCCGUAGACCCUCCACUUAAGGGGGGAGGAGGAGGGGUUGGUCCAAUUUAAGCAAUAAAAGAAAGUAAUAAAAAUACGAGAAAUAACAUACCGAACGCUAGUUAGUAUUAGAACAACAACUACAACAAUUAAUAUAAUCAAAAUACAUAACACAACAAAUAAUAAUAAAAAUCUAAGGACAACUGCCUUUAUAGGAAAAAAUAAACUCAUGAGAGUCCAUAUCAGCAUUCAGCUGAACCAAAGACAAAAUGUUAAAGCAUGAGUGAAUAAUGACUUGUGAGGAAAAGGUCAAAGAAGGCACUUGAUUUUAUAUACUAUUUUAAUAAUGUAUAUCGGAUUAUGUUUUGGGCUAAAGAUUUGUAAGGCAAGUUUUGGACUAUAUUUUUACAAAUAAGUUAGUUAAUCGUACUUUUAUAUAUAUUAAAAUCCUUAUAAUUAUUAUUGGAUACAAUUUUACCUUCUCUUGUAUUGGUAGCCUGAAAGAAUCCCAGCAACCUCUAGCAUUUGCUCGACAACUUUCUUUGGUACACCAUGAUUAAUUACUUAAUCAUCAUAAAGUCAAUAGUUUUUAAAUUAAUUAUCGAAAAAAAAUUAGUAACGCGAUCAAUUUAAAUUUAGAUAAUUAGACAUAAAAACUUGGAAAAGAUCAUACAUUCGGCAGGCUUAGCCAAUUUAAGGGAUUAUCUAAGUGGCAGAUUUCGCUGGAAAGAACAAAUCUUUGGCCGGGUUUCUGAAAAAAACAGGUAAUAUAUAUUAUUUGAGUCCGGAAUUAAAAGAUAAUUUUUUCUAUCAAAACACAUAAAUAAUAUUACUAUAUUAUAUUAAUUAUUAUUAUCAAAAGCGAUUUUUCUUUUGAUAAAAUUAAGGUGAUUAAAAAAUAUAUUUUUAUUUUUAAAUAUGUAAAAAAAAGAAGAAGAGGAAAAGUUAAACCAUAUAAAUAACUCUGAAGACCAAAAACAGAUACUAAAAAUAACAAACAAAAUAAAAAUGGACGGGAUAAAGAUGUUAGUGGGCAAUAAACAAAGGUGUUUUGGGGAGUGGAAAUAAUAUGAUUGAAGUGAACUUAAUGAUAGUGGCUGGCUCACGCUAGACCGUUGGAGCCGCCACGUGAAACCCCCCAUUAUUUCUCCUUCUUUGGGUCCACUCACUUUCCUCAUCUCAAGCCGGAUCCUUAUUUACUUGGGCUCAACUAGAGCCAGCCAACAUGUUUCUUUAUUAAUUAAUCCAAGCGGAGUUUAUUCAAAUUUAUGAAAUAAAAAAUUAUAUAGUUUAUAUAACUAAAAUACUUUUACUUUUUUUUAUGUUUAUAUAUAUAUAAAAUAAAUAUUGAACCUCUUUAUAUUUUUAUUUUUUUCAUAUUUUAAAUUUAAUUAAUAAAAAUUAUGUUUCGGCCAUUGGAUUGGUUGAAGCUCCGUUUGACGACUCUCCAUGAGCUGAAAUGGUGAUAUUCUAUACAAGUAGACUAGGUUAUAUGUAUAUAAUGAUGAGAGUCCGUGGUGGUGUAGGAAACGUAUUCCUCACGGGCAACAACAAUUCAAUCAUGUUUUUCAUUUGUUCAUUUAUAUAUUUAGCAUGUGAUAAUUAUUGUGUAUAUAUAUAUUCUACUUGCAAUCCAACAUCUACUUCUAUUUUUAACUUGAUUCAUUUUACCCUUUAAAGUGAUAUAGUAAUCGCGCAUAUCAUACCUAAUAUUUCUAAGUGGAGUUGUGAUUUAUUUAUUUUUGUUGGUGCAUUUUCAUAAUUAUUACUUAAAAUGAUUUCUUUAGGAAGGUGGAAUUCAUUAGUAAAUUAGUUGAGGGGGUUAAUUAACUUCACACAUGGAAAAAGGAAAAGGAGAGGUUAAGUUCAUAAUUAGGAGAUUCCCAUUAAUGAAUUGUUAUGAUUCUUAACUUAUCGGUUAUUAAGUCGAAUCAUAUUGUCUUUUCGUUCAUUCAACUACUUCAAUGUUCAUUUAUAAAUCCCCAACUUUUACCAUUGAUCAAUUACAAAAACUCCAUCCAUGAAACAACCGAAAAGGUUAACUUUAUUAGUGACAAUAAGACAUACUAAAAAGAUGUUUUUUUGCGAGUGUAAUAAUUAGGGGUGGAUUUGGAACAUAUAUAUGUUAUUUAUGUGAUUCUAUACUUUGAUAAUAGUAUCGAUAUAUUAGUAUAUUGUUUUUAAUAAUCUUAAACCAUAUUAAGUAUUAAAAAAAGAUAUACUAUAGUCUAUAUCAAAUACUACCAUAAUAUCAAAAUAAAAGUAAAAAAAAAAAACAUGAUAUAUAAUAAUUCGAUAUACACGAAAGGGUAAGGAGUAGGGAGAAUGUCAUUUGUCUGUUCUGUCUGCUCCUCCUUUAUUUUACCUCUUUUAGACAGGAGAUAUUUGUCCAAUCCUAUAACUCUUUGCCUCAAUACCGUCUCAUCACGUCACCACCUUAAUAAACAAAAACAAGAAAUUAUUAUUUUUUAAUUCUUAUUCAGAAUUUAUUUAUCCACUAUUUUAUUUAUUUCAGAGUAAGCUCAUUUUUAAUAUGAUAAAGUGCUUCUGAAAGAACACUUCUUGGCAAUGAAAGGAUUUAAAGUAUUUCACUGUACUCUGGGGAGGUAACAAGACAUAAAAUUUUCACUCACAUAUACUAUUUAAUUAGUUACUCUAUUUCAAUUAUAUGAUAAUAUGACUUAUUUUUAUUUUAGUAGUUCCCAAAACAAUUUAUAUAUUUUUAUAUUCAGUGGUAACAAUUUAAUUUUAAAAGUAACUUAUAAUUAUAUAAAUAUCGAUGAAAAAUUUUAAAGCAUAAAUUUUUUUUUCUUAAAUUAUGUAUUAAAUUAAACUAUAUAAUAUAAAUUGGAACCGAAAAUAAUAAUGAAUUUGAGUAAGGUGCCUUUUUGUAGGGUCUUUGGGGAGAUGGAUCUGUGCAAAUUGAAUUAAGCUGUUGAUUGGCUAGCUAGUACUCUUUGACAUUCACCGUUUACCCUUCUUUCUUUUCAUGAAUGGAACUUUUUUCAUUAUUUUCUCUCCUAUUAUUAUUGAUUUGACUUUUGGACAUUGAAAUAGAAAGAAAAUUAUAUUCUCAUCCGAUCUCUCUUUUUUUUAAAUUAUUAUUACAAUAUUUUCAAUCGAUCAUGUAAAUAUUUUUUACAUUAUCUCUUUUUGUUAAUCUUUCAUAUGAGUUUUUCAUCCUUAACACUUUCUUGAUUAUUAAAUCUAUAAUUUUAAUAUGGAAGAUGUUUACUAUUUGAGCAACUUAUUUCUUUCUCCUUCUAUCUAUACAUUUUCUUAUUAUAUAAGAGGAAGUUUGGAGACUAAAGUAUAAACACAUUUUCAUUGACGCAUUUACUUUAAUAAGGACAAUUUUUAUUUUUAUUUUAAAAAAAAGUUGUAAUCAAUGGUGGGUGAGUGGAGGUGGCAAUUGCCCACACGCUCAUGCUUGUUUUUUCGGCACCUUUAUUGACACCCAAAAGCUUUCCCAACAAUUCUGCUAUGUCAACGGCAAAAUGACAUCAUAUAUUUAUAAAUAUGAGAUCAACUAAUUAAAUUUUAAACUUUACUAUAGUAUUACUUGUUCUAUUUCAUUUCGUCCCUCUAGUUUUAUAUGUAACAUAACCACAUUUUAAAAAUUAUAUUUUCCUUAAAAGAAAAUCUUGUGGUAAUAAAAUAAAGAUGAUGGUUUGAUUUGAAUUGGUUAUUGAAUAAAAAUAAAAUCAAAUAAAUUUAUUUUGCUUUUAAAUUUUUUAAAUCAAUUUUUUUAAAAAAAUAAUUAACCGUCAAUUUGAUUUGAAAUCUUUUGAUUUUUUCGAUUUGAAAGUUAAUUUUUUUUCAAGGGCAUAUGUAUCUCGACAGACAAAAAUACCUAGUACAUGAUGAACAAGUGAUUUAGUUAAGCAAUACUAAAGUAAUUAUACACUAAAAUUUAAGUGUUUGACUUAAGAAAAUGGUAAAGUUAAAGGCUAGAGUUUAUUAAAAUUCAAUGAAAUAUUCAUAUUUUAUAUAAUAUUUCAAAGAUAUAUAUAUAUAUAUAUAUAUAUUCCGAAUCAAUUAUUUUUGCGGUUAUUUUUUAAUAAAAUCAAACCUAACCCAAAUAGUAUCGAUUUUCAAAAUGUAAAACUAAAUAUAAUCAAACCAAACCAAAUAUAUUUUAAUCGGUUUGUUUCAUAUUGUAAUUCGAUUUAAUUUUUUAACCAUAAGUCCAUAACCAUGAAAAACCCUACCCAUAUGUAUAUGGGAUUAACGUAUUCUAUCAAUAUGAUAUAAUUGUAGGAUAAUCUAAUGAUUAUCUUAAACUUUCACACCAAACAACUAAUAAGGGGUCGUUUUGUUAGAAACAAAAUAUUUCCAAAUAAGCACUAUGUAUAUGGAAUAACUCAUUCCAUCACUAAGAUAUGAAUUGUGGAAUAAAUAAUCUCAAAACGGCUUAGUAUCUUAAAUAAUCUUACAUUUUAUUUAUGAAAUUAUUAUACUUUAUAUCUCACGUCAGGCUAACUAUAGUAUUACACUAUCCUUCAUCAUUAGGGCUUUUCUCUCUUUAUUUGCGUGUUUGGUGGGAUGACUUUAUAUAAGCAUAUUUGUUCAUCCUUCAUCCAUUUAGCCUUUUUUUUCCAUUUUGGGGAUCUGGUCCAGCAGGAGAUCCAGCACAAUUCCCGAGGCAUUCAACUUUUAACUCUAUUUAUUUCCUAUUCUUUUUCUGUUUCUACUAGUGUUGUUGUCUUAUUUUGUCUCUUCUCUUUUACUACUUUUUUUUCCACAUAAACCCUUAUUCUUCUCCCCUCAAAUUCUACUUUAUUCAGAUCUAGGCGCUUGGAAAUUAAGGUUUGCUCCAUCUUUUGUUCUUUUCUUAACAAGUUUUAUGGCCAUCACUAGUCGAAGCGAAUUCAAAAUUUAAAAAUAUAGAGCAUAAGUUGCAUCUGUCUGUACGAGUAUUAAGUACUCUAAUUUCUAAUAUAGAUGAUGUGUUUGCCGGAUUUUUAAGAGUUGAAUGAACAAUCACUAUAGCGAUUAUAACCUUGUGGAACGAAAAACACUAAUUUAUUUGAUAAUCGUCUUGAUGAUUGUUACUCCAACACUAUCAUAUGCUUUGUAAUUAUAAUCUGUUUAGAGAUAGUUGGUAAACAUUGAUUAAUAACUGUAUUAUUUUCUCUUUGGUUAAUUAAUUAAAAGCAUGUGAGACUAGACUAGUAAUUGGAAAUGGAUUUAGUUGAAGAAUUACUAAUCGUACUAAUUUGUUAGAGUAUCCUUUAAAUUAAUCCCAUUUGUUUAAUUGGCAUGAAACAAAGAUUUCAUUUUUAUUCUUUUUUUUGACAUAUGUUGAAAGUCAGGGGACAGUAAUUUGCUAAUUAAAUGUGGACCGGAAACUCCCUAAAUGCGAAUUACUAUUUCAUUUCAAUGGAUUAGAUUAUAAAUUAACUAUGCUUAAUUGAGUGGCAUAGACUCGAUGUCAACUAUCAAAACAUUAAUCAAUGAACAUUAUUUUUUCUUCAAUUGUGUCAUGAAAUUGCAAUAAUAAUACUCUAUAACUUAAGUGCUUAUGAUUAACUAUCUAUUUUUUUUUAGUGUUAUUUUUACGUUUUAUCAUGUGUUUUUUUCUUCAUUGUCUUCUUUGUUUGUGUUUGUUGAAGCACUAAGCAACAUGAGAGAUUGGAAAAGGUAAAAUAGUGUUUGAUGUGAAUAAUAUUUGCUAGAAAUUAAUCGGCUCUUUAAACCUCUUUUUGGUGUCCUGAUACACUCACAUGUUGAUGAAGUGUAUUAAUUAGUUGGUUCAACCUCUAUAAUACAUUUUAUUAAUGAGGUAAAUCAUACUAUUUUGUGCGGCAAAAAAAUAGGGUAGUACAGUAAAAACGUUUUUAUUAGUGGCAAGUAUUUAUAUUUAUUAUGAUCAAUGGUUCUACAUGAACUCUUUUAGUUGCAAAAAUAAUCCAAAUUUUUUUUGUUCAUAAUCAUAGACAAUUAUAAUGAUGUGGGAAAUAAUAAGAAACUUUAAAAGAAAAAAAAAUUGAGUCUUGCUGAAAUAGUGGUAUUUGUUAUGGAUAUACAGGUGAUAUAUAUAUAUAUAUGUAGAAUGAAUUCGUUUUCACAGAUUCCUCCUGGCUUUCGGUUCCAUCCAACUGAUGAAGAACUUGUAGAUUAUUACCUCAAGAAGAAAAUCACUUCAACAAGGAUUGACCUAGAUGUUAUUAAAGAGGUGAACCUCUACAACAUUGAACCAUGGGAUCUUCAAGGUACUAUUAACAUAUAUAUAAGUAAAAUUUAGAACUUCGAAUACUAGGUCUUAGUUCUUCUUAUACUAAUAUGAUGAAAAAACAUUAGUUGAAGUUCAGUCGUUUGACUCUUGUUGAAGCGAAAUGUGACAAGUAAAAGUGAAUGAAAAGAGCAGAGAUUUCAAAAAUAAAAAAAAUAUGAGUAGUAAUAACUACUUAUGAAACUAUGUUUUUAUAUAGAAUUAUGCAGAAUAGGGAGAGAAGAAGAAGAUGAAUGGUACUUCUUUAGCCACAAAGAUAAAAAAUAUCCAACUGGCACAAGAACCAAUAGAGCCACAACAGCAGGAUUUUGGAAAGCAACAGGAAGAGACAAGGCUGUAUAUUCCAAUCAUGACUUGAUUGGCAUGAGGAAGACCUUGGUUUUUUACAAAGGAAGGGCUCCUCAUGGUCUAAAAUCUGAUUGGAUUAUGCAUGAAUAUCGACUUCACACUGAUCCAAAUGGUGCCCAUCAGGCAAGUUAUUCACUAACUCUAAUAUCUUGUUUGGUCGAAUUUCUAAAAUUUUCUAUCAUUUGGUCGGAAGUGGUUUUGGAAAAAAAUCUAAUUUUUGGAGAGUAACAGUUUGUGUAAUCUAUCUUAAAAACCUUUUUAACCUGUUAUUAGAAUUUUAGAACAGUACUUUGUGUUUGACCUAUAUUCCACAGGUGCUUUUGGAUAAAAGUUUUUCUCUGUCUCAUUUUAUGUGACACUUUUCAUUUUUUGAGAGUCAAAUAGUUUAAUUUUGACUGGACAUUUGCCUAUGAAAUCUUCAAUUUUUUUGAAUUGAAAUUUAUAUAUUUGUAAACUACGUAAAGAAUAUUAUAAAUCACAAUAAUUGAUAAUUUAAAAUGUUAAAAGAAUCUAUGAAAAAUUUACAAUCAAAUAUAAACUUGUUUGAAUCUCGAAAUGCGAGAAGUGUCACAUAAAAUGAAACAGAAAGAGUAGUACUUUUUUGUUUAGCUUAGAGCCGGCUCGGAUAAGAUGGACAAUAAUAGUUUUCAAGUCAAAAAGUACUCCUAAAAUGUAAAAGGAGUCCUAUUUUUGGUUUUUAAUCUUUUUUAAAUCAUUAUAAAGUUUAUUUUAAGUUAUUUUUAAUUUUGUCAAAUAUUUCUAAAAAUUAAAGUAAGUUUGAUCAAUUUUAAGUCAAUUCAAAAUAAACUCUAAAUAGCUUUUGCUAUUACUAGUAGAAAGCCCUUAAAUCCCCCUAAAAACGUGGUCAAACACCUAAAAUAAGCAUUUUUUAUUUUCUAAAAGUUUAUCCAAACAGACUAUAAAUUAACAUGUUCUACUAGGUCACCUACCUUAUCAUUCUACAUUAAUUUUGUUACCUUUUAGAUGACCUCAUGGUAAUAAGAUACAUUAGUUUUGGUCAAAUAUAUAAAUAAAUCUCUAAAUUUGUUGAGUUUUUUCUCUCAGGUAUCAUAACUAUGCUAUUUUUUAAUUGAACUAUUGAACCACCAAUAAUUUUUUCCUUUUAAACACCGUUGGCUGAUGUGGAACCAGAUUUUGUGAGGGGUAUUGGUUGAAGAUACAUAUGUUGUUCCAGAUGUCAUUUGUUCAAUUAAUAGUGAAGUUGGUCGAGAAUAAUUGUGUUCUACUUCAAGUCAUUUGAACACAUUAGAAAACAAAUGAGACUAACACACAAUAUGUCUUCAUUCCUUCAAUCAAAAUCAUUACAAUACGAACACAAUUGAAGCCAUUUACAAUAGAAAAGUCGAUCAAAAUCAGCCAGCCAACAGUGUUUAAUAGGAAAAAAUAAUGGGUGGUUCAAUGAUUCAAUAGGAAAAUGACGUAGUUAAGGUACCUGAAGGGAGACAUCCAACAAGUUUAGGGAUCUAUUUAUGAGUUUGGCGUAUUAAUUUCCUUUGUACACUUGAACAAAUUGAACUACAUAUUGAUUGUUGAUAAACUAAUUAAAACACAUGCAGGAAGAGGGAUGGGUGGUGUGUAGAGUUUUCAAGAAGAAAAUGGCAAGCACAAGGAAAGAAAGUGAGAAGGAGUCACCAAAUAAUAAUGAUCAAGUUCCAUUCAUGCCAAACCAUAUUGUCUCACAACACAAUUACCCUUGCAAGAAGGAAUUAAUCGAUAAUUUGAAUUACCAAAUCCAAAUCCCAUCUCAUCACCACCACCACCAACAAAGUCCAAAACUUGUUCCAUCCACCUCAAUUUCAGUGUACAAUAAUUUGCAACAGUCUGUCUCCCUUCUCACACGAGAACAAGUUGUUGAUCAAGUGACCGAUUGGCGAGUGCUCCAUAAAUUUGUAGCUUCUCAACUCAGCCAAGAGGAGGAAAAUGACUAUUACUCAAACACCUUACAUGGUGUUACCGAUGAAUCGAAUUUGAACAAACAAGAAACAGUCACGGAAAAUAACUCCACUGCAUCAUCUUGUUUUCAGAUUGACCUGGGGAAGUACACUUCUUUAUUUGUUGAUUAAAUAUCUAAUUUGUUUAAUAUCAUUGUACAUAAUAAUACUACUAAAAAACACUGCUUGAUGAAUUAGUAAUUUAGUUAAGAGAAGAUGAAUUAACUGCUUGAUGAUGGAAGCAUAGGGUGAAUUAUACAUGCAGGGCUAUUGACAAUGUAUAUGGUACGAUAGCUAUUGCUUUGCUUUAUGUAAAACAUAACUUGAUAUGUUUAUGUAGUGUUGUACUAUUCCUUUUGUUCGUUUUGACAAAAAAAAAUUUUUUUAGUCUGUUUCAAAGAUUAAAGUCCUCAUGUUACUUUUAAUGAAAUGAUUUAUUGUAAUCACACAAACGUUUGAGACAACUUUUGACCACAAAUUCUUUCUUUUUUAAGUUUUGUACUCAGUCAAGUGGUGCAAAAUAUAAAUUGGGAGGAGGGGGUAUGUGUUUGUUUUCUAAAUUUAUUCCUAAAUUAAUGGGAAUUUAAGAUCCAUACCAUGUUCUUGGUUCCUUUUAUUAACAAUAUAUCUUAUUCUCAAACUGCUAGGAGCCAACUCAAAAAUACUUCCAAAUAACAAGCUACAAUUUAUAAUAUUACGUAUAGCAAUCCAUUUUAUAUGGCUAAUUAAAAGCAUUUGCAAAUUUAAGAAUCAUAUUCUAUAUUGCUGAUAGUUUAAGUAGAUGAUCUGUCUUUGUUUUUGUUUUUGUUUUUCAAUUUUGGGAAAUAUUAUAUUAUAUUAGCAUAAAAUAAAAUACGGUAUUACGUAACUUUGAGGUGAGACCUAUCCAAGUGCCGUCUUUCAUUAGUAUUAAUUGCUUUGCUUAAAGGCCUCUUGUUCUUCUUCAUUCUUCACAUAAAAGAAAAUAAUCUAACAUUACAAUACUCAGAAAUUUUUUUACCAAAAAUUAAUUAACAGCAUCAUCAUGACUCAAAAUUCUCCUUCAAAACAUACACAACUUUAUAUCAAAUUGAACAAGAACGUACAAAACUCAAAAGGCAUUUACAUUACAUACCGACCGCAAAACUAGGAAUUUCGGGUUUUUAAGAUUUAAUGUGAUGACUAAUAUGAUUUUCUAGAUAUAAAGUAUAGUUUCUCGAUAAAGGGUGUUCAACAGACCACCCGCUAUAGCUCCACCACUACAUAACAUGUUUAUCAUGGAAGUUUACCUACAAUUUUAUUAUAAAUGUAUUUGUCGUGUAACAUUUUAAAUUGUGAUCUUGCAAUUUAGAAGCAAAAUGGAAAAACAACAAGAAGAUGAACACAUUUGAGAUGGUCUUUUUCAAGCAUGUAGACAUGCAGAUUUGCAAACUGAAACAUUGAAACUUACAUAUUUACUUAUGGACAAAGUAGAGAUUAAUUAGCUUAGAAUUAGUAAUUAAAUAGUGACAUAACUUAAGACUAGCCAUAUUACUAAGAGACUAAUAUGUAAAUAAAUUAUACUUACAAAAAACUUUUGUCAACAUUGCUUUAGUUAGAAAUCCUCCAAAGUUGCUAAACCAAGAGAAUUUUUUUUUUUUAUUUGGAGGGAUCUGAAGUAAGAAUUGAUUGUAGAAAGAUUUGAUUAAAUAGCAUGAAAAAAGUAGAGUCGAAUUGCCCUUGUCUGCUGCCGAUAAUUUCGACAUUCAAAUUCCUUUUUAAGCAAAGAAACAAAAAAAAACAUACUCAUUUGAGUGUCUUCCCUACUCAUGAUAAAUGAACAAACAAAGAAACAGAUAAAAGUAUAAUUUUAAUUUUUUGACACAUUCAAAUAAUAUUUUAAGUCUUUUUCAAAAUAUGAGAUUCAAAAUUUGAAAAAUAGGAUAUAUUAUUUAUUAGCACAGAUGAAAAUGAUCUAAUAAUAUAAAAAUUAUAUGUACUAACGGUAUAUAUUACCCUUUUAUUUUAUUUUUUCAAUCGAAUUGAGAUGCAUUAUAUAAAUUUUGCGACACAGAAUAAUUUCCUUCAUACUAAAAUGGUAUCCUAGGAUGAAAAGAAGAAUGAAGUAAGUCAAAUAAGUCUGAAAAGUGUAUAGGCAUGAGAUGAAGAUGAUGAGCAUUUUUGAAUCAUAAUUAGGGUUAUGUUUGUGUGUGAAUGAAGGUAACAUCAUUAACAAACUCCCAUGUGAAUGUUAUUAUGCUCUCCUCUAUAUCUAAGACCUUUUUUCAUCAUACGUUAAUUAAUAAUUUGAUUUUGCUCUUUACUUAAGGAUCAAUAUAAUCCUCUUAUUUUCAUAGUCAACUCAAAAUUCAACAUUCAUCUAAUCCUCUAGUGAUCAGGGGGGAGUCGGGAAUUACAUAUUACAACUUGUUUACCGAUCAUUGAAAUGAGCCUAUCAUUUUUAUUCUCUAUUUUAUUUAUUUUUUAAUUUUUAAUAUUGAAAUCUCUUCUGCAAAACUUAUUGAGUUACUCUUGCCUACAAGUUACAAUAGAACAACAUUUAAUUUUUUUGUGUGUACUUUAAAACUUCAAAAAGUGCAACAAGCCAACAAUCAAUCAUUAUAUUAAAAACAAUCAAUCAUUAUAUUAAAGGAACACAACAGUUUAUAUUUUUGAGCCAGUUUUUUUUGGGUUGAAGAGCCAUGUUUUAUAAUUUUCCUUGAAAAGUUAUUAUUAAUUGACAUUCUUAGUUUAUAAGUAUAUAUGUUCUUUGUUUGGUUAUUAUAUUAAAAUUUAUUCAAUUUACAUAUGUCAACUAGUAAAUAUAAUUUCAAUUUUAGAGUAAACUUGAAGAAAUAAAUUCCAAAAGACAUGCAUAUAAGAUGUUUAACAAAUAAUAAAAAUCUUGAAUUAAAAAAUAUGAGUUGUUCUUCAAAUAAGUCACUAACUGAGUAGAGUAAUUAGAUGAUAAAUAACUCCCAAGAAAAAAACUUUAAAAGAAGUUGAUGAAAAUAUGAUAUAAGUAGUUCCUAAAUAAUUUAAAUAGUUGCAUCCUAUAAAAAAAUGUGGCAAUAUUUCUUUUUUCUAAAACUAAAUAAAUAAAUAUUAAGAUCCCCCUCUAAAGUUUGGCUUUAAGGCCUCCAGAAUUGUUGAAUCGUCCCUGAACAUAUUCAAAUCACUCAAAAUUUCAUUGGUUGAGUUCAAGAUAAUUUAAAUUGAUUAAUGUCAACAUAUUCAAAUUUUAACCCGUUUUAAAGGAAUCUUCAAUUUAUCCUUAGAAAUCUCACUAGCUUAAUAACUAAUUACUUAGAUAUGCUCUAGUUUGCUGUAUUACGAAUCUUACAAGGUUUUGGUGCAUCCAGCUACGUCCAGAUACAUGUAUCUCUAGAUACAUAGUGUCAAAAUUAAAUGUAAUUUGUUUAAAAUACAUUAUAUCAACCGCAUGUAUCUGAGAUACAUAACGAAUCUCAUUCGUCUCUCAUCUCGUCUCUCUACCCAUUUCGCUCACCUCAUUCUUUAUUUUAGUGUACCUGGUAGCAAAAUUACAUGUAUAUAGGUAUAUCUUUUUCAACAUAAAAAACUCUUGAUUAGUGGUAAGAUACAUAAUUAUUUAAAAUUAUAGAUAGAAUUAAGAAAAAACUACAUAAUUAGACAUACUUUACUACCAUGUAGGGGUGUACAUGGACCAGGUUGGUUCAGGUUUUUUAAAUAUCAAACCAAACUAUUAGUGUCGUAUUUUUAAAUCUAUAAAUCAAAUUAAACCAAUAAAUUUGGAUUUUUCAAAUUUCUCGAGCUUCUCUAGUAGAAUAUUUGUACAAACAUAUAAUUAACUUAUAUUUCAAAUAUUUCUUUAGUCUUACCAAAAUAUUAUUAUCUAAGGUGUUUCUUAAGAAAAUAACACAGUAUGAUAUGGAUGAUUAGACUAAAGUAUUCGACGAAAUGAUAGUGAUAUCAUAUAAAACAUAUAUUGCAAAUAAAUAAGUCAAAAUGAAAAUGAUCAUACUUUUAAAUUAUAAAUCAUGCUAAAAUAAGUCCAAACCAAUAUAUAACUAAAGAAUAAAUAUUCAACAUUAUUGUCAUUCUUAGUAUAUGAGUUGAUUUUUUUUGUUAGCAAUUGUAUUGAUUCGAUUUAGAUUUAAGUUUUGUUAAAAUUACUAAUAUCUAUCUAUGAAAUAUAACUUUUACUGGACUAUUCAAAAUUUUAAGUCAAUCUUGAAAUAAUAUGUUAAAAGAUAAAAAUUAUGAAAAUGUAUAAGAAAUAUUAUAAAUUAUAUCAAAGUAAAUUACUUUUAUGUAUAAAAUAAUUUUUAAAAAUUAUGUAUACUUGUCGGGAUGACUUUUUAAAGAUUAAAAAGAAACCAACCAAUAUAGUCGAAUUUUUUUUCUUCAAUACCAAAUCAAGUCAAAUUGAAUUACUAGUUGGAUUUUUUUCUCGGUUUACAUUUUGAUGCAGUUUCCAGUUUAAUUUUGUCCACUCCUACUACCACAUAUACUAUUGUACUUAUACUUUCAAAAUGUUAUGUACCUUACAACUAAUGUAGAGUCUUCUACAUAUUUUACACUUAGAUGCAUGUAGUUUUGCUACUAUAUAGUCGAAUUUACACUAUAUACCCCCACAACUAAUUUUGCUUAACUAAUACUAAAUUAGUAUCAUAUAUUGGUAUCAUUAAGGUUGAUAAUUUCACCUAAUUGUUACUAAAUUGAUAUAUAUAUAUAUAUAUAUAUAUAUAUAUAUAUAUAUAUAUAUAUAUAUAUAUAGUAUUGGUAUCACAUCUUUCUUGUUCAGAAAUUACUCAUUAGUUAAUGAUACUAUAAAACUAUAUCAUUGACUAACGAGUAAUUUAUAAAACAAGAAAUCUAAUGAUACCACAACAAUAUACAUAUAGUCUUAUAGUAUCAUUGGCUAAUGAGUAAUUUUUAAAUAAAAAACCUAUGCCAAUAUAGUAUAUAUACACUGAUUUUGCAUCAGUCUAGCGAAAUUAUCAAUCUUAAUGAUACCAAGUAUAUGAUACUAAUUUAGUAUUAGUUAAGCGAAAAUUGUCAGCCUUUAAUAAAUGAGGGGUAUGGUCUGUAAUUUACUUUUUUGAGUGAAUGAGUAUUUCUUCAAUUACUUUGAAUUGGAGUAUAAAUAUGUAAUUGUUAUGAGUUUUAUGGACAUUUAUGUGGUUUUUCCUUAAAUAUAUAUGGUAUGUAUAUAUAUAUUCCCAUUAUUCAAUAAGGUAGUUUCUGCUUUAUUUGUUGGUCCACAUGGUAUCUGGCCCAACACAAAAACUCGACCAGUUCAAGAAUGAAUGAACCCAACAGCCAAUUGCUCGUUUUACACGGUGAACCACUUCUAUAAAAAUUCCGAUCAAAUUGCUCAAACUUUUAAAAUACAUAGCUUCAUGAAUCUUCUCUUGUUUUGAACUUAUAAAGCCUUUGAAUCCUGUGAGUUUAUCCUUAGUUUUGAACUGCAUGAAUAUAUCCUUGGUUUUUAACUUAUAAAAACUUGAACACCAUAAAUUAUUUCUUGGAUUUGAAACUCCAACAAAUAUUUACCCUCAAGAAUCAUUUCUCAUUUUUAAAAGUUUGGAAUCCAAGAAUUAUACCACAAUGAGGUUUCCUUGGGUUCCACUUGUUAAUCAUUCGACUUCCAACGGUAAUAUUUUCAUUAAAAAAACUUUUCCUGUCUACAUAGUGGCUAAAUGUUAAGGUAGCUUUUAAAAUAAUGGCUAAUAUUUGAUAGGAGGUUUUAAAAAACGAAAAAAGAAACUAAAAUACCCUCAAAGUAUUGAAAAUGGUGUAAAAUUAUCCUCCAUUCACCUAUUGGAUCAAAAAUAUCCUUUCCACCCAUCUAUUGGCUCCAAAAUACUCUUGUCAUCCACCUUUUAGUUCAAAAUCGUCCAUUUAGUUAACGGUUUUAAAUUUAAAUUAUUUAAAUAUUUUUUUAAAUAUGUGGCGCUAAACUAUUUGUUAUAAUUUAACUGUAUAAUUUACAAAUCAAUCCACUACCCACCCAUUACUAAUUAAACCCCUCCAAAUUAAUAAACCCGUCACAUUAUUAAUGCAACAACAGAAAAGCUACUACUAAUUGAGUGUUUUUAAAAAUUUAAGGUAAAAAUAUCUAUAGAAGUAAUUUAUCAUACAUUCAAGUUUCUAAAUAAAAAUUACCGAUAAUCUUAAAAGUCUGAUUAUGUUCAUCUUAAUUAUUCUUACGUCUCAAUUAUGUGAUGUUACUUCAUCGGUAAAUUUUUUCAAAAUAAUACAUUAAAGGUUUUAAAACAAAUCAUAAAUAUUUAUAAAAUUAUAUUUUAAAAAAAGUACAUGAAUUAAUUUCGGAUAUAUUAGUUCUUUACCUUUAAUCACAAAUUUCUAAUUAAAUCUUGAAAGAGAAUUUUAUUGAAAGUGUCCUCCUAAAUAAGCGGCUCAACCUAAAUUUAAUUGGGGCUUCGAUUCAGACUCGAAUAAUUUUGUAUGUCAUUUUUCAGGAAUCUAUAAUCUCAUCGUGUUUUAGUAGUGUUUAUGACGAUUUUGAUAUUAUAUUGGAUUAUUAAUUGGGUGAGUGAGAAGUGAGUUCGUUUAUAUUAAUAAAUUAACUAUAACCAAUAGUUGAACACCAGUAUUUUAAAAAAUAUUUAAAGAGUUUAAUUUUAAAAAAUUAAAUAAGUGAUCAAUUUUGAACAGGUGGGAUGGUAAGGGUAUUUUGAAGCCAAUAGGUAGAUGAGAAGGGCAUUUUGGAGCCAAUAGGUGGAUGAAGGAUAAUUUUGUACCAUUUUCAAUGCUUCAACCAUAUUUUAGCCAUUUUCCGUUUUAAAAAGUGGUUGCUUCCAUCAUAUAGAUACCUAGAAUAUGAUAAGGGGCCUUACACCUUCUAACUCCUGUUUCUGGUUGGUUUCAGGACUUGAUUGUUCCACAGAAAAAAAUUAUACAAUGAUCAAAACUCUGCAUGUUAAUGUAACCUAAUGGUAGCAAGAGGCACAAAAUGACAGAAGAAUCUAUAUCAACAGAUUGAAGAAACUAAAACUGGAAGAAAGUUGUAUGCCGUCAGUAAGUUGUCUUCUCAUACUUCACAAAUUUUUUUUCGGGAACAAAUGAAAUAGACGGGAAACUGUGCAAACUAUCGUUAAUGAACUUUCUCAAAGUAAAAGAAUAAGAAACAUUAAUCCUAUCAGCUCAUCAUCCUACAAGAAAGUGAAUUCCCAAAUAUUAUCACCAACUGAAGUGGUACACUAGUAUACAAGACUGAUGACAGUAGAGAGUACCAACAACAAUGUAAAAUAUAACCCCGAGCUUCCAAAUAGGGUUGUCGCUGAAGAUACUUUCUGUUUCCUGAAAUACAUGUACGAUCAAUUUAGGGAUGCGUCAAGAGUAAAAACCAAAACUAUGUGUAACAGAAGCAAAGAGAUGAAAUCAUACUUUUGCAUAUAAGCAAGGGCACCACAGUACAGAGCAUUGUCAGGCUUUUGCAUUUCUGUUUUGUUGCUAUGAUCUUCAGGAUUGAUAAUUCUCAUAUACGUUUCCUGCCCUAAGUACCACCUGUCCAGGUUUUCUGCUCUGAGGUUCCACACCCCUACAUUGUCGAGAGAUACCAAAACUGCUGUCCAUCCUCCAGGAAAAACCUAAACAAACAGGUACAGGUAAAAUAUAAAUCCUACCUUGUUACAGGAAGCUUUCGAAUUCUUCAAAACUAUACAAGAUAAGACGGCUGUAUAAAACAAACCUGAGUCGUAGACCGGGAAAUUGCAUCCCAUCUAUUAUAAGAUCCCCUGUUGUUCUCUGUCCACUCUCCAAAGCCCAUCCUGAAGCAAAUAGGCAAAAAGUUGCAUUAAAAUUCACUUGGUAGGAAACUACAUACAUCUAGAAUGAAAUUUUUUAAGCAGAAGCUAUACCCAACAACAAAGAAUGAGUAACCAUCCAUGUGAAAGCUCUGGACUACAGUGUCAUUGUUCUGCAAUACGAUUUCUAUAAAUCCCUUGUAUGUGGCAUUGAUAAUGGACGUGUCCACCUUGGGUGGUCUGUUCAUUGGCUUAGUUGGGAAAUCAAGCUUGUAGUCACCCUUCACAUAGUACAGAUCAGCAAGCCUAAUUGGAGUAGCAGGAUUUUUGAAUGAAAUCCCAUUAAAGGUAGCUCGAAGCUUUCCAUCAAUUGACACUGGUGGCACACUCUUUAGCAAAUAAAAAUCUGUGACAUUAAUUUGACCAUAGUGGAAAGAUCCUUGAGGAUUCGGUCGAGCUCCACUUGCAGAAACAUUUUGCCUGCAGAUAUUGCAUCAGAUUAUUCAAUGGCAUGAAACAGAAAAGUUAGUCAUUAAGAAGUAAACCAAUUUGUAUUGCUUGAGAUGCCUAAAAGAGUAUUGUCAAAUAAACGACAUUGUGACCGUAAAGAAUUUAAUGAAAACAUAUAUGGUGUCCCAACUAAGUAAAGCCCACAAAUUAGGUUCUCCUAAUUUCUUCUUUGUCAUGGUUAAUCAUUUUUUAGUUUCAAUAAUCUAGUUUCCAAAUUUAUAAGGAAGUAUUUGUCCAAGCCAUUGAAUGAAAUAAUGAAAUGAAGAGGAAUAAAAAGGAACGAGUAAAAGAACCUUAUGGACAUGGCCUGAUUCAGCGCAUACGAUGUGUCAUAUACAUCAUUUGGAGGGUCUGGAAGGGGUCCAGCUGCCUUUCCUUUGGAGUUGGAAUAAUGCAAAAUACCAACACCAGUUACUUUUUGCCAGAUUGUUUGAUUUACAAACCUAGAACUCGCCACAAUGUAGUAAUCACUACUUGCAUUCUGAUCCAUGGUAACCAAAAAUGUGUACGACUGCCCAACAUGAAUAUCUACACUAGUAUAAUUUUGCUGUGAAGUGUAAUAUCCCUCCGUCUCCACCAAGAGUAAAUUAUGAUUUUGAAUCCUAAAAUUCAAACAAGUGGAGACUCCAACAUUGUGCACCCGAACCCGAUAGGUAUUACCUGCAGCACAAUAUAUAAUCAGAUGGAGAGGGGGUUAAGAUUCAUAUGACUUGCUUUCAAGUAAGCUGUUAAUUGAAAACAACAAGGUCAAUUUUUAAUCUAACAGGUUUUACAUAUGUGCUAUUUUGCAAUGUUUAUGAAACAUCAACUGCUCUUCAAUUUUCUACAAGCUUGAUAAAGCAUGAAUGUUGAUAUACAGAUAAGUACUCCAUCGCACAUCUUACUCAAGAAUGCAUAGGCUAAAGACAGCAAUUCCAAGCGGACAGAUCAAUGUGAAGAACAUCAUAAAUAAGCAGACUAUUUUCUAUCAAACCACUCGGGAGAAGGACAACCAAUCAAGUAUAUCAAGUUGAGACUUAGUUAGCAAGUUUUGAAGAGCUUGACCUGGAUCAACAUUUAUGGUUUCAUGGUCAAUCCCAUCAGGUACAAGUGUUGUGUUGUAUCUGUACGGGCCUUUCCCAUUAAUGAGUACUCCAUCUGGCAUCCCCAAUUGCUUCCCAUCAUCAAGGUCCUUCCUCAGAGACUACAAUUUGAAAAUAUACCAGAGUUGGUACUAGAAAAUUCAUACACAAUACUGCAUGAAAGAGUAAGCAAAAACAGGAAGAGACACUAACCUUAUGGCUCUGGGUGUACCAAUCGCCAAUAAUUAUCACUAUAUCUCCAUCAGGAGGACUAAAGGGAAUAGGGAUAAUAUUACGGUUCGUAACAAUAAAAGAACCAAAACCACCAGCUGCCCUCUGCAUGUUGAUGGAAGGAGCAUAGAAAAAGCUACCAAUCUGAUCCUUUACUUGAAACUGGUAAGUGAAGUUCCGUCCACCUGUAGGGAUGGGGCAAUUUGUACCAAGAACACCAUCUUGCCAGGAAGUGCGUCGCAUCUGAAUUCCAGACCUGCCACAAUUCAAAGAAAAAUCAAAAACUGAAGGAGAGAGCAUUUAAUAUCACACAAUUGAAACUUACCAAGUGACAAGAAGUUCUUCAUCCAAUUUGUUCUUCACAUCCACCACAACAUUAUAAUUAGUUGUAACAUUAAGGAUGGGACCUGGAAAUUUCCCAUUCACAGCUACAACCUGCAAUUGCAUAACAUAUCAUGGCAUAUUAACCAACACUGAAAAUCCGGGGCAGAAUACCAAUUCAUAAUCACAUAACUAAAUUAGAAACUAUGCUUGAAAAAUUGUAUAGAGCCUCGAAGCAAUUUUAAUAUAAAUCCCGAUCAAACAAAUUAAAAUAACACAAGCAUUUUGAUCUCACCACAAUGUAGAAUUUACCAAAAACAGAAUUAUCAUAACUUUAGGCAAAAUAGUGGUCCCUUCCAACUUUUACUCAGAAAUGAUACUACUACUGUAUAAAGAAAAAAAUCUUUAUAAAGUAUCAGAAAAAAUUGAAAUCGACAUGUAUCACGAAUAGAUACUAAUUUUUUCAUCUACUAAAACAUCAACAUAACAUUAAAAUCAAGAACAGCUCCAGAAAACCCCAUAGUUGAAUCAGACUCAAAACUUAAAAACAAACUAUUGUUUCACCCCAAACAGGAAAACGAAAAAAGAAAGAAAAAAUCAUACGUUGAAACCCAACAGUCCAAGAUUUAAAAAAAAAAACGAUUCGUUUGCUGAAAUUGGGGAACUUCUCGGGACGGAGAAAAUGAUUCUUCCGUAAAAAAAAUUGUUGCAGAGCAAAAAAACAAAUUAAAAAAAAUGGAUUGGUUGAUUCAAAUGAAAGUUGGGUUAACCUGUUGGGGAACGCCAAGAGGAGAAGCGGUGAUAUAAGAGUACUCCAAUUCAAAAUUAGCAAAAGGGUCAGCGGCAAAGCAUAGUGUGAAAAACAGAGCAAUGCAGCAGAGACGAUGCACAAGUAGAGAAGAAGAAGCCAUUGAUGACUCAAUGGUAAAAUUUUACAGAGGGAGAGAUUUGUUGUAUGUGAAAACAGACUUUACAUGAGAGUGAUAAUAGUGUGAAGAGAGAAGCAGAGAGGAAAGAAGCAACAGAGUCUUUUUAAAACCUCUUUUGUCUUUUUUGUUUUUCUGUUUGUAGGGUUUUUUUCAUUUUCUUUUUCCUUUUAAAAUGAAAUGAGAAAUUUUAAUUUCCGGCUAUAUUAUUUUAUUUUUAAUAAAGUAGACUGUUAAUUUAAUUUAUUUACUUAUUCAGAAAAUUAAAGUAUCUCUUUGAAGUAACAAAAACAAUCUUUUCGGAAACUAAGAAAUGUACUAGUUCUUCAUUGAGAAAAAUAAAUUUAGAAAUAUUUUCUAAAAAGCUUAUCAAAUAUUAAAUUGUUACUCAUUUCAUAAAAAAAGAAAAAAAAUUUAAUAAGUUAAUUUUAAAAAUUUGGUAAAACCAGAAAAGAGAAACGAGGGAGGAUGAAUGAGUAGUAAAGAAAAAUGGUUUCUUUGACUAAAGUUAAAUUUUACUUGUGUUCUUCUCACCUAAACUUAUUUAAAAAGAAUAUAAGUAAAUAAAAUCAUUUAUUAUAAAACAUAAUUUUCAAAGAUUUAGCUUGCAUUCACAAGUCACAAGAAUUUAUUUGAUGGAUUUAUAUAGCUACCGUUACAAAUUUUGAUUAUAUGAUUUUCUUGGAUAUAUCUUUUUUUUAUAGUUAUGGAGAAAAUAUAUAAGAUUUAAAAAGUGUUUAGUAUUUUAUUUUGUACUUAAAUAAAAAUUAUAAUUAUUAUGUACCAAAAAUAAUCUCAAACGCAAUUUACCUUCACGAAAGGUAGAAAACAUGGAGUUGACCAUUUCUAUUUAUUUUUGGUAGGCUAGAAUGAUAUGAACAUAAAAUUAUCAAUACAAAGAUUUUAAGAGUUGGACAAAAGAAUUUACCAUUAAAUAUUGUAAUGCUUACGUGGCAAUGAUCGCAAAAGCAACCGGUUAUUGCCGGUGACAACAAGUUAAGCAGAAACAAAUGGAUCAGCAAUGAAUAAUAGAAAAUCCAACGUUCACAUUUUUUAGCCAAAUCGUUGAAAGGGCCCACUCAAAUGUGGUCCCACCCACCCCACACGAAACUCAAAACACACGCUCGUUUUGCGCUUAUCUUGUGAACUUCAAUUUCCCCUUCCACUUUACACUUUGUAUAUUGAACUACAUUACAUAUUUAUGUAAAAUAGCAAUUCUCCUCCCUUUGAAUUAGUUAAUGAGACGUGAGUUAAGCAUAAUACUUAAUUUUACAUAAAUUUUAUAUAUAUAGAGUAAUUUCAAACGCAAUAAAUUGUAAAAGUUAUUGAUAUUGAGUAUUUCUCAGGUUCAGAAGUUAUUUUAUUUUAUUAUAGAUUUUAAAGUUAAAACUUAGAUAAUUUGAAUUUUUAAAGUAAUAAAAUUUUGGAACUUGAAAUUGUACUUGAAUAUGCAUUUUACUCGAAAAGAAAUAGAACUUUUAUGAGUGACAACAUUUUAUCAAAUUUUAUAUUCAUAUAAAUAUUGGAAUAUCAUUUUUCAUAAUUUUAUUGAAAAUUUAUAAUCAAACAUCAAACACCAGCUACAUAUUUUCCGGAGGAAACAUAUUUGACAGAAGAGUCCUAUAAGACUUGAUGUCGACGAACAAUAUUUUCAUCAAAACAUCCCAAUCUUUCGAUACAUUUAUUGCCCACUUUUAUCUUAUUCAUCAAUUAUGAGUGAAAGAUAUAAUUCACUUUGGUGAUAAUAAGGAAAUUAAAGCUAGAUCCAAAUAUAAACGAGCCACUAAAAUAAAAAUAAUUUUUAAUGAUAAUAAAUAUACAUAUUAAUAAAGAAUGUUAAAAUUUUUAUUUGAUAUAAGUUAAAUGAUAUUGAAUUUAAUAUCGCUAUAAACUUUAGAUAUAUUUAUAGAAAAUGUUAAUUACUCUAAAAAAAUUUAUAUAUUUAAUAAUAAUUAAAUUAUUAUCGUUAAUCGAUCGACGCUGAACGUAAUUUUAUUUUUACUUUGUAACCCAUAUUUUAUCAUGUUCUUUUCUUUAUUGUGAAAUGUAAUAUGCUUUCCAAUCCAAUUCCUCAGGUUGAUGCAUGUUUUCUUGUCGACUUAUCCACUGUCCCUAGUGUCAUAUUUUUAGGUUUAUUUAUACAAUUUUUAAUUAAUUAGUCAACUUUACACCGAAAAAAAAAAUGGAUAUUGAAAAAAUUCCAAAGAGUUAAUGAGUAAUUUGAAGUUGGAAAUGGCGUGAUAGGUGGGCAUAUGAUAGGAAUGAGAAUAACUUAAUAUGGUUGGUUAUCUAUUAUUUUGGGCAUAUAUAUUGUUUUUCCUAAAAUAAAAGUGACGGGGGCAAGCUGUUUACCAGCUAAUUAUAAUAAAUAAUAAACCAAAAUUCUAGUAUAUUGAAAAUGGAAAAUAAUAGUCAAUAUUUUAUCUGUUUUUUUUUUGUAGAAAAUUGAUUAAUUUAUUAGCUUAAACGGUGCAUUUCUUUUUUAGUUCAUUUCACACACAAAAGAAUGGUCAAAGUCCAUAUACCUUUUAUGGAUACAAACUGAUAGAUACAAAGAUUUUCAGAAAUGUAUUUAGGUAGUUAAAGCAUCAUUAUUUGAAUCUUAAAUCAAGAAAUUAUGAGGAGCUAGGCUAUCAUAGUUACAUUUAACGUGAUUUGAGCCGGAUUUUAUUAUCUUGAUUGAGACUCCCAAAACAAAUAGAUUAUGAUAAUAAUAAUAAUAAUAACAAAGUAGUAAUUAGAAUAAUUGAGUGGUCCACUUAUGUCUUUUUAUGGUGUGUUUCAUCUAAUUAAUCUUGUUCUGGGGUGCUUGGGCCACUUAUAAGGUCAGUGUCAUGGAACAACUCAUUUUGUAGUCGUCAAUGGAACGUUUGUUGAAGUAGGUAAAAUUGGAUCCAAGACUUCUACAUGAGCGGGGAAUCGAUGAUUUAUAUCACCAUUUGUUCAAUGUGAUUAAUACUCUUUUCGUUUUAUUUUAUGUGAGCUAGUUUGAUUCGAAAUAAAAUUUAUAAAAAUAUAAAGCAACUUUAAAACGUGUAGUUCAAAAUGACUCAUAGAAAUUUAUGUGCCUAUAAAUCAUUUCAUUAAGGAUAAAAUAAAUAUUUUUUAGUUAAAUUAUUACUUAAUAUAGAAAUUUGUAAUUAUUUUCUGGACCGACUAAAAAGAAGAACAAAUCACAUAAAUCGAAAUAGAGGAGUAUUAAUUAUUUUUAGAAAUGUAUAUUUUUCUUUAUAGAAAAUUAUUUUCUAAUGUUUGGUUAUGAAAACUUUUUUUGUUACAAUAUUUAUCAAAAUAGAGAAAUUGAUUUUAAUACUUACGGGAAAAAGUACAUUUGACCUCUUAAAGUGAUGUUGAGGUGAGUAACAUAAUGCCAAAAAAUGACAAUGAGUUUAUAACAAAAACUUAUGGAACAUGUACAAAUGGUUAUGGUUCAUUUCUUGAAGAAAAUGUGACUUGUGUUCGUAUGGAUAAAAACAUGUUCAUAUAUUGUUGGAUGAAUGUCACAUCUCACCUCUACGGGAGAUUUGAGAGAUUGAAAGAAAAUAUUUUGACAUAAAUGGUCAUUUUGGUCAUAUAUAUACUUUGAGUACUACAUAAAUAUUGUGAUAUGUUUUAUUAUGAACUAUUGGAGGGAAAAAGAAAGAAAUAAAUAUUUUCGGUAAAGAUUGUGGCGUUGACCAAAAUAAAUGUUAUUGUGUGGCAACACAAAUUAUUGGUUAUCAAGAAAUAAGUCUUGAAUGUAAUAAUUUUAAACAUGAUAAUAAUAAUAAUAAUUUUCUCUUUGAAGAAGAUGGUCACCAUAAGGAUGAAAUUGUGAAAAUUGUGGUUGUACACAAAAUUAAUUGAGAGUUCCGGAAGAACUAAUUUGUUACUAUCCGGAGGGAUGGAAUUGUUCAUAAUAUUGAGAUUGUAGUGAGUCUCAAAAGAAAAUUAAGUUUCAGAAAAAUUGAAAAGAGAAAUAAUAUAUUGAGAAUAUAAAUUAUUGGAAGAUUUAAUAUCUUCAAAUUACUACAAGAAAAGUGAGUUGUAAAUUUUUAUAUAUAUGAUACCCAUUUUUUCCCUCUUAUUUGUUGUAUACAAACAUGGGCAUCCUGAUGGAAUCACAUGCAAAAGUCAACUAGAAGUUUACUAGAAUAAAUAUCAGUUGGCACAAUCGGUUGGCCAUCUGAUUCAAAUGUGAUGCAAAAGAAAUUGAGAAUUCACGUGCCUAUAUGUUGAAUAAAUAAAAGAUUCUUCAAGAAUUCUCUUUUUGUAGCUUGUUCUUGCGAUAAAAUAAUCAUUGUACCAGUUAAGGGUGUGAUUGUAUCCCCUGAAAUUAUUUGGAACAUAGAAAAAGGUGAAUAUAGGCCGGUUCACCUGCCAUGUGGACCAUUUACUAUUCUGAUUUAAUAGAUGCAUAUAUGGUAUGGUCACAUGCGUAUUUGUAUCAACUUACAAAUUGAAUUUUGUAAGGUUGUUUGCUCGAAUUAUUAAAUUAUAAAGAGCACAGUUUCAAACUAUAAAAUCAUGUUGAUAAUGCUUGUUGGUUAGCAUAAAUUGUAUACCUCUAAUUAUUGCUAGACCAUUAAUUAUGAGAACGAAUCUCUCAAAUAAGAUUUGAUAUGAGAUGAAUUUAUUUAACAUGUAUGCAUCAAACCAACAAGAUCUCCCAACACAAUUGGUUCAGGGUCAGGAACCAAAUAAUUUCCAUCUAAAAAUUUGACAUGUGCACAUAUGAUUUUAUUGCUCUACUAUGCUCAAAGAUGGAUCCCCAAUUGAGGUUGAGGGGUGAAUGUUAGAUUUCCUAACAUUAGAAGGAGAUAUGUGUAGGUGAGGUGAAUUAUCUAGAUCCUCGUUAAGAAAAAUGUGAACUUGAAGUUCAAGAGAUAAUUCAUUUGCAAAAUGUUGCAAGUAAUUUGCCAGAUGUAAUUUCUGACCCAAUAUUUUCAUUAAGCUGCAAAUGCUCCAAUGAAUAGUCCUUCAAGGACAGAGUGUAUGGUACGCUAGAAGCGUGAUAGACCAAUCAAUUUCAAAUGUAAAACUCCUUGAUAAAGGAGAGGAGCAAAUUAUCAAAAUGGUCAUUGAUAAUGAGGUAAGUGCUUCGAAAGAGCACUAUGACAUAACACUUCAUAAAACCUUGGUGAAGGUUCAGGUACCUGAAAAUGAUGAAUGAUUAAGAGAUCUCGAUAAGUUAUGUCGUAUUGGAAUUAAAUCAAAAUGACCAUCGACGAUAUAUUUGAUAUGAAGUAGCACUGAAUGUUAUAAAUGAUUACGAUGAUCUUAAACUGGAAUAUAGUGUGGACAGAUAAAUGAUUAUCCAAAUAAUAUGCACUAUUCAAGUAUAUUUUGUUUCACUUAAAAAAGUGAUGUUUUUGAACUUAUAGUUCAUAGAUCAAAAUAUAUGCCAGUUGGGUACAAAUGAAUUAUUUUACGAAAGUAUAACCGUAAGAUAUAAAGUACGAUUUGUGCCUCGGAUAAUAGAGAGUUUUCGCAAAAAUCCUAACAUUAUUGAAUGGAGAUAUGUUCUCUAGCGGUGGAUGCAAUAAGACUUGUUUCAGUUUGACAAUAGAUGAAAUACUUGAAUAUGCAUAAUGAUUGAUUAUUACGUCUAACUAGACGAUGAAGGUUAUACAAAAAUCCUUGAAGGAUUUAAAAGGUCUUAAAGCAAUUCCAUUGAGUGCCCAAUGGUUUUGAGUUUGCUUAACACAAAGAAAUAAUCUUUUCAACCUCAUGAAAAAUGGUUUAAACUGUUAUGUAUUGGUGCAAUUGAUGCACUUACAGAUUGCUGGUUAUGCAAAAGUUCAAAGAUGUGUGAUUUUCUUUGAGAAGAAAAGACGAGCUUCAAUAAAAUUGAUUAAUCUCUCAUCAGUCAAAAUGAUUUGAUUAUGUAGAUGUAGAAUAUUUAUUUGAUUACAAAAAGAUCGAUUGCAAAAGAGCUAUUUGCUUACAUAUGGUAGCACAACAAUAUUUUGGCAUUCAACAUACAUUGGUAACCACUUCUUCAAAUCGUACAGAAAUAAUACUGAUCUUUGAAGUAAGUUGGGGUGUGUUUGGUUGGAAUCAUAAUCUAUCAUAUUUAGAAAAUAUGUGAUUUUCCAGCCACCAUAUAUGACAAUAGUAUAUAGCUCAAUUGAAGGGAGGAUAUAAUCAAAAGAGAUCGAACAAAGUAUAGUUCAUUAAAAGUAUUUCAAACAUGAUCUUCAACAAAAUGGUGAUAUAGACGUUCAAAGGUUUAUUCACGUGAUAAUCUUGUAAACUUAUUGAUAAUCUUGUAAACUUAUUCACUAAAGAUUGCCAACAUCAAUAUUUGGGAAGUUGUGAUACAAGAUUGGAAUGCAUUGUUUUCGAGAUAUCAAGUGAAGUUUUUAUCAGGGGAGAAAAAUACGUGUUGUACUCUUUUACUUAACCAUGAUUUUGUCCCAAUUGAAUUUUCCUGGUAAGGUUUUUAAUGAGGCAACAUUUAAAGCAUAUUAAAAGAUAUGUGUACUCUUUUUCCUUCACUAGGAUUUUUUUCCAUAGGUUUUUUUUCUAGUAAGGUUUUAACGAGGCAUGUUAUCUAUAGACAUCCAAGGGAGAGUGUUAUAAAACAGUAUAAUAUGGAUGUCCACUACACCAAGAAGUUACUCACCCAUUAUCUCCACUAUUUUCCUCAUUAUGAAGAUGACCAUAACCUCCAGAACCUCCACCUUUAUAACCAUUAUUCUUGUAACAUUUCACUUUCAUAACCUCCUGUUUAUGACUAACCUUUUGUAUGCCUCUAUGCUACACUAUAAAUAGAGGCAUAAGGGUUCCUAUUGUAUACACUUGAAGAUUUGAUGAAUACUUUGAUGAAUAAGAAAAGCUCUCAUCUCUUGUCUCUCUAUUUCUAUUGCUUUCAUCUUCUAUAUUUCUUAUCUUAUUUUGCUUUAGUUUUACAACAUAAACAUAAUUAUGUGAAUUGCCUUGUUGUGAUUAAUUGAUUGAUGAAAUGCUUGACAACAUAAAUGAAUUGGAUGAAUUGUUGUCUCUUCCAUGUGGUGAGAUAUUGCUUGUAUACAUUGAUUAUUGAACACGAAGAUGAGACAUGUGAUAGUUUGAUGUAGUGGUCCUUUUUGAAAAAUGUUUAUAAUGUCGAGAUCAUUGUCGGUGAGUGAUAUAAAGCCAAUGAAAAAUAAAAAAUUGUUUUGGCUAGUGAUAUAAAGUUUAUGCGAAAUAGUUCAGGCUAGUGAUUUGAUAUAAAGCUGAUGAGAAAUGGUUUCGUCUAGUUAUUUGAUAUAAAGUCUAUUAAAACUAGUGACUUGAUAUAACGCCGAUGGAAAUUGUUUCCGAUUAGUGAUAUUGUACCGAUGAAAAAUGGUUCUACUGAGAGAUUGAUUAUUGUGACUUAACACAUUUGAUUCUUAUGUAUGACUUGCUUGUAAUUAUGAUUGAUGCACUUGUUGCGUGUGACUGGUCUACUUAAAAUUGAGAUUGACUUGUUUGAUUCAUUGGAUUGUUGAUUUGUGACUAUUGAGUUGCGAAUAUUGAACCGUGUGAGUCAUGUAUUGUAGAACUGUUAUGUUCGACUGAUUUUUGUGUAGGUUGUAGUUUGAGGAGGUUCGAUUGGAAUGUAAAGGAUACUUGAUUUCUAGCUAGAGAUGCCUUGUUUAUUAGGUUGCUUGCUAAGUUCCGUCUUGUUAGUACUCACCCCUUGCUCCUACACUUGUAUAGCUUUCGAGUCCGGUCCCAUGUGGUCUCUUUCACCUUAAUCUAAUUUUGAGGUUCAUCAAAAAUUGGGGAGACGACUGCUUGUCUCUUCAGCAGGCCCUCAUUUUACUUUUUUUUAUAUAUACUUUGUUCUAUUUCUUAAUUUUGCACUUUAUGAAUUAGUAGCUUGUACACGUGACAAUCAAAUUUUGGGGGGUUUGAUAGAAGGAUUAAGGUUUCUUGCUUUAUAUUUCUGCAUUUCUUUCAUUUUUGUUGGGUUGAGCUGACUUGUCUUGGUGGGAAUAGACAAAUCAUCACGUGUGUUUUUGGGCCGUGACAAUAACAUAUUCAAACUUCUAAACUCACUUAGAAAGGUAAACUCAAUCAUCACCGUACGACAUAAUAUGAAAUUUAAAGUGUAGAUUAUACAUUUAUAUUUAAAUAUUUUUUUAAAAAAUAUAAUACUUCUCUAUUUAAUUUUGGAAGAAGAACAUGGAUUCACGUAAACAUGGUGACCUCGUUAGAAUACACCCUGAUUGAUGGGAGUAUUCGAUAGAGACUAACCACCAGGAGGGAAAAUAGAAAAUAGUUUAGGUCUUUACCUCGAGUUUUUGACCAAAAUCAUUCUCAAACUACAUCCUUAAAACAUCAUUAUUAGCAGAAAACAUCCUUCAAGUAUUUAAAAGUGAACAAUUUUAAUCAUUCUACUUGAAUAAUAAAAAAAACUAACAAAUCCCACAAAAAUCAAGUCAUGCCUUCGUAAUUAUUAUUCUUAGAUAUGCCAAAAAUUCUGUUGUGUAUUUUUUUGAUAAUUUGAGUUUAGCAUGAUCCAAAAUUUUUUAAUUUGACAAUUUUUUUUUCGUGUAAAUUUAUUAAAAAUAUUAUUAGUUGAAUUUGUUUCUUCUCAAUUGAAUAGUAGAAGCGGCGUUCAUUGAAAAGUUCCGUUUCAAAUAAUGUAGCAUAAAACUCAAAUACGAGACAUAAUAUUCUAUCACUUUAAUGUCAGAUUGACCCAAAAAUAUAUUGGUCUAAAUAUAAUUUGACCAUGAAAAAGGUAAAAAUAAUUAGAUCCAACUUUUUUCUGUUACUAAAUGAGAAAAAGAGCAAAUAAUGUAUCCUCACACUAUAUUUUUUUUUCCGUAAGCAUUAGUGACUAAGAUUUUAAUAUUUUUUGAGAAACAUUUAAUAGAAAAUAAUGAAAUUACGUAGAAAAACUUCUAUUGAUAGUCACUUGAGCUGCUCAUGUUUUUAUAGGAUUCCUUAGUAUUUUGAUGAUAUCUAACAAAAGUACUAAAAUUAUUUACGUUUAAAUAUUUGAAAGUAUUUUCUGAUAAGAAUAAUAUUUUAAGAAUGUAAUUUAAAUUUGAGAUAAUAAUUUAAGAAUAUUUUUAACCAAAAACUCUCUUUUACCUCCAUUUUUAAAAAUUGUUAACCAUUACAUUAAGACUUCAGUACAAAAAAAAUCUUCUAAAUAUUUUAAGGAAUAAGAUCGACAGAAAAUAGAGUAAAUCAUCCCCCUUUAGGCUUUAAGUAAAAAAAAUAUAUCGCUAUAUUUUUGUGGGACUCAAUCCUAAUUUGUUUGUUUAUAAUAAUUGUCCAUGAUCGUGCUGCACUAAUUAUAAGGUGUAAUUUGAGCGAUUUAUAUAUUUUCUGUAUUUUAAAUUUAAGACUAUCAUUUUCAUUAUUUUUUUAAAUUUUGUAUUAAAUUAAAACGAUGAAAAUAAUAUUUAUCUAGAAGGUAAUAUAUAAAUCAACUUUUAAAAAAAAAUAUCUAGAGCCGUUUGGAUAGCUUUAAAAAAAUAAUUUUUAAGUCAAAAUAAAAAAUCAAACUGAAAUGAUUUUUAAAUUAAAAAAUAAAAAGUAAAAGGGAGACCUACAUUUGAUUUUUAGCCUAUUUUAAGUCAUUUAGAACUUAUCUUAAGUUUUCUUUUACCUUGUGAGCACUUUCUAACUUAUUUUAAGUCAUGUUUUGACUUAUUUAAAAAGAAAAAUGCUUAAAUAUGCCAUUUUACAUUAUUUAAAUUAGAAAACAAAAGAUUCAAGUUCGAAUAUUUCUCUUCUUUCUUAGUUCAAUGAUAUUAUUAUUUUUAUUAUUAUUUCAAAGAUAAGAAUAUGAAGUAAAAAUUUUAUUUUUUGUAAAAUGAAAUAAAAAAGAUAUAGUAACAUUAGUAACAAGAGGAACACGUUAUAUUUCUACAAUUUUAAAUAAAUAGAAAAUAAAAAUAGAAUACUCAAUCAUAAUAAAUGCAAGCAAAUACCGUCUCUUUCUUUUUCGAUAAUGUAAACAAAAAAGUCUAUGUCGGUAAAAUACUAGGAAAUUAGUAAAGAAAGAAAAAAGAAAGGAGCAAGAUUUAUUCUAUUAGAUAAAAAUUUGGCUCAUUUAUGUCAUUACCAUUAAAGUAAAAGCUCAUUCAUGCCAUUAUUUUUUAAUAAUGGUUUGCAAAAUUAUUUUUGACACGUGACCAAUUAUAAUUCGGCCACGUCAUCAAUUUUUUAAUAAAAAGAUUAAUUCAAUUUUUAUUCAGAAUUCAAUUUUUUAAAUAAAAAAUUUUUAAAAAAAAUUGAUGACGUGGCCGAAUUACAAUUGGCCACGUGUCACAAAAGAUUUUGUAAAAUCACUGUUAAAAAAUGAUGGCAUGAAUGAGUCUUUUCUUGAAUGAUAAUGACAUAAAUGAAUCAAACUUUUAACGAAUUGAUAUAAAUAAGCCUUCUCUAAAAGUUCGAUGGCAUAUUUGAGUUUUUUCUCUAAUAAUAAAGUAAAACAUAAAUAUUGAGUGCAUAAAUUUGCAGUUCCUUUUAGUUAAUAUGGUUGAUAAAUACACUUUUUCUUUUUGAUAUUCAAAAUUAUUAAACUAAUUUCUUGUGUAUAUUUGUUUAUAAUAAUUAAAUGACCUCUCUCUAUAUAUAUAACAAUAUCAUAUUAAAAUAAUUAUAAAAAUCCCAAACAAAUAUUAUCAAUAUAACGAUGUGUAACUGUAUAUUCAUCUGUGAUAAAACUAGCCUAGUUAGUUAGUAGCUUAAGUAGUGAGUUAGUUACUAAUUAGUUAGUUAGUUAUAGUUAGUUAAAGUUAGUUAGAAGUCACAUUUUUUUACACUUUGUCAAUUUGUUAAAUCUGUUAGUUUGUUGUUCAUUGAUGUGUAUGUAUACACACACAUUACAUUGAUCAAUGCAACAUAUUCCAAUUCUAAAGAAGCAACUUCUUCUUCUUCAUUCGUUAUUGUCAAUGGCUCAACCUCCAUUAAUGGAGGAAUGAGAUGCCCAGCUUACAUGCUGGUUUUGUCAUGGUAUCAGAGCAAAGUUGCUCACACUAGAUCUCUUGAUCUAGCUGUUAAUCAAUUCAUUGAUCUCUCUUGUUCAAGUCGAUCUUUUGAUUUGAUUUUUCUUCCCUUCUUCUCUCUGUUUCUUUCUUUGCCCGCUUCUUGUUAAUUCAACUUCCAUUUGUUACACUCUGUUUCUGUAAAGUUGUUUCCCAUGGGUGAUGUUUCAACUGAUGCGAACAACAAUAACUCUUUGAAGUGACCAGAUUUCAACAGUCCUUUCUAUCUACAUCCAUCUGAGAAUGCUGCUUCUACUUUGCUCCCUGUGGUGUUUGAUGGAACUAGCUAUAGAUCAUGGAGACGAGCAGUUCUUAGAGCUUUGUCUGUUAAGAAUAAAACUGGUUUUAUUAAUGGCAAGGUAGUGAAGCCAAGCUUUACAGAACCAUCAUUCAUGCAGUGGGAAAGAUGUGAUGAUAUGGUGACAUCUUGGAUCCUAAAUUCCCUCUCCCCAGAGUUGCGAGAUAGCCUACAGUAUGUGAAUAAUGCUAAGGAUUUGUGGGAGGAAUUGGAAGAUCGAUAUGAUCAGACUAAUGGAUGCAAAUUCUAUCAAUUACAGAAGGAAAUAAAUGAUUUGGUACAAGGUGCUUUAGAUGUCACUUGUUACUAUACAAAAAUGAAGAAAUUAUGGGAGGAGAUGAGUGCAAUUGAUGUAAAUUCACAGUGUAGUUGUGUGUGUUCUUGUGGAGGAAAGGUGAAAAUGUAUAAGGUUGAGCUAGAUAGAAGACUUAUAUAUUUUCUAAUGGGGCUAAACAAAAUGUAUACUGCUGUGCGAGGGAACAUGCUUAUGAUGCCCAUUUUGUCUACAAUGGCACAAGCAUUUGCUAUUCUAUCACAGGAGGAAAGGCAAAGGGAGAUGAAGCCUAUAAACCAUAUGGAUUUGGAGUCUACCUCACUGAAUGCCUCUAUGUCCUCUCAAAAUAAUGCAACUAAUUCUAGUUCUUACAAAGGAAGUACAAGUAGGGGUAAUGGGAACGAUAACAGCACUGGUUACAAUAACAAUAAUGCUUUUAGGGGGAAUUCUAAUACUGGAAAUAGAUCAAACAUGUUUUGUGAAUAUUGCAAACGAUUUGGACAUGUCAAAGACAGGUGCUACAAACUCCAUGGUUACCCAACCAAUAUAAGAAAUCCAAGAGGAAGAGGCAAAGGAUCUGCAGCAAAUAUACACACUUCUGAAGGUGAUAGUAGUCAGUGUGAAGAGAAUUUUGAGCAGGGAAAACAAGUACCAGUGAAUAUGUCAAAGGGCCAAUAUGAACAAUUACUCAAUCUACUUGGAAACUUGCAUGUUGGGAAUGAAUCUGAUUACUCAAACAAUAUGUCUAGUGGAGCUGCAGGCCUAGCAGGUAUACUUGCUUGCUACUCUUCCAUCAGUAAGAUAGGUGAUUUGUCAUGUAAAUGUGAUAAAUUGACUGCUGGCUCUUGGAUAAUUGAUUCAGGGGCAUCUCACCAUAUGACCUACACAAAAGACAAUCUCACAAACCUUAAUACUCUACUUUAUCCUUUUCUAAUCACCUUACCAAAUGGAUACAAAGUUAAAGUGACUGAAAUUGGUGAUGUGUGUUUGAAUUCAACAUUAAUUCUGUAUAAAGUGUUGUACAUACCUAGCUUCAAGUUCAAUUUAAUAUCAGUUUAUUGUUUAGCUAAUCAACUUAAAGGAGUAGUCUGUUUUAACAAUGGUUCUUGCUUACUGUAGGGCCCUUCGAAGAGCCCUCUGGCACUUGGUAAGGCAAAGAAUGGUUUGUAUUUCUUUUGUCCAAAGUGUCACAUUCUAUCUGCAAAUGAUAAUGAUGCUUCUCAUCAAAGGUGUCAAUCUGUUUUUCUUCUUAACUACUGUAAAAGGUCUUCAUUACCAUGUAUAAAACCUUCUCAUAUAAUCAAUAAAGAAGCCUGUUCUAUUGAUCACAUUUCAAGCUCAGCUGCUAAUCUUUCUGUCAGUCAAGGCAAUGAAUUCUUAUGGCAUGCUAGAUUAGGACAUAUACCUUUUGUAAAAAUGAAAAAUAUAUCUACUAUUACUUUAAAGUUUUCUAACAAGCAACCUUUUACUUGCACAAUUUGUCCAAUGGCUAGACAAACUAGAAUGCCUUUUCCAGAAAGUGUCACUGCAACUAGUUCAAUAUUUGAACUGUUGCAUGUUGAUUUAUGGGGACCUUAUAAUGUACCAACUCAUGAUGGAUAUCACUACUUCUUAACUAUGGUAGAUGACUACAGUAGAGCCACUUGGACACAACUUCUUAGGUGUAAAAGUAAUGUUCUACAUACUAUAAAAGCUUUCAUAUCUUUGAUAGAAAAUCAAUUUCAUACUAGAUUAAAAACCAUCAGGUCUGAUAAUGGCUUAGAGUUCUCAUGUUUUGAGGCAACAUGUUUCUUCCAAGAGAAAGGCAUAAUACAUCAGAAAACAUGUCCUUACACAGCACAACAAAAUGGGGUUGUAGAAAGGAAACACAAAGACCUUCUUGAGACAGCAAGGGCACUGUUAUUUCAAUCAAAAAUGCCUAUGAGAUAUUGGGGAGAAUGUGUGCUGACUGCCACUUAUUUGAUCAAUAGAUUGCCUACUAAACUACUUCAAGAAAAAUCUCCAUAUGAACUGUUAUAUCAAAAGAAACCAGUCUAUUCUCAUCUUAGAAAUUUUGGAUGCCUUUGUUUUCCAACUACCUUAAAGACUCAUAAAGACAAAUUUGAACCAAGGGUUGUGCCUCACAUUUUCAUUGGAUAUCCUUUUAAUACAAAAGGGUACAAGGUCUUAAAUUUGGCUACCAAGAGAAUUCAUGUGUCUAGAGAUGUUCUUUUCUAUGAAACUGUUCUUCCUUUUGUUAUUGCUCCUAUUGGUUCCAACUUUAAUUCUGUAUUACAAUUGGUUAUUCAUUAUUCUAAUAAGUUGCCUUGCAUGUCUAGUAAAACAACUACUUCUAUUGAUGAUGAAAUGUUGAAUUUCCACACACUUGAUGAAGUCACUUGUGAUCAAGAUUUUAUAUCUGAAGAAACACCUAUCACUGAACCUACAACAUCCUCUACUAAACCAAAUCUAUCUGUUCUUACACCUAUAACUGAAUCCACAGCAUCUCCUAUAGAAUCAAAUGUGUCUGUCCUUGAUAGUGCAUCCCUUACACCUAGAAGAACAACCAGAUCUUGUCACCCUCCAAGGUACUUAAAAGAUUACACCUAUUCAUUACCUAAGCUACAAUCCCCUUCACCUAUAAAUAAUGCCAGUGAUUCUCAGCAGUCACUCACAUCAUUCACAAAUCACCCUGAUCAUGUUUGUUUCUCCACACUUUGUUCUGAGAGUCAGCAGUUGAUUCAUAAUGUUUCACAUGAUAUUGAACCCACAUCUUAUGAAGAGGCAAUCCUGAAUCCAGCCUGGCAAGCAGCAAUGAAACAAGAAUUUGAUGCAUUGUAUGCUAAUAACACUUGGGAACUAGUUAAGAUGCCAAAGGAAAAGAAUGCUAUUGGAUGUAAAUGGGUGAAUAAGAUCAAGCAUAAGGCAGAUGGGAGCAUAGAGAGAUACAAGGCCAGACUAGUGGUGAAAGGAUAUACUCAACAAGCUGGGAUAGACUACAUUGAAACUUUCUCACCUGUGGUUAAAAUGACUACAGUUAGAACACUCAUUUCACUGGCUGUUAAGAAAGGUUGGAACUUGUAUAAAUUGGAUGUUAAUAAUGUCUUCCUACAUGGUGAUUUGCAUGAAGAGGUGUAUAUGGCUCUACCCCCAGGACUAGUAGUGGAUAGUAAUGACAUGGUCUGCAAAUUAAAGAAGUCUCUAUAUGGUUUAAAACAAGUAGUAGACAAUGGUAUGAGAAGCUGGCCAAUAGUCUUUGUUCAAAAGGUUACAUUCAUUCAGACAGUGAUUACUCACUGUUUUACAAGAAAGAUGGCAAAUUUUUAGUGUUUGUGGCUGUAUAUGUUGAUGACAUCAUCUUAACUGGCACUGAUAUAAAGGAGAUUGAGUCUUUGAAGUUCUUCUUGCAUGAGAAAUUCAGAAUAAAAGACUUAGGGAGAUUACACUACUUUCUUGGAUUAGAGAUAUUGUACAAACAGGAUGGUGUUCUUAUUUCACAAAGAAAGUUCACUCUUGAUCUUUUGAAGGAAUUUGAUUCUAUGCACUACAAGCCUACCACUUCACCAUUGGAUCCUACUGAAAAACUGAGGCUCACAGAAGGCAAACUACUAUCAGAUCCUACUUACUACAGAAAAUUUGUGGGAAAGCUUAAUUUUCUUGCUAAUACAAGAAUGGGUAUAGCAUACAGUGUCCAGCAUCUUAGUCAAUUCAUGCAAUCUCCUAGAGAACCUCAUCUAAAGGCAGCUUAUCAUGUACUCAGGUAUCUACAACAUGAUCCUACUUUGGAAAUUUUUAUCAAUAAUAAACCUGAUGUCACUAUUAGUGCCUAUUGUGACUCAGAUUGGGCUUCUUGUCCUGAUUCAAGGAAGUCUGUGAGUGGUUAUUUGGUUCUCAUGGGAGAUAGUCCUAUCAGCUGGAAAUCUAAGAAGCAACUCACAGUGUCACUUUCAUCAGCAGAAGCUGAAUACAGAGCCAUAAGACAGGUGGUAGGAGAAGUAGUGUGGCUGGAAAGGUUACUUGGUGAACUCUCAAUGACAGUGUCCUUACCAAUACAUGUAUUUUGUGACAGCCAAGCAGCAGUACACAUUGCUAGGAAUCCAAUAUUUCAUGAACGAACUAAACACAUAGAAGUUGAUUGCCAUUUCGUCAGGACAAAGCUACAAGAAGGACUGAUCACACUCCAAUACAUUCCAACAGAUUCUCAGCUAGCUGAUGUCUUCACCAAGGCUUUAACUGGGGUCAACAUACUAGUUUACUGAGCAAGUUGUCUGUAAGAAUCUUACUUCCAACUUGAGGAGGGGUGAUAAAACUAGCCUAGUUAGUUAAUAGCUUAAGUAGUGAGUUAGUUACUAAUUAGUUAGUUAGUUAUAGUUAGUUAUAGUUAGUUAAAGUUAGUUAGAAGUCACAUUUUUUACACUUUGUCAAUUUGUUGAAUCUGUUAGUUUGUUGUUCAUUGAUGUGUAUAUAUACACACACAUUACAUUGAUCAAUGCAACAUAUUCCAAUUCUAAAGAAGCUUCUUCUUCUUCUUCUUCUUCAUUCGUUAUUAUCAAUGGCUCAACCUCCAUUAAUGGAGGAAUGAUAUGCCCAGCUUACAUGCUGGUUUUGUCAAUUUGAAGAACACAUGAUAUACAAAAAAUACUUACUCGUAUGUGAUUAUAAAUAAAUCAAGCAAUAAACUAUAUUUGUGAUCACUAUUAUUUUAAGUGAGAAUUGAAAUAUCGUUGGAAUAGUAACAAAAUUAGGUUCAUCCGCAUGCUAAUGACCCUCCUCUUCAACACUUAUAAAACAACAACAUAUUUGAUUGUAGUAGUCGUGGGAAGGAAAUUGAGGCUUUAUUUAUUUGUGCUUAGUGAAAAUUUGAAUGCUUUAAAUAUUAAAUUAUUUAAAAUAUUUGUUUUUAUUAAGAUUUAAGUACUUAAUUGAUUUAAAUAGAUUUUAAAUAAAAAGUUAGUAUCAAUCAAUAAUAUCUUGUAUAAAUAAUAUUUGUCACUAUUUUAUUUAUAGUCAGUUGUCACUGUUACUAACUACAUCUAUCAUCAAAACUAUUACCAUUGUCAAUCACCAUUCACCUUCGUCAUCACAAUUACUACUAACAACCACAAUUGAUGCCAACCAUUAAUUGCUACUAUUCGUACCACCUUAUCAUUAUAAUUAUAUUCAUUAUCACUAUCAUUAUCACUGUCAAUCACUAUUACUGUAAUCAAUUCCUAACAUCAACACAUUGUCAAUCACCAUAUAUACUUCGACUACCACCAAUAUCGUUGUCGCCAUCACUUCCACCUCCACCAUCACUAUAAAUCAUAUCAAAAUGGUUAAUCCUUACUAUCAACUACCUCCAACAUCACAAUUAGCAUCGCAGCCAACUACCAUGCCAACACAUCGUCAACCACCAAACAUUCUUUAACCACCACCAAUUACUAAUAUCAACCAACUUCACAAUCACUGUCACCACUAGUAGUUGCCACCAUCAUGACAGUCACUACUACAUCAACCACCUCCGUCGCAAUUAUCACUAUCACUUUUACGAGCCACUAAUUACCAACUAUUAUCAUUAUCACUAUAAAUCAUCUAUGUCAUCACCGGUGUACAUAAAUGUUGCUUUUUAAUUCAAUAGUAAUAAAUCUAUAUUUUUUCCUGAUAUUUAAUAUGUUUAUAUAUAUUUAAAUUAUUCACAUUCAUAAAUUGUAUCACAUCGAUGGCAUCCUAAAGUUGGCACUAAUUUUCACUUAGACACUCCAACUAGACUUUGUUCAUUUUGGACAUCUCAUAUCAUGUCCCGCUGUGUCAUUUUGACACUUUUUGCUGACAUGACAUAGUGAGUGUGAUACACUCCUUACCAGCGUGGAGAGCUUAUAUUUAACCUGCUUUAUUUAAUUUUUUCUUCUUAAUCUCCAUUUUAGCCACCAUUUUCAAAACUUAAACUCCUUCCAUGGAUAAAUAGAUCUAAUAGUGCUACAACACCAAGAAAUUUCAAGCUUAAAUAACUUUUUUUUUAUUUUGUUGUCAUUCUUCCUUGAAAUGUUUUGAAAAAAAAUUGAAAUAUAUUUUCUUGAAAGAAAAUCUAGAAAAUUCUUUAGGGAACUUUUUGUUUAAAUUUGAAGAAUUUGAUUUUAUUUGAAUUUUAUAAGUAAGAGGAAUCAAUUUUUGCAAAGAAAUUGUGCUUUUGUAAAUAAUUCCUUUCAAAUAGUUAAAUUACUAUAAAAAUAUAUGAAGAGAAUUAAAACAAUCUAGGAUAGGGGGUUGUGGAAUGUGAAGAAGACAAUCUGGUGGGGGAGAGGUUGAGUUAAAAAUUAUUUUCAAUAUAUAUGUCACAUGUCUUUGUUUAAUUCAUCAUUUUGACACGUCAUCGACGAGUAUGUUAUACACACCUUACAUAUUUGACUGAUUAUAAAAAAAAUGACAAAAUGACAUAUCAAAACAUGACAUGAGGUAUCUAAAAUAGACAAAACCUAAUUGAGAUGUCUAAAUGAAAAUUAAUACCAACUUUAGAAAGCUAGCGAUGAGUUAAUCUUUUAUAAAAACAAAUGAAGCUUUAGUGAGGCUAAAAUUUUUAGGCAUUAGCCCCAACAUCAAUGCGGAGUUCUAAAGCACUUUAAGAUUUAGAAAGAGCCUCAAUUUUUUAGGCAAAAAGUCUUUGUUGCAAAAAGGACCUUAUAGUUAAGUACUUCAAUCAGUGAGACAGAAAGUGUUUUUGUUCAAUCCAUGAACAACAAAAUGGUACUUGUACAAAAUAGGAAAUCAUAUAUAUCAGUGGACUAUAGGAAAUGUGGUUAAUUAGUUUAGGAUUAAAACCAAAGCUAUCACUUCUUUUAAAGAUAUAUAAAGGAGUACUCUAUUGCGAUGAGAAAUUUUGUGAGGUAAAAUACUACCUAAGCAUCAAAAGAAAAUUUUAUUUCUAAGACUCAAACUCGAGACUCUAGUUAUCGAUUAAGACAUAUUUACUCCUCCACCUCUGUGAUGGAGAUUGAAUUGUGAGAAAAGCUGGUAUAUAUUGGUAAUUAAUUAAGACAGGAAAACAUUUUCUUAUUAAUAAUAAUAAAGCGAAAGUAGUUCUAUGUUAGUCAAUUUUAUAAUCUUUUAUAACCCUGUUCUUUAUUUUAUGUCCUUCCGAUAAGAAUAUUUUAUAACAUGUCGAAAAUCUAAAAUAUAUUCAAUUAUAAUUUACAUUGAAAUUAUAAGGGAUUGUGUCCACUCCUUUGCUGCUCCCUUAAUGGUAAGAUUGGUUGUAGAGCACAAAACAAAAUAACAUCAUGAUUUCAAGGCAUAAAAAGGGGUAGUAUGCAUUAGAGAAAGUACAGUACUAGAGUUUGUAGUAUUACUUUUUUAUUUGAUAUAAAUUACAAUAGAUUGAUAUCUAUUUAAUAUUAUUUUAUGUAUAACUAAUACAUAGCAAAUCAUGAUAUUAGUAAUAGAAGUGUUUUUAUACGUGCAUAAGCAUUGUUUUGGAUGGAGGAUAUUUUAUAAAUAAAAAAAUUAUACAGUACAUGUUAUUUUUUAUAUACAAAAUCAAAUAGUAAAUAACGUAUAAUGUCAACAUAACUAUCUCUACCUCAACAUUAUUAAUAUACGUUACUCAACAUUAUAUUACUAUUUUUAUACAUUUUAUUAAAACACUCUGAAAUGGUCCAAUUCUAUGAGGUAAAUGAAAAACUGAAAAGAACAAGACUCAGGCGUCUCAAGUGCAAUAAAUAUAGGAGUAAUAACAAACUGAAAGAGAAAAGGAGAAAGUCAAUGAAAUUAGUAUGUAAACAUUACGUAAAGAAAACAGGUACUCCCAAUUUUAUACAUUCAAUAAGGAUCCGUUUUAUAAUACCCAUAAACCUGUAUUAUUAUUUAAAUGGAAAAAAAAAGUUAUGCAGAAAAGGAAAAGCAAAGAAGAAUAUUAAAUAAUAUAUCAGAAUUUUAUAUAAAGUCGAGCCCAAUUAUAUACUAUUUUAACUAUGAGAAGAAUGGUCCAAAUGGUUCUGUCAAUUCUAUAUAUUUUAUUAUUUAAUAUGAGAGCUUUUCUUUUUUGUCUCUAAUAUUAAAAAAAUAUAAUAAUAGUAUAAAUGAAAAGGUGACUUGAGCUCUGAUUAUCAGUUUAAAUAUUUUUGAAUGUUUGACUACUUUGAAUUUAGCGGGAAAAAAAUAUUUAUGUAAUAUAAAAAUUAUAAAUUUAUUUUGUUUUCAGAAGAUGAGAAAUCAUUAAUCAAUUUGGUGUAGCCUGUAGCAUUAGGUGUUUUUCGAGUCACGGUCCACAAUAUAGGCCCAAAUUAUCCCAAUGAUCUGGGCCUGAACUUUGAUAUUAAUGGCUAUCUGGGUGAAACUAUUGACAUCGGAUAGUUCGAAAGGCUUAGAUCAAUUUUCAUAUAUGGCAAACAUAAAAAUUAUAUUUGAAUGUUAUAGUCAUAGUUUGUAUAUUUACGUUCCAUGAUAAAUUUUAUGUUUGUUAUGGAGCAUCAGAUUGUAUAGCUCGCUGGCAAUGCUUCAGAUUUGUAUAAUUUCGGUGGUAGGUCAUUUGUAUAAAUCGUUGGCAUAAAUCGCUGACAGCCUCUCAAAUUUUAUUUUAUUUGUUUGCAUAUCUGCAUAAAAUUUGAAUUUAUAUAUAAUUGAAUCGAAAUAAACUAUUUGUAUAUCGAAUCUCUCUCUCGCUUUAUGCAACAAUAAUUAUACAUUGUAAUUUGUAUAAUUUGUGUUUGUAUAAAGUGAGAAAGACAAAAGAGAACUGGAUAGGAAAAGAUCUGUAUUUGUAUCAUUAUAAGUAUAUAGGACGAAAAUAUAUGUAUUCAUAUUUGUAUAUACAUUUUCUCUCGCUUUAUACAAACACAAACACAUUUUAUACAUUUGUGUUUGUAUAAAAGCGAGAGUGGCGAGUGAGAAACCUAGGGAGAGAGGCGAAUGAAAAUAUUUUGCUACAGGUUAAAUCAAAUUGUGUAUAUAACAUUUAAUUUGAAUUAAUAGUUUGUUAUUAUAUAUUUUUCCUUAAAAGGAAUACAAUACAGAAUACAGAAACCUCAAUAGUUUUUAGGCGUUAAUUACACAUUAUCUUAAAAGUUUUUUAAAUAAAUGAUUUUGGAUUUUUCAAAACUUGUGGAUACAUUGCUCAUUCGCUCUAUAUAUAUAACAAACAAUAAAUAAGUUGUGUAUCACUAAUAUAAUUAUAUUUGAAAUAAUUGGGGUUAUGUAUCGGUAAUAAUAUUUCUACCAUAUUAGUAUACACAAACAAAAUUGUGGUGUAUUUCAUAGAGGUCGAGUGAUGUAUCCGGAUGAAAAAAGAGAGAGAAGGAAAAAGGAAAUUUUUGUAUUUAAUUCAAAGAUAGGAAUUUUUAGAGGAUAUAAUAAUAUUAAGUUGUAUAUAAUUUUGUAACUUUCUCUAAAAAAAUAUUGUCUUUAUUGUUUUAAAAAUAAUUUCAUUUCGUAUUUUUUUUUUCAUUUGUUCCAUUAUGUGUAGAUAUGUCAAAGUUUGCUAAGCCCAUGGAGCCGGUCCAACCCAACUCGGUAUUGGGGUAUGGUUGUGAUAGGAUUUACAAGACCAUUCAACAUUAGGACUUAUAAGCCCUUGAGUCUUGAUCGGGAACAGGUUAGGAUCGUCCCAUGGGUCAAAACUAUUUAUAUACGGUAACUAAAAGGAUCUCACUAGUGUAUGAGCUAGCUAAUUACUUAGAUGCACGUUAUGCUGUAACAUUACAAAUCUUACUAGAUUUUGGUGCAUUUCGAUACGUCUAUUUAUUCUAGAAGGACUUCAUUCAAAUGGAUUCGCAUGUAUCUAGGAUAUAUAAACAAAUUCCAAGCCCUCGCCUCCCACCCAUCUUGGUCGCUCUUAUCUCGCUUGCAUAUUUGGAAUGCAUCACAACAUAUACAUGUAGCUUGGGCAUGUAGUAUCCAAGGUACAUGUUAAUCAUACUAAAUUUUUUGUUAGUGUUAUUGAAAAAACACCAUUGUUACCAUAUUUGAUUUGAAAAUAGUCUCAUUUACUUGAUGGUAUAGAGCUUUAAGUUUAAAAAGGAAAAAAAUGCUAACCCCCCCAGUUUGUGGCCCUUCUAAAAUUAGGUUGAGUUGAACAAUUUAGGCACUUUCAAAUAAAGGGCCAACCUUCCUUAGCUCAUUAAAUUUCUUGGCCCACGAGGCUUGAAUUAGAUGGGCUGGGCUGAUCUUCUUUUGUAACUCUAAAUUUAUUUGUACGGGAAUUAUAUCAUUGCUAAAUAGAAAUGUAUCAUUAUUAUUGUAUAUGUAUAAAGAAUGAAUCAUAUUCAUAGUGGAUUCAAGAUUUGCACUUAAGGGCUUCAAGAGGGGAAAUUUCAAAAACAACAAACAUUAACCCUUAAAAGUAUUCCAUAACUACAGUUUCAUUAUUUAUGAUUCAUAAUAAUAUUCUUGUUCGCUAUGCAUUUAUAUUUAUAUAUAUUUUUUUUCGUGAAUUUUGAAGAAAAAAUACAAAUAGAAACUAAUUUGUAUUAAAAUGAAUACAUAUUAAGAGAAGAGAGAUGAGUGAGAUCGAGAGAGGAGAGACGGGAGCGAGAUCGAGAGAAUUAUAUUUUGUAUUUCUUUUACAUUUUAUCCUCUAUUUAUUAUUUAGUGCAUAACUAUUUUGUAUAUUGUAUCAAUUGUAUUUAUCCGCUCUUUGAUUGAGUACAACUGAUACAUAAUACAUUUAAAAAUAUCUUACUUAUACCAUAUACUUUUUACCAAGUUGCUCACUCCCUCCUAACUUCGACCUUACGUAUAGAAUUGUAUGAGUUAGAAGAUGAAUCAUUGUUGUAUAUGUUGUGUAUAAUAAGCUCCAAUUCCAAUCUCGUUGAACAAAAAUAUUUAGGUGGCUCGUAACCAUUUAUACUUUUGCUCAACGAGAUUGCGGAGAGCUUGCCGUUAUUACUAGUUAUAUAAAAGAAAAAAUAAUCAAGUUUGUCAACAUUCCCAAGUUGUUUCUGUAAAUUAUUUGUGCAUAUAUUUGCUGAGCUUUCUUAGUUUACAUAGAAUCCAGGUAAGCUCUACUCGGUUUCCAGGAACCCAUACAUUGUAUACUCUACUAGAUUUGACAUUGCUAGAUGACAUCUAAUCCUAAGGUAGGGCGAAUAACACUACAUAUAUUGAUCUCCCUCUUCCCUUUCUUGAUGGGACGUCGGUGAAAUAACCUUCAAAUGAAAAAGAAAAAAAAAACGAAAUAAAGAAGAUUACAAGUCUUGCAAAGGGAAGGAUUGAAUAUUAGCUGACUCAAGUGACCAAAUCUUGACGGAGGCAGUAACGCUAGCCCCUGUGGCAUUGUUGAAAACAAAGAGUCGUGCUGCUCCAUUUACUGCCUUUGUUGGGUAAAUUCGCGAUGUUAUGACUGUUCUUCCUCCUUGAGCAAAGCUCUCCACAAUUGAGUGAUCCACCUAAAAUUCAGUUUAUAAAAAACCUUUUACUCAAAUGCAACUGCCAAGUACUUUAAUUAUUGUGAAGUGAAGAAAUGGAAUAAAAUCAAGGUAAAAUAAGGGAAUCAUUAUCACUUACCAAUAAUCUCAUUGAAUGUUUUUCACCGUCCAACACAGGUACUGAACUACCAUAAACUUGUUUACCAACUCCCGGAGCCUCAGAGGAUCUGCAUAUAUCAGAUCAACAACCCGCUACUUUUAUCCAUCUCCAUUUUACAAGGACAAAUUAAUUGUGCCAGAUAGAAAAGCAAACCUAGUUUGAUCAGCACAGAAGUGAGUCUCUGCACGACCAUCAGCUCCUUUAGAAAUGUAAAAGUAAACUGGCGUUAGCUCAGAUAGCGUUUGAUCAGCAAUUACUAUGACACCAAAUGGUCCCAAAAUGCCUCUGCUAGCAGCACCUCCACUAGUAGAGCAACUGAAACCUACAUGAUCUGCUUCAAUUAUUCCCUGAAGCGCGACUUUGUCCACUUCAAAUGAGGCUUCUAUAUCCAACUGCACAAUAGCUAAACAAGUUUUGGGACUGCAGAUUAAGCGCGUGUUUGUAAUUUAAAACAAAAGUAACGCAACAAACCUCUGCAGCUGAGUCAACACGGAGUAGCUCAAUUGAGCCUGGUUGAAGAUCGACUUGCUUAACAGUAGGAUCACCCACUCUUAAGCUUUCAAUUUCUUCCACUGGCCACUGAAGUAGAUGUGUCCCUGUCUUCUUGUCGUAAAGCACUGUCCUUGGAAUACUCUGUUAUUUCGAAACACUAUUAGACACGUUUCAUAUACAAUUCAGAAUUUACUUCACCUACAAAUGCAUUGAUUAUAACAACUUUCUCUAAAUAAGAAAUUUCCCUACCAUGAUUAUUACGAUACAACUAGACGCUGUGUAUGGUGCAAAGUAAAAUAACAAAACAAUGUGUUCAUCCAAGUCCAUACCUGUACAGAUGCCCAUCCCUUCUGCAGGUCAGCAGAUUCACUGUCAGUUUCCCCAAUCCAUCCCCACAGUACUCUUCGUUCUUUCUUCGGGUCAUAAAAAGUCUUUGAUGCAUAAUAUUUCCCAUAGUCUAGUCUCAACCCAAUUCCACAAUCCAAUUCCGGGUUAUCGGGUGUCCAUUUGUUCUUUCCCAAGUCAUACGUACCAAUAGCAUAAUGAUCUUGCUUAUUGUCAUCUAAACUUGCUUUUAACACAUGCUUUACACCCGGCCCGUUAUAUGAUGUGUCCAACCCGUUUGUUUUUUUAGUAGAUACCGGGUAAAAGUCCACACACUCCCACAUACCCGUACCCGGAACCGCAUGCAGCACUCCAUCCAAUAGCUUAAAGCUUGUGAAGUUGGAAGUUUCAUAAACAAGUGCAACACCCGUUUUACCAAUCUUAGACCCGAUUGUUAACAGCCAUUGCCCAUUUUGUGGUCCGGUCCAAGCAGUAGUCGGGUCUCUAAAGUCCUUGACACCAAUGCCGGGUGGAGGAACCAGAACCGGGUUGCCUUUGAACUUGACCCAGUCUAGAAGGAGAGGAUCAGAUAAGUUGGCGGGGUACGCAAGAUUUUGCACUUGCACAUAAUCAUCAGUGUCACCGGUAUAAAGCAUCAUGAUCUGACCAUCGGGUAGGAUGGUAGCGGACCCUGUCCAGACACCGUUAAUAUCAUACCAUUGAUCAGGAACCAUGGCAAAAGGCAAGUAGAGCCAGUGGAUCAAGUCCUUGGAUACAGCAUGGCCCCAUGUGAUAUUUCCCCAAAUAGCUGAAUCUGGAUUGUAUUGAUAAAAAAGGUGGUACCAUCCCUUGUGAUACAAUGGUCCUGUUAACCAAUUUAUUCACGUUAAUAGAAAUUUCAAAGUUUUUACUUGUAUAGGUAAGACUUUUCUAUGCAAUUUGAAUUAUAAAAUACUCUACAAAAUCUCAAUACGUUCCGUACCAAAAUUGCUAUGCUUUUUGCGGCAAAAAGAUAACCUUCUUUUUUUUUUGAAAAUUUGGCCACGAGUUUUUAUUUUUGACUUUUGGAUAAGAUUUUCUUCAACAAGAUACGUAAACAAAUUUCACUAGUGGUAUGUUAGGAGAAAUGAUAGAAAUUUCACAUUUAAGUUAUCUUAUUAUCAUUAUUCAUAUUAGUUUUAUAAAUUUCUAGUUCCUCAUUUUUACCUAUCAGAUUAAUGUAUCUCGCACAUCAGACUCAUGUAUCAGCGCUUAUAUUAUUGUAUUAGUUUGAGAGACUUUUAUAACCAUAAAAUUAUAAAAGAUUAAUAAUAAUUUUAUCUUAAAAAUUUAUAAUUUCCGUCAUUUACUCAUGAUAAUAGUAAUUGCUAAGCGGCCAAGAUAACCUACUCCAUUUCAAAAAAAAAUAAAAAAAUCAAGUGGAAGAUGGAUUACUUUGAGUGGGGGCCCCACUAUUGGUAUUAUUACAUUACUACAAAAAAGUAUGACCCACAUAACGUGAUUGGUUUCCAAACUUGUAUAAUACUGACCCAAUCAAGUGUUUUCUUUUUAUUGGAAAAUUGCACAAAAGCAAAAAACAUUACUGCCACAAGAUCUCAUGUUAAUCCCAAUUAUAUUGGAACAACAAGCUUAAUUCAUCAACUUGUGGUCUUUAUUAAAAUGUCUGUUCAACUAAUUUUUAUGAAUAUCUAGAAAGGUUAGAAUUUACUCCAUCCAUCCUACUCUAUUUGACUUGACGUGUUUUCUUAAAAUUUGUUAUUUCAAAAUACUUGUCCAUUUAGAAAAAUAAGAUAAUUGAUUCCUCCCCUAUUUCACCCUUAAUCUAAAUAAUGUACAGUGAAAAUAAGAAUGAUUUAGCUUAAUUAUUUUUCCUAAUGAGUACUCCCUCCAAUCCAAAACUAUUGAUGAUUUAACAUGAAUUAAUUGUGACUAAAGCAUAUGUAAUUAUGAUAGUCUUUUCACUUUGGAUUUGACAUAAUCAUUAUAGGGGUUAGGAAGGGCAAAUUUGAAAGAAAAAAAAAUUAAACAUCACAUUGAUUAUGUCAAACAUCAAUUAUUUUGAAGGGAGUAAUAUUUGUUUUUGAGUAUAAGGUAAAAGGAUUAACCGAGAUGAUAUACAUAAGCACCCGAAUUAAUGAUUUGCUCAUUCAUGAGAUUGCUUUAAAAGUUAUAAUCAUAGUUUAAGAAUAUAAUUAAUUAAAAACUAGCAGAAAAUAGUGAUAAUAAUUAACUUUGAACUCACCAUUAGGAUCUGCAGAAUAGCAUCCAAUCAGAAUCCAAAAGAUACCCCCAACAGAUCAAUAGCCAUAAAUAUCAUUGAGAAAAAAAAGAACUGUUAUAAGUAUUUAUAAAUAAUUUCAAUUUUAAGAUCAAAUAAAAAAGAAAUUAAAGAAAAGUCAAAAUAAGAAAGUUAAUUACCGUUCAUCCAAUUUUUUUGAGGUUGAAAAUGGUAAGCCGUUCUUUGCCAGCUAAGCAUAGCAUUGGACCACGCAUAAGAAACGUGACUAGCACCGGCUACAUCUCGAAAAGUUUUAUCGGAGACUCCCUGAGAAACACCUCUUGACGGCGGCGCCGGCGAACGGGAGUCGAUUUGCAAGUCCGGUGACUGGUUGUUGAGGAUCGGAAAGAAGGCUACAGAAAGCAAAAGGAAAACGGAGAGGAAAAUGCCGGAGAUGAUUUUAAGGGACUUCCGGUGGCCGGAAUCGGGUUGAUCCGGGAGUAAUGUGUAACGAGAGGCGGAGUUUUCGGGGUCAUAACACUGAGUGGCCAUAAUAGAAGAUAGAGGAAUGGGAGAAGCUACUAGUCUACUGCUAUAUAUAUAGGUGAUGAACACAGAAAAUGACUGGGACCAACGAAAUUGAGUAACAAAAGGACUUUUAUAAUUUGAGGUACACUUGGGAUUAGAGAAAAUGACCAAAACUAUGCUUACUGUUUGGUUAAUUUUUUUAUUUUACUUCUUCAUUUAUUUCACUUCAUUGAAAUGACUUAAUGUAUACUUUAUUUUAAUCGUUAUUAUAUUUUACUUUGAUUAAAAUGAUUUAUUUUGGUUCUUUAUUUAACAAAAUUUACUACUUUUCUUGCUCAAAAUAAAAACUGUUAUUAGGUCAGUAAAAUAAUAUUUAAAAGAGAAAAUAAUAAAUUUUGUUGGAGAAAUUAAAAAAAAAUAGUAUUAGAUUUUAUGGAAGAUUUUUCUUUGAAGGUAAAAAAACUCUAUGUUUAGGACAAAAGACCAAAAUGACCACUUUUUAUUAUACAUUUAUUAUUAUUUUAAUCAAGUGAAAUAUAUUAAGGAUCCAAAUGAACAUAUUUAUUAUAUAUUAAAGACUAUCGUUAUGGGCCAUUUUGUAUAUUUUCUCCUUGAUAGUAUAUUUUAGUAACUUUCAUUAUAGAUUAAAAUGUGGAAUGUAAAUAUUUAAAAAAAAAUUGAGACUUGAAUAUUAAUUAAAUAUAACUAGUAAAACUUUUCGUAUAAUGAGAUUCGAAUAAAUCCUACUUGAAAGGGAUUUACAGGUUGAUUUGUAUUCAUUGAAUGUUUAGUUGGAUUCAACAAAAAGACAAGUUCUCAUCUAUAAAGACAGAAAUUUAAAAAGUUUAAAUUCUCUAUUAAUUAAAUAUAAAUAGUAAAACUUUUCGUAUAAUGAGAUUCGAAUAAAUCCUACUUGAAAGGGAUUUACAGGUUGAUUUGUAUUCAUUGAAUGUUUAGUUGGAUUCAACAAAAAGACAAGUUCUCAUCUAUAAAGACAGAAAUUUAAAAAGUUUAAAUUCUCUAUUAAUUAAAUAUAAAUAGUAAAACUUUUCGUAUAAUGAGAUUCGAAUAAAUCCUACUUGAAAGGGAUUUACAGGUUGAUUUGUAUUCAUUGAAUGUUUAGUUGGAUUCAACAAAAAGACAAGUUCUCAUCUAUAAAGACAGAAAUUUAAAAAGUUUAAAUUCUCUAUUAAUUAAAUAUAAAUAGUAAAACUUUUCGUAUAAUGAGAUUCGAAUAAAUCCUACUUGAAAGGGAUUUACAGGUUGAUUUGUAUUCAUUGAAUGUUUAGUUGGAUUCAACAAAAAGACAAGUUCUCAUCUAUAAAGACAGAAAUUUAAAAAGUUUAAAUUCUCUAUUAAUUAAAUAUAAAUAGUAAAACUUUUCGUAUAAUGAGAUUCGAAUAAAUCCUACUUGAAAGGGAUUUACAGGUUGAUUUGUCUUCAUUGAAUGUUUAGUUGGAUUCAACAAAAAGACAAGUUCUCAUCUAUAAAGACAGAAAUUUAAAAAGUUUAAAUCCUCUAUUAAUUAAAUAUAAAUAGUAAAACUUUUCGUAUAAUGAGAUUCGAAUAAAUCCUACUUGAAAGGGAUUUACAGGUUGAUUUGUCUUCAUUGAAUGUUUAGUUGGAUUCAACAAAAAGACAAGUUCUCAUCUAUAAAGACAGAAAUUUAAAAAGUUUAAAUCCUCUAUUAAUUAAAUAUAAAUAGUAAAACUUUUCGUAUAAUGAGAUUCGUGUUAUAAAAUCAAGCUCAUAAGAAUAUAAUCAUAAAGAGAAGAAGACAAGAGAAGUAAGAUGGAAGAUAAGACUUUCUUCGUAUUCAAGUGUAUUCAAGUCUCAUAUGUAUAUAUUACAAUAGUGAAUGAACAACUCUAUUUAUAGAGUGAGAAAUCACUCCAAAGAUUACCAUAUUAAGUAUCAUAAUAAAUAGAUACAUUCUUAUCCAAAAAGGUUCAUGUCACCUAGUGAAUAUGAAUGGUUGUUCAUGUGCCAACCUUAUGGACUAUCCACUUAAUUCAAUGUAUUUAUAACACUCCCCCUUGGAUGUCCAUAGAUAAUGUGCCUCGUUAAAACCUUACUAGGAAAAACCCUGUGGGAAAAAAUUCUAGUGAAGGAAAAAGAGUACACAUAUCUUUUGAUACGCACCAUUUGUUGCCUCAUUAAAAACCUUGUCAGGAAAAUCCAGUGGGAAAAAAACCUCGAUCAAGGGAAAAAGAGUGCAACGCGUAUUGUACUCCCCCUGAUUAAAACAUCACUUGAUUUCUUGUGAUGAUGUCUCCAAUCUUUGUACAUUGUGGUUGGUAUAUUCUUUUUUUAAAGAAAAACCACACAUUUCUUGAAUAUGGUGUGUCAUUUAUCUCAACCAGACGCACUUUUGACUUGCUUCAUGGAGGACUUUUAUUUCUGCAGAGCAACAUUUGCUUCAUUGAUCCCCAGGAUAUUAUUGUGCCUCCACAUGCAAACACAUAGCGUGCUUGAGAUAGAGCUUUAUGCGGAUCAGAUAAAUAUUCUGCAUCUGCGUAAUCAAUCAAUUUUGUCUUGGAUUCCUCGGGAUAGAAUAAACCCAUAACUAUGGUCCUUUGAGGAUAUUCAUUCAUGUGCUCAACACCAUUUCAAUGUCCUUUUAUCGGGGAGAAACUGAAUCUUGCCAGUAAAUUUACUGCAAAACAAAUAUCUAGUCAAAUAUUGUUAGUAAGAUGCACUAGUGCCCUGAUUGCACCAAGAUAGAGUUUCAUCACCAAGAAACUCUUAUCCUUCUUUUGAGAUCAAACUGAAUCAUCAUUUAUGUCAAGUGAUCUCAUAAUCAUUGGGGUACUCAAUGAAUGCGAUAUAUCCACAUAAAAUUGCAUCAAAAUUUUUCAGUGUAUGUGCACUGUUGUCUGUUAGACAAAUAUUUUAUUUGUCAAAUUAACAAUCUGUAGGUCAAGACAAAAUUUUGUCUUACCAAGACCUUUUCAUAAAAAUACAAGGACAAUUAGGGUCAUUCUUUUGUACCCUUUUUCUUCCUUGACUAUUUCAAUCCAUAUAAGGAUUCUUGAAGCUUUAUUGGAUAAGUUUCUUUCAAACCUUUAUAUGCUUCAGACACCUGGAUUGUUUCAAGGAUUUUCAUAUAACCUUCAUUACAAUUUUUCAUUACAUGCAUUCAAGUUUUUCAUAUGUUGCCAGAUCAAAACAAACCUCAUUGCAUCCACCAAAGGAGAAAACAUCUCCAAUAAUGUCAGGAUUUUUGCGAUAAACCUUUAUGCCCCAAGGCACAAACCGUAUUUGAUAUCUUACGGUUAUACUAUCACAUAAUAAUUUAUUUGUACCCCACUGACAUUAUACCUUGAUUUAUGGACUACCAGUCCAAAAUGUCACUUUUCUAAGUGAAACAAAAUAUACUUGAAUUGUGCAUUUUACUUGGCUAACCAUUUAUCUGUUCACACUAUAUGACAGAUUUGAAUUCAAGAUCCUCAUCACAAUUUAUAUCAUUGAGCGCUACCUCAUAUCAAAGAUACCGUCGACGGUUAUUUGAUAUCGAUUCCAACAAGACAUAACUUAUCGAGAUCUCUUCAUUUUUCAUUAUUUCAGGUACCUGAACCUUUUUCAAGAUUUUAUGAAGUGUUAUGUCAAUGUGCUCCUUUAUAGCACUUGCCUCAUUAUCAUGACCAUAUUGAUCAUUUGCUCCUUCCUUCUUUAAGGAAUUUUAUAUUUGGAAUCAAUUGGUCUAUUACGCUUUCGGCGUAUCAUAAACUCUGUCCUUCAAGGACUUCACAUUGAAGCAUUCGCAGCUGAAUUAUAUCAUAGGGUCAGUGCAUUCCUCUGGCAACUGACUUGCAACAUUAUGCAACUGAAUUAUCCCUAGAACUUUAAGUUCACAUAUUUAUUUAAAUUGCCUUCACAUUUUGAAGGACUAUUUGAAGAACUUAUAGUGUUCUUCCUUUUAUCAUUACCACAAUGAUGACUAUUAUAAUUAUGUCCCUCCACGCCCUUAUUCAUAUCAUUAAUCAUUUGUCAUCUUUCAGACUAACAUUCACUGCUACCACAUUCAUAUGAUUGAAUGGAGCAAGUUAACAGGCGGAUUUCAGAGUUAUUACAUGUUGCUACCACAUUCUUUUCAAGGAAUGAAGCAAAUUCAAUAGAACGAAUUUCAAGACUUUUCAUCAAAGCCUAGUCAUCAUUAUAUCAUCAUUAUGGUGCAUUGACUCAAACUCAAUGUCUUAUCCAUAUAAGGCGUUUUACGCCAUAAUUCUAUGGGACUUGAACCCAAUCACGGUGCAUCAAAUCUCAAAUUGAUGUCUUACCCUUUUGGUGCGAUAGAACUUGAAUCUAUCGUCUUAUCCUCAAAUAUUUUUAUUAUGAUGCAUCCGGACUUUUACCUGAUGUCUUACCCUUAACCAACGGUAUAAUAAAUCGAAGUACAACAUGACUCAUCCUUUGAGUCUUUCAAAACAAUCAAAAUAACAUUCAAAUUCAUGCUAUUAAAAUUUUAUACCUUCUUCUAUUUAAGAAAUUUUGUAUAGCAUGUCAUAUUCAACCAAUAGUAGUAUAUGUCUUCGGUUCCUGAUAAUUGUUAGUGACUGAAUACUAUUUUAUUCUAAAUCAUAAAAAUAUUCUAGAAAAUACAUACCUGAUUUUAUGCAUAUAAUACUUUGAUCUUCAUAACGAGAUCAACCAAAAUAUGAGUUAAAGAAAAAGUAAAACUCAAUCUUAAUUGGCUACAGACUCGUGCUGAUAACGUGUUAUAAAAUCAAGCUCAUGACAAUAUAAAUAUAAAGAGAUGAAGACAAGAGAAGUAAAAUGGAAGAUAAGACUUUCUUCUUAUUCAAGUGUAUUCAAGUCUCAUAUGUAUAUAUUACAAUAGUGAAUAAACAACCCUAUUUAUAGAGUGAGAAAUCACUCCAAAGGUUACCAUAUUAAGUAUCAUAAUAAAUAGAUACAUUCUUAUCCAAAAAGGUUCAUGUCACCUAGUGAAUAUGAAUGGUUGUUCAUGUACCAACCUUAUGGACUAUCCACUUAAUUUAAUGUAUUUAUAACAAUUCGAAUAAAUCCUACUUGAAAGGGAUUUACAGGUUGAUUUGUCUUCAUUGAAUGUUUAGUUGGAUUCAACAAAAAGACAAGUUCUCAUCUAUAAAGACAGAAAUUUAAAAAGUUUAAAUCCUCUAAAUGUGCAAAAACAUAUUUAUAAAACCAGUUACUUGUAAUGUAGUUAUUUUAUAGGACCUGUUUAAUUAGAAUGAAGUUUAAAAAGAAAAGAAAAAAUUAAAUUCAUGCACUAAAACAAGUUACAUUUUCUGAUUAUAAAUAAUUUCAAUAAAGAUGAAAUCAGAAGUAUAAUAAGGGGAAAAACGUCAUUUUUUUUCUUUUUAAAUAGAUUAAAAAUAAAAAAGUAACACAAACGAAAAGAUUAAUUACUAACUUAAUAAUAUUGAUAACCGGUCAUUUGUUAUCACAUGUUAAAAAAGAAUUUAUUUUGUUAUGGAUUAGAGUUAUCCAAGUACAAUCAAACUUUGAUAUUGUUCUUCUUCUUAAAGUAGAACAAAAGAAUUGGAGAUGAUAUGACAAUACUUUAAAUGUAAUAUUCACUUCUAUCGACUCUAUAUUCACCUAUUUUUAGUACAUUGAAUUAUUUUGAUAAUGAAGAUUUGUCCAAAAACGAGUUUUUUAUGCUUAUAAACAAGAAAAUAUAUCAAAUUUGUUCUCGCGACAUACCGUUGAGUAGAAGAAACUUGUAAAGUUUCAGAAUGUUUGAAGUUCUAAAAAUUAUUUCUUACCAGGUUCAGAAAGUAUGAUGUUUGAAGAAUUACAUGAGCGAUGAUCUUAAUGAAAAACCUACGAUAAACUUAAUUAUUUUAUUGAUUUUGGAAAGAAAAAAUAAGUUAAUUAUGGAACAAAAUUUGGUAAGAAUCCAAAUAGGACUCAAUUAUUGAUAAGCAUUUGGAAACAAUUUUUCUUUUUAUAGUUAAUACAAUAUUUUUAGAGAAGAAAUACUAAUAUAAAUUUUGUGCACCGUCAAUAUAGUAAAUUUCUACACCAUCGAAUAAUUUAAUUUCUCCCUAAUCUUUGUUACAAAAUAUAAAAUUAAAAUUAACUUUCUUUUCUCUCUCCUUGAAAUUAAAAUCCUCUCAUGUCUUUAUUCCUCUUAAAUAGCUGAUAUUCAGCGGCAGUUACUCCUCCUUAUACGCACUUGGCCUACUUUAUCUUUUUUUUUUUUUUUUCAAUUUGCAUAUCACAUUGACCUAAUUUCUCUUUAUGUUUUCUUCAUAUCUGCAUAUCUUGAUAUUCCAAUUUUGUUUGUUUAUUUGUACACGUGGAUAAUUAUGAUUUUUUUUUUAUCAUUUUUCACACUUAUUAACUAAUGAUUAUUUUAUUGAUUAUUAUAUAUAAAAAAAAAGAAGCAUUUGCUGGUAAAUUUGCAGAAUCGAAGUGUCAAAUUCAAUAAUCUAUUUCGCUAUGUGCAAAUUGAUAAUGUUUUUCAGACUUUGUAGAUCAUUCAGAUAGCACAAUAGAAUGUAUCAUAAUGUUAUUUAAUUAUAAGGUAGAAGUUUUGUUUCAUUUAAUUUGGAGGAUCAUUAGCUCUUUCUUUGGUUGCAUUUUUAUUUCAUCGAUAUAAAAUAUUAUGUCGAAAGUGAGUGAAUCUGCUUCUUUGUAAAUACCAUUAGUACAUGUCUACAUAGAACUUCCAUGAACUCAAAUUUGUGGCAUGAACAAAUAGCUCUUUUCAAUGCAAGAUCCAAACUAAUGAUAUGUGUCGACUUUUGUCUUUGAAGUUGAUGCACUUUAUAGAUGUUUCUUCUAUCCUUAACAUCAAUCUUUUCAGAGAUAAAUUUUUGAGAUUGAAUUAGUUCUUCUUGAAAAAUCUGAAAUAUCUUUCUUAUAUAUUCCUUCGUCGCUUUAUCCUCCAUAGGAUACAAAGUGUUCAAGCUAAGCCUUGAAUAUUUUGUCUUGUAAUACUUCUUCCUUACUUUAUCAUAUCUAACGUCAAAAGUGUUAUCAUAUCGCAUCACAAAUAUACUCAUUGAAGUACAAGAAUUCAAAUAAUCUUUAAAACAUUUAUUCAUACUCUCACUUCUUUGACUUGUUGACAUGCCUGCACAAAAAGUAGUACACACAUAUGCUGGUAUCAAUUUUCACGAAUUGCAUAUAUUCUCUACAACCCACUAAUUUUUCCUAAAUUAUACGUCCCCAUUAUUUCUAUCUAUAUUGUUUCAAAUUUCUUAGGAGUAGUUGUAUCGUGAAUAUACCAACUAAACUUGCUACUAAAAUCAGCAUACUAAUGAUAAACAUGACCUAAAUAUUCUGGAAUCUUCUUUGUUAUGUGUCACAUACAAAAAUGAUGUUUAUGUUGGGUUUUAACAAGUGUGAAUGGAAAAAUAAAAAAGAGAAUAUCAAAAGUGAGGGAACUACUUUGGAGGGAAAAUGAAAAGUCAUUUGCAAAGUGCAAAUGAAAAGUCAUUUCUUUGGAUUUGGAUUUGGAUUUGGCAAAUGAUGUGAUUGAUUGAUAUAUUUUUUGGACAAAAUUUAUUCAAUCAAUUUUUGUUAAAUCAAAUAAAUCCUGUUAAUAUUAUUUCUUAUAAAUUUGCGGGUAACAGUAACAUUCCGAAAAGUCGUUACUUUUCCGAAAAGUCGUUACUUUCCAAAAAGUAGUUAUUUUCCUAACAGACACAAUUUUUCAAAAAAGUUGUUAUUUUUUCCAAAAGACACAACUUUCUGGAUAAAAUGGGUCUGAACAGAUUUCACUGAACGGACAUGUUCCUUGCUGAAAAUGGCUAUAAAAGGAAGUCAAAUUUUGAUUUUUUAAACACUGAAAAUUUUUCUUUCUCUGCAUUUAUUUUUCUCUCAAAUAAAAUCAAAGUGUCGAUCGACUGAGUCUGUGUGACUUGUUGUUGUUCUUAAGUUCGUUGAAGUUAAAGAAGUUUGAGGUACCGCUAUUUCUUUAACAGGUUUAAUCCGUUUUAUCUUGAGAGAAAUUAAUCCAUAACCUUGGGUACAGUGAGGGAAUUAAAUUUCUUAAGGACACAUAGUAGUUUCUGUGGACUCGGAUUAAUUCUUGUAUUCUAUAUUAUUUUCUGCUUCAUCUUAUUUCUGUUUCUGUUUAUUAACUUUAUAAAUAAAAGUUAUUAUAAGAGUAACAAUCUUAAGAAAAUUUAUACAGUUUCUGUGUUUGAGGUUUCUGGAGAUUAAAACCUUUAUGGUUUUCUACUCUACUUGAAUUUUUAAAAUCAUUCGAUUAACGAUUAAAAAAACAUAAAAACUUUAUCGUUAAAUCAGAAACAGGUUGUGUAAAGAUUUGCUCUUUACUGUUAGUAUUUUAAAUACUUAAUUUAUCUGCCAAUUGUGACAGAAAAAAAAGACUAAUUCAAGUCAAACAAAUGCUGGAACAGUAAGUGCUGCAACAACAAUGGUUGCACAUAAUCGUUCACAUGCUGCCUUAGCACCGGCUGAGAAACCUGCAAAGUUUUCUGGAGUCGACUUUAAGAGAUGGCAGCAAAAGAUGUUCUUCUAUCUCACUACGUUGAGUCUGCAGAAGUUCAUCAAUGAGAAUGUUCCUGUUAUGUCAGAUGAAACUUCGGCUGAUGAACGAUUCUUGGUAACAGAAGCAUGGACACACUCAGAUUUUUUGUGUAAAAAUUAUAUUUUGAGUGGUCUGCAAGAUGAUCUGUACAAUGUGUACAGCAAUGCAAAAACCUCAAAAGAACUCUGGGAUGCUUUAGAAAAGAAGUACAAAACAGAAGAUGCCGGAAUGAAGAAAUUCAUUGUGGCAAAAUUUCUAGACUUUAAGAUGAUAGACAGUAAGACUGUCGUCACCCAAGUUCAAGAAUUGCAGGUUAUAAUCCAUGAUCUCCUUGCUGAAGGUAUAAAUUUAUUUAAUGCCUAUGUUAGAAAUAUUAAGUUUUCCCUUAAUACUCACAUAACCUUUAAUGUAGGAUUGAUUGUGAAUGAUGCUUUUCAAGUGGCUGCAAUUAUUGAAAAGUUACCUCUAUUGUGGAAGGACUUUAAAAACUACUUGAAACACAAACGCAAGGAGAUGAUUGUUGAAGAUCUCAUAGUAAGGUUGAGAAUCGAAGAGGAUAAUAAGGCUGCAGAAAAGAGGUCACGUGGUAAUUCAGCAAUAUCUGGAGUAAAUUUUGUUGAAGAAGAUUCCACAAAAUUCAAGAAAAGAAAGAAAGCAUCUGGUCCAAAACGCAAUCCUCCUAAGAAGAAAUUCAAUGGAAACUGCUUUAAUUGUGGUAAACAUGGUCAUAGGGCUAAUGAAUGCCGGGGUCCUAAGAAGGACAAGAAAAAGAAGGAUCAAGCAAACUUGGCUGAAUCCAAAGGAGAAAUGGACGAUCUCUGUGCAAUGCUUUCAGAAUGUAACUUGGUUGGAAAUCCAAGAGAAUGGUGGAUAGAUUCUGGUGCCUCAUGCCAUGUUUGUGCCAACAAAGAAUUAUUUUCAUCAUAUACUCUAGCACUUACAGAUGAAAAAUUAUUUAUGGCAAACUCCGCUGUUGCAAAGGUGGAAGGAACUGGCAAAGUCCUAUUAAAGAUGACAUCAGGCAAGGUAGUGACUUUGAAUAUGGUCUCAUAUGUUCCAGAAUUGAGAAAUAAUUUAGUUUCAAUUCCAAUUCUGACCAAGAAUGGAUUUAAAUGUGUAUUUGUUUCUGAUAAAGUAGUAGUAAGCAAAAAUGAUAUGUAUGUAGGAAAAGGCUACCUUAGUGAUGGCCUUUUCAAACUCAAUGUAAUUGCAGUUGAUAUGAAUAAAGAUUUUGCUUCUUCUUACUUGCUUGAGUCUAAAUGUUUAUGGCAUGAACGUUUGGGACAAGUUAAUAACAAAACCUUGCGAAAACUGAUUAACUUAAAUAUUUUGCCAAAAUUUGAGUGCAAUAAAUCAAAAUGUCAAAUUUGUGUUGAAUCUAAGUAUGCUAAGCAUUCUUAUAAAUCUGUUGAAAGGAAUUCAAAUCCUUUAGAAUUGAUUCACACUGAUAUUUGUGACAUGAAGUCAACACCAUCACGUGGUGGGAAAAAAUAUUUCAUAACACUUAUUGACGAUUGCACUAGAUAUUGUUAUGUCUAUUUGCUAAAUAGUAAGGAUGAAGCAAUAGAUGCAUUUAGGCAAUAUAAAACUGAAGUUGAAAAUCAGUUAGAUAAAAAGAUCAGAAUGAUCAGAAGUGAUAGAGGUGGAGAAUAUGAAUCUCCAUUUGCAGAAAUAUGUUUAGGAAAUGGAAUAAUCCAUCAAACUACUGCUCCCUACACUCCUCAGUAUAAUGGAAUUGCAGAAAUAAAAAAUCAAACUUUAAAAGAAAUGAUAAAUGCAUUACUUAUAAGUUCAGGUUUACCACAGAACUUGUGGGGGGAAGCUAUCCUUACAGCAAAUCAGAUACUUAACAGAGUGCCUCACUCAAAGACAAAUGUAAUUCCAUAUGAGAAAUAGAAAGGUAGAAAACCCAAUUUGAAAUAUUUCAACGUGUGGGGGUGUCUAGCCAAAGUCCAAGUUCCUAUACCUAAGAGGGUAAAAAUAGGACCUAAAACUGUGGAUUGUGUAUUCAUUGGAUAUGCGACAAACAGUAAGGCAUGUCGAUUUUUGGUUCAUAAGUCUGAACAUCCGGAUAUUCAUGAUAAUACGGUAAUGGAAUCAGAUAGUGCUGAAUUUUUUGAACAUAUCUAUCCGAAUAAAACUAGACUUGAGUCAUCUAGUGGGGAAUCUAAACAACCCAGAGAAAAAACAAAAGAGAAUGAACAAAAUGAAGAAAGUCCAAGACGCAGUAAACGUCAAAAGACAUCUACUUCAUUUUAAUCAGAUUUUGUAACAUUUCUUCUUGAAAGUGAGCCUCAAACAUUCAAGGAAGCAAUGUUGUCUAGUGACUCAACCUCUUGGAAGGAGGCUGUUAAUAGUGAAAUUGAAUCAAUCUUAAGCAAUCAUACUUGGGAGUUGGUUGAUCUUCCUCCAGGGAACAAACCCUUGGGUUCAAAAUGGAUCUUUAAAAGGAAGAUGAAAGACGAUGGAACUAUUGACAAAUAUAAAGCAAGACUAGUUGUCAAAGGUUUUAAACAAAAAGAAAGUCUUGAUUAUUUUGACACAUACUCACCAGUGACUGGGGUUACAUCAAUUCGGAUGUUAAUUGCACUAGCUGCAGUAUACGGUCUUGAAAUUUAUCAAAUGGAUGUAAAAACAGCCUUCUUAAAUGGAGAGCUUGAAGAGGAAAUUUACAUAGAACAGCCUGAGGGUUUUGUAGUUCCUGGUAAAGAAAAGAAAGUGUGCAAACUUAUUAAGUCACUUUAUGGGCUAAAACAAGCACCAAAACAAUGGCAUGCAAAGUUUGAUCAAACUAUGUUGUCAAAUGGAUUUAAGAUCAAUGAAUGUGAUAAAUGUGUUUACAUUAAAGAUACUCCAAAUCAGGAAGUUAUUUUAUGCCUAUAUGUAGAUGAUAUACUUAUAAUGAGCAAAGACAUUGCUAAUAUAAAAGCUACAAAGCGUAUGCUUGCUAGUAAGUUUGAUAUGAAAGAUUUAGGAGUUGCUGAUGUAAUAUUAGGAAUUAAAAUUCUUAAGACUCCUAAUGGUCUAACAUUGUCUCAAACUCAUUAUAUUCAAAAGAUACUUGAAAAAUUCAAAUUUUUGAAUUUUAAAAGGGCAAAGACUCCAAUUGAUGUAAAUCUUCAUCUUGCAAAGAAUAAAGGCGAAAGUCAGUUUCAAUUGGACUAUGCUAGCGUAUUGGGAAGCUUAAUGUAUGUUAUGAAUUGUACACGACCAGACAUAGCUUGCGCUAUCAGUAAACUGAGUCGAUACACAAGUUAUCCUAAUCAUAAUCAUUGGUUGGCAAUGAAGAGAGUUUUGAGAUACUUAGAUGACACUCAAAACUAUGCUUUACAUUACAACAGAUAUCCAGCCGUUCUUGAAGGAUAUAGUGAUACAAAUUGGAUUACUGGAUCAACUGAAACAAAAUCCACAAGUAGAUACAUUUUUACUAUUGGUGGAGGAGCAAUAUCUUGGAAAUCAUCGAAACAAACAUGUAUAGCUCGCUCUACAAUGGAGUCUGAAUUCAUUACUUUAGACAAGGCAAGUGAAGAAGCUGAAUGGCUCCGGAAUUUCUUAGAAGAUAUUCCAUUUUGUCCCAAACCAAUGGCCCCUAUAUGCAUGCAUACAUUGUGAUAGUCAAGCUGCAAUAGGAAGGGCUGGAAGCAUUAUGUAUAACGGCAAGUCUCGUCACAUAAGACGAAGACAUAACUCUGUGAGACAACUACUCUCUAGUGGAAUUAUCACAAUUGACUAUGUGAAGUCAAAAGAUAAUGUGCCGGAUCCACUUACAAAAGGCCUAAAUAGAGAGGGAGUUGAGAAAUCAUCGACGGGAAUGGGACUAUGGACGAGAACAAGUCAUCGUGGCGGUAACUCUACCUAGAAGACUGGAGAUCCCAAGAUCUAGGUUCAAGGAGAUAAAACAAAGUCAUUGAUGACGGUUCAACAUUGUCAAAGAAAAAAAAUAUUAUUAUUAUUUUAUGGUCCAUUCUCAUGAUGAGACAAUGUUUAGUAACCAGGAUAAAGACAUAAGGACUUUUUAACGGUUUCUAAGUUUGAUACAGGGAAUAUCAAAUGGUGUAUCUAUGGGAUAACACAUUUAGAAAUCACCUAUGUAAGUGUGAAGUGUAAGCCGCUUCAAGGAGAAUCUGGUAAGGCCAGUUCUUUAAGCACUUACUAUCCAAGAUGUGUUCAUGGCUGAAACGAACAAAACAAUGAGAACUAAGAACAGUUCAAGGGUUGAUUGUGUGACAUAUGUUGUCUAGGUAUACACCAAAUCUCGACGGUUCAAAGAUAUCAAAUCUACCGAUUGACCGAGUAUAUCCGAUAUAUGUUCACUACGAAAAGUUUAAAGGGAAACCUACUUAUCCAGAUGCGAUUAACCUUUACCUACAAGACACACAAGUUUUUUCAUUCAUAUGUUUUAACAAUAGCCUUCCCCAUUCAUAUGGGGGAUUGUUGGGUUUUAGCAAGUGUGAAUGGGAAAAGAAAAGAGAGAAUAUCAAAAGUGAGGGAACUACUUUGGAGAGAAAAUGAAAAGUCAUUUGCAAAGUGCAAAUGAAAAGUCAUUUCUUUGGAUUUGGAUUUGGAUUUGGCAAAUGAUGUGAUUGAUUGAUAAUUUUUUUGGACAAAAUUUAUUUAAUCAAUUUUUGUUAAAUCAAAUAAAUCUUGUUAAUAUUAUCUCUUAUAAAUUUGCGGGUAAUAGUAACAUUCUGAAAAGUCGUUACUUUUCCAAAAAGUCGUUACUUUCCAAAAAGUAGUUAUUUUCCUAACAGACACAAUUUUUCAAAAAAGUUGUUAUUUUUUCCAAAAGACACAACUUUCUGGAUAAAAUGGGUUUGAACAGAUUUCACUGAACAGACAUGUUCCUUGCUGAAAAUGGCUAUAAAAGGAAGUCAAAUUUUGAUUUUUUAAACACUGAAAAUUUUUCUUUCUCUGCAUUUAUUUUUCUCUCAAAUAAAAUCAAAGUGUCGAUCGACUGAGUCUGUGUGACUUGCUGUUCUUAAGUUCGUUGAAGUUAAAGAAGUUUGAGGUACCACUAUUUCUUUAACAGGUUUAAUCCGUUUUAUCUUGGGAGAAAUUAAUCCAUAACCUUGGGUACAGUGAGGGGAUUAAAUUUCUUAAGGAAACACAGUAGUUUUUGUGGACUCGGAUUAAUUCUUGUAUUCUAUAUUAUUUUCUGCUUCAUCUUAUUUCUGUUUCUGUUUAUUAACUUUAUAAAUAAAAUUUAUUAUAAGAAUAACAGUUUAGUGUUAGAAAAUAUUGUUGAAACUGCAUUUUUUAUGGCAGAAUCUAGAUCUGUUAUGAUUGUAUGAGGCACAACUCCGAACAUUGUCUCUUGCCAAGUACGAAGUAAUCUCUCAAAAGUGUCUUGAGUUUCAUCCUAAAGUAGAGCAUAACCAAACAAAAUAGACUGAUAGUGAUUGUUAACUCCAGUAAAUGGAAUAAAAGACAUCUUGUAUUUAUUUAUCAUAGAUGUAAAAUAAAAAACAACUACUUUUCCAAAAUUCUUAUAAGUAAUCCUAGAUCUAACAUCAACCCAAAAACAAUUAGCGAAAUGAUCAUCUACAUCCAUUUGAAUUGCAUAAAAAAAAUCUGGAUUUUCAUAUUGACACCUUUGGAAAUAUUGCAGCAUUAGUUGUGCAUCUCCUUUAUCAAGAUCUUUUUGUCUUCUAAUUUGUAAAUAAUUCAGGAUAUCUUGACUUGUUAAAUUCAGUCGGUCUACACACGCAGCUUGAUUCAUCAACACUGAUGUUAUUUUACUUGGACGAACUCAAAAGUUAUCAAGUAAAUCAAUAAGAUUCUUUUGGGCAUCUUUUUUUUUUCUUUUUGAUGCAAGAAUUUUGUAUUACUUGGAGAUGCAAGUUCACAUCACUACUAAAAAAAGGCCAAAAAGAGACCUAGAAAAGGAGACCUCAAAAAUAAGUCUAUAAUAAGAGACCUCAUGAGGUCGCUAUUUGAAUUAAUAUCUUUUAUUUUUUUUAAUGUAGGAGAGACCUCGUGAGGUCAAUUUAAUGAAUUUUUUUUACCUGACUUAUUUAAAUUUUUAAAAUUUUUAAUCUAAUUCUCAUAAAAUUAGAGACCUCACGAGGUCUAUACUUGUAAAAUUAAAAAUAAUAAUUUAAUUUAAUUAAAGAGUUAAAAAAUAAGAGACCUCAUGAGGUCUCUUAAACAAAACAAAAAACCUAGCCAACAUUAAAAUAGCUAUCUCUUUCUUCCCUCUCUCUUUCUCGUCGUUCCUCUUUCUCUGUCGUCGUCCCUCUCUCUCUCAUCGUUCCUCUCCGCCGUCGUCUUCUCCUUCUCCUCUCUCCGCCGUCGUCUUCUCCAUCUCCAUCUCCACCGUCGUCUUCUCCAUUCUCCAUCACCGCCGUCGUCUUCUCCAUUCUCCAUCUCCUCUCUCCGCCGCCAGCUCUCCGCCAUUUGCAGUCGGGCCUCAGAAGGUGGAGGUCGCGCCGCCUCCGUCUCUGCCAUUUGCAGUCGGGCCUCAGCAACAGCGUUCCCAACCCUUUGACUCCAGGUAAAUUUUUUGAACAAACUAGUUCUUUGAAAAUAAGUUAGUUCUGCUGUUAACUUUUUUCUUGAGGGUAGAAAGACAAGUGGGAUUGGGAUUUUCUUGGUUGUUGAAGGGACGAAGAAACAGAAAGGUUCAAUCUUUGUGUGUUACAAGUUUAGUUUCAGAUGGUUCAUCAAUUGCUGAAAAUAAGAAAGUGUCAGAAGGGCUUCUUUUGGGUCCUGAGAGAGAUGGUUCCGACUCUGUUGUUGGUUUUCAAUUGAUUUCACAUUCUGGUACUGCCCCUUUUUGUGUUCUUGAGUUUGAAGUUAACAUUCAGUAUUCAUGAAUUUGAGAUAUGGUUUUCAAGUUGCUUCAAUUACUGAAAAAUUUGUUUGUUAAGUUUAAGUACCAACACUAGUUGAUCCUAUUGAUGACAAAAUUGAUUUUCCUUGAACAUCAAUUUGUGUCCAUCUAGUGUUGACACUUACCUUUAAAUUUAGAAAUAAUAUAUUGUUUAAGCAUAAGUACCAACACUAGUUGAUCUUAUUGAUAACAAAAUUGAUUUUCUUUGAAAAUCAAUUUGUGUCCAUCUAGUGUUGACACUGGCUUUAAAUUUAGAAAUAAUUAUUUGUUAAGCUUAAGAACCAACACUAGUUGAUCCUAUUGAUGAAAAAAAUUGAUUUUCUUUUAAAAUCAAUUUGUGUCCAUCUAGUGUUGACACUUAGCUUUAAAUUUUAGAAAUAAUUAUUUGUUAAGCAUAAGUACCAACACUAGUUGAUCCUAUUGAUGACGAAAUUGAUUUUCUUUGAAAAUCAAUUUGUGUCCAUCUAGUGAUGUCACUUAGCUUUAAAUUUUAGAAAUAAUUAUUUGUUAAAUUUGUAACUAUCGUGUUAGUAUUAAGGUAAAACUAAACUAAUUAAACUUAGAAAUUUGUUAAGUUAUUUGGUAAGUUAAACUUGUUACAAUAGUAUAAGAAAUUAAGUUAACAAUAAACUAGUUAGAAUUAGAAAGUUGUUAAGUUGGUUGAUAAGUUACAUUGGUUAAUAUAGUAUUGGAAUUAAGUCAAAACUAAACUAAUUAGACUUAAAAAUUUGUUAAGUUGGUUAAUAAGUUAAAGUUGUGAAUAUAGUGAUUGAAUAAAGUUAAAACUAAACUAAUUAGAUUUAAAAAUUUGUUAAGUUGGUUAAUAAGUUAAACUUGUUACUAUAGUAUUUGAAUUUAGUUAAAACUAUACUAAUUUGACUUAGAAAUUUGUUAAGUUGGUUAAUAAGUUAAAUUUGUAACUGUCGUGUUAGUAUUAAGGUAAAACUAAACUAAUUAAACUUAGAAAUUUGUUAAGUUAUUUGGUAAGUUAAACUUGUUAAAAUUUGUUUUCAGUAAAUUAUUACAUAAUGUAGUGCUUGACAAAUUUAAUUUAUGAUUCUUAUGUAGAUGGAUCGUAGUUGAAUGUAUAAUAUGACUAAUUUUGGUCAAAUGGGGCUAAGACCUGAAUUUGUAGAAGUUGUCAUUGGUUUUGUGGAGUAUGCAAAUACAUUAGAUCUUUUUCAACGUAGUGGUAUGAUUAAGUGUCCUUGUAAUAAAUGUCAAUAUUUGAAUUAUGAAAAACCAAAUGUUGUUGAGCUUCAUAUCUAUCGAAAUGGGUUUAAAAAAGAAUACAUUGUGUGGAUUAGUCAUGGAAAAAUUGAUAAUAACUUUGAUGUAUUCCAACAUUAUGUUCCUGGUGAAAGUAGUAGCACUGUGAAUUCUAAUGCACAAAAUUAUAGAAUUGAUGACAUGGUUCAAGAUGCUUUUGGUGUGUAUUCUGAUUUUGAUUUUGCUAAUCAAGGUAAAGAAGCUCCUAAUGCUGAAUGUAAAAUUUUCUUUGAACAAUUGGAAUCUGCUAGUCGGCCUUUAUAUGAGGGAAGUCUACACUCACAGUUGUCUAUUGCGGUUAGAUUAUUAAGUAUCAAAUCAGAUUGGAAUGUUCCUCAAGGGGCAGUGGACUCUGUGAUUGAUCUUAUUCAUGAUUUAGUUGAGACAAAUCUAGAGAUACCUGAUAAUUUCUAUAAGGCAAAGAGGUUGGUAUCAAAGUUAGGAAUGUUGUUGACACCCAAUUUUGACCGACCUUUAACCAUUUAAGGAUUUCUAUUUGACUAAAUACGUAUUCUAAAAUUUACCUAAAGUUUUAAAGUUUUAGUCGAUUUUUCUCAAAAAAUUAUAUAUUUUAGUAUCGUUUACUUUAUAAAAUUAUUAUAAAUAUUAUUAUAUAUUUUUUAUGAAUUUCAAAUGUUUUAAAAUUUAGAUGAUUUUCAAUUAUACAAAAUAUUUUAAUGUAUGUAGUAUUUUAAUAAAAUUAUUUAAAUUCUAGCCUAUUCUAUUCUAUUUCAUUCUAGUUCUAGCCACUUUAAAUUGCAAUUUUAGCCAUUCUAUAUCUUUGCCAAUCUAAUUUCAAUACAUCUCAUCUUUCGAUCUCAUCCGUCUAUUUAAUUAAUAAAUCCUAGAUCAGAUCCUAACCCUCCGUCUCUAUCUAAUCUAACGGUUGAGAUCAAUUUUUUCUAUCUCUCUCUUUAACACCAAAAUACCCUAAAUACCUAAUCUUGAAAAAAAUUCUAACUCUCUUCUUCCCCCUUUCCUCCCUCCAGCCGCCAGCCUUGCUCUCUCUCUCCCAUUCUUUCCGGCGAGAGUCUCCGUCACCGGCGAAGCCAGCAGCCGCUGGCAGCCAUCGCGCCUCCCCUUUGCUCCCUCUCCUCCUCCCUCCUUCUAUCUCUCACCCCUCUCUCCAGUCUCGUCUCCUCCCCUUUUCUCUCCCUCUCCUCCAUUUUUCCGGCGAAGGAGACAGCCGGACGGAAGCAGCAGCACCGCUGCUCUUCUCCCUCUUCCCCUCUCCGUCUCUCCACAUCCUUCUCCCCCCCUCUCCUCGUUUCCCUCUUUCUCUUCUCCCCUCGCUCCUCCCCUCCUUCUUUCUCCCCUCUCCCGUCGUCCCCCUUCUCCCUCUUUCUCUCCUCUUACCCUCUCUUCCCCUCCCGUCUCUCCUCUUCCCGUUCCUCUCCUUUUUGCAGGUAGCAGCAGCCGGCGACAGCCACCACGCAGCAGCAACAGCCAGGCGAGGCAACCGGCAGCAGCAGCGACAACAUCUCUAGCGCCUCCCGCCAGCAAGCAGCUCACUCGCCCCUUCCUUUUCCGGUUACACAAUGGGCAACAAUUCAGGCUAUGGUCAGCAAUGGCGUGAAAUCCGAACUUAGUGUUUGAGAAAUGGCGGAUCUGGACAGAUCCGUCUAGGUUUGUUCUAAUCAAUUAAUUGUUAUUCAUCUCUUAAUACUCUUAGUUGUUGGUCCUUGGCAUGCUCUUGAUUUCUAUACAUCUACUUUAUGUGAGUAAAAAAUGUUUUGAACUACAUUGUAGAAGGAGCCAUGAGUUUUUUUAUCUUAAGCAUGUUUCGUUGUAAGUUGCUGAUGUUUGAAUGUUCUUAUAUCUAUAUUAUUGGCUUCAUUGUAAUUUGAUGAUAUGCAGAAAGAAAUAAUAUGUUCUUGAUUCAGAAUUGUGGACCCUUGGUUUUGAAUUGAUUAACUUCUUAAACUAAUAUGAUGCAAAUUUUCCCUCAACUUUGAUGCCUACGGAUUUGUUUUUGAUAUCAACUUAGUAAUUUUGUAUAAUCCUUUUGUUGAACUACGUGACUGAUGCACAUGAUGAAAUUGUAGGUUCUGUGAUCUUUGUAAUAUUGAUACCUCUCCCUUAAUUAAUUACUCUUGUCCGACGAAUUUGUAAUUGAUAGCUUAUUAAUCAAUUUCUUAUUUUAUUCGGUUGUGUAUAUUUUUGACAUGUUAAUUUUGGUUUUAGUAUUUUGGAAUUUGACUCAUAUUUGGCUCUUCAUUAUUUAAGGAAAAAUUAUAUAUCUCUUCCCAAUUUUAUUUUUACUUGCUUACAUGGUAAAGUAAUAUUAUUUUUUGGCUCUUCUUUGAAAAAAUAUAUUCUCUUAUUUAUUUAUAUUUGGUAAAAAUAUAUAAGAUAAAGGAUAAUUUCUUAUUUGUUUAUAUAUGGUCAAAAAUAAUUAAUUAUUUUCUGAUUUCGGAUUCUUCUUCAUUUGUGAAAAAUAUACUCUAUUAAUUAAUAUACUCUAUUAAUUUAUUACUUGUAUUAUGAUUGAUUCCUUGAAAUAUUUAUUUCCCUUAUUUGUUCCCUCCUCCUCUACUAUAUAAAGAGAUUCCUUUAUACAUACACAUUCAUUCACUCUCAAUCACAAAACUCUCUCAUCAUUCUCCCUUCUCUCAUUUGCUCUCUUGCUACUCAACAAAACAUUAAUAUUCCGGUAAUUAUUCAAGGGUUCUUCUUUGCUAUCUUAUUACUUUGUUCGAGUAAAGAUUGAAUCAAUUCGUUUUGCUUAACGGGUUAGUAUUCUUAACAUUCACACGAUCUUUACAUUCACAAUUUGUGUAAGCUAUUGUUUUGUAUGUAGAAUUCGUCAUUAAACGAUUGCAUAUUGUCUCACCUUAACUAACAAGUGUGAUUACUUGUGUAGUUAUUUAAUUACUUUGACAGGUUUCAUAUUUGAAGUUCAAGUUCAAGAUUAACUGAAGAAGGAUUUAUUUAUUUGUUUGAAUGUAUAUAUAUAUCUAUAUAUUUUUAUUUUUUCGCUAUUUUAUUUAUUCGAAUGAUGUAACAAUUGUAACCCUAAAGAUCAUAUAAUAAAUUUAUUUGGGGGUCGUCUAGGGGAGGGGGAUUUAUAUGCUUAUUUGUUCGUUAUAGUUUUAGAAAUCAUGCCUAUAGGUUUGUAUUUAACCACCUAGAUUUAAUGUUUAUAGGUGUUAUAAUCAAUUUUCAAUUUGCUUACUUUUGUUAAUGAAGUCUAAAAAUAAUAAACUAGAUUCCGUUAAUGUUAAAAGCAAAUCAUAGUAACUUAAUAGGCCGAUUAGUUGUUUUAAUAAUGUUAUAAUUUAAGCAUCAUCUUGUCAUGUAGAAAUCAUGUCUAAGGUUUAAUUUGUUCAUAUCAUUUACAAAAUCAUGCAUAUAUAUGUUACAUUGUUUUUUUUAAACACCUAGAAAUCAUGUCUAUAGGUUUGUAAAUAAUUUUUAACAAAAUUUAUUUGUGCAUAUUUGUGCCCUCCCCUUAAAAUUAGUUAAUAUCAUUAGAAAUCCUAUUUGUCCUCUUGAAGAUUUCCGCAUUUAUUAUGCAAUUUUUUUAUUAGAAUCAUUUUAUGCAUCUAGCAAGUUACUUAGUUUUAAAAUAUUUCAUAUCAAAACCUUGCAACAUAAUUCAAUCUUUCUUUAAAUUUUAGAUUGAUUAUGACUCUGCUUAUUUUUGAAAUAAAUUAUAAAGUGCUAUCUCCUAACCUAUCGUUAGUGAGAAAGUCAAAGGAACUACGAGGUCUAGUUCCAUUUUUUUUAAAACCGGACGCAUCCUCGGAAGUACCACCUACCCAUGAAUUUAAAAAAGAAUUAUGUAAAUGUUUAUGUGCCUACGUGUGAACUAAAUCUUUUAAAUCAUUUUUCAAAACAUAACUAUUUUUUAUACCGACCUCAAAUCAAAAUUGUUUCUAUGGUGGAGGAGCGCGAUCAAUAAUAUCGUGGCAUCAUCCCUAUAAAGAAACAAACAUUUUUCUUAAAAUAAAAAAAAUCAUAUUCAAAACUUGCUCAAUUUUCAAAACCUUACUUUCUCACAUAUUAAUUGUUUAAUAUUUAUUUUGUUUAUAACUUAGUCUUAUGCUUAAAUAUAAAUAAAACUUGAUUGUUUAUUUAUCGUCAUCACCUAGCCUUUCAUGCUUAAAUUAAUAGUAUUAAUUGUUUUAUACUUGUUAUCACUUAGCAAACAUAUUAAUGAAUAAUAAUGAAGUGACCUUGAUUGCUACUUGUAACCCCCACAUAGAUUGCAUGAGAUACGGUCGGGACCCACACUUGUGGACCUCGAGGGAUGCCUAACACCUUCCCCUCGAGGUAAUUUGAACCCUUACCCUAAUUCUCUGGCUCGUUGACCUUAGUUAGACUUAGUUAGGUUAGAUAGGUGCCCUAACGCGCCUUAAUUCGUUAGGUGGCGACUCCCAAACUCAAAAUCCCAAAAGAGUUGUUAGGUCGUGCACAAAACCCGUUUUCUGCAAAAAUGGGGCGCGACAAAUGUCAUCGAUGAGAAUUCAUUGUUGUGAAAAUGGUUGCAUGUUAUACUAUAAGGAUGAUAUUGAUCUUGAAUCGUGAAAGUUUUGUGGAAAAUGUCGUUAUAAGCAGACAACUAGUGGGAAGAAAGUUCCUAUUAAGGUGAUGCAUUACUUACCUCUUAUACCAAUGUUAAAGAGGUUGUAUGCGUCUAAUAGAUCUGCUCCUCAUAUGAGAUGACACCAUGAACAUAGAAGACCACCUGGAGUUAUGUGUCAUCCAUCCGAUGGAGAGGCUUGGAAGCAUUUUGAUAGAACAUAUCCACAAUUUGCAGCUCAAACCACGUAACAUUAGAUUGGGUUUAUGUUCAGAUGGAUUCACGCCACAUUCUGUUUCUGCUGCACCAUAUUCUUGUUGGCCUGUAUUUGUAACACCAUAUAAUCUUCCACAUGAGAUGUGUAUGACCAGUCCAUAUAUAUUUCUCAAUUGUGUCAUUCCUGGCCCACGGAAUCCAAAAGUAUUGAUUGAUGUAUACUUGCAACCUUUGAUUGAUGAGUUGAAACAAUUGUGGGUUCAAGGGGUUGAAACGUUUGAUGUGUCUUUUAAGCAGAAAUUUUAAUUUGCGGGCUGCCUUAAUGUGGAUUAUUAAUGAUUUUCCAGCAUAUGGAAUGUUGUCAGGGUGAAUGACAGCGGGAAAGUUAGCUUGUCCUUAUUGUAUGGAAAAUACUAAAUCAUUCACUUUGAAACAUGGUCGUAAAAAUUGUUGGUUUGACUGUCAUCGACAAUUCUUGCCAAUGGAUCAUGAGUUUAGUAGUAUGAAAAAUGCAUUCAAAAAGAAUUCUGUUGAACAAGGUUAUCCUCCUCCAAUCUUAACUGGAGAACAAGUUUGGGAGAGGGUUCAAAGCUUUCCAAAGGUCGCAAAAGAACAACCCUACAAAUUUGAUGGAUAUGGUGUUGCACAUAACUGGAUAAAACAAAGCAUAUUCUGGGAGUUACCGUAUUGGAACGACAAACUUCUUCGACAUAAUCUUGAUGUCAUGCAUAUUGAAAAAAAUUACUUUGAUAAUUUAUUUAACACAUUAAUAGAUAUCACUGCAAGACAAAAGAUAGUGUUAAAGCUAGAAUAUACUUACCUGAAAAUUGCAGGCGAAAAGAGUUAUGGUUGCAAGAGAAAUAGAACAACAAGUUCUUCAAGCCUAAGGCUAGUUAUUCAUUUACAAGGGAUCAAAAGCGUAAAAUUUGUGAAUGGGUCGAGCAACUUAAGAUGCCUACUCUUGCUAGUUUGUUUAAUAAAGCUCGUAGAGAUAAUAACAAACCUAGUUGGGUUCUAUCGGAGGAUUGGGUAAACUUACUUGUGCAUUAGAAAUAUGAUCCAAAAUUUAAGCAGAUGAGUUAGAUCGGUAAAAAGGCAAGAUCAUCUACUAAGGGUGGUUCUCUACACACAAGUGGGGCUCAAAGUCAAAGAAGUGUGAGGAGGAAAUUGGUGUGUAUCAUUUUUCUUUGUGUUUAUAUAUUUUAUGUAUUAAUAUUUAAUUACUCUUGAUUAUAACUUUAUUAUUUUAUGUAGGAAAAGGAACUAGGAAGACCGGUAACUCAAGCUGAGGCAUUUAAGACAACACACAUUAGAAAGAAGAAAAAUUCUGAAGAUCCAGAUGUUGGGUUGAACCACGAGCAGAAGUGACCUAUGUAAGCCUCUAAUUUUAAUAAAUAAUUACUUAUUUUCUAAAUUUAUAUUCUCAUAUGAUAACAUUCAAUUUAGAAUCGAUAUCUUCAAGCUUUGGAGGAUUUACAACAAACUCUGCGGGAAGAAAAUCGAGGUAUGUCACUUACCCAAGAAAAGGAUGAGAGAGUUUGGUUAGACUUCACUUGUGGGCCGAGUAGAUAUGGGUAUGCAUAUGGAAUGCUGCAUAAAACCUUUCGUGAAUUUUCUUUUGAGUUUGAAGGCCUAAAUAGUUCAAAUCAUGAUAAAUCGAUGAAGAAAAAUUUGGCUAUGGAGAAAAAGAUUGUUGAGCUAUCUAGCCAAGCCGAAGAAUCACGGGCUAGGGAAAGGCGGUUGGAAUUACAGUUUGCGGGUCUUAAGGCUCAAUUCGAUGCAUUACUUGCUUCAGGAGGGAUUCCCCUUUGUUCUGGUGAUGUCACUUUCCCUCCUCGACCUCCUCAAUCUCAACCUACUCAAUAUCCAAUGUAUGGUCAACAAAGAAAUAUGACACAUGAGUCUAGUAGUGAUGAAGAAAGUGAUGAUUAUGAGGCAAACACACUACCACAUUAGUGAAGUUUAGACUUGUGAUAGUUAACUUAUGGAUCAUUUUGUUAACUUUAUAAUUUUGUGAUGGAAAUUAUUUGUUUUGUGAAUACAUGAUAACGUUGCAAUGUAUUAUAUAACUUAUAGAUAUCAUGGUUUUUUUUUUAAUAUAUAAUUAUGUUGAAGUGAGUUGCAAUUGAGUUGAUAAGAGAAUAUUUAGUAAAUGUAUUACUUCAAUUGAUUUUUGGAAGCUCUUUGAGUUUGAUUUGGGUACUGAAUUAAAAUGACAGGUGAUGAGAAGCCAUAGAAAUAACAAUUAGCUGCCUGUUUUUCCAGAAAAAGAGACCUCAUGAGGUCUCUUUUUUGCAUUAAUUUUUCUAGAUAUUUCAUUAUAGAGACCUAAUGAGGUCUCUAUUUAACAUUUUCUAUUUUAUAAAUGCAGAAACGAGACCUCAUGAGGUCUCUUUUUUGCAUUAAUUUUUCCAGAUUUUUCAUUAUAGAGACCUCAUGAGGUCUCUUGUUUGCAUUAUAUUUUCCGUAAAUUUCAUUAUAGAGACCUCACGAGGUCGCUAAAAAAUAAAUGCAGAAAAGAGACCCGAUGAGGUAUCUCCUUUAAAAUAAUAUAAAAUUAAAUUAAAUAAUAUCUUAGCGACCUAAUGAGGUCUCUUUAUUAAUAUAUAAAAUUAAAUAAUAUAAUAAAAUGGUGACCCCAUGAGGUCUCUAUAUAAAAAAUAUAAAAUUAAAUUAAAUAAUACAAUAGUGACCUCAUGAGGUCUCUUUUUUAAAAACCUCGUGAGGUCUCCGUUUGGCGACCUCGUGAGGUCUCCGUUUGGCGACCUCGUGAGGUCUCCGUUUGGCGACCUCGUGAGGUCUCCGUUUGGCGACCUCAUGAGGUGUCUUUAAAAAAGUGACCUGCAUUUUACUGACCUACCGUUGAGGUCUCUUUUUCGGUCUAUUUUUCUCGAAAAGAGAUUGCUACGAUGAGUAUAAUUGAGAUAAAAUUUAAAUGAAUCAUCAAUUGCCUGAAACUCCUUACCGAUGUAGGGGUCUCUCGAAUUUCCAACUACUAUUUUAAAAAUAAUUUAUUUUGUUUCUUCCCUGUCACUUUCUUCUAAUGAAACUUCAACUCAUGUACGUUGCUCAUCUAAAUUUGAGUUUUCCAUUAAUGCUGCAAAAUACAUUUAUGAAUGUUAGAUAGCUUAAAAUAUGUCUAUUUAUUCAACACUUUCUUUGUGAAUAUUCAGUAUUGAAAGUUCAAGUAAUAAAAGAUUUUUCCAAUAACUUAGAGUAGAACAAAAGAAUUGGAGAUGAUAUGCCAAUACUUUAAAUGCAAUAUUUACCUCUCUCGACUCUAUAUUCACCUAUUUUUAGUAUAUUGAAUUGUUUUGCUAAUGAAGAUUUUUGUCCAAAACGAGUUUUUUUAUGCUUAUAAACAAGAAAAUAUAUGAAAUUUGUUUUCGCAACGUACCAUUGACUAGAAGAAGCUUGUCAAGUUUCAUAACGUUUGAAGUUUUAAAAAUUAAAUUCUUGUUAGGUUCAGAAAGUAUGAUGCUUCAAGAAUUACAUGAGCUAUGAUUUUAAGGGAAAACCUACAAUAAACCUAAUUAUUGUAUUAAUUUUGAAAAGAAAAUAAGUUAAUUACGGAACUAAAUUUGGUUAGAAUCCAAAUAGGACUCAACUAUUGAUAUUCUUCUUCUCCUUCUCUUUUUAGUAAAUGGUUGAAUUUUUUUUCUUUUUUUUUUAAUUAUAAUAUUUUAUUAAAAUAAGUUACCUGUUAUAGGAUGUGUUUAAUUAGGAUGAAGUUUAAAAAGAAAAAAAGACUUGAACUCAUGUUCUAAAACAAGUUACAUUUUCUGGUUAUAAUUAAUUUCAAUAAAGAUGAAAUCAGAAGUAUAAUGGUUGCGUGGGGGGUGGGGGUGGGGGAUGUUAUUCCUUUUCUUUUUAAACAGAUUAGAAACAAAAAAAGUAACACAAACGAAAAUAUUAAUUACUAAAUAAUAUUGAUAACCGGUCAUUUGUUAUCACAUGUUAAAAAGGAAUGUACUUUGUUAUGGGUUAGAGUUAUCUAAGUACAAUCAAACUUUCUAUAAUGGUUAUUCGCUAUAAAACUUUCAACUACUAUAACGGUACAAACCUUUUUAUAACGGUCAUUCGUUAUAAAACCUUUUAACUAUAUAAUGGUCAUUCGUACAAAUCUUCACAUAACGAUCUGGUUCGUACAAAUCUCUCCAUAACGAUAGUUCGUACUUCAUAACGGUCGUUCAUUAUAAAACUCAUCAACCCCUGUAGUCAUUCGUACAAAUCUUUCAGUAAUGGUCAUUCGCUAUAAAACUCUCUAACCUUUACAACUGUCAUUGGUACAAAUCUCUCUAUAACAGUCAUUCGUUAUAAAACUCUUCAACGAUAUAGCCUCUCUAUAACGUUCAUUUGUUAUAAAGUUGUUCAACCUCUAUAACCUCGCUUUAUAAUGGUCAUUCGUUAUAGCAAUAUUCAACCUCGAUAAUGGUCAUUCAUUAUAACACUCUUUCAACCUCUUUAAUGGUACUUCGUUACAAAACUCAUCAACAUCUAAAUUCUCUCUAUAAUGACCAUUCAUGCGAAACUCUUCAUCCUUUAAAACCAUUUCUCAUGAUAUAUUUUACUUUUCUCUAACAACAUUUUACCUGUAACAAAGAUGAUAUUCAUUAUAGCACUAUACUCUUUUUUAAAAUAAAUCUUUCAUAACGCCAUACUCAAAUAUUGUAUACAGUAAUAUUUUAUAAGAAAUAUAUAACGUAUAAAAUAUAACAUUAAAAUGUUUAUGAUAAUUACCACUUAAUAUCAUGUACAAACUUUUGUUCCUGUUACGAUUUUUCAUGACCUUUUUAUGGUAUAAUAAAAGAAAAUAUCAAAAUAAUACAUCUUCCCAUACUCGGGGGCGGAGCCAUCUUGCGGUUACGGGGUCAUUCGAACCUUUUUCGGUGAAAACUAAUACUAUUUACACAUAUUUAAAGUAAUUUUAUGUAUAAUAUAUAAUAGAUAUUAAUCUCUUUUAACUAGUUUGAAUCCUUUGUGAAAAUUACGACUCCUUAUUGUCAUACUAGAAAAUGUUUUUUAUAUUUGUGGUCCUCAUUUAUCAAAAUAUUAUCUAAACAUUAUUUGCCUUGAAUAUUAUUUGCCUCCUCCAUAUUAAGAGUUUGAUUGACAUUACAUCAAAAAUGCUUUCUUUUGAGAAAAAAGAAAACAUUUAUUUGAAAGAUUAAGUGUUUGAUAAAUGUUAAAACUGCUUUUUAGAUGGAAGCAAGAGCAGUUAUGUUGUUGGGAUGAAGCUAAAAAAAAUUUGCUUCUUAGAAGAAAUAGAAACACAAAAUUAUUUUUUAAAAGACUAAUAUAAAUAUCCCUUAUCAAUUAAUUAACAUAUCUCAUAAGUUUGAUUAAGUUUCAUUUAAGAAUUUUUAUUUUUUAUUUUAUGUAAUAAAUUUCUUUUUUUAUUUUAUUUUUAGAAUUUAUAUAUUAUUUUACGUUUUAUUUACAUAAUUAGUAAUAAAGGUAACAACAAUAUUUUUGUAGGAUAAAAAAAUAUAAAAGACUUAAUUUAUUUUUGUGGAGAAUUUUUGUAUAUAGUAGUUUAAUUUGUGGAAUGGUUUUUAAAUUUAUGAAUAUGUACAUUUUAAUUUAAUUAAAGUAAAAUUUUAACUAAAAAAUUGUACUAUAUAUUGAAAAUAGCUUUUCUCUAUAAAAUAAUAUUAGCAUUAAAAGCACAUUAUUACUUAUCAUUUUCAUAAUUUAAUUUUUAAAAACACUUUUUAAAAAAAUUAGCAAAAACAAUUUACUUAUCAAAAUCACUUUUCAAAUAAAUUGAGCAAACACAAAAAAAAUUCAAAAGUAAAUGUCAAAAAGACUCUAAAAAUGGUAUGUACAUAAUGAAUGUUUAUUGUCUUUUAAUAUAUAUUUGCAAUCCUAAAUAAUAGCAUUGAGAGAAUGGCGCACUGUAUGCCUUUUGACUUCAAUAUUUGAGGCUCGUUUAGAGUAUACCUGAUAAUUGAAUUUGGCGUAAUUAUGUGUAAUUUAAUAAUUUAUUUUUUUUAUUGGAUAAAUAAUUACUUUGUCAAUAGAUAAUUGAGGUAAUUGACAGGAGAUAAUUACUCUCUCUAAUUCACAGUCAGAGGUUGUGAAUUGCUCAUAAUUACAUGCUGUAAUUACCAACUGAUUACUUUAAAUUAUUUUUUUUUAAUUUCUAUUUUUUAUUAUUUUGUUUUAAUUUUUCUACUUCUAUUAUUUAAAGUUCUUUUUUAUUUUUACUGUUCUAAAAGUUCCUAAAAGUUUAUUUUUUAUUUUGUAUUAUUAUAUUUUAUUUUCUUCUCGUUCUCAACUUUCUUCAAGUGAUUCUAUGCAAAUUUUUCGUAUUAUCUAUCUCUUUAUGUCAUGCUUAUUUUCUCAUCAACAUGAUCCUAUUAGUAUUCUAAUUUUUAAAUUAAAAUAGAAUUUAUUGUUAAGUGAGGUUAUCGAUUUACAAUUUUUUUAAAAUAAAAAUAAGUCAUAUCUAUUACAUUGAAAUUUGCGAUAAAAGUAUUAUGUUAAAUUUUUGUUUUAAAUUUAUAACUUAUAUUAUAUUUUCAGUUUCAAUGGUUUUAGUAAUAUUUAAUUCACAUUGCAAGUCAUUUUAAUUAGACUUAUAGUUUUUAAAUUCAAUUAGAAUAUAUUAAUUUGAAAAAAUAUAAAUCAAUUUUUUUCAUAAUAUUAGUAAGAAUUAUAAAUAAUUAGUUUUUAUUUUUAAAAAUAAUUGCUUUUGUGCAUCCAAAUAAAACAUGUGUAAUUACAUUAUGGCAUUCAAACAGAACAUAUGUAAUUACACUAUGACAAUCAAACAUGUCAAUGUAAUUACUAGAUUGUGUAAUUAUUAAAGUAAUAAUUACUACCCUAGUAAUUUCACCAAUUUCAAGAGUUUUUUGCCAAAAUAAUCCUUAAAUUAUAUCUCAAGUUAUAUCCGUAAAGUAUCAUUCUUACCAUAAAACAUCCUUCAAGUAUUUCAAAGUGAAUAAUUUUCAUCCUUCUACUUAAAUUUAUUAGAAAACUAAUCGAUAUAUCCCACAAAGAUUAAGGCGUCCCUUCCUAAUUAUUAUUCUUAGAUAUACCAAGAAUAUUAUCGUGAACUUUUUCGUAAUUGAGUUAAGAAUUAUGCAAAAUCUUUUAAUUUGACCUUUUUCUCAUUCAUUUUUCAUGUAAUUUAAUUAAAAAUAUUAUUAGUUUAAAUAUGUUUCUUCUCAAUUGAAUGUGCUAGAAGCGACAUUUGUUGGAGACUUCCGCUUCUAAUAAUAUAGAAUGAAACUCAAAUACGAGACAAUAUUUUGGUCACUUUAAUAUUAAGAUUGAUCCAAAAAUCUAUUGAUUUAAUUGGUUAAGAAAAUGAUAAAAAUAAUUAAUCUCCAAUUUCAUUCCGUUACAAAAAAGACAAAUCAUGUACGCUCACACCUUCCAAUCAUUUUUAGUUUCCAUAAGCAACAGUGUCUAAGAUUUUUUAUAUUUUUCAAUAACUUCUUGUAUGUUUUCGUAAGAUCCAUUAGUUUUUUGACAAUAUCUAAUAAAAGGACGAAAGUUGUCAACUUACAAAUACUUAAAGGAUGUUUUCUACUAAAAAUGAUACUUUAAGGAUGUAGUUUAAGUUUGGGGUAUAGUUAAAAGAUCUUUUCUGUUAGAAAUGAUAUUUGAAGGAUAUGAUUUAAGAUAUGUCGUAAUUACUCAUAUAUUUUCAAAAAUUAUUGUAAAAGAUAGUAUUUCACUUUUCUAUAUUCAAAUUAUGCACUCUGUUAUUGGGCACGGUAUGCAACUGAUUUAAUUCUGUGUGUUGAGGUGACUUUGAAGAUUCAAAUUCUACAUGCGUGCCUUGAUUAUUUUUUUAAAAAAAUAUUCUUUCAAGUAAAAUGUGCUAACUUUCACUUUUCAGCAAAUUUGUUCUAAUUAGCCCAAUUCAUUAUUCUUAAUUGGAAAAUCACUUUUAUACAUGAAAUUUGAUUCAUUUUUAUGAAAUGUUGAAGGAGAUUUUUUAUUUAGCAAAAUAUAGCAAGAAUUUGUUUUCAAACAUAUAUGAAACUUUUGCUCAAAAUUUUGUAUAUGAAAAUGGUAUAAAAUCAACUCUUCAAUUUAAUUAGCUUCCUUUUGUUUUUAUUUUUAUAGUUAAUUAUAUAAUUAAAAAAAUAAUAUUUUCAUUGUUUGUUUUAUAGAUCAACGUGUGGACACCUCAUAUUGUAUUAUCCAAAUUGGAAUAGACCACUCAACACAUAAAUCCAAACACUUACAUCCAUUUGUUUUAUCGGAAAAUUGAUCAUUUUCCGAAAAGAGUUUGUUUUAUUUUCAAAGAUAUUUUCGACUUUUAGGAGUCGCCACUUAAUUUUUAAGAAAAAUCAAAAAAACUUAUUUCCAAAACAAAUUAAACAGAAAAAUUUGUUUUGAAAAUAUUUUAGGGGGUUCGGGAUUCUUAUUCGCGUCUUAGGAAGGUGUAAGGCACCUAAGAUACUCCGCUAACUUACGGUUUUCCAACGAUUAACUUAUUUGACUAUUUUAUUAACUAUUGCGAUUCUUUAAGUUGAACCUUUAUUAGAAUUUUACUUGGACAAAUUUACAAGUCUUGAAAUAUUUGUCGCUUUUUAGGCUUAGUUUUAAAUUUAGUAAAAUAGAAAAAGCGUCUCGGCGGGGUUUGGAGUUUCCAAUCCUAGACUAAAAGGCAUUUAAAGCAAAAAUAUAAACAAUAGUAAAGAGAGAGAGAGAGAGAUUUGGGCCCAAACUCAGGUUCUGUUCGCCUUGACCGAGUUUUGGACCCACCUGUUUUUUUUUGGGGAGGGGGGGGUUUCAACCCAUUUUCCACCUGUACUAAUCUAAACAUAUAAAAUAAUACGAGAAAGCAAAACAAUAAGGGCUUAUGCCCAUUACAAAAUACAACACAAUAAGAAAAUCUUCUAAUUCGCCUUUGGAUUCUUCUUCGAUAUUCCUGGCAUUGGACUCUCGCAUGUUUGUCUUAACUCGAUCGAAGGAAUUUUAAGUCUUGAUGACACUCUUGAAAUGCAACGGGAGAAGAGACGAGAUCCAAAUGGACACGAAAGGAGUCUCACAUGCAACGAAACAGAAUAGGUACAUGUUAGCGAGUUAAAGGAUUAGAAGAUCAAUUAAAGAAAUUAGGUAACAUAUCCACAUACAACUCGACUAACGGGCAUACAAAGUGAAGGAAAUAAUCUACUUGAUUACGCAUGUGACACAAAGAAAGGUGCGGUUUAACAAAAUGUUUCAUUUGAGGAAAGCUUACAGAAAUAUAUAAGUAGCCAAAUUAUGAGAGGAAAAAAAAAACACAUCACAACAAACAUUUGAACAAUCAUUCAAUAUUAAGAAUAUCAACGCAAGCUGAUCAAAAUGGAGAAUCAAGAACAACAUCACACGACUAACUCAAACAAGGCAUCAUAUAUCUUGAGACACUAACGAAACUUAGAAAAUAAAGAACGAGUCAACUGUUGCAUUUAACGAAGUAGACACAACAAUCAUUCGACCUUCUCGCUAAAUAGCCUUGACACUUUGCUUAACAUUUACAACCACCCAAACACAACAUAUUUAAUCAAUCCCUAAUGAAAACAAAAGACAGUAAAAUAAUCAUGCAGACAUAUUUGAAACCAUCUAUUUAUAGUCAAACAAGUCUUAAAAGAAGUGAGAUAGAAGCGUGACUCAAAUUAAGGCAAAGGAACUAUCCCAUCAAGGUGUUCCAAGAAACCAAAUCCCUCUUUGACAUUUCAUCAAACAGUUUGUGUGCACAACGGAUUCCCCCACAAACACAAUAAAAAUUCCAAAGGGUGUUCUUCAAAUCAAGAAACAAAUCAAACCCAGAUUUCAGAAACAGCCGAAUGAACAGCUAGACCAGUCCAUUUCUCCAUUAAAGGCUAGACGAACAGCAAAACCAGAACUUCCACGAGCGACAACAAUUCACUUUCGAAACAGAACAACAAAAAAAAAACGGAGAAGUAACAUGGAGCAGGGAAUUACCAGCAAUAUACACAUAUAUGCAUCAAAACAUAAUAGAAAUAAAAAAAAGAAUAACAGUGAAUGAACAGAGCCCUUUCGCGCACAACAAAACUCAACUCGAAAACAGGACAUCAAAUGGGAUAGAUGUUACCUUUUCGGGAGCAGCGAACUGGGACUAUGCGAGCAGGAGAACGACGACUUCAUGCCACAGGUGACACGAACCACGGCUCUACGCCUAUGUCGCUCUUAGGAAAAUUUCCGACAAAACAAAUUGAGCUUCCCUCAAACUCGAACAAAGAAGAAGAGCAGUGGAAGAAACUAGUGAGGAAACCUAAGCCAAAUUCUCAACAUCGAAAAGAAAAUCCUUCAUAAAGACAAUACUAUUACCCAACCUAAACGAAACUCUUUUUUUUUUUUUAGUUUUCUCGGAAACAAUAGAACAACCCAAAAUCUCCAACCUAAAAUUGCUAACCAAGAAGAAAAACAGUAGAAGAGACCAGUGAGAAAAUCUAAGUCAAAUUAUCCCUCUAUGCAAUCUUUCGACAAAAUCUCUAAGUAUCUAACGAUUUUUUCACUCCGAAAAUUCCAACGCUCAAAGUUCUAACCCCUUUUCUUGAGAACGAAAGGGGUUUAUAUAGGGUUUUCGGAAGAGGGAGGGCGGGAACGUGACUAGGCCCAUUUCAAUUCAAAAUUUGAAUCUCUUCCAUUAAUGGUGCCACAACUUUUCCUGAAGAUUUCUUCCUUUUCGGAAAUGGAAAAAGGGAGGGGAAUGGCUAGGAUCGCUCCAAUCGUCCUUGAGGGAAGACGUGGAUCGAUCUCGCGCCAUCAAGGACGAAAGCGCGUCUGCCAUAGCUGCGAACGCAGGUCUGCCACAGCCGAAAGCACUGCACUGCUGCGAUGGAUUGAAGAAGGAGACGUUGGUGGAGAGAGAAGUCGUGUGGAGAGACGAGAAAUGCGGCUGGGGGCUGCUUUUCGUACGCAGCUUCUGCGUUUUUUCUGGAAAUGGCGUAGGUGGGGGAAAUCGCGUAGGGGAGAGGUCGCGUCUGGGAGAGAGAGCGUGGGCGAGACGAGGGAAGAGAGACGAGAGGGGGAGUUAUGCGUGAGGGAUACGCAGGCGGAGGAGAAGGGAUUUCCGAUUUGGGUGUCUGUUUCAUCUGCGUUUUUUUUUCUUUUCUUCUGGGUUUCUUUGCUUUUUCUGGGAAUGGCGUAAAGGAGGAGAAAGAGAUAAGAUGGGGUCUGGGUCGGGUGUAGGCGGGUUUGGAUCGGGUGUAGGCAGGUUUGGAUCGGGGCCGGGUCGAAUGGGUUGGGUCGGACCAUUGGAUGGGUUAUGGGUUGGACUAUUAAAUGUUUAAUGAAUUGGGUAUUUAGGUGUGGGCUGAGGGAAAUUUGGGUUGAAAGGAAUUGGGUUGGGAAUAAGAGUGGGCUGAUGGUGGAGUGGGCCUGGGAAUUAGGAAUACUUAAGAUACACACAUAUACAUAUACAUAUAUGUAUAUAUAUACAUAUAUUUUAUUUUCGCAAGAUUUACAAAACUAAUUAACUUUAAAUAAUUUAAAAAACUCACGAAGCUCGAUAAUUAAUUUGUACCGACGUGGGUCAAAAAUUGGGUGUCAACACCAUUCUUAUAAAUUCAAAAUGUGUAUUAUUUCAGAAUAGAUUAAAUCAAGGGAUAAUCUAAGGUGCAUUGUAGCAUUUUGAACUUUUAAGAAAAAAACAAUUCUUCUUUUCCUUUUUCCUAGUUUCCGAGAAAAGCAAGAAUUUUUAAAUAGUUAUUCAUUAUUAACUUGAUAAUAAAUACAAUAAAUAGAUAUCAAAAAUAAAUUAUCUCUUGAUUUUCUAAAUUGGACAAAUAUUUUUAAUAUAAUGGAUAAAUUAUUGUUGAACGGAUGAAAUAUUACUUAAUAUUACUCUUACAUGUUUCUAUGUAUAUGUUCAUCAUUUUAGAUUUCACGUCUCUUAAGAAAUAAUGUAACUGUACUAUUUAUAUUCAUAGUUAUAUUUUCAUGAAAACAAAUUUUGAUAAUCAACAUGAAUUAAUCAUCUAGUUUUUCUAUGUUGGUCAAAUUUAUACUUUCAAAACUAAUAACUUUCAAUUGUAAAAUAAGAACAUAAUUUAUUAUUUAUGCAUUGAUUUUGUCAAAUGACAUAUAUUAAAAAUUAUCUAUAUUUAGUAAGGACGAUAUAAAUAGAAACGGAGGGAGUACUUUUUUUUUUUUUGAAGAAAUUGGAAUAAAAAAAUAUAACUUUCUAAGAUAAUUAUUAGAGGUGUUCAUAGGUUGAUUUGAAUCGGUUAUUGGUCAAAAUCAAAAUCAAAUCAAUUAAGUUAAUCUUUAAAUUAUUAAAAUCAAACCAAAUAUAAUAAAACUUUAUCGUUUUGGUUGUUAUCCGUUUCGAUUCGAUUGGCUCGCUUAUUCAGAUAUUAAUCAUGCACCAAAACAUAUAAAAAUCGAUUCAUUCAAAAAAGCAAAAAGGACAAUAACUCAUUCAAAAAGAAAAAUAAUUAGACCGAUUGACAUUACGUAACUUCAAUCAUUUAAUUUACUUUGAGUAAUUAAAGCUUCAAAAUUCACCAUUUUGACCUAUAAAGAAGAGAUAGUGACACUCUUAGUUCCACCAAAAAUUGUCAUGGAUAUUUAUAUAAAUGAAACCAAUAAUAUAAAUGUUCUCAUCUUGGAUAUUUUUACUUUUAUAGAUAAAUUUUGAUGAAAUCAUAUACAAAAUAUUUAAAAUUAUUGUUAAAUAAUAAUAUAUUUUUUAUUUAUAACAAUAUAAUAUAUGCCUAUAAUUUGUCGUUUCGUUCGGUUAUUUCUUUGAUUUUUUAAACAAAAUUUAAACCAAAUCAAAUACCAUCAUUUUUUAUAAAUCUAAAUUAAAUCAAAUCAAAUCAAAAUCAAAUAAAAUUAGUUAUUUAAAUCAGUUUAUUUGAUUAAUUUUUAUUCAAAUUGUGAACACCCUUAAUAAUAAAGUAUUACUUGAGCUAUUAUAAUUUACAUGAAAUUAACAAAACAGAAAAUAAAAUAAAAAAGAAAAGAAAAAAAAAAGAGGAAGAAACAAUAAUGGAAGAGGGAGAGGGAUCUAAUUUUAACUUACGUUAAAGACAAAAAAAACAUUCCUAUCUGGCUAUCUUAUAUAUUUGGGUUGUGUUAGUCAACAAAUUAAAAUAAACGGAAUCACGUGUCAUCACCUAUAAUCAAACUUAUAAUGAUAGCAAUAUUUUAUUAAACUAAACUUCGUGGCAUCACCAAUAUCAUACAAUUAUGAAUUAUGUUAUAAGGUCACCUUUGCAACUAUAAUUAAUAAUUAUGCACCCAAAAAAGUUAAGUUCAUGUGAUCUACAAUAUAGUUACACUUUUCUACAUCACCAGUUUUGAAAUUUUUUUUCUGGUGUUAUAGUGAUUGAUUAUUAUAUAUUUAUAAUAAUAUUUAUUUUUUAUAGAUACAAAAAAAAAGCACAGAAUUUAAUUUUAGAUUUUAAUGUUAUGAAUAUAAAAUUUACUAUCUAAUAAAAUAAAGUAAUUUUCAAUUCUUUCAUAAUUGUAUCAGAUGGAAAUAAUGAAAUCGUAAUUCGAAAUGAUAGGAUAAUUUGGGUCCCAAAGCGAAUGCCAUUUCCAUAUGUUUUGUUCAACGUGCCUUUUUUUAAAAGCAUUGGCCAUAACUUUCACCAAUAAACAUUUACCUAGAAAAAACAUCACCACUUAAAUAGUGAAGUUUGAAUUAGCUAAGCACAUUACAAUCAUGUCUUUUUAAUGUAUUGUUUGGUAACUAGUUAUAAUUACGUGGUAUUAGUAAUACUAACAUUAAACGUGAAUUAAUUUAUAUAUUAUUUUAUGUAGAGUUUCAUUAUUUAUGUCUUAGUUAUUGUUUUUUUUUUCUACAUAAAAUAAUAUUUUAUUCGUUCACUUAUUAGAGUUUGAUUAUUCAUAUAUUAGUUAUUCUAUCAUUUAUCCUACAUGAAAUAAUAUUUCAUUCGUUUAUUUUUAAUUGUCGUGGUUUAAUUUGGCACUUCCAUUCAGAAAAUAAUUAAUGAUAUAAGCAUUUUACCAAACGAUCCCCUGAAAAAUAAUGUCUUGAAAAAUAAUUUGAAAAGUAAGUAUUUAAUGUUGACGGAAAAAUAUGGAAAAAAUUAUUGUACUUGAUAUGUCAGAAGUGACAAGUUAAAAUGAAAAUCUAUUUUAGGAAUAAUUAACAAGUAAAAAUGAACGAAGGAAGUAUAUGGAUUUCCUAGUAAUUUAUAUAAAUAUUAAUAUCAUCUGAUUUUCGAAAUUGUAAAUAAAAUAUUAUUAAAUUUUAUUCAAAGCAAAAAAUAUUAUCCAAAUAGAGAUUCAACAAUACUUGUCCACUAUAUAUAAAUGUCCAACAAUAUUUGUCCAUUUUAUGAAAUUAAUAGAUAAUUUUACACUUUGUUUCUAAAUUUUUUAUUAUUAUUAAUUAUAAUCGUUCUCCUAUUAUAUUUCAAGACAUUAUAUUUAUUUUAUUUAAAGGAUGAUAUAGUAAAAUUACUUUUUAUUUAUAAUUUCGUAAAAAGUGUCUUAAAUUAAUAGUAGAUAAUUAUUAUUGGACAAAGCAAAGAAAGAUCAUUAAUAUUUGUAGAAUUUGAUACUUGAAUAAUUUAUGUCCUAACCAGUUAGUAAAUAGACCCUUAAAUUAAUAGCUGGCGUAAUGGGAUUUGCAUGGUUGAAAAUGGUGAACUCAAAUCAUUUUGGUUAAAAUUAUUAAAUUGAGGAAACUGCGAAGAACUAACUCCAUCCAUACAAAUAAAUGAUUGAAUACUCAAAUCAAAAAGGAAAUCAUGAUUUCUCACCUAUUUUCUUCUAUUUCCCAUCCGAACUAAUCUAUCAAUGGACCAGGCAUUGUUAAUAAUUCAUUUUUGUGUCUCCACCUUAAUAAACCUUCGUAUUGCCCAACUAAUUGUAGGGGAGCUAAAAUUUUCAUUAAGAAAUAUUAAAAUAUAAAGAAGUAAAUUCAAUAAAAAGUAAAAGGUGUUAUUUGUCAAUAUAUGAUAUUUACAUGUAAAAAUAUAAUUUAUUUAGAUACACUAUAUAUAUUUUUAUGAAAGAAUGUCAACUGGUAUAUUGGCUCCGCCACUGAACUGUUAAGAAUUCAUCAAUAACUUAAUUAUUUUAUUAAGAGAAAUUUAGAAUAUUUCGAAAUUGUACAGAAUUGAAGAAAUAUCUCUAGAAUAAGUAUUCUAGAAAUAGAAGUCCAGAAAUGUAUCUCUUUAGAUUCUUCCAUCACCUCCUAUAAAUAGAUGUGGUUCAUUUGAUACGCAACCAAGCAAGAAACAAAGUAACAAGCAAGUAAGAAAGUAACAGAGCAAAUAAGAGUGAGUGCUCGAGUAAAGAGUGUUGCUGAAGCAAGCAACAAAUGUGAUCAAGAUUAGCGAAUUUUUACUUUGAUAUAAUGAAAUUCAAGUUAAGAAAAAUCGAUAGUACCUAUCGUUUCCGCACAUAAAAAUAUUCAACAUGAACAAGCUGAAAUAUGAAUUACCUGAAAUAAUUUAUUGAGAAAAUCGGGGAGAAGUGGAGAAUCAAAUAAUUUCAUCGACUUAUACUAGCAUAAAAUUACUAUUGUGCGUAGGUAUUCAUAAUAAUUCUUCUAACAUACGUAUACAUGUAUCAUAAUUAAUUUAAUUAUAAGCAUUUUCCUAUUCGGCAGGUACUAAACAAAAAAAAAUACAUGCACUUUAGCAUUAAUUUUCUAAUAUAUGAAACAGAUAAAUUCCUGUAUCACAAAUAACCUUUUCUUUUCCUAGCACAAAGAUUCAAAUUUUUUUAACAAAUAGAGUACCAAUAUCUCAGAUAAUUUUUCUCUCAGAAAUCACUCCACAUUGAUUUCAACCCAAAAGUCAUUCAAAAAUAUUUUUUUCUAUAGAAAAGUCACUCAACUUUGAUUUUAACUCAAAAAUCACUCAAUUUCUUUAAUUGUUAUUAAAUUAAAAUUUCAGUAUGAUAUUUUUAUUUAAAAUCAAAAUUUUAAAAAAUAUAAAAUAGCCUAUUUUUAAAAUAACGUUAAUUGGAAUGCUAUUUUUUAGGGACUGGUCAACAAUUGAAUUUUCUCACAAAUUUAUGAAAUUCAUUGCUUAAAUUGUGGCUUAUGAGUUGUGAUUUGUGAGAAUAGAACAAAAUACUAAAAAGAUGCUCAUAAAUAAAUAACAUUUUCUCCUAAAUUAUAGGCAAAGAAGAAGCCAAUUUCAAAGAAGAAAAAUGCGUACACGUGCAAUUAGGUGAAACAAAAGGAUCAAUAUUAUAAUAUGGUAUGUAGUGAUUGGAGUCAUUAAAAUAGUUUAAAUAGAUUAUCUUUUUAUUUUUUUAGUUUUGAUUUUAAUAAAUAUUUAAUAUUUUAAAAAUAUUUAAAUAGAUUCAGUGAUUUAGUAAGUAAAUUUUUUUUUAAUGAUUUUUGAUUAAAAUAUCGGCCCAUUGUUGCUUUAAAUGCGUUAAUGUGACAAUUCUCUUUACACUUCGAUGUCUAAAAAGUGAAAAAACUUAUCCGCAUCGAAUGUUUAUACCUAAGUAAAAAAAUGACAUAUAUGUUUUCAUCUUUUCUCUUUCUAUUUUCUUGCUCCACAUAUACUACAAAGAGAGUGAAGCCAUUCUCCAAGUCACUUGCAUUGUAGAGAAAUUAGGCUUUAAAUAAAAAAUGUUACAGUUCAAAAGGUAACAUUUAACAACAUACCAUAAUUUACAGUAUUAACUGAAAAAAACAUGAUAAUUAUAUAUAUUAAAAUGCUUUGAAAUAAAUAAUCCUAAAGUUUUGGAGAGGAAAGCAUAAUACAAGGAGGAAAAAAAGCUUAAUCUAAUGCUAAAAGGGAACUUUUUGGUAGAUCUCACUUUUAUCGCUUAGGCCCAAUAAGUUUAAAAGUAGAAAAGAUUGGCACUUGUCAGAAAAGAAAGUGAGGAGAAAAAGCAAAUAAAAUGUGAUCUUUCCCUUUCCAUUUUUAAUUGACAUGAUUUUCAUUUUUAGAGUUAAAUCGUAAAAAUUUUAAUAUUUUAAGAUAUAUUUAUUAAAAUAUAUUGAUAUAUAAAAACUUACUAUUUAUAAUGCUUUUCAUAUAAUUUUAAAAUAUUUAAAUUUUUUAUUUAAAAUAUCAAAUUAAUCUACUCUAAUAUAAUUUUAAAAAUUAAUUAUAGAAGAACACAUUAUAACAAAUAAGAAUGAACGGAGACAGUAUCAUGCUUCAUGUUUUGGAAUCCAAUUAAUGAUUUCAAUUAGGUGUUAAGUUGUUAUGACUCUCGUGAGUUUGUUCCUCUCAUCUAGUCUACAAGUUGCAUAUUCAUGUGGCUUCUUUUUGCUUAAUUAGUGUCUUUUCCUCUAACGGGCCCAAACGGCAAAGCAUUUAUAUUCUUUUUCUAGUUAAAGUUUCAUACUUAUAUAAAAAUAUAAAGGGCAAUUAGAAAAUUCGGUCAAAUUUAAUUAGAUAUUUAAAAAAUUUAUAAUAUUUUUUAUUUUAAAAUAAAUAAUAUUUUUUAUUUUUAAAUUAAAAUAUAUUAAAGUUAAAAGAUAAAAAUGUUCAAAAGAUAACAUAGCAUAGAGUGAUAUUUUAUCAUUCUGGUUAUGAAUUCAUUUUUUCAUUAACUUGUACUCCUGUGUCACUAAUUACUUGUUCAAUUUUUCUUUUUAGUUGUUCCUAAUUACUGAUCCAUUUAUACUAAUCAAGAAAGAAUAAUUUUUUUACCUAUUAUAUCCUUAAUUAAUUAUUUUGAAAAGGUAGAACUUCUUGAAAAUUUUAAGUUUUAAUUCAGUCACUUCAUAAUUAAUAAGGGUGAAAUGGUAAACUCACUAUUUCAAUCAUUAUUUUCUUAAUAGAUGUGUCAAUUCAAAAGUGGACAAGUAAUUAGAAACAUAGGGAGCAAUGAGUAUUAAUUUAGUACGAUGGUGACUUAGUUUAUUUUUUUAGAGUUUAAUUAGAAAACAUGUAAGAAUUGUAUUUUUUAAUUGAGCAAUUUUUAUUUACGAUCUUGAAUAUUUUAGUACUUUAAAGAAAUUAUUUUAAUAAAUAAUAUUAUAUAACUCUUAUUAUAUAUAAAAAAAUUAAAAUUAUGUUUAAAUCCACAUAAAAUCACAUAUAUCUGCAAUCUGCACCAUAUUAACUUUUAAAAACCCACUUUAACCCACUCCGCAACCAGCAUGCCCUAUUAUCAUUCCUAAAAGCAUGGACAUUAAAAGUUAGAUUGUUGUCUACGAGACUAGGGCUGGUGGUCAACUUAAAUGAGUUGAUGAAAUUAAAAAAAUAGAAAAUGGCCUAAAAUACCUUUGUAGUAUUGAAAAUGGUACAAAAUUACCCUUCAUCCAUCUAUUGGCUCCAAAAUGCCCUUUUCAUCCACCUAUUGGCUCCAAAAUGCCCUUAUCAUCCACCUUUGGGUUCAAAAUUGACUACUUUAAUUAUUUUAAAAUUAAAAUCUUUAAAUAUUUUUAAAAAUACUUGGCAUUGAACUAUUGAUUAUAAUUUUAAUUUAUUAAUAUAAUUUAUAAAUCAACCCACUACCCACUCAUUACUAACAAACCUCACCCAAUUAAUAAUCCAAUUAUUAUAAGAAAAUCGUCAUAAACACUACUAAAACACGAUGAAAUUAUAGAUUCCUGAAAAUGACAUUGAAAAUUAUUCGAGUCCGAAUCGAAACCCCAAUUAAAUUUAGGUUGAGACGCUUAUUUAGGAGGACACUUUCUUUCAAACUUGAAUUAGAAAUUUAUGAUUAAAGGUAAAGAUGUAAUACAUCCCGAAUUAAUUCAUGCACUUUUUUAAAUAUAAUUUUAUAAAUAUUUUUGAUUUGUUUUAAUACCUUUAAUGUAUUAUUUUCAAAAAAAGUUACCUAUGAAGUAAUAUCACAUAAUUGAGACGUAAGAAUAAUUAAGAUGAACAUAGUCAAACUUUUAAGUUUGUCGGUGAUUUUUAUUUAGCCAAUUGAAUGUAUGAUAAUUUGCUUCUAUAAUUUUUAAAAACAAUCAAUUGGCAGUAGCUUGCAUUAAGGGUUUAUUAAUUUAGAGGAAUUUAAUUAAUAAUGGGUGGGUAGUGAAUUGAUUUAUAAAUAAUACUUAUAAAUUUAACUAUAACAAAUAGUUGAGCGUCACGUAUUUUAAAAUAUAUUUAAAUAUAAAACCGUUAAAUAAGUGGUCAAUUUUGAACCAAAAGGUGGAUGACAAGGGUAUUUUGGACCCAAUAGGUGGGUGGAAAGGGUAUUUUGGAGCCAAUAGGUGGAUGGAGGGUAAUUUUGUACCAUUUCCAAUACUCUAAGGGUAUUUUAGGCCCUUUACCGUUAAAAAAAAAGAAACUAGAUAAUUAUACAUACUAUUACUAUCUAUACUUUCAAAUUAUUAGAUAUUUUAUUAUUAAUAAAGAGCUUUUUACAUAUUGUAUACUUAGAUAUACACAUUUUAUCACCAAAUAUGCAAAAAUAAAGAAAGAUGUGAAUAAAAUUCGCAUACAUCUAAAUAUACACUAAAUAUAUAUAUAUAUAUAUAUAUAAAUCUAAAAUGAUUUGUACAUAUCUAAAAUACCAGUCAUAUAAGCCAACCCACGUAGCAUGCUACGGGUGCUCCCAUUGAUUUCAACUCCAACUACACAGAUUUAAGUAGAAAUACCAAAUUUAUUAAGUAUAUAAAUAAUGGUGAGGUAGCACCCAUAGAACAAAAAGCUUGGUGGGUGCUUUGGUUUAGAGGCCGAAACUAAGGCUCUUUUUAAGUCAUAUUUUAGGAAGGUGGGUGAGAUCAAUCCUCCGUCUUGAGAAAAAUUUAGAAAUAACAAAAUAAUAGACAUAAUAAAGUUUUAUACAUUUAAUUUUGAUAAUUACAUUUUAUAGCUAUAAUUUUGUUUGUAUAUUUCUGUUUCUUUGUAUAUUUCGCUUGACAAUAUAUAAAUAGGAUAAGUAUAUAUAAAUUAUGAAUUUAUACAUUUAGGAAAUUUUUAGAUUCAUUUGUAUAAUUCACAUGUCAAUAUACAAAUAUGGUAAUUUAUUAUGAAUUUUUCAUAAAUCGUAUAAAAAUAACUAAGACAAACAUAUACAAAGUUUAAAAUUUAUACAAUCAUGAACUAAUUAUACAAAUUCUGAAUUUAUACAAAUCAGGAAAAUAAAAAGAAUUAGUGAAACUAUAGUUGCGAAUUACAAUUUUCUUAAACUAUAACUAUAGUACCUAAUAUAGGCUAAAUCACAUCAGCUUUUAUAACUACAGUUUUGUUAUUUGCAUACCAUAGCCAAAUUAUGUUUGCUAUGGAGCAUAUGAUUUGCAUAUCGUGGCGAUUUGUAUAAAUCAGGCGUUAAUUCGUCUCUAUAUAUGAAAAUUAUGUUUAUAUAUGUAUAUGUUCUUUGUGUUAAGCUAAAGCGGCAAAUGAGAUUGAAAAAGAGAGGAGAGAGACGAGCUUGAGAGGGCAGAGAAUGGAGAUGGAUGGAUUGUAUAUGUAUAUCGGUUAGAUAAUUGUAUAUGUGUAACCUACUAUGUAUAUGUAUCAAUAAUUGUGUUUGUAUAUCUGAAUAAAAUUUGAAUCAUAUACAAUUGAAUUGAGUUAAAACAUUUGUAUUUGAUAUCAAAGAUUUUUCUCUCUUCUUUAUACAAACACAAAUUAUAUAUUAUAUUUCUACAAUUUGUGUUUGUGUACAGUGAGAGAGAGAAAUUCAAAAGAGAAUUGGGUAGAGAAAGAUUUGUAUUUGUAUAAUCAUAAGUGUAUAGGACAGAAAAAAAAUUGUUUGUAUUUGUAUAAACCGUCUCCUUUGCUUUAUACAAACACAAACUCAAAUUAUACAUUUCUAUUUGUAUAAACUGACAGGGGCGAGAGAUGACUGAAAAAGAGAUCGAGCGAGAUUCCGGAGAGGGGAGAGACGAAUGACAAUAAAUUCGAUGAGAUUUGAAAUUAAAUGAAAUUGUAACUAUAACAUUUAUUUUGAAUUAAUAUUUUGUUAUAAUACACAAUUUUUCCACUUUACACCUAAUUAACUAAUUGAUAUAAUAUUUCAAGAAAAUAAAUAAAAAUACUGAGCAAUUUAGUAAAUUGGGUUCUCUUGAUUUUAGGCUCAUAUUUUUAAAAAUCUUUACCACCUGUAACGACCUGUUUAGUCGUUUUGAGCAGCAGAUUUUAUUUCUGAAAAAACUGGCUGAGACGACGGAUCCCACGAUGGACCGUCAUGAGCACAACGGACCGUCGAGGGGGUCUCGUUCCAAAACACUUAGAAUUCUAAAAUUUGGGUACUGAAAUCGACUCUCUGAACUUCGUAACGGAAUGGCAGGACGGACCGUCGUGGGCACGACGGACCGUCACACAUCUUCCACAGAAAUUAACUCUCUGAACUUUGCGACGGACCGUCACAGCCAUGACGGCCCGUCACAGGCUGCGUAAUCCCAGGCUGGGUCGGAUUUCUUUAAAUGUUUUAAGGGAUGUUUUGGACUAUUCCUGCUAUAAUUAUAAAUUUAGUGGGUGAAUAUUAAUAAUCCAAUUUCUUGAGGGUUAAAGGAGAUAACCUUGAAUUAAUUAAUGGGUUGAUUUAUCAUCUUUUAUACUUAAUUAUAUGCUAAUUAGGGUAAAAGAAAAAGGGGUUUGAAUAAGAAAAAUAGAAAGAACAAGAGAGGGAGAAUCGAUCAAGAGAGAGAGGAACGAAGAGGAUAACAAAGCUUUGGGGAAAUUGCUUGCUUGAUCAUGAAUCUUCGGUGGAAGUAGGUUAUGGUUUUUAUGCUAUUCGUAGUAGACUCUUAAUAGCGAAUGAUAUGUGUUGGGUAGUAUUAUAAAACCUUCUAUAUGAUUAAUUGUGUGCUUACAUGAUGUGAUCAUAUAAAUGUGAUGAAUAAGCAUGAUGAGGCUAUUGAAUCUCUAAUACUAAAUUUACCUUGUUAAUGAUGAUGCCUUGGUAUAAGAGAAGGCUUGAUGAACUAAAGUAAUGAGAUUGAUGAUGCCUUGGUAUAAGAGAAGGCUUGAUGAAUUAAUAGAAUGAGAAUUAGGGGAUUGGGUGUCACGAACCGACACGUAGAAUUAGGGGAUCGAGUGUCAUGAACCGACACGUAGAAUUAGGGGAUCGGGUGUCACGAACCGACACGUAGUAUUAGGGGAUCGGGUGUCAUGAACCGACACGUAGUAUUAGGGGAUCGGGUGUCACGAACCGACACGUAGUAUUAGGGGAUCACAGUGUCACGUUCCGACACAAGAGGAAUAAAAGAGAAUGAAUCUUGAAAUAUGUUAAUUACUCAACUUAAAGAACCUAAUUCCCAAAUGAGUAUGGUAUGGAGGCUUGCGUCCUCAUUGAUGUGCUUGGUGUUGUGACCAAGGGUUAUGGUAAAUGCCGCAUGUUGAGUAUGGUAGUUGAUUUUAUGAUAUUAUCUGAUAUAUACUGUUUUCUAUUUUGAGUUGGCCGAUGAUAUCUACUCAGUACUCGUGUUUUGUACUGACCCCUACUUGUAUGUUUUCUUUUUGUUCAUUGUGGAGUGCAGCAAAUGUACCGUCGUCUUCAACCCAACCGCAACUCUAGCCAGUCUUUAUCACACCAGAUUUCAGGGUGAGCUAAAGCUUUUAGCUUGGACUGGAUCUUCUUCUUCAUGUCUUGAUGCCUUGAAGUUCUGGCAUAGACUAGCUAUUAUUUAUGUUUAGUUUCUUAGAUACUCUUAGCUUUAGUAAUUUGAGGAUAGAUGUUCUUGUGAUGAUGACUUCCAGAUUUUGGGAAUAAUGAUAAGUUUGAGUUUUAGAAGUUGAUUAUUGAUUUUGUUAAUGAGUUUUAAGUCUUCCGCAUUGUUUUCUAUUUAUUAUGUUUGAAAUGUUGGGGUUUAGAUUGGUUGGUUCGCUCACAUAGGAGGAUAAAUGUGGGUGCCACUCACGGCUCGAUUUGGGUCGUGACACCACCUAACUCUACCCUCCUUUUAACAAACACAAAGUUAUCCUUGAGUUUUCAGAUGAAAGCAUUAAUAGUCCUUUAUGUUUGCAAUAUUAGUGCACUCUUGGUCCUUCCCUAAAAUUUUGCCAUUUUUUAAGACAUUAAUUUUGUCCAAAAUUUUAUAGAAGGAAUCUCCAAUCGCCUUUUUAUAUAUUUAGUAGAAAUAUUAAUUCUAUCUGAGAGAAGGUGAUUAGAAAAACACAUUGUUCUCUUCACUGGAAAUAUUACUACAGCUAAACUAAGAACAUCUUAACAUAUGCCUUUGCAGGAAAAGAAAAAAUUGUACUAUUACACCUAAAAUUAUUGUGAUGAACCUCUCAACAUUACUUGCAAUACAAUUUCUACUAAACAAAACAAAGUGUUUUCUUCUCACAUUCUUUCACAUAGAGUUGUUAUUUCUACUAAAUAUAUAAAAUAACGUUGAACAUCCCAUACAUAGGUUAUGAAUAAAAUCAAUGUUAAAAAUAGGUAAAAUUUUGGAGGAGGACCAAAAGCACACCAAUAUUGCAAACAUGAGGGACUAUUAGUGUCUAAUGUGGAAACUCAAAGAUGACUUUGAACUUUAACCCAAAGAAAAUUGACUAUUUUGAUCCUUUCCUCCGUAGCGGCAAGUCUCAAAAUAACCUAACGGGUCAUUAUAUGCUAUUUUUGUGUUUGUUAAGAUUUUUUCAUACUUAGUUUAAUUAUUUUUUGGAGUAUUCCGUGUCUACUUUCCUAUGAUGAAGAUCUCUAAUUUGUUGGUCUUGUAUCGAUUUAUGUUUGUAAAUGAGUAAAAUUGGUUUGUAUGAAAAUAGGGUCUAUUCUUUCUUCGAAGUUGAUGACUAUUUAUAGUUAUUAACUUGACAACAAAUAAAAGGUCGGUAAGUGGUUGUAUAUCUGUGUAUCUUGUUGUAAACCAGUGUAUCCAAUUGGCCGUUGAACCAGAGGCAAAUCUAGGAUUUGGAGGUUGGGGGUGUCACAAUAUUUGUAUGAUAAAGGAUCGAUUGCUUUAAUUUUGGGUUAUAAUUCGAGUUUUUGAUUUAUUUUUUUUAUGUAAAAAAAAUGAUCAAAUAUGCAUGUUAGUAAAAAAAAUUUAUAGAUAUUUUGUGAUUAGAGAUAUCUAAACAAUUCAAUUUUAUUUCCCUUUUGCAAUCAGAUGUCUUAUUCGCUGAAUUUUGAGGAAAAAAAAUUCACAUUAAAAUUUAAGUUUGUAUAAACCAUCUAAUUGUAUUAACAUAAUACAUUCAUCUUUCAUUGAAUUUAUAUGUGUUGUUGGAGAUACAUAGUAGGAAAAGAAUAAAAAUUGUAGUUCCAACAUAAUCAUCUUACUUAGCAAGAACGUCGGUGAAGAUCGAAAGAAUCUUUAAAUUAAAAAAGAAAACUAUAAUAAUAAUAUUUAUCAUUUUUAAAACUACAAUUUAAAUAUAUUCUUAAUAAAAUUUAUUUGACGCUUAUAAUUAAGUACUCAUUAAUUGAUAAAAAAAAAAAUAAACAUGUUAUACUCAUAUCAAGUGAUUAAUAAUUAGUGCAAGAGAAAGUAAAAAAAAAACUAAAAAUUAAUCACGGAAAGGGAUCAAUUUGAAUUAAUAAAGAACAGUAAAUAAAUAAGAAAAAAUGGUGAAAAAGAAAAGAAAAGGAAAAAGGUAGCAAGCAAAAAAUUAUAUGUUGUUAGUUUGAUCCCUAUAACGGAAGUAUUGACCAAACUAAGUCAUUAUAUAAAGGACUUCAGCAAAAUAAUAUAUUUUUAAAAAUUUUACAAAAUAGUAUAAACGUAUUUCAUAGUAACGUUUUAGAGCAUACUUUAUUUUUUAAAAGCUGACGGCAUUAGAUUGAUAUACGUUACUCAAAAAAUAUUUUAGGAGUAAAACGUUACUCAAAGUAACGUAUACCAACCUAACGCUGAGUUUUUAAAAAAUGAAAUAUAACGUAAAACAUUACUGUGAAAUAUGUAUAUACUAGUUUUGUAAAAUUUUGAAAAAAUGAAUUAUUUCGUUAAAAUUGUUUAUUUUGAAAAAAAAUUGCUAUUCCGUAUUACAUUUACUGGUUGACAAACGUAAUAUUUAUUUAAUUAUUAUACAUAUAUACAUUUUUCGAGAUCAAUGGGUGUUGUGACACCCCACCCUUCCACAUAGAUCCGCCCCUGCGUUGAACGCAGAGCAAUUUCAAUGAGAUCACAUAUGUAUAGGUUCACUGUUCAAAUUAGUUUGGAUUAAUCUUAAAUUUUUAAAUAUGUAUGGGCUAUUGAAGAGAUAACAUGCAAUCUUCAAAGCAGUGUGAUAGAAUAGAUAGAUACUCUUGAACAUAAAUUACAAAUUAAGGUGUCGAACAAGGUACACUCUCCCUUGGGGAGAGAAGUGGUAGCCAAAGUCAAAAACAAAAUAAAAAAGAAAUAUGAAGAUGGAUGACUAAGAAAUACAUUGGCUGGGCUAAGGGCAUCCUUGAUGCAGCAAUUACGAAAAUGAAUUUACAAAGAAAAGCUCUGAGCAGAAACAGUAAAUUAGAAUAUCCUGUUUCUCGUCUCUAGAAACUUUUAAUAAGCACCUCCGCUCCCUAAACCAUCCCCACAACUACUCAUUCCAUCUUCAUAACAAAAAAAUCCAACAAAAUGGGGUAUAUAUGUAUUCGAUAAGUUAAUUGCUACAACUUGACUUCUUCCAUGAUACCAAGCACUUGAGGAAUUCCAUCACCUAAAACCACAGAAAUGCAAUCUCUAUAAAAUCUUAUAGUAAGAAUGUAGGUUCCUCAAGCAACAUCAAUUACACUUUCAUACCUCCGAUGGAUCCCUCAGAGAGUAGAAUGCAUUGCUUUCUUUUGGAGCAGAAGAAACUAAGAUUCCGUAACCUUUAUUUCCCUCUCUCAACACCUGUUAACAAGCACAUUAGGCAACUUAAUAAACAUGGUUGAUGAUUCCUCAAGGAAAAGUAGGUCUGUUAAACUUUUACCUUAAAUGCAUCUUCAUCUGUACGAUCAUCUCCUAUGUAAAUGGGAAGAACAUCAUCACAAUUAUUCAACCCUAAAAAAAAAAGAAAAAAACAUGCACGUGCGUUAGUUUUAACUGUUGGAACAUCCAGUAACUAGUUACAUAAAGCAAUCAAGGACAUCUCCCUCACCCAAUGAUUCAAGUAAGAACUCAACAGCUUUUCCUUUGUCCCAGUUAAGCACAGGCCUGACUUCUAAAACCUGAAUAAGGUUGAGGAGAAUCUAGUCAGAGGAGUUAAACUUUCCUACUGCCCUGCAAAAUGCACUGGCAAAAGCAGUCUCAGAUGUGUACCUUCCGGCCAUGUGUCAAUCGCAGACGGGGGUAGUGUUUUAACAAAUCAUCAACAGAUUCGGCGAUGGUUGACCAACUCUGUAAUAAUUUAAGCAAGCACAAUACAAGGGAUAAGAAUUUUCUGACAGGUAAAGUAACAUAAUCUUGUUUAAAAGAUCAGUGAGAAAAGUAAAGAGUCUUUUAAUUUGACUUUAACCAAAAGUAUCUAUUCAUACCUUCUCGUCUACAUUACGGUAGUGUACCGAAACACAGAAUUUGUUGUUCUCAACCUUUGCUCCGCUGAUGUCUUUUGUGAGCUCAACAAGAGAUCUAAGAACCUGUUUGAGUAUAUAUUAAAAACAUAUGUUUUAUACCGAGUAAUGUCACAAAUAGAAAUAAUAAUCUUUUAGCACAAAACUCUUAUUUACCUCCUCGAUCAUUGGUAAGAACUCACUAGCAGGUUGGAAAAGAUUAACUUCCUUGCCCUGUGUUCACAGAAGUUGAUUGUUGUCAGUAGCUCAUAAGACGAGAUGGUUGGAUGUCUCAUUUUUUUCAAUAAAGAUUAGAUUUAGCAUCAUUACCUGCUUGUCAGUAGAUCUAAUACAACUAUAGUCAUCAGAAAUGGCUCGAACAGGGCUCAUUAUAUCCAUGCCGUGACUACCAGCGUAGUAAAGUUCAGAUAGUCCGACAAAGUCAUGUACCUGGACACGAGAAUAUCCAAUCAAUAAGAGAAGAAUCUUGAAAGCCUUAAACAUAGAAAUGAUAAUAUUUAUACAUAAAAAAGAAGUCUAGUUCAAACACACUAAAAUGAAAGCAUUGAUAGGCACCUUAUCACGACUUCUCCCACUAAUAAUUGCUGUGGGAAAAUAUUUAGCCACAUUCCUCACAGCACCACGCAUCUGCAAAAGAGUGACUUAGUGUAAAAAAGGAAUCCUACAAUGAGUGUCGCACAAACUUUCUCCCAUUAAAAAGUUAAAAUACUCACAGCACUAGACAUGAAAGCUCGAUCUGGAUCAUCUACAAUUGGUGAUAAAGUUCCAUCAUAGUCCAGAAAAAGUGCUAAUCUUUUGCCUUUUGCAUAAUUUGUGAUUUGUUCAAAUGAUGAAAGUGCUGAGGGAUACUUGAGCUGCAAAAGCACAAAAAAAAUAUUACAAUACUUCUCUUAUAUUCUUCUGCAAGUAGGAUCCAGACAAAAUAUUGACUAAAUUAGAUUACAAAGAACAUAAAGAGCAUUACCAUCCAUAUGCGGUAGGCAAGAUCAUUUUCAUUUGACGCUAGUUCAGCAGUGGAAUCCUUACUUUUCUUUCUAUGUGUAGGAGAUGAAGAUUUCAUGGCAUCCACCAACCAAGUAUUUGAUCUAACAUCAUCUAAAAUUCCAGGCUUCUUCCUUGGGAUAGUAAGGAAGAGAGUGGGGGAGAAAGUUGGCAAAGCCGGAGAGUAUGGCAUCAAAGCUGAGUGGAUGCCCAAUCUGGACGGAGUCAGUGGGGCAGGAUCGGUGACAACAGGGGAUGUAUUUGAUUUCAGGUCCAUUGUGCCUAGUAUCUUUUUUAUGGCAGAAAAUAAGUUUAAAACUAUGCAAGCAGUUGACAAUGGUUUGAGUAACUCUGCUCUUAAAUUGUUUCACACACUUUUAACCAACCCUUUUGUCGAUGAAAAACCACUUCUUCAAAGUAACCUUAUCACUGCAGCCAGGCGUACGGUCCAUUAAGCAAAAGAGCCCUGGAAACUGACAAUCACCAGACAAUGAGUGAGUUACGGAAAGAAUUCAAUAUCAAAUUCAUAAAUUACGAUCCAAUGUAGAUCUUACUUGCACAUCUUCCCACUUCUUAGCCUCACUUUUCUAGUCAGUCAACAAACUGCAAAAUAUGGUUCAGAAGGAUAUAUAUGUUAAGAAGAUGUACGUCUCAAUAUCACAGAGAUGUAAUAAACGGAUAUGCAGCAUCUAGAAUGCAACAGAACGCCUAGAAAGUUUGUAACAUCAAGCAAUUUGCAUGAUAAGAUUAAUCACAACCAGGAAAAUGGGAAAGAUCGCACCCAAAAAAAAGAAAAGCAAGUAGAACAAGACUUGAAAGAUUUCUAAUAUAAAGAAUGUCAAUCAAUACCAUACACAAAAAAGACAAAUCAAAGGGUUCUGUAGAUUCCAUAUAGCAUACAAUUGAAACACUGCAUGAGUUGCUGUGAACUUAUUAAAGGGCCUAACUACUAACAAACAAUUAUUAACAUUAAUGAAACAGAUACAUUCUCUGAUUACCUUUGAAUGAAUAAAACAACAGGUUAUCUGAGAGGUCUCAUAAAUAAAUUAAACUAAUGGUUCAAAUACUAACUGAUAUUUGGUAAGAAAACUUGACAAUUGGCAGUAGGUAGCUGUUAACCUCCCCAUAGCCCACAACUUGAGAGGAAAAAAACAGCAGAUGCAACCACAUAUUAUGGUCCUACAAAGAAGCAUGGGGAGGCAUUAAAUAUGGACCCCUCCCAUUAAAUUCUAGUAAUAGAACAAAACCAUGACAUUGAAGAUAAACCAAGAAUCAUGCUAAAUACACAUUUCUCCAUAUUAUAGUUGCUUUCAUACACCAACUUGGUGACCACCACCAAGAAAUAGCAAUAUUUGGACAUAAUCGAACCUUUUAUUUUCAAGAACAAUGUUUUCUCUCUUCAAAGAUCAACAUAUAUAUAUCCAUCAACACUUGGAUACAAAGAUAUAAUGUAUUGAUUAUAUCUGUGGAAAAAAAAAUGUAUCGACUUAAUAUUAUUACAGGAAGAAGAAUCUAACAACAAUUAAACUGAAAAUGAUCUUCGAAAAAUUGACAGAUGAACAUGAUAUCCAAAAAUGACAUAUAUAUCACAUCAUACACAGCUCCAUUACAAAAAUAAUGGUAGAAAUAACCGAACUUAUCAAUCACUUGAAACAGCACCACCGAUUUCACAACAUAAUAUCUAACAUUUCUAUUCAAAACAAAAAAAAAAAAAAUAUGAUAAAUAAUUGCGCGAAAUAUAAAAAAGAACUUUUACAAAAAACAGAGUCCCGAAAAAUAAAAAUUUCUUUAUCAAAACGUAAUAUGUACUAACCGGAGUAGGGAUGACAAUUGAAUGCAGCAGUGGAAACGUGUAAAUGGAAGGACGGCCUAAAAUGUGAUAAAAACAAAAAUGUUAUCAUAAAUAUAAAAGCAGAGCCAACGAAGUCGAAGAACAAGACGAUAGGAAAUGACGUCAGCUUACCUCCGGCAACAACGAAACCGUAGAAGAGGAAGAAAAAUCACGGAGAAGGAAAUGUGGGGAAAAAAAGAGAAAGAAGAAAAAAGGAAAGGGUUGUUUAUAUAAUGAGAGACGUGGUGGAGAAGGCAAAGGUUUCCCCCUUUGUAGUUCAAUUCCAACCAAAUCAGAAAAACCCAACCGCGGUUUGACCACGCUUUUCAUUUCCCCAUGGCGUGCGUGACAGUUGAAAAUACACCAACCACCAAACAUUUUAAAUGCAAAUUUACUUUUUCAACUCCUCCUUCCUUUACCAAUGUUGAAAAAAAAAAAUAUAUAUAUAUAUAUUGUAAAGAAAGCUCAGAAUAUAAGAUGAAAAAGACAAGAAGUAUAAGAUAGAGGAGAUAAUUUUCUUAUUCAAGUAUGUUAUCUCUAUUUAUAGUGGUGAAUGAUAUCUCUAUUUAUAGUGUUGAGAUAUCAUAGUCAAAGGUCACCUUGAAAUUUUACAUAGUUAUCAUCAAGGUUCAUAUCACCUUGAUAUCUUAUCACAUUGGAAACACUAAUACAUAAAUCCAAUUAAUUGUUGGAUAACUCUAAUAGAUCAUCCACAUAUACAAUGGAUUUACAACACUCCCCCUUGAUAUCCAUAGAUUAUGUGCCUCGUUAAAACCUUACUAGGAAAAAUCCAGUGGGAAAAAGCCUAGUGAAGGAAAAAGAGUACACAUAUCUCAUAAUACGCUUUGAAUGUUGCCUCGUUAAAAACCUUACCAGGAAAACCCAACUUGGGACAAAACCAUAAUUAAGGAAAAGAGCACAACGCGUAUUUCGCUCCCCCUGAUGAAAACUUUACUUGAUAUCUCGGAGACGGCGCAUUCCAAUCUUGUAUCUCAAUUUCUCAAACGUUGAUGUUGGCAAUGCCUUAGUGAAUAAAUCAGCAAGAUUAUCACUUGAACGAAUUUGGUGAACUUCUAUCUCACCAUUUUGUUGAAGAUCAUGCGUGAAAAAGAACUUUGGUGAGAUAUGCUUUGUCCGGUCUUCUUUGAUGUAUCCUCCUUUCAAUUGACCUAUACAUGCAGCAUUAUCUUCGUACAUUGUGGUUGGUAUAUUCUUUUUCAAAGAAAAACCACACAUUUCCUGAAUAUGAUGGGUCAUUGAUCUCAACCAGACGCACUCUCGACUUGCUUCAUUGAUCGCCAAGAUAUUGUCGUGUCUCCACAUGUAAACAAAUAACCUAUUUGUGAUCGAGCUUUAUGUGGAUCUGAUAAAUAUCCUGCAUCUGCGUAACCAAACAGUUCUGAUUUGGAUUCAUUGGAAUAGAAUAAACCCAUGUCCAUGGUCCUUCGAAGAUAUCGAAGUAUGUGUUUAACACCAUUCCAAUGUCUUUUUGUUGGGGAGGAACUGAAUCUUGCCAGUAGACUUACUGCAAAACAGAUAUAUGGUCGAGUAUUGUUAGCAAGGUACAUUAGUGUCUCGAUCGCACUAAGAUAAGGAGUUUCAUCACCAAGAAGCUCUUCAUCAUUCUCUUGAGGUCGAAAUGGAUCUGUAUUGAUGUCAAGCGAUCUUACCACCAUUGGAGUACUCAAUGGAUGUGAGUUAUCCAUGUAAAAACACUUUAGUAUCUUUUCUGUGUACGUUGAUUGAUGAACAAGUAUUCCAUUUGACAAAUUCUCAAUCUGUAGGCCAAGACAAAAUUUUGUCUUGCCGAGAUCUUUCAUUUCAAAUUCUUUUUUCAGACACUCAACAACUUCUAAAAGCUCUUUAUGAGUGCCAAUGAUGUUCAAAUCAUCAAUAUACACAACUAUUAUUACAAAUUCAGACCCCGACCGUUUAAUGAAAAUGCAGGGACAAAUCGGGUCAUUUUUGUACCCUUUCUUUAACAAAUAUUCACUCAGACGAUUGUACCACAUCCUUCCUGAUUGUUUCAAUCCAUACAGAGAUUUCUGAAGUUUUAUUGAACAAGUUUCUCUUGAAUCUUUGUAUGCUUCAGGCACUUUGAAUGCUUCAGGAAUUUUCAUGAAAAUGUUAUGGUCCAAUGAGCCAUAUAGAUAGGCUGUGACAACGUCCAUUAGACGCAUUUCAAGUUUUUCAUGAAUAGUCAGAUUUAUGAGAUAUCUGAAGGUGAUUGCAUCUACCACUGGAGAAUAUGUCUCCAUAUAAUCAAUGCCAGGUCUUUGAGAAAAACCUUGAGCAAUGAGUCGAGCCUUAUAUCUCAUGACUUCACCUUUCUCAUUUCUUUUUCGUACAAAAACUCAUUUGUACCCCACUGGCUUGAUACCUUCAGGUGUUCGGAUUAUCGGUCCAAAAACUUCACGUUUUUCUAGUGAAGCCAAUUCAGCUUGAAUUGCAUCCUUCCAUUUUGGCCAAUCAUUUCUCUGUUUACAUUCGCGAACAGAUUUUGGCUCAAAAUCUUCAUCUUGUUGCAUUAUUUCAAUAGCAACAUUAUAGGCAAAUAUGUUGUCAAUCACAACAUUAUUUUGGUUCCACAACUUUCUUGUCGAGACAUAAUUCAUUGAAAUUUCAUUAUUUUCAGAAGUUCAAACCUCUUCAUCAUCAUGUGUUAUGACUUGGGUCUCAUCUUGAGAAAUUUCUUUCAACCCAUGAUCAUCUUGAUCAUUUAUUCCUUUUCUCUUUCGAGGAUUUUUAUCCUUGGAACCAAUCGGUCUACCACGCUUCAAAUGUGGUCUAGACUCAUUUUCCUUAACAAUUUGUCCCGUCGGGAUAUCAACUCGAACUGGAGCAUUAACAGCUGGAUUAUGCGAUUUAGUAAUCCUUGGAAGAUUAGUAAAUGCAUCUGGUAGCUGAUUUGCAAUGUUCUGCAAAUAAAUUAUUCUUUGAACUUCUUGCUCACAUUGGUUUGUUCGAGGAUCCAGAUGAGAUAGAGAUGAUGAAUUUCAAUCUAUCUCUUUUCCUAAUGACUUAUGUUCUCCCCCUAAUGUUGGGUAUACUGAUUCAUCAAAAUGAAAAUCAGCAAAUCUUGCCUUAAAUAAAUCUCCAGUCGUAGGCUCCAAAUAUUUUAUGAUUGAAGGAGAUUCAUAACCAACAUAUAUCCCCAACCUUCUUUGGGGCCCCAUCUUUGUGCGUUGUGGUGGAGCAAUUGGGACAUACACCGCACAUCCAAAAACUCUAAGAUGGGAAAUGUUUGGUUCUUGACCAAAAGUAAAUUGUAAUGGGGAGAAUUCAUGAUAAUUGGUCGGCCUUAUGCGCACAAGUGUUGCUGCAUGCAAAAUAGCAUGCCCCCACAUAGACACAGAUAACUUUGUUCUCAUUAGUAAUGGUCUAGCUAUUAAUUGCAGACGUUUAAUCAAUGAUUCUGCUAGACCAUUUUGAGUGUGAACAUGAGCAACUGGACGUUCAACUGUUAUACCAGUAGACAUACAAUAAUCAUUAAAUGCUUGAGAUGUAAACUCACCAGCAUUAUCUAGACGGAUUGUCUUUAUUGUUUAGUCUGGAAAUUGUGCUUUCAAUCUUAUUAUUUGAGCCAACAAUCUCGCAAAAGCCAUGUUGCGAGUUGAUAAUAAACACACAUGUGACCAUCUUGUAGAAGCAUCUAUCAAGACCAUAUAAUAUUUAAAGGGUCCACAUGCAGGUUGAAUUGGUCCACAUAUAUCACCCUGUAUACGUUCCAAAAACGCAAGAGAUUCAAUUCCAACCUUAACUGUUGAUGGUUUAAUGAUCAACUUUCCUUGAGAACAAGCAGCACAAGAGAAUUCCUUUGAUUGAAGAAUAUUUAGGCUCUUUAAGGUGUGCCCAUGUGAAUUCUCUAUUAUUUUGCGCAUCAUAUUAAAUCCGGGAUGGCCCAACCGGUCAUGCCAAAUGAUAAAAUCAUUAAAAUUAGUAAACCUUUUGUUUACUACGGCAUGUGAUUAAACUGUACUUAUACUUGUAUAGUACAACCUAGAAGAAAAUGCAGGUAAUUUUUCAUGCACAAUUUUCUUCUCUACAUUAAUUGUAGUAAUGUAAAGGUAUUCAACCUUUCCUUCAUUAGCCGUCUCAACAUGAUAGCCAUUUUGGCGAAUAACUUUGAAACUUAAUAAGUUUCUUUGAGACUUACUACAAUAUAAUGCAUUAUCAAUGCUUAAUAUUGUCCCUCCAGGUAGUAAUAAGGUCGCUCUUCCAGAGCCCUUAAUUAAUUUUGUACUACCUGAUAUUGUGUUGACAUAUGCCAUUCUCAUAACCAAAUUAGAAAAAUAUUUCUUUUCUUUUAAUAUUGUAUGCGUUGUAGCACUAUCAAGAAGGCAUACAUCUCCAUUACUCAUCUUGAAUCCAACCGACAACUGGGGAUUUCUAUUAAUUUUCAUUAAAAUAAAAUACAUCAAAAGAAGGAAGAAACAAAAUUAACAACGGAAAUUUAAAUACUUCAACAUUAAUAACAUAAUAAUUAAAAAUACAUAAGUAAAAUAUUAACAAAUUUCAUUCCCCAGCUAAAAGAUCAAACAUUAGUUUCGAUCUCCAAAGAAGUCAUCAACUUCCAUAUGAGUAAUGUCACCAAGGCCAUCAAAAACAUCAUCCUUUAAAGCCAAAUUUGCUUCAACAUCUUUAUCAUAUUUCUGAGAUGUUCCAGGCUUAUCACCAUCUUUAAGAGUCAUAUGUGACUCAGCUCGAGCAUUGGAAGAGGAAGCACCACUUUUAUUUCCUUUCUUUUUAAAGGAAUUUUGAUAGAGCCUUACAAAAUGUUCAUGCGUGCGACAUUCAUUCUUCCAAUGACCUUUCAUGCCACAACGACGACAAUUACUUUUUGAGGGGGUAUUUUGAGAACUCAUGAUGUUCUCCCUUUUAUUAUGACCACCACCUUGACGAUUAGGGUAUCGUAUUUUAUCUUUGCCACGUCCCCGUGCAUUAUUAUAUCCCCGAUGAUCAUCUCUUUUUACUUCAGAUUGAUCACGUGCUUCCACCACAUUUGCCUCCGGUAAUGGAGCAGCUCCAGUGGGACGAGCUUCAUGAUUUUUCAUUAAAAGAGCAUUAUGUUGCUCAGCCACCAAAAGACAUGAGAUUAGUUCAGAAUAUUUCUGAAAACCCUUUUCACGAUAUUGCUGCUGCAAUAUCACAUUCGAGGCAUGAAAAGUAGUAAGUGUCUUUUCCAACAUGUCCUCAUCUUUUAUAGUCUCCCCACAUAAUUUCAACUGGGAGGUUAUCCUGAAUACAGCAGAGUUGUAUUCAAUUACGGUCUUAAAAUCUUGAAACCGUAAAUGCAUCCACUCAUAACGAGCUCUUGGCAACACUGUUGCCUUUAGGUGGUCAUAUCUCCCCCUUUAAAUCAGUCCACAAUUCAAGUGGAUCUUUCACCGUCAGAUAUUCAAUCUUCAGGCCCUCAUCAAGAUGAUGAUGAAGGAAAAUCAUAGCCUUCGCCUUAUCUUGACUCGAUGCUUCAUUUCCCUGAGUAAUAGUGGCAUCAAGACCUUUAGCAGCCAAGUGAAUCUCAGCAUCGAGUACCCAUGAAAGAUAAUUCUUUCCAGAAAUAUCUAAUGCCACAAACUCAAGUUUGGAUAAGUUCGACAAAAUGAAAAUUAUGAGAGAAUAUGUGAAUUAAAUAAAAAUAUUUUUAUAGUACCUUUGCAAGUAACAAUCUCGUGUUGAUAACGUGUUGUAAAGAAAACUCAGAAUAUAAGAUGAAAAAGACAAGAAGUAUAAGAUAGAGGAGAUAAUUUUCUUAUUGAAGUAUGUCAUACAAUGGUGAAUGAUAUCUCUAUUUAUAGUGUUGAGAUAUCAUAGUCAAAGGUCACCUUGAAAUUUUACAUAGUUAUCAUCAAGGUUCAUAUCACCUUGAUAUCUUAUCACAUUGGAAACACUAAUACAUGAAUCCAAUUAAUUGUUGGAUAACUCUAAUAGAUCAUCCACAUAUACAAUGGAUUUACGACAAUAUAUAUAUUUGCUUUGUACAUUAAUAUUUUUUUUAAUAUUCUGUUCGUAUAAGUUAGAAAGAAAAUGAAAAAUGUUUCACUUAGCAAAUAGUCUUUUACUAAAACAGCAAUCUUAAUUGUUGUUAUUAGUCACUAUUAGCAUAAUUUUGACAAUUUAAUAAUAAGAGGUUGAAAUUGAUGCAUGGAACAUCAAACUUUCCCCUCUUGGACUGGCUUCCCUGCGCACUGAAUUUACUAAUAUCAACCAAUAACUCAGGCUCCACCAACAUUUUUCCUGCCAUCACUUUGAAUUGACCAGUAGGAGAUCCUUUAAUAGCCAACUUCAUUUUCCUCUAUUGGAGGCUCGCUCCAGACACUUAUAAUACACGAGAUAUAUAGAGGAUGAAAUUGGAUUAAAGGCGUUUUUGAUAUGAGACUGAAAGAUUAUGCGAGUAUUAACUAUUUUAUGUAGUAUAUUAUUUAGGCGUUAGUUCUAUAUCAUUUAAUUAUUUAUUUUAAUUUUUUAUCCUCGUAUAAAAUAAUAAUAUAAACUACCAAGCUAAGCAGGGCCCCCCCCCCUACCAUAACCAAGAAAUAUUGAGAAGGAAAAAAUCGACGCGAUGACACGUGGAAAAGAGACUUUAAUGUUGAAGGACACCUGUGAUUGUGUCAGGAUGACGUGGCCACGUUACUUGUGGGUCCCAAUGACUUAGUGUGGUCAUUUUCAUGCCAGCUGGGCUCGACUGCGGUUAAAAAACUCAAGGAUUGGGUGGCACAAAAUGUUCAAAUACGUGGGACCCAUUCUUGUUUUGACCCGACCCAUCAUGCCAAAAAUACUACUAUUACCGGUUACAUUUGAGAAUGUUUUUUUUUAUAAAAUUAUGACUACUUUUAAGUUUUAACAUCUUACACCCUCCUUGUUUUCUAGCAUACACUGGGAGUGGGACCAUGAAAUUAAAACACAAAAGAGAACCUCACUCAUAAUGUUUUCUAUACACUAUUGAUAAUCUUCAUAAAUUUUUGAUAUACUAAAUAAAAUUUAAUACAAACAAGAUAUUGAUAGUGUUAUAAAGUAAGUAUUUGAAUAUGUGAAUUUAUCUUAAAUUCUUUGAAAAGUUUAAUCUGAGUAUUUCAUGUUUUUUAAAUAAAAACGCUUGACAAAUUUAUAUUAAUAAAGAAAAUCAUUUUUAUCUACUGGUUAUUUAUUUAAUAUGUAAAUAAAAGUUAUAGCUGAUAUUAUUAUUUUUAUCAAUCUAUAAAUUAUUUAUAUAGAAUUUAACAAUUACUUUUAUCAAUUAAGUUUUAUAUUAUUUCAAAUCAACGUUUAUCAGAUAAGAGGCUCAUGUUAUUAAAGAAUAGCACACUAUAAUUUAUGUUUAAUCUUUUUUUAUUGAAUUAGAAUUUGAUAUUCUUUCGAGGACGUCCGAUAAAAAAAAUUAAAGUUCAAUUAAUAUAUAUUUUUUAAAAAUAACUUUAUGAUAGCAUAUUAUAUUUUUAUUAUGAAUUUCUGCUUAUUUAAUAAGAUUAUAUUUAAAGUUUGAGAUUUUUUAAAAUAUAAUUCUCAAAGUUUAUCGGGGGUGGGCAGGUUAUAUUUAUGAGCAAAUAUACUAUUUAAAAAAUAUGAAUUGCAUGCUAAAAAAAAUUCAAUCUCAUAUCGUAUAAUUUAGUAUCAUAAUUUCACAUCAUUUGGUUAAACGUCGCAUAAAUAUUGGUCAAUGAUAAGAUAAAGUAUAUGGACCAACUAAUAAAAAUGGUAAAUAAAUAAGUAAUUUUUUACACCGAAGACAUCCAAAGUAUAUGGACCAACUAAUAAAAAUGGUAAAUAAAUAAGUAAUUUUUUACACCGAAGACAUCCAAAGUAUAUGGACCAACUAAUAAAAAUGGUAAAUAAAUUAGUAAUUUUUUACACCGAAGACAUCCAAAGUAUAUGGACCAACUAAUAAAAAUGGUAAAUAAAUAAGUAAUUUUUUACACCGAAGACAUCCAAAGUAUAUGGACCAACUAAUAAAAAUGGUAAAUAAAUUAGUAAUUUUUUACACCGAAGACAUCCAAAGUAUAUGGACCAACUAAUAAAAAUGGUAAAUAAUUAAGUAAUUUUUUACACCAAAGACAUCCAAAGUAUAUGGACCAACUAAUAAAAAUGGUAAAUAAUUAAGUAAUUUUUUACACCAAAGACAUCCAAAGUAUAUGGACCAACUAAUAAAAAUGGUAAAUAAAUUAGUAAUUUUUUACACCAAAGACAUCCAACAUUGCUUAAUUCACACAACUUUUUCUUUUCCAGUCAAUCGACUAUAAACCUCAACUUUGACUCGAUCUGAUAUUUUUAUUUUAAAGUCGCAUAAUCAUCUUGAAAAAGAUUAUUUAAUAAUAAAAAGAUUAAUUAUAUCAUUUUUCAUUUAAUAUUGAUAAUUAUAUAAAAAAUUUCAAAUUUCUAAUUAAAAUUUAAAUUAAUAAAUUUUUAGAGUUAAUUAAAACUAAAACAAUCCUAUCAUUACCACACAAACUAUUAUAAAGUUCUAUCAUUAUUUUUUUUCAAACUUGAAUAUUAAUUCAAGUUGGAUUAGUGGAUAGUACUUGUGUCUCGUGAGUGAUUACGUGAAUCUUUGAUUGAUUGCUGGUGCUAUUUGUGGGUCCCAUCCCAGCUGGAAAUGAGUUUUAAAUAGAAUCAUUAGGUCAUACGCAAAAAUUAAAAAUUCCAUCCGUCCACAUUUGUUUGACACGUAUAUUAAAAAUAGAUAUGUAAAAUUAAUUGUUAAUUUAAACAGUUAAAAAAUAAUUUUUUUUUAUUUUUCUCUUAAUAUUGCUUAAUUCUGUUUAAUUAAAAAGUUAUGUAAACUUUUAAUAUUCUUAAUAUAUUAGGGUUAUAUUAAUUAAAUUACACCUUGUAUUAAAUUUUCCUUAACAUGACCUUACUUGAUAAAUAAUUAUGGACGGAGGGCGUAAAUAACAAACCCGACAGAUUAAAUUAUUUUAAAGUUAUAAUUUUUUAAUUAAUUCAAUUAAUGUAAGAUACAUUAAAAAAUUAAGUUUGGUAUCAUAUUCACACGUUAUUAUUUGAAAAUAUGAACCUAUCGUAAAAUUAGUUAUAUCUUAAUCAAACAAAAUGUAAAUUAAUAUUUUAAAUAUCUUAUGAAAUAAAAUUUCCGAAAAUCAUUUGGUACAGGAGAUAAAAAAAUUGAAAUACUAUUAUCAUAUACUUGAUUUAAGAAAUUAACACUCUUGAAAUUAUUUUCUCUUACUACCUAUACUUGGAAUAAUAAAAUUACUAUCACAUAUAAAAAAUAAAUAUAAAAGAUCUAAAUCCAAAAAAAUAUUUUUGAUUUAUGGAUGAGAAAGGAAAGAGAUUAAAAAAGGAAAAGGAAAAAGAAAAAAAACGGUAUACAAGUGAGAUUUGGUAUGCAAGUACAUGUGGGGUCUCUCUAAAGAUCCUUUAAUGUUUGCUUCUUUUUGGAACAGACGACGCGUCUUUUUUUGGUCAUUUUCCGCCGAAACAAAUUAUUUUUCAAAAUUCAAUUUAAAUUUUACUAAUUCUUAUAUUUAUAAAAUUACUUGUUAUAAUAAAUUAUAUUAUAGUAUAAAUUACAUCUAAAUUACAUUCUAUCCCUACUAAUUUUCAAUUUACAAAAAUCCCUUAAAAUAUCAUACCUAUCUUUUAGAUACAUUAUAUGUGAUUUAUUAUAAACAACUGUUUGUUGAGCUUAAAAAAGAACAAAUCAGGUAAAAAUUAUUUUUACUUAUCUUAAUUAAUGCGCCUAAAUGUAUUUUUACUUAUUUUAAUCUCGUUGAUUAACGCCUAACUGAUUCUUAAUAAGUUCAUAUCUCAAUAGGUAACAAAUUCACAAAUAUCAAAUCUCUAAUUUACAUCUUCUUCAUUGAACAACCAUUAAUCUCAAAAAAGUGAUAAUCUUAAAAAAUUUGAAGAAGUUGCUGAUAAAAAAGAUGAAUAUAUCAAUUUUGUUGAGAUCUUCAAAAAAAUUGGGGGAACGAGGUGAGUUAUGAAUGUUAUUAAAUUGAUGAAAUCUCUAAAAAAAUUUCAUUGUGCUUGGUAUAUUUGUAUUUUGUCCAAUCAAAAUUGAUAAGAUUCAAGCUAAAUAUUUUCAUCUUAUUGAGUCAGUCGGGAGUCUGAAAAAUUGAGAUUAGAUAUGAACGGUAUCAAAGUGAAAGUGAAGCAAAUGUAUAAGGAUAAAACAAUUUUGAUGGGUGCAAUGACAAAAUACAAAAUAAAACAUAAUUUCAAUUUUAAAUUAAAAAAUUUGUGAUUUUGUAGUAUGUGUUGUGUAUCAAAUCAUCUGCUACAUUAUGUGUUCGUAGAUAAAUAAUAAUACGAUUGUGCCAAUGCAACUUGCGUUGCAUCCAAAAGAAGCGAGUGGCGGUGGUGGGACUAAUAUCAAUUAUUAGAUGAUACUAUGAUUGUAUGAUGACGCAAAUUGUAGUUUAAUUAAUGGGUAGAAAAAUUCAUUCGAUGAAUUAAUUUAUAAUAAAUAGAUAUAAAUUGCAUUAGAUGAUGAAUUCAACUGAGAAAGAGAUCAAGUAGCCUCCUUUUUGAGAUAUCACAUUAGUCGCACGCUAACUAAGAAAGAUCAGGUGGAAUUAUAUAGAAUAUUUUUGAUAUAUCAACUCAGUCAUCUUUCAGUUUAAAAUGCUUAUUUAAUUUAUAUUUUUUUACAAUAAUUUUUCUCAUGAAAAUGUAUAAAUUGGACCCACCGAUUUUGAAAGAAAUGGUUUGAAACGACAUGUAUCACAUGCAAUGCUAUUCAUUUGCCAAACGUUACAGAGAAAAACUCUAUUGGCUAUAUUAAAUGUAACAAUUAUAUUCUAGAAGAAAGCUUUUGUAAUAUGAAUGUAAAUAAAUACUUAUGAAACCUGAAUGGAAGAUACUUUUGGCAAAAAGAAAAUAAACGUUUUAGAAAAGUGAAAGAGUCCAAAUGUAGGUAAUGCAUGCGUGUUGCCUACUUGGAUGUGUACAAAGCUGAGUCUACGCUGAGGCAUCACAACUCACACAAAUCCAAUUUUUGAUAGUAGAAAUUAAAGAAAAUUGACUACGUCAAUUACUUAGAUAAAAAUAGAACGUACGUUGUUAAUAUGUUAUCAGAGUUUGAUUCAUCUCAAUUCGCGUGUAUUAGGAGGAGACAUAUCACAUAUGUUUAUAUGAUGAAAUGAGUGAAUGGGGAAGGUGGACCAAACAUUCUUACUUUAGGGAAGGUCGAAUAGAAGGAAGUGAGGGUGGACCAAACAUAAUUUAGGUAUCAAGAACGAGGCAGUAUGAUUUAUACAACGAAAAGGAAAUAAAUGUGACAGGGAUCUAAAUUACCAGCUUAUUAUUAUUGUCACUCUCCUAACUGGUGGGGAUUCAUUUUUUUUUUAUAUGAGUUGUCCAAUUCUGUCACUGCCAUGGGACAAUGAUUUAGAUCAGACAGGAAAGGGUCAAAUAUAUCACUACUAGCUUAAAUAUAUCUUUCUUUAUAUUUCUUUUAUUAUACGUUUAGUUUAAAUAUAUUGAUAUAUGAGAAAUAACGUAAAGAAAUAGAUCGUAUAUACUCAAAUUGUUACGUAUUUUUUUAUAAUGUAUUGUAUUAUAUUGUAUGAUGUUAUAUUGUAUUGUAUUAUUUUAAUAAAUAUAAUAUUUAGAUAAAUUACAUUGUUCUUCAUCAUCAUAUAGGUCACAUAUCAAUAAUUUAAAUGAUAAAUCUACUAGAAAAAUAAAAUAUGGUAUGUUAAAGGAUAACAUAAGAUUAUUAUAUAAUAGGUAAAGACAAAUUAAGGAAAAAUAUAUUAAGAUAGUGACGUGACAAACCAAGCUAGCGUUUGACCUACUACAACAAAAAUAAUUUUUAACGACAAUAAAUAGACACAUUAAUGAAGAACAUUAAAGUUUUUAUCGACAUUAGUUAAAUGUCAUUAGAUUCAAUGUCGUUAAAUCCUUUAGGGACAUAUACAAAGAGUGUUAAUUACCGCUAAAAAUACAUAUUUAGUGAUAAUUGCUAAUUAAUUACCGCUAAAACUCAUUUUUGAUAUAAUGACCAAAGAUUUUCAAAUAUUCUUGACAAAUAUUAUUUGGAUGAAAAUUUAGAUGAAAUUUCACUAUGUAUUUGAUCGUAGUAUUUGAAAAACAUAUUUUAUUUUUAAUAGAAAAAUAUACUCAAAAGUUUUUAAAAUUAUCAAAACUAACCACAAAUUUGUAGUACAAGUCAAUUGGAUCUUCGUUGCUACAAAUAACAAGUAACGUUCAUGACAUUAAUUAGAGCAAUGUGGUAGUUUGGAGUGAGUGGAACGAUCAUCAUUUCAUAUAUCAUGAAAUAGACAAAGCACAUGACUUUGUAACUCUGAGCCGAUUGUUCAUCAUUUUCAUCAAUAACCAUAUCAUCAUUUUCAUAUUAACUUUAGAACGUUUCAUCACUAAUUUGGUUUACGUAAAAAAGUUAUGUAAUACAACAGAACAAUUACUAUAGAGGAUAUUUUUAUAAAAGAUAAAAUUUGACAUAAAAUUCAAUUUUUGAAAGAACCCAAAUAAUGAGAUUUGACCCAAAUAUUAAGGAAAAAAUAGUUAUUUUUGAGAAUUUGAGAUAUUUGCCAAGAAUAUUUGUCAAUUAAUCAUAAAUUGCAUGGACAAUCACUAUUUGUCAAUUUCUUUUCUCAAAUAUUACUUGAAAAAUCUAUGACCAAACGAGUCUCAAAUAAGUCGUUGCAUAAAAUAUUUUUUUUUGUGGUUACCUUACAAUGAAUUAAUUGUACUAUAUAAUUCUAUUGAAGAUAAAUAAUGUUAUAAGUAGUUAGCUAAUUAUUAAUAUUGUUAGGAUUUAGUUAAAGGUUAGUUAGAAAGUUUGUUACUAUUUCUUCUACUUGUAUAAAUAGUAUUCCUCCCACAUCGGGUGAGGAACAAUUGUUCAUUUUUCUUCAAUAUAAAAAUUCCCAAAUCUCUCAUCUCUCUCAAUCUUUACAUGGUAUCAGAGCUGUGAAUCAAUAGUUUUUUGAUUCAAUCUAAUAGUUCGAUUCUGAUUUUGAAGUCAAGCAGAAACAGAGCUUCAGUAGCUUGUAAUGGUGAUCGAAAGUGCAACGCCAGUGGCUCAAUCGUCUGCAUCAGUUCCUGCAGCAGAAACACUUGAGAUGGUAGAAUCAAAGAGAAAUCAUCCUCUUCAUCUUCAUCCUUCAGACACUCCUGGAUCUUUAUUGACUACAGUUCAACUUACUGGUUCAGAAAACUACUCUUUAUGGAGUAGAUCGAUGAUUAUAAACCUCCGAGCUAAGAGCAAGCUUGGUUUUGUGCUUGGAACAUGCAGAAAGAGUGAUUAUACGCCUAAGUUGGAAGAACAGUGGGAAAAAUGCAAUGCAUUUGUCUUAGCAUGGAUCAUGAAUACAAUUUCGAAAGAAUUGUUAAGUGGAAUUGUAUAUGCUUCAGAUGCUGCAAUGGUGUGGGAGGAUCUGAAGGAACGAUUUGAUAAGGUGGAUGGUUCUAGAGUGUAUCAACUUCAUAGGGACAUAUGUACAAUUCAUCAAGGUAACCUAACUGUUUCAGCCUAUUUUACCAAGUUAAGGUUGCUUUAGGAUGAAUUUGAUGCACUUGUUCCACCUCCUUCAUGUAAUUGUGAUAGAUCUAGAAUAUAUGUGGAUCAUAUGCAUUAUCUGCGAUUGUUUGCAUUUCUAAUGGACUUAAGUGAGAUCUAUGGCCCUGCACGAAGUCAGAUAUUAAUGAUGAAUCCUUUGCCAACUGUUGGCAAAGCAUAUGCCAUGAUAGUUUCAGAUGAAAAUCAAAGGAUCACUUCUGGCUUGCGAAAUGGAGGAGAUGUAAUUGAGGCCACAACAUUAUAUGCAAACAGAAGUGGUUAUGGUUAUAGAAACACAGAUCGUGGUAAUGGAGACAAAGGUGAAUAUAAUAGAAGUGGUUAUGGCUAUAGAAACACAGGUCGUGGUGAUGGAGAUAAAGGUUACAAUGGUAAGAAGAAAGUAAAUUGGAACUUAUUCUGUGUACACUGCAAGUUGCAUGGACACACUAAAAAUAUCUGUUAUAAGUUGGUAGGAUAUCCUGAAGAUUGGAAGUUCAAAAGGAAAUCAGAUACUGAAAUGACUGUAAACAAAGGAAAAGGCAUAGCAAAUAAUGUACAAGUUGAUAAAAAUGGUGAGGAAGAUGUGUUUGGAGUAGUUAAUGAAGGAGAUAAAAAUGAACAAGGAUCACAUGAUCUCAAUUCUGUUCGAACAAGCUUACAAGCACUGGCAAUGAAAUCGACAUACACUCCUGACCAAUAUCGAAAGAUAAUGAAGCUAUUGAAUAAAGAAAAGCAGGCUGAGGUCAACAUGGCAGGUAUUUCCAAUGAUUUUGAUUCUUUACUAGAAUGUGAUAGAAGAAGAAGUUAUGAUGAUGCUAUGAAUGCAAGUAAUGAACAUAAUAUCUUUAGCAAGAAAGGUCAUUGGAUAGUGGAUUCAGGAGCUACAUGUCACAUGACAUCUAAAUUUGAAAAUUUAGAUAAGAUUAGCAGAAACAACAAGAAUACAGAAAGAAAGGUUUAUCUGCCUAAUGGUCAAACUACAUUAGUGACACAAUCAGGAGCAUGCAUGAUAUCAGCUAAUCAAGAACUUGAAAAUGUUCUAGUUGUUCCUGAACUUAAACAUGAUCUAUUAUCAGUAUCCCAAUUAACAAGACAGUUAAAGUGUUCUGUUCAAUUCUUUCCUGAAUUCUGCAUAUUUCAGGACCUCUUCAAUGGAGAGGUGAAGGGGAUUGGUAAAGAAAAUGAUGGGUUAUGUUACUUUCCUAGAAAUUUGUCAGAAGAAAAGACAGUUACUGCAAAUGUUGAUGACAGAAGGUCCAUGAACAAGGCAAAUUCACAGUUUAUGAUAUGGCAUUACAGAAUGGGACAUCCUUCAUAUAAAGUCUUAAAGCAAUUGUAUCAAAGUGUUCCUGCAGGAGUAUGUGAUGAUUGCCCUAUAUGUCCAUUAGCCAAACAAACCAGGCUUACAUUUCCUAUGAGUAGCUCUAGAACUGAUGAUGUUUUUUAUCUGAUUCAUCUUGAUGUAUGGGGACCAUAUAGACAUACUACUCAUAAUGAUUUUAGAUUCUUUUUGACUUUUGUGGAUGAUAAUUCAAGGGUGACUUGGUUGUUUUUACUAAGACAUAAAAGUGAUGUGCUUGCUAUCUUGAAGUCCUUUUUUGUGUUAGUUAAAACUCAGUUUGAUAAGCAAAUCAAAAGAGUAAGAUUAGACAAUGGUACAGAGUUCUUUAACAAUGAAUGCAAAACAUUGUUUACUUCUUUAGGAAUUGUUCAUGAAAGUAGUUGUCCACACACUCCACAACAAAAUGGAGUGGUGGAAAGGAAGCAUAGACAUAUUCUUGAAGUGGCAAGGGCUCUUAGAUUUCAAGGGUCCAUUCCUAUUAAAUUUUGGGGUGAAUGUGUGUUAGCUGCUGUAUAUUUGAUCAACAGAAUGCCUACAAGUGUAUUACAGGGAAGGUCACCAUAUGAAGUCUUUUACAAGACUAAACCACAAUUAGAUCAUCUAAGAACAAUUGGAUGCUUAAGUUAUGCAACUAAAGCUGUUAAGGAAGAUAAGUUUUCUUCCAGAGUUGAUCAAUGUGUUAUGAUGGGUACUCUUUAACUCAGAAGGGAUAUAUGCUAUACAACCUGGCUCUAAGAAAGUUUAUUGUGAACAGAGAUGUAGUCUUCAAAGAACACAUAUUUCCAUUCAGUCAGCUGAAGGAUGAGAAUGUGAGAGUGUUCAUUGAACAACCAUUUUGUGACUAUGACAUUGCUGAAGUUCAUACACCAUUAGAUGUUGAGACUUCAGAUGAACAUGCUGAACAAACACUUGUUCCUACUGAGCAUGUUUCUGAGAAUAUUACUGAAGAGCAUGGUGAUGACAAUAUGGUUGAUGUGCCUAGUCCUGUGCCCAGAGUUUCUUCAAGAAUGUCUCAUCCACCCGUGUGGAUGAAGGAUUAUGUUACUCAUCUGACUAAUUCAAUCCAUCCUCAUUCUUUAGCCAACUAUAUGUCAUAUAGUCAUUUGUCUGGAUCUUAUCAGACAUAUUUGAGUACAAUGUCUGCAGAAGUUGAACCCAAAACAUAUGAAGAAGCUAUCCAAAAUCAAAGAUGGGUAGAAGCCAUGAAACAAGAGAUUAUUGCAUUAGAAGAUAAUAGUACAUGGGAGGUUGUGACUUUACCUUCAGGGAAACAUGCCAUAGGCUGUAAAUGGGUGUUUAAAAUAAAAUACAAAGCCACUGGAGAGAUUGACAGGUUUAAAGCUAGGCUUGUAGCUAAAGGAUACAGUCAAACUGAGGGAGUUGAUUAUCAGGAAACAUUUUCACCAGUUGUGAAAAUGGUUACUGUUAGAACUAUUAUUGCAAUUGCAGCUGCUGAAAAUUGGCAAAUAUUUCAGAUGGAUGUUUUCAAUGCCUUUUUACAAGGUGAUUUGGAUGAAGAAGUAUAUAUGGAACUUCCUAAAGGUUUCAUAAGCAAGGGGGAACAUAAAGUUUGUAAACUAAAAAAGUCAUUAUAUGGUCUCAAGCAAGCAUCUAGGCAAUGGAAUGUUAAGCUCACUGAUGCAUUAUUGAAUUCUGGAUACAUACAAAGUCAUUUGGAUUACUCCUUGUUUACAAAGAGGAAGAAGUCAGCACUAGUUAUUGUGUUUAUUUAUGUGGAUGAUUUGUUGAUUACUGGAAAUGAUUAUGCACUGAUACAGGAGACAAAGCAGGUUCUGCAUCUUCAUUUUAAAAUAAAGGAUUUGAGAGAAUUGAGGUACUUCUUGGGAAUAGAAUUCUGCAGAUCAGAACAAGGCAUAGUGAUGAAUCAAAGGAAAUAUGCAUUAGAGUUAAUUUCAGAAACAGGAUUAUCAGGAGCUAGACCAUCUUUAACACCUUUGGAGACAAAUAUGAAGCUUACAAGUGCUGAUUAUAUGCAAGAUGUCCAUGAUGAACUAUUUACUGAUAUAAACAAAUAUCAAAGGUUGAUUGGCAAACUACUAUACCUUACUAACAUAAGGCCUGAUAUUGCUUUCUCAGUUCAGUGUUUAAGUCAAUUCAUGCAAAAACCAACACUUUCUCACUGGAAUGCAACAUUGAAGGUGGUUAAAUAUGUUAAAACAGCACCAGGUCUGGGGAUACUCAUGAGCUCUGAUAAACAAGCACAGCUCACUAAUUUUUGUGAUGCAGACUGGGCUGCCUGUCCAAACACCAGAAGAUCAGUGACUGGCUAUCUCUUGAAGUAUGGGAAAUCUUUAAUAGCAUGGAAGUCUAAGAAACAAAAUACAGUUUCUAGAAGUUCUGCAGAAGCAGAAUAUAGAAGCUUAGCAACAUUAACAGCUGAAGUUGUUUGGGUGAACAACUUGUUCAAGGAAUUGGGAAUGAAUGUGCAUGAACCAGCUAUCAUACAUUGUGACAACAAAGCUGCUAUGCAAAUAGUAGCAAAUCCAGUUUUUCAUGAACGUACAAAACAUAUUGAGAUUGAUUGUCAUUUUAUCCGUGAAAGGUUACAACAAGGAUUGAUCAAGACAAGCUACAUCAAUACUAAGGAGCAGCAAGCAGAUUUGUUAACAAAGGCCUUAGGAAGAUCUCAACAUGACUUCUUAUUGGCCAAGCUAGGUGUAUUAAAUGUUUUCAAUACAUCUAGCUUGAGGGGUACUAUUGAAGAUAGAUAGUGUUAUAAGUAGUUAGCUAAUUAAGUGUAAUUAGUUUGUUAUUAAUAUUGUUAGGAUUUAGUUAAAAGUUAGUUAGAAAGUUUGUUACUAUUUCUUCUACUUGUAUAAAUAGUAUUCCUCCCACAUCGGGUGAGGAACAAUUGUUCAUUUUUCUUCAAUAUAAAAAUUCUCAAAUCUCUCAUCUCUCUCAAUCUUUACAAAUUCUAUCAAAUUUAAGCAUCAAUUAAAGCACAUAAUUUUUUAAAAAAAAUUAACAAUACAAUACAUUACAACACGUAGCAAUCAUCCAAAGUCCAAAAAAGGAACUAAUUAAAAUAAAAAUUUUAGAUACUUAUCAAUAUCACUGUCUAUGAAAAAUUAUAAUGAUAUUUCGUACAUCCUUAGAUUUUUUUAGUAAAAACAAAAGAUCGUACUAUUAUACGUGCAAUACACACCGUCGUAUACAAACUGGUGGAUAUUAAUAAGACAACUUAUGAUUAUACAAUUUCACUUGAAAUAAGGAAGGCAACGUUUAUACAAAUUAGAAAUUUCUAUUUGAGAAGACGUGUGCUAAUCUAAUAAAUUAGUACUCUCUGUCCAAAAUUGUUUGUCAUGUUUCGUUUAUCGAAAGUUAAUUUGAAUAAUUUUCAAAGGUAAUUAGAUCGCAUUAAUUUGAUAUUUUAAACAAAAAAAUAAAUAUUCCAAAACUAUAUGAAAAACACUAUAAAUUACAACUUUUUGUAUAUUAAUAUCAAGAAAAAGUAUAUCUUAAAAUAUUAGUCAAAAUUUAUAUAAUUUGACUCUAACUAUGACAAGUAAACCGGAUGGAGGGAGUAGUAAACUAGUAAUAGUUUUAAUUUCAUGUCCUUGGGUAAGAAUUUAGUAUUUACUCCUUUGCUUAUGUUUACUUAUUUAUUUAAUUUGACACAUCUUAUAAAUCGUCUCACUAAUUAGGAAAUAAAUAAAAACUUACUAAUAAAAAUAAAAUAGAUAUAAUGUGAUAAAUUAUUUUUUAAUUAUUUAAAUUAAACGAAUAAAUAUGAACAUUUAUUUUUAGUAUAUGAAAUAAGUAAAAGACUAUAUAAGCCCCUCCUAUUAAUUGAUGCGCUGGUGAGGUCGAUAGAAAGCAAAUCAUAGACAUAAUAAUCGAUUAGAAAAAUCCUAUAUAUAAUUUUUUUAUAAAAAAAUAAUUGUAGACAUCAUUAAAAUGACGUAUUGGUAAAACUUCACUUCUCAAACGUGUCUGCUGCUCAGGGUUUGUUAUUUUGAUGGACUGCUGGAAGUUGAGAACUUGACUUUGAGUUCAAGCUAACAUAUUUUGACAUUCAGAAAGUCGAUUUGCGGUCGUAAGUUGAAUUUAGUAAUUUUUACUUAAAUUAUAUAUUUAUAUUAAAAAUAUGUAUAAUUAUUUAAAAUAAUUUAGUAAAAUAUGAACUAAACCUGUGAACUUGGUUCUAAGAAACGUGUUAUUAGAUCAAAAAAAAUUUAUUUGUUUUUCUCAUAUUUAUUCUUCUGUCCUGUUAGAAUCAUUUGCCAAUUGUGUUUAAGUUUAAAUACUCUGCAUUCUUCGAAGUCGUGUUUUCCUAUAUUUAGUUUCGUCAAAAUGAGACACUAAAACUAGUAUUAUAAUAUUCCAUGUUUUUUUGCAACAAGUUGGAGAAAUUAUUAUUUAAUUUGCGUUGGGAAUCAAAUGAAAUAUAUAGUAAUUAUUAUUAUUAUUAUAAGAAGAGAGGGAAAGAGGUGGUUUUGAUACAAGUCAAAUUGGAAAGAUUGAGGAAAUCUCUUGGAAAUAAAAUACAAGGCCAUAUUAUUAUUAAUAUUAUGAACUCAUUGUGUAUGUAAUAGUAAAUUUAUACAUCACGUUAUAGUCGGUGCCUAACUCUUGAAUUAUUAUUAUUAUUUUAUUCUCUUAGUUAAUUAACACAUAUACUCUAUUGAUUCUGUAUUCCGUCUAGAACAAGAAAAUUAUGUAAACAAAAAAGGCACAUGAAAUGUCUGCAAUUAUUUGGUGGUUUAUGACUUAUGUGGCAAACAAACUACUUCUUUAUGGUACUAAUCAAAACGUUUCUCAAUUGAUUUGGUCAAACACAAAAUUUUCAAUUCUGUUUUUGGAAAAACAAUUUUUUCGAAGGUAGGCUGAACAUAUCCUAAGUAAGCCCAAUCCAUUUGCAACCAGGCUUAGACUAACAACAGAUCAAUUGACUAGCACUGGGGUGGAGAUAGCGAGGGCCUAGGCAUCAAUCUGUUGUUGGACUAACAACAGAUUUCCUAAGUAACCUCAAUCCUUUGAAAUCUCAGUCGUCACUCUUGCUUUUGUACAAAUAGAAAUGUACAAAUUACGUCUCUAUUUGUAUAAAGCGAGAGAAAAUUGUAUAUACAUAUGCAAAUAUGUAUAUCUUCGUCCUAUACACUUCUAAUUCUACAAUAUAAAUAUUAUCAUGUCCAGUUUUCUUUUGUCUUUUUUCUCUUACUCGCUUUAUACAAACACAAAUUAUAUGAAGUACAAUGUAUAAUUUAUGUUUGUAUAAAGCGAGAGAGAGAACGAUAUUUGAUCAAUAAAUGUUUUAUUUCAAUUCAAUUGUAUGCAAAUUCAAAUUUUACACAGAUUUGCAAACACACAAAAAUUGAAUUGAGAGGAAGUCAACGAUUUAUACAAAUGAGAGACUAACAGCAAUUUAUACAAAGUCAUUGAAAUUAUACAAAUCUGAAAAGGAGCUAGCGAAUUAUACAAUUGUUUCUUUUGUAUAUAUAUAUAUCGAAGUAGUCAUUGUCUUUUGUAUAUAUGUAUAGUGAAAUAACAUAACAAAGUUUGCUGUGACGUACAAUUAUGUAAAUUAUAGCUAUAACAUACGAAUAUAAUUUUUAAUUUUUGUGUGAAAGUUUGCUACAUCUUUUGUGGUGCAAACAUUUGGCUGCUACUCAUUUCAGGUGAAGCAUUCAGCUCUUCAUCCGAGCUAUUGCUUCGAGAAUCAACAGAGCUCAACAAGUCUUUUAGUGAGUGGUUAUUCAUGUUGGCUUCUCAAUUGAAAACAAAGACACAUUUUUUUAUUCGAACUUAAACCACUAAAUUGUAGGCAUUAAUAUUUGAUGUAACGAAAUAAAUUCUUGUCUAACUUAACCGCAAAAAUUAGCUUAUGAAGGUAGGAUUACAAAAAGAACGAAAGUCGUCUUAGUAUUGAACAUUGGACCUGCCCAGGACCAGAUGUUAAACACAACAUCUGAAAGACUAUUGAUGGUCUGUGUAGCACACCUGCCUUGCCAUUAGCGAAGCUACUGGGAGAGUACAAACAGCAUUAUAGCACAUUAGUUAACAAAUCCUCUUAUUUAUUUUUGGCAAAAUAGCCUGGUGAACCCUCGUACUUGUCAUCUAGACCUCUGUACCUAUCUAAAAUUAAAAUUUUAAACACUUUUUUUGAUGUGGCAUCGCGCAUGUUGCACAAACCACGUAGUUGGCCAAAAAUAAAAAAUAAUAAGCCACGUAUGAAAUCUACAUGGUAAAUCAGCCAACUAAGAAUAGUCCAAACCUCAGCGAAAUUUUGUAAAAAUUUUUGCGAAUUUUCCUCUUCUCUCUUCUCCUCUUCUCCUUUCUACGAUUUCUCCACUAAGAGUCGUUUGUGAUUUGCCAUAGAUUUUCUCGGUUGAAGCUCAGUUCCACUCCGACUAUCAUUGUAAGUUUUUGAACUUGUGUUAGUUUUCGUUUUUUUCACUUUCUUGUGCGUAUCUGUUUGAUAUUAUCAUUCAAUUUUCUGAAUUUCUUUUGAGAAUUUUACUUUGGUUUGGGGGUAAUGUUAGUGCUAUACACUUUCUCAGUUGAUUAAUGACUUCGAUUGACUUCAAUGGCAUAUUCCGUGAAUUCGAGUAGAUUUUAGAAUUUUUCCAUAAAAUUCCAAUUUCGACUAAAAUUAAUAUUCUAUUUUUGGUCAAUUGUCUUGGGUAUUGAUAAUGUUAGUGGUCCAUUAAACAACAAUUACAGUUAUGGUUUGUUAAUAGCUUUUCCGUCUAACUAUUACUGGUAUUUUCUUAAAAAAUUCAGGGCUUUUGUGUUACAGUCGUGGUAUGUUUACCCCUUUUAACUGUAGUUGUUUUUUAUGUUAAGUUUAUGCUUGUUUUUCCCUUUAAAAGUAGUUGUUUUUGUCUUCCUUGUCUUGAACUCGUUGAUGAAUUGUUGAUGUUGUAUUGUUCAUUAGCAUCAGCCCAUCAAAAAAAUCCACACACAUUACCGGUUGAAUAGUUUUGACAGCCCCAAAACAUUCUUCCAGGAUUAGUUGGUGUUCUUGAUGUCUUUAGUUCAGCAUAUAUUCCACAGUAGCAACAUCGAACUGUCAUCGUGAAUACCAACAAAAAUACAAUAAGAAUCAAAAAAAAAAAAGAGACAAGUAGAUUGAAGAAAAAAAAUUAAAAGAGAAUUUUUUACAGAGACAAAAUUGAGAAAAAAAGAAAGAAAAAAGCUCAAAAAGGCAUUAACAAUGGUGUUGAGUGAAUUAAAGAAGAAAUAUCCUUUAAAGGUCAAAAUAUGACUGUUAGUGCCUUUUUAAGGCAUCUCACGCUCUUCCUUCGCCUGAAUCACACGCUCCAUGUGGGUUAAUUCCACAUAGGAUGCCACAUCAAAGAAAAUGUUUAAAAUGUUGAUUUUGAAUAGGUUCAGGAUCUAAAUGACAAAAAACUAAGUAUGAGUAUUCAUAAUACAAUCCGAUAUAAGUACGAGGAUCCACCAGGCUAUUCUGUCUUUAUUUUUUUCUCAAAAAACUUGUUUAUCAUUAUAUGGUUGCCAGAAAUGAUUUCCCUGGCGUAUUCAGAAGGGAAAAGCCAAUAGAAGUAAGCAAAACAUAACUACAAUUAAAUUUACUACAUCUCUGUAGAAUUUCUACAUCUGCAUCAGAAGUCAGAACAUUACCAUUCCCCAUUUACCUGAAGAAAAAAAUUACCAAAAUUCUGAUGCAAAAUUGCAGUGGAAAAUAAGGUGAUUUAUAUCCUUCUAGUGCCUUUUGCACUCACGAAUAAUGUAUUUUCACUUCUAACCAACGAUAUCUACUGUACGUGCAUGACUAACAAGGUUGAGGUUGGGAAUUACCUGACUAAAAGCUUUUAUCCAUACUUAACCAAUUUUUGCAACCUGGUCAUACAAAUUAGCUAAGUUGAAAACAACUACACAACAUUAGCAGUCCCAACUGUUCAACAAAUCUAAUGUCAAAUCGGAAUCAUGAUGCAUGUUUUCCACAUUAUUAAUAACACAAAAGAGAUGCAUGUGAUUUACAAAGGAAACAUCAGGCAUUACACUUGACAUGAUCACCUAUGCAUCAAAUGAUAUCCCUCCCUACAAGUAGGUUGAAGUAAGCCAAGUGGAAACUUCAUACCAAAAGGUGGUUUAAGAUGACAUACUAGCUCUGAUCUCCAUUAUCCAGAAUAAAAAGAAAAGUUAAACAACAUAGUAGUAGCUUCAUACUAUAGCCGGUCCACUAAUUAGAACAUACAACACUAGCAAACCCUAGAGACCAGUGGAAUCUCUCACAAUUCAUAGACUCAUAGAAGACUCAUAAGCAUCCUUCAAAGGUCUCGGCACCAUUGGACUCGUCAAGCAUUCGAACAACUUGAGCCACACCAGCUGCAAGUUCCUUCUGAAUGGCACCAUCUGGCAUAUCAAAUGUUCUCCUCCUUGCAACAGAUAAAGGCCUUCCACCAGGUUGGGGGUCGAUAACAUCAAGCAUUGCUUCUAACUCGUCCACUAUGGAUUUCUUUGCAGAUCGGACCAUCAUAUCCACACCCUAAUACCAAAGGAAAGUAAAGAAUAAAUGUAUUUCUAGAACAGAAGGAAAACACAUAAAAGGGUCGAGACUGCUAAGGAUUUGCACAACACAUUGCAAGUAAAGAUAAAAUAUGCUAAUGAUUGCCAAGGAUAUAUGCAUACAUUUGAUGUUAUUGACAAACUAUGCAUAUGGAUUCAAUUAUAGAAAUAAAAUUAAAUCGAAGAUAUCAUUCCUGGGUUGCAGUAGGCAAUGUUUCAUGCAAAUCUAUCAAAAUAGAGUCUGAAAAAGUUUUUACCAGAAGUAUUUACAGAAGUGUUUAAGCUGGAGACAGAGGACUUGUGUUUCCCCACCUCAGUUCCAAGAAAGGCAGCAAGCAGCAUAGUAAUAAUAAACUGCAUUCUUAUGUUGCCUGUUCAGUUAGACAAUGCGAAGAAUGUACAUUCUAUGUUGCCAGCAAAAGAGAAGCACCAAGGUCUCAAGAUGUAUUUGUCCCAAAGGUCGUGGGUAUAAUUUUUCAUUGUUCAGAUCCAGACUUCAGAUUAAUGCCCCUCCUAUUUAAGACCCCCCAAACCCAACCGAGAACAAAAAAAUAAGAACAAAACAUAGAGAAGAAAAACUAAAAUGAGGGGCUGAAAGGCCAAUUCCUGUACUCAGAUCAUGCAACAACUACAAUCAUCUGAGAACUAUAGAUCCAAGAACUCAUAAAUGAUACUUUACCUACGAAAGUAGCAUUUCCAAGUAGCAAAUUUCUAGUACUCUAUCCAUUCAAAUUUAUAAGUCUUCAUAUUUUAUUUUGGGACAACUCAAAGUCUUUGACAAUACUAUUUUGGACAAUAUUCACAACUUACAAAUAUCCAAGUCCAUUUAACUAAUCAGAUCACAGAUUUGGUGUUCUUUUUCUAGUAUUACAUUAAUAUUUCCUUCAACUACCUCUUAUAUAAUAUACUAAAUGAAAUUAGCGUCUUAAACUUCAUAUGUUGUCACACAUCAUCAUAUCAUUUGGAAAAGAAAAAAGUUUUACUUUUGGUGCAAACGGCUAGCAACAAAGCAUAUUAUAAGAUCAAUAACAGGACAAGACAGUAACAGUUACUACUAUGUCUACCUCAAUGGCAUCAACAGUUAGUAGCAGCACAAUGAUCUUCUCAGAGAACCUCUGGCGCUCCUCAGCAUCACGAGCAACACGUCUACGAUAAGUGAAGUUGUUGAAGAGAGCCCUUAGCUCCUUCAACUUAGUCUUGGCAAUGGCCAGUUCUCUCAGAGCACGCAGUGCCUGAGACCUCUUAAUCAAGUAAGCCCUGAAGCUCAUUUGAAUCGCUAAAGCUGCAUCUUGUGGUGAUAGUUCCUUCCUCUUCCCCCUUCUCUUCUCCACCCUCUUUGCAAAUACCUACAGAUCAUAAACAAAAAAACGCAAAUUUCAAGAUUGUAACAAUGUCAUUUAAAGAACCAAAAUUAAUUACGAAAAUGUGGAAGCUGAACCUGUCUUAAGACGAGUGCGCCAUGAUGGGUUGGCUCUUCAAUCUCAACCAAGCGUGUACAACCCACAGAUUUCUUCUUCUUCUUCAUCUUAUCUUUCUUCUCUUUUUUCUGACUUUCAUCGCUAUCGCUAUCGGAAUCAGUGACAUUUGAUGCUUUGAAACUGUAACUACGUGAAUCGUCACCUUUUCCUUUGAUCUCAGCACUAAAUUUGUAGUUUUUAUCCAAAGCCCCUUUCUUCUUACCAUCUUUCACCUCAGCAAUCCACUUAUAUUUCCGAUCAACCCCAUCCUUCUCAGGGCUCUUAAUCUCAGCCGUCCACGUGUACUUCCGCUCCCCAAUUUUAUUCUUCUUCUUCUUCUCCGUCAACAUCCGCUCGAGCGCGGUGACUCGGUCAGAGAGACAUUGCAACUCAGUACCGAGUCCUAUCCGGUGCUGGACCCGGCGAGUAGUGCUGUAAAAAGGGGUUGUUUCGAUUUGGAUCAGAUCGGUAAUGGAAUCGAAAUUUUCUAGAUCGAGGAAGGUAUUGGGUGCAUAAGGCUUAGGGCAGAUGAGAUCGAGAGUGCAGUCAAGCUCAUCUUCAAUGUGGAAGUAUGGGUUUAGAAGUAGGGUUUUGGGGGUGAAAAAUGAAGGAGAAGAAGAGUAGUCGAUGAUGUCAAAUCUCCUGAAGCGGCUCAUUUUCGCUUGAAUCUAGCUAAACCAAAUGCUAAAAACUUGAAGAUGCAGAGGUUAAGUUGAGUUGGAGAAGAAGAAGUCAAUAAAAAGGAUAAUGGGAAAGUGACAGUAGGGGUAUUAUGGGUAACAAAUUUGUAGAUAACUUAGGUUGAUUGGUUAAAUCGCCGCGCACAGGAUGUGUGUUUUUACAAAUAUGGCCUUGAAAUGCGGCGUACAAAAUCAUAGACAAGAGAAUCUUCAGAUUGGGAAAGAAGAUGAGGUUAAAGCAUGUGGGGUUCUGGGCCAGCUGUUCAGUUGAAUUCAAAAAUUGAUGAACAGUGAAAUUUUAUCAACUGGAGUACGCUUUAAUCUUUUUUGAUUUUGCAAUUGUCUUUUUGGGAUAUUCCGAAUCAAUUCAAUUAAAUUUGAAUUCCAAAUCAAAAGUUUUAUAUUUUAGGAUACUAAAACUCUACAAAUAUCAAUAGAGAUUUAAAAAAAAAAACUUACUAAAUGUUAUUCAUCCGUCCGAUUUUAUUUAUCAUGAUUUCUAUUUUUAGAGUCAAAGUAUAAAAACUUUGACUAAUAUUUUAAAAUGUAUUUUUUUCGUAUAAUUAUAGAACAUCUAAUUUUUUUAUUUAAAAUAUCAAAUUAAUAUAAUAUAAUUUACCUUUAAAAAUUAAUUAAAUUAAUUUUCGAUAAAGCAUAAUAAUUAGGGAGCAUACUGAUUGAUUUAUUUUGCAUUAGUCAUUGCCAUGUGAAUUCUCGUAAUUUUCAAUAAGAUUUUGCACGUGGUAUAACAUUUUAAGUUGUGUCUUAUUUCAAUUAAGAAAUGGAGAUGGCGAAUUUAAUUUUCUCAUGUCAUCUGGCAUGGUCAAGGUAUGAUGGUCGGCCCAAUACUUAGCCCCUCCAACUUCCAAUUAAUUACAUAUAAAAUAUGCAUAUCAAAUAUUCUUCCUGUGAUAAGCGAAAUGUUAUAAUAAGUCGUUAUUAAUCGGUGAUGAUUUAUGUCACGUUGGAGCAAUCUCCUAUAUCUAAUCCAGUGAUGAUAAAUGGAUGGGUCGUUAAAUAUAAAUCGUAAACAACGUUAAAAUAGGUCAUAAUUUAUUCGCUCAUAUUUAAUAUGAAUAAUAAAUUGAUUAGAUAAUAUACUAAUUUAUCCAUAUUUUUAUGAAUAAAUAGUACUUAAGAAUUUAAUAUGGAAAAAAUAUUUUAAUCCUUUUUAAAUAAAAAAUAUUAAACAUCCUUCAUUUAAAUAUAUCGCAUCAUAAAAAUAAUUUUUCUUAUAACUUUUCAAUUUAAAUAAAUUUAUAUAAUAACAAGAUUAAGUAUUUUUAAUUUUAAAGAAAAUAAAUAUUUACCUUUUGGGACUAAUGAGUACUUUAUUAUAUGUUUUUUUCGUUUUUUUUUUUUAAUUCUAAUAGGCUAUUAGAGUGAACUUUUAUUUCCAACUAUCCCAUUAUACAUUUGCCAUCGGCCACACAGCAUCUCUGUUCACUAUCUUUUAUCAAGCUGAUUUACAAAUUUUGAAUUUUUCCUACCGAACUAAUUUUUAGAGGAUAAAAUUAAUUUCAUCAGUUAUAUUAUAUUAUAUCCUAAUCUUGCUACUACUCGCAAGAUAAUUUAUGCAUGUACCAUAUCCUAGGGAUAUAAUCGUACAAUUAACUGUCAUAGAAAAAUGAAGGAUAAGUAUGGAGCAAAUUAGAAUUACUGCUAUUAAAAGAUGGUGAAGGUUACAAAACUAUCCCCUACUAGACAAGUUCCCUCAAAUACCAAAUGCUUUACAAGUUAAAAAAAAUAAAAAAAAAUGCUCAGCAGUUAUCCAUAAUUUAGUUAGAAUAAGAUCCUCUUUUACAAAUAAAUCAUAUAUAAUAACAUUAGAAGUACGUCGCUAUCUACCUAUGACAAUUCAAAUUCAAAAUAAUAGAAGUAAUUGUAGCAGAUAGAUCAGCAAUUAAAUUUAAUAAAAAAAGUUGCUGAUUCUAAUGAUAACUAAGUAGGAACAAGAAAACCCGAAGGCUGAAUUACAAGAAAAGAAUCAUAAAAUCUCAGCAUAACAAAUCCCACGCAAACUGCACCCAUCAUCACCCCACACCCUAAUACUCCAAAAUACCUCCCAUUUAUAACAUUACCUUCACCAACUUCCUCAAUAUCUUUAACAGGUGAAUCCUCCGGAACGUCGUAAUUAACCGGAUCAGAAUCGCGCUCUACAGCCGCCUCUCCAUCAUCAUUGAUACACGACUGGCUACAAGAACAGACCGAAGCAGCAUCAUGAUCAUUCAUAUUAUUUCCGUCUAAUUGUUGCUGUGAGUGAAGAUCAAAGACGGUUUCAAGUUCGUUGAGUCUGCGACCAAUGUGGUACAAGUGUCGUGGCUUGGACGGGGACGAAGUGAUUUCUGCAGCCAACAGAUGAUUUAGAAAUUCAAGUUGCUGUUCAAUGGCGUGAGAGAGAAUCUCGUGGGUCGCGGAAUCCGGUGGGAACGUGAAGAGCAGAUGGAGAUCCGAUUCCAGUUUUUCCAAUUUCUUCCGCAGUAUUCCAUAUCUCUUCGUCAUUUCUUAAUUCAUACAAGUUUUUUUUCUUUAGUUUCUACUUGUAAAAAUAUUCAUCAUGGUCGCGACGGUUAAUUAAAAAAAACGGUUACUAAUUAUGAAAACCUCCCCUAUAACUACGGAUCAUUUAAUAUUUACUUCCCGCGUAAUUCCGAAAAACUAAUCGAGAGAAUUAAAUUACAUUAAUAACUAAAUCAUAGAAAAACUUGAAAUUAUAAAACUUUUAUCAAGUAUAAAUCAAAAUUAAUGGAGAAAAGUCAAUAAAAAUAGUCUUUUUAUUUCAUAUCAAGGCCUGUUUGGAAAGACACUCUAGCAAUUGAAUUUGGUGUAAUGAUAUAAUUACAUUAUCUUGUCCUGUUUGGAAGGAUAAAUAAUUACUUGGUCAGUAGAUAAUUGAUAUAAUUGACAGGGGAUAAUUACACUCCACAAUUCAAAGAGGGUGUGAAUUGCUGUAAUUACAUGAUUUAAUUAUCACCUGAUUACCUUUUUUUUUUUUUUUUUCAUUUCAAUUUUUAUUUUUUUUACUUCUAUUAUUUUAAGUUUUUUUUUUAUUAUUCUAAAAAUUUGUAAAAGUUUAUUUUUUAAUUUUAUAUUAUUAUAUUUUAUUUUCUUUUUGUUCUCAACCUUACUUUACGUGAUUCUAUGUAAUUUUUUCGUAUUAUCUAUUCACUUUCUGCCAUGCUAUUUUCUCAUUAGCCUAAUUUUAUUAAUAUUCUAAUUUUGAAUUAAAAUAGAAUUUAUUGUUAAGUAAGGUUAUAGACUUACUUUUUCUUUAUUAAGAAAAAAACAAAUAAAAAUCAUAUUUAUUGCUAUGUUGAUAUUUGUUAUAAGAGUAUUAUGUUAAAUUGUUUGUUUUGAAUUUAUAACUUCUUCUAUAUUUUCGGUUUCAUUUGUUUUAGGCCUCAUUUGUUUGCGCUUAAUGGAGGUCUGAAUCUUAAUCAUUCAGAUUUUUAGCCUAUUAAGUACGUUUGAUUUUUAGGUCUGAAUCAGAAUCAUUCAGAUUCAAGCCAUUAAGGUCAUUUGUUUUAUUUCAGACUCAUUUAAUAAGUUAUCAAAUGAUAAAUCAUCGUUUCUGCUUUAAGCGUGCCUUUUUAUCUCAUAACUAAAAACUUUCUCUCUCUUUUCUCAAUCAAACACCAUUUUUUUCCUCUUGAACUGGUAAGUUUUCAUAAAUCAGUUCUUUUUUAUAUUAAUAAUUUUCUUGUAUUGACUUGUCAAGAACACUGUUGGUGUAUUGGCUUUAUCAAGAUUUUUGAAUGAAAAAAAAUUGUACUUUCAAAUCAUGAUUAUUAAAAAUUUUAAUUUUUUUUAUCAAAAGCGAUAUAUUUUGUUAAAAUGAAAUUUUAUGAUAUUUUAUUAAUUUAAUGUUAAUUUCACAGAUAUUGAAAACAAGCAGUAUUAAUUAUUUAGUGUUCAGUUUUAGAAACCACAUAUUAAUAUUGAAAUGUGUAUUCAGAUCAAAACACUUGAAUCUUAAUGCAAAUCUUACUAUUCAGAUGUAUAUUCAGAUUUAGACCUCUUAAACUUAACGGAAACAAAUGAGGCCUUAAUAAUGUUGAAUUUACAUUGAACGUCAUUUUUUAAUUGACUUGAUAGAUUAUAUUUUUGUCAAACAUUUAAUAAUUUAUGUUUCACGAUGUUCGUAGAAACUUCAUACUUUUAGUUGUUACGAUCAAUUCGAUUGAAAUAUAUUAAUUUGAAAAAAAUAUAAAAUCAAUUAUUUAUUCAUAAUAUUAGUUACAGAAAAUAUGUUUAUUAAUUAAUAUAGUUUUAAAAAAGAAUAUAUAUCUUAAAUAUUUAGUUUAAUGUGUAAAGUUUCUUAUUUGUCUAGUAUAAAUUUAAAAUAAUGAAUUUUCAUUUUUAAAAUUUAUUAUAAUUUUAUUAUUGCAAUUGUGCAUCAAAAUAGAACAUGUGUAAUUACACUUUGCCAUCCAAACAUGACAUGUGUAAUUACACUGUGACAAUAAAAUAUGUCAGUAUAAUUACUAGGCUGAUAAUUACUACUCUAAUAAUUAUACCAAUUCUAAUUACCAAGUGAUUUUUCAAACAGAUCCAAGUUAAUUAUCGAGACUUUCAUAAUUCAAAAUAAUUGAAUGUUUUCUGAAAGUUCAACCUAAUUAUUGAAACUUUUUUUUUCUUUCAUAGUUACCUUUUCUAUUAUUAAGAUUCGUAACUAUUUAAAAUUUUCUAAAAGACUAGUUGAGAAAUCAUCAAAAGUAUAAUAGUGAAUAGUAUUCUUCGAUUUUAUCUUUAUAAAAAAAUAUUGUGCUUAUAUAUAAAAACUCAGCUAUUGAGGAUCAACCUCAGACCUCAAAAGUUAUAAAUUCGCACGCUCACCUAUUUUUAUUGUGUCUGAGAGUGUUAAAUUUAUUAUAUUUUCAAAUAUUAGAUAAUAUAUAAUAUUUAAUUUAUAUACACUAUAUAAUUAAUUAGGGCCUUAAAAAUUGUAUCACUUCCUCUUAAUAGCCUCUGUUGUAUUAAGUCUUAUGUCACAGAGUGUAGUGAGUUCCAGCAUUGCUCAUUCUCUUUUUGAUCAUAAUUUUGAACUAUUUACUAAUAUAUGUCCAAGUUUUGUCCAUUUGGCUGUGGACUUUCGUUUUAGGGCACUUUAUUUAACAAGGCUCCAUUUCUCAAUAUCUAUCAAUGUUUGUUUUUCUUUACAAAAUAAGUCACCAGUGCAGUGCUGGAUGAUCUGUUCUUGUAAUUAAAGCAAUUGAUAAUUUGCUGAGUUGUAGUGUGUGAAGACAAUUGGAGAAGUCUUGAGUUUGAGCUAAACAUAUUUGAACACCAUAUAACCAACACACAACAUUAAAAUGAUCACUAUCAACUAACCAAGGUCUAUCAACCUCUUGCUUGCUUAAUGUGUGUUAAUACUGACCACAACUCCAUUCUAUUUUUUAAUAGAGUUAAAAACAUUUAUAAUAGUAACAAGAAAAGAUAAGAGUUCCAGUGAUACCAAUAUCAAUCAAUGAAUUGAUUGAGCAGAAGAUCAAAUGUAAGUCACCUGGCCGUAAUGUGUUUGCAUGAACCUAUGGAGCCUUGUUUGUGGGCUUUGACCCUAGCUAGCUUCCACCAAAGCAGCAAGUUUGAUAUGUUUAUUUCUCAGAUAAAGUACAAGGCAAGUGAUGAGUGAAAAAUAAGGACAUAUGUUGAUAGCAUCCAUAUUGGCAUACCUCCAUUAAAAUUGAUGGGCUUUAAUGGGAAAUCAAGAAUAUCUUUAUCAUGAAAGUGUUCAAAUUCAAGCCUAAAAGUAAGAAGAUUUGGCCACAUGAAGCCCCAAAAGAGAAUCCACCAAAUUAAAAAAAGUUCCUUAUUCUAAAGUUCCCUAGAAAAAUAUUUCCUACAUUUUUUCUAAUCCGUUUCCGAUUCUAAUUUUUUUACUAGUUUUAAUUUUCUAGUUAUGUAAAUAUUCUUAAAUUUUGUUGUGUCUUACCAAGUUCUUCAAAUUUUAUUCAAACUAUCUUAAGAAUAUAAGAUGAACAAAACAAGAUUCAUAAAAGAAAAAUCAUUAGAAAUGCAUGGUUGCUAUAAAUAAGCAAAAUAAUAAUAGGCAAUUUAUGUUAGCACGUGUUAAUUAAAUAAUAGUAGGGCAUUUGAAAAUUAAGCAAGUAUUACACAUGAUAAAUGAUAAUUAAGUGAUAUCUAUGCAGAUCUCCCCUAGCUAUGGCUUCUUCAGAAGUAGAGUUUAUAAUAUUUUAGUACGAAUAUACGAAGAGCAUGGAGAGGUAAUAAAGAGUAGUUUUAUUUAUUAAUUUGAUAGUGUUAUUAAUGUAACAUAGGAAGAUGAGAACUUGCAUAUGCAAAGUUCACUUAUUUAAAUUUUUUUUUAAAAAGGUUUGUACGUGCAUAAUAAUUUCAUAAGCACGACGAUACAUUUAUUUAUUUAUUUAUUAACCCCUUGGAAAUUAAUGAGGCAAAGUAGAGGGUACGUAGUUUAACAAGUGAAGCCAGUAGGAUAUUUCUUUCCACAUGUGUUUAGUAUGAGGCUCAGAGAGAGUGGUACAUUCAAAUUAAUUCCCAGCACAUUUGCUUUUAUGGCUGUGCACAAGCAAACCGCGGCCUCUAGGUCCGUCAGUCCCUGGAUCAAACUGCAGCAUGGCAAAGUUGGUGGAGACCCGACUAUUACAUUCACCAAAUUAAGUAUAUUAGCACACACACCAAGUUUCAAAGUAUCUAUUGAGCAUGUUUGUUGAGAACCAACGCAAUUUCCAGUAUCAUUGGUUCCACUUACAACAGCAAACAACAGGAGAUUCAGUGAUAGGAAAAGGGGUACUGAAGACUGACUUGCAAUUGUUUUGGAAGCCAUAUUCAAAUCUAGAGAAUAUUAAUCAAGCAGUUUAUAUUUCUUAUGAUGAUGAUGUGCAUCUAACCAUGGCUAUUUAUACUAAAUUCUACUACUGUUGCACUUGAAACCAUUUUUAGAUAUUAUUACUUCAACUUAAAUAUUAGAUUAGUAGCAUAUAUGAACUUAGUCAAUUAUUGUCUGCUCAUCUUGAUUAAUUGGUAAUGCAUGAAUAGUUACACGUUGAAAAUGUUAAGGAAGCAUUAAGUAGUACUACUGUAGUAGUAUAAUUAGUAUUAGCCACCACCAAAGGACCGGAAAUGGAUCUCGAGUUUGAGCUCUGAGUAUGGAAAAAUUCUUGAUACAAGACCCUUCCCUCUUAAUAGGAUUCUACGUGAUGUGAGUUUAAAAUAGACAAACUUUAAUACGAAUAACGAACCUGGUUUAAGAAACAAAAAUUAAUAUUGGACUCCACUCACCUCCAAUGUGCCCCUAAUUUAAUUAUAUUACCAUUAAUUUUAAUUUAUAUUACAUGUAUUCAAUUUAAAUAAGAAUUUGACUAAAAUUAGAAAGGAGCUCCAUCCAAUAGUUUGCAUGCAUUCAUGCUCUAUAAUAUAGUUAUUGGAAAUUUAAUAUGCUUUUAGAGUAUUAACUAUUCCCGUGAUCAUUGACAUUUCUACAAACCAACUACAAGUCUGGGGCGACUCGACGAAAUAUGUGGCCUAAAGUUAAUUCUUAAAAAAAAGCCUAAAUAUAUUUCACUUAUUUUAUUUUAUAUUUUUAAUUGGAUUAGGCAUGAGAUUUCAAAUAUAUAAAAAACUUUUGAUACAAUUCUCUAAAAUUAAAUGUGUGUAUAAAAUAAAGAGAUAAGGGUCUCAUAUAUCUCUCAACUUUGUCAUUUAGAGUUGAUAUACUUAUCGUUAUAAAAGUGGCUCUUAUCUACCCCUACUUAUAUAAAAUGACUUACAUAUAUCAUUUUUGUCAAACGGAAAUGAAAAAAAAUUAUUUUUAUUUUUAUUUUUUUAAAAAAAAUAUAUAAUUCCAUAAGAGUAUAUUUAAUCCUCCUUAAACAUAUCUAUUUUUUUGAAUUUUUUUUGUUUCAGUGACUAAUUUAGAUUUAUUAUUUUGAUGAUUAAAUUUAUAUAUGUUUUACUAAUAUUCUUGUAAAACUUAUUAUAGAUGACCAAAUUUUUUUCUUCAAUACAAAAAUUAAAUUACAAUAUAGACCAAAAAAUAGUUUUAAAUUAUAAUAUAGCCAAAAAAAAUAGUUUUACGUUUUUUUUCUUUAUCACACAGGAAUGAAAGAAAAAAUAAAAUAAGAAUAAAAAACUUAAAUAAUUAUAAUAAAAGAAGUCAAAAAAUAAUUUAUGUAUGAAAAAGAUUAAAAUAUACCUUGAACUAUGCUAGAAGAAUCAUAUAUACCCCUAAAUAAUUUUUAAGAAAAUUAAAAGUCAAAAUAUAUAAAUUUUAAACUAAUUUUUUUACUUUCUUUAAAUGAAGGGUAUACGUGAUAUCGUUUUGUAAUGGCAGGGGUAUAUGUGAGCCGUUUGUAUAACGGUAGUGGUAUAUAUGACCCACAUAUAUAAAGAGGGAUAUAUCAAUUCCAAAUGGCAAAGUUGAGGGGUAUAAAUUUUUUUUGAUAAUCCGUUGAGAUCAUCCGCACAAACACAUGGAAAUCAUCUUUAUCGUUAUAUGGACCUUGCGAGUCUCCCAUGGACCACGAACUCUCUCAAUGCAUUUAUGAGAAGUAUAGUGUAUAUAGGGUUGAGAAAGUACUUAAUUUAUAUCUGAGACAUAUCAUUUCAUGGUGUUGCAUUGCAUUGGAUCUCAUGAUUAUUGUCAAAGCCAGAGCCUACACCCUAGACGUGGCCGACACUCGACAACCAUUGUUGGCACUAAGCGAACCCUUGGGCUGACUCAGCUCUCAACAAAAUAUUUACUCAAAAAUAAAUUAACCUCAAUUGUAACUCAACUCAUAACAACAUCACUACUUAAAAAUAGUUUAACUCAAUAAAGUCUUAAAUACUCAAUAACAUAACUAUAAACUCAACUCUUUACACAUCACAAAGAAAAUGGAAAAGACUCCUAAACUACUAUUGUCUAUCUAUGAAGCCUCUAAUAAAUAUGAUGAAAGUCGGUACAAGACCCACAACAUUCUAAAAAAACUGAAAGAUAUAAAUGGAAUCCUUCAGAAGGUGGAGGCUCCCCAAAGCUAACUCAAACUGCAAGUGGUAUCAAUGAAGCACCUGUUGAUGACCCUGGUUAUCUUUAUCUGCAUCAUGAAAGAUGUAGGCCAAAUAACAUCAGUAAUGAAAUGUACAAGCAUGCAAGGGGAACUCUGAAGAACAUAUAUAAGCUUGAACUGAUAAAAAGGAAGAAUAUACUCACCUCAUCUCAACUCAAGGAUACUCAACUCAGUUCAAUAUAAAAACAACAAUAAAAAUACAUUAUAAAUAAAGCUUUUUAAGAGGCGUAUAAUAACUCACUUGCAUCUAAAAAUACAAUAAUAAACUCUUUUACUUUUAUUUGAGAGAUUUUCUGACCGAUAACCAUCACUACGAGUUAUGUGAUGAUACAACAUCUCACCCACGCUGUCAGAACUAUCAUAUACCUUGCCUAAGUAUAAGACAUCCUCAACUAAGUGGAUCUAAUACGCUAUGCUUAAAAGUAAAUAAGGAAUCAUCUAAAAACUAUGAGCUUUUCUACCUGCGUUGACAUACAUGGUUUAUAAGGACUUUGAGUUGUUUGAAGUCGUCCCUAUACCGGUGCUCAAUAUUCUUCCCAAUAAUAUAACUUAUGCUCAUAUGUUUAAGAAACAUUUUCUCAUCCUCAAUCCUUGAGAUUAUUACUCAAAAGAUUUUCUUAAAAGAGAUUAUACUAAAAAACUUAUCUUGAACUCAUUUGAAAAUCGAUGUUUCCUCUCAUUUUAAACGUAAAAGAAUUUACUCUUGAGAAUGCUUGGUUCCCAUAUAUUCAUUUUAAAAAAAUAUGAAACUCAACUACCAUCAUCCUCUCAAGUACUCAAAUAUUAAAAUAAUUCUAUAAAAAAAGUUUGCAAAAGAAUUCUCAAAAUGACUCAAAAAAUUCCCUCAAAAUUUACUCUUUAACUCUAUCUUGAGUUUGAAAUGUAAAUUCGAGAAGUAUGAUCCGGAUAUAUAGGAUCACACAGUGAUUAUUGAAGACUUAGGUAGUUGGAAAUAAGCAACGAGUGAAGACUCAAAUUAGAGAACACUAGUGCGAUGUGGAGAUGAAAUUAGAUUUUCACUACAACAAAUAUGAUAGAUAGCUAUGAAAUUAUUAGCUACAACAUCAAAUUCGUCACUAAUUAUUCGAUUUUAGUGAUAAAAUUUACUUUUCGUGCUUAAAUAUAUGAGACACAUACUUUUAGUGACGAAACAUAAGAAUUCGUCGCUAAUUUUUGUUCACAAAAGUUUCCCACCAAAAAAAAAUUUGGCGCCAUUUGUUAAUUAGUGUUAGUCACGAAGUUAUCAUUUGACACAUUAUUUCGUCACUAAUAAUUUAUUGAAUUUCGGACAAAAAAAAAUUCAUCUAAAAAAUAUGUUGUUAAAAUAACCACAAAUUAGAGUUUGUAGUUAAAUAUUAUAAAUUUUAGCUAUGAAAACGUAUAUUUUAUUAUGAUUUUUAUUUCGUCACUAAUAAUAUAAAUAAUUGGUGACAAAUAUUUCAUUGUCUCUAAUCAAUAUAUGAUUUAGUGACAACAAAAAAAUUGUCACAAAAUAUGUAAGGUGUUUAAUAGCGACGACUUAAAAUUUUUAGUGAAUAAUUAAACUAUUUGCUACGAAAAAAUGCAUAGCUAAAUACAAUUUUUUUUUGCUACAAUUGUUCAUAAUUACAAAUGACAAAUUACAAAAAUAAUAAUACAAGUGCUUCAUAAGAAGUAGACAUAGUCCAUUCGUUAACUGACAAGUGAAAAUAUAAAAACCAAUGAAUUUGGUCGAUUUUGUAAAACGAUCAAAUACAUCUGUUUUCUUAAAUUACACAAUUAUAUAAUGCAUCAUUUGAAUAUACAAUCCGGGUUAAAAAUAUUGUGAGUAAGCAUGGUUCUACCAAUAGAUCACUAAUAUUUGUUAGUUUAACACUUUUGUUUUUUAUUUAACACACUUUUAUUGAUAAGCACGAUAAAAAAUAAUUUGUAGUCUUUAUGCGAAUCUUUGUGCAUGUCUAUUAAUUUAUUAUUGGUAAACUACAUAGAUUAAGUAGAUCUAUAUGUUUUUGUCUAUAAAUAUGUACAUAUUAAAUAUUAGUUCCACUCACGUAUGUAGAGUAACUAUACCGAGAUAACAUCGACUUAUAAACUUUGACUUUGCAAAGGUGCAAUAUAUUUCAUGAAUUUCUAUUAAUUUUUUCCAUCAGUGUGAAAAUUGAAAUAAACUAAAAAAUGAAAGCACAUAUAAAAGAAAUGAAAUAACGAGGAUUUCAGAUAUAUUAUGAUGAAUUACUAUAGUUAUGGGUAUUGAUGUUCAACUUGAACUGAUUAUUCAUUUUUUUAAUAAAAUCAAAAGUAGAUUUUAAAUAAAUAUAUUAUUGUACUGAAUAAUUAUUAAAAUUUACAAAAAUAAAUAAAUAAAAUGAGAAAAUUGAACAGAAUAUAUUUAAAGAUAUUUAAAAAAUACACAGUUUAAUUAAAAUAUAAUCUACAUUUGAAUGAAUUGUGGGUGGUAAAUUUCAUGCAUUUGUAUAUGAGCAUAAAUAAUCAUAUAAUAUAUUAUUUCUACAAAAGUUAAAUUUGAAAAAAGUGAAUGAAGUAUAAAAUAAAAUAAAAAUGAACAAGAGGGAGUUGGUCUGAUGGUAAGCACUCUUCAUUUCCAACCUUAAGGUUCUGAGUUUGAUUCCCCGAGGCAGCAUCAUGUGUGAGCUCCUGGCCAAUGUUGAAAAAAUUUGAGAUGGGAGAGGGGGGUGGGGGUGGGGGAGAGAGGAAGAUAUAUAUGUAUAUACAUUUAAAAACAAAAUAAUUUUUUGUAUAUAAAAUAUAUAUCAUUAGUGACGAAAUUAAUUUUUUUUCAGCUACAAAAUAUAUAUAACUUUUGAUACAAUUGAUUACGUCACUGAUUGAAGUAAAAUAAUUGGCGACGAUAUAAUUUUAUCGGUAGUAAUAACCUUUUUAGUGACAAAGCAUACUAUUAACUACAAAAAAUACACUUUUUACAACAAGUAAAUUUGUUACAAAUGAUUAAGCAUUUAGUGACAAUUUCUUUUUUUGUAGUUAAUAUAAUACUUUUAGCGACGAAACACUAAAUUGUCUUUGUUACUUUUAGUGACACACAUUUAAAGACGACUGAGUGACAAAUUAUUUUUCGUCACACAAUAUUUUUAAUGACGAAAUUAUUUGUCCCUGAUAAUCGAAUUUGUUGUAGUGUUUGAUCGCAAAAUAUUUUUGAAGCAGAUGACUUCGUAUCCUCUCUGCAACUCGGAAAGGGGUGAUUAUUUGGGGGACUGAAAUUCUAAGAGCCUCCGCGAUGCGGACCUAAGCACUAUUAUUUGCCUGAUCUUUUCCUCUCCUUCCAAACUCAAUUCAACUUAUACCUAAAGUCAAAAUUCUCGAAUUUUCAUUACUCAAAAUAGUUGUAGCGAUACCCAAACAAAGAACUAUCAAUUAACUGAACUCACUUGCAAACUCUUGACUCAAGAACUCAAAUCAGCACUGAAUUGCCAAUUAAAUUCAAGAACUUCUCAAAAACUCAAUAAUUUGACAUCAAGAAUGAAUUCCUGGGUAAAAAGAUUACAUGAUUUGCGUGAGAGAGAACACAUCCAACACGUGACAUACAAUGCAUUCUUCAAAAAAAAAAAAUCCCAAAAAACGAUGAUGUUAGUCGCUUUAUUGCAAUGCUUCAGUUGAUUUUUGAAAAUUGUCAACUAAAAAAGCGACCCAUUGGAACGCACAACUUUUUCGUCGAUUUUGACCUAAAAAGCAAAGCAGUUCAUCUCUUUUUUUGUCCUUUUUGUUAUUUUUAGUAGCAUAUAAAUCAUGUGAAAAUUAAAUUUGCUCACGAAAUUUAAAAUAUUUCUAAAUAAAUAUCAUGUUUGAUUAAAAAAUAUUUUUUUAUAUUUUGUACACACAUUGUAACGAUAUGUUUCUUUGUUAUGGAAAAGCCAACGGGAAAAAAAAUUUGAGCUAGAAAACCUUUAUUUUUUGUAGUAUUUGGAAAUUCUAGGCUAGGCCAGACUUGGACGAAAUCUGAGAUCUGGGGAAGUCUAGAGAGAUCUGGUAGUGAAUCUGGAAUCUGAUUAAGAAUUUGAUCACAUGAGCGGAUAAUCAAGACGUUAAGGAGCUUGUACGACUUUACGAAAUCGAAUUCGGGGGAGUAUAACUUUUGAAACUGAGCUUAGUAUGAAAGGGUAGUUUCUGAACGUCUAGGGUUGAAGAUGUAUUGUGAAAUGAGAGCUUGAAAUUUAAAUUCCGAGUUUUUGUCUUAGUGCAAGCCGUCAGGGCGGGAUUGUUCCCGUAAUGGAAAGGUCGAUGUGGUGGAUUGGAUCCCGCAAUGGCGGGCCAAUCGCGACUUAAGUCAGGAAAAAAAUCCAAAAUCACUUUUUCCUGUAAAACUUCAUUCUUAAGAGAUGGGAGACAAUCCAGGUUGAUUUCUUGACAGUUUUCCACGAUUUUUAGUGCUAAAGGUAAGGAUUUUACUCCUCUAAUCUGUAUUUCGAUUCCUAGAACUUUGAAUCUUGGAUAAUUAUCAUUGGAGAGGAUUUUGGCCUGAAGUUAAUGGUGGGAAUAAGUCCUAGAUGAAUAUUAGGAUUAUGGGUUUGGUCUUGGGUUAUUAAGAUUAUUAUCCAGGUAAAUUAGACCUUGUUUAUUGAUCAUUGGUUAAAAUACUUGUUUAUAGACCAAGUAUGACACCCCAAAAAAAAAUUUAAGUUAAGACUUGUAUAAUUCUUCGCAAAGUAAGUUUUUACCAAGAAAUUUUAUAUUUUUCUUAAGAGUUAAGGUUAUUAGAUAUAUCACCUUGAAUUCCAAAAAAAAUUAAAGAUAUUCAUUCAAGUCAUUCCUUAGUUCUUUUAAGUUUUGGGUCAACUUCAAAUGAUCAUACCUUUUAGCACAGGAUGAGUUAGGAGACCCAUAAGAUUUCAAAUGAAAGGUCUUAGAAUCCUUUUUUCAACAUCACCGAGUUUGCUAAUUUUUAAGCUCGUAUGAGUAAGAUAUGCUCGUUUGAAGUCGGAUUGUCCAAAUAAAGAAAGUUACCCAAAAAUAUGAGAGGUAUUUUGGUGUUUUCUUACCCAAUCGAAUUCAAAUGUUUUUAGUAAGGUUUUAGGAGUCUAAACUGGUUAAAAUCAAUUUCAUUCAUUCUUAAAUUUAGAAUUUUAGAGAGAAGAUUCAACAGGAGAAAAAGUUCAUAGUUUCAAACGUUCAUUCAAGAAAUUCAAGAUUUCACCAAAAACCUAAUUCUUUGACGUACGUAAGCUUCCGUAGUGUAGGUAUCAUUCAUCCACACACCAAUCAUAAGUUUCUUUUGUGAAUCUAUCCAUAGAUAUUGAGCAAUUUAAUUUCUUGAUGAGUUCUUGAUAAGUGUUCUUGAAGUUUCCUUAUUAAUUAAGUUUUGUUGUAAGUUUCUACUUGGGUCAAUUUCAAAUGACCAUCUCUAAGAAUAUAAAGAGUUACGUGGGUCAUAACCUAUCAAAUUAAGCGUAUUUGAAUCUACUUUUCAACGCCAUCAAUUUUGCGUAAAUCUAAUUUUUGAGUAAAAAUUUAUGACUAUUUUAGUAAUUUGAUACAGUGUUGUCACGAAUUAGCCGACGUGAAAAUAUUAAAAAGCAAUGUUUUUUUCUUUUUACCCCCAAAAAACCCUAAAAAAAUUUCUUGACUAAUAAAAGGCUAAAAAAUAUAAGAUUUUCAUCUUUUAAUCCAUCAUUCUCUUCUCUCUCAAACCCUAGGGCAAAACCCUAAGGAAAGAUUCUUUCAAUCUUUUUCAAGAUUCUUCUUUAAGGUAAGCCUUUCUCCAAGAAUUCAUUCUUUUCAACUCAAAUUCCUCCAUACAAUUGUGAAUCACUAAUGAAAAUCAUAAUUCUUGGACAUAUAUAUUUCAAGAAACUAAUUCAAGAAUCUCAAAGAAGAUUUUCUUGAUUGUUUACUUUCAAUCUGGGAUUUUAAGGCUUCUAAUAAAGUUCUUCUUUAAUGUUACUAGUUCUUCCUCACACCCUACAUCUUCUUUCAAAUCAAUAAAAGAGAAAUCUAGGAUUCUUCUAAGAUUUGAGCAUUCAUGAGAUAAGUUGAUUUUAGUUCUUGAGUUCAUAAUUAUUUUAAAGAUUUUAUUCCUAAUUAUUGACUUUCCAUGUUUUAAUUGAGAUUCUUUAGUUAAAUCAUUCAUGUCUAUAAUUCAGUAUGAACCCUAUUUUGAGUUGUAAAUUUUAAGAAGUUUUUUCAAAGCGAACACUUUAGUUUUGGACUAAGUUUUGAGGAAGUAAGUAUAAGAAUGAGAAGAGUCUUAUACAUGAGUUCCAUAUUAUUAUGAAGACUCUUGAGUCGAGUCUUUCAUGCCUAUAAAUUCUGCAUGAACUCCAUACAUUGAGAAUCUUUGAGAGGAGUAGUAUCUUCUAAUUUUAAGUCUUUAGGCAUUAAGUUUCUAAUUGUUUUGAGAUUAUAUUCCUACUUAUGAGACUACUACAUGUUACCCAUGAAGCCCUUGAGUUGAGUUGUUCAUGUCCAUAAUUUCGCAUAAACCCUAUGAUUCAAGGAGUCUAGAUAUGAGUAGUAUCACUGAGCCUUAAGUUCUAAAUAUUAAGUUUCUUUAUUGCUAUUAAGAUCCCUAAGUUGAGUCGUCCAUGUUAAUAAUUCUAUAUGAACCCUAUGAUUUGAGUUAUAAGUUUUAGAAAGCAUUUUAAAGUCAACACUUGAGUUCUUAAUGUAAGUUUUGAGAAAGUAAAGAUAAGUUUUGAUAAAAGAGUUUUCUUAAAGAUGAUUAGUAUGACAAUCGAAUAUGUCAUCAUUGUAUGAGUAGUAUGGUAUCUAUAUAUACCAUCAAUAUUUAUGACGUCUGACUUCCCGAGUCAUCAAUGAUCAUAUUAUAAUAUGAUUUUGAAUUUUUUUUGAGAAAGAGCAUAGUUGAGUUCAUUUUCCUUAAAAUUAUAUAUGGAAACUAAUUAUUCCCAAGAGUAAAUGUUCUCUAAGAUAAGAGAAAACUAAGAUUUACAAAAGAGUUUUGAGCAAUUUAAGUACCAUAUUUUUAACAGAAAGUUUUUUAAGUAAUUAUCACAAACCACAGAAAAAAAAUAUGUUUCUAAACGUAUGAGCUAGUAUCUUUUGGGAGUAGUUUUGAGCACCGAUAUGGGGGAGAUUUCAGAUUACUCACAAGCCCUACAAACCAUGUAGUCAACGUGGGUACAAAGGGUCAUACUUUGCAGACGACUCCUUAAUGCUUUUUAGUAUAGACUAGUGGAUCCACUUAGUAGUAGGUCUUAUACAUGACAAAGUAUAGGGUAGUUCUGACAGCGUGGCCGAGAUGUUGUAUCAUCACAUAGGUCAUAGUAAUGGUUGUCACUUGGAGCUUAUUUACAUAUUUUACUUUGUAUUUUCAUAUACAAGUAGAUUUAUGUUGUAUCCUUGCAUACAAAUUGAGUUACUAUUGUAUUUUUUCAAUACAUCGAGUUAAUUUCUACUAUUUAAAAAGUUUUUCGUUUAUAACACCUCUUUUGUUGUUUUAUCUUAAAUUGAGUAUCCACAGUUGAGUAUUUUGAGUUGAGUUGAGUAUCUUUGAGUUGAGUAUAAUAUCUUUGAGUUUAGUAUCUUAUUCUUCAGAUUAGUUGAGUGAGUUGAUAAAAGGUAAGUAUGUUUCCUUUUUAUAAAAUUCAAACAUAUAUUUAUGCUUUAGAAUUCCCCUUAUAUGCUCGUACAUUCCACGUAUAGAGCCAUUUAUCGUGCAUAAUUUUGUUAUGCAGAUACAUGUAUUCAGGAUCAUCAACAAGCAAUUCGUUGAGGUCAUGUCAUAUUCCAGUCACCUUUGGUGAGACUUCUAAUAUUUCGAAGGACUUCACCUUUAUCUUACAUUUAGUAGUUUUGAGAGGUCAUGGGUCUUAUCUCGAUAUCCUUCUGUAAAGUAGAGUCUUCAUAGAUAGAUAGAGUUAAGGAGUUUUUGUAUUUACUUUUAUUUUGAGUAUUGUACAGACUUUUAAAAAGGUUGAAGAUUUGAGUUUAUUGAAUUUAUUUUAGUUUUAAGCUUUUGUAUGCUUGAAUUAGUCUUCCACUUCUAGCCAGCUAGGACGAGGGUUUUCUUGGAAAUCACCAAUGGUUCUCGAGGGUUGGGCACUUUCAAGGUGUAGGCUUAAGUCGUGACACCAAGAACAAGUGAAAGAAUCCGAAAAGGAAAGACUCAAGUGUAUUAGGAGGAUUCAAGCUUGGUUUGAGGUAGAUAAUGGUUUGAUUUCCUGUUUGUGUAAUAUAUGUCGGUUGAUUGCUACUUUAUAUUACAGGCGUGUAUGUGAAUAGGGAAAUGUGAACCAAUCUAAUGAAAUGAUUAUGUGUGAACAAUAUAUGUCACGAAUUUGUUACUUGCUUGUAUGAUUGAGUAUUAGUCAUGAUAGAUGUGAUUAUAAUUGUGGUUGUGCUGAUUGGAUCGAGUGUCACAUUCUGACACAUGUAUUAGAUCGGGUGUCACAUUUCGACACAUAUAUUAGAUCGAAUAUCAUGUUUCGACACAUAUAUUAGAUCGGAUGUUAAGUUUUGAAACAAUAAUAAUUUGGGGAUGGGUUCCAUGAGACUACCAUUUGUGAUAAUUGUGUUAUAUCUUAUUUUCACUGAAAUUAGAAAAUUGUAUGUUACUCCUAAAAUGAUAACUGAACUAUAUUUUGUUUAAGUGUGCUUAUUGUGUUGUAAUUGUUCGUUCACUACUAAAAAAAUAAUAUUUAGCGACGGAUAUUAGUGACGAACAGUAUUUCGUCACUAUAUAAUGACGGAUUUGCGAUGGAAUAAACAUUUUGUUGCAAAAUUAAACAAGUAAUAUUUUGAUUUAUAAUAUAGCAACAUAUUUACAACGGAAUAUAUAAUCCGUCUCUAAAUAUUAGCGCAAAAAUUUGGCGCCUAAUUUUCCCUACAGAUUUAGUAACAAAGUAGUGGUGACGAAUUUAAUUAAUAUUGGGCGACGGAACUAGUGACCAAAAAAAGGUUGCUAAACUAUCAAAUAUAUUUUUUAUAAAAAAUAUAUUAUAUAGUGACGAAAAUAUUUGUCAAUAUAAUUUUUCUAAAUAUAUAUAUUUAUUUGAAACCAACGGAUUUUAGAAUUCGUCACUAAUUCCGUUGCAAACUCAAAUUUCAGAUUUCCAUUACUCUCAUUUAAUCUCAUCCGUCCAUCAUAAUUAUCAAACUCCAAGAGUCAAUCUCAUCCGCUCAUCCGAAUUUAUCAAUUGUCCUGCUUUAAGACCCUUGCUUUCCCAUCUUAUACAAAAGAUCCCAAAUCCCUAAUUUUCUUCAUUCUCUUCCUCUCCUCUACAAGUCCGCUGCCCAGGCCUUGUUUGCCUUCUUCUCCGUUCUUUUUUUCGGCCUUUGCAGCCUGGAGAACGAGUAGUGAACAACAAUGGUGAGCUCCGAAAGACUUGCGACGACCACCGAACCUCCUUCGUUGGCAGAAGAUCAAGUUGGCGAGCAAUUAGGCGACCAGGUGGUCUCCGUCCGGCUACAGCAACAACACAAAGAUAGCGCCAUCAAUUGCCUUCCUCUCCGGUGAAGAAGGACAGCAACUUUAGCUACACGCUGUGAGCAGCGAUGGUGAGCACCGGCAGCAUCCAAAUCCAGCGAGCAACAUAGGAACAAAAUCUAGGGAGAACACAACAACAAUUUCAGUCAUAGGAGCUCUAUGAGGAUUUUAGGUGAAGAAACUCUUUCCUUCAAUGCUCUGUAAAUAAAGCAUUCUUAUCAUAUCUUUUAUCGAAACACUAAGAGAUUAAAUUAAUAAAAUGACAACAAUUCUUAUAUAAUUUGGUUUUGUCUGUUUCUUGAAAGAUAUAUCAAAGCAAUUGUUCCAAAACAAGUAAUCUAUGGCUUUCGUGAGAAUGAUGUUAGCUUAACUAAAGUUUCUUUAACUCAAGUCAGAUGCCACCUCUUGACGUUUGUGAGAUAUAGUAAGCAAUCAAAAUAUGUGAUUUGAUUGUUUUUUUCUUCUUCAAGUGGAACUUAUAAAUAGGGUAGUAUAAAUCAACAGAAGCAAUUCGAGUAGUUCAAAAGGAAAUGUACGUUUUUUCUGUACAAUAUGGUGGUGUUUCUAUAAGAUCCAUCAAAGACCAAUGUGUUCUUAUAUUCAUUUUCAUUAUCCUUGAUUCCCUCAACUUUGUGUUAGCCAUUUUAUAUUUGUCUCCUUUAUGCCCCCUUUCCCCCUUUUCAGUUCACAUUGAAGCUGGUGCAUUUAGGUGUAUAAAGAUAACUUGUUAUUCCAAAUGUAUCAUUAUGUUGGCGGGCAUGAAGUUGUUGUUGUACUUACACGGGUGACUCUAUCUCAAUUGGAGAAUAUUGCAGAAAACUUGUAAGUAUAUAUUUCACAAAUUAUAUAAGUACUAUCUUUAGGUUGUAUGAUCUAUACACAUGUAUCUAAACACACAUUACACAAUAUAUAUUAUUGUAUUUAAAGGUGAUUUAUCUUUUGUAUAGGCUAAAGGAUCGAGAUCCAACACCAAGCGAGUUACAUUUGCACGUCCAUACACAUGGUCAUGAUGAAAAAUCUUUUGUUGAUGAGCGCUCUCAAAUUGUCCAUGUAGGUCGAAAAAAUAAACAUGUAGUUGCUAAUUAGAAUGAGCUCUCUAAUUCUUGUUUAAUUUCUUAUUUUUUUUCUUAGCUUACUGUUUCGUGUUUCGUGAACCUGUUGUAUGCUUGGGAUUUAUGUGUUUGUGAUUUGUUAACUCUAACUGAUUUGCCUUCUUAAGCUGGAAUUUUUUAGUCACAGUUUGAGUCUUUUUGUUUAUUUAUUAAUCAAGUCUUUGCCAUGUGAACCCCUUUCUUAAUUCUUUGUAGUAUUCGAGUGUUCAAUUCUUUGUUUAAUUUGCUCACUGUAAACAUUGAUUGUUAAUUUUGACUAUAUUUUUUUUGUUAUUAUUUAGGAGUCAAAUGUGAUGAAUUAGUAGAAAUCCGAUUAAUUUAUCAUGAGUAGUGGUUAAAUUUAUCUAGAAUUAAUUUUUAUAACUUUUACAUGAUUUUAAGUCAUUGUACAUUUGUUGUUUCAUUUUCUUGCUCCUUGGAUGUUCAUUAUUUGUUAUUGAGGAAUGAUUUGGAUGUAAUAUUGUUGCUAUACUUAUUUUGGGUUCUAAUUCCUAUUUUUUUUGUAUCAUGUACAAUCAUGUGGAGUCCAAAUUGGACUCGAAUAUGUUUUCCUUCGCAUUUCUAAUGAGCCAUGAAAGCUCAAGUCCCGAGUGAAUCCUUGACUAUCACUGGGAAGUCGGAAGAGAAUUGCUCUAUUGUCUAUCUUCAAUAAGGAGAUUUCCAUCAUAUUAAUUUUAGUUUGUACAAUUCAAAUAAGAUGCAAAAAGUAAUUACCAAGAUAAGUCUGAAGAGGGAGAAUUUUCUCAAAAGAAAAUUAAGGAAAAAAAAGUAAUACAAGAAGUUGAUAGUCAUUUAUAAUUCGUAUUCUCAUUUAGUUAAUCCAAGAGGGUGAUGCUAGUAACCAUUAAGCAAAAUCGAGAAAAGGCAACAUAACAAAAUAAUCUUACAUGCAUAUGCUUCUGUGUAGUUUACGUUACGAUGAUACUCGUUGGGACUUAUUGUUGCUAUGUUACAUUGUUUAUGAAUUUUUUCAAAAGGAUUUAUGGCAUAAAGUGCUUGUUAUAGACCAUAGCAGUAAAUUGGAUCAGGUAGCUAUUUUUUUUCUUGACAUUUAUAUGAAUUACAUUUGUUUGGUCUUGAAACAUCUGAAAUCCAUUCAAGAUUCUCUGAACUUUGAGGUAUCAAUUACAGUGUGUUUCUUUAUUUGUUUUUUUAUUUAGUUUUUUCACAACAAAAAAAGGGUCAAAAUUAUCCCUAUCAUAUUAUAAAUGACUCAAAAACAUUUUUCUUUUCCCUUAUGGGAUCACUGAUCAAGUUUUAGUUUAGGUCCAUAUCUACUUUCUAAUUUGUCUCCUCAUGUGUUUAUUGGGGACUAGUGUAAAGUUGUAGGCUUAUAGCAAAUAUUCUUGAAUACUGUGUUGUUGUACGUAAUUAUCAUUUCACUCAUUUUUAAUCUAAGUUUAAAUGUAAUGUAUAUGUAAUGUAUGUUAGCUAAAAAAGUAUAGUACAUUUAGUUAAUCUAAAAGGUUGUGUAUGUUACUACACUUUCUUUUAAAUAUUAUUUUGUUACUAAUUUUUAGUGCUUUCUCUUUAUCUUUAUUUACAGGAAAAAUAUGAAGAAAUAUUAUGGGGGAAGGUCUCAAUUUGAUAUUGAUCAAUCUGAAGCAUACUACAAAAGUUGAUGAACAAAGGUUCUCUUAAGAAUAGUUGAUAGAUUAUUUUUGAUGUUUUGCUCCAAAAUAUGUGAUUUAGAUUUUGCUAUGUACAGAUUUUGAACCGUCUAAGUAUUAUUUUUUAUGAAUAUUUGUUAUUUUAGAGGUACUUUUAGUAAAUGUUAUUUAAUUUAUUUCAGCAAUGUAUAUUUAAAAUAAAUAAAUGAAAUUAUUUUACAAGAAACUUUUUAACAACAAAUUUAAUAAUGAUUUGGUCAUUGCUAUAAAAAAAAUAUUGGCGACGAAUCAGCAACGAAAUAUUUUAGUGGCAAAUAUGUUGGCUCAAAUAACAGAAUAUUUUGUGAUGGAUUAGUGACGUAAACUUCGUCAAAAAUUUAUUUGAAAUGACGAAAUUACUUAUGAAAUAGCAACGAACUAUAUAAGCAUAACGAUGGACCAGUCUGUCACUAACAAGUGGCGACGAAUAUCAUUCGUCUCUAAUAUGUCGCUAAUCUUGCGAUGGUCUCAUUUUUUUGUCGCUAAGAGAUUACUAACGAGCGAAAUAGCAACAACCAGCAAUUUUUCGCAAAUCCGAUUUAGUGACGAAAUACCAUAGAUUAGCGACGGAUUUCACCCGUCGCUAAAUGUUUUUUUUUUUGUAGUGAUUGUAUAUUGUGCUUAUGGGAGUAGUCGCGUGAUCCUAUCAGUACAUUCUGGUUAUGUACUGAUAACUGAUACUGCACUUGGUCUUUCUUGUUGAGUACAGGGCAUUUUCAGCCUGAUAGACCUCAGUUAGGAGACUAUUGUUCGAUGACCGGAUGCAAGGGUAAGCCAGUUCUUUCAUACUAUCAUGGAUAUUUUUUGUUUGAAUCCACUCUUUUCGGACUCAGACUAUUUAGUAAGGGUUUGCUUAUGUUAGUUGGGUUGCAUCCCUUUUCCUUAGAUUUGAUGGUUUACAAAGUUUUGGUACAAUGAAUUUUAGGUUCUAGGAGUUGUUUUCUGCAAUGGUUUUGGUAGUUGUUUUUGUUAAACUUUCAGAGUUUAUGGAAACUCCAUAUUUCGUUCGACAUUUAGACUUGCUUCAGUGUGUUUAAAUGUUCUAGAUUUUGUUAGGUCGUAGAAAUGGCUCUCCCACCAGAGGGUUAGUGUGGGUGUCAAUCACGACGGUCUGAAACGUGCCACACAUUUAAUUUUAGAGAAUUGUGUCAAAAGUUUUUUAUAUAUUUGAAACUUCAUGUCUAAUCAAAUUAAAAAAUAUAAAAUAAAAUAAGUGAAAUAUAUUUAGGCUUUUUUUUUAAAGAAUUAACUUUAGGCCACAUAUUUUGUUGAGUCGCCCCAGACUUGUAGUUGGUUUGUAGAAAUGUCAAUGAUCACGGGAAUAGUUAAUACUCUAAAAGCAUAUUAAAUUUCCAAUAACUAUAUUAUAGAGCAUGAAUGCAUGCAAACUAUUGGAUGGAGCUCCUUUCUAAUUUUAGUCAAAUUCUUAUUUAAAUUGAAUACAUGUAAUAUAAAUUAAAAUUAAUGGUAAUAUAAUUAAAUUAGGGGCACAUUGGAGGUGAGUGGAGUCCAAUAUUAAUUUUUGUUUCUUAAACCAGGUUCGUUAUUCGUAUUAAAGUUUGUCUAUUUUAAACUCAUAUCACGUAGAAUCCUAUUAAGAGGGAAGGGUCUUGUAUCAAGAAUUUUUCCAUACUCAGAGCUCAAACUCGAGAUCCAUUUCCGGUCCUUUGGUGGUGGCUAAUACUAAUUAUACUACUACAGUAGUACUACUUAAUGCUUCCUUAACAUUUUCAACGUGUAACUAUUCAUGCAUUACCAAUUAAUCAAGAUGAGCAGACAAUAAUUGACUAAGUUCAUAUAUGCUACUAAUCUAAUAUUUAAGUUGAAGUAAUAAUAUCUAAAAAUAGUUUCAAGUGCAACAGUAGUAGAAUUUAGUAUAAAUAGCCAUGGUUAGAUGCACAUCAUCAUCAUAAGAAAUAUAAACUGCUUGAUUAAUAUUCUCUAGAUUUGAAUAUGGCUUCCAAAACAAUUGCAAGUCAGUCUUCAGUAACCCUUUUCCUAUCACUGAAUCUCCUGUUGUUUGCUGUUGUAAGUGGAACCAAUGAUACUGGAAAUUGCGUUGGUUCUCAACAAACAUGCUCAAUAGAUACUUUGAAACUUGGUGUGUGUGCUAAUAUACUUAAUUUGGUGAAUGUAAUAGUCGGGUCUCCACCAACUUUGCCAUGCUGCAGUUUGAUCCAGGGACUGACGGACCUAGAGGCCGCGGUUUGCUUGUGCACAGCCAUAAAAGCAAAUGUGCUGGGAAUUAAUUUGAAUGUACCACUCUCUCUGAGCCUCAUACUAAACACAUGUGGAAAGAAAUAUCCUACUGGCUUCACUUGUUAAACUACGUACCCUCUACUUUGCCUCAUUAAUUUCCAAGGGGUUAAUAAAUAAAUAAAUAAAUGUAUCGUCGUGCUUAUGAAAUUAUUAUGCACGUACGAACCUUUUUAAAAAAAAAUUUAAAUAAGUGAACUUUGCAUAUGCAAGUUCUCAUCUUCCUAUGUUACAUUAAUAAUACUAUCAAAUUAAUAAAUAAAACUACUCUUUAUCACCUCUCCAUGCUCUUCGUAUAUUCGUACUAUAAUAUUAUAAACUCUACUUUUUGAAGAAGCCAUAGCUAGGGGAAAUCUGCAUAGAUAUCACUUAAUAAUCAUUUAUCAUGUGUAAUACUUGCUUACAAAUGCCCUACUAUUAUUUAAUUGACACGUGCUAACAUAAAUUGCCUAUUAUUAUUUAGCUUAUUUAUAGCAACCAUGUAUUUCUAAUGAUUUUUCUUUUAUGAAUCUUAUACAUAAGUUAAUUUAAUUAAUUAUCUACAUACCUUAUAUUAAAGCAGCAUCUUCAAAAGUAUGUUAGUCGACUUGUAUAAUAGCAUCUCGCACCUUACAAAUUUUGCUUAUAGGAAUUUUUUUUUGCAUAAAACAUGUAGUAUACAUAGCAUGCCUAUAGGGAAAAUUUACAAUGCAUUUUCUGUCUGUUUAGUAAUCAUGCCUAUAUGGCCAUUUAAUUAAAUUGAAUUCGUUUUCAUAUGAUCGACAAUAUACAUUAAGACAGUCCCAAUAAUCUUUUGGUUUAUCCCAUUAUGUGUUUAUGCAUUUUAAAAGUAAUUUAUUAAUCACGCCUACAAGAAUUAAUAUCAUUUAAGCUCUCCUUAGAUAUCUUGUUUUUAGAUUUUAAUGGCUAACAUGUCUUUAGUAUUGUAUAGCAACAGACUUAAGUCAUACGUGUUUCCUUAAAGUUAUUUGCAUAUUUUAUUUAAAUAACUCAAUUAUAGGUUAUGCCUAUUGAACAUCUCAAUUGUUCAAAAGUCAUUCCUAUUGGACACAAAAUAGUGACAUCACAAAAAAACGUGUGGUUCGCUACUAUCAAAAUAUAUUUUUUUUAACUUAUACCACUAAACUAAAUUUUUUAAAAAAAUAAUAAUUAACAAAAAUAAAAGAAGAAGGAAGAGUCAUCGUCUUCCCCACCCCAAUAUUUCCUUCCCUGCAACUUUUUUCAAUUUCUCAUCCUCCAUUUUCAUCCUCUGUUUUACAUACAUGCUCAACCCUCCCCAUUCUCUGCACCCCAUUUCGGUGAAUCUAUAUUUAUUUCAAUGAGAAAAAUAUGAAUUAAUUUUUCAGCUAAAAGUUUGUUAUUAUAUUUUGCAAUUUUGAUAAAUAAUUACUAAUGGUAAGAAGAUGAAGACAAUGAGUAACAGAUUUGAUGCUAUCAAUAUGAAGAAAACUAAUAUUCCCUCCGUUUCAAAAAGGAUGAUUUAGUUUGACUUGGAGUUUAAAAAAAGAAAGAAAACUUUUUAAUCUUGUGGUUCUAAAUUAAAGUUAUGUCAAAUAUACCAAAAUGUCCUUUAAUCUUGUGGUCUUAAACAUGUCACGUGGAAAGUUAAAGUUAAAGUGUUGCAUAAAAGGAAAGGAGUCAUUCUUUAGAAACAAACUAAAAAAUAAAUAGACAUUUUUUUUUGAAACGGAGAGAGUAAGUUCAAGUAUUAGCUAAUUUCUAACUUUCAUUAUUUCACUAGCACUUGAACUAUUCAAUAGAGAAUCCAAAUUGCAUCUUUACAUAGAAAUCAUAACGGAUAAAACUGAAUGAAGGAGAAGAAAGAGGUAGGGAGAUGAUUUGCUUGAGUUAAUACUAUGGUCACUAAAUUAUGUGUUCAAGUUUCAAUUUUACUUCAAAAGUCACUUAACUAUGCACAUUUCUCUCAUAAAGUCACUCAACUUUUAGUUUUAAUUCAAAAGUCACUCAACUAUUCACUCUUCUCUCAAAAAGUCACUCAAUUUAUUUAAUUAUUUUUAAUUAAAAUUUAUUUAUAACAAAUCAAAAUUUUAAAAAAUAAACAAUACCAUUUAAACAAUGCAAUGACCCGUUCUACUUGACCCGACCCACUAAAAUAUAAUAUUGACCCAUUUUAUGACUAUUUCUCCUCGGCGUUUUUUUUUUCUUUCUAAAAGAGGAAGAAGAAAAAUUAUUUGAACAACAUUUAUUUCAAGGAAUGGGUACUCUGUUCAGAGAAGGAACAAGAUUCAUGACUGAUUUAAAUGUAAUUCAUGUAAUUGAAUCUAUAUGUUCAGGAACUGAAAUCAUUCACAAAAACUCAUUAACAGGUCCAAAAUUAGCUCAAAAUUCGAUAUUUUGUUCAUUCUUUUUUAAAACACCAUUGUUGAAGAAAACACCUCGACUUUUAAACUCAUCAAUUUCUAUGAAUACAAUUAUACCACUUUCGACUCAACCCAUAAUCAAGUGAAUACAAGUGAAGAACCCAUCUGGGGUCGCAAAAAACAGAGCAAUUUCAUUGACCAAGACAACAACAGUACUAAGUCAAUUCAAUUGAGUUAUCAGGUUUACGCUGAUGAACUUGAUCCAAAAAGUUCAUUAUCCGAGUUUAUGGAUCAUGUUCCAAUGAAUUUAAGAAGAUGGGCUUGUUAUCCAAUGUUAUUUGGUUGAAUCAAAAGAAAUUUCAAGCAUAUAAUAUUGGAGAAAUUCCAAUGUUAAUGAAUUUAAUAAAAGAGGAAGAAGAAAAAUCAAUAGAGAACUAACAUAAAACGGAGGAGAAAGAGUCAUAAAAUGGGUCGAUAUUAUAUAUUUAGUGGGUCGGGUCAAGUGAAGCGGGUCAUUAAAUGGUUAAAUGCUAUUUUUUAUUUUUCAAUAUUUUAAUUUGUUAUAAAUAAUUAAUAUCAACAAAUUUUAAUUAAAAAAAGGGAAAGGAUCUGAUAUAUCCCUCGUUAUGAAAGUUGUUCAUAUAUGUUUAUACAUUUUAAAAGUAAUUUAUUAAUCGUGCCUACAAGAAUUAAUAUCAUUUUAUAAGUUCUGCUUAGAUAUCUUGUUUUUAGAUUUUAAUGGAAGCAUGUCUUUAGUAUCAUAUAGUACCAGACUUAAAUCGUAUAUGCGGCUCCUUAAAGUUAUCCGCAUAUUUCAUUUGAAUACCUCAAUUGUAGGUUAUGCCUUUGAACACUUCAAUUAUUUAAAAAUCAUUCCUAUUGGACAUAAAAUACUGACAUAACAUAAAAAUUAUGGUUUACUCUCUUUAAGUGCGUAAAACUAUCAAAAUAUUUUUUUUCUUUUUUUUCUAACAUAUACAACUAAAAUAAUUUUUUUUUAAAAAAUAAUUAACAAAAAUAAAAAAAUAGAAGGAUGAUUCAUCGUCUUCCCCACCCCAAUAUUCCCUUCCCUGCAACUAGUUUCAAUUUCUCAUCCACCAUUUCCAUUCGUCUUUUUACGCACAUGCUCAACACACCUCAUUCCCUGCACCCAUUUCGGCGAAUCUAUAUUUAUUUCGAUGAGAAAAAUAUGAACUAAUUUUUGGGAUAAUAGUUUGUUAUUAUAUUUUGCAACUUUGAUAAAUAAUUACUAACAGAAAGAAGAUGAACAAUGAGUAACAAAUUUGAUGCUAUCAAUAUGAAGAAAAACAAUUGGUUCUAGUAUGAAGAAACCUUACCCCAGAACACGAACCAGGUUCGUGUAAGUUGCUUUUAAGUAAAGACAGAAUAGAAACACAAACACUUAUUGAAUUAAAAACCUUCCUCACUCAAGGAAGGAAAAACCUCGUUUUAUUAAUUCAACUAUAAGAUUUUGUGAUUACAACUCAAUAAUCAAAAGUCUUAUCUCUACUACUCCCUCGAUUGACUCCAAUCGAUCUCUCCAAAAGGCCAAACCCACCUUUUGUUACAACUCUUACUAACACUCAACCCUACAAAGAGCCAAACCCACCCUUUGUACAAUAAACUGUAAAUUACAAUUAAGAACAAAAACAAGACAAAUAGUUCUUCGCGAUAAAACCUUCUAACUCAAGAACGUUUUGUACGUGGCAGUCCUAUCAAUCUUGAAGACCUCAGUUUGAUGAUUAAUUGCCUCUUGUUCUCUGCGUGAAGUGGUAGAUCUUUUCUCUGCCUCGUGUGCUUCUUAUAGAGUUUUGUCCUUGUAUAAUCCCUACUAAUAAGGUAAGAAAGUUAUGUUUAAACAAAGAUUCUUUUUUAAAUUAGAAUCCUUAUUAUACACAACUUCCUUCCUUAAUAAUAUAUUUAAGGUUUUCCUUAUUUAUAUUGACUUGUACCUUUAAUAUAUUAUUUUGACUUUGACAAAUAACUCUAUUUUCUACUUGACCUUGGACUUCUUUUGCUGCGUACAUUUUCUACUGUUCUUUGCGCUUUUUGUCUAUCAUCAAAACGAAUUAACGAUUCUAUCAUAUUCCCCCUUUUUGAUGAAGACAAACAUGUAACGUGUGAUGCAUGCGCAAAUAACUCUUCCCCCUUUUGACGAAUCAAAAAGACAUAAGCAGCGGCGAAUCAACACUAAUCAAUAUCCAUAGUAACAAAAUACGCCCAGCCAGGUGAGCAAUGUAAAUUGUUCUGGCAACAAAACAAGAAACAACAAUACAGAGUGAAAACAGCUAAGAGAACCAGGUUCAGACAACAUGCUUUAUCACUGUGGAGGCUGACCAGGCUUAGUUGAACAACAAUAGCAUUGUUAGCAAGUUGCUGCUGCACCAACUGAUCCUUCAACCUGUGUAUUUCAGCAUUUGAGGAAUCGAGCUCAGCACGUAACUUCUAAUUGUCUGAUUCAAGAGAGGCGUUCUUUUCUUCAGCUACUUUAAGCUCCCUAAGUAACUGAGCAACAGGACCAGAUGUACGUGGAGACGCUGUUGCAACCUGCUCUGACUCCAUAGGAAUGCCACAAUCAGCAAGGAUAGUUUGAGUGAACAUGUCUGCACGAGUUAAGAUCCUGCCUUCACCCAGUGGUACUUCAAAAGCAUCAAACACCCUAGUCAAUAGGUUGCCAAAGGCUAAAUGAUGGGAGCCUAACUGAGGAUCCACAAUUCUAGCAAGAUGUUUAAUAAUCAAUGUAGGCCAAUCAAUGCGCUCUUUGCACUCAAGUGCACUCAUAAGUCCCAUGUCUCGUAUGGAGGCAAUGUGACGUUGGUGACCUCUAGGCAGUAUCACCUUAUGAACUAUCUCAAAAAGAAGCUUAUGCAAAGAUCGCAUUAUUCCCUUUAAAACAGUUUGAGCCCUGUAAUUGACUCUACCUUGCGAGAAUCGAGCUGGCAGACUUGAAUACUCAUCAAAACUCCAAUUAUCUCAUUUAUACCUACAGAUGGUAUAUGCAAUAUUUCCCCAAGCUUGGUUGCAUCAAACACAAUAUCAACACCCUUUACACUAGACGACACCACAUCUCCUUCUAAGAUUACCAAAUUUGUAUAGAAAUCGACCACUUCCUUUUCAUAAAUCAAACUAGGUUCUAGAAAUAACUCCUCCCACCCUUGAAACCUUAGAAGUUCACAGACCUGCUUCACUAAAUCCAUUGACAGUAUAUCAGGAUGAAAGAUUCUACCCCUAAGCACUAAUUUGGUUUGGAAGUACUUUUUCCUUCCCACUUUUAGAAAUUUAUCUGCAUUUCUUUUCACAGAUUUUGUUUUGGAUUGAGGGGUUGCAGAAUGUUUUCCCUCAGACAGAGCAUCAGUAUCAGAAGCAAGAUCCAUUGGAGAGACUGAUGAAGGGACAGGGGACUUACCCAAACGUCGAUGCUUCACCCCAGAUGUUGUAUCAGCAGCUAGCUUGACCGCAUGCGCACUCCUUGUUACUGGCCUGUGUGGACGAGCUUGUUUGACGACAAUAUGCUUUCUUGGCCGCCGUGGUUUUGUAGGGUGAAGGGAACUCAAAAGAAUAUCAUCAUGGGUGUGAGAAGGUGAUGGGUUUUGAGGAGUGGUUUGGUGAGAUGGUGAAGAAGGGGGGAUGGUUGGGACAGUGGUUGUGGGAGAUGUUGGGUUUGGUGAAAGUAGGGUUUCGUGAGCUGGUGAUGCUGGAGUUUCUUGGACUGGUGAUGGGGAAGAUGCGAUGAUGGGUGGUGAUGGGGAGUUAGUAACGACAGGUAACGAUGCUCCUUUAACUGGUGAUAAUGAGGGGGUUACUUGUGGUGGUGGAAAUGUAGCUUUUGGUGGUGGAGAUGGAGUUUUUGGUGGUGGUGAUGGAGCUUUUGGUGGUGGUGAUAAAGAUGUGGUUGGGAGUUGGGUUUCGUCCCCAAGAUCGGGCACACCAUCAACAACUUGGUUUUCUUCCCCCUGAAGAGAUGCACUAUCAGACGAGCUGCCGUCAUCGGAGUAAGCAACAAGUAGAUUAGUCAUGGUUAUGGAAGGGAUUGUGGUUUCUUGGUUUUUUGGAGAUUGAAGAUGAGAGAGGGAAGGUUGCUAGUUUAGAGAGAGUGCUUUAUUGGGGGUGGGUUUAGUGUGGUAAUCAAGGGAUUGGAGUAAUGAUGGGGGAUUGACAUCGAGGGGACGUGCACCGUGACGGUUGCACCUGCUUGUCAGGGGGCAUGGGAGAGAGAAGAUGAAAUUGAUUUCCCUUUUUUUUUAAAUAUAUAAUUUUUUUUUAAAAUAAAGAUUAUGUGGAACCAUCUUGACAGAACCUGGUUUAUACCUCAGUAGAACUUGGUUGGGCAUGGUUCAUUCCAAGAAGAUGAGCCCUAACUCAAGUCUAUUUUUCUUAAAUAACUCUCUUCCUAGUGCCUUGGUGAAGAUGUCCGCAACUUGAUUCUCAGUUUUGCAGAACUCCAUAAUUAUGUUUCCUUUUUCAACAUUAUCACGAAGAAAGUGAUGUCUAACAUCUAUGUGUUUGGUGCGCUUGUGUUGAACUGGAUUUUUGGCCAUUGUUAUAGCACUUGUGUUAUCACAUAGAAUAGGAAUACAAUCUGUUUCUAUGCCAAAGUCUUUAAGCUGCUGUUUUAUCCAAAGAAGUUGGGCACAACAAGAAGCAGUUGCAACAUACUCAGCCUCUGCAGUAGAUAGAGCCACGGAAUUUUGUUUUCUUGUUGCCCAGGAUAUCAAACAUGGUCCUAAGAAGUGUGCCAUCCCAGAAGUACUUUUUCUAUCAACCAUGUGUCCUGCAUAAUCAGCGUCAGCAAAUCCCUUUAGAUCAAAAGAAUCACCAGUUGGAUACCAUAGAACCAGGUUUAUUGUACCUUUCAAAUAUCUCAGGAUUCUCUUGACAGCUUUUAGAUGUGAUUCCUUUAGACACGACUGAAAUCUUGCACAUAGACCAACACUAAACACUAUAUCAGGUCUGCUGGCAGUGAGAUAUAGGCGUGAUCCAAUCAUACCUCUAUAUCUAGUGUCAUUGACUGGUGAACCUGAUUCAUUUUUAUCGAGCUUUGUUGUUGUCCCAAUGGGAGUAUCAUUAGUCUUCGCUUCAUUCAUAUCAUACUUCUUCAGUAAUUCCUUGAUGUACUUUUGCUGAUGAAUUGAUGUUCCAACUGGAGUUUGCUUAAUUUGGAGUCCCAAGAAGAAAUUCAAUUCUCCCAUCAUACUCAUCUCGAACUCACUAUUCAUUAGUUGAGCAAAUUCUACUCCUAGUGAGUCAUUGGUUCCUCCAAAUAUAAUGUCAUCUACAUAUACUUGGACUAUGAACAGAUCUUUACCUUGUUUUCGAAGAAACAGUGUAUUGUCAAUCUUUCCUCUUGUAUAUCCAUGUGUGAGAAGGAAGGUAGACAAUCGAUUAUACCAUGCUCUUGGUGCUUGUUUCAACCCAUAGAGUGCUUCCAGUUUGUAUACAUGAUCAGGAUAUCUGGUGUUUUCGAAACCUGGAGGUUGUUUUACAUACACCUCUUCUUGUAGGUAACCAUUUAAAAAGGCACUUUUGACAUCCAUUUGGUAGAGUUUAAACUCCAUGUGAGCAGCAUAUGCAACCAGUAUUCUAAUUGCCUCAAUUCUUGCUACUGGUGCGAAGGUUUCAUCAUAAUCUAUACCUUCUUCUUGGUUGUAUCCCUGUACAACUAGUCUAGCUUUGUUGCGCACUAUUUGACCUUGCUCAUCGAGCUUGUUUCUAAACACCCACCUAGUUCCUAUUACUGUUCUGUUUUGGGGCUUUGGAACCAGGUUCCACACUCUGCUUCUUUCAAAUUGGUUGAGUUCUUCUUGCAUAGCACCAAUCCAUUCAGAGUCCAGCAAUGCUUCCUUUGUAUUUUUAGGCUUAAUCAGGGACACAUAGGCAGAGAAUGCACACAUACUACGUAGUUUGGAUCUUGUAGAUAUCCCUGAGUUAAGAGGAGUGAGAAGAUUUUGCAGAGAGUGAGAGCUUUGAUGUUUCCAAUUAUGAGUAGGAAUACUUACUACUUCUUGAGGUGCAGAUGAACCAGUUUCAUUAGCAGACUUAUCUCCUAUUUCAGAUGUUUUGUCAGAUGGUAUGGGUUCUUUUUCCCGUGUUUUUGGGUCUGACGGCUUGGAGCAGGUUCCCUCAUCUUGUUCAUCCUCUGAAUUUCCUUCAACUUCACUAGUAUGUUCAUUAAAGACAACAUGGACACUUUCUUCUACACAAUUUGUUCUUUUAUUCAGUACCUUGUAGGCCUUGCUUUGUGAUGAGUACCCCAGAAAGAUUCCUUCAUCACUCUUGGCAUCGAAUUUUCCCAAAUUGUCUUUGUCAUUGUUGUGUAUAAAACAUACACAUCCAAAGGCCCUAAGAUGUGCUAGAUUUGGUUUUCUUCCUUUUAGUAGCUCAUAUGGUGUUUUGUUUAACACUGAUCUGAUCAUACAUCUAUUUAUUAGAUAACAUCCUGUAUUUACUGCUUCAGCCCAAUAGAAUUUUGGGAGCUUGCUUGAGAUUAACAUUGUUCUUGCAAUAUCUUCCAGUGUUCUAUUUUUCCUCUCAACAACACCAUUUUGUUGUGGUGUUCUAGGUGUUGAGAAGUUAUGCUCAAUCCCAUUUGUAGUACAAAAUUGUAGGAAUUGUGAGUUCUCAAACUCCAGUCCAUGAUCAGAUCUGAUGCUGAUGAUUUCUUUGUUGAAUUUCUUCUGAACCAGCUUUGCAAAAGCUUCAAACAUAGUGAAUGUCUCGUCCUUUGUUGUAAGAAACAAUGUCCAAGUGAAUCUUGAGUAGUCAUCAACUAUUACAAACACAUAUCUUUUUCCACCCCUGCUUUGUACACGCAUUGGUCUAGACAAAUCCAUGUGAAGCAAUUCCAGUGGCUUAGUAGUACUUACUGUCAACUUUGGUUUGAAGGAUGACCUAACCUGUUUUCCUUGAAUACAGGUUCCACAUACUUGGUUGUCCUUGAAACUUUUGGUUGGCAGUCCCUUAACCGGGUCUUUAGAUAUGAGUUUGUUUAUAGUUGUCAUGCUAAUGUGUCCCAUUCUUUUGUGUCAUAGCAUGGAGCAAUCUGAGACUGCACUCAGACAUUUAAGAUUAUCUUCCUUGGAGUCACCAGUCUUGACUUUGUACACAUUCUUGUGUCUCUUUCCUAGUAGAACCAGAUUUCCAGUCACUGAGUUUGUUACUCUACAUUCUUUUUCUAUAAAGAGAACGUUGUUUCCUUUGUCACAUAUUUGCGAUACGCUCAAAAGAUUAUGUUGUAGACCAUUUACAUAAUAUACAUUCUCAAUUGCAUAAGUAUCCAUUGUUCCAACCUUUCCAAUUCCUUGAAUUUCUCCAUUUUUACCAUUUCCAAAGGCAACAUUUCCUCCUUUGAUGUUCUUGAGUGAGAGGAAGCUUCUUUUAUCUCCAGUCCUAUGUCUUGAGCAUGCAUUAUCCAAGUACCAUUGUUGCUGCUUCCUCUUCACUGAUCCCUGCAAUUUAUUGUUGGAUUUUAGAUUUUGGUACCCAAAUCCACUUUGAUUUAAGCUUAGGGAAUGGGUGAAUAAGAUUUCUUCUGGCCCAUCUAGGAAGAGACUUGUCUAUAAAGAUUUGUUUUUGCUCAUUGGGUUUAUCAUGAUGAGGUUUUCUCAAGGAUUUCAAGUUUUUGUUAUGGGCAGUUUGUUUCUUUUGACAAUCAUGACUUUUAUGUCCUACCAGUCCACAGUGCAUGCAUAAACAGUCUAUGUUGGGAAUUUUUACUUGAGAGCUGGUUCUAUCAAAACCUAUCCCAUGUUUCUCAAAUGUGCGAUUCUUGUGAAUGUUGUCAAGCAGUAUGGAGGACCUGGUCCAUCUCAUUCCAUUUUCUGCUUCAGUUUUAGUCACAAGAAGCUCUUUGGAGAGUGUUUCAUUCCUUUUAAUUACCAGUUCUAGAUUUUUACUUAGUUUGGUAUUCUUGGAUAAAAGAUGGAGAUUCUGUUUUUCAAGACUCUUGUUUUCUUCUCUUAGUGAUGCAUAGUCUUCCAUUAUCAGUUCCUUUUUUGAGUCUAUGGUUUUAUAUUCAUCAAUGAGAGUGUAGAGUAAGGAUUCUAGCUCUCUUUUUGAGUAUGAACCUAGAUUUUCUUGUAAGUUAUGAAGAAUGACCUUUUCAUUUAUGUCUUCUUCUUCUUCUUCUUUUUCAGAAUCUGAUCCAGCCAUAAGUGCUAGUAUGGUUUCUUGUGAUCUGCCAGUUUCCCUUUCUUCCUUGUUUUCCACUGCUACAAGUGCAAGAAAGUCAUAAUCAUCUUCUUGUUCUAGUGCAAGAAGAGACUGAUUUUCUAUCUCAUCAUCCUCAAACUCUUCAUCAGAUGAAUUCUCCAUUGCUGCAAAAGCCCUCUUCAUUGACAUGUCUGCCUCUUGAAUUGUCAUUCUUCUGUUUGAGGGGACAAACUUAUCCUUUUUGAUAUCUUUCCCUUUCUCAUAGUUUACCUUUUUUUGUUCUACGGCCCAGGGUGGACAGAAUUUGAUGAAGUGAUCUGGGCUCCCACACUUAUGACAAACCUGGUCUUUAGUGUUUUCAGAUUGUUUUUAAAAAGCUUUCUUUUGAAAGGGUUGCCCUCUCUUUAGCAUUCUGGUGAACCUUUUGGUUAUGAGGGCAAUGUUUUCAUCUUCAAAAUCAUCUGAUGCAGUAGCCUUUAGAACCAGGUUCCUUUCCUUUCUUUUUCCUCCAAUUUCUUUUUCUUGGUUUUUCUUAAGUUCGUAAAUAAUGACAUUACCAAUUAACUCAUCCAUUCCCAGUGAGUCUAGGUCGCGGGCUUCAGUGAUAGCCUCGACUUUGCUUUCCCAGGUUUCAGGAAGGAUACUCAAGAGUUUCCUUACUGCUUUUCCAUUAGGCACUAUCUCUCCUAAAGAGUACAUUUUAUUGAUGAUGGAGGUGAACCUGGUGUGCAUAUCUUGAAUAGUCUCUCCUUCUGCCAUCCUGAACAGCUCAUAUUGCCUGUUCAAGUUACCAAUCUUGGACUUCUUGACUUGUGUUGUUCCCUCAUGAGCUAUCUGCAGUGUUUCCCAUAUGGCUUUGGCAUCUUGACAUGACGAAAUUCGAUUGUAUUCGUCUGGUCCUAUGCCACAUAUCAGAAUUUUCUUAGCUUUGGCAUUGUUUUGAAUUGCAAGCUUGUCUUCAACAUUCCAUUCCUUUCUUUCCUUUGGGAUUUUGGUGAUUCCAUCAGUUGCUGUUUUCAUAGGUAUGGUUGGGCCAUCUAGAAUUACUCUCCACAGAUCAGGGUUUUCGCCAAUAAGAUGGUCCAUCAUACGAUUUUUCCACCAUCCAUAAUAUUUGCCAUUAAACAGUGGUGGUCGUGUUUGUGAAGCUCCUUCUUGUGGGGUAGGUGGUGCUGCCAUUGAAUCUUUUCAAGGUGUGAAUCUUUUAACGAAAAGACCCGCUCUGAUACCAAUUGAAGAAACCUUACCCCAGAACACGAACCAGGUUCGUGUAAGUUGCUUUUAAGUAAAGACAGAAUAGAAACACAAACACUUAUUGAAUUAAAAACCUUCCUCACUCAAGAACGUUUUUUACGUGGCAGUCCUAUCAAUCUUGAAGACCUCAGUUUGAUGAUUAAUUGCCUCUUGUUCUCUGCGUGAAGUGGUAGAUCUUUUCUCUGCCUCGUGUGCUUCUUAUUGAGUUUUGUCCUUGUAUAAUCCCUACUAAUAAGGUAAGAAAGUUAUGUUUAAACAAGGAUUCUUUUUUAAAUUAGAAUCCUUAUUAUACACUACUUCCUUCCUUAAUAAUAUAUUUAAGGUUUUCCUUAUUUAUAUUGACUUGUACCUUUAAUAUAUUAUUUUGACUUUGACAAAUAACUCUAUCUUCUACUUGACCUUGGACUUCUUUUGCUGCGUACAUUUUCUACUGUUCUUUGUGUUUUUUGUCUAUCAUCACAACGAAUUAACGAUUCUAUCAUAGUAUUAGAGAACUUCUAACUUUCAUUAUUUCAUUAGCACUUGAACUAUUCAAUAGAGAAUCUAAAGUUUUUCAAGGUUCUCUUUUGCGAACUGUGUGUCGCUUUUGCGACAUGUGAGAUCCCUUCUGACCUGCCGUUUCGUUAGACAUUUAGACUUGCUUCAGUGUGUUUAAAUGUUCUAGUUUUUGUUAGGUCGUAGAAAUGACACUCCCACCAGAGGGUUAGUGUGGAUGUCAAUCACGAACAGUCUGAAUCGUGCCACACAUUUAAUUUUAGAGAAUUGUGUCAAAAGUUUUUUAUAUAUUUGAAACUUCAUGUCUAAUCAAAUUAAAAAAUAUAAAAUAAAAUAAGUGAAAUAUAUUUAGGCUUUUUUUUUAAAGAAUUAACUUUAGGCCACAUAUUUUGUUGAGUCGCCCCAGACUUGUAGUUGGUUUGUAGAAAUGUCAAUGAUCACGGGAAUAGUUAAUACUCUAAAAGCAUAUUAAAUUUCCAAUAACUAUAUUAUAGAGCAUGAAUGCAUGCAAACUAUUGGAUGGAGCUCCUUUCUAAUUUUAGUCAAAUUCUUAUUUAAAUUGAAUACAUGUAAUAUAAAUUAAAAUUAAUGGUAAUAUAAUUAAAUUAGGGGCACAUUGGAGGUGAGUGGAGUCCAAUAUUAAUUUUUGUUUCUUAAACCAGGUUCGUUAUUCGUAUUAAAGUUUGUCUAUUUUAAACUCAUAUCACGUAGAAUCCUAUUAAGAGGGAAGGGUCUUGUAUCAAGAAUUUUUCCAUACUCAGAGCUCAAACUCGAGAUCCAUUUCCGGUCCUUUGGUGGUGGCUAAUACUAAUUAUACUACUACAGUAGUACUACUUAAUGCUUCCUUAACAUUUUCAACGUGUAACUAUUCAUGCAUUACCAAUUAAUCAAGAUGAGCAGACAAUAAUUGACUAAGUUCAUAUAUGCUACUAAUCUAAUAUUUAAGUUGAAGUAAUAAUAUCUAAAAAUAGUUUCAAGUGCAACAGUAGUAGAAUUUAGUAUAAAUAGCCAUGGUUAGAUGCACAUCAUCAUCAUAAGAAAUAUAAACUGCUUGAUUAAUAUUCUCUAGAUUUGAAUAUGGCUUCCAAAACAAUUGCAAGUCAGUCUUCAGUAACCCUUUUCCUAUCACUGAAUCUCCUGUUGUUUGCUGUUGUAAGUGGAACCAAUGAUACUGGAAAUUGCGUUGGUUCUCAACAAACAUGCUCAAUAGAUACUUUGAAACUUGGUGUGUGUGCUAAUAUACUUAAUUUGGUGAAUGUAAUAGUCGGGUCUCCACCAACUUUGCCAUGCUGCAGUUUGAUCCAGGGACUGACGGACCUAGAGGCCGCGGUUUGCUUGUGCACAGCCAUAAAAGCAAAUGUGCUGGGAAUUAAUUUGAAUGUACCACUCUCUCUGAGCCUCAUACUAAACACAUGUGGAAAGAAAUAUCCUACUGGCUUCACUUGUUAAACUACGUAUCCUCCACUCUGCCUCAUUAAUUUCCAAGGGGUUAAUAAAUAAAUAAAUAAAUGUAUCGUCGUGCUUAUGAAAUUAUUAUGCACGUACGAACCUUUUUAAAAAAAAAUUUAAAUAAGUGAACUUUGCAUAUGCAAGUUCUCAUCUUCCUAUGUUACAUUAAUAAUACUAUCAAAUUAAUAAAUAAAACUACUCUUUAUCACCUCUCCAUGCUCUUCGUAUAUUCGUACUAUAAUAUUAUAAACUCUACUUUUUGAAGAAGCCAUAGCUAGGGGAAAUCUGCAUAGAUAUCACUUAAUAAUCAUUUAUCAUGUGUAAUACUUGCUUACAAAUGCCCUACUAUUAUUUAAUUGACACGUGCUAACAUAAAUUGCCUAUUAUUAUUUAGCUUAUUUAUAGCAACCAUGUAUUUCUAAUGAUUUUUCUUUUAUGAAUCUUAUACAUAAGUUAAUUUAAUUAAUUAUCUACAUACCUUAUAUUAAAGCAGCAUCUUCAAAAGUAUGUUAGUCGACUUGUAUAAUAGCAUCUCGCACCUUACAAAUUUUGCUUAUAGGAAUUUUUUUUUGCAUAAAACAUGUAGUAUACAUAGCAUGCCUAUAGGGAAAAUUUACAAUGCAUUUUCUGUCUGUUUAGUAAUCAUGCCUAUAUGGCCAUUUAAUUAAAUUGAAUUCGUUUUCAUAUGAUCGACAAUAUACAUUAAGACAGUCCCAAUAAUCUUUUGGUUUAUCCCAUUAUGUGUUUAUGCAUUUUAAAAGUAAUUUAUUAAUCACGCCUACAAGAAUUAAUAUCAUUUAAGCUCUCCUUAGAUAUCUUGUUUUUAGAUUUUAAUGGCUAACAUGUCUUUAGUAUUGUAUAGCAACAGACUUAAGUCAUACGUGUUUCCUUAAAGUUAUUUGCAUAUUUUAUUUAAAUAACUCAAUUAUAGGUUAUGCCUAUUGAACAUCUCAAUUGUUCAAAAGUCAUUCCUAUUGGACACAAAAUAGUGACAUCACAAAAAAACGUGUGGUUCGCUACUAUCAAAAUAUAUUUUUUUUAACUUAUACCACUAAACUAAAUUUUUUUAAAAAUAAUAAUUAACAAAAAUAAAAGAAGAAGGAAGAGUCAUCGUCUUCCCCACCCCAAUAUUUCCUUCCCUGCAACUUUUUUCAAUUUCUCAUCCUCCAUUUUCAUCCUCUGUUUUACAUACAUGCUCAACCCUCCCCAUUCUCUGCACCCCAUUUCGGUGAAUCUAUAUUUAUUUCAAUGAGAAAAAUAUGAAUUAAUUUUUCAGCUAAAAGUUUGUUAUUAUAUUUUGCAAUUUUGAUAAAUAAUUACUAAUGGUAAGAAGAUGAAGACGAUGAGUAACAGAUUUGAUGCUAUCAAUAUGAAGAAAACUAAUAUUCCCUCCGUUUCAAAAAGGAUGAUUUAGUUUGACUUGGAGUUUAAAAAAAGAAAGAAAACUUUUUAAUCUUGUGGUUCUAAAUUAAAGUUAUGUCAAAUAUACCAAAAUGUCCUUUAAUCUUGUGGUCUUAAACAUGUCACGUGGAAAGUUAAAGUUAAAGUGUUGCAUAAAAGGAAAGGAGUCAUUCUUUAGAAACAAACUAAAAAAUAAAUAGACAUUUUUUUUUGAAACGGAGAGAGUAAGUUCAAGUAUUAGCUAAUUUCUAACUUUCAUUAUUUCACUAGCACUUGAACUAUUCAAUAGAGAAUCCAAAUUGCAUCUUUACAUAGAAAUCAUAACGGAUAAAACUGAAUGAAGGAGAAGAAAGAGGUAGGGAGAUGAUUUGCUUGAGUUAAUACUAUGGUCACUAAAUUAUGUGUUCAAGUUUCAAUUUUACUUCAAAAGUCACUUAACUAUGCACAUUUCUCUCAUAAAGUCACUCAACUUUUAGUUUUAAUUCAAAAGUCACUCAACUAUUCACUCUUCUCUCAAAAAGUCACUCAAUUUAUUUAAUUAUUUUUAAUUAAAAUUUAUUUAUAACAAAUCAAAAUUUUAAAAAAUAAACAAUACCAUUUAAACAAUGCAAUGACCCGUUCUACUUGACCCGACCCACUAAAAUAUAAUAUUGACCCAUUUUAUGACUAUUUCUCCUCGGCGUUUUUUUUUCUUUCUAAAAGAGGAAGAAGAAAAAUUAUUUGAACAACAUUUAUUUCAAGGAAUGGGUACUCUGUUCAGAGAAGGAACAAGAUUCAUGACUGAUUUAAAUGUAAUUCAUGUAAUUGAAUCUAUAUGUUCAGGAACUGAAAUCAUUCACAAAAACUCAUUAACAGGUCCAAAAUUAGCUCAAAAUUCGAUAUUUUGUUCAUUCUUUUUUAAAACACCAUUGUUGAAGAAAACACCUCGACUUUUAAACUCAUCAAUUUCUAUGAAUACAAUUAUACCACUUUCGACUCAACCCAUAAUCAAGUGAAUACAAGUGAAGAACCCAUCUGGGGUCGCAAAAAACAGAGCAAUUUCAUUGACCAAGACAACAACAGUACUAAGUCAAUUCAAUUGAGUUAUCAGGUUUACGCUGAUGAACUUGAUCCAAAAAGUUCAUUAUCCGAGUUUAUGGAUCAUGUUCCAAUGAAUUUAAGAAGAUGGGCUUGUUAUCCAAUGUUAUUUGGUUGAAUCAAAAGAAAUUUCAAGCAUAUAAUAUUGGAGAAAUUCCAAUGUUAAUGAAUUUAAUAAAAGAGGAAGAAGAAAAAUCAAUAGAGAACUAACAUAAAACGGAGGAGAAAGAGUCAUAAAAUGGGUCGAUAUUAUAUAUUUAGUGGGUCGGGUCAAGUGAAGCGGGUCAUUAAAUGGUUAAAUGCUAUUUUUUAUUUUUCAAUAUUUUAAUUUGUUAUAAAUAAUUAAUAUCAACAAAUUUUAAUUAAAAAAAGGGAAAGGAUCUGAUAUAUCCCUCGUUAUGAAAGUUGUUCAUAUAUGUUUAUACAUUUUAAAAGUAAUUUAUUAAUCGUGCCUACAAGAAUUAAUAUCAUUUUAUAAGUUCUGCUUAGAUAUCUUGUUUUUAGAUUUUAAUGGAAGCAUGUCUUUAGUAUCAUAUAGUACCAGACUUAAAUCGUAUAUGCGGCUCCUUAAAGUUAUCCGCAUAUUUCAUUUGAAUACCUCAAUUGUAGGUUAUGCCUUUGAACACUUCAAUUAUUUAAAAAUCAUUCCUAUUGGACAUAAAAUACUGACAUAACAUAAAAAUUAUGGUUUACUCUCUUUAAGUGCGUAAAACUAUCAAAAUAUUUUUUUUCUUUUUUUUCUAACAUAUACAACUAAAAUAAUUUUUUUUUAAAAAAUAAUUAACAAAAAUAAAAAAAUAGAAGGAUGAUUCAUCGUCUUCCCCACCCCAAUAUUCCCUUCCCUGCAACUAGUUUCAAUUUCUCAUCCACCAUUUCCAUUCGUCUUUUUACGCACAUGCUCAACACACCUCAUUCCCUGCACCCAUUUCGGCGAAUCUAUAUUUAUUUCGAUGAGAAAAAUAUGAACUAAUUUUUGGGAUAAUAGUUUGUUAUUAUAUUUUGCAACUUUGAUAAAUAAUUACUAACAGAAAGAAGAUGAACAAUGAGUAACAAAUUUGAUGCUAUCAAUAUGAAGAAAAACAAUUGGUUCUAGUAUGAAGAAACCUUACCCCAGAACACGAACCAGGUUCGUGUAAGUUGCUUUUAAGUAAAGACAGAAUAGAAACACAAACACUUAUUGAAUUAAAAACCUUCCUCACUCAAGGAAGGAAAAACCUCGUUUUAUUAAUUCAACUAUAAGAUUUUGUGAUUACAACUCAAUAAUCAAAAGUCUUAUCUCUACUACUCCCUCGAUUGACUCCAAUCGAUCUCUCCAAAAGGCCAAACCCACCUUUUGUUACAACUCUUACUAACACUCAACCCUACAAAGAGCCAAACCCACCCUUUGUACAAUAAACUGUAAAUUACAAUUAAGAACAAAAACAAGACAAAUAGUUCUUCGCGAUAAAACCUUCUAACUCAAGAACGUUUUGUACGUGGCAGUCCUAUCAAUCUUGAAGACCUCAGUUUGAUGAUUAAUUGCCUCUUGUUCUCUGCGUGAAGUGGUAGAUCUUUUCUCUGCCUCGUGUGCUUCUUAUAGAGUUUUGUCCUUGUAUAAUCCCUACUAAUAAGGUAAGAAAGUUAUGUUUAAACAAAGAUUCUUUUUUAAAUUAGAAUCCUUAUUAUACACAACUUCCUUCCUUAAUAAUAUAUUUAAGGUUUUCCUUAUUUAUAUUGACUUGUACCUUUAAUAUAUUAUUUUGACUUUGACAAAUAACUCUAUUUUCUACUUGACCUUGGACUUCUUUUGCUGCGUACAUUUUCUACUGUUCUUUGCGCUUUUUGUCUAUCAUCAAAACGAAUUAACGAUUCUAUCAUAUUCCCCCUUUUUGAUGAAGACAAACAUGUAACGUGUGAUGCAUGCGCAAAUAACUCUUCCCCCUUUUGACGAAUCAAAAAGACAUAAGCAGCGGCGAAUCAACACUAAUCAAUAUCCAUAGUAACAAAAUACGCCCAGCCAGGUGAGCAAUGUAAAUUGUUCUGGCAACAAAACAAGAAACAACAAUACAGAGUGAAAACAGCUAAGAGAACCAGGUUCAGACAACAUGCUUUAUCACUGUGGAGGCUGACCAGGCUUAGUUGAACAACAAUAGCAUUGUUAGCAAGUUGCUGCUGCACCAACUGAUCCUUCAACCUGUGUAUUUCAGCAUUUGAGGAAUCGAGCUCAGCACGUAACUUCUAAUUGUCUGAUUCAAGAGAGGCGUUCUUUUCUUCAGCUACUUUAAGCUCCCUAAGUAACUGAGCAACAGGACCAGAUGUACGUGGAGACGCUGUUGCAACCUGCUCUGACUCCAUAGGAAUGCCACAAUCAGCAAGGAUAGUUUGAGUGAACAUGUCUGCACGAGUUAAGAUCCUGCCUUCACCCAGUGGUACUUCAAAAGCAUCAAACACCCUAGUCAAUAGGUUGCCAAAGGCUAAAUGAUGGGAGCCUAACUGAGGAUCCACAAUUCUAGCAAGAUGUUUAAUAAUCAAUGUAGGCCAAUCAAUGCGCUCUUUGCACUCAAGUGCACUCAUAAGUCCCAUGUCUCGUAUGGAGGCAAUGUGACGUUGGUGACCUCUAGGCAGUAUCACCUUAUGAACUAUCUCAAAAAGAAGCUUAUGCAAAGAUCGCAUUAUUCCCUUUAAAACAGUUUGAGCCCUGUAAUUGACUCUACCUUGCGAGAAUCGAGCUGGCAGACUUGAAUACUCAUCAAAACUCCAAUUAUCUCAUUUAUACCUACAGAUGGUAUAUGCAAUAUUUCCCCAAGCUUGGUUGCAUCAAACACAAUAUCAACACCCUUUACACUAGACGACACCACAUCUCCUUCUAAGAUUACCAAAUUUGUAUAGAAAUCGACCACUUCCUUUUCAUAAAUCAAACUAGGUUCUAGAAAUAACUCCUCCCACCCUUGAAACCUUAGAAGUUCACAGACCUGCUUCACUAAAUCCAUUGACAGUAUAUCAGGAUGAAAGAUUCUACCCCUAAGCACUAAUUUGGUUUGGAAGUACUUUUUCCUUCCCACUUUUAGAAAUUUAUCUGCAUUUCUUUUCACAGAUUUUGUUUUGGAUUGAGGGGUUGCAGAAUGUUUUCCCUCAGACAGAGCAUCAGUAUCAGAAGCAAGAUCCAUUGGAGAGACUGAUGAAGGGACAGGGGACUUACCCAAACGUCGAUGCUUCACCCCAGAUGUUGUAGUUGGUUUGUAGAAAUGUCAAUGAUCACGGGAAUAGUUAAUACUCUAAAAGCAUAUUAAAUUUCCAAUAACUAUAUUAUAGAGCAUGAAUGCAUGCAAACUAUUGGAUGGAGCUCCUUUCUAAUUUUAGUCAAAUUCUUAUUUAAAUUGAAUACAUGUAAUAUAAAUUAAAAUUAAUGGUAAUAUAAUUAAAUUAGGGGCACAUUGGAGAUGAGUGGAGUCCAAUAUUAAUUUUUGUUUCUUAAACCAGGUUCGUUAUUCGUAUUAAAGUUUGUCUAUUUUAAACUCAUAUCACGUAGAAUCCUAUUAAGAGGGAAGGGUCUUGUAUCAAGAAUUUUUCCAUACUCAGAGCUCAAACUCGAGAUCCAUUUCCGGUCCUUUGGUGGUGGCUAAUACUAAUUAUACUACUACAGUAGUACUACUUAAUGCUUCCUUAACAUUUUCAACGUGUAACUAUUCAUGCAUUACCAAUUAAUCAAGAUGAGCAGACAAUAAUUGACUAAGUUCAUAUAUGCUACUAAUCUAAUAUUUAAGUUGAAGUAAUAAUAUCUAAAAAUGGUUUCAAGUGCAACAGUAGUAGAAUUUAGUAUAAAUAGCCAUGGUUAGAUGCACAUCAUCAUCAUAAGAAAUAUAAACUGCUUGAUUAAUAUUCUCUAGAUUUGAAUAUGGCUUCCAAAACAAUUGCAAGUCAGUCUUCAGUACCCCUUUUCCUAUCACUGAAUCUCCUGUUGUUUGCUGUUGUAAGUGGAACCAAUGAUACUGGAAAUUGCGUUGGUUCUCAACAAACAUGCUCAAUAGAUACUUUGAAACUUGGUGUGUGUGCUAAUAUACUUAAUUUGGUGAAUGUAAUAGUCGGGUCUCCACCAACUUUGCCAUGCUGCAGUUUGAUCCAGGGACUGACGGACCUAGAGGCCGCGGUUUGCUUGUGCACAGCCAUAAAAGCAAAUGUGCUGGGAAUUAAUUUGAAUGUACCACUCUCUCUGAGCCUCAUACUAAACACAUGUGGAAAGAAAUAUCCUACUGGCUUCACUUGUUAAACUACGUACCCUCUACUUUGCCUCAUUAAUUUCCAAGGGGUUAAUAAAUAAAUAAAUAAAUGUAUCGUCGUGCUUAUGAAAUUAUUAUGCACGUACAAACCUUUUUUAAAAAAAAUUUAAAUAAGUGAACUUUGCAUAUGCAAGUUCUCAUCUUCCUAUGUUACAUUAAUAAUACUAUCAAAUUAAUAAAUAAAACUACUCUUCAUUACCUCUCCAUGCUCUUAGUAUAUUCGUACUAUAAUAUUAUAAACUCUACUUUUGAAGAAGCCAUAGCUAGGGGAAAUCUGCAUAGAUAUCAGUUAAUAAUCAUUAAUCAUGUGUAAUACUUGCUUAAUUUUCAAAUGCCCUACUAUUAUUUAAUUAACACGUACUAACAUAAAUUGCCUAUUAUUAUUUAGCUUAUUUAUAGCAACCAUACAUUUCUAAUGAUUUUUCUUUUAUGAAUCUUAUAUAUACGUUAAUUUAAUUAAUUAGCUACAUACCUUGUAUUAAAGCAGCGGCUAUUAUAUCUUCAAAAGCAUGUUAAUUAAUUUGUAUAUUAAUAGCAUUUCUCACCUCAGAAAUUUUGGUUAUAGGAAUUUUGUUGCAUAAAAUGUGUAGUAUAGAUAUCAUGUCUAUAAGGAAAAUCUACAGUGGACUAUUAUGAUAUAAUAUAUUUGUUAUAAUGCUUUUUCUGUCUGUUUAGACAUCAUGACUAUAUUAGGGUCAUUCAAAUAAAUAAAUCAUCAAAGACAUUCCCACAACUAUUUACAUGUUGUUUAAUUAAGUUGUGCAUGACUUUAAUAACAUUGAUUUUAUUUUUAUAAUUAAUUUAAGUUUUGAGAAAAAGUAUAUUUAAUUAUAAAAUGUAAUAAUACCUUAUCAAUAUAAUUACAGUAAAAUAAUAAGAGAAGUAAUUGUUUAUGCUUCAUUUUUUUGUUUAAUUUUAAUGCUCUAAUUUACUUCAAAUAUAUGCAUUUUCUUUUAAUUUAUGAAGUUGGUGUUGUAUUUCGUUAUAUUGUAAUUACAAUAAGCGGAAUACUAUUCACUUUUGAAUGUAAUAUUAUGUUAAAAAUGAGUUACAAAAUAAGCUAUAAGUGGUUUUUCAAAUUUGAAACAAAAAUUCAAAUUAAACUUGAAUUAUUGACGGCCAAACAUUUUUUUUCUAUGUAAUUAAAAAAGAACAUGAAGUUGCUACAACAAAUUUUCUUUGUCGUUAGUAUUUUUGGUGAUAGAAUUUCAUCGUUGAAAAAUAAUAGAAAGCUAUCAAAUACGACCUUCAUUAUCUUUUAUUUUUUCGCUAUACAAAAAGUAUUUUCUUUCUUUUAGUUCUUAUCAAGAGAUUUUUUCUUUCAUGUUUUACUCUUUACAUUAAAAUUACUUAUUCUCAAAUUGUCUGUCAAAGUUUAAAAUAAAUACAUGAGAAAAAUAAAGCAACAAUGCAUAUCACAUUUUAACGUUAUAUAAUAAAUAAAAUAAAAUUUAAAUAUAAUUAAAAUAUAUACUAACAACGUAUAACUAUAAAAAAUAAUAAUAAUACUAUCAACAUAAUAUAGACAAAAUACACACCAGGGUACCAACCAUCUUACCAAGCUGUAAGACUAAUGGAAUGUAAUUGGUGAAUUUUCAAUGUAUAAAAUCUUUUCAAAUUCAAUGAUAUUAAAUUCUCAAGAAGUCUAGAUGCUUGACUAUGCUUUUCUAUAAUCAAAUUAUAGUUAAAAAACAUUGAAUUUAUGUUAUGUCCCAUCUCUUACUACACAUAGGUGAGCAGGGUGAACUUAGUGGCGGUAAUGUGUUCAUUCGAAGUUAUCGAUAUAAAAGAUAAAUUUCUAUAUAUUUUGAAUUUCUUAAACACAAAACUAGAAAUUGAUUAAGUAGUUUAGAAGUUCAAACUCUAAUUUUAAAUUCCAAACACUUUAUUCUACAAAAUAUUCCCAUACCUUUUAACUUGAGACAAAGCCAUAGAGUUGCAUUCAAAAUUGAUCCAUAUUUACGGUAUGAGGCGUAGAUUUUUGAAAAUUUAUAUUGAAAAUUAAAUUGAAGUAAGGCAAAUCUAUCUAUGAUAGUGACAGUUAAUAACUCUGAAAAGAAUUUGAUCGUUACCACCAAGCCAUUAGAAAAGAGUUAUUAGUUGUAGUUUCAAAAUUUAGUUUAACUACAACUUAUGAUAUUGACUUGGCCAGCGACAUCAUUGACGAGGAUGAUGAGGUUAAUAUGCUAGCCAUAUAUAUUAUUUAAUUAAUAAGCUAAGGUGGCCAGGAUGAGGAUCUCUCAUCUAAGCAACAAAGAGUUGAAAGCAACCAAAGCAAAAAUAAAACACAUGAAAGCAACAUAGUUGGGAUGACAAGAUGAUCAAGGAAUUUAUUUCAAGUCACCUACGAUGUAUCAGAUAAAGCAAAAUCAUAUGACAAUUUCAAUAAUAACACGAUCCAAUAAAUCUUCAAAAGAAAUGAUGAACUAUGAAGUUUUGUUAAUCAUAUUUGAAGAAGAAGACGAGGAAAAUACUUCAGGUUACGUUACACGGGGAAAAACUAUUUCUUUAAUUUCUGCAUAUAUAAAAUGAUGUUUGAGGUUGAUAAAUCAAUUUUAUUCUUAGAUGUUUUAAUUGAUAGUAUCAUCCUAGAACGUAUUAUAAACUUUAUGAUGAUUAUAGAAUAACUAGUUUUCUCGCUCUUAUUUUCUUGAUGCUUAUUAAUUAACUAGCAACAAGGAGAGCCUCCAAAGCAAAGUCAUCAUAGUGGCAUGUGUUUGAGAAUGUUUGAUCAGUUGGUAAAUCAAACACAUAAAAAAAACUUACAACACUACAAAAACACUAAAAUUAUCAACCAAAUACACUGUUUCAACCAAAAAGAAUGAAAAAUAAAACAACCCCAGAAAAACUCCCAACUGAUUUCAGCAUAAUAUAUACAUGCAUAGUUUAGCCUCCAAUGUUAAGUCAUCAUAGUGUUGUAUGUUUGAUCAUCCAGUAAAACAAACAAACAAACAAUGCAAGCUUAUAGCACUACAAAAACACUAAUGUCAGCAAAGAAAAACAUUGUUUCAACCACAAAGAAUGAAAACAAAGGAACCCCAGAAAAACUCCUUAUGUGAUUUAAGCAUAAUAUACCUACAUAGUUUAGCCUCCAAAGUGAAGUCAUCAUAGUGUAACAUAUUUGAUCAUAUAGUCAAACAAACAGACAAUACAAACUUAUAUCACUACAAAAAAACACUAAAAUUAGCAAAGAAACACAUUUUUUCAACCACCAAAACUAUAAAACAAAACAACCCCACAUAAACUCCCAACUGAUUUAAGCAUAAUAUAACCAUUCAUAGUCACUGCAAUUCAAGAACAGCCGAUCAGCUUGAAGCAAUUUCCAAAAAGACUCUUAUCUUUAUGAUAAAUAACCUUUACCCAGAUGAUCAAUAAGUUGAAUUAGUCAAAAAUUUGAAGACCCAUAAUCACUGUUUCCACAAUAAAUAAGAAAAAAUAUGAAAAAAAUCAGUUCUUGGGUACCUAAAAGUGGUGGAGUUUUAAUCGAUCUUUAUCUCUUUUUCUUUAAUUAAAUUACUUUCUUCUUCUUUCUUGAUAAUUCUGCGUUGAAUAUUUACGCAAUAUACACCUAGUUCAGUGUGUUUUACAUAUAAAAAUACAUGAAAAUUAAAGGAUUGCUGAUGAUAGAUAAUGAUGAAAACACAGUAAGAAGGAAGCACUUGGGUGGGGGUGGGGUGGAAGUAAUUAUGUGUAUAAUGAAGUUUUUAAGAGUAAACGAAACAAAUUAUAUGUAAUAAGGUCUCUAUUAUCAUCAUGGUUCGGUUAGGAAUGAGUUAUUUUGGGAUAAAAAUUUUAUUAUAUGUAUAUAAGAUAACUUGUAUCAUUAUUAUAAUAAAAAUAAUAAAAUAAAUAAUUCAAGACUACUUCAUAUUUACAAUCAGAUAUAUAUAAUAAAAUAAUUCUAUAUUUUAUUUUGAGAUUCUUAUACGCUAUUUAUAUUAAAUAAUUUUUAAAUAAUUCGAUGGAAAUAAAAUAAUAUAUAUCUAAAUACAUGAGGUAUAUAAGGUUAAUGAAAUUACUUUGUUAUAAAUAAAUUAUUAUCAUACAUAGUUUUUUUUUGGGAGUACAUGUAUAUGUAAUAAAAUUGGCACAUACAUGUGAUACAAUUGACAAGAAGGUCUGAGAGAGAAAAAUUGAUGUCAAAGCAAUAAACAAAAAUUUAUCAUCAAAAUAAUUAAUAAACACAAAUUUAUCAUCAAAAUAAAAAAAAAAAUUGAUGUGAGAGAAAUGAUUAAAUAUACAUCUAAAAAAAUUGAUGUGAGAGAAAUGAUUAAAUAUACAUCUAUAUAUCUUCUGUGUCAAUUAAAAAUUCUAAAAGAAUAAAAAAAUAAUUUAUAUUCCCCUUUGAUUGAAAGAUAUAUCUAAAUUUUUUUGUGCAAAUGAUAAAAUUAUAAAUAUAACACUUUUAAAACAAAGAAUAUAAUUUUCCUAAAUCGUAUACUUAUUAAAACUUUUUCCACUGUAACAAUAACAAAUCACGAUAAAUAAAAGGUAUGUAAUAAAGUAAAAUCAAUUUCGCUAUGUUUAUAAAAAUUAUAAUUUGAUAUACUUGUCCUACUUGAACCAAAAUGAUAAAACAAAAUGAUUUUUAGAUCUAUGGUUAAUUUAAUGAUUGAUCAAUAAUAAUAAUAAUAAUUUUUGCUUAGAACUGUAGUUUUAUGAACAAUGUAGAAUUAUAACAUAAAAAAUAUACGUACCGAUGAAAGAGAGAGAAAGCGAUUUGCUCAUUGACAGAACUCAAAGAUGAUUCGGCUUCUCUCUCAGAGGCUGUUUAUAUAAGAAAUUUUGUGACCUAAGUAAUUAUUAUUAUCAUUAUUAUUUUUUGUCGUCUAUUGAAUUUUAAGAAUUGAUAUCAAAUCUUAUUUUAAUCUCAUUAGAAAAUGUAACUAAAAUGACGUGUUAAUUAUGACCAAAUUUACUACGCUAAGAUACCCAAACUUUGUGGAAAGUCUAUUUACCCCCUCCCGAGCUAUGAUUGAAGACUAUAUUGAACUAAAUUAUAUAUUUCUAGAUUCUAAGGUGAUGCACAAAAUAUAGUUCACUAUUUUUGAGGGAGUAAAAAAUAAAUUUAUAUAUAUAUAUAUAUAUAACACAUGUUUUUGUUGAAUUAUAAUUAUCCUAAUCAAUUUAUAAAAUAUUGCAUGGGACAAUCGUGCGAAGCACGUGUUCAUAUACUAGUUUAUGAACACGUGCUUCGCACGAUUGUCCCAUGCAAUAUUUUAUAAAUUGAUUAGGAUAAUUAUAAUUCAACAAAAACAUGUGUGUAAUGAGUACUAAAAUGGAACAAUCUCAAAUAAUUAUUAUGACAAUAUUUCUUUUAUAGAACACUAAAUUAAAGAAGACUAAUAGAGAGUAAAUAUAAAAAAACUAAACAUGAAAGAAAAAAUCAGCAUACACAUUGUUCUUUAAGACUUUAAUCAUAACAAUAUAUACAUGGAAAAAGAAUACAAAAUCAGUACAUAAUUUACCGACUUUUUGUCACCUUCUCUCAUAUCCAAUCAAAAUUCAAAAGUCUUCUCCAUCAAGUCAAACAAAAGUAUAAAUCAAAUAGAAAAACGGAAGGUUAUGACUUAUGAAUAUUAAUAAUGAUAAUUCAAUAGGUAAUUAAAUAUAAUCUCUGUCAAUUAGUUUAAACUUAAAUCAUAUAAAUAUUGUUAAAACUUGUAGUGAGAUACACACCAAAACUUGAAAAAAGAAAAUAUAAAUUCAAUUAGCAAAAUAUGAAAUGAAUACAAAAAUCUAUGUACAGAUCAAACUUUAUUAUAUGAAGGGAACUAUAUAAUAAUCAUAUUGGCUUUGUUCGACUGUCUCUAUAUUUGUAUCAUCUCUUAUUAGUUGUGUUUCAUAUAAAAACAUUAUUAGGGGAGGAGAUACUAAAGGUAAAAAAUAAACACCUACUUCAAGAUCAUAAAUGUACUAAGAUUAUAUUAUAACAAAUUCACACAGUAUUAGAGAAUUCAAAUAAAAUCAUAAUUUAUAAGGAGAAAGUGAAACAAUUUUUUAUUCAAAUAGUAUUGGAGAAACUCAAAUUGAGUCAUAUAAUAUAUAAGGAGAAACUGAGAUAAUUUUUAUUCAAACUCAAAUUAUGUAAAAUCUAUUGUAUAUCUAACAAAUCGAAAUCCUCAAUAUAUUGAUAAGAACAGUUGAAUACGGUUACAACCUUAAGAUUCUGAUUGCAAUAAUCAAACUACCAAAUCAUAAUGGAAAUAUUGAAAUAACAAAUAAUUAAAGAUAGAAGAAGAACGGAGAUGACAAACUUUAGACUCUAGAAGAAGAUGAGACGAAAAACAUUUUCUUCAAUAUGCAUAAUCCCUAAAUCAGUGACCGUUGCACCUUUUGAUGGAACCAUUCUCACGUCCACUACUCGACCCGUAUCCCAAAUUAACCUGACCCUAUUGCUUGUUCUAGGCCUAAUAGCCCUUGUCAUCCCAAUAACUACUAGUGUGACAUGGGUAUCCACAUUAGGUUGAACUUAGUUCAUAACGAUAUAUGUCCUAAAACUUUGAUUUAAAGGAGUUGUCAUUAGCUUGAAGCAUGAAAGAUGCGUAAUUGAAAUCAUUAACCUAAGUAAAGCUAACAAAAAUCAAAACAAAAUCAAGAUUAAUAUAACAUAACCACUCCAAAAUACUUCAUAAUCAUCAAGAACUUGCAAAUUUGAAAUAAUCAAUAUUAUAACCUAAAGAAAUGAAUAAGUCUAUAAAAUAUUUUAAGAAACUAAAAUAAAAUUACUUACGCUCUCUUUGAAACUUUAAACCUCAUAUUACAAAUGCACAAUUGAUGUGGUAAUCUUGAUGCCCCCAAAGCUGAGAAAGAAAAUAUGACAAACAUAAAUAUAAUUAGAUGUGAUAUACAUAUAAAUCAUGAAAUCUAAAAUUAAAAUAAUGUGAAUAUUUGUAUUUAUAAAUUUGAAAAAAUCAUCUUUAUUCAAUAUAGGCAAAUGAAGAGACAAGAGUUUUAAGAAACUAAUUAAGUGGGUUUCAAAAACAUAUAAUUAUCUUUUUAUCUUCCAUUUUCUUUAAUGUCUUAAAUUUCACAUUUAAUUGGAUAAUGUAUUUAAAUAAAAAAAAUUUUGGACGUCUUAAAAUAUUGAUUUAGUUCGGAAAGGUCUUAAAAUAAUGUUAAUGGUUGACUAUGAUAAAUAAUGUAAUGUGACUGACUUUUCAUAUUUUCCAGUUUUUUGUGAUUUUUAGCAAGUUUAGAGGUAAUUAAAGUUUAAUAUCAAUUAAUGAGAUGCUAUAUAAUUUUUAUUAUGUAUAGAGAUAAAUUGGUAAUUUAACUUUACACUUUAGAGCUUUCCAGUUAUAAUAAUAUUAGUUUUUGGAAUACGUGCAUUGCACGUGUAUCCCAUGUUAUUUAAUACCAAACAUUUCAAAUGAUAUAAUUAUUUUAGAAUAAUUGAUGCAUUAUACAAUAUUUAAAGGAUAAAAAUGAUGUUUCUGGUAAAACAUUCAACUAAGGUUGCAACUUGCAAAGAUCAAUAUAAUCCGAAGAAUUUCUGAUUGUAUUGAUAAAAAAAAUUCUUUUAAUCAUGUGGGAUACACUAUAUUUAUUGGUAAAAAAAAAGAUUACUACUUCAAUUAUAUGAUUUGUCAAGAUUGUCAAAUAUCUAACACUAUAUUUCCAUACAAAAUGAAAGAAGUUAAUGAAACAAACCAAUAUAUUAAUAAGAAAAAAAAAUGACCAAUGAAUAAAAGAUUACAUAAGAACUAUAAGAUGUGAAAUUAUAAAGUGUAAUGGAUUAAUAUUUUCUAUUCAAUUUAUAAAGAGAGAAAUUGUGUAUAUGAAAGGUUGUGAAUGAAUGUAUUUAAUUGUAGAAGCUAAAAAGUUUAGCAAUUAAAGUCAUUAAGAAGUGAAAAAUAAUAAAUUGUGACAUCUAACCAUGUACUCUCUUCAAUUAAAUAUUGAUAUUGUAUGAAUCUCUCCAUAUGCUCUAACCUCUCUCUUCAUAUGCUCUAAUAUUAAGUUUUUUUUAAUUUAAAACGAUAAUUAUUUUAAGUGCACAAAUUUCAGCAAUUAAGAAAAAAAAUUGUAAUGCUACUCAAUGAUAAUGGCAAAAGGAAUACUCAUAAAUGCACUUCAAAUUAUUACGGUAACAUUUUAGUGGUAUGUAAAAAAAAUUUAUGUUAUAGAACUUCAAUUACUUUUAAUAAUAAUAAUUAUUAUAAUAAUCAAUAAUAAUAAUAUAAUGUUAUUAUUGUAGUAACUCAACUAUAUAGGGUUAUUUUGGUAUUUCAACUUUCAACUUAUAAUAAUAAUAAUAUAAUUGUUAUAAAAUCAAGCUCAUGACAAUAUAAAUAUAAAGAGAUGAAGACAAGAGAAGUAAAAUGGAAGAUAAGACUUUCUUCUUAUUCAAGUGUAUAUUAUAAUGGUGAAUGAUAUCUCUAUUUAUAGGUAGAGAAAUCAACCAAAAGGUCACCAUGUUUAAUGUCACAUUAGUAGAUACAUUUCUAUCCCAAAAAGAUUCAUCACCUUGGGAAUACAUAUCCAUGAUAAGGAUAAGUUUAUGAUAAGCUUAAUGGACAAUCCACUCAAUUCAAUGUAUUUAUAACACUCCCCCUUGGAUGUCCAUAGAUAAUGUGUCUCGUUAAAAUCUUACUAGGAAAAACCUUGUAGGAAAAAAUUCUAGUGAAGGAAAAAGAGUACACAUAUCUUUUGAUACGCACUAUUUGUUGCCUCAUUAAAAACCUUGCCAGGAAAACCCAGUGGGAAAAAACCUCGGUCAAGGGAAAAAGAGUGCAACGCGUAUUAUACUCCCCCUGAUUAAAACAUCACUUAAUUUCUUGUGACGAUGUCUCCAAUCUUCGUACAUUGUGGUUAGUAUAUUCUUUUUUUCAAAGAAAAAUCACACAUUUCUUGAAUAUGGUGUGUCAUUUAUCUCAAUCAGAUGUUUUUUCGACUUGCUUCAUGGAGGACUUUUAUAUCUGCAUAGCAACAUUUGCUUCAUUGAUCGCCAGGAUAUUAUUGUGCCUCCACAUGCAAACACAUAGCGUGCUUGAGAUAGAACUUUAUGCGGAUCAGAUAAAUAUUCUGCAUCUGCGUAAUCAAUAAAUUAUGUCUUGGAUUCCUCGGGAUAGAAUAAACCCAUAACUAUGGUCCUUCGAGGAUAUUCAAUCAUGUGCUCAACACCAUUUCAAUGUCCUUUUAUCGGGGAGAAACUGAAUCUUGCCAGUAAAUUUACUGCAAAACAUAUAUCUGGUCAAAUAUUGUUAGUAAGAUGCACUAGUGCCCUGAUUGCACCAAGAUAGAGUUUCAUCACCAAGAAACUCUUCAUCCUUCUUUUGAGAUCAAACUGAAUCAUCAUUUAUGACAAGUGAUCUCAUAAUCAUUGGGGUACUCAAUGAAUGCGAUAUAUCCACAUAAAAUUGCAUCAAAAUUUUUCAGUGUAUGUGCACUGUUAGACAAAUAUUUUAUUUGUCAAAUUAUCAAUCUGUAGGUCAAGACAAAAUUUUGUCUUACCAAGACCUUUUCAUAAAAAUACAAGGACAAUUAGGGUCAUUCUUUUGUACCCUUUUUCUUCCUUGACUAUUUCAAUCAAUAUAAGGAUUCUUGAAGCUUU